RNAcentral lists this long non-coding RNA (458448 nucleotides) under Ananas comosus (pineapple). RNAcentral's name for it is "long non-coding RNA (ACOM_LNC018711)". The record is from RNAcentral. Lineage: Eukaryota; Viridiplantae; Streptophyta; Magnoliopsida; Poales; Bromeliaceae.
UAAAGCAGUGAACUGUAAUUGCAUUAUUAUCUGGGUCCGGCUACUAUACUAUUAUGAGUACGAUCGCUUUCGUACUCAUAAAUCGUUUUCGAUGAUAAAGCUUCCAAAUCGACGAUCUAUACCGUUAAACGUUAUUUACAGCAUUUAAAACUUCUAGAAAUUAAAUUUUAUAAUUUUUCAACAUCAUUUACCUUACGAUCAAGAAGUCACAAAUUUGACAAUUUUUAAUGACCGGUAUGGAAUACUUGCUAGUUUAACGGUGUAAAAGAAUCGAAAUUUGUUGAAUUUUUGAUAGAAAAUUCUAUUCACUACCUAGAUAAAAAUCAAUCACUCCGAGGAUCAUCCUUUUUUAGGACGUCGUUCGAUUUUGACCGUUCAUUUUAUGCCCGCUUGAUGGACUUUAUUAUGAUUUCGAAAAUUUACGAAAUUUAUUUUCUAGAAGUUUCAAAUACUCUAGAUCAUAUUUAACGGAGUGGAUCGUCGAUUUGGAAGCUCCAUCAUCGAAAACAACUUAUGAGUACGAGGGCUCCAAUACUCAUAAUAGUAUAGUAGCGAUGGCCUUAUCAUCUGUAUGAAUUUUGAGAAAAGUAUGAAUUGAGAUAUGCUAAAAUACUAGGAAAUAAACAAAAUAACAAGGAAAUGAUGAUUGUUCUGCAUCUACAUGCUCCUAGUUCUUGCCCAGAUUUGUUGUUUUCUGGUGGGUCUAGUUGCACACCAGAAUCUAAUUUUCUCAUUCCAUAAUUAGAAAAGACAGACAACUGGUCCCUUUUUUUCCAACUGUAACAUCACACUGUCUUAUGGUACAGAGAUAUAUUAGCCAUCCAUCUGUUUUACUGUGAAUUGCUCAGGAAAAUGCCCUUCUGGCAUCCUGAAACUCUAUUGAUAAUAGAGUAGAGAGAGAGAGAGAGAGGUGGAUAGAGCCAAGAUGGAUAAAUAAAUAUUUGAAUGAUGAGCUCCUUUAUCCUUUUCUUAUUGGACUCUUUCUGUAUAUCUAACUAUAUUGGAGGUAUCGGACGAAUCACACAGCUUACCAAAUUGUCUCAGCGAGAUUUCAAUAAGGUGCUUUCAACGAAGUAAUAUGAGCAACUGGAUGAAAAAAUAUAUUAGUUAUACUCCUUUUUGAAGUGUACAGAUGUCGUUACUUUGAAGCACUAAGUAUGUGAAAUCUUCUAUACCAAAGUCGCUAUAUCACGACAAUAGAGGGACUACCCAUGCAUCUUUAUCCUUAUAAUUUUGUAACAUUUUAAUAAUCCCACGGAGAGUCUUAUAGAUUUAUAAAUAAUGGACACACUAGUAAUAUUAACUGGCCUGGCUAAAGCAUUUUAAGCCGGUGAUUUGGACCUAACGAGUUAUUAUUAUUAGGGGUCGGAUCGUUAUAAUUUUUCUCUGCAAUAAUAAUUCAGAGGUGCUACAAUGUAUGGAACAAGUAAUUAGCCGCAACAUCUAUCCUUUUCAUCCAGCCAUGCAGUUGCUGGGCUUCACAUGCAUUAUGCAUGAUUCUGAGCACGAGCUUUUUUCCCUCUUUUUAUUAAGUAAAAAUGUACAAGAAUUAUUUAAACUAUAGGCCAUUUUAUAUAAUUUGGCUUUUCAAUCCUUUAAAAUUUUGAUUUUAUUAUUUUAUCUUUUAAUUUAUUUGAUUUGAAUCGGUCAAAGACAUUUUGACUUUAAAAUUUGAAUGUGUUCUUUAUAUUUUAAAGUUUAAUUAAUUAGUACACUUUGUAUAAUUAUUAUAAUUACUAUAAUUUAAUUAUAAAUUUAUUAAAGUUAGUCAUUAGUUUUAAUUUGAAAGGCAAAGUGCUGUUGACUGAUUCAAAUCAAACAAAUUAAAAGAUUGAAUAAUAAAAUUAAAAUUUUAAAUAUUUAAAUAUUUAAUUCAAAAUGAUCUAUAGUCUAGAUAAGUUUUAUAUAUAUAUAUAUAUAUAUAUAUGUAAUUUACUUCUAGAACCCACCAAAAGUUGGCUCACAUAUUUAAACAAACGCAUAAUCCCAAAUAUUCCGUAAUUGUGGCAAAAACAUAAUCAACCAAUCACUCAACCAAAUAAUAAAACUUGGAUCCAAUAAGAAUUAAUUGUUCGCUUUUGAUAUAUAUAUGCUCAAGUAACAUAACACUAUAUCCACUGUACCUAGCUAACAUAGUUGGUUAAAGAUUUGAUGAUUAAUGAUAUCUGAGUUUCUACGUUCAAAAUUUAAUUAUUUAAUAUUUCUAACCGAAUUCAUUUUUAAAAAAGUUAACUUAGGAUUAAUUAAUGCCUAAUAGCUAACACAGUUGAGCUCUCAACUUAUUAAUCUAAAAAUAACUCAAAUUUAGAAAUAAAUAUAUGAAAGGAGUUAAGUUGAAGGGCUUACUUUAAAAAUGGCCAUUUGUUGAGGGGUCACCUGAUUAACAUAUUCCUCUCAUCAACUCACUGUAUUGUAUAGGGUUUUUUUUGGCUGAGAAGGUAAAUCAAUGGAUGCAUUGGAUCCCUUCAUACAUACAUUUUUUAUAACAUUAUUCUUUAAACUAAAUUCUAAUAUUAAUUUGAUGGCAUAGGAUAAUAUAGUUUUCAAUUAUAAUUAAUUUUUGCUCAAUAUGGAACUACAUAUUUGACCCUUCCUCAUGAGGCAAAUAAUCACAUCCACAUAUAAAGGGCUCUUUGGAGAAGCAACUUUGUUAUAUAAUUAUUGUUUUGCAUGCUUGCUUUUCUUAGAUACUUCGAAUUAAUCAUACAAAUAAUGCUUAUUUAGAUUCCUAGAAUCACUUGUGUACUAUAAAACUGCUUAAUUUAAUUAGCCCUAAUUGGUUGUCACAAGCUUUUCAUUUUUUGCCUACAUCUAUGGAGAAAAAUUAAAUAAUUAGGAAACAAAAAACAAUUACUAGAUAUUUAAUUGAAACUGAUUGAUUGUAUUAUUAAAUAAUAUGAAACAACUAUUAUUCUCUAAAAGCUUAAAUAGUAUUUUAAAUAUUUUUAUAUUUAAUACUUUUCCUUAGGUCUGAACUCGAGAAUUUUCGCUAGGCCCAUGGCGUGAAUUUGAAUUAAAUAGGAGAAAACAGUAAUUUCACAAAGAUAACGGCUAUUGCUAAUAGUUCACAAACAGAAUUUAACUCUAGAGAUAUAUUUGAAAUAACUUGGAACGUAAAAAAGUAUUUUUAAUAUUAGCCUUCUAAGAGGAGCAAAUCAAAAAGUCGGAAACUUUUCAGAGGGUAUAUAAGCAAUUUUCCCUUAAUAAUACUAGGAGUUUAGUAUGACUGAAAUCCAGAACCUCCUAUUCUGAUAUAAUGGUAAAUAAUACGAAACAACUGUUAUCUCUAAAAACUCAAGCUUUUAGAGAACGGUGUUUUAAAUAUUUCUAUAUUUGACAUGUAUAUUUAUAAUUUCACUAGCUAGCUGUUCAUACUUGUUCACAAGAUUAAUGACAUUCUUAAUUUAAUCUUCGAUUAGUCAACAAUAUUUGAGGUGUUUGCGGUGUUCUUUUUUCCAUUCAAAAUUUUUGAACUUUAUCUCGGUGGCUUUAUGCUAAUUAUUAAUUCCACUCUAUUUUCACUCUUGAUCCAUGCCAACAUGUGAUUUUAAAGUAAUUACCUCAAUUAAUCACUACAUUUAUAAUUAUUAUGGACUAAUUAUGAAGGUUUUUUUUUAAUUAUCAUAAACUAUAAGCACUUUUUUCUGAUAGAGUUUUAGUUCCACACAGUGAACCUACAAAAAAAGAAGAGACCCUCUUUGGACAUAAAUAAUUCACUUUUCAAUAUGCAUCUUUUUUUGGAAUUAAAGGGUUUUGUCUUUUAUUUUCUCUCUUUUUUAAAUUUUUAUAAAGGUAAAAAUAUGAAGAAUUUACCUAAACUUUGAUCCGUGUUGAUUCAACUAUUCGACUUUUAAAAUUUUAAUUUUGAUACUCAACCUUUCAAUUCAUCUGAUAUAAGUCAUUUGAUGGUUCUUACGGUGCAAAUUUUAACCUCAUUACUUACUUUAAUAAAAUAGAGUUGCAUAAAUUAUAUAAAACAUGCUAAUCAGGCCUCAAAAGAUUAAAAAUAUAUUCAAAAUUUAAGAGAUUGGAUAAGAAAAUUUAAUUUUUACGCGUGAAAUAGUUGGAUCCAAAAGAUUAUAGUUCAUAUAAAUUCCAUACAUUUUUAUCUUUUUAUAGGUUGAUUGGAUCAUUAGCCUUUAAAAUAAUUAAGUCUUUUUUUUUAGCACUUUACAAAUUCAUUAAUUUGUCCAGUACAAAUGUUUUUAAAUGCCUCCAUGAUCUUCAUUAUUGCAAUAAAAUGGUACAUAAAUAGUAUUGGGGACCUGCAUUUAAAUCGACGUGUCAUUGUAUCGCACAAAUCACGCAAUUUAAUUCAAAAUCCAGUAAUCUAGUACUACGUUUUGAUCAUUUCAAAGAUCGACCCAGUAAUUUACUUUCCUUACUGCAUUAAAAGUGUGCAAAUUGUUGUACUCAAAUGUAGUACAUGCUUUGUAAAUAACAUACAAUAUCAUAUUUGGAUUUAAAUUGGAACGUGGUACAUAUAUAAUACCCGAUAUCUUAAUGGAUACAUCCGUUUCCGGUACGGAUCCUACCAAAAUCCCUGUUAAUAAUGGUACUAAUCCGAGCCCUUGUGGUUACCGAUAAGAGCCUAUUUGGUAUUAAGAACAGUUUGAUCUAAAAAAAAGUUAGAGAAAAAAAUAUAUAUCGAAGUACAUUUUUCUAUUCUUCAAUAACAUAAUAUAAAUUAUAUUUUAAUAAAUGAAUCAGCGUGAUUUACACAACAUAAAUUAUAUAUUUUGUUGUCAUACUUUGUUUACGUGUAAUCCUAAAUUGCAUUUUCUUAUCUCUAAUUUUUUUUAAAAAAAAUUAUAAUUAGAUGGAAAUAAAAAGUAGAAAAAAAGGGAGAAUCCCACUUGUCCUUUACCCAUUAAUAAAACAAAACGACAAAAAAAGACCAUGAUCACGCAUAGGACAUUAUCUCCCUAGGCCCGUAUAAUUCAGAACAAUCAUAUGUUAAAAAAUACGUACAUAUGUACUAACUCCUCCAAAUAAAUAAACAAGUACAGUAUAUUUUAAUUUACUAAUUAGUACAAGUCAUUUGAUUACGUACUAACUAUUAUAUUAGAGCGCUAAUCGGUGGAUUCAGAACUAAACUAAUCCAUUUUUGCAUGAAAAACUGCGUGACGUACCCUCGUGGCACACAAACAAAAUACAAUGCGCAUGAUUAUAUCAAAACUUAAUAUAUAUAUUAUGACACGCAUAUCUUAAAAUAUAUUUUAAUAUUGUUGUUAAAUCAGGUUUAUAUAAAUAAGAGUUAAUAACAAAUAGCAUAUAUAUAUCUCAAGUUUCAAAAGGUGAACCAUUACCAACUAAGAGGAGAAUAAAUUAAAUGGAUUCAUUAAUAUUUUUCUGAUGUAUAUUCAGAGGAUCAUCUAAUAUUAUUGUUCUUAUUUAAGUACCAAAUAAACAUGAUUAAAUACAUUGUGGUGACAAGGUGAUCAGCUUCAUUUGCACGUGCAUUAAUUUUGACGAGUAAAAUGACGUCACUUAUUAGAUCAAUAUUAUAAUUAACUUUAUAUAUUUUUAAACUUAAUACUAUUUUUCUUUUUCUUUUUUUUUGAGGCAUGUGCUCGAAACCAACAAAUAUUAAUAUGGAAGUUGUAUAAAAAUGUGUUUCUAUAUUUUAAGAAGCAUUAUUUAUAUUAUCGGCAACUUAUGAUCUCACAUAUAAUUUAUUAAAUAAAAUUCCAAUCGUGGUAUUUUGAUGUUACAGGUGCAUCAAUGUAGAAAUAGCUAAUGUUAUAUUGCAAAAGACUAAAUUAGCACUUUAAUUUGGGAUUAAAAUUAUAGUGCCCACAGUAACAUACUAACUGUUUAAAUAUUUGCUUUUUAUACUUCUUUGGCGAAUUUACAAAAUCAUACCGAAAAACAACCAAGUUUAGCGCACGAAACUCAAAGCAUCCGACGAGUGGAAUUUAUCUCGACACGAAUCUUAAAGCGCCGCGCCCUCGAGAUUCGUGGUGCAACGCAUGGGGGGGCGGUUCGGGUGCGCUACGGCCUACGGCUAAGUUCGGUGGUCCCGGUGCACCGGUCCCAUUUUCCUGGUCCUUUUCCUUUUUUCCACUUUAUUUUUUUUCUCAAAAAAAAAAUGAUCGUAAUUAUGGGGACGUCCCCGCACCGUGUCCAGCGAAUAUGUCCUUUUAUGGGGACGACCGGACGAAUUGUUCGUACGCAUAGAAAUGUUCGGCAAAAUGUGUACCCAUCGCGCUCGUACUGUUUCAAUAUCAUUACCAAUAUAUUUUUAAUUUAUUUUAUAUAUAAAAUAAAUAAUUCAGUUUGCAAAUGAUAAUGGAAUGAUCCACGUAAUUAGAUAAAGAAACUGGGUAUGGGUAUUUAUUAAAGAGCAAUACUAUUUAUACAUUUCAAAUGGGAUGUAAAUUAUACAACUUAUUAUUCAUUCUAUAUAAAAAAAAUUCAUCUUAUUUCUAGAAUACGUGGAAUAUACAAUUUACAUCUAAAAAAAAUUAUUAGAAGAUUAAAUGGUAUUUUGCAAAAAUAAAAAAAUAGCAGCUAUUUAAGAUAAUGAAUGAAUAAAUUAUAAUAUAUAUAAAAUUCUUUAGGCGAUGAACUGUUAAAAUAAAAAGCUAUGAAGUAAGGAUCUUUUUAGCCUAACCAUUGGUGAUCUUAGACCGUCUUCUAUUUAUAAUUAAAAUUUAUUUUAAGCGUUACAAUUUUAUAUAUUUUCAUGUCAUAUUACGCACUUUAAUUUUUUUUUUUUAACACCCGAUAAUUAUUAUACUAACUAUGACUUAUUUUGAAUGUCUAAAUAAAAGUAAAUUUGAACAUACAUGUAGUCAUAAAUAGAGAUAAAGUCGCAUGAAAUUUAUGCUGGAAAAAUAUAUCGUAGAUGACUACAUCUUAAGUAAUGAUUUUUAUUAUUCUAAUACAGAAAAAAUAUGAGACUUUUGUUUUUUCAAAAUAAAAUUUCUCGCUAACAAAAAAAAAUAAUCUACAAAAUGUCCCCGUCUCCUACUCCAAAUCUAUAAUUUUAUGAAUUUUUUUUUUAAAAGCCAUAAUUUUAUUUAUUUCUUAUCAUUUGAUCAGAUGAUUCAGAUCAAGUGGACGGCAGAUACGGUCCACCGCAUACGAAGCUUUAUGCGGAUAAUCGGACUCCGCUUUAGCGAGGAUACCUCCGAUAUCCGUUAAAAAGAGGAGGAGAAUCCUCCGAUGACGUCAGCGCGUGGAGCGGAUCUUAGCGCGACGCCACGUGGCUACAAGUAGGAUAAGUGGGCCCCCACGUCCCCACUCGGUGGGUCCCACCUUGCGAAUCAAUCGGAGCCGUACAAAUUUUGGUGGGUCUGUUAACGACGCCCGGCCUAUUUUAUAUUGGGCUUUAGUGUAUGCUUAGGCCCAUUUCAUUUGUUAUUAUAUACUUUUUUCUUGUAUAUCCUAGAAAAUUAUUUUAUGAUCUCCAAAUUCGGAAUUUAUUACUCCCAUGUUGUGGCUUUAAGUAUGGAUUUAAUUUCUGUGCACUUAUUCAAAUUUGAAAUUAUUAGAGUGUGACACAAUUACAACUCCAAUUUGAUGGUUAACAUGUUGUUUAUAGUAUAUCAAAAAGUGGACGACGCUAUUAUAUUAGAAUAACUAUUUGUUGUAAUUAUGAUAUAACAGUUUGUCCAUGUAGCUUAGAUAUGUUGCCAGUUACUGAGUAACUGAUGACCUUAGCAUCGUUGUAACUUGAUUUUACUAGUGAACUGUAAUUAUACCAAUCAACAUGUAUAUAGGAUACUCACGUAGGAAAAAUGAACACCUUUUCGGUGAUUAUCGAAGUUAUUUGAUAAAUAAUUAAAAGAUUACAAAAAUCAAAAUGAUUUAGAAAGGAUUGGACUGUACAAUGGUGGACCAAGUUCGUUAAUUUUUUCCCCGAAUCAACUGAACAAGUUGAAUAAUGGACCAUCCAGGGACGGAGCCAGGAGGUAAGGUUCCACCGUUCGGGUGGGUGGUGGCGGCAAGAUUUCCGUUUCAGAUUGUAAGAAAAGGAGUUUGUUAGGUUUGCUGAUCAUCUAUUACUAACGACGACAGUGACAAUGUGCUCAAAAAGAAAUAAGACUAUAAGAGCUGAAGGAAAAAGACCGAAGAGUUUAUGAAAAGAUUGGGACAUAAGUUUUAUUAAAAAAAUAUCAAUUUGGGCGCCCAUAAAGCUAAAAUUUGUAAUAUUUUAAUUUUUUUAUUAUAAAGGAUUUAUAUGUAAUUUUUAAAAGUUGAGCAAAGCCAUGGUCACUGUGAGCCUCACUAUGGCUCUGUCCCUAGGACCAUCUAUGAAUAGUAAGUAUUAACCAACUAUUUUAAAAGUAUGUGCAGAAAGAAAAAAAACGCAUUUAUCGUACUUAGAGGCUCAGCUACAACAUUCAUGAAUUUUGAUCUAAUUAAAUUUAUCUGGACGUUAGAUCUAUUAUGGACCAAAACACUUCUCAACUUAUUACUAUUCUGGACUUAUUACUGUAGAGCAGGAAGUUGGAUCUAUUUUUAGCUAACACCAUUAUACUAAGCAUUUUCUCUAAAUUUGGAAAAUUUUGUAACAACACAACAUUACCUUUUUUUGUGGUUUAAAUUCAUUUUUGGUGAUGAUUCUUUGACUUUGAGGUAGUAAAUGUUGAAAAUUUGGCUUAUUCUAUUAUAGUGCUUUACCCUUACAUGUUGUCAAAUACCUUUUGAUUAGGAUAUCUAAUUAUAGGUGCCCUAGCUAAAAAAGCCUAUAAUAUGGUCCAUAACCUAUAGUUACAUUGGAAUAAAUAUUAUUACUCCAUGAUGAACAUAAGAUUAUAUUAUAUAUAGUAAUGAAAUGCUCAUUGCACCUUUCCGUUACGAUAACCAUAGUUUAGUUGCAUAAUUAAUAUCUACAUUAUACAAUUCACAAUGGAAUUUGUUUAUUUCAGUGCCACCUAAGUGUUUACAAAUUAAUAGUUUAUUAAAGGAUUAAUUGUGGGCAUUAACAAAUUCGAGUAGAAAUUUAUUGUGUAAAUAUCAAUUUCAAUUUCAAUUUCAAUUUCAUAAGAAUAAUGAUUUUAGAAGUACUAAAAUAAUCGCCAUUUUUAUUUAUAUAAAAAAUAGCAGAGUUUUAAAUCUAAUUAAAAUAAAUUACUGGAAAUAUUAUUGCAAAAAAAAAGAAACUUGUUCUUUUAUUAACAUUUCCCAAAUUAAGAAAGCAAUUGUUGAACAUGCAUGCGAAUAAUGAAUUCCUGAACCUAGACCUCCUCGAAAUUAAUAAAUAGUAAAUGUUGUAAUUAAUAUCUAAUAAUGGCCCUAAAAACCAUAAUAAUUAGGGUAAAUUUCAAUUUAUCAUUAAAUAUAUUUUUACUUUAUCACCAUUUGUUUUAAAAAAUUACACAAAUACAGCGAUUUAGCACGUUUUACACUUAAGAAUACUAUAGUUUUAUUUUUAUUUUACUAUAAAAUUUUAUUAUUAGACAGAGUAUCAUUCUAUAGCUUUCAAAAAAAUUCACUUUACUAUUUUAUAUGAUAGCAGAUUUUUUUUUGGUAAAUUAAAAAAUUAAUUACAGAAUAAUUAAGUAUAAGUUUAUAAAACAUGAAACUAGAGGGGGCUAAAUUGAAGUUUAUGGAAGUAAUUAAUAAUUUGAGCCGGGCCGGUAAUUCUUAUAGAACCGGUGAACCGACUCACCGAGCCGGCCUGGUCGAGCAAGCAGGCACCGGCUCACCUUCUAACGGCGUUUGCCGAUAACGGGAGCCGUCUUAACGCCGUUAGUGGCGCCGUUAAGUGCUCCGCUGGGGAGCGAUCGGGUGCGCUUAGGGUUCGCUGAAUGGGCCAGCUGGCACGGGCACGCCGCACAUGGCCAGCUGCCCCCUGUCUCGUGCCAACUCGAAUUUACCAAAAUGCCCCCCACACCGCUAAGGGUUUUUUUUUUUUUUUUUUUUAAACCCAUUAUUAAUCAAAAUUGUUUAUUAAUUAUUUUAUCUGUUCACUGUGGUGGAAAUUCAAUGCCCGGGCCGGUUCAGUGUGUUUCUUCAACGGUGGAAGAAAAAGUGAUAUUGUUUUUUAGAGGUGGGGGGUGUUUGGAAUUUAUGAUGUAAUGGAGGGUAUUUUGGUCAUUCUACUUGUGGUGAAAUCUUGUAGUCUACUGGCUUGCCGGGGUGCUGAAGGCUCGAAAGUACGAAAUCUAGUCGUAAAUUAUUUUAUAAAAAUUAAUUAAAAAUAUUAGAAAAUAAAGAAAUAUAAUUGGUUAUUAUACAUUAGAAGGAAAAAAAAUUGAUAUGAAUAAUUAGAAAUUAAAUAGAUAAAAAAUAUAUUUUCUGUAUUCUAUUAGUGUAGAAAUUUUAUAAUUAAAAAAUGAUCUCUUACUCCUUUUAGCAACAAAAUAAAUUUAUAAAUUUGCAUUUAUCUUCGAAUUUAUUUCACCAUUAAAGAUUCGUGGGAAUAAUAAAAAUUUUAAGAUACAUACCUGAUAUUAAGACUUGAGCACUAAUCACAUAAAAAUCUUAAUCCAUGCGUAAUGUAACGUGGAUAUAUAGAGUAGGGCUAGAAUACUUUUACAAGUAUCACCCAAGUGAUACUUGUAUGUUUUUAGUCAUUGGAUCUACUUUUUGAUUACUAAUAGUCCUUGGAUCAAACACUUUUCCACCUACCACCACCUAUCACCAACCUACCACCAUCAUCUCAACCUCACAUCUCUCCAUCCAAGAGCUAAAAACACACAAGUAUCACUUGGGUGAUACUUUUACAAGUAUUCUAGCUCUACUCUGGAUAUAUAUAUAUAUAUAUAUAUAUAUAUAUAUAUAUAGAAGAGAGAGAGAAGAGAGAGAGAGAGAGAGGAGAGAGAGAGAGAGAGUUGAGCUAGAUACUAUCGAAGUAAACGAGCCGUUUGACUACCGAUUUGUUUUUAAUGAUAGAGCUUCCAAAUUGACCAUCGGCUCCGUUAAAUAUGAUCUAAACCAUUUAAAUACUAGAAAUCAAAUUUCACGCACUUUCGAUAUUGUUUUUAUCCAUCAAGUGAACAGAAAUGAAUGGCUGAAAAUGAAUAUUCUUUAAAAAAUGAUGAUAGGAGUAUUGUAAUCAAGAUCAAGAGUAUAGAUCUUGUUUUAAAUAGUUUAUAAGAAUUUUCUAUAAAAAUUCAAUUGAUUUGGAUAUCUUAUACCGUUAAACGAGAAAACACUUCUUAUCGACCAUUAAAAUUACAAAUUUUGAAAGCCUUUGAUCAUUAGGCAAAUGAUGUCGAAAGAUUUGAAAUUUGAUUUCUAAAUACUUCAAGUGGUAUAGAUCAUGUUCAACGGAGCCGAUCGUCAAUUUGAAGCUCUAUCAUCGAAAACAAAUAGGUAGUAAAACGGCUCAUUUACUAUCGAUAGUAUUCUAGCAAAACUCUCUCUCUCUCUCUCUCUCUCUCUCUCUCUCUAUAUAUAUAUAUAUAUAUAUAUAUAUAUACAUAGAGUCCGGCUACUUAUACUAUCGAUAGUAUCAAGCCUUGGUACUAUUGAGUUUCUACAUUAGAUCUACCCUUAUAUAAUAUAUAUAUAUAUAUGUAUAUAUAUAUAUAAUAUAUGUAUUAUAUAUUAUAUAUAUGUAUAUAUAUAUAUAUACAUAGAGUCGGCUACUAUCUAUCGAUAGUAUCAAGCCUUGGUACUAUUGAGUUUUCUACCAUUAGAUCUACCCUUUCAUCAUUUCUACCCGUUAGAUUAUACUAUUAAACCAACCACCACUCAACCCUAGGGGACACUAUAAUCCUAACCGCUCAUCUAUUCAUCCAACGGCCGAAAACUCAAUAGUACCAAUGGCUUGGUACUAUUGAUAGUAUAGUAGCAUAAUUCUAUAUAUAUAUAUAUAUAGAGAGAGAGAGAGAGAGAGAGAGUUUUGCUAGAAUAUUAUUGGUAGUAAACCGAGCCGUUUACUACUGAUUUGUUUUCGAUAAUAGAGCUUCCAAAUUGAUGAUCGGCACCGUUAAACAUGAUCUAAACUAUUUAAACUAUCUGGAAAUCAAAUUUCACAUAUUUUCGAUAUUGUUCUCUUGUCCAUCAAGUGAACAGAAAAAUGAAUGGCUGGAAAUGAAUAUCCUUCAAAAAGUGAUGAUAUAAUUUUUAAAUUUGAUAUAUAGAAUCUAGAUCUUAUUUUAAAUAGUUUAAAGAAUUUUCUAACAAAAAUUUAGUUGAUUUGAAUUCUUCUAUACCGUUAAACGAGCAAACGCACCAUAUCGGCCAUUAAAAUUAUAGAUUUUGUGACCCUUUGAUCGUUCAGUUAGUGAUGCCAAAAAAUCAUGAAAUUUGAUUUCUAGGUAAUUUAAAUGGUCUAGAUCAUGUUCAACUGUGCCGAUCAUCGAUUUGGAAGCUGUAUCAUCAGAAACAAAUCGGUAGUAAACCGAGCAGUUUACUACCGAUAGUAGCCCAGUCAAACUCUCUCUCUCUCUCUCUCUCUCUCUCUCUCUAUAUAUAUAUAUAUAUAUAUAUAUAUAUUUCUAAACAACAAUGCAGCAGGAUAUAUCCGGUGGUCCACAGGCGAUCUAGUGCACCCGGUCCACGCACCAAUUUCCCGCAAAACAAAUGCAGACAACGGGGUUUCUCGUGAAUCUAGAGAGAGAGAAGAAGAAGAAGAAGAUACAUAGAAACUAGAAAGAGUGAGAAGUAGAGUGAGUGUGGGAGGAGGGCAAAAAGGGAAUUCACAUCCCACCUCUUAUUUGUUCCCCCUACUCCUCCCUCUUCUAUUUUUUCUUCUCUCUCCUCCCCCUCUGCUUCUUCUUCAUCUUCUUCUUCUUCUUCUUCUUCUCUCUCACUACCCAUCUCCAUAUCUACCCACAUUCAUUCCCUGGUUCCUCCUUUCCAACUCACGAGAUCCCCAAUUCCCCAUCUCCCCCACUUUUCCUCCUCUCUCUCUCUCUCUCUCUCUCUCUCUCUCUCUCUCUCGUCUAUGUCCUUGUUCGCAUCUACGAACCCACCAUUUUCCUCCUCGCGCACCAUUCUCUGUGCCCAUUGCGAUUAGCUGCGUGAAUCGACCCCAAAGUUGCGAACUUUGGCGCCGCGGGAGGGUCGGUGGAGAGAGAGAGAUCGGCGAUGUCGCGCUCCGACUCGGCCCGGUUCGACCCGGACAGGCUCGACGCGGCCCUGCGCCUGGACGAGCCCAACAAGCCCGACUCCAAGCCCCUCCCCGACCUCGGCUCCCCCGUCUCCCCCCUCCGCCCCCGCGGCCCCGCCCCCGCCACAAGCGGCAGCUCCGGCUCCUCCGGCUCCUUCUCCUCCAAACCCCCCUCCUCCUCCUCCGCCGCCGCCGCCGCCUCCUCGGGGCGCCGGAGCCACUCCGGCGAGCUCCCCGGCGGAGGAGGAGGAGGAGGAGGAGGGGGGAGCACGGCGAGCUCGCCGGCGACCAAUGUGCUUCCCGCGGGGAACAUAUGCCCCUCGGGGAAGAUCGCGAAGAUGGGCGCCGCGGCGCCGCGGAGCGAUGUGCUUGGCUCCGGGACGGGCCACUACGGCCACGGGAGCAUAAUGUGGGGCGGCUCCGCCUCCGCCUCCGCCUCCGCCGCCGCGACCUCCGGCGACUCCCCGUCCUCGUCGUCGAAGCGGGCUCCCACAGCUGCGACCCUACAAGACGUGAUCAAGGUCGGGAACGAGCACUACAAGAAGGGGAACUACGCGGAGGCGCUCAGGCUCUACGACCGGGCCGUCGCGAUGUGCCCCGACAGCGCCUCCUGCCGGAGCAACCGCGCCGCCGCUCUGGUCGGGCUGGGGAGGCUCUGCGAUGCGGCCAAGGAGUGCGAGGAGGCCCUGCAGCUCGAUCCCGCGAACACCCGAGCUCAUCAUCGCCUCGCCUCCGUAAAUCUGCGGUGAGCACGACAAUGCCUUGCAAUUCAGAUUUGAUCUCUCUGUUUAUUAGUUCACUGUAUUCUGUUAUAUCAUGAUCCAUUUCCGAUAUCCGAUCCCGGGGCGACAUUGUUGUUUUCGCGCAUCCCCUGCUGUUUGGUGUGAGCGCGUCUUAUGCGAAAAGAAACCCUAAUUUUUCCCUGCACAACGCAUUGUGUAUAACCAACCAAUUGAGGAUACGCUUUUAAUCCCUAGUUUUCCUAAAAUUGCUUGUUGGAAUCACAUUGUGUGAAAUUUGUUGUUAUAGGUUAGGGUUGAUAGCGAAUGCGAGGCGGCACAUCUCACUAGCGGGGCCGGGGCAGCAGCCCAAUCCGUCCGAGUGGAAGAAGAUGCAAGAGGUGGAGCGGCAUUUGGGGAGGUGCGAAGAUUCUAGAAAGGCAGGAGAUUGGAAAAGCGCGCUUAGAGAAGCCGAUGCCGCCAUCGCUGCAGGAGCCGACUCUUCCCCAUUGGUAAAUAUAAUUGCAAGUUAUAUCUCGCUUAGUGCGAUUUACCGACGCAUUAUUUACCAUUCACUUGGAAUUUGCUGCAGCUCUUAGCGUCGAGGGCAGAAGCCCUUCUACGCCUCCAUAAGCUCGAAGAGGCUGAUUCGAGCUUAUCGAAAGCUCCUAAAUUGGAAAACUCGUCCUCGUCUUCCUCAUCAAGUAAAUUUUCUGGGAUGCUAUCCAAUUCCUACAUCUACAUUGUUCAAGCGCAAGUAGAUAUGGCAUUGGGAAGGUGGGAUUUUUAUUUGCAAUUAAACUCUUCAAAUUUUUUCAGUUAAUUUAGAAUUGGCUUUUUUUUUUUUUUUUCCUUUUUCGUUUACAGGUUUGAGAGUGCGGUAACAGCAGCGGAGAAGGCGAGGCAGGUAGAUCCUGGAAAUAUUGAGAUCUCAAUGGCGGCGAACAAUGUGAGAUUGGUGGCGAGGGCUCGAGCUCACGGAAAUGAGCUGUUUAAAUCAGGCAAUUUUGCUGAGGCUUGUAUAGCUUACGGGGAAGGACUCAAAUAUGAUUCAUAUAAUCCUGUUCUGUAUUGUAACAGAGCCGCUUGUCGGUUCAAGCUGGGACAGUGGGAAAAAUCUGUCGAGGACUGCAACGAAGCCCUCAGAAUACAACCCAGUUACACAAAAGCACUUCUAAGAAGAGCUGCUUCCUAUACCAAGGUGAAAAUUCUUCUUCUCUUCUAACUCGUGUUGUUUAGGAUUUGUAUAAAUUGCACUAGUGGGUCAAUCUUACCUUACAACAUAGUUUCAGUAAUUCUAACAGUUUGAUCCCUACCCAAACCUUCAUUAUUAGAUGUAAAUAUCCAUUUUAGCAUCAUCUUCUUUCCAUGUGAUUGACUUGUGCACGCCUCAUAUGCUAAUUUUGUGGACAUUCCCAUCCUACAUAACCUAAGAAUAUAGAGUGUAAGAUGGCAACAAAAUGCAAAAACUAGGGACCUGAUUAUAAUAGUUGAAAGCUCUAAUAAUGCUCUAAUACCUCCUUAAAAUGUUGCGAGACCCAAGUACAAUUUACCCUUGAAAUUUUGCUCUGGUAGCAACUUUUUGUUUCCCUAGAGAAAGCUUGUUUUGAUCCUUUUUUAAACCGAUAUAUAGCUUGAGCGAUGGGUUGAAUCUGUUAGAGACUAUGAAGUUCUUAGAAAGGAACUGCCAGAAGAUACCGAAGUGGCCGAAGCCUUAUUUCAUGCCCAAGUCGCACUGAAAACAUCUAGAGGCGAGGAAGUCUCCAAUAUGAAGUUCGGUGGUGAGGUUGAGGACGUUACUAGCGUGGAGCAAUUCCAAGCAGAAAUUUCUUUUCCUGGUGAGCUUUCUUUUUCCGUUGUUUACUGCUCCAUUUAAAGUUUGUUGGGCCAUUUUUCAGACAAAAGUUCAAUCUAGUUGGAUGUUCUUUUCAGCUUUGAUAGUAUGUCAGUGUGAUUUUAAUCUAUUUAUAUCCAACUGCAUAUUAAAUGAGGCAGCACUUUCCUACUAACAAUGUCAUAUCUAUUUAGGAGAGUUAUUAUUGCUUUAUGCUUUCUUUUUAAGUAUACUAAAUUACACCAUUGAACACUGAACAAAUUGCAAAUUUGCUGACCUAGGUAACAUUUUGUGAUAUUUUUAAUUACCAAUGGUGUAAUCUACCCUAUUAUUUUCACUAUGGACGUUCCAAACUACUGCUUAUUGGAGGGAAGGGGUAUGUCUAGAUAAUCAGAAACAUGUUUUUAAUUGCACAUGAUUUAAGAACCCAAUUUACUGUUUCUUGCUCGGUCAUCUUAUUGCGAUAAUCUGUCAAAUUUACAGGAGUUUCAGUUGUUUAUUUUACGGCGGCGUCGAAUCAGCAGUGCACCCAAAUUUCACCUUUUGUGGAUGCUCUGUGCAAACGAUACCCAUCCGCCAAUUUCCUUAAGGUGAGUCCAUAAUAUCUGUAAAAAUUCUUUACUCCCUUCCAUUUGUCAUCUUCCUUGUGCUUUAUCUUGGGCUUCUUUUUAUUCGAAAGGUCGACAUAAAUCAGAGCCCUCUGGUCGCAAGGGCGGAGAAUGUGAGAAUCGUCCCAACUUUUAAGAUCUACAAGAACGGGGCGCGGAUGAAGGAGAUGAUCUGCCCCAACCAGCAGGUUUUGGAGUACUCAGUGAGGCAUUAUAGUCUUUAGCAGUGAUGUUUUGAAAUGAAAUGGUUCCUUAAAUAUAUCCUUCCCUCCUUGGCCAUAAUCUAUUCAAAACCAUAACAUGAGCCCCAUCAAUCCAACCAACAUGAAUUUUUCCUCAGCCAAAAAGAAAAAAAAAAAAGAAAAAAGAGCCAGAGCCAUAGAGAGAGACCACCCCAUUUUUUCCUCCUUUUUUACCCUUAUUUACCUUUUUUUCGUUUUACUUGAUCUUUACCCAUCUUAUCAAUUCUUUUCUUCUGUGACUCCUCUCUCAUCUCUGCAUGUCAAUUCCAAUUCCAUUCCCUAGUUAGCAUAGGAUACUCUUCAUUUUGGUUUUAUACCCACCCACCAUUUAAUUCUUCUUGAGAAGCCUAUUUGUACUGUUCAUUUACUUCCUCUAGAGAGAGAGAGAGAGAGAGAGAGGGAAAUAUGGCUGGUUGAAAUUUAUUACAUGUAUAUAUGGUACACCAAAACAUGAGAAGCCAUAGUGGAGGUAGCACAGGGCUGGGUUUUUUUUUCUGCUUAGAAAGAGAGAGAGAUAGAGAGGUCAUUGCUGUAAUUGCUGCUGCCAGUGGUGGCAACUCUGAUAUAUAUGCUACAUUUCUUUCAAUAAAAAAGCUCAAAAUUCUUUCUAACUUUACCUAGUUUAUUAUAGGGCCUUCUUAUUUUGUUUUGCUAUAAAUGUUAAAGCUCAGAAAAAAUAUUACUGUUGAACUUUUUUUCAGUGAGAGAGAGAGAGAGAGAGGGAAAAUUAGGGAAAAUUUUUUUAAGUGUGGUAAACACACUGCAAAUCUAAGUAUAGGCCCACAUGAGUGACCUCAGCUUCAGGAAAAUUUUAAGUUUGCUCCAGCUCUUGUUUCUGAUGAUGGUGGGGUUCUGUUACUCUGAAACCAUUGUUUUUAUUUAGUUUAUUAUUAUCACACCUAUAUGUCCCAUCCACCACUGUACUUAAAUUACAAAUAGUGAGGACCAUUGGAUCAUAAGUCCUCUCUCUCUCUCUCUCUCUCUCUCACUCUCUCUAGAUGGGUGUCACAGUUUCCAAACCCUAAAUCUGGGGAGAUUAUUACAUGGAUCGCAACCAUCGGUGACCGUCGAUUGUGAUUUACAACUUCUAAUUAGGCUAUGUACAAGAGAUCAUAUAUCUUAAUACACUAUCAUCUACAUAAUCAUAUAAUUGUAAUAAUCAACAGUACUGAAAAACUCUGCAUUUUUGUUUGAGUUUUGGAAGACUCUGAUCUAUAAAAAGUGCAUGCAAUAAUAACCUAUCCUGCAAAUGUGGGGUAUCAAUGGUAUCAUUAUCAAUGGGAUGUUAAAUUGGAUUCACACAUAAUAAUUCAUAAGAAGAGUGUGCUCCAUAGUCCUUUUGAACAUGGUGGUUGAGUUCAUUCAUUGCCUUGAAAUAGACCAUCUCCUCUCUCUCUCUCUCUCUCUCUCUCUCUCUCUCUCUCUCUCACCACUUUUCAAAUGCUUAUGACUCUGUUGGAUAGUGCCCUAAUUAUUGACUGACAACAACCAAAAGUCAAAAAAAGGGUACUAGUAUGGUGGGGUUGCAUGUAAAAGCAUAGAUGCUCUUAAGCAAUGUAAAUGGACUACCCCCUAAAUAAAUAGUGAACAUAAAUAAAUGAAGUUGCUUAUGUGAGAGUUAAAUAGUUUCUGUGAGUAAAGCUCUCUUCUUCAAAUGGGUUGAGUGUUGUGCCUACAGUGAUGAGUUGGAUGUAUCUUACAAAAGAGGAAACAAUCCACGAGGCUUAAGUGGGGCUUCUUAAUUCCCAUUUUACUCCCUCUAGUUCAAGUUGUUUUGAUUGAUGAAAGGGCAUUGAUUAUGUAUUUUGAUGAAUAACAUCCUUCAACUUAUUGUGCUAUAUCAUGGCUUUAGGAUUUACUCACUUUCUUAUCAACAUUUUUUGAAUACUAAAAAUCCAAAAAAAAAAAAAAAACAUCCUAGAUCAUUGGGUAUAAGAAUUAUACCCUGUAAUGGAGUGUGUAGUUAGUAUUUUACUUUUGGCUAACCCUUAACUUUGACUUAACAAAACUGGAGCACAAAACACCUGUUUAUUAUAGUCUUUGACUAGAGCAAGGGAAACAUCAGAAGUUUCAAAUCUAAUGAAGAGUUACAUGAAACUUAUCAAAAGUUUAAGAAUUAUUUUUCACAUAUACUUGCAACUUUGACUUAAUUUUUUUCCUCAUAUAUAAAUAUAUUAUUUUUCUCUCAAAUUGGAGUUUCUAUAUUAUCCCUAUUCAAUACAAAGAGAGCCCUCACAACCUCUAAAAUAUGGAUCUAACUAUACUAAUGCGUGUUGCAUGGAGCAUAAUAGUUAUUACUACGCUGAUAAUAAUGAAGAAGUAAAGUCAUUGAUAAAUGUAUGGCUCUAAUUAUACUUGGAAUUGGUGGGAUUAAUAUAUAAUUUUGUCUUAACCCGUGAUUACAAUUGCAAUGCCCUUUGGUGCGCCAUUAUGGUUUCAGAUGAAUCAUGCUGUGUCAAGUCAUUUUUUAGAUAAUUUUUUUUUGAUUUUUCCUCUUCCGGGGUUAAAUUUGCGACGUCAUUUCAUAGAGUCAUACACUCUGAAUGCUACAUAACAAAUCUUAAGUCGCAUGACGCUCAUGAUCUUAAUGUGAUAAAAAAAAUGAAGCAUACUAUUUUGAUUCUGGCAAAUUCAUUGAGACCGUCGAUCGAUAUAUGCUGCAUUAUCUUAAAAUUCGUCGCUGCAGCUAAUAAAUAGUCAAAUUAAUCACAAGAAGAUGCUUGUAGACACCCUAAAAUUGGAUUUUUUUUUUUUAAAUAUUGAAACAAAUUACUCUCUUAAUGAUAUUAGCAACUUGACAAAAUGGAUCAAAUGAUCUAAUUCCUAUAAGAUACUUACCGACAGCUUAUUUAACAAUAUGUACGAUAUUAACAAAGAAUGAUAAGUUUAAUCUGUUGGAUUAAAUUGAUCAGUAUUCUGCCCACGACGAAGGCCGGAUUAAUAGGCCAUGUAACGGUCGAAACCCGCGAGUGUUGUGGGUCUAUACAUUUUAAAUGUGACUAGUGUGUCUUUUCCUUUAGCUCGAGGCUUUUGAAAUUUUUGAUUAACGCUUAUGAUCCACACAAUGGUAUGAUUAGUUGGUUGAUCAAUUUUGAAGGCUACCACAAGCCAAAAGCUAUAUAAUUAUUUAAGCAAAAUAAAGAAUAGUAGAGGUGGUAAAGUAUAGUCUUUUUUUUUUAAAAAAAAAAGAAACUAUUCCCAAUGAAAAUAAAUUAAUAUACCACCCCUUUAUGUGAUUCAAGCUCAUAUAUAUAGGGGCUAUUCCUUAAGAUCCGUGAGUUAGUAUAGGCUAGUAAUAGAGUCAUGUGUACAUAAACUCUUCUAAUCCCUUCAUAAGCACAUAUAAGUUUUCUUAUGUACUUGGUUUUGAACCAUCUCACACUCCAAUAUACCUUCCAAACUCUAUUCCCUUUUGUCCUAUUAAGGUGGAAUUUCAUAGGGAGCUUAGCAUGAGAGUGUGAAACAACAUAGCUUAGGACUAAUUAAUUCUUAUUUUAUAUGAGAAUAUAAUCUAUCAUCUAUAUAUGCAUAAUUUUAUGGCCUACAUUGCUAGGGUUUGCACUAUUUUAGCAAUGGCAAUAAAUAAAGCUUUUAUGUCAAACAAAAUAGUGGUGGUGUUCUUAAGGUGCCCUAGGGUCCUACUGAGUUCAGUUGGUUGGCCUUGUUGUCCUUUAAAUAAAAAAGAAAAAAAAAAGCCAAUAGUGAAUAUAUGUUAUUAAAAUGUUGUUAUUUUACACCAUUAAUUUAAUAUGAUAUUAGAAUAAGAGAAACUGAGCGGGAAUCUCGUUUCCUUCUAUUUUAUUAAAGUCCAUUUUGUAAGUCUGUGCAUGUAAGGAGGAAUGUUGAAUAUAUAUCAUUAAACGUUAUUCUCUAAUAACUGUUGUUUUAUAUUAUUUAAACGCCAAUCUCUCUAAAUAUUUGUUAAUUAAAGUUUACUAUCUGAAUUUAUUAAAAUUUAAAAUAAAUUGCUUGUAUUUUAGUUGAAAUAAAUCAACCAUCAAAUGCUGAAAUUUUGCUAUUUUUUUAUUUACAGAAUUCAAAAACAUGGAAUUCAAAUGAUUCAAAUGUUUCUCUUCUUUUGAAUGAUUCAAUAAUUUCGAAAAUACCUAAAUUAUUUUGUUUUCAUAUAAUAACAAAUUAUUAAGAAGUAACAGAACUAGGAGCUGGGCGAUCGAUUAAAACAUUCACUAUAGGUUGCGUUUGGUUCGCAUUAUGAAAGAUUACUAUGAAUGAAAAGAUGUCCGAGAAUCUUAUUCCUAUUCAUUCUAUUACUAAGAAUGUGAAAUUUCUGUGUUUGGUUCGCACGGUCAUAUUAAUUAUUUAGUCAUGUUAUUUAAGAUUACAAAAAAUGUACAAUUAAUUUAAUUAUCCUAUUACUAAGAAUGUGGAAUUCCUGUGUUUGGUUCGCAGGGUCAUAUUAUUUAGCCAUGUUAUUUAAGAUUACAAAAAAUAUACAAUUUAUUUAUUUAUUUUUUAAAUUAAUUUUAGAUAAUCUAUCAAAAAUUUCAACAUUUUUUUAGAAAAAAGAGAGAGAGAGUAUAGGUUAGAAAGAGAGAGCAUAAUUAAAAAAAUAGUAAGAAAAAUAAAGUCGAAAUUAGAGGAAGUGAGAGAGUUGAGAUUUAGAAAAAGAGGGAGAGAGAAAGCUUAGUUUAGAGAGAGAAAAAGAGUUAAAUUUUAGAGAGAAAGAUAAGUUUAGAGAGAGAUAUGAGGUUAUAGUGUAAAGAAAAAUAAUAUCAAUUAGCCGACGAGUAGGGAGAAAGAAAGAGAUUAGACAUAUUAUGAUUACCCCAAUCCAUAUUAUAGGAUACCCACUCUUCCUCAAGAGAAUGAGAUUAGUACUUUAUGAUGAAUCUUAUUCCCAAGUAAAUCCAAUAUUACCAACUAGAUUACUUAGUGCGUUUAGCCAAACACCGUCAUAUUUUUUUAUUUCUAUUAGAUUACUAGGAAUUUUUAAAAGAUAACGUGAACCAAACGCACCCAUAAAGUUUGUACAAAUAUUAUUUUUUUCUCCCCACCCUAUCUAUUAUUUGUUGAACAGCUGGAACUAGCUCAAAAGUUCCGGUCAAUAAAAAUAUAAGAUUAACUCUGAUACCAAAUUAUCAAAUCCAAAACCAACAAAAAAAAACUUUUAAAGUAAUAAAUAAAGAUACUAUCCCCAAAACACAUUUUACAUAUCAAAGUUUUAAUUUCUAUUAGAUAUGAAACUAUUAUUCUUAAUAUUAUGGAUCCAAUGAUUGCGAGAUUAAUUGGACAUAUUUUUCGCCUUAACGUACCUAACGUUUCACGGAGGGAGACUCGGCCCGUGAAUACCGUUGUUGCAGUGUCCAAAACCAUAGCAACUUUAAUUUCGCAGUGUCCACAUUAAACUAUAGGGAUUUUUUUUUUUUUCUUUUUUUGCAUGUAGCGCACAUAAUUAUCGAUAUAUAGGGGUUGACCCACUUGUAAUUAAAUUUGAUGUUCCUAGUCCAAAAAAGUGUUCACAUGUGCUCAUCAUGUUGGUAACAGUAGAGCAAAUUUAUUUGAUUCUGAUUUGAUUCGUACUAGUGAUCAAAAAAAAAAGGCCACCAUGGGUUAAAAUAUAUAGUACUAUGUUACUACGUACACUGUAAAAUUUGAUGGUACUAUUUUUCUUAAUAAAGGUACUAUUUGGAUUUAAAUCUAUUUUUUAUUGUACCUUACGUGGAGUAAAUUAAGGAGAUUAUUUAUGUGCAAAAUACCAAGGUUGAUCUUUGUCAGUGUCAACGAUCGAUUAACCCCUUUUUUAAUAAGGAAUAAACACACUUUAGCCCUACAUUUUAGGCAUAAUUAUAAUUAAUUAAUCUGUGUGUUGUAGUGUAUUAAUUUUUGCGUCUGCGCAGAAUCAAACUGCAUGGGGAUCUUUUGUUCUGCGUUGAAUAACUUUGCCCUCUUAGCUAAGAUUAAAACAGGUAGGGAUGAUGAUGAAGAAGAUUAUAUGAAUUAUUCAACCAAUUAUAUAUUACAUCUAUAAAAAAUGUAAAAUGUCCUUCGAUUUACAUGUCACCAAAAGAAACAACAAGAAAACACAUUCCUCAUGAAUAGAGUGUGAUUAAUUAGUAUUCCACAGGAUUGAUGAACUAAAACUGUGGAUAUUCAUUUUCUUGUUAUGAAGUUCAAUUUUGGUUUAUGAUCAAUAUCUUCGUUUUAAGGUUUCAUCUAAAUUCCUUUCUUUUGUGUCGAAGUUGCACUCAACUAAUUCUCAAAAUCUAUAAAUCAUUUGUUGUAGUGACCAGCAAAAAUGUAUUUCAGAGAGGCCCAACAUCACAAGUUUUUCUUUAAAAAACACCAAUUGAAAUAAUACGGUAGUUCUUUAAUUUAAAAUAAAAAUGGAUAAACUUAUCUGAGACCAUUUUGAAUUUACUAUCUAACCUUUCAAAGAUGUAAUUUUAUUAUUUAACUUUUCAAUUUGUUGAAUUUGACCUUGUUAACAAUGUUUUGACUUCAAAUUUUAAGCUGAUUUAUUACGUUAAUAAAUUUAUAGUUAUAAAAAUUAUAUAAAAUAUACUAAUUAAAUCUAUAGAGAUAAUCAAAGGAUUCAAAAUUUUGAAGUUGAAGUGCUAGCUGUUGACUUACUCAAAUCAACCAAAUUAAAAGAGCAGAUAGUAAAAUCAAAAUUCUAAAAAGAUUAGUUAGUUAAUUCAAAAUGGUUCAUAGUUAAAAUAGGUUCUAUGCAUAUUACCUUCUUUUAAUAGCAUUUUUUUAGACUAUACUUUACAUUACAAAAUAUCAUGAAUAAGCCUUAAUUUCUGCGGUACAAAUUAAACAUAUAUAUACUCUUACUUCGAAAAUUUUCUUAAAUACUUUAUAACUUAUUCCAUUUAUUCGAACUUGAAAAAUAUAACACUUAUUAAAUAACCAAAUUCCCCCCAACCCAAACCAUCAUCCAUAUGGCAAACCAUGCAUGCAUGCAACUCCCACAACACAAACAAACACUCAAAAAAAAAAAACAAAAACAACAACAACAACAACAUCCAAAUAACAAAAUCACUGCAAACACAUGACGUGCAUGCAUGCAUGCAUACAUAAAACGUGAGGUUAGUUUCUACUGCCCAGCAGCAAAAGCCUCGACUGGGAAGGUCUUGGUGACGCCGGCGAGGCUCUUGAAAUGCAUCUUCCCGGUCGGGGGGUCGUCGACGGCGAUCUCGUUCACCGGCGGCCACAGCAUCAGCUCUUUCGCCUUCACCCCCUUCAGCUUCUUGAUGCGCCGCUUCUCCACGUAGCCGCUGAUCUCCGUGUCGUAGCUCACCAGCUUGCUCACCAUCUUGAAGCUGUGCUGGAUCUGUCGAAUACGUGUAUAUAAAUAUUUAAAAUACUGUUCUCUAUGUAAAUUAAAAAAAAAAAAAAAAAAACUUCACAUAUAUGUAGUUUCAGGUUAAGAGGUUGGGAGUUCCAAUCUUAUUAGGCCUGAGCCCAAACGAGUAGCAUAUUUUAAAAUAGACAUGUGAAAUUUAUAAUUUCUAAUUUUACUAUCUAAUCAACCUUUCAAUGUUUUUAAAUUUUUUAAAUAGAUAUUGAAAUUUUAGAUGUUUUGAUUUUAUUAUAUGACAUUUACAGUAGUAUAACAUCUUAGUGAAAUAUUUUGUAGUCUCUACCAAAUUAAGUAUUCUAAAAUUAAAACUUAUAAAGUUCAAGCAUCUAUUUCAAAAGCACCAUGAGACUAUCAGGUUUUUAUAAAUUUUUACUCAAGUUUCAAGCAUAUAUAGUUUUCUGACGGCUUAAGUUUUUAGAGUAAUCAGUAAGUUUCAUGCAACCUUAUUCUUCUGCGUGAUCCACAUGUAUCCGGUAGCUUUCACAAAGCCGACCUCGGAGACGUCGGCGAGGGGGAGGAGGCCGAGCGGGAGCCCGAACUCCUCGAGGAGGGAGACCGCGAGCUUCAUGCCGGCGUCGUGGCCUGUCUUGACGACGGCUCCUUCUUUCUCGGCCAUGGUUUCGGUGUGAGAGAAGAGGGGAAUGGGGCGAGGGCAUAUAUAUAUACGAAAAGCGUAGGUACAAGACGUCGAAUGAAUCUCGACGGUAGGGUACAUGGUGUGUGGAAAGAGAGGUUGAGCUCUUGGGUUUCCUCGCCGCUUUUUGUAUUCAUAGUUUUGUAGUGCGUUGUGUUUUAGAUGUUAUGUUUGUUUCAUGCAUUUUUGGUGAUCUCUCGCGACUUUUUCGAAGUUACAUCCUCCACAUGUAUGGUCACUAACAACCUUAUAUAUAUAUAUUAAUAAUCUUAUAACAAAUUAGUGUCACACACCCUGUUUAUACAAAGCAUAAAUUUAAUGCCAGAUGUCCAAAAAUCUCUAAAUAGUUUAAAUUAGACAUAUCUGAAAAAAGAAAAAAAAAAAACUAUUCUAUUUUAAACUAACUAGUAUAAACAAUUAAUGGAUAAAAUUUUUAUAUAAUAGACGAAGAUAUAUAACACUUAUAUUUUUAACAGUGGACGUAAAUGAAAUGUUAACUAUUAGAGGAAUGCUUCGAUACACCAUAAGUAUUAAAAUUUAAUUCUUUAAUUAGUAAAGGGUAUAGUUGGGAUUUACACGAAGUAACCUGUUGAACAGGUUACCGAUUUAAAUUAAUUAACAUGACAAUAUUGAAAAAAAAAAAUAGUAUAUACCAAAUUUGUCAGUAUUCUUUAAAUAUUAAAUAUCUUAUUUAUUUUGAUAACUUACCAAAUUAGAUGAUACCCAAUUUAUUAAGUAUCCAUCUCAAAAAAAUAUUGAAUUUAAAUUUAAUUUUUGAAAUUAGUUUUGUAAUGUAAAAUUUUAAUUUUGAAAUUUAUAUUAAAAUUUUAAAUUUGAAUCUAAAUUGAACGUUUAAUCUUAAAGCCAAAUUUUAAUUUUUGAUUUAAAUUGAAAUUUUGAAUUGGAACAAAAAGUUUUAUUUUAAAUUUAUGUUUUAUAUUCAAAAAAAUUAAAUUUGAUUUAUAAAGUUUUAAAUGUUGUUUUGAAUUUAAAUUUACAGUUUGGUUGUAAUUUAAAAUUCAACUAUUGUUGUAGGUAUUUAAGAGGGUCAUAAUAUUCUUAGUUAGAUAAAACCAGUUUUGUGGACCAAACUAUUUUACAAAGACUAAAAUAUCCUUUAAAUGGGUAUCUGGUGAAUGGUACCUAUGCUUCAAUAGCACGUCACCUCUAGAAUCAUAUUAAAUCUAAACCAUCUAUUAAGAAAAAUAAAUGGUCAAGAUUUAUAUGGAGUAUUGAAGUAUUCCUCUAUUAAGACUCCAUGGGCCCAGCCCAGGCCUCCUCUUAUAUGGGCUAGCUACCACUUAAAAAAGAGAUGAGAUUGAUAACUUGAUGCUUGCACCCGGUGCACAGCAUCUUUUUGUGUUUCAUACUGAUCAUUCAUCAUAUCUCAUACUUUAAUUGCAAUAAUGUAAAUUAUGUCGAUUCUUAGGGAGCUGGAUAUUCACGUAACAAGUUUUGAUGCUCGCAGAAUAAUUUUUUCAAUUAUGUCGUUUGAGAAAUAACUGGUGUUGUCCGACGUUCUUUUUUUUAAACCGAGAGAAGUUUAUCAUUGAGUGGAGGAUGAGGGGAAUUGAAGCGAGAUCCGCGGAUAAAUUAUUGGCAAGGGUAGUGCACUGAGUGACUACAUGCACUUGGUGCAAGCAAAAAGGGCCAAACAAAGGAGCUGCACUAAAAGACUUUUAUUAUGCGGAUAAUCUAUUUAAUCUAUUUAUUUAACUACAUUAAAGGAGGGUUUGGGGGGACCUUAGAGUGACACGUGUCCCCCCAACCCUCCUCUUCUCUCUCCUUCUACACACACACACACACACACACACACACACACACACAUAUAUAUAUAUAAUACAAAAUUUAAAAUUUUGAUUUUUUAAAGUUUUAAAUUUUAAAUUUAAUAUUUUAUAUUUUAAAUUAUAAUAUUUAUUUCCAAAUUUUAAACUUUUCAAAAUUUAAAAUUUUGAUUUUUUAAAGUUUUAAAUUUUAAAUUUAAUAUUUUAUAUUUUAAAUUAUAAUAUUUAUUUCCAAAUUUUAAACUUUUCAAAAUUUAAAAUUUUAAAUUAUUUUUAUAUAACUUUUUAUUUAAUUAAUAAUUAGACUUAUAAAACUAUAUAAAAAUAUUAAAAAAUAUAUAAUUUAUUAUAAAAAUAAUUUUAUAUAUCCGCAGCAUCGCGCGGGUAAUUCACUAGUCUCUACAUAAAAAGACGACCAUUAUGUAAAAUAAAAAUUGAGGCUCCCCAUAUAUAUUUUUUUCUUUUUCUUUUUUUUUUGUCUAUAAAUUAUGGACACAAACGUUUACAUCAAAGUCAUCUUUUUGCUUUUUUGAAUUGGAAAAAAUAAAAGUCAACCUUUGAGCAAAUGCAAUCCAAAUAAAACUCUUUUUUCCUAUGAUUAAAACUCUUUUUUCCUACGAUUAAAGAAUUUCUCACGCAUGUUUCUUGCUUUUAAAUUUUGAUGUUGUCGGCAAAAUUAAAGUAAUGCUCUCUCUCUAUAUCUAUAAUAUAAGUGUAAAUCUUGCAUAUGAGUUUCGAGAAUUUUUUUAAAAAAAUUUAAACUCAUCUUUUUUAACUUUCCGCUUAUAUGAUGGUUCCAAACAAAAACCUAGUAUUUUUAUAAUUUCUUUUUCAGAUUUUAUAGAAAACUAGUAUUUUCGUUUUUCAAUUUAUUCCCCGCAAAAACUAGUUUUUCAGAAAAUAUAAAAAAAUUUAAAAAAUAGUUUGUUUUAGAACCAAACGGACAGAGAUUGAAUUCAAAAAUGAGGUUUUCCAAACAAAAAUUUCUCAAAAUUUUUUUUUUCAUAUUUUUCUGAGAAACCCAACAGCCUCUAAGGGGUGUUUGCUUUUCCAGAAAAUAUUUCUCUGACUAAAAAACUAUUUUUCAUCCGUUUAAUUCCUAGAAAAAAAAAGCAGUUUUUCUGAUUUUGUUUUUCAAAUUUUAUUAGAAAUUAGUACCUUCAUUUUUUUUUUCAAAUUUUUUAUCCAAAAAAUGAAAAGUAUAAAAAAAAAAAAUUCCACAUAACACUGUUUUCUAAAAGGCGCACUAUUUUUGUCAUUUUUUAAAGAACGAAACAGCCUCUAAAAAUGACAGGACGUAAGAUAUACAUCCUAUAAUAGUGUGCUGUACAUGCACCACUUUUCAUGUCUUUAUAAAUAAGAUAAGUAAUCAUGCACCAUUAAUUUAUUGACCAAUACAAUAUAAAUAGCGCAUGAGAACAACUUACGGGUCCAACCAAAACAACAGUAAUUAGUAACGUAUACACACACAUUGUUAAUUAUCUCGGUCAAGUAGGAAGCCUACAAGUCACUCCUUUUAGGUUGAACAACGUCUUAACUUCGAGUUGUUAAUUUCCAUGCCCUCUACUGGUGUGACUCUUCAAUGUUAAUGGUGUUGAAGAUGAAGAAGAUCCAUAGAUUUAUGUGGCCGUAAUUAGUUGACUAAUUCAUGACUCAUCAACUUAAAUUACCAUAACAAUUACUUCACUAGCUUUCGAGUCCCCACCUCAAAAGAUGCUACGCGUCAUGGACUUAAAAAUUUUGCUCAUAAAGUCCGUACAGUAUCCAUCUUUCGCUGCGAAAAUAAGCAAUGCUUGCUCUCUAUUUGCUGGUCGGCUGGAGCUCUACGUCUUAGGACUAAGUGCACAAAGGAGAAAAGAGAGGGACAGAGUUUCUGUGAAAAAAAACUAAGUACUCUAUUAUUUAGAAAAAUAAAAUUUUAAGUGUAUCUCUUUAUAUUUUGGCCUCAGCAAACCCUUUUACUUAUAGAUAGGCACAUAGUCAUUGAAUUCACCUAACUAGCCUAUAUUAACACACCCAAUAAAACCUAGAAAAACUGUAAAUGGGAAUCCAAAAGUUGCCUAUGACCUAGCAAUUUUGAAGGCUUUAAUGCUACAGUUAUAUGACCCUUUAUCUCCCAUAGAAGGUGUUGGAAUUGCGCAUCUUCGACCGUCAGUUUCAAUUAACAAAGCUGGGCCAGAGACUCGAGCUGGGCUGAAAUUUUUUUACGUCCCUGCGAUACAUGCAUAUUUGGUUUCAACUUCUGGUUUUUAGCUUUGAAUUAUAGUCACUUUAAAUUGAGGCAGCAUUUGGCCAACUUAAUUGGAGCUUCUACUUUAAUAAUAAGUCGAAAAUAAAAUUAUGGGACCAAGAAAUAAAAAUUAUUGACACAAAGAACUUGUGUACAAAGCUUCUCAUAGCAACACUACUCGAACAAUAAUUUAGAAAAAAAUUAAAAAAUUAUAUCCUACGAAAAAGCCAGAAACAUUUGUGUAUAGUGUAUACUCAACGUAUAUACUAUUCUCGAUGUGCUAAAUUUAAAUUCUGCUUAAUAUCGAUCAAAUCUCUAACGGUGGCAAUAUUAUUGACACAGCAGUUCUAUUAACAAUUAAUUAAUUGCUAAUACAACUAAUCCCGUAACCUAAAAUACAAAAAAAAAAAGAAAAAAAGAAUCAAAUUUGCUUAAUUACACCAACAAAUUAAGAAUGCAAUAAAAACACGAAAAUUAAACAAACUAAAAAAAACAUCUUACCAAGUAGUAGUAAUGUUUAGCUCUUCAUCCUCCAAGAAGCUUGCUCAACUCCUCAAGCGUCGGCACCCCCAAGACGAUCUCCUCCCCCUUCGAUCCUCCGCUGUCCGAUGAUCGCCGCCGAUCGCGAUCGGUAUCCAGCUUCUCCUCGCGGGCUUCGGGUCUCCGUCCCGUCGACCCGGAUCCGACCGUCGUGGGCAGCGGGGCGGCGCCUUUACCCGUUAGUCUCUGCACAACAGAUUUGAAGCUGGUUGCGUCCGUUUCCACGUACUGCGUCUCAAUAAUUUUCACGGAUAUGGGCUUCGUUGGUUCCUCGCUUGUUGACAUGGCCACACACAAAUGAGAGAGUUAUAUCUAUCUCUUCGAUAAAAAUAAGAAUAAGUAUUUCGAUGAUAACACAUAUUUAUAGUAGUACUACUUAUAUGUUAAUUGGUAUGUAUUAAUUAAGAUGGUUUAAACAUAGACGAAAUUGAAUAGCAUCAGUAUGACGUAAUAAAUACUUAAUAAAUAAAUCUUUUAUAAGGAGCAAUUUAGACAUUCGAACCUAAAACAUCGAACUUUUUUGGCGAAAAAGAAAAAAGAAAAACUCUCUUUGCUAUACAAAAAUUAAAAAGAAAGUAGUUGAGGCCUAGAAAUAUAGAAAUUAAAUGAGUAUCUUAGAAUAAUAUGGUCAUUUUGAUAUAUAGGGAGGAGUUAACUCUAAUCUCUCAACUAAAAAAAAGCCAAACUAGUCAACUAUACACUAUACGAAAAUGUAUUUUAUAAUAUAUAUAAUUGUUUAGGGACUAAUUUUGGUAAUAAAUAUCUAAUGAUUAAGAAAAGUCAAAGGCUAAUGUAGGAAGAAAUUAAUGGAGUGUAAACGGUCGGCUUGAUGUUAGCUAAGAAAAUAAAAUGCGCGUCGGUGGAAACAUGUUCCAAUUAGAUUUGGAAACAAUUCACGUGGGAUUAAAGGUCACACAUUUAAAAUUCGAGCAUGCCAAUUAUUUUCGCAUUUUUUAAGAGAUCUAAUUGAAUAUUUUUUUUUUUAAAUAAGAUAACAUACUAUCGCUUUAUUCAUUAGGAGAAUGAAUUGGGCUACGAAUUAAGACAACUCGGCCUCGAUAGGAAGGGAAAAAAAAAAAACUUGACAAAGUAAAUUCCAAGUGUGUCUAAGCAAGCGUAUUUCCGUCACUAAGACACAUGUUGAGCAUUUAGUAUUUUAAAACAUUCUUCUAUUCCGCUCCAGCCAAAUUACCCACCACGUUGUGGCGAUCGUCGCUAACUCCCUUCGUGUUGGCGCUCCUCCUUUAUCUCUGCUGGUACCCCAAAGCAAACCGGUAGAAGCACAGUUUUGAAGCGCUGACUUAUCUCUUCUGGUUUUUUUUUUUUUUUGAGAGAGAGAGAGAGAACAUUCAUUUUUUUUUAAAAAAAUAAACUUUAACUAUAAAUAUAAAGUAAUUAAAUUUCAAACUUAAGAUAUGAUGAAUCAACUAUUAAAUCCUUUACCAGUCGAUCCAGAAACAAUCACUUAUUCUCAUUAAGGUUUAUAUAUAUAUAUUUUUAAUCUUUUGUGACUCUCGUGAGGAUCAUGGUAGGAUUCAAAAACUCAAAAAACUCUAGUGACUCGAAAGUAAGCUAAGUAGAGUUUUUUAGCGACUCAGGUUGCACCAAGUUUUAAGCUUAAAACUCGAUACGCACAACCCAAUCCAAGGCCCCUUUGUUAUUUAUUUAUGAACUUUUCUGAAUAGUAAAAAUACUCAAGUAUUACUACUUAAUACUUUUACUAACUAGGAAAAAAUUAUGCAGCAAUAAUUAUAUUUCAAACUCGGUCUGAGUUUCAGGUAAUUCAACUGCAUGACCCAAAUUUAACUAGAUUUAACUUGAGUCACUACAACAGAAUUAGAUUAUAAGAACAUAUGUUUGGAACAUUUUUGUGUAAGUGUCUCAUUUAUGUCAAAACUUAAAAAGAAAUUUACUAAUGCUUAAAUAUAAAGCCCAAUCUAAUAAAAAAUAGAAGGUUACACUACUCAACUCACCCCAACCAGCCCAUUCGGCCUGAUUACAAACAGAAAAAAAAAAAAAAAAAAUCGAUUAUCAUCUCUCCUUCUCCCCUCACUCAAUCCACUGAAAUCUUAGACGAAAAGCCCUUCCCUCUCGUCCUCCUCCGCUACCGCAGCUAACAAGGCAGAAUUCCGGCAGUUGCUAAAUGCUUAAAUAAAUAUUAGUAAAUUAGCAACACUCUUUUAGGUUAUAGCGACACUCUUUAACUGUCACUAUAUACCUAGCGACCCCAUAUAUAGCAACACUUUUUAAAAGCGUCGGUAAUUUAGCGAGCAAUAUUUUUUUUGAUCUUUACCGAUAUUUAAAAGUAUCGUUAUAGAUCAUUUUUGUUGCAGUGAGUUCACGACAAUUUAAUUUGUGUACGAGUCACGUAUUGAAAUCAUUUACUGUAGUAUCACAAACUACGUGCAGAACCAAACAAGUCCUCAUUCUGAUUAGAUUGAGUUAAAAAGUUGUUUGGGUCAAUGGACAACUUUGAAGUAGUUAACAAGUAGUUAACUUGAAUCGCAAUGAUAACGUCGACAGUUUCCGCUCGAUCGGUCAAUCUUGCACGGCUCAAUUCUCUUAAUCCACCAUAAAAAAAAUACUUUGAUCUCUAUCACCAUUCAACAAGCAAAUAUGUUGGUAUUCUUUAGAGAGAUCAUGCCAACUCGCUACUGUAUUCGUCAUCAGAUUCGAUAAACAUUUCUAUCAAUAAUAAAAUGAACCAACUUCAACAAAAUAAAAAAUAUCUCUAUAUAUCAUAUAUGGCUUACAAGGUGGCCAGUUUUUUCUUUGCUUUCUUUUAAUUUAUACCGAAAAAGUACGAAAUUUAACUUCUCAGAUAAGCUAGCAUGCAAGAAUAUUAAUCGAUUGCUCUAAAAACAGCGAACAUAAAAAUAUUUAAUUAUGGCUACGACUUUUGAAUUUUAUAUAUAUAUAUAUAUAUAUAUAUAUAUAUAUAUAUAUAUAUAGUUGAGCUAGAAUACUAUCGAUAGCAAACGGAUUUCGUUGCCACUUAUUUAUUUUUUAUAAUGGAGCCUCCAAAUCGACGAUCGACACCGUUGAACAUGAUCUAUAUCACUUGAAGUAUUUAGAAAUCAAAUUUCAUACAAUUUCAACAUUGUUCUUUUAUCCAUCGAGUGGACACAAAAAUAAACGGCUGAAAAUAAAUAUUCUUUAAAAAAUAAUGAUAGAAGUCUUAUAAUCAAGAUCAAGAGUAUAGAUCUUAUUUUAAAUAGUUUAAAGAAUUUUCUAACAAAAAAUUAAUUGAUUUGGAUAUCUUUACGGCGUUAAACGAGAAAACGCCUCAUAUCGACCAUUAAAAUUACAAAAUUUGAAACAUUUUGAUCAUUAGGCAAAUAAUGUCGAAAAGAUUUCAAAUUUGAUUUCUAAACACUUCAAGUGGUAUAGAUCAUGUUCAACGGUACUGAUCGUCAAUUUGGAGGCUCUAUCAUCGAAAACAAAUGGAUGGCAAUGGAGCCCGUUUGCUAUCGAUAGUAUUCUAGCUCAACUCUAUCUAUAUAUAUAUAUAUAUAUAUAUAUAUAAAACUGGGUCGUCACGCUAUGAAUCUUUGAUUUGAUCCUCGUUUCAACAAGAGAAAAAAAAAAAAAAAAAACAAAAGAGAAAAUGUAAAGCAUCUAAAUGCCGAGAUUUAAAUUCAUUAAAUUAUUAUAUACCUUGAACUGGACGUGGUAUAAAGUAGAGGUGGCGCCUCUUCUAAGUUCUAAUUCUUUUUUUAUACAUAUUAAUUUCUUAAUGAGUAGAUAAAUUAAUGAGCUAAUCAAUGGCAUUGCAAGACUAAGCUUGCCUACUUGACUCUUGACUCUUGACUAAGUUGGUAAUAAUUAAAUAAUUACUGGUGUUACAUGUAUCUCCAAAAGUAUUAUAAAAAGAGAAAUGCUUCAAUACACUGUCCAAUUUAAAUUUGACCAUUUAAAUUUUUUAUAUUAAGAUUGACUUUUACGAUGAUAACUUGCUCAACAGGUUACCAAUUAAUCGUAAAGAUAAUAUUUGAAAAUAUAUAUUAGCUAAUUACCGAAUUUAAAAUUUAACUUGAGUUUAAACUUUAUAUUUAUAAUUGUAUAAAUUAAAUUUAAAUUUUAGAAAGAGAAUUUUAUAUUUAAAUGGGUAAACAUUUCAAUUCAAAUUGUUAAUUCAAUAUUAAACUAACAUGAAAGUUCAAAGAUGUUAAUCUCUUUAAAAUUGUAAUCUAAGUUAUAGUGUAUUUAUAAACUUUUAUUAUUUAUUUAAAUAAAAUAUUUUUAUAUUUUAAAGUAAGUUGGAAUUGUUAAUUCAAUAUUGAAAAACAAUAUUAAAUUUCAAAAAUAUUGAUCAAAUUUAAAUUAUAAAUUUAGAUUUAAUUUAUAUUAUAGUUAAAAAAAUAAAUUUUAUUAACUACAUAAACAUAAAAUUUUGAUGUUUGAAAAUUAAUUUUAAAUUAUAAAUUACUAAAUUUAUGACUCAAUGUUAUCACAAAUUAUUAUUAAAACCGGUAUUCAAAAUGGGUAAUCCAAUUAAAAACUCAUUCUCUCCUGGAUUCAAGGAUGGCAUGCAAAACUUUCCAAUAUUAGCUAUUUAACUUUUCAAUAUUACCUCUUUUAUUUUUUGAAAAAAUUUCUAGAUUCACAUACCUGGUGACCGGCACUGCUUGUGCAAUAGUGGAUCAUCUUUUUAUAUGCAUAAAUCUUAAUCCUUUAUUGAUUAAAGAUAAGCGGCUAAUAUUAGAACAGAUUAUUGAAGUAUUGCUCUUGUAAAAAUACAGCUAAUAAGUCAGCAUUACUUAUGCAAACAGAUGUUGGUAAUUUGUAUAGUUUUUUAGAUUGCUCAUCCAAAUAUGACUCGGCAUCUAAGAUUUACGAGUCCAAUCGAUUACUUGUUACUAAUUACAUUUAUAAUACCCACUUAUUAAUAAUAAUUUUGAAAACUACUAAGUGAAUAUGACAUUGCUNCCCCCCCCCCAAAAAAAUACAGGAGAAGAUCAAAUGAAAAAAUAUUUUUUUGAGAGAUAGGUAGCACGCUACCCGUUUCGUUUAUUUCGCUUAGAAAUAAACUUAGCUGAAAAUGUGAAUCAACUAGGAUUCGAACCUGGGACCUCAGAUACCAACCACCAAACCUUUUGCCACUUGUUCUAGAGACGGUCGGUGAUCAAAUGAAAAUGUGAUCUUCUUCUUGGUGGUUUUUAGCUAAAGCAUAUAUGAUUCCACAAAACUAUUUCCUUUAACAGCGGUUUCCCCUCUCUCCAGUAUCUACUGGUCUCUAAUUUCCAAAGAGUUGUUACAUUACAAAUAUUAUUUUAGUACAAACUAACGUAGCACUAGUUUUAAUUUCCCCUUAUUCGGCGCAACAAAUUCAGAGACAUAUACUUUUUCGCACUGAAAUGGUAAAAUUGGAGACCCUCUGAAACACAUCUGAAUAAUUCCACCAUUCUAGAAGAAGAUUUAAAGAUUUUUUGGCCAUUUUAUAGGAAAAAAGAAACUUAAUAGAGGAUUUUUUUUUUUUCCCUCCUAUAUAAAUUUGGACGCGUGAUGAUUUUUUAUGUACAUCCAAUGAAAAUAAUCACAGGAGAUUCUACAAGCAGGGGAAAAAUUAAAAGCCAAAUAUAUCCUUCCUUUCAUAGUAGAUACAUACGAUAUAAGACGAAACAAAUCCACGGAUUUGUGACAACACAAUACGGAGAAUGCGUCAGUGAAAAGUACUUUAUUUUUAUAAAAUUUAUCACCUUGUUUAUGUGGUAUUGUUUGGUCGUAAUGUUAUUUUCCUUUUUGGUUACGCGUAAUUUUCAUGAUCUCAUCCAAAAAUAUAAAAGUGUAUUUUUAUUAUUUUUUUUGUUUAGAUUCUUUUAUCCCAAUAACAUUAGGUAAUCCUUAGCACCAAACUAGGCGUAAAUUACACUAUUAUCUUUUUGCAGCAUUUCGUUGGUAAACCCUAACCACGAAAAAGAAAAACAAAAUACAAGAGAGACCACGGAAUGGCGAAGAGUAAUGGAGAACGGGUAAUCCCAUGAGAAAGGUAAAACUAAGGGCCAGUUUGGGGAUUGAGACACAUCUAAUACUAUAAGCCAAAUAAAGUUAAGGCGCAGAUAUAUAUAUGAAUCUACUUUUCCCUUUAUUUGGUAGAAUCGCAAAAAAUAUAUCAUAACCGGUUAAACGCAAUAGAUGAAAUCCGAUAUUACGUACAGAAACUAAUGUACUUUCUAAAUGCAUAUAAUACAGUCUCUCCAUAGUUCCAAACAAAGCCUAAAAUAUAAUUAAUAAGUCAGGUUUGUUUACUUAAUUUAUAGUUUAAUUGUACUUCCGAUCAUCAAACUAUAAGAUGUAGGACACUUUGGUUCUCAAACUUUAUUAUUGUAAUUUCUAGCUCAAAUUUUAAAAAUUAUUACAAUCAAAUCCGGCAAUUCAAUCUAGUUGACCAAAUGUUGACGUAUAGAUGAUGUAUACGUGGCAUGACAUUCUAAUUAUUGCCGUAUCAUCAGUCCCCAAUACUGUUAUCUUACUUUUAUAUUAAUGACACAUCAAUAUUUAAUUAACUAAAACAAAUUGUGAAACUUAACAGUCAUAAUCAAAAAGUUCAAUAAAAAAUUACAACUGAUUAAAAUUUCAGGAUCAAAAUGUUGGGCCUCUUAUAGUUUGAGGACCAUAAAUGUAAUUUAGCCAAAUUUUAUUGUACAUAUGGCUUGGCAAAAGUUGAUUACCAACACAUGCAUUAUGUCAGCAAACUAAAAUGUUAAACAAAAAGAUGGCACAGUUUCUCACGUUUUUGGUUGAAAACACACACACACACACCCCCCUCCUAUGGUCAAACUGAGAUACGCUCAAGGAUAAAAAAAUAAAUUAUAUGUUUAUCGUACUUUUUGACGGUGACUUAUUCCACUAGUUUAAACGGCUAGUACAUUCAUAAUAUAUAUCAAUAUAUCAUUACUCCAUAUAAAAUGGAAAGGAGAAAUGUGUCACGCUAGUUUUUUUCUCAGAACAAAAUUAAUUCUCAAAUUAUGUUUGAAUCAUUUUUUUUUGAUUCCCCACAACCCAGACUUCAGAUUAAACAUUGGUUUUGAUUAAACUAAAGUUGAGAUAAAAUUAAUUCCAUAACUAGACUUGGUAUUAAACAUAAAUUUAACUAAACUAAAAUUUAGAUAAAAAUUAACUUCCAAACUGCUAUUUGCUUCCCCGAAAUCGUGUCGCAACCGAACUUGAUUUACGGCGAAUCAAACAACAAAAGUGAGAAUUUAGUCCCGAACGUGACUUCACCCCCUCGGCUGUCGGUGGAACAAUGAUGCCGUUUGCAUAACCAAUUGAAUCCUCACUUUGUUCUCGAACUUUGUAAAAUUUUUGCAAGCAAACACCUAAUCUCUGUUAUCAAGUUUAUUUAUAGAAUGAAAGAAAGAAAAGAUUACAAUGAAUCGAAACAAGAACCAAGUUGUGGAUAUUACUGGAUAGAGACCAAAACGAAAAAUCACGCUGGUGAUAGUGCAACUUAUAAACAUUCACAAGGUUCCUACACAAAAAUGGUGAAUAACACGAGAUUAGUACUUACCCCUUGCGAAGCAGGCUAGGCCAUGCGCCGUGCUCAAAUUACUUCAAUCCCCACCAUCCAACUUAUUUUUAACUAUUAUAUAUAUAUAUAUAUAUAUAUAUAUAUAUAUAUAAAAAGAGGCUUCUUUUAUUGGAUGCUCGUACUUCAAUCCCCACCAUCCAACUUAUUUUUAACCAUUACAUCGACAAAAUGCAGCCUUCUCAUCGAAUGGCAGAGACGACAGCUCUGAAGACACAGUGGUGCACGAGAUGACNCCCACCAUCCAACUUAUUUUUAACCAUUACAUCGACAAAAUGCAGCCUUCUCAUCGAAUGGCAGAGACGACAGCUCUGAAGACACAGUGGUGCACUAAAUGUACCAAUAAUCAGCCAUUGGAUAGUAUAUAUUAAUAUGACAAAGGCAAAAAUAGAGCCAAAAAAACUAAGAUAAUGGGAAAGUAUCUAUUAAUAUAGCCAGGGCAAAAGAGAGUAAAAUAGGGGGGAAAAAAAAAAGAAGAAAAAAAAAGAAGGGAACAAUACCGAAGCAGCAGGAACUGAUUACUUAAUUAAACAUGGAACGACGAAAUAUGAAGCUAUAUGGAGCUAGCCUUCCCCAACCCCCAAACGCUGCAUUGAGGAAUACCAACACUAGAAGCCGGCAUACUGCAAAUCAAAACAAAGCUACCGUCAGCUUAAACCUGUCCGAAAAGAAGAAAAAGAAAUUGCUCGAGCAAAAUAAAAUGCCGCCGAAUGGCUUUCAAAAGCAUGAUUUUGGGCAGCUGAUAUUAGAACAAAAGAUCUAGGAUAAAGAGAUCUUAGGGUAACAACGGUAACAGCACAUGGUUUUUAACAUUUGAAUCAACAUAUGUUAAUGCAAAGUGUUGGAAGCUUGAAAUUUGAGAGAAAUGGAUAAAACUUGAUUACUGCAAGCAAACUAAAACAGACAAAGUUAUGCCUUUUUAAGUUUACUCUAAAGAUCACCAAAGUCACUUUACACAGUCCACGAGUAAGAUAUCAUUUUAUGUUUCGGCUUUUGCAGGAUUCAUGGAAUUUGGCUAUUUUACGUUUGAGCUUCUGCUUUUGAUAGUCUCUCCAAAAACUCUAAUUAGCCAACAUUACGUGGGUAAAUCUCCAGAAAUUCAAUAAGGAAUUUGUUUAGACUUUAGAUUGUCUUUGUAUAAAAUAUCAUUGAUUUCCAAAUUUAUGUGUAUUAAGAUAUAUCAAGAUAACAAGUAAUGAAAAGAGUUAGCACCAAUACAACUUAGAUAUAUGCCCACCAGAAUGCCAUAUGCAUGUUAUAUAUAACAAAGAGUAACUAUAAGAUAUAACAUAUAGACUAUAAACAAGCUUGGAACAGUAACUGUUUAUGUAUGCUUUUACUUUCGACACUUUCAAGAUCAAAAUCAUGUGAAAAAUUAGACAUCCUGGCUGCACACUUUGUGUGUUGUUUGUUGAAUAGAAAACUCUUGAAUUCUCAGCCCUCCAAAACUUUUAAGGAAAACUUAUACUUUGAACGAUUUUUCGACAAAACUGGCAAAAAAAAAAAGAAACAACAGCAGUUGCUAAGAUAACGAAACCUUAAGCAGUAUUGGAUUGUGUGGUCCUGAAAUUUCAAAAUUGCUGAAGAAUAAAAUUCCCAGCAAAUCUACGACAUUGGAACUAAAACCAGGAUUACCGUCCCAGUUGAUUGGUGUCAAAUACAAGUCCUUCUAAAGACCAAUUUCCUUUCAAAGAUAAGCCAGAACUUGCAGACUCUAAUUCUGCAACAAGAUGCUAAGAGCACCUGUCAAAACCGGUUAAACAUCACUUUUAGCCUAGGCAAUGGAAAGGUUCACUGCCCCUCCACAUGUUAUGUGGCUCGUCUCCUGAACAUAUCGCUAUCUUCCUAGUCUCUUCAACACAUCACCAUCUUCCUACUAAAGACCUGUCCCUCCAGGAAAAUAUACAACUGUCCCAGGGGGGAAAAAACAAAGAUAAUCAUUCUCUGCCAUAUUAUUAAACAUCUACACAAAUUCACCCUACUUGACUACCCAUAAUUCCAGAAAUACAAGUCAACAAAUUCAAGAUGAAUCAAACUAUCUGUUAAAAUCCAUAUUCUUAGACGACUCGCACUCAUUGGCGUAAUAUAUAUCACAUGCAGGAUCAAACAAAAAAAAAACAUCUGUCCACCAAUUCACCUCACAAUCCAAGCCAACCCAAAGAUUCUGUAUGAAAAGCUCUAUCAAAUUAAAAUUCCAAGAAAAGUCAUCAUAUUGGCAAAUUCCUCAGCCCUCCCAUUGCCAAGCCUGACCUCCAUCAACAUGAAUUACAUUAAUAUACUGCACAACACCCAUGCAUUGAAAAAGAAGUAAAAGAGCAUGUAAAGAGAAGGAAAAAAAAAAUGCCAUGAAAAGGAGGCCAUAAAAGUCAAUGCAAUAAAACAUUGUACGCUCUACACUUUAAACAAAAGGAAAUGGCAAGAGAUAACAAGCUUUGAAAGUCCAAGGGGAACAAUAAUUUGAUAGUAUAACAAGCAAUAUGUUCAAGACGGGAAAAAGAUCAAAUAACAAAGGAAAAACAUCAAGCCCCAUAACCGACCAUCUAUACUACAAAUUGACUAGGAUGCAUAUGAAAUAGAGUUUCGUCAACUGCUUCUUUGGUUUCCGAAUGUAAAAAAGAAGUACAGCCUUAGAGCCACCAGCAUCAUAAAAGAGAGGAGAAUUCAAUCACAAAAUCAAUCUGAAAAUGCUAGGAAAUUAAAGGCAAAACAGAAACAGGAACAAGUGAAGAUCAUGUAUUCCUUAAAUAACUAAACAUUAGCAAUGAUAUUUGCUGAUCGAACUAAACAUGAAAUAUAUAAGAAAAACAUAAAUGACAGGAAAGCUAGCCUUGACGGAAAUCAGUAACCUACCGAAGCCCCAGGGUCACCAUUAAUUACACCUUCUUUCUUUCCUGAUUGAUCGGCAGGGCGUGAACCCUUGCUGUCCCCCUUCAAGUUUGGACAAUAGAGAAUAAAAAGGUUAAAAUUUGCAGGGACUACCUCACCUAUAGACCAUUUUGUGAUACACCUCUCAACAUUUUUUUUUUCCGAUUGAUACACCCACGAUUUCUCCUUUUUUUAACUUUAAUUAAUUUUAAUAGUGAGUCUGGUAGAUUUCACUGUCCUGACAUUUUUUCAGUGGAUGGAAUCAAUUUUAACAAAACCACAAUUCAAUUUAGAAAGAAAACUUAAAACAAAGCAAUUAAAAGUUGAGAGAGAACCAUUUAUGGCAUAUAGUUGAGAGGUCACCAUACAUUUUUAGCAAAUGAUAAAAAGCCAACUCAUUCAAAUGUACUGGAUACUUCAAUUAAAAGGGUCGGUGUACAAAUUUUAUGACCAAAAUAAGUACCUCCAUCUGUAGCACCAGCAUCAUCAGUUUCAUAAUGCGUUCAGAUGCAGGGGAGCAAUUAACCACCGAAAAAAAAAAAGUAAGUUUUUUGAGAAAGGAAAGUAUUAAAUUCAAAAGAUAAGCAAUGAUUUGAUUGAUAUGAAAAUCUGAUAAAUAAAAGGCAAUUACUUCUCUAUAGAGCUGCAAAUAGAGCUUGAGGGGUUCGACGUAAUCCUCAAACCCUAGCGUCCCCAUCGCCCAGAGCAGGUCGUCGCCAUUGAUCGUCUUCCUCUUCUCCCUUUGGCACUUGUCGCUGGCCCUGCUCCAAAACCCUAGAAAUCACAACCAAAACAGCGGAAACGAAACCGACGGAGCGAGAAGAGGAGAGGAAGAGGAUGGGGUUAGGGCACCGAACUCGCUGGUGACGAAGCUGAUGAACUCGGAGACGCACUCCUGGAUGGAUUCCUUAGCGUCCUUGGAUAUCUUCCCGUUCUCCGGGAUCGCCUUCCUCAUGAUGCGCCCGAUGUUGGCGAUCGGGAGGAACCGGUCGUGCUCCCGCGAUCCCGCCGAGGUCGCCGGAGUGGCCGCUAUCGGGCGUGCCCGGGGCCGCGAACUCCGCCAUGGAGCCCUCCCCCGAGAUGCGUCCCAAACCCUAGACCUAAAUCCAUGAGGAGAAGAGAGAGAAGAGGGGGGGUUAGGGUUUGUACGUAGAAGAUGCGAGGAGUGUUUAAAAUGGGGGGGUGGAGGAGUACGCGAGGAGGAGGAAGGAGAAGAAGGCGAUGGACGGCGGAGAUGGGGGUUCGGAGGGCCGGGGUUGGGAUCAGAGCCGUCGAUUGGGUCGUGCGAUGGGAGUCGUUCAUCAGGGGGAGGAGAGAGAUCGCCCGGGACUGUUAACACCGAUGAGAGCGGGACGGAGACUAAUAUGAGAGAGAGAGAGAGAGAGAGAGAGAGAUGCGUUUUGGCCACAUGGUGGUGUACUUUAGAAAAAAACCGUGCUAAGUGGUGUGUACAUUACGUGUACUACCCUGCUUGGAGUACACGAGAAGCGCGUGAGAUAUAAUAAUAUCAUCAUAACAACAAGGUUAAAAAAAAAAAUAGAAAAAUUGUAAAAAUGUAGAUCCGCUGAUUCCGCUCUUGAAUUAAUUGAUUAAUUUAACCGAAAGUAACAAACUUUUGGAAACCUCUUUUAAACUGACCUACGGAAGAGGGGGGGGGGGGUCCUCAAAAAUCUUUACCUCCUUACUCAGAUUUUACCUUUGACCUUUUUACCUAAUAUAAAUAUAAAUAAAUAGAGUGGCCAAGUGAGUCACGCGCGACCCAAGUGAUGAGUCCAGAGGUAAAGUAAGGUGUGAGAUGGGCUUGCUGGAUCCUUACCUACAAGACCUAGCUGUCACGCCUGCCAAGUAAAAUAGGAGGAUUAGGAGUAGAGUAUAGUAGGAUAGUUAGAAUAAAAGUAAGGGUAGAGAGGAGGCUUAGCUUUUCUUUACUUCAAGUCUCAGGUUGUGAAGCCUCAACCGUCAAUCAUGGAGUCUGGGGGAAGACCGCAGUGAGGGAGGUAUCGGUGGAGAUGAGGGCGAUGGUAGUGAGGGGAAGAAGGGGGCGAACGGACGAGGAGGCUAGGGUAGCCGACCGUUCUGAGGUUCUAGUCAGUUCUGAUGGAUCCGGGCGUGAAGAAGGGCGGACCCGACAAGCCAUCCGGAGGUGACCCAAUGAAGAGGCCCACGCAGGGGGCCCAUAACUUCAGGAAAAGGCCCAGAGAAAGGCUGCGCUAGUGGCGGGAAGCAACAGAGCUUGGGAUAGUCCAAUUAGGAUUAGGGUUUUGUUUCUAUUCUAUUGUUGAGAAUAAAAGGGCAGCGUGUAAUCAAAGAAAUUAGGAAAAUAUUAAUGAAACUUUCUUCUUCCUCAUCUUCCCUUCCAUCCCCUUAAUCCCUCUUAAUCUUUCUCUUUCUUUUCCCUCUUUUCAUUCUUCCUGUUCCUCUUUUUCUAUUCUUUCUUUACCUUCUUAUUCACAGCAAUCACGAUUCGGGUCCAAAUCUGAUCCGAGUCAAGCAGUUACGUGAUCCAUCAUCCUCGGCGCCGUCCAACGUUUCAGCGACAUCUCAUCCUCGACGGGUUGCGCCGAGUCAGGUACGUAACAAUUGGUAUCAGAGCGGUACGACCCCAGGGCGUUGUGUGGUGAAAUCGCUUCCUAACUCCGAUCGAGUAUUGUCGAGUUUAAUCGCGAAAAGAUUUCCGCGCUGCCAAAUCUGAUCCGAGAUCGGGUUUGGACAAAGGAAACCACCACAGUAACAACCCUGUGCCGAAUCACGCUCGAAAUACAUUCAAUCAUUCUCGGAUUUUAGCAAGAUUGGGGGUAAACGAGGCAACAAGUUUAGAUUUAACCCAAAAGAAUAUCUUGAUGAGAUAGAGAUGGCUGAGGGGACUAGGUUGAGAGAUCUCAGUGAUCAUAUACGUACUUUAGAGGAGCAGUUCCAGAAACUAGGAACUGAGCAUCAGGCCGAGAUUGAGGUACUCAACCGACAGUUAGCCGAAGUCAAGGAGUCCGGGGAAAGGCAAUUCGAAGCAAUGCGGAUUGAAGCAACCAAAAGGCAUGAGGAGCUGCUCAAGCUGUUCGCAGCUAAGCCACCUCCACUCAAGAGCCCAGAUACAGCAAGCCCUCUCGAAGGGAAAUUCCCACAAUGCGGCAACCCUGGAAGCAGUAGAACACCAAUUGCGAUCAGAACGGAUAAAGGCAAGGGAAUUUUACCAACGCCGCUGCGGCAAAUUGAAGAGGAAGAGAAUCAUAGCUCACCAUGGGUCAACAAACACAAUCAUUACCAAUUACCUUACCCGAAACUGGAUUUUCCUUCCUUUGAUGGUGAUGACCCUCGAAAUUGGAUCGAAAAUUGCGAGCAAUAUUUUGAACUGUAUCAGAUACCCCAGCAUCAAUGGCUAAGUGUAGCAACCAUGCACUUAAUCGGUAAGGCAAGAACUUGGAAACAAGGGUAUUUUAUUAACAAACAACUCGUUUCUUGGAACGAGUUCACCGAAGCUAUAUGUAGAAGAUUUUCACAUAUGGGGGAGAGAUAUCUAAUUCGAGAGUUCAGUAACUUGAAGCACACAGGGACUUGCGAGAAAUAUCAAGAAAGGUUCGAGGAACUGAGAUUCCAGUUGCUCCAUUACAACCCACACUUGUCGGAGGAGUAUUUUAUUGCAUGCUUUAUUAACGGGCUCAAGGAAGAAUUAGUUCCCUUUCUUGACAUCGCUCAUCCUAACUCAUUAGAAGAAGCCUACGAACAAGCACAGUUACAUGAAAGGGCUAUUACAGUGAUCAAUCGAAAGAGUAGAUAUACUCCAAGACCGUAUCAAUCGAACUCUCUGUUUAAGAGCUCGGAGGGAAAUAAGCAGGCAAACCAAAAUCAAAACAAAACUGCUGCAAACCCUUACCAGAUCAACAAGCAAUUAAUGGAGCAACGUCGAGCAGCAGGGCUGUGUUUUCGGUGUGGAGAUAAGUAUCACCAGGGGCAUGUGUGUUCAAACAAAUCGCUGAACAUUCUACAAGCUACUGACAACAUUAUGGAGGUUUAUGAUGAAGAUUGCUUGCAAACAGGAAACAGUGAAGGGGCAAUCGCUGGGAGAGAAGGGGAGGAAGUUGAAAUUAUACCUGGCGGCGAGGAUCAGCAGGAAAUCGGAGUUUCUGUACAUGCCUUAUGUGGAGAAAUACCCCAGGAUACCAUUAAGAUACGAGGGGAGACCAACAAUCGGGCCCUUACCAUCUUGGUAGACACGGGAAGCACGCACAGCUUCAUCGACCUGCAAGUAGCCCAAGAAAUAGGAGCACGGAUGGAAGCAGCGCCACCUCUGACGGUGACAGUAGCAAAUGGGCACAAGGUUUUGAGUAAGCUCAGAUGCCCCGGAUUUACCUGGACUAUGCAAGGACACUCUUUUCAAACUGACUUGAGAGUAAUCAGAAUCGAAGGCUCGAAUGUGGUGUUAGGAAUCGAUUGGCUCAAAUCUUAUGGAUUAGUAACUUUUGAUUUCUUAUCCAACUCAGUAGUGAUCAUGAAAGAGGGACAAAAGCUUGAGUUGAAGGGGAUUGACGAAGGAGCUAAAUUAAGCUUAAUCUCUGCAGCUCAGUGGAGGCAAGAGAUCGAGAAGGGGGAAUGUUAUCUCCUCAGGCACCAAGCGUUAUCAGAAGAGGCCGAACAGGGAGUCAACCUGACUCCAGGGAUCCAACAGCUUCUGGAGGAGUUCCAGGAUGUGUUCGAGGAGCCACGGGAGUUACCCCCACCUCGCAUCGAGGAUCACAAGAUUCCUUUACAAUCCAACACGACACCGGUUAACAUUCGACCAUAUCGGUAUUCACAUGAUCAAAAGGAGGAGAUUGAAAAACAGAUAAAAGAAUUAUUGAGCCAUGAGAUCAUUCAGCGGAGUAAUAGUCCCUUUGCUUCCCCCGCCCUAUUGGUCAAAAAGAAGGAUGGGAGUUGGAGAAUGUGUAUAGAUUAUCGACAACUUAACAAAUGCACGGUGAAGGACAAGUUUCCAAUACCGAUUAUAGACGACCUGCUAGAUGAAUUGGGCGGGUCAAGGUGUUUUUCAAAGAUAGACCUCAGAUCGGGCUAUCAUCAAAUUCGGAUGAAUCCUGCUGACAUUCAUAAAACUGCAUUUCGGACGCAUCAAGGGCAUUACGAGUUCCUAGUCAUGCCGUUCGGUCUUACGAACGCUCCUGCCACAUUUCAAGCUGUGAUGAAUUGCACAUUUGAACCGUAUUUGAGGAAAUUUAUUCUGGUUUUCUUUGAUGACAUUCUAAUCUACAGUAAGAACAUGAAGGAUCAUGAAAGGCACUUGCGCAUCACGUUGGAAGAAUUGAGAAGGAAUAAAUUUUAUGCGAAGCGAAGUAAAUGCUACUUUGGACAGAACAGGGUGGAGUAUUUGGGUCAUAUAAUUUCAGAAGAGGGAGUGGCCACCGAUCCGUCCAAAAUUGAAGCUAUGACUAGCUGGCCCGUGCCUAAGUCGGUCAAGGAACUACGUGGGUUUCUAGGUUUCACCGGAUAUUAUAGGAAAUUCAUCAAGGGAUAUGGUAAAAUCAGUAAGCUCCUAACUGAUUUACUUAAAAAGGAUCAAUUCAGCUGGAAUAGAGAGGCACAAACAGCUUUUGAAGAAUUAAAGGUGUCUAUGACAAAGGCCCCAGUACUAGCUAUGCCUAACUUUAGUGAGCCAUUUACUAUCGAGGUGGAUGCUUGUGGCACAGGGAUUGGGGCAGUAUUAUCACAAGGAGGUAGACCCAUUGCCUACUUGAGCAAGGCCAUUGGCGGUAAGCAUAUGGGAUUGUCAACCUAUGAAAAGGAAUUCCUGGCUAUACUUAUGGCGGUACAAAAGUGGAAACACUAUAUUGGCACCGGUACAUUUGUGAUAAAAACAGAUCACGAGAGUCUAAAACACCUCUUGGAGCAAAGGAUAUCCACACCCAUGCAACAGAAAGGCAUGCUUAAGAUGAUGGGACUGAAUUACACAAUUCAGUAUAAGAAGGGUAAAGAGAAUGCAGCAGCUGACGCACUAUCUAGAAGAGAAGAAGGAGUUAUCUUAGCUAUCUCAGCGGUCGUACCAACCUGGGUGCGAGAAGUGGUGGCUAGUUACAAAGAAGACCCCCACUGUGAGAAAACAAUAUACGAGUUAACCUUACAGCCGAACCCUUCAGGGCCAUACACUUAUGGCAAUGAGUUGCUGCGUCACAAGGGAAGGCUAUAUGUGGGGCAGACCGGAUCUAUUAGAGAUAGCAUAUUGGAUCAAAUGCAUAACUCUGCCAUGGGAGGACAUUCAGGUAUCCAGAAUACAUAUCGGAGAGUUAAACAACACUUCUUUUGGCAGGGAUUGAGAAGAGAUGUUGCAGAAUGGGUCAAAAAGUGCACUGUUUGCGCUCAAAACAAGGUAGAUGGAACACCCUACGCUGGAUUACUGCAGCCAUUGCCUAUCCCUCACCGAAUUUGGGAAGACGUAAGUAUCGAUUUCAUUGAAUCAUUACCGAAAUCGGAAGGAUGCGAUACUAUCAUGGUAGUAGUUGACAGACUCACAAAAUAUGCCCAUUUUAUAUCGCUCAAACACCCAUUUACCGCGUCGGAUGUAGCUAAGGCUUUUAUGGGAACUAUCUAUAAACUUCACGGAUGUCCCAAGAGGAUUGUUUCUGAUAGGGACAAGAUAUUUGUAAGUCAAUUUUGGAGAGAGCUUUUCCAAUCCUUGGGGACCAAACUGCAUAUGAGCUCAGCCUAUCACCCGGAGACCGACGGGCAAACCGAAAGGGUUAAUAGGUGUUUGGAAACUUACUUGAGGUGUUUGUGUUUCCAACACCCAAAAAAAUGGCACUCGUGGUUAGCGUUAGCCGAAUGGUGGUAUAAUACUAAUUUCCACUCAUCCUUGGGUAUGACUCCAUUCGAGGCAUUAUAUGGGCAACCUCCUCCGAACUACCUGGUGGCCGCUGUGGAGACAGCUACCUCACAGGAGUUUAAAGAAUGGGCUACGGAAAGGGAGAAGCUGACUAGGGAAUUGAGGGAUCGAUUGCAAGUAGCCCAAAGCAGAAUGAAGGAACAGGCAGACAAGCACAGGAAGGAGAAGGAGUUCGCAGUGGGAGAUUGGGUUUACCUUAAGCUACAACCCUAUCGGCAAACCACCGUGGCAAUAAGGAAAAAUGUCAAGCUUACAGCGCGUUUUUUUGGUCCUUUUAAGAUACUGGAGCGCGUUGGGACCGUCGCGUAUAAACUGCAGUUACCCGAAGGAUCGCGGGUUCAUCCGGUGUUCCAUGUUUCCCUGUUAAAGAAGAGCCCGCCAUUAUCAGUCCAGGCAUCACCUAUGGCUCCCACUAUUGGAGACGAAGAAGAGUUGAGAGUCGAACCUGAAGAGAUUUUGGAAAGGAGAACGGUGAAGCGUGGGAAUCGAGCAGUGACCGAAGUGUUGGUGAAAUGGGCAAAUCUUUCGAGGGAUCUCGCAACGUGGGAAGAUUAUUGGUUCCUAAAAAGCCAAUAUCCAUCUUUUGAUCCUUGAGGGCAAGGAUCAGCUUAAGUAGGGGAGGAUUGUCACGCCUGCCAAGUAAAAUAGGAGGAUUAGGAGUAGAGUAUAGUAGGAUAGUUAGAGUAAAAGUAAAUGAAGAGAUGAGGCUUAGCUUUUCUUUACUCCAAGUCUCAAGUUGUGAAGCUUCGACCGUCAAUCAUGGAGUCUGGGGGAAGACCGCAGUGAGGGAGGUGUCGGUGGAGAUGAGGGCGAUGGUAGUGAGGGGAAGAAGAGAGCGAACGGACGAGGAGGCUAGGGCAGCCGACCGUUCUGAGGUUCUAGUCAGUUCUGACAGAUCCGGGCGUGAAGGAGGGCAGACCCGACAAGCCAUCCGAAGGUGACCCAAUGAAGAGGCCCACGCAGGGGGCCCAUAACUUCAGGAGAAGGCCCAGAGAAAGGCUGCGCUAGUGGCGGGAAGCAACAGAGCUUGGGAUAGUCUAAUUAGGAUUAGGGUUUUGUUUCUAUUCUAUUGUUGAGAAUAAAAGGGCAGCGUGUAAUCAAAGAAAUUAGGAAAAUAUUAAUGAAACUAUCUUCUUCCUCAUCUUCCCUUCCAUCCUCUUAAUCUCUCUUAAUCUUUCUCUUUCUUUUCCCUUUUUUCAUUCUUCAUGUUCCUCUUUUCUAUUCUUUCUUUACCUUCUUAUUCACAGCAAUCAUGAUUCGGGUCCGAUUGAUCCGAGUCAAGCAGUUACGUGAUCCAUCAUCCUCGGCGCCGUCCAACGUUUCAGCGACAUCUCAUCCUCGACGGGUUGCGCCGAGUCAGGUACGUAACACUAGCCCAUUAUCUAAUUUGGCCCGAAUUAAGAAACAUCGUCAUCAUCAAAGUUGAUGAAUUUUCAAUACAUUUAUUAUUUUUUUUUAUGGUAAUUUCAGGCUUACAAGAUAGCCUAGCUCUAGAGAUUCGCGUGGAAGUUUCAAUCUAGAUUAUCUAAGACAAAGCCGCAACUUUUCCAAAACCCAUUGAUCUCCAGCGCGCUUCUGAUAGUUUAAUUAGAUCCCAAACUGUACCCUGGGGGAGGGAAGGGGGAGAGAGAGACUUGUUAGUAAAUGUUUAAAUGGGAUAAAAAUGUUUUGAUGCCGUAAUUCUAAUCAGGCAAUCCUCUCCUCAACAGAUCACUAACACUGAUAACAUUUAACCCAAAAGAAGGACAAACGCAACCAUCUCCUACGUUCCUAAACUGUAAGGCUGUAGACCACCUCCAAGCUGUCCCAAAUCAUCGCCACAUUACAAGAACAUACAGACAAUAAAAAAUAAAAAAAAAAGAAAAAGAAAAGAACGAAUAGUAUACCGAGGGUAAAGAAUUAAAAGGAAAAUGUCUUAUGCACCGGCUUGUACAGGAGGCGCAGCCUCUUCAGGAACCGGAGCCUCCGGAGAAGGAGGCAGUUCAGCUCCCUCUGAAGAAGCAGCAGGAACUGGAGCUGGAGCUGGAGCUGGAGCUGGAGCCGCAGCCACAGGAUCAGCAGCAGGAGCAGCAGAAGCAGCUUCCGGGCUGCUCACAGCCUCCGAAGCUUCUGCAGGAGCUUUAUCCAAUUCCUCCGAACUCGGGGGCGCUUCCAACGCAAGCGGCUUCUCCGGCUGUGGCUCAGUCGAGCUUUUCUCAGAGGUGGGAUUGCUUUGUGUGGCACUUGGAGUAGGAUUCUGGGCUGUAGAGGGAGUGCUUUGUGCACUUUGUGGUGCAGCGCCAGCAGAAGCCAGAGACUUCUUGAUUGUGAUGGGAGCAGCUGUGAGAGAAGGCAUCCCAGGAGGAAGGAUUUCAAUUGGAGGCUUCUUUCCGGGUUCCCCUAAACUCGUGAGCUUGGGGUCCUCGAGAGAAGCCAAAAAUGCAGCAGCAGCAUCAGUUUUCACAGACGGUUUGUGUUCGAGCUCCUUCUGUAGCAUCUUGUUCCAUGCUUGGACCAGGCUCUUCAAAGUAGGACGACCGUGGGCCUGGGCAAAAUAAAGGAAUUAAAAGUGUCAGCAACUUGCGAGGAAAAGAAAAUACGGGAGAUGCCAUUCCAGGAGCUAUGUCAAACAAGCAGUGUCUAAAAGCUGAUUUCGUCCUUAUCUUCUGUGUAUACUUCGAAGCAGCACAUUGUGCACUCCAAAGCGUUUCCAACAAAUGAACAAAUAGUUUACGAAUAGAUCCAAUAAAUCCAAUAAACCUGGAGAUACUUACAUGAGCAUGAAGAACAGCCUCUGCGAGCAUUCCAGUGUCCUGCCAUGCCUUCUCCAUUAGAGCAUUAUCCCCUAAAACUGCAGCAGCAAAUGCUGCUUCGCGUCCAUGGCCUGCCGCAAUCAGGUUGUUCACCAAUCCCUGAGAGAUACAAAACAGAAUUAAGUAAUAAAGAAUUCUAGCAAACUACAACUUCAAAAUAAGUCAUCAACCUCGAAUGAUAUUUGUUUUCACCACGAAAGCUUGCCCUCUAACGUGCAAGAAGUGCUAGGGAGAAUAACAAUUGACUUGUUGCAGGGUUAAAGCUUAAUAAAAAUAUUACAGCUUGAGAAAAAAAACCAAAUGCACAUAUACAAAGUUUGAUAUUAAUUGAAUUCAAAACGAAUACUGCUGCUAUAAAUUAGACAAAAUUUAGUAUUGACGGUGUAAAUAGGUCGACCAUACGGGAUAGUUUAUUCAAAACUGAAAACAAAGAUGACAAGUCAACAUUACUGAGUACGGUUGAACUACUUAUAGCAUAACCUUAUAUCACGGCCAAAAGAUGCAGAUUCAAGGCUACAUACCGAAAGUCUAGUCAGCUCCCCAUGAUUUGCGAGUCGGAGAGCUAGCCCUCUCAGCAUUUGUCCAUGCAGAGCACCCUUAACGGAUCCUGCAGCAGCUAAUCUCUUGAGAACUUCACGGGCAAUGUCAGAUUGUCCCGUAGCAUCUGCCGCAUCAAUGAGAUCGAAAAACUCCUUCACAAAUUUCACUAUUCCUUGCACAGCAUCCACAAGGUUUUCUUGUUUAGCAGCUGUUAAACUUAGAAUCUCAGUUAUAUCAGCAGCAGCAGUUUCUUGUCCAAUAUCCCGGCUGUUGCUCAUUGUUAGCAAGCAUUGAAGUGCUCUUUUCAAGUCGUUGCUCUGCAUGGCUAAGUCAAACUCUAACCUGAGGGAAAUCAGUUGUAAAUUUCAUUCAUAAUUUUGUCCUUCAUACUUAAAUCUAUUACUACAUUUUGUUACAGUAGUGGGUGAAAAAGAGACAAAAGGGACAAUGGUAACAGUUAUUCAUUAUAGUAAUGUUCACUUAUGUGGACCUGCAAUUUAUCUGUCUACAUGCACAUCCCUAAUAAAUCCUAAAAUAAGCUUAUGAACUUAUGAUUGUAAAACUGCACCUUUUUUGACGUGAAUCUAUGUGAAAAUUCUGAUUCCACAAAAGAAUUAUACGUAGAUAGAUGAUCUUGCAGAGGUAUAAAUCUAAAAGCCCCCUUCACAACAAAAUGGUAUUCUACAAGGAUGUUAGGUAUGUUCAAUAUCUUCAGUCCCUACCUCUUAGAAAUUCCAGGUAAAUGAAGAGCUUCCGUUGCAUAUCCCAUCCCAAGCAAAAACUGAGCCAAGUCAUCAUGAUGCUCUCUACCCAGUCGACUUGCCCUGUGUAAGUUUCAUUAGAGUCAUACAUGUUUCCUGACUUUUGAAAGCGAUAUUUUCAUAACAGAAACUUCUAGAGUAGUACCAUUUCACUGCACUAACUGCAUCUCCAUAGGCAGCAAGGCACCGGCAUCGAAUACCUGGAUGACUAAGAGCCAAGGCAUGGGCACACAUAUACCUGAGACAACAGAUUACAGAAUCAGAGUCCAUAGAAUAUUCUGAAGAGUCUGUUUAUGUUGUGUGGUUCAUGUUGUGCUGUUUCAUUUUCUUCUGUCCCAUCUAGGAUUCAAGUGAUUCCCUCUUGACCCACCUAGCAUCUAUAUAAUCUUAUGAACCCAUGUAUUAACAAGCCAAAUUUUGUGACUGUAAUAGUAAUAACAAGCAAUUGGGGAUCACUUACCUGUCAAUGAGCCAAAGAACACCAUCUCUAACACCUACAACAAUAAGAGGCCCAAUAGGGCGUUUCUGCUCAGGAGGGAAGCGAGUGAUUGCCACAGAUACCCCUCCUCCAGCAACAGCAACUUCAUUGACUUUCCUUUCUUCCAUCUCUUUCUGCAAAGUAUCCUCCCCCUCUAUCUUGGACUGUUUUGGCAAUGUUAUGAAUGGUGGUAUAGAAGGAGCAUGCUGAAAGGAGGCUAAACGAACGACCUGGGAAACAUUUAAAAGCAAACAUUUGAAAUUCUGUUUUGCAUUUCUAACUAGGUUUGCUGUGUACAUUAUGCAUUCUCUUAAACCUUCGCUCUAUAUCUAAAUGAACAAUUCCCAAAAUAAUGGACAAGAAGUUCCAAAUACUUGAGGAGCAUUUAAUGCAGAACAACGAAAGAAAAAGAAAUUCCCACAUUAAAUUGAGUAAAUACUGAAAAAUAGUAGAGAUCUUAUAAACAACCUGCAGCAUUGGAGGCCUCAAUGAGAUUCUUUCAUUUGCCGUAACUUGUGGGCUAUCAACUGUGAUAAGUGCUAACUCUCCAUGUUCUGUCACUGCCCUAGUUUGAGCUUCUCUUGCUUUAAUUUCUUCUUUCCUCUUUCUUGUUUCAAUAUCAAUAGGUGCAACACCAGCAUCCACGAAUACACACCUAAAGAAGAGUUACAGUUAGCAAAAGCUACAGAGCUAGAAGACAUGCGCAAACAAAAAAAAAUUUAAAAAAAAAAAAACCACCUAUAGUACCUAAUUAGACUGAUAUAUGAGCUUCAGAUGAUAGUAGUGUCAUUUUCUUAUUUAUGGAGGGAAGAAAUAAAUCAAAUAAUUGCCUAACCACACCACUGCCAACUCCUGAGUAUAUACUUCGCUUUUGUUAAUUUUUUAAUUUAUUGCAGAAAUGAGUAGCUCCUGAUUGCUACUAUAUGCACCUAUUGUUAGAUUAUAUAUUGUCUUUUACCACCACAAUGUAGAGAAAAGGCACAUAAAAACAUCGUGUCCUUCACCAUAUGUAUCCAGAUGUUUGAAGUCAAUUUAAAAAGAGCAUUGUAUUCAGGGAGGUCAUUUAUCUUACUCAAUGGUAGUAGGUGUAGCAACAAACAAUUGCCUGCGAUGCCAAACACCACCGGUAGCAAAGGGAAUGGAAACAUCUCCAAGAAACCUAAACUGAGGGCGCAGGGAAGCAAUGACUAUGUACUGAUGGUAAGCGAAAGCACAAUACUCAACAGUUUGGUCCCAUGCAGUCCACUCUGGUUGUGCAAAGAGGCCGCUCACAGGUUGAUAGGUUUCCCAACUGCAUUAAUAAGAUAGUCAAGUUAGAGGCUGAAGCAAGAUAUCUUUCAAAAUCCAAUCAAUAUCCAAGCUAUCUGUGCAGUAUAUCCUAUAUGAGGUUUCUAAGAUAUAGCUGACAGUUUGAAAAAGCAACAAAAGUUAUCAAGGUUCCUGCAGACUCAACUGGUAUGCUUUGCCAGACUAGGUCAAACUGCGCAUAUUAUUUGCAUAAACUUAGUUACUUAUUACCAAUAUCCAUAUCAAUGCUAUAUGCCUAUAUCAUUGAUACAUGUGGAACAACCUAAACAUAUUUCUCUGAAUUAAGUUGCUUCAACAUCCAACACUGGGGAAGAUACACUCCCAAAUGGCUAAAUGAAUCAGAUUUUCAACACAACAUUCUUCGAACCUGUAGAGCUGGAAGUUUUGAGGUGGUGCCUCAGCAGAAGGUUUAUUGGAGGAAAAAGGGUCAUCAGCAGCCGCAAAAGAUGAAAGGGACCCGGUGUUGCCAAAGCCUGACAAUGGCAUUGUUGAUAUAGCGGUCGCAGCCAUAGGGCUGAUCCUCCGUGACAUCCGAUAUGCUACACCAAGCAACGCGCCUCCAUGCAAGCCGAUAACCUUCAAACAGAAAUAGAUGCAUUAACUAAUAUCAGAAAAUAACCUGCUAUUUACAUUAUACACAAAUAAUAUAUAAAGGAGGAAAUCCAUACACCUUCAAAUUAAAAUGUGGAUGAAAGAAGUGAAAACCACAAACAUUCUAGUAAAAUUCCUCACAAACUUAAAAAGCAUUGCUAUCAGGCCCAGACCAGAUCGCGCAGUUAGAUAAGUGAACUGGCCACUAGGCCAGUUCAGUUACAUUUUCGGACCAGAGAUGAAAUUGAACCAAAUGAAACUCAUCAAACCAGUGGUUAGACUGGCGAACUGGUCAAGCCUGAAGGGUUUGGGCAAACCUAUUCCAUUCAAUAGAUCAACCAACCAAACCAACUCAUCAAACCGGUGGUUAGACUGUGGUUAAGCCUGAAGGAUCUGGGCAAACCCGUUCCAUUCAAUUGAUCAACCAAUCAAACCAAUGACCCAGUGAACCAACAACCUUCACCAGGUCACUGUACUGUGGAAAUCCAAUAACUAAGCUUAAUAACACACAACCACAUGGAAGCAAUAAUAUGGCAAAACAAUGGGUAAUAAAAAGAUCAAGUCAUAAUCAAGGCAAUCACUCAAAACUACAAAUUGUCACACAACUGUUGAGCAUCUUAAAAAGGAAAUAAUGAAAAAAAUAAGCAGGAGAUGAGAUACUAACUGGUUCACUCCGCCCAUCAAUGGAUCUCUGCAGAACGUGUGCAGUUCCAUCAUCCAAUAAGAUUCGCACUUGUACGGUUGCUGCAGAAGCUGCAGCAGCAGCUGCUGCUGCUGCUUGAGCAGCAGCGGCAGCAGCUUCUUUCGCCUUUUUUGAUGAUCCACCUUUUGCAACAAGCGGUAUUCUAGGAGGCAUAGCAGUCUCCACCAAAGCAUAUCGGUCACGACAAGUGUCCCAGGCGAAAAGCCUUCCGGUGCCUGAAUCAACAACCGACCAAUCGCUGGCCUUGUAAAUUACAAAUGAAGGAAUGUCAGGCCAGACAAUUGCGACAUACCUGCAAGAAAAGGCAGAUUAAUGACAUACAAUUAUUAACAUUCUAUGUAAAACAAGGAUGAAAAGACAGGGUCCCCACAGUUAAUGUCAAAAGAGAGUUGAAUAGCUAUACAAAGCGGAAGAAGACGAUACAUUAUUUACUUGAUAAUUAAGAACUUGUGAAUUAAUGAGAUACGAGAGAAGAAAAUAGCAUGUUAAGAAAUAGCAACUCACUUUCCAGAACUGCUGACAGAGAGGACGGAAUAUGAUUCAUGAGGAGCAGGGGUACUUAUGUGCUUCUUAGUCUGCUUUACGACCAGUUGCUCUGGAUCUGCCCUCAUUCUUCCUGUGUCAGAUGCCAUAUUGGAACUUCCAAGAGACGGGUUUGCUGUGUUUGACAGCUGAAAAUUUAGUAACUUGAGUUCUCUCUCAACAAUAAAUACAGCAGAGUGUUCCCUGCUCCCUGCUGGUGUAGGUAGAGGAGCCACCGCCGGAAGUGCCCUGGCAUCAAACUCGCUUAAAAUAACCCCUAUAUUCGUUCCCGUGGCAACAAGGUGCGGCUGAAGCGGAUGAGCAACCAUGCAAUAAACCUGAAAUAAAGCUCAUAUAUUUAAGCUUUCUAAUUUGCUCGGAAGGCAGACAAUUACGCAUGAACAAAGAUGUGAAAUAUUCGCAAAUCUAUAGAUAAACAAAACCAUCACAAUUGGCCAAGUAAUAUAUGCAGUGAAGUAGAAUAGUUAGCUCAUUUAUGUCACAAAAGAAAAACUCUAAUAAACAGACUAUCACAAAGAUGGGAAGGCAAUUGAAAUAGCAUUUCAUUUUUAAUCAGAAAACAACAUCUGAUCUUCUAGAUCCACUUCAAAUAUCUUAGAAUAGAAGCUACAAGACUUCAAAAGAAAAUUAGACGUGUUUUACCGAGUUGUUCAAUUGUUGAAUUCAAGUUUAAGACAUACCCUUAGUUUCUUUGUAGCAGCAAGAACCUGCGGAGGAACAAGCGAAGAUAAUUCACACAGCGGUCUAGUUAAAGCAGAAUAUGUUGGAUGUUCAAUGGCCCUGUCACGGAGCAAAAAUAAGAGUUUGUGGUUCAUAAUGUACCGUAUCAGACCAAACUUGUUAUGUAGUUUGCACUGUCAAAAUUUAUCAUGACAAGUUGGACCAGAAAGCACAUAAUAUUACCAAAUAUGGGAGUCCUUAACACAAGUAAGGAUAUCAAGGUUUGGAGCCCGAGGGUGGCACCAAGAUGCUACACUAUGGCAGGAAAGUCUAGGUACUGGUUUAAUACGCCUUAAUUCCUGUAUAAAUAAUAAAGAUUGUUAACACAGAAUUCCCACAGCACUCAACUAAACAGGCAAUCAUGUAAGAGCCUCAAACAUACAACACCUUUAAUGUCAUAGUAUCCCAGAUAGCUAAUGUUUUGUCAGCACCAAUAGUAAUGAGUUGCGGAGCACUUCCCAUCACUCUUGAGAGUUCAACAGCUAUGACUCCUCCAUCAUGAGCCUUAGAAAGACAGACAGAAAAAUAUAAGUUUCAAAUUGAUAAAAUAUUACACUAGUGUUAUGUAGAUCAUGAUGUAAAUCAUGCCACAAUAGGAUGCCAUGAUCAUUGUACUUAUCGAUUGGCAAAAUUCAAUUAAACAAAGAUAACCAACUUCUCAAGUCACAAACACCAAAGAUUACUAGAAGACAGGAAGAGGAAAUGCUUAAGCAACAAAAGCUUGGAUAGACACCAACUAUAAACUAUCUGGAAAUCAAUAAAAAAAAUAGAAAUUUGAAUCACCUUCAAACUAUGCUUAGGAACAAGUUCACGUGAAUCGUACAUGUGAUCAGCACUCCAAAGUAUCAAGAAACCAUCACUAGCACCAGAAACUAAGAAUGCCUGAGAUCCAAUUGAUAAUGAAAAUGUAAUGUUAGAAGCAAAAGAAACUAAAAACUACAGCAUUAAACCAAUUCAUAUAAAACAUCAAAUGCCUUAAAAAGGGACAUAAUAACCAUCUUGCCAACAGUCAGUCAACCUCAAGGAUUAAAAAAAUCAAAAGCUUCACCUAAACAAACCAUUUAUUUACAAGGAAUUAUUGGUUAAUGACUUAAUGCAGAUAACAUGCAUAGUGAGAUAAAUGCAUAUAUGUACAUAUAUACUUUAUUUAAUGCAUAUUUUAGAUACUUAAAUUUCUUUAUAUGUACAGUAAGUAGUGAUUGAUUCGCCAUAACAUGCAAAAAAGUGAUAGUUUGCUUGGGAAAACUAACCCUCAAAUCAUAACAUGUCCAAGAGUAGUUUUGAUUGCCUCCAAGUUAGAUAAUGAUUAAGAUUUGAAAACCAAUUAUUCUACUGCGUAACUCAAAAUAAGUUUGUAAUAGCACAAAUAAGAUGAACAAGACCAUUACAUACAACUAAAGCAAACCCUGUAGGUAAUAUAAUGUGUAAAUGUGAAAAGUUACCUCACCGCUAGAUGCCAUGAAUGUCAUCAAGCAAGAAAUUGAUCCUUUGUGGCCACCAGUAUACCUUCGAACAAGCUGCAAAGAAUAAGUCUAGCAGCCAUCUUAAAAAAUUUUAGCAUGCAAAAUACAGAGGCAGGAGGAAAUAUGUCGAAACCUUCCAUGUUAUCAUUGAAAGAACUCUUAUCACACCAUCAGAUGCGCCAAAAGCAACAAGAGGACCAUCACCAGCAGAAGACCUCGAGAGGAAUGCCAUACUGUAAUAGCAAUAGAAAUUAGGGUAUAAUCAUUCAAAUAUCCAGAUAAAAGUCAUAAAGGAAUACUAAAUCAAUGGUUUCCAUAUAGUUGCACUGCGAAGUUUCCUGGUAGGUAUUUAGUAGGAAGAAAUGAAGAGAACGAAAAACUAGACUUGAAGAAGAGUUCUUAUCUUUUCUGUUUCUUAUUCAAUAACAUAACAAGGUUCUCCACUCCAAAGCACAGUUGGUCAAAGUGAAUGGAAAGGAAACAGCCAAAAAUCUAUAUAGAAAGAAUAUGUCUUGCAAAAAGAAUAUAAGUCUUGCAACUUGAAAACAAUAUGGCAAAGCGAGUACAAGAGGAUUAACACCCUACAGCAGCUAAGUCCAAAACAUUAACUAAUGGAACAUCAAAGGGCAUCACUUGAGUAAUAUACAGGUGAAACAAUGAAAGAGAUCGUAAAGCUCUAAGUAAUAGCUCACAUCUGCUCAAGGAAUCGAUCAAGUUAUGUCCUCAUGCCGCUUCACAAAUCCAGCACUGAGCAAUACCAGUUUGCCUGCUUUUAUUUUAAUCUAUCACUAUUUCACAAUAUUAUGUGCCUUACAUACCUAUGCUUUUUUAUUCUGUAAAUAGUUAUAUCUGGUUUCUAAGCUAUUCUCAUUUCUCAGGCAUCCUUCUUCGUGAAUUUAUUUUGUUAAUAAUUCAAACCUCCAAGAGCCUCAGAAAUUACUUUGCUUACUGCAUGAAUCCCUUCUUCCUCACAGCACAUCAGGCAGUAGUGCCAAUUUCGAUGUACCUCCGAAAGUUGUAGAUGCUGUUCUCAAGCAUUUAUUAUCUUAUGCCUGAAUAAAUUUAAAAUUCUUAGUCUAUUAGUUUCGACUGUUACUAAGUAAACGAUAUCCUGCACAAACGUUAGAAAGCUGAAAGAAACUUCCCCUGAUAGUUCGCACCUCAGCUUAAAUGAAUUUAAUUAGCAAUUCUCAUCUUUAAGGAAAAACUACUUUCUUCAUGUCGUGGAGCAAGGAAAUAAACACCAGAUAGAAUUUCAGUUAUGUACUAUUUUAACUUUUUAAGCACAGAACGAAUCAAGAAGUGACAAAUUCUUGUUUACUUCAAAUUAUAUGUAGAGUAAAAACAAAAGAAAAAAAAUUGUAUACCAAAGAAGUGACUUGUUGUCAAGCUCCUGCUUAGGAACAUCACGCCCUCUCAUGGUCACCAAGUCUAGAAAUAUUGCUUUAUUCUCACAGCAAAUGACAAGAAAAUGUCUUCCUCUGGUGGAGGGGGGAGGAGGCGUAAUGAAAGCAGAAGAAUGUUGAUUGGCUGCAAUUGGAGCCUCUGCAGCGGCAGUGCGGUUGCGCCAAUGUUGCCAGAAACAAACAUCAUCAUCAUAGAAAGUAACCUGCUUUACACUUGGUAAAGAAUAGUUGACCCCAUCUAGAUUUAGUAAAGCUGUGAAAAGCCAUUGAAAAGUGGAAUUCAAGUACUGCAAAGUCUCCUGAAUUAUUACCUUCCUCCCCGGAUAGCCUCUGUAGGUUUUCCUUUAGUAUCUGUACAAAGUGCAGAUGUUUAACUCAAAACAAAGUCUAUGUAUCAUAUUCAAAAAAUCAUAUACAAGUGAAGAAUAUAAACCCACAAGCAACAUAAAACUGAUAAGCAAUUUUGUUUAUUGCCAUAGGUGAUAAGAGACGAAAAAGAAAUUGCUGAGGUAGUCUAUAAUUUUUCGGUCAUGUUAAUAUUAUGCAUGAUCUAACAAGCCUUACUGCACUGUGUGGCAGCAACUGCAUGGUUCAUAAUUAAUCCUGCAUCACAGCCGGUAGUCAACGUCUAACUCAAGUUACUUCAUGCUUAUAUUUCUGGGAUAAACUUAGUUCAUUAUGCAGGAUGUUUUGAAUAUGCCAUGGGGUUUACAAUGAACAUUGUGUUUCUCAGGGAGAAACUGCAAGAGAUAUGCUGUAACAUUUGUAAGUAUGAAGUAUAAAACCAAACAUGUCACUAACUAAUACACUACUCAAAAUGCUAGUGAGCUUACACUAUUUACAGAGCUAUUCAGUUCAUGAAAUCAGGUUAUAAACUACUUUCUGUCAUUUAUACCCACUUUUCUUUCUUUCUUUCUUUCUCUUUUUUCUGGUUACUGUUAUAUUGUUAGAAUUUCUGGUUCCGAUAGUGGGGUUUGAAGAGCAAACUUCAUAUUGAAUAUAAUGAGUGCAGAAUGGCACAUCUUAACAAUAGAUAGCUUAAUUUGGCCAGUACUAGUUUGACAUUACUCUCAUGAAUCAUCUUCUCUCCUAAACUCCUAGGGAAUCAAUCUAGAGAAUGAAGGUACAUCAUUUAGCUUAAAAGAAUAACUCAUUAAAUAGUCCGUUAUUUCUGUGUGAAAAGUCUAGCCACAUCAACCAACACUAUUUAUCUAUAUACACACUUUACUAAUCUGCUAGAUCCUCUAUGAAAUGUAUUUAUUAUAAUUUGAAGAGAUAGAUCUAAUCACCUCCCUCUUACUUCAUUUUUUUUUUUUUGGAAGUAAACUAUUGUAGUUCAAACCAUGCUCUAGAGAUAAAGCGAGCAAAUAGAUUCUAAUUCGCCUACCAGAUUCUCCUUCCGCGAGCUUCUCCAGCUUCGCCCCAACCAAUCUCCUCUCAUCCACCCCACCCGCUUUGAGCUCAUAGAUUACCUACCAAUCCGAACACGAGUAGGUCGAUUAACCACACGACCGAGCACAAAAAACCACGAAAAACCAACAAAUACGGGGACAGAUCGGGACCUGGCGAUGCUCCCAGUUCCAAACUGAGACGUGAUCAGAAUCGUCGGCGGUGACGAGCCAUGGAUGCGUGGGGUGCAGCUGGAUCUUCACGAUCUUGCCGCUCGCUGGGCGAAACGCCCUCAAUCGCAGCAUCUCUCACCCCUCCUCCUCCUCCUCUUCCUCCUCCUCCAAACUAUCGUUCCUCUCCUCGAUCUCGAUCUCGAUCGAAGAAGAAGGAAAACAAGGGUUUGGGAUGUGGAGGCGUUAAUGGAGGUGCGAGAAACAGAGAGAGAGAGAGAGAGAGAGAGAGAGAGAGAGAGAAGGGAAAUGAUUUAGAUCUCUCGAAGGGAGGCGAGCGAGCUCAGAAAAUGGAGGAGAAGGCGAGGAAGGUCUCGUCCGAGUGGGCGUAGAGUCGAGCGGGUGCAAAUAUCACAUUUGCGAUUAGCACAUGUGGACCCCGCAAAAGUGGGGUCCACAUAUCAGAUUUGUAAGGCUGAUAUAUAAACGCCAGAAUAUCCGUGCUUUUCGAGGGAAAUGGACGAAUCUCGGACUAGGCUUUUCGCUUUUCUACUUUAGGCCCAAUUAAGAUCCAAUUGGGCUUUAACUGCCCUUGAAACUCGGCCCACUCACUAAGUUUUAGAGCAAUGGGCCAAAAGGAGUUGGGGGACAAAAACAUGUAGAGAGAUGCUCCUACAGUUUCUAUCAUACUCUAUAUAAUCGAGCGAUCUGCGACAUGAUAUUAUUUGCGAAAACAAAUGAAAUAUUGUAUCCUGCAAUGCUAAACGAAGUUUUUACCAUCUCACUACCGCAAUACAAAAAUACAUUCCCAAAACAUACUGCUGCUGCAGUAGUGACGGCCACACAAAGGAAUCGAAAGGCAUGCGAAAACGCGACUCAAUAUCCUAAAAAUGCUUCUAAAAAUUAAGCAUGGAAUAAGAGGUAUCUCAAGAUUUAAAUCGGAAAUAUAUUGUUGAGUUUGGAUUGAUCGGGCCAACCUCGAAGAAAAUACUUCAAAAUAGUCCAAACCUAGUCCAGCCCGUUACAAUUUUUUUUUUUUUUUAAGCAAGAUCUCGUCCUGGGUCAGAUUGGGCCUUGCAUACAAAUUUUCACGCUAGAAGUGCGACUUGAUUACUUGAACCCGAAAUCCACAUCUCAUCUUUUAUAUAUAUAUAUAUAUAUAUAUAUAUGAGUCCGGCAGCUAUGCUAUUAAUAGCACGAAGCACUUGGUGCUACCAAGUUUUCCGCCGUUAGAUCUACCAAUUUGAUCAUUUUCACCCGUUAGAUCAUACUAUUGAACCAACUACCCACUCAACCCUAGGGGGCCCACAUCAUUCUAACCGCACAUCUCUUACUUCAAUGGCCAAAAACUUGGUAGCACCAAUGACUUGGUGCUAUUAAUAGCAUAAUAGCCGAGUUCUAUAUAUAUUUUUUCUUCUCCAAACUCACUAUGCACAAAAGUUAAAACUUUUAUUUUGAAAAAAAAAAAAAAAAAAAAAAAAACAGAAAUUGGGAUAACAACCACUGCAUCAUGUUGAGUAGUUGGAGUACUAUUUUACUCUCUCCACAGGAUGUAGUUGGAGACAAUGACUCAUCUCCUAGAAACCCGUAUGAAUUAAUAACUGCUAGCGUUUGCCCUAGUCAGAGCCACGUGUAAUGUCGGGCACAUGACCCACCACGACACCCACCCACAGAUUUAGAGGGGCAUAGCCCCAGUGCCAUCACAUGCUCCACCCUUCCCCCCCUCCUCCGCGGGGAAAAGAGAAAUUAAAAGAGGAAAAUUAAAAAAAAAGAAAAGAAAAGAAGCUCACCGUAUAUAGCCUAAUCCCCACAUCAAAUCCCAACAUAUUAUCCAUAUAUAGUUCCCUCUCUUUUAGGGGAAUAGGGAUAAUAAGAUCAUUCUAUUUUUUUUUCUUUUUAUAGAUAUUUUGUUUGGAUGUCAGAAUUAUUAAUUGAGAGAUAACUCAUUUCCCGAUAUAAACUAUUUUGAGUAAUGCUAUUUCGAAAAGGAUAUAAAAUCUUACAUUUUUCUAUCCAAGGACCAGUAUAUGAUGCUUGUCUUGUCGACUUUUUUGUGUUUAAAUAUUAAAAAGUUCAAAGAAUUUGUGGAUUCUAGAUUAAGGAAUGUAAUUCUUAUACAUGCACCGCUCUCUAGAGUAAGUACAGCUAACAUUUUCUAGGGUGGGCCUUUCACCAUUCAAACUGAAAACCAAUACCGCUUUUGCUCGAUCUACCUCUUCGCAACAGGCAAGGCGAGAGGACUAGUUUUGUUUUGGCCGAGUUUGAUUUUAGCUUCUCGAAAGGACUUGGUAUUGGCCGAGUUUGAUUUUAACUUCUUGAAAGCUCUUGCUACUUACAUCUGGUAGGACUUGUAUUUUACCGGCCGAUAGUGUGACGUAUGUUGUUUCAAAAAACUAACUUGAAGAUCGAAUAUCGUAUAUUUUAAAAAAUAUUUGAUAAUCUUUCUCACUAACGGGCGAUAUAUUGUUGGAAAGGAUAUGUUCAUGCAUGCAAAUAUAACUGAAAUGCUUCGAGACCCCAAGCUAUUGUCCUUGUGGAUUGCAUGUGUCGACAAAUUUAUAUGAUAUUGUUGGACUACGCGAAUUUACCAAUCAAAACACUCCACGUCAUAAGUAUAUCGAGAUUAAAGGGGGGCCUAUACUCCCCAACAAUUUAUGUAACCAAGUUUUAUUUUGCUUUGGUAUUAGAAACUUUUAAAUUUGACAUUUGAGACACCAAGCUCCUAAAAGAACUUCAAAUUCUAGCUCUUAUUCAUAUUUACUAUUUACAAAAAAUAUAUGUUAAAAUUAUAGAAUUUAAAGAACUUUUUAUAGUUCAGUGACUAGCUAUAUACAGUAGUGCCACAAAACCCCCUAUGUAUGGCCUAUGUGGGACACCUAUACACACCCUACACACGUUGCAUGGUCAGAUACUCCCCGCUAUUCACGUGGCGGGAUAAGACACGUACACUGCAUGGGGUGGUCUCGGAAUAGUAUAUUCGGGAUAAGAUAUCGUGGGGAGUUAUCCCCUUGUCCUAUUCCAGUAGAGUAAUAAACUAAUAACAAUAAUAUAAGUUUCCAAAAAAACCCAAAAUAAAUAAAAAAAAAAAAAAGAAAAGAAAAAGAAACGGUCGAGUGUGUAGGGGCCGGAUUAGGUUUUUUGGCGGUUAAAGGGCCACCUCACUGGGGAUAGCAUGGGGGAUUCGGUAUCUUUCCUUAUAAGAGGCUCGCCUCACCAGAUCAAUUGGGUCUUGAUCAGUUGGGUUCGAUCGAGGGUUUGAUCAAUUAGGGUUAGACAACCCUCGUGGGGGGUGUGUUCUCUCCCGCCGCGCGCGGGCCCCGCUUCGAAUCGACCUUCGGAAGCGGCUCAGAUCUAAUCCACAAACUUAAGCUGAUAGCUGUAGCUUAUCCGAUUAUAAUUUACUAGUACGCUCUUUUUCUGGGCCAGAAUACUAAACUAAGGCUUAAAUCCUACGAAUCAGACAACGAUACAGCAUUUUGUAGUCACCGUAAAGAGAAAUAAAUUUGGAUAGGGCUAAAUUAAUAUUUGGUUCGAAAAAAUCGACUUGCUGGAGCAUAAUAAAGAAGGUUCUACUUUAUUAGGAAAAGUGAUACCUAUGUUAGGAGACUAUACAUGUUACCAAAGUUACAAAUUGUCACUUCCACUUGAGCCUUAUAUAUAUUGUAGUAUCAUUUUUUUAUAUAAUAAAUACAUAUAGCCAGAUCUAUCAUGUUUAUAGUAUAGAUUAAGCUACAUAUGUUGAAUAUAGAUUAAGCUACCUUUGGUUGUCUUCUAUUAGAUCAACUUUUAAGAUAACUUAGUGUGAGAGUCAAUUCUAAGUUUCCGUCUUAAUUUGUUUAUACUUUUUAGAUCUUAGGGACACAUUUCAACUUUGCACCCUCUCUACUUCUCUAGUCAUAAACCUUUUAUUUAUUUACUAAUUAACACUCCAGUUUUAAUUUGUUUUUCAUUAAUAACAAAGUUGUUCUAGAAGAUAUAGAAAAGGCCAUUUUGUGACGCGUCCAUGAGAAUAAUAACAAGCCUAAUUAAGUUAGGUCCUUAAUGGUGGUCAAAGCAGGGAUUGAAAACAAAUACAUUAAUAUUUCAACAUGCUACCUAUGCUUAUAUAUUGGUCCUAAUAAAGGAUAGAGAGCCUAAGCCCUUCACCAAACCCAUAUAUCAACAUUUUUCAUUUUGUCAGGAAAAAAAAAUCCAAAUAUUAAUAUUCGAAAAAAAAAUCAACAUAGAGUUUAUAAACUCAAAAAUAAGUAAAAUAUGAAAAUUUACACCCUAUAAAUAGGUGUAUGUAUAUGCAUGUUAGGACUCAUGGUCAAAAAUAUGACCUUGACAAACAAUUACAAAUCAAAAGCGUGGCAUGACCUCUUUAUUGACAAAUUAACAUUUUCAUUUACAUUCCGUUGAAAAGUAAAUAAAAAUUUAUUAAUUUGACCAACCCUCAAUUGAAAAUCUAACGUCACGCAUUAGACAAUUGAGAUCCCACUUGCUCUCUUUUUUCUUUAAACGUACAUUUCUAAUUACCAUUAUCUAUCUAUAUAAAGAAUAGAAUAUUUAUAUUUUUUUUCCUUCCUGGUGUAAAUAUGUACGUAAAUGAUAACAUGGUACUAUAUAUAUUUUCUACACCAAUAAAUUGCAAGUACUCAAGAAAAAUACAUAUUUGGCCGUAAAUGAUGUGCCUGGCAUUAAUUAUAUGCUUAGGGCCUAUCUGGUUUCACCCCAAGUUUGAGUGAGUCGGCGUAACCCAGAAGCAUCGUCUUAUCGAACUCCGCUUUGGAACAAAGUGGUUGAUAAAAAUUCUCUAAAUGCUCAGAAACACAUUGUAGCGUAUAUGAAUGCACGAAAACAAAAUAUGACUUGUUUAACUUUACUAGUUUUGAAAUGUUAGUUUUUCAUAUAAUUAUAUAAUAAAGAAUGUAGAAGCCAGCACUCUAUUAUUUUUUUUUUCGUCUAAAAUAGCUUUUUAACUUUUUUUUACCAAUAAAUUUUUUUUUUCAAAUCAUUUACACAUAUAUGCUUGAUUUUUUAAAAAAAUUCAAAGCCCAUGCGGAAAGGGCAAAAUUGUAAAUUAACAAAUGCUACGAGGAUUGUAAUAUCCAACAUCAAUCAAUCCGAAGAACAAGGACAAACUGAGGAGGAGAUUAGAAAUUAUUAAUUAAUUUAAUUAUAUAUUUUAUUUUUCAUUGUAGUUAUCACGCAAUAUUAGUACACAUACGACCAUAUCGGGGUGUAAGUACACAUAUGAUGAGUCACCUCCGACGAGGCUCCACGUUGCAUGGCAUGGGCGAAGUCGCAUUUCAAAUUUUCAAUUGUGGAAUCAACCCAAACUUGGGAAAAUGCUACACGUAUACACGUGGAAUUAAUUAAGUGCUUUGGGGAAAUAAUUUAUUUAUUUCUUAGUCCAAUGUUUAAUUAAUUUAAUAUUUUAUAUUAUUUUAUUUUAUUUGGAGGCCACGUACUCUUUCUUGACCAUGACAGUUGACGUUUAUUUUCUUGGUUAAAUUGCUUUUUCUUUUGGUGCUCGAAUUAGGAGUUUUUACUCAAAUUUUUUAUUUCCACAAUAUAAUUUAUCCCUCAAUUUAUUUUUCUAUUAUAUUAUAUUAUAUUAAUGAAGUUAAAAAAUUUUGUUAAAUUUUAUAGCUUAAUGAGUUAUUAAUAGGUAAUUAAUUUGUUUAUUUUUAUAUUUCUGCACGUACUGUAUUUUAAACUGUAUUGCACGAUCAUAAUUUUAUGGAUAGAAUAUGUGAAGCGUGACCGAGAAAAUUUUACAACCAACGCAGCCUAUUAAGUAAUUUGUAUUAUCAUCGCUUGUGCAAAAACCUUAUCCAAUUAAUCAAAAUAAAAAGAAAAAAAUGGAGAAAAAAAUUAAGAUGAGAUUUUGUAUCUCAACUAACUAAAUGUAUGAGUCUAUAAUCACAACCUCCCACGGCCCCACUUUACUCGUACAAUAAAAAAAACAAGUCCGUAGUACCAUCUUAUUCCACAAUUAGUCCACGUCCCUUUUGGAUGUUACCCCUACUAUGAAAUCGUGUUAAUAAAAAGGAAAAAUGCAAUUUGUAUACUCUAAUUAUAGUGUGUACAUUUUGUACCUACCAUCUAUGUGGAUGUUUUGUUCCUUAUUGUGAAAAUUACAUUUUUAUAACUUUAGCAAGAAAUCUGUAUGUAUAUAUAUAGUUGAGUUGGAAUACUAUCGGUAGCAAAUAGGUCCCGUUGUCACCUAUUUAUUUUCACUGAUGAAGCCUCCAAAUCAACGAUCGGUACCGUUGAAUAUGAUCUAUACCACUUGAAAUAUCUAGAAAUCAAAUUUCAAAUCUUUUUGACAUCAUUAACCUAAUGAUCAAAAGGUUUUAAAAUUUGUAAUUUUAAUGAUAGCUAUGAGGCAUUUUUUUGCUUAACGGUGUAAAGUGAUCCAAAUCAAUUGAAUUUUAGUUAGAAAUUUUUUUAAACUAUUUAGAACAAGAUCUAAACUCUCGAUCUUGAUUACAAAAUUUCUAUCAUCACUUUUUAGAGAAUAUUCAUUUUCAGCCGUUCAUUUUUAUGCUCACUCGAUGGACAAGAAAACAAUAUCGAAAAAAGCAUGAAAUUUGAUUUUUAGAUACUUUAAGUGGUAGAGAUCAUUUCAACGGUGCCGAUCGUUGAUCUGGAGCCUCCAUCAUCGAAAAUAAAUGUGUGGCAACGGAGCCCGUUUGUUACUAAUAGUAUUCCAGUUCAACUUUAUAUAUAUAUAUAGAGUAGGGCUACUGUGCUAUUAGGAGCACAUCAGCCCUUAUACUCCUAAAUUUCUAACUGCCCAUCAAAUUUGAUGGAUGGUUAGGGUGAGAGAGAAAAGAAAAAUUGGAGAGAAAUUCAAAGAGAAGAGAAAUUGAAGAGAAUAUAUAUAGAGAGCAGGGCUGCUGUGCUCUCAGGAGGACCUUAACCACCCAUCAAAUUUGAUGGACGGUCAAGAACUUAGGAGCACAAGGGCUGAUGUGCUCCUAAUAGCAUAGUAGCCCUACUAUAUAAUAUAUAUAUAUAUAUAUAUAUAUAUAUAUAUAUAUAUAUUAUAUAUAUAAUAUAUAUAUAUAUAUAUAUAUAGUAUAUUAAAAUCUAGCCGGAAUACUAUCGAUUAUAUCAAAGAUUUGGUACUAUUGAAUUUUCUACCGUUAGAUUUAACUUUUUGAUUAUUUUAACUCGUUAGAUUAUACUAUUCAACCAAUUACUCACUCAAUCCUAGAUGGCCUACAUCAUUCUAACCACACAUUUCUCAAUUUAAGGGCUUAAAAACUAAUAGCACCAAUAGCUUGGUGCUAUUGAUAGUAUUUCAGCCUAGUUCUUUCUCUCUCUCUCUCUAUAUAUAUAUAUAUAAUUUUUUUUAGGAGUCAGAUGAGCUAGAAAUAUUUUUUUCAACCGAAAAAAUCAAUGCUAAUCAUUAAUUCUAAAAGUUCGAGCUGUUAGAAAUUUACAACUAAUUCAUUUAAAACGUACAGACAUAAACGUCCAUAAAUUUUGAUUGUGACUCAUUCUAACCAGCCUCAUAUCACUCCAAACAUGAUUCGAUCAAAUCUGACUUAUUACUAUAUAUUUCGAAUAUGAUCCGGUUCAAUCUUGCUUCUCAUCAUAUAUAGAGUAGGAUACUAGUCCUUUCAAGCCAACACACUAUGAUACAAAACUUGACUAUAAUUUUCUCUCAAUCCGCCGCAUCAAAUCGCAUCUUUUAUCCUGGGGAUAAGCUCUAUACAUGUUAUCCGUAUUCUCAACCUACUUUGAGAACGACGUAUAUAUAUAUAUUUCUUUUCCUGAGAAAGAACACGCACAUAAAUUAAAGCAGAGCACACAGCGCGUGCUUCGUUUUCUCCUCCCCCCGGAUCGAGCUGCGGCAGCGGCAGCAGCAGCAGCAGCACACGCGGAGCCAACUCAGCGCCGACGCAGCGCACCGAUCCUGCGACGUGCCACCGACGUGUCGCGACGUCGACGGCUUGAUUCCCUACCUCUUUGGAAAUUGCGGUGUCCGAACGCACCUGCGUUUUUCUUUUUAAUAUUGCCAACUAUAUAUAUAUACAUAUUUUGUAUCACUAAAUAUGUACUUGUUCAGAAGCACGUUGAAACGCUCAGCUUAAUUGUGGUGUUUAAACCCAUUUGAAUGUAAUAUUAGUGUGACAGUUACCGACACCAUCCCUAAAGCAUAUGAUAAAGGACUUGAUGGUUGGUGCCCAAGAUCCAAGUUCGAAUCCUAAUUGAUUCAUAUUUUCAACUAAGUUUAUUUCUAAAUGAAAUAAACGAAGCAGGUAUCUAUCUCUCAAAAAAAAAAAAAUUAGUGUGACAGUUUCUGCCACCAUUAUUAUAAUUUUUUGAGAAUAAUAUCUAAUAAUAUUGUUCAAAACUUUAAAAUAUUUUAUUUAUUUAAGAAAAAAAUAAAAAAAAAUUCAAAUAUUUUCUUUUCCUCUAUGAUUUAAUAUCAGGAUUGGAUUCGCAAAGGUGUUUUAGAUAUUAAGAAAUAAACUUAAACAUUUUCAACAAUAGUACGGAACAUAUAAGCAAAAGUUUUAUUUUUUUAGUAGAUCGGAAUGCCUUUUGAGAGAGAAAAAAUAAAAGCAACACAUCGAAUACUCUGUCAAAUUUAUUUGACUCUAACAAAAACUAUACACAAAACUCAUAAAUUAUUUUUAAUUCAGUAUAUAGAUUGAUUCGUGUGUUGGUAAAGCUGCGUGACGUUUUGAAUAUAAUAUAAAAUUAUUAAAGAGUCACAAACUAUUUUGUAAUUUUGAAUUUUAAAGUCUAUAUAUAUGACUUUUGAUAUGAGAUAUGUCACAAGGGCACUCCUGCAUUAAAUGCGUGCAAUUUAAUUAAUUAAAUAUAAUAUAAUUUCCCCACUCGGGAGACAAAUUCCACGACGCAAACUCCCCUUUACAUCCAUGAUCCAUACUAGAAAAUCUCAACUACCACGUAUUUAUUUACCAAACACUCAAGACUUUUAAUACACUCCCUAAUAAUCUUAUCCUUUGAUUGUUAUUAAAAUAUAUUAUCAAAGAGAUUUUAAUUAAGUAAUUAAUUAUGUGGUUAAUUAAUUAAUUAAGUAAUUAAUUUGGAAAAUUUUGGUUGUACGGUGCAAUGACCGGUCGACGUGGCGGAAGAGACCUCCGAACGUCCGCCGUGGACCAAAUGCUGUCGCCAGGAACGCCGACACGUCGGCGUGCGGUGGAGAUCACGAGGUGGCGCCCGAUUGACGCUGACCCGCCGUCCGAUCGGAAAGGUAUCGUCUCGGCCUCUCGGGAGACAUUUAUUUCCGUGGACCCGGUGGUCCAUAGGCCGGGUCUUGUUAGGUAACGCGGUGGCUAAAAAAUAUUUUUAAUUUUGUUAUAUGUGUUAUGUAAUUACAGUUACAACCGCCACCGAAAAAAUAUUGGAGGAGAAAAAAAAUCACAAGAAUUUUUCAAUUUUUUAGGAAUUUUUUCGUAGAAUAAAAAUUAAUAUUUUUAGGCACUAAAUUAUCAAACUAUGCAUAAAUUAUACUUGUGGCUCUCAAAUCAUGAGACACGUCAAUUUUUUUGUUCUCAAACUUUAAUUUAUUAUACUCCGACUUUUAAAUGAUCAUAAUUGAAUAGAUGUUAACAUAUUAUUGAUAUAGAAAAUAUAUAAGAUCUUAAUCAUUAUUGUAUUGUCAAACAUAAUACUGCAUGUGUGCUAUAUUACUUUCAAACACUGAUCUAAUGCUAGAUGAAAAUGAUCUUCUAGCCAUUUUAAGUGUUAGUUUGAAUGAAAUGAACAUUUUAUAUAAUAAUUAGUUUUUUCUUACUCACAAAUAAUUCAAAAACUGAUAAAUGACAAAUAUGAAAAUGCAUUAGUCGUAAAUUAUAAUGAUUGAGGAAGAUUUUGGCAAUUAAUGCAUUAGUUAUCACCAAACAACUCAUUACAGUAUAAACCAGCUAAAAUUAUAAUUUUUUGAAAGCUUUUUUUUCCAUACAUAACACAUUCAUUUCUACGACUGAUAAAUGAUAAAUAUGAAAAUGCAUUACCUGUGAAUUAUAAUGAUUAAGAAAGAUUUUGGCAACUAAUGCAUUGGUUAUCACCAAAGAACUCAUUCCGGUAUAAACCAACUAAAAUUAUAAAUUUUCGAAAGCUUUUUCCCCAUACAUAACACAUUCAUUUCUACAACUGAUAAAUGAUAAAUAUGAAAAUGCAUUAGCUGUAAAUUAUAAUGAUUAAGAAAGAGUUUGGCAACUAAUGCAUUGAUUACCACCAAAGAACUCAUUGUGGUAUAUACCAGCUAAAAUUAUAAAUUUUUGAAAGAUUUUUUUUCCGUACAUAACACAUUCAUUUCUACGAUUGGUAAAUGAUAAAUAUGAAAAUGUAUUAGCUGUAAAUUAUAAUGAUUAAGAAAGAUUUUGGCGACUAAUGCAUUGGUUAUCACCAAAGAACUCAUUAUGGUAUAAACCAGUCAAAAUUAUAAACUUUUGAAAGCUUUUUCUCCAUACAUAACACAUUCAUUUCUACGACAUGAUGAUACUUAGGCCACGAAUUUCUAUAACUGAGAAUUUUUUUUUAUUUUUUUUUUUUUUGAAAGAUAGGUACAUUUAGAAAUAAACUUAACUGGAAAUAUGAAUCAACUAGAAUUCGAACUUGGGUCUCGGAUACCAACCACCAAACCCUUUGUCACUUGCUCUAGGAACGGUCAGUUAAUUUUUUUACACCGACAAAUUAGAGAGUUAUAGAUCACAUCUGACUAUUCAUAUAUAGCCAACGGAAAGCGUUUAAAUUUCGGUCCAUGCAAUAAUAUCUCUCAUCUCACAAUUAUAAAUGUUGGAAUCUCUGAUUAUAUAUUCUUUUUUUUUUGAGAUAUUUAAACUCUUUUUUUUGAGAUAUCUGAUUAUAUAUUCGAAUAAAACUAAUUAUCCAUCGACCUACUUUAUUGUUAAACCUCCGUUUGUUGGUGGUUAAGGAUUAUCCUUUGGAUUUAAGAUCAUGAUGGGUGUGUGUGUGAUUGUGGUCCACUGAUCGGACGGUUGAGAUGUUCCAAUCAAAAGACAUUAUCACUCUCCAAAUAAUAAUAAUAAUAAUAAUACGGUCAACUUUAAUUCACAUUCUGUGGUUUAGGGGCUGUUUGGUUCGACGUAAAAGUAAAACUCGGAAAAAAAAAAUUUUGGUGGAAAAAAAUUUUCGAUGAAAAUUUUUUUUUACGUAGUUUAGUAUAUAGUUUGUAGGAAAAGAAAAAUAAUUUUCCAUGAUGAUUAUUUGGUUGAAAGGAAAAAAACAAAACAAAAAACCUGUGUAAUAUAUUUUUUAUUAUAUAUUAUUAUUAUUAUUAUUAUUAUUAUAUAAUAAUUAAUAUACUAUAUAUAAUAUUAUUAUAAUUUUUAUAUAUAGAUUAAAUAUAUUUACAUUUAUAAUAAAUAUAUUACAUAAUAUAUAAAAGUUAUAUAUUUAAAAAUAUUAAUAAAUAAUUACAAAUUUAUAAAUAAAAUAUUAUAUAAUAAUAUUUCUAUAUAAAAAUAAAUGAAUAUAUAAUAAAUAAAUAUAUAUUUAUAACUAAUAUAUAUAUAUAUAUAGAGUAGGGCUAGAAUACUUGUAAAAGUAUCAUGGGGGGUGAUACUUGUGUGUUUUUAGCCCUUGGAUGGAGAGAUGUGAGGUUGAUAUGAUAGUGGUAGGUGGUGGUAUAUAUAUAUAUAUAUAUAUAUAUAUAUAUAUAUAUAUAAUUGAGCUCCUAUAUUUUUAAAAGUAAGAGAGAGGUCUACUGUGGUGUGGACCUCCCUCUCACACGGUCCACGAGGUGAGAAUGACCUCGUGGACCGCGUGCUCAAAUCUUUUGUGCCGCGCCUUUUUCAAUGGGUUUUCGUUUUUGCGAGUGCACCUUCGUCUCACGCGGUGCACGAGGCGAGGAUGACCUCAUGGACCCCGUGCUCAAACCUCUCUUGAGCCGUGCCUUUUCAUCAAUGGUUUUCGUUUUCUACGGACGGCAAGCGAAAGACGAAAACUUGAGUUCUUCAAAGAAUCUGUAAACAAAAUUUUUCAAAAAAUUUUUUUACAGGCAACCAAACAUUGGAAAAAAAAUUUUCAACCGAAAAAAAUUUUCGGAGCAAUUUUACAAGAAUACAAACACACCCUUAGCGUAUUUUUAUUUUACACUCAUUGUUAUAAUGUAGCACUUACUCUUAACUUAGAAUAUUUUAACUUUACCAUUUUGUAAUUCAACAAUCUUUACUCAAGGAACAUAUAGUUUAGUGUGUUUUAACUGUCAUAACAUAAUGUAGUUUAAAAGUUACACAUAACUACUUCAUAGUUUUAUUUUUAUUCCUCGGUAAAGAUUUAUUAAACGUGAUACCACUCUAUGGUUUGUUAAAACAAUUAUUUUGUACGACUUUUUAAAAUUAUAGGCGAUAAAAUGAAAAUACAUUAAACUAUGGAGGGACAAAUUAAAAUUUACCCUAAUAAUAAUAAUAUAAAAAUGUAAAGAACAUGCUUGAACUAUAAACUAUUUUGAUUCGACUAUCCAACUUUUUAGAAUUUUGAUUUUAGUACCCAAGCCCUUUAAUUUAUUAAAUUUAAGUUAUUUGAUGAUUAUUUUGAUACUAACUAAACAUGCAAAGAUAAAAUAAUAAAUUUUAAUUUUUGAAGUAAAGAAUCAUUAGUUGACUUAAAUCAAAUAAAACAAAAAUUCAUAUGGCAGAAAUUAAAACUUCUAAAAAUAGAUAAUAGUUAAGAUAAAUUAUAUACAAAAUUUACCCAAUCAUAUAUAUUUUUAGGGUAAAUUUCAGAUACCACUCUUAUGGUUUCACACUUUCUCACUUUAGUACCAUGUGGCUUAAAGUGUGUCAAGUUAGUGUCCUGUGAUUUUAUUUUUAUCUUUUCGUCAGUUUUUCUGUUAACAUUUCAUUAAAUUAUAUAUAAAAAACUUUACCUAGAUUUAUCAAAUAUUCACUUUAAUUAGUACCGUUUAGUUUUAACUUUGUCACUGAUUUAACGAAAAAAAUUAGUAAAAUCGAUAAUAAAAAAAAAUCAUAAAACACUAAUUUGAUACACUUUAAACCACAUGAUACUAAAGUUACAAAAUAUAAAACCACAUAUCAUAGGUGGUAUUUAAAAUUUUUUCAUAAUUUUUAUUUAACGGGCUUUAACUACCAACAACGGUCGGUUCCAGAAAAAAAAAAAAAAGAAAAAAAAACUACCAACUGUUUGUAUUUGCGGUGCCACGUGGCUGCGGCAAUGUCGGCAGCAGGUGAAGCCGCGUGGGGUCGCAGGGGAGCGGAGACGAAUCGGUGCGACCCCACCAACGAUUCGCCACGUGGGACCCGGGUAAAUAUGGGCUGGUUACGUGGCGUGCUGUGGUAGGGCCAUUUGGUGGAAUCGGAUUCGGUGGGCCCUGCAGGAAAUCCUAGGAACAGUGAAAGUUCCUACUAGACCAGCUUUGCCGACGAUGAAAAAUAGUUAUCGUAUCAACAUCUCUUAGCAUCUUACUUUUGAAAUUUUGUUAAUUGAUGCAACUUAUAAGGUAAGGUUUCUAUCGACUAGUUUUACGUAAUUUUGAUAAUUAUACUCAGACAACGCUUCUGUAGGGAUAGUGAAAGUUCCUACGCGGGAAUGUGAAUAAACCAGCUUUGCUGACGAUGAAAAAUAGUUAUGGUAUCAACAUCUCUUAGCAUCUUACUUUUGAAAUUUUGUUAAUUGAUGUGACUUAUAAGGUAAGAUUUCUACCGACUAGUACUGUUACGUAAGUUUGAUAACUAUACUCAAACAGUGUUUCUGUAGGGAUAGUGAAAGUACCUACGCGGAAACGUGAAUAGACCAGCUUUGCCGAUGAUGAAAAAUAGUUAUCAUAUCAACAUCUCUUAGCAACUUACUUUUGAAAUUUUGUUAAUUGAUGUAACUUAUAAGGUUUCUAUCGACUAUUGCUACGUAAUUUUGAUAACUAUAUUCAAACAGUACUUCUAUAGGGAUGGUACAGAGCAUAUUAUUAGUAAAGUACAUGUAAAACCAUGCGAAUAUGAUUCAUGGCCCGACUUGGUCUGAUUGAAGACACUUAAGUAGGCUAGAUUUAAAAGUAGAGUUAUUUGCACCAUUUAUUUAAACCUAUUUGAUGUAAACAAUAAGGCCUUUUUUUUUUAUUUUCUGACUCUAGGGAGUGAACGUUAUAAGCUGUAUAAAAUUGUUCCAUAGAAAAUAUUUCUUUUUCGGUGUAAGGAGCAGCACAUCUAUUAGAUCUUUUACAGAAAUUGAUUUAGCAUAUGAUUUUCUACAGUUUCACGAGAAGAUGGAAAAAUAUAUUUCUAUAUUUUUCACAUUUAUGUAUAAUUUAUUUAUCAAUUCUUUUUGCUUGCAGCUGUAACUCUCAGAAUAGGAAAAUAUAAAAAGCAAAAAAAAAAAAAGGUGUUCUUUUGAUACCAUAAUUAAUCACUUUGAUCACCAAUCAAAGGACAAAGUUUGUCAAAACACCAGCAUGUUCUGGUCAGUGAUGCUGACAAAGCUGACAAAUUGAAUCUAGCCAGAUAUACUUUUGAACAGGAAUGAAAGUAAGUGCCCAUUGACCCCCACUUCUGAUUCCACCAACAAUCGAUUUUAAUUUACGGACCGUUUUUAGCGCAAGUGGCAAAAAUCUGGAUGAUUAAUAUCCGAAAUUUUAAGUUCGAAUGUUAAUUAAUUUAUAUUUUUAGUUAAAUUUACUUUCAAAAAAAAAACAAAGCAGAUAAUAUUCUAUCUUUCUCUCUCAAAAAAAAAAAAUUGAAUUUUGAUUUAGUGAGUGCAUUAUAAACUAGAAAAAUUUACUACAUUAGCUUCAAUGAGAAUCAGCGAUUAAGUUUUGAGACCUAAAACACAAAGUUCAAAUUUGGCGUUUUACUUCUCUGCAGAGACAGCCCUAAGAUAGAAUUUUAGUAUGAUAUUUAUUUUAAAAAAUAUUAAUUAAGAACAGUUCAUUCAGUAAUAUUACAUCCUACUGUUGAAAUGCCAGAAAAGACUUGAUUUUUUGUGUGUGUUUGUUUGCCCUUAGGGCUCGACUCAAGCGUCGUUUAAAAAAUGUCUUUAUAAUGAGAUUUUCUUGCAGUGAAUUAAUGUGAUAUUUAUUCUAAAAAUGCUAAUUAACAACAGUUCAUCCAAUAAUAUUACAUCAUACUCUUGAGGGAUAAAAAGAAUGUUUUUUUUUUCUUUUUGUGUGUGUGCACGCGCGUCCCCUUAGGGCUCUAUCCUGAUCUCCUUAGGUAUCGUUUGGUUCGGGAAUAAGCAAAAAGUAUCUACUCCAAGAAUAGGUAUAAAUUGAGGUAUAAGCAUGGAUUGGAUCAAUUUUGCAUUUGGAUGAAAAUUAGGUUACUCAUGAAAAUAAAAAAAUAGAGUUUGGUUAGGUAAGAUGGAAUAAGAAGGAUAGUAAAUUUUUAUAAAUAAAAAAAUAAUAUUACACUCUUGUUAUUUUUGAAUUUGAAAUUUGAAAUUUUUAAAUUUUAAAUUUUAACUUUGAAAUUUUAAAAUUUUAAAUUAAAACUUUAAUUAAGAUCAAAUUUAAAUUUGAAAAAUAUUAUUAUAAUAUUUAAAUAUAAUUUAUUAUAAAAUUUAUUAUAAUAUUUAAAUAUAAAUAAUAUGUAUUAAUAUAGUACAAUUAAUAAUUUUAUAAUAAAAAUAAUGUAUUAUAAUAUAGAACAUAUUAUUUUUAUAUAAUUUAGUUUUAAUAAUUUAUAAUUUUAAUUAGGUUUGAAAUUAAGCAUUGGAAUAGCACUAUUCCACCAAAAUGGUGGAAUAGAAAAUUCCUUACUAUUCCGGGAUAACCGGAAAUAGAAAAGUUUGAUCGAGAUAAAAUAUUUCGGUAAAAACUCACCAUGUUUGGCGGAAGAGCAGGGAUAACUUUCGUUAUUCCUAUUUAUUUCUUAAACCAAACGGGGCCUCAGUAUAUACACUAUUUUAAUACUGAAAAAAUACAAGGGACAUGAACCUUUUUUUUCUUUUUCUUUUUUCUCUAAAAGCUCAAUCAGGGAUCAAACCCUGGAAUCAAAGGUCAGAAACCAGUGGUUGCUACAUCUAAAUCAAUAUUAUUCUUCCUAUGUACUUGCCAUUUGCUUAAUACCACAGAUGAUCCAAAUCAUGGCCACCAAAUUCCAAGAUUAAGAUAAUUAUUUUGCUUCAAACUAGGGAAAAAGAAUUUACUAUUGUAAUUAUAUAUUGGACUUUUAUGUUCAAAAGUUGGCGUAAAUCUUAUACUUCACAUACUUAAUUAAGGGUUGAUUAUAUUACAAUAAUCUUAUCCCAAUCUUAUUUUCUUAAAACUAAAAAUCUUAAAAGAGAUAUGAGUUGUAAGAUGUAUAUGCUUCAAUUUUGGAAGCAAAGAUAAUAUUUUUGUUUCAAGUUAAGGAACGUCAUAGAUAUUUGAGGGAUUUGAACUACAACAGAUUUAGAUUAUAGGGACACAUGUUUGGAACAUUUUUGUGUAAGUAUCCAAUUUAUGCCAAAACUUAAAAAAAAAAUCUACUAAUGCCUAAAUAUAAAGUCCAAUCCAACCAAAAAUAAAAGGUUACUCUACUCAACUCACCCCACCCAGCCCAUUCGGCCCGAUUACAAACAGAAAAGAAAAAGAAAAAAAAAAAUCGAUUACCAUUUCCCCUUUUCCCCUCACUCAAUCGACUGAAAUCCUAGAUUAAGAUUCCUUCCUCUCGUCCUCCCCCGCCACUGCAGCCAACGAGGUAGAGUUCCAGCGGCUACUAAAUGCUUAAAUAAAUAUUGGUAAAUUAGCAGCACUUUUUUAGGUUAUAGCGACACUAUUCAACUGUCACUAUAUACCUAGCGACCCCACAUAUAACAACAUUUUUUAAAAGUGUCGGUAAUUUAUCUAGCAGCACUUUUUUUGACCUGUACCGACAUUUAAAGUGUCGCUAUAGACCGUUUUUGUUGUGAGCUUCACUUGGGGCCUAUUUGUUUGCAAGGAAGUGGGAGGGAGGAAAUGAUUUUCGGUGAAAGCUGACCACUUUUAUUGUUUGGUUCGCCGUAAAAAAGUUACGGUCGAUACUCCGGUUAGGUAAAAAUAGUUAUAUUUAAAUAUAUUUAAUUAUGGUACUAAUUAUUUUUUUAUUCAUUUGGCAUAUAUAAAAUAUGAUAAAAAUUAAUUAAUUAAGUUUUAUUUUUUUUAUUUAGUUUGUAUAAUGAAAAUAUGAUAAAAAUUGAUUAAUUAAAUAUUAAUAUUUUUUACUUUAUAAUUUUAUCAUUGUAUUACUAUAAUUUAUAUAUAUAAAAAUAAUUUAGUUGUUUUAAGUUAAAUUUUAAUUAUAUAAAAAUAUAAUUAUAUUAUUUUUAUUUAUUAAAUUAUUUAUUAUUUAUAUAUAAAUUAUAGCUUACAUCAUACACUUUUUACCAAACAAACAGCAGAACUAAUAAAACUUCACUCCCAUAACUACAAAACAAACCGCGGAGGAGAAGUAGUUUUCACCGAGCUCCACUUCAACUCAAAAUUUAUUUCAACCCAAAUUUCAGUUCCGAUGAAACAAACAUGUCUUUGGCUUAACCUGUUAUUGGAAAAGUUAAAUAAUAAAGAAAUUAAAUGCGAAAAGGAUCAGGCGUAGGCACAUGGGGCCAUGCAUGUGUAUGUAUCAGUGUGGGUGGGGCUCAAAGCCUCAAAUGAAUGCAACGUUUUCAAGGUGUAAUAAGGACUCUAGCGCACCCUCACAUGCCCUUCAGAAACUUUUUGUCCGGUAUAUUCAGUUGGAAAUUUUUUUAAAAGAAAAUACAAAAAAAAAAAAACAAAGUUAGGGGGAUUUUAGUUCUUGUGGUUUGAAAAUACAAUAUUACCCUUAUAAUGUUUCAUUACCAUUUUAACUUGUAUAUUAAUAUGAUAAAUCUUCUUAGCUAUUAACCAUAGUAAGUAUCUAUUGGUGCAUAUCUAGAACCCUUCAUAUUCAUAAAUUAUUUUCAAUAAUAGAGCUUCCGAAUCGACGAUUCACACCGUCAAAUAUGAUUUAAAGUAUUUAAAAUUUCUAGAAAAUAAAUUUCAUAAUUUUUUGAAAUCAUAAUAAAGUCCAUCAAGCGAGCAUAAAAUAAAUGGUUAAAAUCGAACGAUGUCUUUAAAAUAGAUGGUCGGAUAUUUUAAUUUAUGAUCGGAGUUAUUGAUCUUUAUCUAGAUAGUGAACAGAACUUUCUAUUAAACAUUCAACCGAUUUUGAUUUUUUGUAUCGUUAAACUAACAAGUAUUCUAUAUUGGUCCUUAAAAAUUAUCAAUUUUAAAAUCUUUUGAUUGUAAGGUAAAUGAUAUCAAAAAUUAUAAAAUUUGAUUUCUAAAAGCUUUAAAUACUUUGGAUAAUGUUUAACGAUACAGAUCAGCGAUUUGAAAGCUCUAUCACCGAAAAUAACUUAUGAGUACUAAGACGAUCGUACUCAUAAUAAUAUAGUAGUCGAACUCUCUCUCUCUCUCUCUAUAUAUAGUAGGGCUACUGUGCUAUAGCACGGUAGCCUUUGUCCUCCUAACUUUCUAACCGUCCAUCAAUUUUAAUGGGUGGUUAGAAUGAGAAAGUGAAGAAAAUUUUGGGGGAAAUUAAGUGUCUCAAUUUCUUUUCUUUUUGAAUUUUUCUCCAAUUUCUCUUGUCUCUCUCUCUGGCCCUAAUCAUUCAUCAAAUUUGAUGGGUGAUUAGAAAGUUAGAAGCAUAAGGACUGCUAUACUCCUAAUAGCACAGUACCCCUAUUCUAUAUAUAUAUAGAAUUAGGCUGGAAUACUAUCAAUAGCACUAAGUUAUUUGUGCUAUUAGUUUUGUAGCCUUUGGAUUGAGAAAUGUGUGGUUAAGAUGAUAUGCGCCCCUAAGGUUGAGUGAGUAAUUGGUUGAAUAGUAUAAUGUAACGGAUAAAAAUAAUCAAAGGAUUAAAUCUAAUUGUGGAAACUUAAUAGCAUCAAGCCCUUAGUGUUAUCGAUAGUAUCCCAGCUGAACUCUAUCAGCUCAUUUGGAUUGGUGAUAAGGGGUGGAAUAACCCCUUAUCCCUCCUUUUGUACCCAAAUGCUAAUUUUUAUCCGAGAAUAGUAUUUCUCGGGUAUCUGAAAUAAGUUGGUAUAGCAAUCCCCACCAACACCUCCAUUUUCUAUAUAUAACUGCCCAUUAUUUUUCUUAUUCCAUAUCAUCUAUCCAAAUGCUAUUUUUCUUAUCCCAGGAAGCAAUCCAAUUUUCAUCCAAAAGCUAUUUUUCUUAUCUCCAUACUUGUAUCUAUUCCUGUGAUAGCUAAUUCUUGCUUAUAUCCGAACCAAACAGUGCCAUAUAUAUAUAUAAACAUAUAUAUAUAUAUAUAUAUAUAUAAACAUAUAUAUAUAUAUAUAUAUAUAUAUAUAUAUAUAUAUAUAUAUAUAUAUAUAUAUAUAUAUAUAUAUAUAUAUAUAAACAUUAUUAAUUAAUGCACAAGAUUCUACAACUACCACCAGACACCUAAACCGUUCGUAGAGACAGUUGCGACAGUUUUUUUGUUUUAAUAUAUAUAUAUAUAUAUAAAAUUUUCGUUUCUUUUACGAAAAUUAAUUAAUGCGACAACCGACACGGCAGUUGAAGAAGGCAUGCAGGGGCGUUGGAUCUCCCACCGGAAGCCAUGUUAGGUUAUGUUAAUGUUAGUGUCGUGCCUUUUUUAUUACAUAUAAAUACAUAAUAAUACAACCCCUGCAGCAGCUGCAGGCCAAGUGGUGGCGGGCCCCACCACGUGACGUCCGCGCGCAAACGCACUCGCCUAUCCUCGGGCGACGUGUUUCCCGCGCCGCGCGGGUCUCGCCAAUUUUUUCCACCACGAUCGAGUCCCCGCCACCAUUUAAGGAGGAGCGCCUUCCCCACCCGCACCUCCAUUAUCAUUAUCUAUAUCUAUAUAUAUAUAUAUAUAUAUAUAUAUUUACUAACUAACGAAUGAAGCUUAUAUUUCAAACGUACUUCUUUAGAAAACUUGGAACCUAGCUAGUUUGAUAACAUUAUGGUCAAAACGUACUUUUCUUUUUUAAUAAUAUUAAUUUUAUAUAAUUUUUUUUUGUAAAUAUAUUAAAUAGUAAAAUAUAUUUUUAAAAAAAUUAAAUUUUUUUUAUUUAUCUUUAAAAAAGUCCAGUAAUAUUCAUGUUUGUCUUUUUGGUUUAUUAUCCUUAAAAUACGAUUUAUUCUUUAACAGAAAAUAAGUAAAAUAAUAUUUUUGCCAUCACAAAUACCUUCCUCCAAAAAUUUCAACGGUUAGAAUUAAUGGUCAUUUCUUUCUUUCUACCAUCACAAAUAAUAAAAGAACGGUAAAAAUAUCAUUUUACCUUAUUUACUAACCAGAAUUAAGUAUUUUAUAUACAUAUAGUAGUUAACUAUAUUUCUCUAACGGAUUCUAAUAGCAGGAAUAUAUUUUAAAAAAUUUAGACUUUUGUUUGGACAUAUAUGCUAUUCGAUAUGUUUAUAGAGAGCUGUACGCAAUUAACCUUUUUUUAUAUUAUACAAAAUUUAAAAUUUUUUAUUUUAUAAAAUAACAUUGGUCACAGUAAUUUAUUCUUUUUUAUUUUUUGGAUUGUGUAUAGUGUAAAAGAUAUUUUCAGCCAUUAUAUUGCCAAACUAGCUUGGCCUUAUAAAAAUAUUUUUUUAUAAAAUUAUGAAUAGUAUUAUAAGAAUUUUGUUCGAAUUAAAAUAUGAAUUGAUAUAUAUUUGCUCCUCACUAUAGCUAACUACCGUAUAUAUAACUUGUAGCUUAUGUUCGAAUUUAUAUCACUUAAUUAGGGCUUUAUAAUUUGAACUUCUUUUUGGUUCAGCUUAUAUCGUCGUCUAUUUUUUUUUAUCUUAGUACUUGUUUUAUUUGAUAGAGUCUAAUUUAUCAUUUUAUUAAAUUAUGAGGCAGUGAUGACACUCAGGUAGAGAGUUAAAACAGAUAUUUACCAAUAUUUGUUUGACAUAAGGUUAGUAAUAUGGACAAGUUUAAUAAUUUUUUAAAAUUUUGAAGCGUGUUUUUAAUGUUGACAAUUUUUUUUCAAAAAUUCUAAGAAAUUAUGGAUGGACGAAAGGUUACAAACAAAUUAACCCGUUAAUCACGGAGUUAGUUUUAAUUGUUUACAACCCCAUUCAAAAUAUUUAAAAGUAAAAAUUCUCUAAAAAUGGGAUUUGAACUUAGAGUCUCAUAACUCGAGGAGUCGAGGGUAAUUAAUACUAUUGGAUCAUAUCGAUGUUGUUUAGUGUGAAAUAACCGUUGUACUCUAAAAACUUGAGCUUUUAGAGAGCGGUGUUUAAAUAUUUUUAUAUUUAACAUCUAGUGUUAGAAUAAUUGAGAAAAAAAAAUACUGCAUUAGAAAAGUGGCUUUCAAUAAAAUAUUUUUCUUGUAGAAGGAGGAAGAAGAAAAAAGAAGAAUUCGGAGAUCUUUUAUUUCGGGCCUUUCUUCUGAUUAAUUCACAGUACAGUAAUUAGAUGCUCUGCUGAAAAUGACUAUUGUCGAAAGCGAAAAAGUUUUUUCUGAUUAAUUCACGGUACAGCGAUUAGAUUCUCUACUAAAAUGACUGUUGUCGAAAGCAGAAGAAGCGAUCCAAACAUACAAUAAUUAGUGCAGGUGCUGCUAAAUUAUCCAACAGCUCCUCAGAUACUGAUUCGCAGAGAAGCAUUAUGCUAUCACAGUUGGGGGUUUUGGAGUUGUGUGAAGCUCACUAUUACAUGUCCACGUAUUUGGUUUUGCUCAUUACAUAUUUUCUUCAUUUUGAAGCACCAAUAAGAUGUUGGAUCAGAUCAUAUAGUAUCUAUAUUUUAUUACAAUUUUAUUUUAUCAUAUUUUCAAAUCUAUAGUGAUACUCAAAGGAAUCUUCCUGAUAAUCAUCAUAAGGAUAUCUCUUGUACAUGCAGGGUUUUUUUAUAUAUAUAACUUUUUGAAGGGUUCAAUUGAAUAUGUUUAAUUAAAAAGCCACAUGAUUAAAGUCGCAACAACUUACUAGCCGAAAUUAGAAUUCUAAACCAACUUAUGAAAUUGAUCAAAAAGAUAUAUAAUUUUUCAUUAUAUUUUUAAUAAAAUAACUUAAAGGGAAUAUGCAUUUGUCAAGGACUUCUCUUGCAGAGAUCAAAUGAUAAAUGCACCAUAAAUAUAUAAUAAUUAACACUCACCAAUGUUAAAAUAAAUUAAUGGAGCAUAAAUUAACUAAUUACUGUCACAUGGAUUUCAACAUGAAUUAAUCUCAAGCUUAAUGGAAAGUUAUGCACCCAUGUAGCCUAAAACCACUACAUAUAUAUAAUUAUAUAUUAUUAUAUAUAACUAUCAGUAGGGAUCAUGUAGGGUGAUUUCCAAAUCUACUUUAAUAUCAAUGUUGUCUAAUAUAAUCUUAUCCCUUUUUUUUUUUUGAUAGUUCGUAAAUUAAUUAAUGCCGCAUCAUUAUAUCAAAUUUACAUAAAACUAUUAUUUUAAAUACCUUUUAAUAUAAAAAUAUGAAGUUAAGGCUCUUCAACCGGUAAUUAUAAUUAUAAAUUAAUAUUAGACGGCGAUUAAGCGAAAACAUAUAUUCAUGAUCAACCAAAGUCAAAACUCUUAAUUAUAGUUUGUGAUCUUUGUCCACUGUGUGGUCUGUGUGGCAUGCAUGUGAAGUGAUAAUGCGCUGAUUAUUUUAUAACUAAAUAAAUUAAUCAAACCAUUAAUUAUAAAUUAUUUUCUCAAUUGUUUAGAUUGAUGAAGCGAUUAAAGUAUUGAUAUGCGAUCGAGUAGUUUAAUUUCCCCAAUGAUGCAAAACCUGUGUGAGGCUUGAUUUGCAUGAGAGCUUGUUCUUAUUUGCAGUACUUAGGAAGUGUCAGGUAUUAACUUAUAAUCCUUAAUAAUAAUUAAUUAUGUAUCUACUUUUUUAUAUUUUGUGAUAAGCUUAGCUGGUUGUGUCCAAAUUAUGAACUAAUAAUUUGUACAUUUGUAAUUUUUAAUUAAGCCUAUAUCUAUAUAUUCUCGUAGGGCACUUGCAAUCAAAGCAAAUCUAUAUAUAUAUAUAUAUAUAUAUAUAUNUUUGUAGUUAAUUUGAUCCCUAGCCUAUAAAAGGCCACUAAAAUAAUGAGUCCUCUUAAUAAGUAUAUAAAAUAUAGAAUUAAUUUCAGAUAGGUUUCUUCAAAUAUAGUGAAUUACAAAUAUGUUUCUAUAAAGUUCAAUUUUAAUAUAUUGUUCUUACAAAAGUUCUGAUAUUUUUAAAUAUGUCCCUGCUAUUAGGAUCCGUCAGACAAAAUUAGUUAACCAUAAGUAAAAUACUUAACUCUAGUUAGUUACUGAGGUGAAUUGACCUUUUUACCCCUCUUCAAUUAGCAGCAAUUCACUAUAUUUGAAUUGCAGUUAUAAAAUAAACAGUAUUUUAACGAUAACAAAUCAGAGCAAUAUAUUUAAAAAUAUUAUGAUUUUUGUAGCAACAUCAUAUGAAAGUUGAAUUUUAUAGGAAUAUAUUUAUAAUUUACUAUGUUUGUAAGAAUAUGUAUAAAAUUAACCAUAAAAUAUAUUAGUGACGGAAUCUUGGUGCAGAAGCAUUACAAUAUGUAAGGAUAUGUAUUUUUUUAUUAUUAUUUUAGGAUCAUGUUCGGGCGUUACAUUCGGUUAUUUAGUUGAAAAUUAUGUGUUAUGAAGAGUGAGGAAUUUGAUCUCUAGUUCCUAUUUACGAAAUGAUCUAUUUUAUUUCGAAAAAAUGAAUAAAACGUCAAAUAUGCUACGUGUAAAUUUUGAAAAUCAAUUAAUUCAUUAAUAAAAAUUAACACUGAAUACAAUAUUUAUUAUGUAUUUAAACAGGACCUGAAUAAAUAAAUCCAGUGUGAAAAAUGCCACAAUUUAUUCGUCCUGUACGCAGUCCUGCGUCCUUUCAACUGAAACCGGAUCUGAUCCGAAUCACAAUAUCUUCGUACGUUAAUUUCUAUUCAAAGCUUAAAAAAAAAAUCAAAUCAAAUCAAGUAAAACCAAAUCAAAUCAAGUUAAUUUGGUCCACGUGAUUUGGUUCCCGUAACAUCCAAUUGAGGUUCGUCAAAGAAAGGUUUUAAAUGUGUCUUUCCAAAUUUAAUACGUUCGCCACGUGUACUACUUAGGUUUGCAUGAUCCAACAAUAGAAUAAUUAUUAUUAUUAUUAUUAUUAUUAUGUAAAAAAUUAUGUAAAGUAAUUAUUGUAUAAAUAUAAAAGGCUUUUUAAAACCAGAGAAGAUCUUUUGUUCUAAUACUUAAUUUCAGAACAAAAAAACUUAAAUCUUAUUAAAGCUACUAUUUUCCUAUCUUUUAUAUUUAUACAAUAAUUACUUUACAUAAUUUUUUACAUAAAACCAGAGAAGAUCUUUUGUUCUAAUACUUAAUUUCAGAACAAAAAAACUUAAAUCUUAUUAAAGCUACUAUUUUCCUAUCUUUUAUAACAAGAUUAUAAUCAUUUAAAUAGUUUCAUCUUUUAAAAAUAAACUUUUUUUAAAAAAACAACUUUUGUUUAAAUUCCCACCGUAUAAAUGUGAGACCCCAGAUAGUCCUAUAUAUGAAAUAUAAUAGGGCUAAACUCUUAACCCGACUUAAACAUUUUGAGUGGUGGCAAGGCCCAAGACGUUAAGAGAGUUAAGCGUGCUAAGACGGAAGUAGUUCUAGGAUGGGUGAUCCUCUGGAAAGUUGGGGCGCCACAGAUAGUAUCAGAGCUAAUUACCAGCCGGAAGUGUGAGAUGAGUCUCAGCUGAGCCAGAGUCUAGAUGACGGGCUAGCGAGACGAGUCUCACAUCGCCUGAUACUUGUGAGUCUGAGCCUGACGAGUACGUCAAGGCUUAAAGGAGGGGAGAUUGUGAGACCCCAAAUAGUCCUAUAUAUGAAAUAUAAUAGGGCUAAACUCUUAACCCGGCUUAAGUAUUUUGGGUGGUGGCAAGGCCCAAGAGAUUAACAGAGUUAAAAGUGCUAGGACAGGAUUAGUCAUAGAAUGAAUGACCGCCUGGAAAGUUGGCGCGCCACAAUAAACGUGCAAGCCCAAGACCGAAUUCGAGUACUCUUUAGGCUCUUGCCGAUCCUUACUACUGUAUUUGUAUCAGAUUAAAAGAUUCCGUGAACAAAAAACCUUAUGUCAUUCGCAGACGUGGGUGUGCCAAAUGUUAUCUCCGGGAAGGACAAACACAAUAAAAAAGUAAAAAAUAAAUUUAUUUAGCUGAUGACGAUAUUUUGUUUACUCGGAAUAAAGAAUCGUCGAAAUUAUUCUUUCUUUUCUUAGAAUGAAAGGAUUAGUCGUUCUCCCCGGCCCCUCUUUCCACAACCUCGUUACUUAGUCACAAAAUUCCGAAUAUUCUUUUUCGUUGUGGAAUAAAAGCAAUGCUUUGUUAUCACCCCCUUCUUUAGUUUUUCCACAUUCUUUUUAUUUUUAGAAAAAAACAAUAUUGUUAAAACUAGUUUUGAUAUUGAUAUAUAACGCAAAUACAUUAUAUCUGACUAUAAUUUGCAUUUUUCUAAAGCGGUGAUAGUGUAAACUACUUUGACAACAUCAGAUCCCUUUUUAAAAACUAUGUAUGUGUAAUUUAUUGUGGAUAAUUCAAAAAUAUAAGUCAGAAGAUUGUACUAUAUAUAUAUAUAUAUAUAUAUAUAUAUAUAUAUAUAUAUAUAUAUAUAUAUAUAAUAUUUAUUAUAAUAUCGAGCUUAGUAUUAGAAAAAACUAAUCUCAUUUUUAUUUCGAUAUGGACGCCUCCAAAUCGAUGAUGGUACCGUUGAAUAUGAUCUAUACCAUUUGAAGUAUAUUAGAAUCAAAUUCAUAUAAUUUUCGAUAUUGUUCUCUAUCCAUCGAGUGGGCAUAAAAAUGAACGGCUGAAAAUGAAUAUUUUAAUAAAAUGAUGAUAGGACUCCUUGUAAUCAAGAUAAAGAUAUAGAUCUUUUUUUUAAAUGGUUUAAAGAAUUUUCUAACCAAAAAUUCAAUUGAUUUGAUAUCUUAGGCCGUUAAACGAGAAAAACGCCUCAUAUCUACCAUUAAAAUGAUAAAUUUUGAAACCCUUUGAUCAUUAGCAAAUGAUGUCGAAAAGAUUUGAAAUUUUUUUUUAAAUACUUAAGUGAUAUAAUCAUGUUCAAUGAUACCGAUUGUCGAUUUGGAGCUCCAUCAUCGAAAAUAAAUGAAUUGACAACAGGAGCCCGUUUGCUAUCGAAUAGUAUUAUAGCUCAACUCUAUAUAUAUAUAUAUAAUAUAUAUAUAUAGAGAGAAGAGAGAGAGAGAGAGAGAGAGAGAGAGAGAGAGAGAGAGAGAGAGAGCGCUAGCUUCUAUGCUUCGAAAGACAGAGCAUCUGUGCUUGUAAGUUGUUUUCAAUGAUGAGACGUCCAAUCGACGAUCAGUUCGCGUUAAACAUGAUCUACCCUAUUAGAACUAUCUAAACCAAAUUUCAUAAUUUUUGAGACUUCAUUGUCUAGUGAACGAGUAGCCUUAAAAUGAACGGUUGAAAAAUAAAAAUCUCAUAAAAAAUAGUGAUAAAUGAUUCAAAUUUCAAAUCGAAUAAUUGUUCUUACUUUUGAUGUAAGUAGAAUUUUCCAUUAAAGUUUCAUAUAAUUUGGAUACUUCUAUACGUUGAAUUAAAAACGUACCACAUCGUUAAAAUAGUCCAUUUUGAGACCCUGUGAUCGCUUUGUAAAUGAUGUCGAAAAUAUAAAAUUGUUUAAUGAUAGUUCCAAUAGCAUAGAUUAUGUCUAACGGAGCCGAUCGUCGAAUUGGAUAUCCUAUCAUCGAAACAACUUACAAGUACAGAGGCCUCCGUACUUUCGAAAGCACGGAGACGUACUAUAUAUAUAUAUAUACAGAGAGAGAGAGAGAGAGAGAGAGAGGAGAGAGAGUGAGAGAGAGCUACUAUGGCUAUCUGGAGCACGAGCCUUCCGUGCUUCGCUUCGUUUUGAUGUUGGCGACUUUCGACAUCGUCGAUACGGCUCCGUUAAAAUGUAGAGUAUUUUUGAGUACCUAGAAAAUAAAUUUUAUUAUUUUUCGAUAUCAUUUGCCUAGUGAUCGAAUGGCGCUCAAAUCAACAAUUUUCAAUGGCCGUAGUGAGAUGUUUGCAAGUUAACGUGUAAGAAAUAUCAAAAUCACGUGAAAUUUUGAUAGAAAAUUCUUUAUACUAUAUAAAACAAGAUCAAUAUCUUUGAUUUAAAAUUUUAAUGUCAUAUUAACAUUUUUAGGAUUUUUUUUUUCAGCCGUUGAUUUUGAGCCCUUCGUUCACUAGGCAAAUAUAUCAUAAAAUAAUAAAAUUAUUUUCUAGGUACUUAAAUACUCUAGAUCAAGUAAUAUGGAGCCGAUCGACGAUUCGAAAGUCGCAACAUCGAAAACAAGCUGAAAGCAUGAAAGACUCCGUACUUCGAUAGCACAGUAAUCACUAUAAUUAUAAUAUAUAUAUAUAUAUAUAUAUAUAUAUAUAUAUAUAUCAUAAUAUAAUAGCUUGUAAUUUACAUUUUAUCAUGCUUAUAACAAAAAGUAGUUUGUUAUUCGCUUUCACUCAGAUCUUAUGCAUAAAUGAAGCAAAAGUUCUUAUAUGCGAGUCAAAAUACUUUCAUUCACUUUUUAACUUUCGAUCUGACCGUGCCUAACCAACCCAAAAACCGUCAAUCAGAGAAUCACAUCCAUCAUGUUUGGAUAUCUAAAUAAGUACAUUCCACCUAUACUAUUAUUCCAGUAUUAUAUUGUGAUGAAAUAAGAGAGAUUUAUUAAUAGAAUAAUAAUAAUUUUAUUACGAGAAAUUAUCUUUAGUUUGAAAAAAAACUAAUUAUAUCAUUUAUUAAGAUAUUUGAUACAUUUUUACCUAUAAAUACUAUAUAUUUUAAAAUAAAUUAAUAUAUAUAAUAGUCAAAUAAUAAAUAUUCACAGCACCAAACAAAAUCAUUGCAUUUCUAUAUUCAAAAACUAUGCUGACCUUUUAACUAUAUAUUUAUUUUUAAUCUUUCACGACAUUAGUAUAGGUAAGCAAUUACUCGGAUUAUAUUUGGCUAUUAUUUAGCAAUAGCAUGAAAUCUAUUCUUUCUUUUAUUUUUAGCACUUUCUUUUUAAGAAGCCACUUUGAAAGAUCUAGCAUUCUAAUUACCCAUAUAAUACAGUCUGGUUACUAUAUAUCUUUAAUAGUAAUGAUUUUUUUUACGCAUAGAGUUUUUUGAUCUGUUGAUCUAUCUCUUGAUAUUUUCGUUACGUUAAAUAAUACUAUGUCAACAAGACCGCUCACUCAGGAGAACAGCUAUUCAUUUUAAUCUAAAUUAAAAUUUUUUAUUUAAUAAUAAAAUUAUAAUAUAAAAUUUUUUUUAUAUUUAAAAGUAUAGUAAAUUUAAUCUAUAAAUAUUUUUUUUUCCAUACUAGAGGCGUAGAGAGAGAAAUAGUAGAAGAGAGAGACGAGAGAGAGAGAGGGGGGAGGGUGGAAGUUGAAAAAGUCGGUGCCAGUAUCGACUCUGAAAAGGCGCGUUUCAUUGACCGCGCGUCCACUACUGGCUCACGGCUGGAGUGGGCUACUACUACGGGUACAAACGCAUGAGAUUUUUUAUGUGUUAUUAUUGAUAAUAUUAAUUAUUAAUUAAUUAAUUAUCCACCGGUUUUUUUUUGUCCUUUUAUAUGGGUAACUUUCAAUUACACCUCCGUAAAUUACAUAAAUUAUGUUACUUAAUAUUAUGUGUUUAAACUAUAUCGUUUUAAUAAUUUCGUGGUUUUAUUUUUCCUUUUCGUCGUGUCCUACGUUAACUCUCUGUUAAAUUGUUUACAGAAAAUCUUAGAUAUUGCGUUAUGGUUAUUGAAUAUUCACUUUAUUACAAUGUGGUACCGAAAUUUUUAUUUUAGUAUUCUUGGUUUAACUUUAUCAUUAUUUAACCAAAAAAAAAUUAAUAUAGAGAAUAAUGAAAGAGAAAAAUAAUCAUUCACGGGGAGUAAAGUGAUACAUUUUAAAACACAUGGACUAAAAUAAAAAGCGUGAAACCACAAGGAUAAUAUUAAACGUUUCUUAUUUUUUAAAGUGUGCUGCCGUACAAAGCUUUGUUUCGUUCAAUAUAAUAAAAAUAUUAUUUCAUAUGAUAACAAAUUUAGAUUAUAACAGAAAACUAGCAUAAAUUUUAUUUGGUUGAAAAUUGAAUUGUUUCUGCGAAUAAGUUAAAAGUAUUUGAAUACUUAUAGCAAAACAAAAGUAAUAUAAUUUUUAAUUAAUAAUAUUUUAUUAAUCAAUUAAUAUUAAAAUAUUAAUUAAAAUAAUUUAAUAAAUAUAAAUUUGUAUCAACAUGAAUAUUGUACAAGAUAAUGAAAAAACAUAUAAUUAAUUAAUUAAUAUUAAUAUUUAAAUUAUAAAUAUAACUUAACGUUUAAUUAAUUAGUCAAAUUAUUAAUUAGUAGAUGAUUCUAAAGAAAUUAAUUUAAUUAGUGGCCAAUGUAAUAAUAGUUAAUUAUUAGAUAAACACAUUAAAUAAUUAAUGGUCAAAUGCAUACAGCCUGCAAACAUAGCCAAUUGCGGAAAAAUCCCCUACAAAAAAAAUCCAUAAGUGUGCCCGCAAAAGUCUUAAGUUAUGUAGAUAUGUCCUCCGGUUAACAUCCGUUAGUGAUCUGUUAUUUUUUAACAGGGAGUCGUGAAAUGACCAUUUUACCCUCACAAAUAUAUCCUCCAAAAGUUUUCCUCAUUUUCCCUUCUCUUUCUCUUCCUCUCGGAUCAUCGAAGCGGACGACGGCGCGGCGGCGCGGGUCGGUUCGCCGCGACGAAGAAGAGGAAAAACUCCGGGCACCCGAGCUCUCAACGCCCAGUCUCGUCGCCUCAAUGCCGCCUCUCCCUCGUUGGCCUCCCGCACGACAUCGCGACAUCGCCAUCGACUCGUCUGCCGCUCCUCACCUCCUCACCGACACCGACUCUGGCGUCACACGACGACCCCGUCGCCACGGCCCUCGUCGCCGCCCUUGUUGACAACAACCCCUCGAGCUUCUUGCCCGCCUUUCGGAGGCCGACCCGACGAGACUCUUCCCCUCGCCGGUGACAAAGAAGAGGAAGAAGAAGAGGAAGAAAGAAGAAGAAGAAGAAAGGAAAAGAGGAAGAGGAAGAGGAAAAAAGUAAUGAGGUUCGUUGUCGCCGCCACCGUCGCCAGCCGCCGCCGCAUCUCCUCGCCGGCGACGAAGAAGAACGAAAGAAGAGGAGAAAGAAAGAAGGUAAAUACGUCAAUUUACACUAUAAUAAACCAUGGUUAAGUAUUAACCGUGGUUAACGAAAAAUUUCUAACAGAUCUGGAACGGCAGGACAUAUCUGCAUAACUUAGGACUUUUGUAGGACAACUUAUGGAGUUUCCGUUUGUAGGGAUAUUUCGUAAUUCACUAGUAUUUGCAGGACCUGUAUGCAAUAAGCCAUAAUUAAUUCUAAAUGAGUUAAUUAACACAAAAUAAUAAACUAAUUAAUUACGUAACUAUUUAAACAAUAAUAAUGUACUUAAAAUAUAUCAUUAGAUUAAUUAUGAAGCAAUAAUUAAAAUUAGAUUAAAUUUUAACAUAGUUUGUUCUCAGCUGAGAACAAACUUGUUCCAUGGAAGGGUGGAACAAUUGCUCCACCCUUAUUCUCCUUUUAUAAUUAUGGAGAACUAGAAUUUUCAAAUCCUAAAAUUUGCGUUGUAUAAGGACGGAAUAAGGGCUUAUUCCCUUUUUAUACUCGAAUUAAACACUGCUAAGAGACUUUUGAUGAAUAAAUUAUAAUAUAAUACAUAAUUAAAUGAGUUUUUAAUUUGCAUAUUUUAAAAUUUAACACUAAUAAUUGAAACUAUAAGAGAUGCCAGCUCCAAUAGUUGAAAUAUGCUCAAAUUAAACUAUAAUCCUAUUGCAGGUAUUGGGGAGUAUUUUAAACAAAAAUAAAUCUACAUUUCUAAUUAUUGUUGAAACACAAAAUAUUUUAUCUUCCUAGAUUGAAGGUAAUCUAAGCACCACAUCUAACAGUGAUAAAAUAAAAAUAACUUUCAAUUGUAUGUAUUAAUUAAGCGAAUUAAUUAUAGUUACAUUACUCUCUACUAAUAUCUAUAUCAAUAAGAGCUAAUAUAGCGGUAUAUGUUAAAUUUUUUACUACAAAUAUAUUUAAUGAAUGUGAAUAAUGCACCUCUCUUGGCUUGUUUUUAGAUUCUCACGUGAGCACCAAUUUUGGAGAAGUAAUACAAGUCAACUCUCGAUCAAUUAUGAUUGAUAUUUACUGACUCACUAGUGUAGUUGACUAAAAAUUUAAUAUAUUGAAUAUCUAAAUUUUCAUAUUAAUCCUAUAAAAAAUAAAAGAGAGGUAGGUUGCCAACCUUCUAUCAUAAUACUUAUGUCGUUUUUGAUAUAGUUAUGUAAUUUAAAAAAAAAAAGUCUUGUUGGUAUUUAUAUUUUUAUUUUUAAAUUUAUACUAAUUUAAUAACUUGGUAUAUAGUAGAAUUUUUAAAAAAAUAAAAAUUGCUUCUAACUAUUUAUCCUUUUUGUUGGGAAUAAAUAUCUUACAUGUAAGGAUAAAAAGCAAUCCACUGUCUCCUCCUGCAUUACUUACAUUAAAAAUAUAUAUAUAAUAUAUAUAUAUAUAAUAUAUUAUAUAUAUAUUAUAUAUAUAUAAUAAUACGUAUAUAUAUAAGAAAAUAAUAAUAAUAUCAAACGAGGCAUUAAUUAGUAUUUAAUUUUUUAAUGUAAAACAUUAGUAUUAUAUUAUAAAAUUUAAAAUACAAUUUCUUUUAAUAGAAAUGUUGUUACGUAAAUCAUCUAAAGCUUAGUUUGGUAUUGAGGCUUAUCUAACGCUAUUAGAUAGAAUGGAGUUGAAGAAAAAGCAUAUAGGGAUAUGCUUCUGUGUUCUCCGGUGGGACUGCAGAAAAUAUAUCGUAACCGACUCAUUGUGAUAUGCGAAACAUAAUAUUACGUACAGAAACAAAUAGAGUAUUUUUCUUACGUAUUUUCUCACCACACGUUAAUAAUCAAAAGCUCGUUGAAAUUAAUUUUUGAGCUUUGUUGAAAUCCUAAUUUAAAUUGAUCCACCAGGGUAGGAUAAUACUGUAUUUAAAAUGUUGUUAGGUAGUUAUUGUUCCUGUUCCAAAAAUUUCAAAUAGAAUAAGACUUAUACCAGAUUCUGGUAAAGGAUUAAUGGAAGUAAGAAUAAAUACAUGUUUAUCUAUUUUUACAUGUUAUUUUUCUCUUAUUAGGGUAUGUUUGGUUGGCCGAAAGUGAAUCAUCGAAAGUGAUACUUUUGAAAACUAACGUUUUAUUAAUUGUUUGGUGUGUGAAAGUAAAUAUGAAAAUCACUUUAUAAAAUUGGGCCAAUAAAGUUAGUUAUAAUUAAAUCUCGCUUUUCUUACUUCGGCGCAAAAAAUUCAGAAGUUACCGAAGGUGAAAGGCUUAACUAAGAGAUUAUAUUCGGUCUUAACUUUAAUUUUUGAAUUUAUUUUUAAAGUGGAAUUUCAUUUUAAUUUUGAAUUAAAAUCAUGACAACAUUCUAAAUUUUAUUUGUAAAUUCAAAUUUAACAUAAUUUUUAUAUUCGAAUUUGUGACUUUAUAUAUAAAUUUAAAAUUUAAAAUCUUUAUUUUUAUUUAAAUUUGAAUUCUAGAAUUUAAAUUUAAAUUUUAAUCAAAUUAUUUUUAACUAAGAACUUUAAUUUGAACUUUGAAUUCAAAUUGUUCCAACUAUAAAUUCAAAGUAUUGACUAAAAUUUGACUUUAAAAUUUUAAAUUUUUAAGUUGAAAUUCAAAUUCAAAUUCAAAUUUGCUAUUUAUAUUUAAUUUCAAUAAUAAGUUUCAGUUUAAAUUUUUAAUUCAAAUUAUGAAUUCCAAUAUUCAGUUUAAAUUACGAAUAUCACCAUCAAAUUUUUUUUCACCUGCACUGGGGACAAAAAUUGUAUUUUAGUCAAAAUUUCUUUUACUUAAGUUUGAUAUAUUUUAUCUUUUAUCAAUAAAUAAGAUACUCUAUAAUGAGCUUUUUCAUAGUGGAACAGUUAAUGCUAGGAAGAGUAGGACUGAAAUACUAUCGGUAAUAAACAGCUUAGUUUACUAUAGAUUUAUUUUCGAUGAUAGAGUUUUCAAAUCGAUGAUCAAUACCAUCGAACAUAAUCUAGACUUUUUAAACUAUUUAGAAAUCAAAUUUCAUAAUUUUCUGACUUCACUAAUUAAAUGAUCAAAGUGCCACAAAUUUUGUAAUUUUAAUGGCCGAUAAGAUGUAUUUGCUCAUUUAACAAUAUAGUAAAGUCCAAAUUAGCUGAUUUUUCAUUAGAAUUUUUUUAAAAGUAUUUAAAACAAGAUCUAAACAUUAAUAGAUCCUAAAUACACAAAUUAUAUCAUCACUUUUUUAAAAAAAUUUACUUGCGGCUCUUCAUUUUAUGUUUACUUGAUAGAGAAGUGAAGAAUAUCGAAAAUAAAAUAAAAUUUAAUAUUUGAAUAAUUUAAAAAUACUAAAUCAUGUUUAAUGAUACCGAUCAUCGAUUUGAAAACUCUAUAAUAAAAAAUAAAUCAGUAAUAAACUGAACUAUUUACUACUGAUAGUUAUCUGGUCCUACUCACCUAAGAAAUCAAGUUUUCGCAAACUUUUAGAAUUUUCUUUUUUUUGAGAGAUAGGUAGCACGUUACCCGCUUCGUAUGGAUCAACUAAAAUUCGAACUUAGGUCUCGGGUACCAACCACCAAGCCUUUUGCCACUUGCUUUAGAGACAGUCGGUAAAAUUUUAAAAUUUUCAAAAUAGCAUACGUACAUAGAUAAAUUUACAGGGGUAUAUACGUAAUUUCAAGUUAAGUUCUUUGACUCCGUACUAGCCGCCUGGGACUGAACCUCUUGACGAUAAAAAGCCACAGGAAGGGCCAAAAGCCACCACCAAUGUAAUCGAAGGAGAAAAGCCAAAAAUAAAAUAAAACGAUAAAAAUAAAUCUACCUAACUAAGGAUAAUAUGUAACGUUAAUAAAAGAGGAUAAUGUAAUUUAAUUACUAAUAUAGGUGCUAACCAAUUAGGUUUUAGGACAAACUAUGACUACGAUUUGACCAAUGUAUGGGUAUUGUAUUAAUUCAACAACUUGGAAAUAACAUCACACACCCAUUACGUGUCAUGUUGCACCAAAUUACCCAGCUAAAAUUGUAGGACGUGUAUUUAAUUUUGGAAAAAAUGUACAGAAACCUUCUGGAUUUUAGCUUUUUUUUUUUUUAACAAUAGACGCCUGAACUUUUAAUUUUAAUAAUUAGACUGUUUAUACUUUCUCGGAUAAUUAAAUAGGUCCCUCUCCUCAGUUGAAGUUGCUCAUUAUACAAUCGUUUCGAUCUUUUUUAUUAUUAUUAUCAUAAGAAUAGAAAAACAAUAAAGUCGAACGUAGCUUCAUCUUAUUUUUCAAUUUUUAUGUUUAAGUAUUAAAAUUAGAAGAAAAUAAUAAUUUUUUGUAUAUUAUAAAGUCAUAUAGGAUUAAAUGCAAGGCAUGCGAUCAAAACAACUAUGUAAUUAAUGAUUUUGAUUGAAAAUUUUUUUAUUAAACCAUUUGAUAAAGUUUAUAAAAUUUAAAUUAAAGUCUAUGUGCAAAAAAGUUGCACUUUUUUUUUUUGGAUAAACCACCCUUUAUUUUGGGCUUCAAAAAAGUGUUUUUUUGGACAACCAGAGACGUAAGUGCAACAAUUCCAUGCUCAUUUUUGUUGAAGCUCUCGAGGCCAGUUCCCUUGCUUCUGUAUUUUUGUUUAUAUUCGUUAUGAAUAAAGCAGAUAGCAAACCUACCUUUCUCUUAAUUUUUUUUUUUUUGUUGAAGCUAUUUUAGAAUUAUUUUUUUCUUUUUCAUUAGUCAACGUUGAGAUGAUUAUUAUCUAUGAAAAUUGCCACUUAAUAGGAUAUAUAUAAUGUAUAAAAAUAUACAUUUUAUAUUAACAGGACAAAAAAAAACACUAUAGAAAAUGAGUUUGUGUAGUGUUAUAUGAGAGGAGAAACUAUGCAUGCAUCAGCCAAAAAAAAAAGAAAAAAAAGAAAAAAAAACUUGUAUAGCCAUAACAAUAUUAUUUAUUCCUAAAGUUGAUAUCAAUGUAUUAAUUUCUGCAAAUUCUAAAUCACUGCAUUUUCUAUUGAAUUUAAUUAAUAUUAGUUUACUCUCAAAUGUUAAUCAGUUUCUCUCUAAAUAAAAUUUCUGUAUUUUCAAUUUUGUCCAUUAAAAUUUCUUUAAAAAAUGCAUUGAAAAAAAUAACAAUGUAGGAGAGGGGUAAAUGGGUAAUACAAAAUUACUAUUUUUGUAGGCAAUCAUGAUAAUAUAUUAAGUUUAUAGAGAUAAAUAUGUAAUUAUACCAAAUUCUUUUAAAAUAAAAGAAAAUUUGGUACACUUUAGUAACUUUUUAUAUUUUAUAAAGUACUCUUGUGGAAAAUUUCCUUUGUGGAAUCGGAUUCUGUUAAAGGGUCUAGUCAUUGGACUAUUUAGUGUUAAAUAAAUAUAUGUAAUUAUCCGUGCCUAGUUCUAUUAAUGACAUGAUAAAAUAACGCCCAAAUAUUUUAAGCUAAAAAAUGAUAAAUUUAAGUUUAAUGCAAUACAAUUAAAACUAAAUUAUUUAAAAUUUCUGGUUACUUCACACUAUAUGUAAAUACAAAACCAGAUUUUCUAAAUUGUUAAUGAAUCUUCCACUUGAUAUUUAGCCCGUUUCCCUUUCUUGCGGGGAUUACUCCGUAUUAAAUCCACCAAGCAUUCGAAUUGACAUGUGCAUCCGUUGAACCAAUGGCGCGCUAAAUAUUUAGCGAUUUUGAUAGCACAUUUAAUUCAAAAAAUAGACUUGACUAGCUGAGUGGUUGAUUUAUCACUCCAUUAGUCUCUGAUUAUCAAUUUUGUGUUGAAUAUAUUUUUUUUUUGAGAAAAAGAUAGCAUACUAUCCGUUUCAUUCAUUCAGAAUGUGAAUUAAGCAACAUGGAUGAGGCAUCAUGGCCUCUAGGAUGACGGAGACAAAAAGAUAAAAGAUAGGGAAACAGGUGUUGUGAGUAAAGUACAGCUGAUACCUCUAUACGGUCUACGAGUUCUAACUACAGAUCUACAGAUCAGCACUACUCCACUGAGCUAACAGAUAACAGAUAAAUUCAGCCUCUUGGUCGAAUCCAAACCUGAUAUGUUGAUAUGUUGAAUGUGUUGAUAACAGAUAAAUUCGGUCUCUUGGUCGAAUCCAAACCUGAUAUCAGUAGUGCAUAAAUGUGAAAAUAUGAGAAAGCCUUGACUAAGAAAAGUAAUAGGAAUGUAUGCAAGUCUAAAAGAAAAAAUUAAAGAAAAAAGAAUCUAAGACACUAAUAAAGGGUAAAAGGAUAUAGAGAUCUCCAACUGUAUGUCAUACGAAAAUAGACCCUUUUGAGAGCCUUUUCUAUUGGAACUUUUUAUCUUUUGAUUUUUUUUUUUUUUCAGAAUUGAGUAAUUGCAGCUGAAUAAAUUAAAAUUUUCACAAAAUUAAUUAAUAUUUUUAAUAAAUUUGAAAAUUUAAAAUUAAUUUAAUUAAUAAUUUGAUAAUUUAAUAAAUUGUUAACUUAAUUAACUAUAAAAAAAUUUGCAUACAAAAAAAUUUAAAAAUGUCACCACAAAAAAAAAAAUUUAGGCGUCCAUUUAGAAUAUCCUAUAGUUAAGGGGGGUCCAUACAUUUUUACCCAAAGAUUACCCAAAAAAAAAAAGAAGAAGAAAAAGAGAAAGCAAAAAAGAAAACUCCGUUCCAAUUGUUAAAGGGUCAAAUCGAAAAUUGAAAUAUCUCAUAUUUUAUUUCCUUUUUUUUAAAAAAUUUAUAAGAGAGGGAGAGAGAGAGAGCCGAUGCAAGGGUUUUACGAAGCGGAGAGAGAAAGAGAGAGAGAGAGAGAGAGGGAGAGAGAGAGAGAGAGACAAAGCUCCCCUCCUCUUCUAUCCGCCGAUACUAUUUAAUCUCCCCCAACCCCCCUUUCUCCUCGACAUUCGCCUCCGCAUCAUUCCCCCCUCUCUUCGUCGUCUUCCUCUUUCUCCCAAACCCUAAUCCUCUCCACGCCGCCAUCGCCCGCGCGCCCCUCGCGAGCUGCGACAAAGCUCUGCUGCUUCUCCCCCUCGCCGCUCACGCCUCCCUCGUGCCGCCUCUUCCGCGCGCAGCGCGUGCUCUCUUUCUCUCUCUCGAAGCGAGCUCAGAUUGAGGAGAGGGAGGGAGGUGGUGGGGGAGGGGGGGAGAGAGAGAGAGAGAGAGAGGGGGGGAGGAGGAAGAUGAAGUAUGUGUUGGUGACGGGGGGAGUGGUGAGUGGAUUGGGGAAGGGAGUCACGGCGAGUAGUAUAGGCGUUGUUCUCAAAGCAUGCGGGCUGCGGGUUACUUCGAUAAAGAUUGGUACUUGUUGUUGCUCUCCUCUGAAUUUUUUUUUUCUUUUCGCUUGUAAUGAUCAUCCAAGCGACGAUUUAUGGCCACUUCUAUUUUUUUUGUAUCAUUAAGGCUGGAUUUAUAUAGUGAUUUAUCUUGCUUUCAUGCUGCCUACAUUAAAAAAGAGUGUUUUUGUUUUUUGUGGAUUUAGAUUACUAUGUUUGAGUAUGUAGGGAUAGUUUUAGGAAAGUGAUGCGCUUUUUCUUCAGUUUUCGAAUAAUAAAACCAGUUUCAGAAGAUUUGGAGGGUGUAAAAUGUCUUUAUACUUUUUCUGUUUAAUUUUUUUUUGCCCAAUCUGAAGUGGUCCCUUUUUUCCUUUUCCUUUCCAGUUCUCCUCUGAUGAAGAGGGCUUGAUAGUGGCAUAAAUCUUCUUUUAGUCUUUAUGCUUUGCUAGGGAUCAGAGAUUAGUGGUUAAUUUAUUCACAGUUUAUUUUCCCUAAUUAGGUGAGCCAAGUAGUUGGUAGAACUCGGAUUUGUUUGCUUUUUUACUUGAUUUUUGUUGCUUUAUCAAUUUUACUACGUGAUAUCAAUAAGUUGUGCUUUCUGUUCUUUACGCAGAUCCAUAUCUUAAUACCGAUGCUGGAACGAUGUCUCCCUUUGAGCAUGGGGAGGUGUUUGUUUUGGACGACGGUGGAGAGGUAAAGAAUGCUUUUGAGCAUGGGGAAGUGUCUGUUUUUUAUCCUAAUUGUUUUCUCAAUCUAAUAAAUUUACAACCCAAAUGCUCCAAGUAGCUACAUAGACACAUGAAACUCCACCUUGGACUCUAUGGCACCUUUGUACAAUGGCUGUAAACGCCUCAUGAGUUCUUAGUUGUCCCAGAAUGAUUAUUAGUUCUACAUAAAUUGCAUAAUUGCCAUGCUGCCUUUUGAUUAAACUUACAAUAUCUAUCUUAUUCCUAAGUGUUCUGGUUUGAUUAGUUUCCUUCUGGUGCUAUUUAUACUUUGGAAUUUAUUCUUCAGCAUUUCUGUGGCUUCUUUCCAGAGAACUUUUGAGCUUUUGCUUACUGCUUGUGACCAUUUGAUGCAGUGUUCUUGUUCGACUUAUUUGACUUCGUAUUAUUUUGAAGGUCGACUUGGAUCUUGGAAAUUAUGAACGGUUUCUAGAUAUCAAACUUACUCGAGAUAACAAUAUCACCACUGGAAAGAUCUACCAGGUGAGUUAGUUGAUUCUAAAAUGGGUAUCUCUUUGACUUAAUCUAAUCCUGAAAAUUUUUACAAAAUUAGCAGAGUUGGAGACUGCCAAGUUAUUUCGACAGUCGUUGAUUGCCAUUUCUUUGAAGGAGCCAUUCAUGAGAAGUUACUUUUAAAACCGUCCAAUAUCAAAAAAUUCAAAAAAAAUUAUAUAAACCUCCAUAUGCACUUACAAGUCUGCCUACGAUAAAAUAGUGGACGGUCUUCAGUAUGCAAUUGGUGCUUGAAGCACUUCAAGUAAGAACUUAUUGUCGCUUAUAUGGACUGUUGAUUGGCAAUGUGCUUGAUGAGAAACAGAAUGGGCAUCUCAAGUGGUAUGAUUGUCAAUUCAAAUGAGAAGCAAAGAAGACCUCCUCAUGCCUUAUCAAUGAGUUCUUGAUACUAUACAUAAUAGAUUCUCACUUAGAAACUAUCUGAGAAGCAACAUCUUGGCUAUGGUUUCUUACAAAAGUACAAUUUGGCUUGUUUCAUUCUUUCCCAGUCAUUCAUUCAGUUUUUUUAUGCCCAAUGACAGUCUGUAAUCCAUAAGGAGAGGAAGGGAGACUAUUUGGGGAAAACAGUCCAGGUGUGAAUUUCUUGUCAGCGUCAGUUUCUUUUGACUCUACAUCAGUUGGAUGUCUUGUGCGUGACUAUUUUGUUACUCUUCCUAGUGUUCUAAAUUGAGUUAUUAUUUCCUUUUUUUCCUUUUUAAGGUUGUGCCACACAUUACAGAUGCUAUACAAGAGUGGAUUGAGCGUGUAGCACAUAUUCCUGUAGAUGGCAAAGAAGGACCACCUGAUGUUUGUGUUAUAGAACUGGGUGGAACUAUAGGUGAAAAUCAACUAUAGCUUUCUAAAUGGAGAAUGAAUAACAUUAUACUGGUUCUUGUAAAUCUUGUCGAGCUUCAAUUUGCUUAAAUAUUUCCUAUAGUCGUGUAAGUAUGCGGUGCAGGAGCCACGUUCUUUUCGCGGCAUAACGACAGUGGCAUGUUUGAUGCAGGGGAUAUUGAGUCGAUGCCAUUUAUCGAAGCUCUUGGUCAGUUCUCAUAUCGUGUAGGUGAGAAGCUGCACAGUAUUUCAUUUAGUACUGUCUUCCUUUUUUCUUAUGUUUUCCCUUUUUUUCCGGGGGUAGAAAUGUACAGAUAUCACCUGAACUAUAUCAUAUUUGGAAUAAAGUACUUGAACUUCAAAAAGUUUGGAUUGUACUACCUACCUCUCUCUGCUAUUUAUUUCAGAAAAUACUGUCUAGUUCUGUUAUAACGUAAUGGUUUCAAUUAGACAAAUUGUAAAUAUUCCAUCAAGUUGCAGAAUGCUCUGUUUGGUUACAGACUAUUACGUAAGAAAGUUCUGAAAAGACCAUCAAGUUCUGUCUGUUUUGUAGUUAAAUCAAAUAUACCAUAAAGUAAGGUUGUAGAGUCAACAUUUUGAAAGUAGGUGUCCAUUUCAACAUGCUUCAUAGAUCAGGUAUCUUCUGUAGAUUUUACCUAAAUUCUUUUUUCUUCUGAUGGUUCUCUUUUCAGGUCCUGGUAACUUCUGUCUUGUUCAUGUCAGUCUUGUUCCAGUUUUAAAUGUAGUUGGUGAACAGGUAAAUUUCUGUGCACUUCAUUGUAAUAUUUUUGUUUAUGUUUACAUAUUCUUCACUGACAACAAAUAUUUAACUUUUUCCAUAUUAGUUUGGUAUUUGGUUUUACUGAUAACUUCUUCGUAUGUUUUUGUAGAAAACUAAGCCAACCCAACACAGUGUUAGGGGACUAAGAGGACUAGGGCUAACACCAAAUAUCCUAGCAUGCCGCAGUUCUAAGGUCUUGAGCUGGCAUACUUUUUGUUUCUUAUGUUUACUUCGUUGAUCCUCCAAUUUAUUUCAAUUUCCUUUUGCUCUAAGAUAGUUUUUAUUGAAUGUUUUUGACAGGCGCUGGAUGAAAGUGUAAAAGAAAAACUCUCACAAUUUUGCCAUGUUCCGGUAGUGUAAUCAACACUUUUAUGGAUAUAUUUACUACAUUGAGUGUCUAUUAGGGGGCUAUAGCUGAUACUAAUUGGUACUAAGCAUUUUUCAGGCAUCAAAUAUUGUCACUCUUUAUGAUGUUACAAACAUCUGGCGUAUUCCCUUACUAUUAAGGGUAUGCUGUCUCUUUUCAUUUUCUGUGAUUUCAUGUGCUGAAUUGUGAUGUUCAUGCUAAUUUAUGUCAAAAUAUAUUUUUGAAAAUAUUCUCUCAUCCCCUAUACAGGACCAAAAGGCACAUGAAGCUAUUCUGAAAGUACUGAACCUUCGAAGGUACAUUUAUCAAAUUAUUUAUUUUUUCUGAUGAUAAGCACUUUGAUGUUUUCUUGGCAAUAUUCAUUUUUUAAGGCGCUUGUAAUGUAUUUAUUUUGGUUAAUUUUAUGCAGCGAUCCAAGAGUGAGUUGUAAACCAAUGCUGGAUGAAUGGACUGACCGAGCAACAACUUGUGAUGAACUGCAGGAUCCUGUUAGUUUCUCUUUUCUUUCUUUCUUUCUUUUUUCCCAAUCAUUAUUUUUUAUCUCAGCUGAAACCUUCUUAUUCUCUGCUGUGUAGGCUUAAACAUUGACUCCUCAUUUAUGUUUUCAGGUCAGGAUUGCAAUGGUUGGAAAGUAUACUGGUCUUUCUGAUUCUUAUCUCUCUGUAUUGAAGGUAAAUACUAUUUGUGGGGAGACUUGAGUUUCAUUUGACUCAUCUUAUAUUCCAUUGAAUAUUUCUUCCUUAUACUGUACAGAUGUCUUACUUCGUGACUAUGACAUGCAUACAAAUUACAAUCAGGGAACUUUUGAAUUAAUUGGAUGGUUUUUUGAGUUUGUCGUUAGUAGAUUUUCCCUCAUGCCCGUAUGUAUUGUGUAGCUAGUAUUUUUGGGGAUCAUUAGAUAGGUCAUGCUUGGAAAUGCUUGGAAAUUUUUAUGUUCGACAUAUCAAAGUGAUGUAAAUUACUCAUGAAUUUAUUCCUUUCUCUUCAUUCAAGCAACUGCCUCUUUACUUUGAAGUUAGUGUGCGUCUUGCUCUUCUGCCAUGUGCAAACUGCCGUUGAACUUGCUCUUUACUCUUUAUCUUUCUGCCACGCUGACUCAUCUUUGAAAUUUUGCAAAAUAAGUGAAGGAAGCGACAAAAAUGGUUGUAUUUCCUUUAUCUGCCUCUUAAUUUGCUUCUGAACUGCUUGUAGGCGCUUUUGCAUGCAUCUGUCGUUUGCCGUAGGAAACUUGUGGUGGAUUGGGUUCCUUCUUCUGAUCUUGAAGAUGCCACUGCUGAAGAGGUAUGUUCAUUUACCUUGUUUCUGCUUCUGCUUCUAUUAUUGGCUAGCAUCCUUGCACUGAUAUUUGGAAAUGAUUUCAAUUUAUAGGCUCCUGAUGCAUAUAAAACUGCCUGGGAUCUACUAAAGGUAAGGACAAUACUCUAUACUCCACUAAAAAGUGCGCGUAAGGAAAUUUGGUCCCUGGAAUUUGACCUGAACUCUUGAGCUCAAUUAUAAUUUUGUCCCUGAAGUUUGUUCCUUGUUACACAUCCUUCCUUCUACCUUUUGAGAAGGUGCCACAUCAACGACAUGAUGAAACUUUCUUUUAUAAAAUUGGAACUUAGAAAUUGAAAUUGAAGUCAAACUCCAGGGAUGAUAUUGAAAUUGAGGUCAAACUUCAGGGAUGAAGUCGAAAUACUAAGGAUGUUGAAAUUGGGGCCACACUUCAGGACGAAAAUUUACAACUUAACUCUUUGGAUGAAAUUGAAGACAUGGUCAAACUUCAGGGUCUAAAUUUGCAUUUAACCCAACAGGAAAUCACUUAACAGAAGUAUGUGGUCUUUGAGUAGAAUGAAAUAGUGGAAAUUUGUAUUUCUCUGGUAGCUUUCUGAAAUGAAUUUUCAGCUCAGGGUGCAGAUGGCAUACUCGUUCCAGGUGGUUUUGGUGACAGAGGGGUUCAAGGCAAAAUGCUGGCUGCUAAAUAUGCCCGUGAAAAUAAAGUUCCUUAUUUUGGUAUUUGUCUGGGCAUGCAAAUUGCUGUCAUUGAGUUUGCUCGCUCUGUUAUGAACUUGCGAGAUGCAAACAGUACGGAAUUUGAUCCUGAUACAAAUACGCCAUGUGUCAUUUUUAUGCCAGAGGUAAUUUUAUCACCAUUAUUUAUAAUGUUUUCGUUACAUGGAUAUCUCUGCAAAUUCUGAAUUUCUAUUUAUGCCCUUCAGAAACAUAGUUUCUUGGGUACCCUUGAACUUAGAUUGACCCUAAUUGGAGAACUAUUCCGAUAGAAAACCAAGUUGCCCUGUGAAUUGGGUAACUAACACUAUGACUAAGAUAGAGGUACUUUUAAGAAACUGUUUUUCGAGGGGUAUAUAGUCAGAUUUUAUGGGAAUAUUUAUGUCAAAAGAUGACUUUUCUGGGACAUAUGUGUGAAUACCUUUUUUGUUAUUUAUUUAGAUUUCUCAUGCAAUUGUCAUGUUCCAUUCAUUUCUCACGUAUUUCAUGGGCCAGGGUUCAAAAACUCAUAUGGGUGGCACCAUGAGACUUGGAUCAAGGAGGACAUUUUUUCAGGCUAUUGACUGCAAAUCAGCUAAGCUGUGAGAACAUGCCUCCCUUGAAAUUUUAUUAUAAAGUUUUCUAUGAUUUUGCAUUCGUGGUUUUCUGUUGAUUUAUGGAAAUUAAUCUUUAUUACAUUGUUUCUUUGUUAGGUAUGGCAAUGUUAGCUAUGUAGACGAACGACAUCGGCAUAGAUAUGAGGUAUUAUUUGUCUGCAAUUAUGCUUCCCGUUCUCAUUUUAGGAUUACUAACCUUUUGAUUUAUUAUGUGCCAGCUCGUGCGAUAGCCCUUUUUUGUGAUAGUUGCUGAAAUUGCUAAAUUAUAAAUGACUUAACAGGUGAAUCCUGAUAUGGUACCUGAAUUUGAAAGAGCAGGUCUCCUAUUUGUUGGUAAAGAUCAAAGUGGGAAGAGAAUGGAGGUAUAAAUCUGGAAAUGUUGCCAAGUUCCAAUCCAGACUGUUAUGCUUCUGAAUAUUGAUGUUAAUGUACCAAUAUUGCAGAUUAUUGAACUCCCAAGCCACCCAUUCUUCGUUGGCGUCCAAUUUCAUCCGGAGUUCAAGUCAAGACCUGGAAAGCCUUCGGCACUUUUCUUAGGUAAUUUUGCUUUUGCACGUUGCUCUUUUGGCAUGAUGUAAUAUGUUGAUCCUGCUGAGAUACAGUGUCAACUAAAACUGAUUGAGUUCCUUCAAAUGCAUAGCUUAAGCUGUCCUCACAACCCGGGGCCUGGAAUUUUGUUUAGUAAGCUAUACAUAUCUUAUAUUUACACUUUUUUCACAGGAUUGAUCGCUGCCUCAUCGAGACAAUUGGGUUCUCUCCUGCAAAACCUGAACCAUAAUAGCAUUCCAAGUGCCAAACGUCUUUUAGGCAAUGGUUUGACCCCAAAAAUAUACUCAAAUGGGCAUUCGAAGAAGCUGACUAAAACCCUUGUUAACGGAAAUGGAAACUGCUAUGCCAAUGGCAAUGGUGUGCACUAUUAAAAGGAAAUCCGACAAUCUACCUGAGUUUGUGCUUUUACUUUUUGUGUCAGUUUGGUUCUCCAGGAUCAGACUCCUCUUUCCUGCGAAAUAUGAGAGAGAGAGAAGUUGCUAGAGCUUUGGAGUGUUUGCUACAUUGCUGCUUGUUCCAGGUUUUAUCGAGGAACGGCGUUUUAUCUCUUGAAAGUGAGGUUGGGGUUUUAGCGUGCGCUUCUUCUAUGUUUUGGUUGCUUUUUAGGCUGAAAGAAUUUUCGCUUUCUUGGACUGGACUUUCCCUGUCUCUCUCCUGUAUAUUGAGAAAUAACUUAUUUUGUUAACUAAAUAUAUGAUGCAUGUUACAGCUUCAUAACUCCUCAGAGUGAUUAUGAUAUUGAGUUUUUAUUAAUCACACUGUUUCUUUUGUUACUUCUCUUUAGAAACCACUUAUCCUCACUUUGCUCUCUUGGUUCAUUUUUCAUUUUUAUUCUCUCGAGCGUACCUUGGCUAAUGAUACGGGAAGCAAAAGCAAAAGAUUGCAUCGGCUGAUUUAUGGAUGUUGAAGUGAUAGGAACUUCCAAAUUGUCUCGCUUUCGCAAUUAAACAGUGAUGUGUAGGCUUACUCUUUGUGAUGAGGAGUGCACCGAUUCGUGUUAGUAAAUUCUGUAACAUUUUCUAUUCUCCACGAUAUCCAGUCUAUAUAAAAUAGAAUAGAAUUAGACAGCAGACAGCUCCACUUACACUUUGCUAAUAAAUGAAGUCAUGAGAUGAGAAUUUCAAGUUUGCCUGCCAUUUGAUUGCCUUCGGAUGAACAUAACAACCUUAGUUGCAGAAAAGCUUGAAGAUUUUGAUGCCGUGGGAAAUAAAAAUGAGAUUUUGAUAUUUAGAAACAGACGCUUCCGAAAUUUGCUGUGAAAUAUAAACUAUUCAAGUUGUAAUGAGAAUAUUUCACCAUAUAACGUUACGCUCUACCCUAAUUAUAGUAAAAUUAUAGUAAAUAUCAGUUUAUACAGUGUAAAAGGAAAACAUAAGGAGCCAUACCACUGGCAGAUGCCAUAUCAAUCCUUUCUCAACUGCUAAGGAACUGAUACCUGAUUUAACUUUUACACGAAGGCUCUCUAGUACAGUUUUCAACUAGCAUAGUCAGGGUGUAAUCAGUUGCUACAUUUAUCAGAAAGUUUCGUACAAACUUUUCAACUUGGAUUCUAACAGCCAUAGAAAAAGAAGAGCAAGAAAAACACAACACGCUAUACUUAGAAGAUCAAUACAGUGCUGUUUCCCUGCAUAUUUUAUUCCGCAGGAGCCGUGUGAUAGCGAAUUUCUUGUCAUCAGCUUUCUCAUUCUUGGUGCUUUGCUGUAUAUUCCCCGAUGUUCAGAGAGAGUUAAAUGGCAAAAAUGGUUCAGUGACUGGAAUAAACUCAACCGCUGCUCAGAUAUUAUACGGCUGAAGAACUGAUGUCAUUGUAAUGUUUCCAGAGAAAAUGUGUAUAAAAAUUUCUGCUAUAAGGCCCGUGUCCUUCAAGCUUCAUAAUCAUAUAAAUAAACAAGUCUGCAGAAAUUCACAUAGUAAGAAAUCCUUGAGAAGAAAGGACACAAAUUUUAAAGUGGUUGGAUCUAAAGAACCAGCUUCUUACCGUGAAAAGUGACUGGUUGUGCUGGUUAUUGUAAAACUAUCAAUGAAUAAAGCAUCUUAGCGAAGGUAAUGAUUGAUAGGACAGUUCCACCAAACAGGCAAAUUGAGAGGACUUUAUGCCGCUGCCUUCGAGUAAGCCAAGUGAUGUAGCAAAUGCUAGUCUCUAAGAUUGACUCGCCGUCCAGGAAAUAUACCUGCAAAUUUGGCAAAUGAAUAAAGUUGAUAAAUGAAAAGUGCAUGAGAAAUGACAGAACAUAAUAAGAAUCUGUAUGCAAAGCAAUCUAAUCAUCCUGCUGAGCAACGGAAGAAAAAGGAUCGUGAAAGUUGCUUUAAAGAGAUUAAGCUUCAAAAUAACGAUGCCAGAGGCCUUUGCACAACAUAAUGACCUACCGGCAAACAAUUUAUUAAACCCAAAGCUGCGGACAUGUGCAGCAUACAAACUAAAACCUUCUCCAAGAUAUGUGGAAUAUGUAUACUCCAAAUAAUCCACGCCCAUCGAGGCUGAUAUGAUGAUAACUGAAUAGAACGUGCCACAGAGACCACAUCACCGAUAAAAACAAAGGUCCCGUCACAAGGAUUUGAUUCGAGAUUCAGAUUCACAGAAUCUUUUGACGAUAGAUUUCUUGUAAGCUGCAAGCAGUUGGGAGAAUACGGGCUUUUAUAAGAGACCUCGACCCAUGUCAUGCCAGGGAUCUGAACCGGUGUCAUGCAUGAUUCUUGCUGUCAAGAUUGGUCAAAUAGCUUCAGAUUAAUAGAUGUAUUAUCAAUAAAUAUAAAGAGAAAAUAAAAAGGUGCCAUUUACCUCUGAACAUAUACAGCUGUUUCCAUCAGUUCCAAUAAUUUGCCAUCCAUUCCCACAUUUUUUAAGCUUGAUUACAUCUUUAGCAAUCAAACAAUGUUUAUGUUCGGUUUCCUCUCUUAAAUUGCUUCCAUCUGAAAGGCUCGAAUUAAUGCAGGAGUUCUGCACAAAUGGCACGAAAUCAUCGGGACAUGAGAAGUUGUCAUUUACUUCCUGAAUAAUCUUGCUUGCCUCUAUCCAUGAGUUAGGGACACAAUACCCUUUUUCUUCCUUAAUGGCCUUAUAGCUUUGGGAGUUUUCAAGGGGAGGAGAUCCAAGAAUUAUUUGUGAAUUAGCUUUAGCCAUCAUUUUCAUCCAAUCAUCAGGAUUUGUGAUGUUUGUCCCAUCCACUGAAACAAUAACAUCGUGGAGUGACAAGUAUCCAGACAAAGGAGAGGUAUGUGGGAUCCCCAAAACCUGUACCAACACUGGUUCAGAAUAAAAGGAUUAUUAUGAUGAGAUUUACAUAAGAUAAUUGUCCAGAGACUCACUAUAGGGCCUUCCCCGUGCGUAUAGAGAGGAGAUAAGACAAGAGGAAGUAAGAACAAUGCCAGUGCGCAAACUGCACAAAACUAUAAAGCAUGGAAUUAUCAUAGCAGCAAUUCGAAAAAGUCAAUAGCAAUUACAUUAUGCAGAAUAAACUUUCAAGAAGCAAAUUGGUACAGGCAACUAGCAGCAUAAUUCUCAUUACUAAGUGAUAGCAACUACAUAUGAUUCGUUAUGUAUUUGAUCGGUAUUUCCUCGAUGUCUCCAAAUUAUUUUUGGCAUGCUGAAGCAAACGUAUAAAAAGUAAAUUUCACAUUUUCUACAUAUGAAAAAUCUUGAUUUAUCAUGUAGAAUACUGCAGUAAGAACUCAAGUCAGUUUCCUUUCCCAUUUCUAUACAAAAAUAAAUAAAACCUGAAAGAAAUAGGAACGAGUCUCUUUAAACACACCACUUGAUAAACUUACCACAGCAUUAUGCCAAACACCAGCACAAUAAAUCCGCAGGGCAGCAAAAGGAGGUAAAGUUUGUAGCUGAUCAUAGUUCAAAGCAAUCAACGCACCAGGAAACAGGAUGGCUAGGAAUAUGGCAAUGUACUCAAUUUGCAGGCCUUCACUGUUUUAUAACAUGGAAAUACAGAUAUUUAGCAGCAAAAUGGAUGGUACUAAUGAACUUUUUGUAGUUGAGAAAUCAGUGGAUGCACAUAUCCAACUUUAAUCCAUCUUGGUAACAACUAAUUCUCUCAGGAGAAAAAGAAAAGGCUUAAAAUGGCUUGAAUGCAAUGGUAAAGAUAAGCUAACAUUUUAACUAUUCUCAUCCUUGCAAAUUUCUCUAUGUUUAACUCAAAAAUUAGAGCUCAAACAGAUAAUGGCAAUAUAUUGUUUUCCCAGCCCACAACAAGAUAAUAGCACAGAAUAUGACAUCAUAUGCCCCAAAAUAUAACAACAUAUCAUAAGCAAUGUGUGUGUGUGAGAGACCUUGCAGAAGCAACAGCGUGCCCAAAUUCAUGAAAAGCGACAGAGAUAAAUGUUGAAACUAUCACAACGGCAGCAUCCGUAACUGAUAUGCUUAGGCCAGAAGCCUAUAGUACAUAAAUGGAAUACUGUUUAGGCAUUGCCCCAUUUUGAGAACCAUAAUUCUCUACUUACAAUUAAGAAAUAAGAGAUGCCGAAAAAACAAGCUCACCAAAAUGUUUUCAAGCCCAAAUGAUACACCGUGGAAAUGAAAAGCACCAGCCAAAUCCCAAAGUAGCAUCUGGAAAAUAUUAAAACACAAAACAUAUACAGAAUGAGACUGAGCCAGAAAAACUCCACACUGUGGAACUAAGUAAAUGGAAAAAGGUAACACUGCUAGUUUGCUAAAAAUACUGCUAAGCACUAAUAUUUAUACAUAUUACUGCUCACGAUAUUAUGCAAGGAGCUAUAGUAAUAUUUUACUUAAGUUGCAAACCAAGCUAGAUGUACAAAUCUAAAACUUCAAAUUGACAGCUAUAUUAGGUGUCAUUUGAAAGAGAUUAAUACUCCACAACACUUUCAGGCUAUGUUGGAUACAUAUACUAAAAAUCACUUCGUAGUUUUGUUCCUGCCAUCAUAAAUCAGAUCUCUACAAAAAUGUCUGAUAGUUAUAAGACCUGGAUCAUAGCUGAAAUCACAAUAAACCACCAGUUGCCACUAACUCAUCAAGCAAUUUUGAUUAAAAUUCUAUGUCAUAUAAUGUUCAUUUAAAGCUGACUGAUUCAUGCGAUUCAAAUUAAAUAUGACAACUACUGCAUUUAAAAAGAAAUAAUUUGCUAACCUCACUAGUGAAGGGUGUACAUAUUACAUGAAAGUUGCAUAAUUAAAAGAAGUUGGAUGUUAUUCACUAACCAUUGAAACUCCAAUUAAGGCAGCAAGAACAAAGAAGACCCCGAGAGAAAACCACACUUUUAGAUAGCUGUAGCGAAUUAAAAAAGAAGUCAUUCUUAUCCCAGAAAACUUUCAACAUGUGAAAUAUCUGACAACUAUGAUGUGAACAUACGUGAACUCAAAAGAAGAUAAACUAGAGAAUAACUUCUAAAUGCAUGCAGCUGGUAGUGCUCAACUGGUUAGCUCAACAAAAUGAACAAAUAAGCUUUAUAAGAUCUGUAGCAUCAAUAUAAUGAGAAUGACUAUCAAGCAUCAUUAAAACAUAAGCUAAGCCUAAAGGAUAAGAUUUUAAAUAUCAAAAUAUACGUCAUUAUACAAAAUCUCUAGUAUCAAAAUUGGAUGCAAAAUAAUAAUUUGCAAAUCAGCAACAUCAUUUACCAUCAGCAGGCUGAAGAAGUUGCUGAUUCAUAAAAAGUUCACAAGACAUCCUCUGAUAAUCGGUAAUCGCAGAUUUAGGAGUUUAAAUCAUCUUUAUGCCACCCCAAGGUAGGGUGGGGCUUGAUGGAAGGGAUGAAAAUAACAUGAUCUCCUCAUAGAUCUUCAACAAGCAUGCAGAUCAUAAAAUGAAAGUAAAAAAUCCUCCAAAAUUACCGUGCAUAUCGAUAUCCGACAUAGAACAGAGAGUUGUUCAAGGCGUAAAUUUUGAAGUCGCAAUACCUGAAAGUAAUGAAAUAUGACCAAUAAGCCAAAUUACAGCGCAACGAAGAUCGCAUUACACACGGAAGAGUAAGUUAAGUCCUAUUCUUCUAUUCUUCACAUUCGAAAGAUGGAGAUUCCACUCAUUUUCAACACGCUAAUCUUAUAAUUUUCUCAUCUCAUUGGGCAACAUAAGAAUUUUUUAUAAUUAAUUAUAAAAGAUGUUUCAUCCUGAUCAAACUGGGACAUCUUUAUCUACUCAAAAGUAGAAGCCGAUUUUGGCAAACAAAAAGUUCAGAGCUUGCUUUGGUGAGAAGCCGAAUUAACUUCAGAAGCAAGCCAAAGUUGUUAAGGGCUUCUUCUAUCCGCUCCACUCAGACGAGCACUUGCUGCGAAUCACCCAAAUACUUAACAAGCAAGUAAUUUUCCAAGGAGAGUGAUAGAAUUGGAGACAAAGGGAGGAAUAGGAGAGGGGUGGAGAGAUUUACCAACAUGAAAUGGAAUUGACGUGGUGGUGAAUCGCGCUUGAGGGUAAAAGGGAUUGUGCUCGUCCUCGCCGCCUCGUGCGCCCCCGCGCCAUUAACGAAGAGUUUAGAGAGAGAGAGAGAGAGAGAGAGAGGGUUUUGGGUGGGAGAAGGGUUCGGGGGAGAGGAGAGGAAGACGCAGUUGGAUUAAAAGAGGCUUAACUUGAGGUCGAGAAUUUCGCUUCAAAGUCGGCGGCGAGACAUGAAUAAAUACUAAGUCGGCGGCGAAAUAGUGAGGUUGCCGAAUUUUACAUCGGACCGUGCAAAUUAAGGCGGUACAAAAAGCAGUCGGCGGCCAAGCGCAAAAUGUUGCCGACUUCUGAUUCGGUAGAGCGUCGCUCAUGAAAAAAAGUCGGCGCCGAGAAUAACCUGUAGUGCCGAAUUCACGGUUUGCAGUCGGCGGCGACGUGGCUGUAACAUCCGACUUUUUUAUUUUUAUUGCGAGCUUUUACUUUUAUCGCUUUUUUAUAUAUUAAAAUACAAAAACAGAUUUUUUUUCAUGUUAUGAAAUUUUAUAAUAAAAUUAUACAAAGUACAUGCAAUCAAAGCUAUUAGAUAAUUAAAAACUUUAACGAAAAAGAGGGGUGUCUCUGAAAAAUCUGACAAAGUUUAGGGACUCAAAUUGCCUAAACAAAAAAGUUGAGGCUCAACAUACAAAUUAGCUAACCUUCAGGGGCUCUUCGUACACUUUUUCCCAAAAAAACAAAAGCAAAAAGGAGAAGGGGAAAAAAAAAAAAAAUCAAACCUCCCUCUUUCUCCGACGAUUUUCUCUCUCUCUCUCUCUCUCUCUCUCUCUGCAUCGCCUCGAUUCUUCGGAGUUGGAGACGCCGCGAUGAUUCUGCUUCAGUCGCCAUCGAGGUUUUUGCUUCAGAUCUUACAAGAUCGCGUGCUUAGGUUACUCUUUCUUUCCCUUUCCCCCUGGUUCUCAUCUUUUUUCUCAGUUUGAUUCCUCAUUAUGCGUUUUCUCCUCACUUUUCUCCUUCGAAUCUCGCGUCGAUCGCUCUCUACUGAAAUUUCGCAAGAGAUUGGUUUCGCUAGCUCUCUAAUGGUGGUUUCGUUGCUCUAAUUGAUCGAAAUUUUGAAAAAAGUGGGGGAGAUUUGGAGCUUUUCGCGCUCUAGGGUUAUAGAUUCAAUUGUCUACUUGAUGUUGUAUGAAAUUUUGGCGAAAAUGUAGUGACUAUAGUUCCGUUUGGAAAUAACAGCCCACCUCAACUUAAUAGUUUUUUUAGUUAUUCUAUUUAGUUGAAUUGAGGAUUUUGCUAAAUUUAAUUGCCCUAUUAGCUAUUAGUCGUUAAUUAUUACAGCAUUUUAGUGAUUCUAAUUAUUAAAUCUGAUGGAAUCAUCAUUGGGUUUAGUAAAACUUCUAACUUAUUAGGCUAAAUUACUCAAAUAAAAAAAAUAAAUAAAAGUCAAGGGAGAAAAAUAAAGUUCAGGCCAUUUCAAAAUGGCCUAUAGUUGAGGCUGUUUCCUUACAUGUUAACCUAAACAGUUAGUAUAGUGGCCGAAUUUGUGAUAUCUAAUCAUUUGGUUGUUUACAGUCCUGACAAGGGAGUGGACAUCGAUUGCCAAACGGUGGAAUUUGAUGAUGUUCGCUAUCACAUUCAGGUCAUGUUCUUUUUUGGCCCUCAAAGAAUUACUUAAUUCUUAUUAUUGAAGAUGGAUAAUAGGGUUCCAUGUUCUUGUACCUGAUAUAAAGGUUUGGAAUUGGAUUACAGUUCUCUACGAGGAAUCCAAAGGUGAUGGUGUUGUCGGUUGCAUUGCCGGUCCCACCUCCAGAGGCUGUACUCUAUGACGGGCUUCCUUUCGGUGCAAUAGAGGCCAUUAAGAUGGCAUAUGGGCAGGCCGUGCAAAUUCUCGACCCUCCCAAGGAUGGAUUUGAUCUCACUAUGAAGAUCAAUCUAAAGAAGCUUCCGUCAGAUGAAGGUUCUACGAGUUUCCUUUACAAGGUCAUUAUGAUCUUGUUACAAUGUUACCGCAAAAUAAUGGCUGAUAGCACUGAAUGAGUUUAGUUGAUUAAGUUUGGUAGUUAUGUUAUUCAUAGGUAAUGUCUAUCUAUGGUAGCAAGUUUGGUAAGAGGUCAAACUUUUCUUAUUUUAAUUAGUUAGUGAACUUACAGUAAUGUCCGUUAAGUAGUUUGCAUUUGCCUAGUGAAUGUUACCAUACUAUUACAUACAGCAUUUUGUGGUAAAUUGGGCCAUUCUUUACUAAAGGUAUCUUUUUUUCAAUCUAGUAAUUGUGAAUUGUUAACAGGGUAAUGUACUGAACGAGAGAAGGGUGACGGAAAUGAAAUGGUGUUGUCAGUGCUUGUUCACCGUUGAAAUAUUGUAUGCUUGGUCAAAUAUAAUUAGUCGUUAGUUGGAGUUGUAAUUAUAUUUAAGUAGUUUAGGUUUUAGGGUCUUUAAGUGAUUUCUUCAUCAAGUUUUUAUGGUGAGUUGUCGUCACAUCCUAUUUUAUAGCCUAUCGGGUGCAUCAAAUGCCUUUGCUGACUGUUUAUACAUAUCUGCUUCUUUAAAAUGUAUGUUUGCUUGACUAAAUUUCUAGUUCUUCAUAGUUCUUUUGACUGAUGAUCUCAGUCUUGUCCAUGAGACGUUUUUUUUUUUUUUUUUUUUUUAAAAGCAUUGUUUCCUUUAUUGUGUUCCAGAACAAAGAAAUGCUCUUCUGGUGAAAAUUGCGUCAGUCAGAGAAGUUGUGCUAGGUGCCCCCUUAAAAGUGCUCCUGAAAUAUCUCGCAACGAAAACAGUGGCUCCUGAUGUGGAUCAGCUUGUUGCUCUUGUUCAUCGGCCUAAUGAAUCCUUUUUUCUUGUUCCUCAGGUAUAGAUGCCCAUACUUGCCAACUGUUUAAUUUCUUUGAAUUUAACAUUUAGCUACAUCCACAGAGUUUAAGGAGGAUUACGGCCAAAAAGAUAUAUGUUUGUUAGACUGGAUGUGUUUUUCCUGCUAACUUUAUUUGGUAAAUAAUGUACCUUUCUGAAUCCUUCAACUGUAUCUGUUUCUAGACUGUUCUGCAUGGAGUCAUAGGUCUUAGCGGUAUUACACUGCAUACUUUUUGCCAUUUCUUUGAUGCACCAAGUUUAUAUAUUUUAGACUAAAUACUUCUAUGUUGAAAUUGCUUGAUUAGAGUUCACUAAAUUCAAUUUGGUCUGUGUCCUACAUAAGAAGCAUAGGUAAAAAUCCAGGGGAAUAAUUUAUUGGACUCUUUGUUGCAGGCAGAUAAAGUCACUGUUGUUUACCCAAUGAGAUUCCAGGAUUCAACUGAUAUUGUUUUAGCUACUUCCUUUUUACAGGUAAAUGGACCUCUUGGUUUAAGCUCCUCUGCAUGUAGUAAAUGUUAGAACAUCUAUACAUAAUUUCUUUUAUAUGCUUGAAAUAACAGCUUGGUUUGCCGCAAUGAUUCCAUUCGAGGGUAAUGAACAGUAGUUUCUUAUGAGCUUUGGUAGUUUCCAUACACAAAGUUCUCUGCCUUCAUAAUAUACAGAAUGCUUUCAUUAUAAAAUAUAAAGUAACUUCCAGCUAAUAAAGCCAUACCUUAAAUAAAUAAGCCUAUUCUUAACAAUUUACAGUUGCCUUAUGAGUUCCUAUGAGCAGUCGCAUAGAUUUUGUCUGUCGUGUAUGUAAACCUUAUGAUUUUACUACUUUUUUUUUUCCUUUCUUUUUUAACCUUCCCAAACUGGAAUUGGGUGAGCUUCAGCAAUGCCACCCUUUGCGUUUUACUUUUUACUGUUUGCUUAUAAGAGAAAUCGAUGUUCAGGAAUUUGUGGAGGCAAGGCGAACAGCUGCACUAAAUAACGCCCCUUCUUGUAUGUGGUCAGCGGCCCCUCCUCUUGAGUUAACGGGAGCUCCUCCUGAAACACUAACUGCAAAUGCUGGAUUUGUUACUUUUGGUCAGGACAAGAUUAAAUUCAAUUUUCUUUUGCGCCUGUGCAUUCAUAUUUCUAAUAUGCACUUAUCAAUAUAUGCAGUGGUUUUCCCCCGCCAUGUUGAAGGCAAAAAACUGGACAAAACUGUUUGGAGUUUAUUGACCUUUCAUGCCUAUGUCAGUUAUCAUGUAAAGGUAGGAGGCUUUCUUAUUUUAAUCACAACGUGAUCUUCUUUCAACUAUGCUGUUGAUGAACUUUGCAUGGUGUGUUCCUUUUCUUUAGCUGUCGAUUUACUAAUGUAGCCAAUAAUGACUUGAAAUUUCAAUAUCUUGGAUUCAAAUCACUGGAAAGAAAAAAGAGAAAGAUGAUUUCCAACUGGAACAUCUGAAUUAUUGAGAUACCCUGGGAAAGUCUUGCAAUUUAUGGGUUGGAAAUUUAUAGAUUUGACUUAACUUCGUUUAUCGUGAUCCAUGUUGUUCAUGAGUUUGCAGUGUCCUCCUAUUUUUCUAGGCUUUAACUUUUUUAUCAGUGCAUGUUUCCAACAAACAGACUUUGUUAGCAUGAGGUUGCGUGGCUUUACCUCUCUUAUCUGAAUUUUGUUGUCUUCUUAUGAGCUCUUAUUGUUGUUAAAAGGGGAGCAAAUAGUUAAUUGCUAUUUGUCUGAAUGACAGUGCUCCGAAGGAUUCAUGCAUACCAGAAUGAGGCGCCGUGUGGAGUCAUUGAUUCAGGUAAGUGCUAUUCUCUUUUUGCUGGUGCUGGGUUUAUUUUAUCAAUAGAGUAAUAAGUCCAAGAACUUCAACUGUUCCUUAGAUACUUUUAAAGUACUGCUGCUGUAAGCCCUCAUGUGAGAUGAGAAUAAUCGAGAUUGAGUGUCAGAUGCCAAUGCCAAAACCAACAUUUUAUUGGUUUUUUUUUUUGUCGGGUUGCUAUUAUUCUUUUAAGUAUCAUAAGAUCUCCCUGCUUUGCUAUAAUUAUGUGGCUCACUGACAGUAUUACAAAAAUAUCUCCUUUGCUAUAUGUGAACUAGAAAUUAACAAUUUGUACUUUUUAUGAAAAAAAAAAAAACUGUUAAUCACUUUCUAUAAGAACAUAUCUUAUUCUAUUACCUUGUAUCUAGGCUUUGGAUCGGGCAAAACCAGAUGCGGAGAAGAAGAAGUUCGUGCAAGGGAAGUCUUUUAAGAAACUGGUUUGUGGCAUGACCUAAAACAUUAACAAUCAUUUUUUCCUCCAAACUGUUUGUUAUCAGGCACUAAUCCUAUAAUUUCUGCCUCCAGAGUUUGAAAGAAACAAGCUACACUUGAAAUUACUGGAAUCUGAAUCCCAGAAUUCUGUUCCAAAUGACCACGGCAGGACAUGAGGCCGAACUUGCAUCGGCAUUGGACUGCAAUCUUCAGUAUGUUCUUCCGGAUUAUGUUUAAGAAUGACUCAACUGGUCUAGUCUUUCAAACGAUAUAGCAAAACGGUACUCGAAUAUCACCAGGCCUCUCUCCAGCGGGGGGGCAUAUUUUUUCUGCAAAUUAGUGGGCUAGUUGAAUCAUUACAUUUGAGCACUGUCAACUCGUUCUGACAUACCGCCUGUACAAAUCGGUCUUUGGCUUGUGAUCAGGGCUUGCGAGUUUAUCUUUCUCGCUGGAGUGUUGUUAGUUAAACUAUUUUCACUCUGUUAAUUGAUGCACACUUUCAUUAACUCGCCUUAUGUGGAAUUAAGUGAACCUUUUCUCAGUGCUAGCAAUCAUGCCUAUUCCUAUUCUUGACCUUAUUUGGGGUUUUCCCUUUCUUUUCUUUUUUUAUGAGAAAUAUUUAUUUCAUUUAGAAAAUAAACUUAGCUGAAAAUGUGAAUCAAUUAGGAUUCGAACUUGGAUCUCGAGUACCAACCACAAAGUUUUUUGUCACUUGCUCUAGGGACGGUCGAUAGGUUUUCCUUUUCUUAGUGCGAGCAUCCCCGUACGAAGCAGGGUGGGUUUUCCUUUUCUUAGUGCGAGCAUCUCCGUAGGAAGCAGGAUAUUAAAUCAACUGUUCUUAGCAAUGAUAGCAUAAAGAAUGGAGGAUACCAUGCAAAAUUUUUGAUAGAAGAGCAGGAAAUAAAGUUGGGCUUUUGCUCAACAAUUUUCCAUUAAAAUUAGAGAAAUAGCAGUAUUCGUGACGAGAUGGUCGUCCGAACUGAAAACAAGUCUCGGUAAAGUUCUCAACAAAAUAUAUUAGAGCACGAAAACCUCUCCUCGCAUAAAUAGUUCAGUUCCAUGUUCCAAUUAAUGAGGACGAGAAGUCUAUCUUCUUUAUUCCAAACUUUUCUCAUCAGCAACACAAUCCAUUUUCCGCUAACCAUGAUCGCUGGUGAUUUUUCGGACAUAAAAGCAACCUGAGUAAGGCAAGGCAAAAAAUAAAUCACGAUCUGAAACAUUGAUACGUAUUUUUAAAAAAAGAAAGAAAAAGGUUCGGUUAGAAACAUCUUAAUCUUGUUGGAAAAAGGUUUCCAUACUUUCAUUUUCCCGAGAGUCUCGCUCUCAACUCAUCAGCUACAGUGUCGAUGAACUCCUCAGUAUUCAGAUAAUGGCUUCUGGUGACGCUGAAAAGAGAGGAAAAGAAAGAAAGAAAACAGGAGAGUGAGAAUGCCAGAUCAUCUACACUAGUAACAUGGGUAAGAAAAAAAAAACUAACGAAAUAAGUAAUACCUGGAUCCAUGAACGAGAAGAGCGAGAUCCUUGGUCAUUUUCCCAGACUCGACAGCCCCGACGCAUGCAGCUUCGAGCUUUUCAGUGAAAUCAAGUAGUCUAGCAUUGUUAUCUAGCUUUGCCCUGUUAACACACCAAAAAUUUCCAGGAAGCAAAAACAGAAAGGACUUUAGAUAGGCAUCUUUCAUACAUAAAAGAAAGUGAAAAACUAGAAAGAAAAUACCUGUGUGCAAGCCCCCUUGACCAGGCAAAGAUUGACGCAAUGCUAUUAGUACUAGUUUCGCCUCCUUUUUGGUGAACUCGAUAAUGACGGGUUACUGUGCCGUGAGCAGCUUCGGCUUCAAUGGUUUUACCAUCAGGGCACACCUACAACAGGAAGCAGAGCACAAACAUCAAUCAAUACUUCAAGAAGAAUUUGUUAUAUAUAGUAACUUCAUGAAAAGGCGGUAAAGGAGGAAAAACAAUUCCUAAAUAUUUAACAACAUGUGGUGCAGGUUAGGCAAAAUUUUUCAAAAGGUCAAAUAUAACACCGCAUACUUAACCCACAGUUACACUAGCUAUUCAGCAACAAAUAAGGACAAAAAUAAUCUUAAAAAAUCAUGCAUUGAUAUGAGGUAUAUAAUCAACAUUUUAUAGUAAAAGUACGACCCUUUUACUAGUCGUUGAUCAGUGGUCACCACAAAAGAAUAAAUCUAUUUACAGUCAAUAGUUUGCCGAGCAGAAAGAAGUCUAAGCUAGAGAUUAUAUACAUACCAGGACAGAUGUCAUCAAACCCAAAGAACCAAAACCUGCACAUAAAAUAAUGUUAUCCGGUGAUUAGAACAUACAAAAUUUUGGGACAAGAGCUGGCAACUCAUUAAACUAGAUUGAUACGUUAAUCAAAAAUUGCAUAAUUCACACAUUGACAAGAGUUACUUCAAGAAAAGCAGUGUCAAUCAAACCUUGAGCUAAGAAAUCGCUCUGCACAUCUCCAUCAUAGUUCUUGCAAGCCCAUACAUAACCACCUUCACUCUUAAGUGCAUAGGCAACCAUGUCAUCAAUAAGACGGUGCUCGUACCUAUCAGUUACCAACUCCUAUGAGAUAAAAAAGGUAAUGCUUUGGACUAAGCAAGAUGUAAAGAGCAGUUGGGAAAUACAUACCAUAUUCCUGCAGCUUCAAACCUGGACUUCCACUCCUUCUCGUAAACCUCCUGGAAUAUGUCCUUAAAUCUAGAGGAUAGAUAAAGAUGAGUAAGAUAGGAAAUAAAAAAUAAUGUGAGAAAAAAAAAAUAAAGUUCUCAUCUAUUCAUAUAUGAACUCCAGAAAAAUCUAAAAUAUUCAAUGUACCUCUGCAGUUUCUCAAAAAAAAUAAAAAAGAAAAAAAGAAAAAAAAUAAUAAAGAAACCCUUAAGCUGUGGGAGUCAUCCAAUUCAUCGACGAAGUACGUUUUGUAUUAAGAAAAAAGGAGCACUUUCGUAAGCACACGGGUGAAAAUGCAAAUGAAGUUACGGAGGUUCAGAAUUCUUGCAGAGAUACACAUAAAUAGAUAAUUUUGUAGAUGUAUACAUGUAAGAUAUCCUAGUGUUACUCGAAGUCGUGUAUAAAUUUUUUUUUUUUAAAAAAAAGUUGCUUCAUACCUUCCAUCGUACUUCUUCAAAAUUGUAUUUUUGGUGCUCAGAUACAGUGGCCACUUCUUCUGGUAAGCAGUGGCCAUUGAAGCCUCCGCAAAGGCAUGGAUGGACUGUACACGAUCAUGUUACAAAGAGUAACAAUGGCAAAUAAAGGUGAUGAUUUUAUUAAUUGCAAUAUAACGACAGGUUCUUUUACCUCAUCAGUAUUGUACAUAGAUAUGGCAACCCCUCCAACACCCGUGAAGUUAAAGACCUCUAGCUCGACAUGCUCUUCAUGUCCCUCUGAUAUGAAACAUAAAAUAUAAUCUCAAACUAAAGUUUAUGUUUUGUGUAACAUAAAAAGCAAAAGAACUAUUAAUAAGCCUACCGAAUACUAAUUUAAGCUUGCCAGGCCCUUUAAUAACUGUAUCAGUUGCUCGAUACUGAUCACCGAAAGCAUGCCUUCCAAUGCAUAUGGGUUUAGUCCAUCCUGAAAGCACCAAUCUUUACAUUAGAUGGUAAAAUCACAGCAUUUCAAAACAGUUUGAAAAACUGAAGUCCUUCAAUACCUGGAACAAGCCUUGGGAUGUUUUUACAGAUAAUUGGCUCUCUAAAUACUGUGCCUGAAGCGGAGGGAAAAAAGGAUUAAUGGGAAACAAUAUUAGCAAAGACAAAGGUGAGGACAAUAUUGCCAUCUGUCAAAUUGCCUAACCAUUAAGGAUGUUCCUGAUUGUCCCAUUUGGGCUUUUCCACAUGGACUUCAAGCCAAAUUCCUUAACGCGAGCUUCAUCUGUCGUUAUAUAAAAGUAAAAAAAUGAAAUUAAAAUGUCUCAAAAAUGUCUAUCAUAGUCAAACAUGUGGCUGGAUAAUAACAUCUUAUUUCCAAGUAAGCCAAUCUUAUUUCCAAGUAAGCCAACUUUACCUGGAGUAAUUGUUGCACAUUUGAUUGCGACAUUAUACCUGUGACAAGAUAAUUGCCAAAAAUUAAACGGGGAGACAAGGUAAUUUAAGUUGACAAUAAAAAUAUGAAUAUUACCAAUCUCAAAGUAAAACGCCUAAGGAAUAUUUCAGGUAAUAAAAACUCAACAAAAAGCAAAUUGGCAAACAAUGGCUCCAAAAGUAAAAAGGAAUAACUCUAAUUGUUCAGGUGAAGAGCAUAUACAAAUCAAAUCCAUAAAAACUACCAGUCAACACCAAACAAGCUGUGCUUCACAAAAGUACAAGAAAAGAAUAGGCGAUGAAUCCACAAGAAAGAAUAACACCAAACAAAUGGGAUCAAAGAUGGAGGGUAUAAUUAAAAGGAACAACUUAACUGAAAAGUAUCACUCAAGAUUUAUUACUCAAGAUUUAAAAGAUGACUUGACUACGAAAAAGAUACAAAAGAUGAUUCUUACUUAAGAGUAGCCUCCGCACUUUCUAUUGUAACUUUAUCAUCUGUAGCAUCACGAUUGGGAAGGCCCAAGUCAUAAUAUUUAAUGUCCAAGUCCAAGAAUGGGAAAAUAAGCUGCAUGAUCCGCCAAACCAUUAGUUUUGUAAGUUGUCAUGAAUAGAUUUUAAAGAAUAGAAAUCGACAAAAGAAAAUAUAAAAAAAAAUGAUCCAGCAUGUUGGAUGAAGGAGAAGUAAUCAAUCACCUUUUCCUUAAUAGAUUUCCAGAAGACUCGGGUCAUUUCAUCCCCUGUCCACCAAAAUAAGAUAGAGUAAAUUAAAAUGUUUACCGUGUAAAACCUCAAAUUUUUAUCUUAAAAAAAUAGACAAGACUCAUGAGCAUCACAAAUCUCAUAAAAACCAUAUUGCAGAAGCAACUACCAGCAAAUAUGACUAGAUAAGAUGAUACGGAGAUUGUUACUACGUUAAGUUGAGGUAAGAAAAGUUUGAAAUGUUAUAUCCAAGCAUGCUAUUCUACAUCUCAACAUACAGACAUCACCAUUGCAAAGUUAAGAUUAAGGGUCCAGGAGAUUCACUGUAUCGCAUAAAUAACAAUCAGGAGAGCAAUUCCACGAAAAGCAGAAUACUAUGCUGCCCCAGUGAAAAUCCAUUGGCAACAAGAGUAAUUAUACGCCGAACAGCUAAAAAAGAGUAACCAGGCACUGGUUUCCUCUCGUGCAUCUAACCAGUAGUAAAACAAUUAAAAUAAUUUAUUAUUCGGUACUUGAAGGAAUAGUAAGGAAUAGUAUCUUAUAGACCACAAGAAGAAUCACAAAAAAAAAAAAAAAGAAAAGAAAAGAAAAGGAGAACUAUAACAGCUAACGGACACGUAAUAAACAAAAUAUGCACUCAAACGGAUGUUUCACAAAAUAGAUCUCCGAACUUAAACACAUACCCAAGUAUACAGUAGGAACGAGAUGCAUCCCAUAUAACUAAUACAAAACCCUUACACUUAAAAAUAUAUCGACACCCACUAAAUCACUGGGCGUGCACUUUUCGACUAUUUAUGUUUAUCUCCACCUUAUUUUACUGCAAUUACUCUCUAAAAUUUCAAAUUAACCCUAAAAACGAAUCAGAUCCAAAAUUAGAACAAAGAUCAUAUGGAUAGCUCGGAAACUCUGCAAUCCAAAAUACUAACACUAACAUGAAUCGAUCCAUAUUUCAUCUAAAACAAGGUUAAAACCGAAGAUUAUAAAUGCCCUAAAACUAAACAUAAUCAAAAUCGCUACACCUCAAAAGUAUCAACCAACAAAAAAAGAGAUCCAUAGGCGAUGAUGAUCAAAUCCGCUAGCAUAACAUCGAAUCGAGUGAUCUAAAUAUGACAAGAUAAAAAAAUAGCAGAGAUCGAGGGGGGAGAGGGGUAAGGGUCUCUAACCGUCCAUCUCCACGAUCGGGUUCUCCACCUUGAUCUUCUCGAACGCCAUGGUCGACGAUGGGGAAGAGGAGAGAGAGAGAGAGAGAGAGAGAAAUGGAGGCGACGAGGAAAAAUGCGAGAUCGGAGGAGAGCAAGGAGCGUGAGCAAUGGACGAAAAGAAUUUAUAUAUACACAAGUCCGACCACCGCAUAGAAAAUUUUGUGCGACGCGACAUUUUCCCUGUAGCUUUUUUACAAGUACGUGGCAGAAAAUGAUUGGUGAUCGCCUGUCCAUUUUUCUCAUUGGUUAGCUAGAAUACGCCACCGCUAUGGCCGUAUGCGACUGAUUUGAAAAGCUCGCAUGAGCGAAUGUCACAGUGCAUGGACCCGGUCUGUAGACCGGGUGUAACUCAAACCCAUAAGCCUCAAAGUUUAAAAAUAUUGCAGGUAAAUAUUAUGCUCAGUAAAACCCCUCAAAAUGCAUCAAAACUUAAUCCAAACACAAAAAUUUUGUAGGCAAGAUAAAAACUUCCAUUGUUUAAUUCUAAACAAUCCGUAGGCCCGAUCCUAAGAAUUUUAUAAAAUUAGUCAUUUAUUUCUAAAAAAAAUGGAGCCCACUAAUCUCAUUUUUAAAUGAGCAUGCGAGAAAUUAACCCCCGAACUUUUGAUAGGCAAUCCAAGAUUUCUUUUGAAAAUUGGAGUACUCUCUUUAGAAAAAUAUAAAAUGAAGACAACUUUUUUUCUUUAAAGUCAUCAUGAACAGAUUUUAGGGUCUUUUUCUCUGAUGUUUCGGAGAGCCUGGUCUACAGACUGUGGUCCAUGCAAAGUUUUUCUACAGCAUUAAGUGGGGCCACGUGACCCAAUUUUUUUUUCCUAUGGUGCAUACUACUUGGGACAAAAAUUCUAUGGACAGCGUGCCCAAACUAAUUAGUUUGGGCACACUGCCGGAUGGGCGCCGCGUGNGCAUGGCGCAGGUGCCACGCGGCGCCCAUCCACCACUGCUCUCCCAGUAAUGGGGAGAGCAGUGGAACUUUCUGGGUGCACCUGGUGCAUCUAUACCAGGUGCACCAUAAUUAUAAUUUUAAAUUUUUAGUUUUUAAAAUUAUAAUUUUAUGUAAUAAUUUAUUUAUUUUUUUAGGAGUUAUCAUUGUAGAAAUUAAAAAUUUUAAUUUUAUAAAUCGAUAAUCAUGAAUUAUAGACCAUAUAAAUUUUAAAUCAUAACAUAUAUGCUAACAUAUUAAGUUAGAAUUUUAAAAAAUUUAAAAAAUAACAAUUAUGGUGCACCUGGUAUAGAUGCACCAGGUGCACCCAGAAAGUUCCACUGCUCUCCCCAUUAUUGGGAGAGCAGUGGUGGACAUCCGGCAGCGUGCCGCAUGCUGCCCAUAGAAUUUUUGUCCUACUGCUUGUAGAUUUCAAACUCAAUAGUGUCACGGUGUUGGAUAAAAAUAAAAUUAUUAUUAAAUAUACAAGAAAAUUCUAUUCUAAUAAUAAUAACUGAGUUUAAACAAUUUAGGCCGAUGAUUUGAACCCAACAAGUUAUUAUUAUUAACGGGUCGAAUCGUUAUAUUUAGUAUCGAAACCGAUUCACUAGCCGGAAGUAUGAGAUGAGUCUUCACUGAGCUAGAAUCGCCGUAAUAAGUUUAGCAAGACAAGUCCCACAUUGCUUGAUGAUUUUGACUCUACUUUAGUAAUAAUAACUGAAUUUAAGUAAUUUGGGUUGAUUAUUAUUGCUAAUGGGCUGAUUAUUAUUACUAGCGGGUCGAAUCGCUAUACGAGAUAUAUCGUGCUCACUCAUGUUUAAUUAGUAAUUCAAUCGAAACUAUUGAAUUGGUGAGGUGUACACAUUUGUUUAAUAUCUCUCUUCUUCUAUUCAUUUAUUUGAGGCCUCUAAAGUUGAAACAAGCCCCGGUUACUGUUGAAUUUACCUUGUUGCCAGUGCAUAAAAGCGUUACCUUUGUAGAGCCCAAUAUCCCUGCUGCAACGGUUUCAGAUAUUUGAUCCUUGAUGAUAUUUACAAAGUUGGUGUAACGUCGCAAUCAGGCCAAAAAACAAAAGAGUCAACGAAACGGAGUGCUUCAAAGUGUCAGCGAUUACGUAAGCUUUGUUCACGAAAAAUUGCCAUAAUAAAACUGCAAAUUUUGAAAAUUAUUAUUGUACUUAUUUAUAAUUUAUAAUUUACAAUUUUGUAGUUGGAAAUUUUGAAUGCAGUGCUUUGCUUUUUACGAUUUUUAUUGCAUUUUGGGAAAAAACAUAUAAAGAUGAUCUGAACUUUUGCAGUUUUGUAAACAAACUUAAAUUUUUAUUUCAAUUAUUAAUUUUUGUGGUUUAUUAAAUAGCUUAAUAGGUUUUAUUAGGUUAGCGAAGUUACUAAUUAAAUAGUGUUAAAUAUAAAAUUAUAUAAACAUUAUUUUCUAAUAACUUAAGCUUUUAGUGCAUAAUGAUUGUUAUACAUGGUAUCCUAGGUUGUUUCACAAAUUAUUAUUUUAAUCGUAUACUAAAUAAAAUUUGUUAUUUUUAUAACAAUUAAGGAUCGAAAUUAAAAGCCAUAGUGAAUUUAUUUUCUAUUUUUAUUAUUUUUCAUAUCUUAGAAUAAGUAAAAAUAAAAUUUUUUAUGUUUUAAAGUUGUACAAAUUUACAUGACGCAAAACUAACUACAAAACAACUACAUAAUAAAUAACUUUAAUUCAGGAGAGCCCGUUGAGCCAUUUAAUAAAUAUUGAAUCCGUUUUAGCAAAAGUGCUAAAGUUUAGGUAGUUUUUCCGCAUUUUUUAUUUUUUGUUUUCUAUUUACAGAUUAUAAAAUUUACGCUUUUACUGUAAUUAANGGGGGGGUUCUGUAAAUAAUAAAGGGUGGAGGGGUGUUUUCUUAAUUGCUAAUUAGUAAUUACUCCGGGAUUGAACCGUAGCUGAGCUAACUCACCGAACUCACCGCACUAGUACCACUUUAUUAUUAGAUCCAAUAUUUCAAUAAAUAUAAAAAAGGAAAUGCAACUUUACAAAGACUCCAAUUGGAUCUUUAAUUUAAUUUUCAAUCGACAUCUUCUACUGACUUUUAUUUUUUUAAAAAAAUAUUAUUAUAAUUUAAUUAAAGUUUUAUUAAAUUUGAUAAUUUUAUUAGCUACGAGGUGUCAACUGUUCUAGAUUUAUUAUUGAUCGAUUUAAUAAGACAUUUUAUUCAAAUAAACAAAAUUUACUCAAAAGAAUAGCUUAAAAUUACACAGGUGACCAUUGAAAAGGGUCAUUUCAAAAUAGUCGUAUAAUUUGAGGGGCUUCGUACAUGUUUUCACCGGAACUAAAUGGUGUAACGGAAGAACCAACAUCACAUGGUGGGGUUCGGUCCACCCACCAAUAUUCAUUAAUUCCACCGCACCUGACACCAUCGUCGUAUGCUUUUAAUUUUUCUAUUAUUAUUAUUAUUAUUAUCAUUAUUUGUUGAAUAUAAAAUUAUAUAAACAUUAUUCUUUAACAGUUUAAGCUUUUAGAGUACAACGGUUGUUUCACAUGAUAUGAGCAGAAGGUCCUGAGUUCAAGUCACGCCAGAUUCCUAAUAUAUUAAUUUCCUCAUUGGCAGACUAAAAAAGUCUCGAGCUCAGAUGUGUGAGGGCGAACGAUUGUUUAUAUAAUUUUAUAUUUAAUAUUAUUAUAAUUAUUAUUAUAUCUUAUCUAAUAAUUGGGAGCAUCUAAGUGCUGCAAAGUGUCCAUGUAAUAAAAAAAUAAUUUUAUUUUAAUUAUAUUUUAUUAAACUUCGUCACACGAAGCAAAAUCAGCAUGAAAGCAUUUGAUAUAUGACACAAAUUCAAUUCAUAAAUUAGACAUAACUAGCAUAAGAUAUGAACAACUUCACUAUUAAACACAAUUAUUAAAAGGCUCCGACCUAACCUAAAAAAAAGUUAAGUUGUUUGAUGGGAAUAUCCUUGGCAUGAUAAACAAGUCAAAGUUCUAUAUCAAAAAGUCAUUCAGAAAAUCCUUGCAUGAUAUAUAUAAUAUGCUUAGUUUGGUUCGGAUAUAAGGAAGAACUAGUUAUACUCGGGAUAGGUACAAGUAUAAAUUUUCGUAGAAACAAGAAUAUUUUUUUAUUUAGAUGAAAAUGUGAGUAUAAGUUAGAACUAGAAAAACUUUGUUUGGAUGAAAAUGUGAGUAUAAGCUGGAAUAGUUGGUAGUUAUAAAUAGAAAAUAAUAAUAAUUGAAUUUAAAUUUUUGAACUCAAAAUUUUAAAUUGAAAAAUUGAACUUUUAAUUUUUAAAAUUUGAAAUUAAAUUUAAAAUUUUAAUUUUAAAUAUCUAAUUUUAAAUUUAGGACCAAAUUUAAAUUCGAAAGAUAUAAAAUAUCAAAUUUAAAAUUUAAAAACUAAAAAUAUCAUAUUUAAAAUUUAAAAUUUAAAAAUAUCAAAUUUAAAAUUUAAAUUUUAAAAUUAAAAAUUUAAUUUUUAAAAUUAUAAAUUAUAAAUUAUAAAUUAUAAAUUUUAUAAAUUUAAAUUUAAAAUAAAAAUCUCUCUCUCUCUCUCUCUCUCUCUCUUGUACCUGGGGUGGAACAAGUUGUUCCACCCCAAGGUCGGAACACAGUGGGAACACUUGUUCCCACCUUGUACCCGGUUGUACCGGAUAGAUGAUAUAUAUGGCUACAUGAAGUUAUGCUAUUUGUAUAUUCAAAAAGUAGUUGUAAAUUGUACAUUGUUCCAAUUUACAACCCAUUUAUUUCACACUUGUGUUACCAUUUUUUUAAUAUUUAAAAUUCAAAAGAAAUGUCUAAACCUUUCGAUACAAAAGCAUACAAUUUAUAUCAAACUUUUUAGUGCAUAAAUAGUUUUUCUUUUUUUUUAUAUUGCUGCUGCCUAUGUUUAGUUAUGACUUCUAAAUGAAUAACAGCGAACUGUUCGUAUGAAACUACCGUCUCCUCAAAUAUAUCAUUCAGUAAAAGUCAGGAGUCAAAACUUUUUAAUUAUUCGAGUAACUUUUUUAUUGAAUGCGGUUUUUUUUUUAAUACAUUUUUAUUUUGCACGAAUUUUAAAGCAUCACAUCAAAAGAGUAGCCCAAUAGAUCAGGAUGCCACUACUACGUUAGUACGUUGCAAUUUCGUUUGAGUCCUGCAAUAGCGGAGUUCAAUGGGGGCCCAAUAUGGCCCUUCCCGAAAACACCGGUUUAUAUGCCCAUUAUUUCCGAAUCCUAAUGUAAUGAUCUGAAUCAGUAAAAGCCCAAAAACAUUUUCAGAAAAAAAAAAUUAUGCUAAUUUUCCGAAGAAACUAAAAUUAAAUAAGAUCCCAAAGCAUUUUUGGCAUAUCUAUUACACAUCGUAGCAAUCCAAAAAUACGUUUGUUAGGACUUAGAUAUACAAAAAGCAAUCCCUUUCAUACGCCGUUUUCUUUUGUGCAGCAUCAGUUAAUAAUUCAAAUGAAAAAGACAAACACGUCUAUAUUUGCUUUGCCUUGAAUACCUAGCAAACAUUAUCGUAGUUUAGAGGCCAUUUUCUCAUUUUCUUAUUAUUGUCAUCUAGCAAAUAUUACUUUGAAGAUGAAUAACCCACCCAUUUACAUCAAAUUUUUUUUUCCCGUGUUCUAACUUCUAAGAGAGAGAGAGAGAGAGAGAAGUUCUUCUCUCCACUGUGGCAGGGAAACCUUAGACUCAUCAUAUGCAUGCAUGUGCUUCAAACCCAAAAAAUUAAGAUGGUCACUACUGGGGCAUUGUUUAUAUACAUAUGUGUGUGUGUGUGUGUUAUUCAGAUACUUGGUAUCAAUGUAACACGCAUGACUUAUUAAGCGACGAUAUUAACGUCUCAGAAAUGAAACUGGAUGCUGAGUAUUAAUUUGUAGAGGAAGUGUAACAGAAAGUGUUUCAGCAUAGUUAGCAGAAGUAUAAUUCAGAAAAAAAUAAAGAAAAAAAAAAAAAAACUGGAGUGUAGUCAACUACUUAUUCUUCAGGAGAAGAUGAAGAUGAUGCUCUAGUACUUUCUCUGUUUCCCUUCUCCAGGGUAUACCUAUCCAAGCAUUCGACAACUCCGCCACAACACGAUGCCUCUGAUGUAUCUCAUCUCAUACUUUAAUCUCCAGCCAUCCAACCAUCGUGAUACUAUAAUUUGUUGAACGAAGAAAAAUUACCACGUAACGAACUGUAUCGGAGACGGAGGUUUGAGAUGUAAUAAUAGGAUGGUACACCUGUGAUGAAAUAGAUGGCCGACGGUCGAUGAUGUGUGGAUGCACCGAGUGCAUGCGGGCAGGGACAAGACCAUUGCGAGGCUCACAGCGGCCAUAGCCCCCCUCAAGGUUUGAAAAAUUAUACAGAAAUAAAUCCCUUUAGGUUCAAAUAGGGUAUACUCCUGUUUAAUCAAAAAAAAAUUCUUUUAUGGUCAAAAAUAAAAUAUUAAAAAUUUUAGUUUAAAUCCGCCGUCUCUAGUCCCGCUUCUCCGUGGACACAUCAUCGCCAGCAAUAGAUGGCCGGAGAAUCCAACAAGCUAUUUUCCUAAACUAAAUCUUGGAUCUCCCAAAUCUUAAUUUCUGGCUUCGUCCACGAAACAUACGGAUGAACUGCGUGUGGGCAAUAAUUUCUCAGCUCAACUUCUCUAGCAUCUCCUAAGUCAGUUCCAUGCCCUCAAUUAGAUCCCAGCUGCUCCAAAAGAGUCACCCACAGUUUCACCCCUAGUUUUCUGAAUCUGGAGUUUGGUUCUCUUUAUCACCGUCCCAAGCCUCUUCAUCUGCGACUCGAAUCGAAGGCCUCAGAUCUUUGUACCGAAGAGCUUCUUUAUCGGCCGGGACUCGAAUCGAAGACCUCUGAUGCUUCUACUGAAGAAAUAUUUGCGCGGUUGCGAUCUUUUUGUCGUCGUCGUCGUCGUCGUCGUCCUCGUCGCCACUGCGGCCGACGUUGAUCGAUCGGAGACCUUCGAUCGGGGUUCCGUGGUGCAUCAAAUGAGCUACAAAUGGAGCCCGAGUUCAAACUUUUUACAGAAAACUACAAUCUAUGUAGUUCUGAUCCAUUAACAGAGCUUUUAGGCACAAAGAACACGAGAACGUCAAAUAUAUUAUAUAAUAAUUUAGAUGGCGAGGAAACAGUGAGCUUGUGCUUUAGUUGCCAUUGUGGUCCAGAGCCUAACACACAAUAACGAGCAAACAAAAUAUUACAACACCAACUUUUUCUUUUUUAUUGAAAGAAAAUUAGCAUCACCAACUAUAUAUAUAUAUAUAUAUAUAUUCAACAUCUCCAUCUUUACUAGUGCCAUGUUCAUCUCUCACGAAAUUUAUCUUUUUAAUGCAAGUAAUUAAAAUAAAUUAAGCUUCGCUUAGCCUAAGCACCCGCUGAUGCGGCCGCCGGAGUCCGUGGAGCACCGCCGGCCACCGCGGACCACCGCGGUGGAUCAAGACGACGAUUAAUUAGUAGUUAAUUUCCUUGUUAAAGUUGCUUAAGAGAUGCCCCCAAAAUUAAUUAAAGGAAGAAAACAAAAGAAAAAAUAGUGCCUCACCAUGGAUCGAGUCGAUUUCAAACUAUUGUUUUUUUAACGAGAAAAAAAGGGGAAAAAAGAAAAAACUUAUUCACCCUCGCCUUGUAACAGCCCAAAUCGACUCAUCAAACUAGGGAAAAGGAACUAAAAGUUUACUUUAUUUUUUACAACAAAGUACCAACAAAAACUAAAAAAUAACAACAUCUCCAUUGAUCAACCUAGGAUACACCAAAUAGGCUAACAAGGCAUUAUUAAACUCAAGAACCUUUUUUUUAAAAAUAAAAUAUACAUAAUAAGUAAUAAAAACGCAUCAAAUAGGAGGAUGAGAAGAGAUCAAGCAAAGUUACUAAUCGCGUCGCGCUCCGCCUCGCCCGCCGCCGACCACCGCCGCCGCCGCGCCGGUCGCGGAGACGGAGACAAGUUAUUAACUUAUUAUUAGCGCCUACUGUUAAGCUCCUAUUUUAUUUGAAAUAUAUACAUGACCCGAAAAAAUAUGUUGAAAAUGGAUAAUGUUAACAAAAAGCACUAACAUUGCAGGAGAUAAAUAGUGCCUUUCUCCAUUAACCAUCACUCCACCAACACAAUCUAUUCGAAACCACCCAAGUUAGAGUCGAUUCCCACCUAAUUUUUUUGUUAAUUUUGUGAGUGAAAAAAAAGAAGAGGAAAAGUAUGUAUCCAUUGGGAUCUAAUGUUGGGUCUAAGUCGCCAUGUCCCAAGUUGACAUGUUCCCAAACAUAACACCAUUUAUGGGUUGACCAUGGGCGAUGAUAACUAUUCUACAUACAAUUAAUUGUUUCUUCUUUUUUUUUUUUUGGGUUCUUUUUACAGUUAACUGCAGAACCAAAAACAAAAAUAAAACUUUUUUAGAAUAUAAGAAAAAUUCUACAUUAAAUCGUUGCUACACAAACUCGUCUUCUUGGCUUUAAUGACUCUUUGAUCCACCCAAACUUUUCAUUACUAUGAGUCCAUGGAUAAUUCACCUUCGACCAAGCUAUGCGAAAAUGGGGAGCGACUCUUUAAUCCACCCAAAUUUGUUCUCUCCCCAUUCCGAGCUCAAAUUCGUCGCGAAAAAUAUCGAAAAAAUUACCCCAAAAAAAAAAAAAACCAUUCGUGUUCUUCUUCUGAUCUACACUUUUUUUGGCCUCAAAUUUGUACCUGCCAUUGAGAAAGCUCCCUAGCCAAAAAAAAAAAAAAAACAAACAAACAAAAUUUGGCUACAAACUAUGAAGUAAAAAAUUUACUCAAAUAUUUUGCAUCGAAUUAUUCAUCUUAAAAUACCCAUCAUCAUCUGUUUAGCUUCCUAUUCCAACUUUGCCAUGGGAACAAAUCUCUCACCUUAUUCCCCUUCGAAAAAACGUACACGAAGUUACAAAAAUGUUGGAUUAGAACCAUUCUUUGAUCCAAAUUUUCUUCUUCUGUAUCUUUCUAUGACUCGAUCACGAAUUAAAUUUAUAGCUUGGAGUGUAAGACCACCUCUCGACCGUGCCCAAAUUUUUGGUACACUACACAUAAUCUUUGUAGCCAAAAAUCGCACCAAAAAUACCUUAAAGAAAAAGAAAAAGAAACAAAAAUAAUUAAAAAAAAAAGUGAAAUCGCUACGAUGUAGAAGAAAAGGAGGUGGCAUGAAAAAAAAAAUAAAAAUAAAUUGAAAAAUUAAAAGAAAAUUAAAUUUCAGUCCCUCGUCGUAUUUCCAUAGCAGUUGGAGUCCCGAACGCUGAUAUCUUUCUCGUUCUUUCUCUCUCUUCUUUCUAUUUUUCUCUCUCUACUCUUUGCUUGCUCACGCCGCGUCGUGCGAACCCUCGCCCCCAAUUUCGUGCGGAAUUAGGGUUGCUUCCUCUCUUUGUGAAUCGUUUAUUGCCUGUUUGGAUCGGGAGCUCGUGGGAUCUUCGAACGCGAAUUCGAUCGAUUCUGAGGCGACGAUCCCCUUCUCGAUCGAGUUUGAGGGCUUGUGGUGCCGGAAUUAGGGUUUGGUGGGGCGGCGGAGAUGAUAAUUAAGCGGAGCCAGAGGGCGCAGAUGCCGACGCUGAAGCGGUGCAAUGCGGAGGAGGCGGCGGCGGCGGCGGCCUCCGCCGCCGGGGCGGCGCAGGGCGACGACGACGGAGAGGGCGGCGGGAGGCGGCGGAAGAGGCGGAAGGAGUGGGGGCUCUUCCCGCUCGAGGCGCUCGGGGACGUCCCCGCCGACGCGAUUCGGCACCGCACUCUGCGGCUGCUUUGGGGAGGAGUCGGAGUGCAGGGAUGGCCGCCGGAGGGAGAGCGCCCGCGCUUCACCGCCCGCUCCGUCUGCGCGGCCUCCGGUUGUGCGGACGUCGAGAGGCCGCGUUCAGGUGCUCCCGUCCCGGUUCAGCGACUCGGUCCUCAUUGACCCUUGGAAGAAGGAGAAGCCCAAGGCGAAGGUGAUUGACCCCGAUUUUGAGAUCAAGAAUGGUCUAGUGGAUGUUGAAACCAAAGAAUUUGAUCAUAGAUACCCCAAUUUUAGCUCAAUUAUCAACAAUUCCCUAACAAUGCUCGACGAAGAGGAACGGUAUCGGGCAUGCAGGAACUUCAGUACCAGAAAGCAUUCGAUUUCUAGGAGUACUCUAACGUCGCUGUAUGAGAGUUAUGGCGGAGAGGAGGAGAGGUUAAUGCCCGUGCCCAAGAAGGAAUAUCCACUUAGCUGUUAUUAUUCUGGGCCAAUGACGGUGGAAACAACGAUAGCAGAGGAAAGUUUUGAAAGGAGCGAUGAUUUCGAUUGGCCUGAAAAUGAGUUUGUUCAUGGUGAUAUCGUGUGGGCUAAGUUGCGAAAGAAGUGGCCAGCUUGGCCUGCAAUGGUUGUUGAUCCAAUGCGACAAGUUCCCGAAGCGAUUCUUCAAUCCUGCUUUCCUGGUGCUACGUGUGUCAUGUUGUUUGGGUACUCCGAAUAUGGAAAUAAUAGGGUAUUAUUGAUAUAAUUUAUAUUAUGCCUUCUCCGAUCACUUUUGUCUCCUUUUGGCUUGUCGAAUCAGCUUUACUGUUGUUUAUUAAUAUUACUGCAAACUGAUUGUCGGUAUUCGUUCGAAACAGGAGUAUGCAUGGGUGAAGCAGGGGAGGAUCUUUCCAUUUGUAGACAAUGUAGAUAGGUCAGUAAUGUCAAUGGAAUAUAAUGUGGAAAAUUCUUUGGCUGUUGUUCUCAAGAGUGUGAAAUCCAAUUGCAGAUUUCAGGGGCAGACAGAGUUAUGUGGGAGCAAGCCUUGUGAUUUUCGUCUUGCUAUAGAGGAAGCCUUUUUAGCUGAGCAUGGUUUCUCGGGAGCAAGGGUGGAUGCGACAACAAUAUCUGGCCAACCUGCAAAUUAUGUGUCUUUUCCCAUACAGGAGGCAACUGAUUCAAAUCAUGAACAAGAGUGCCAAUCGCGUAUUCAGGCAAGUAAAUGCAAUGUCAUUUAUGCUUAGAAUCAUAUCACUGUGUUGAUGAUAUAUCUGGUGCAAGUUGCAUUAAUGAUCUCUCAUAAUGCUGUAGUAUGUUGUAACUGUUUGGGCUAACGUAUGCAUAUUUUGGAUGAACUGUCCCGAUACAUCCGUUAAGCACUUCAAACAAACAUCCUUUGAAACGUGAAAGAUGGACAUAUAUUUCUAUCACAUGUUAACAGUUUCUUGAGUACAUGUAUUAUGUUAAAUCUAAGAUUGCUGCUUGUUAUUAUCAGUUGUUAUUGGUGACACUUACCCUGGAUGUGCUAUUUUCAUGUUGCAAAAUUUUUUCAGUCAAUUUGGAGGAUUUUUCCCUUUUUUUCCUUUUUUUUUUUUUUUUCCUCUUCUUUCUCCAAAUCUUUUGGCAGGCAACUGCCUAGAGCCCAGGUAUGCCUGGAAGUUUAUUGCACACUGUAUGACUUUCCAAAAAUAAAGAGAGCAAUUUAUACUUCAUUUAAGAUACAUUUUUUAUUGCAUAUUAGGUUGAUCUUUUUAGGCUUAUUUCCUGCAUUAGCUCUUCUGUUUUGUUGGCCUUUCAGACAUUGCUAAUCGUGCUUUCCGACAAUUAUAGCAACUGUUAUAGCAGUUUUGUUUGUACUAGUUUUGGUUUUGCAAGAUUGGUGGAGUAUAUAUGGCUGAUGCAGACCAAAAAUUUUCCCGCACUAAAUUCAUUUUACUUGUAUCUGCAGGCUGACCAAUCAGGCCUCCAUUGUGAAAGUUGUGGGUUGAGCCUUCCAAUCAAUGCUGCAAAAAAGAUCAAGAAUGACAUGGAACAAUUUGUGUGCAAACAUUGUGCUAAGGUUUGAAAACAUGAAACUAUGUUCCUUGUGUGUGUAGCCACCUGUCUUUUAAAUCUCUAAUGCUUGUCUUUGGCUAUAUUUGCAGCUUUUGAGGUCCAAACAGUAUUGUGGAAUAUGCAAAAAGAUUUGGCCUAAUACAGAUGGUGAGAGAUGGGUAAGAGGAUCUGUACCAUGAUUUGUUAUACUAUGAUUAUUUUAGAGUAGAACUUACAACUUUGCAAAUUGAAAUGUGACUGUUCUAAACCAUGUCAGGUUCGUUGUCAUGGAUGCAAAACUUUGAUUCAUGCGAAUUGUGACAAAACAUGCAGCAAACUUAAGGUUUGAUGUAAUCUUGAAUGUUAUCAUAAUAGGGUUAUAAUUUUGAAGUCUUGAAAGUUGAGACUGAUGGUUUACUAAUAUAUAUCAUCUGUUGUCAUAGGAUCUUCGGGGCAUCGAUUAUCAUUGUCCCGAGUGCAGGUUAAAGUUUAGUUUUGAAUCAUCAGUUAAAGAAAGAAAACAUUCUCAUGCAAGGUACAUAACAAUUGUAUAUGCAAAACUUUCUUUAUACCUUCUUGAAAGAUUUCCCUAGUUAGUUUAAUCUAAUCAAUGUUGUUUAUCUCCUCAACAGAUGUGAUAGUAACAGUUGGCAAGAUACUGCAGUUGAUGCAAUCACUGUUUGUUGCUUUGGUAUGGAGGGAACAUAUCUACCCGAGCAAGAGUUGUAAGCUCUGAGAAUUUGCCAAUUAGAGUAAAGAAAAUCAUCAAUAUAAUAUGCCCUUGCUUAUAAAAAUUGUUUCAUACUGCUACAUCGAUAUAAUAACUUGCUGGCUAUUAUCAUGAAUAAAUAUAAACAGACACAUCACUUUUGUAUGAAUUAUGAUAACCUCCCGCUACAACUAAUUCCUUUGCUCAUUCUUCUUUUGUUCUUAUUUUAUUGUUCUACUGUUGUAGCUGCUGCUGCUUCUGUUAUGUUGUGAUCUUGAUGGUUAGCAGUAGGGGUUUUGGUUCUUAUGACUGAUGUUUUUCUUUUCAUUACAUCUUAUUUCUAUCUUUGAACAGAAAAUUAACUCAAAGAGCACAUAUGUUCAAAUUGCUUAUUUAUUUUGAUCCUCUUCUAAAAAUAAGCCAAACUUAGAAAAUAGAGUUCUUAGUGGGUUGGAUUCACCUGUUUGUAGUCUAGGGCUCUAGGCUUUUAUUGCUACUAAAAAAACUAGAGCUAGCUGUUCAGGUAUUACGGCACUUUGUUUGAACCUUAAAAUCUGAGAAUUUGGGUUUGGUUCAUGCUUAUAACUUGUACAACAUGGUCCUACCUGGCUCAUUUCCUGUCUCACCCUGAAACAAAAACAUUAUGUGGUAAAAUGAGAUCAUUAACGCCAUGACCUCGAAACCCUUCCUGUCAUCCCUGCUAAUGAGCUGAAUGUAGUUGUAGACAGAGCUUGAGCUACGUCAAGUUCAUUGCUAGCGUUCAGCAUUAUCCUCAAAAGUCUAAAACAUUCAGGAUUCAAAAGGUAAUCCAGGUGGCAUCCAAAGUUGUUUUUUCAUUUAUAUUUCAUGCAGCUCGGGUAUGUCUUAAAAAUGUUGAUAGUUACUGUCCAUUACUUGUAACUGUUCUUUGUUCAUGUGUCCGCCAGUGAAUUGUUUUUGCUAUCUUAAUAUAGCAUCAUUUUUUCAAUACAUGCAUCCUGAAGUCCAUCAUUUUUCUAGUUAUGUUUUGGGUUUGGCAUUUUCUUAAGAUCAAUGUGUCUAAUGCAGGAUCUCAUGUCACUGUGGACCAUGCAAGGGACAGAAAUUUACAUUUAAUGAAUGGGAGCGUCAUACUGGUUGCAAGAGUAAAAAUUGGAGAUCCAGUAUGAAAGUCAAAAGUACAAUGAUGCCUUUGGGAAAAUGGGUAUGCAGCUAUGUAUUACUUCAAAAGAUUUACAAACUUAAACCAGUAUGGAGAUAAAAACUGUCGUCUCUCCAAGUAGUUAUGGCAGUUCCCCCCUUGAUAUCAUUCUAAAUAACUUGGUGAAUUCUUGAAGUCCAAGGAUAAAUCUUAUCCUUGGACAUCUAUCAGCCUUGUUGUCAUUCUAUUUUACACAGUUAACUUAUUUGAUUUCUUUAUCUUAUUUUGACUGUCAUCGUGUACAGCUAUCCGGUCUAAAUGUUGGAGCCAAAAUUUUAUCCAAUAUGAUGUAUGCAUAGAUGAGGAUUAAAAUUUGCUAUGGGGUUAAUUGUUAAUUAUUUCAUCCUGCAGAUAGAUCAUUAUCAAGCUAACAAGGCUCCUUCAAACCAUGCUAAACGUAUUACUCCAAAAAUGAGGAAACAAAGGCUGCUGGCUUCCCUGCAUGGUACAUAUUGUAGAACUCUUUCAUUCUUCCUUUUUGGCAUUUGCUGCUGAUGACUUGCCUAUAAUAUUUAAUAUGUGUUUCCUUUUUAUUGCAGAACCGUAUGAUCCCAUACAUGUUAAGUGGACCACUGAACGAUGCGCAAUCUGUAGAUGGGUUGAAGACUGGGAUUACAACAAAAUCAUUAUAUGUAACAGGUAAAUACAUGCCAUCUGAUCCUAACCUUGCCAUGGCUCACCAGCAUACUAUUUAUCUUGGUUGGACUUAGUUUAGACCUAUCAAUAAGGAAUAUGCAAAUAGUAAUGGUUGCACUUGCCCAGAUGUCAAAUAGCAGUCCACCAAGAAUGCUAUGGAGUGAGGGGUAAACAGGAUUUUACAUCUUGGGUUUGCCGGGCAUGCGAAGCACCUCAUCAGAAGAGAGAGUGCUGCCUUUGUCCUGUAAAAGGUACACUAUAUUGAAGUCUUGUACUUGGUUUUUGCUUUCUCUGUGAAAUUAGGAGUGUCAAUGUCUUCUUAUGCUUUUUAGUAGAUCUUUUCUCUGUAUGAAUGAUCAUAUGGUACUCAAAGCUUAAGGUGCUUUACUAUUCUUAAUGCUCAGAUACAGAAUUUAGAAGACACAUCGUACAUAAAUACAUAAUAAUACAAUGGGUCUUAUUAGAUUAAAAUGAACUGUUAAUUUCAAAGUUUUUUGUGAUAGCAGCUUGAUUUUUUAUACAUUAUUCUUAGCGUAAGGUCGGCUUAUCUGAUCGUUGGUGGCAUUAUGAUUUAUUCUGUUCAGGGGGUGCUCUGAAGCCAACAGAUAUUGAUUCACUGUGGGUCCAUGUGACAUGUGCAUGGUUUCAGCCUCAAGUCUCUUUCGCUAGUGAUGAAAUUAUGGAGCCUGCUAUUGGAAUAUUGAACAUCGCACCUCUGUCUUUUAUGAAGGUUGCGAUUGAGAUAAAUUUCACGAAUUUAAGUUAUUGUAUUGGUAUUACUGCAAGUUUUGUCCUUUCUGAGUUAUGAUAUUGAACUACUCUUUGUUUUCACGUAUGUCCAGAUUUGUGUCAUAUGUAGGCAAAUACAUGGUUCAUGUACGCAAUGCUACAGGUGUUCCACUUAUUACCAUGCUAUAUGUGCAUCAAGAGCUGGGUACCGCAUGGAGGUAGAUCACUCAGUCUAAAUACUUUCAUGACUGUAUUCUGAAGAAUAAACAAGCAAGUUCUUUAAGAUAUAUUGUAUAUUUGUUCUGAAAAUGCAGCUAGAUUAUCCAGCGGAUUUCUAGUAUUUUUCUUUUCUACUCUUCUCGUCAAAUUUACUGAGAGUUGAUUGUUACCAGUGAAAGAAAAUAAAUCUUCGAUAUUUACAUCAGCCUGGAUAUUGAACACUAGGUCGCUAAGCAUCUGAUACCUUGUAGUUCUGAACUUUGAAUAGUUAAUUCUGUACACUAGAUUUUGGAGAGAGGGGGGUUCCUUCAAUAGUGUUGAAUUGAAUAUAAUCAACGUUACUGUAUAUCUGUUUAAAAAUUGAGGAUAAGUAGCUGAUAUACAAGUAAUAACACUGCACAAAUAGGGAGCUGUUAAGAUGAGUUACGGACUAUGAAGUGUCAAUCCUGCUUUUUAUCUAGUGAUACAUGGCGAAAAUAAAACUGAGACCAUUGAACACAAUUACAAAUUCUAAAAGCUAAACAAGAGUGAUAAAUCAAGAUUUUGCUGAUUGGAGCUUACAGUGCUAUGUAAAUUUUUAAACAAGAGAUACAAAUCAUGGCCUAUAUGUUUUAUCUUUUGCCUCUCAGGUAACUAUUCCCGCCAGUGUACUUGAAAAUAUUUUGAGGGAUCACCUUCUUCACAUGCUAUCAUUCAAAAAUGUUCCUUGCGUAAACAGUAUGAUAUUAUUAAUAUUUUUGCCAAAAAUAACUUCUUUAAUUUUUUUGUUAUAACCUAUCAAAAAAAAAAAAUCAAUGAAGAUGAUGUUUGAAAAGUUUUUCCUAUUUUCUUCCUUUCUUUUGAUGCAAAGUUUUUGUGCUUUGUACCUCAUUCUUCUAUAUAUACGAAAUUGAUGCUUGCUUGAAUUCAAUUUUGAACACUCAAAGUGGUUUGACUUUGAUAUAGUUGCAUGUUUACUGCAGUUGCACUGCUUAGAAAGAAAUGGAAGGCAGACCACAAAAAUGAUUUCAUAUUGUGCGAAUCAUCGGUAAGCUUUUAAUUGUUGUUAAUAGUGUCUAGUUGUCUGUACAUUUGUAAUUAUGAUGCCCUCGCGCCUUCUAUCAUUAUUGUCCUUCGUUCUCCAACUAGUUCUAUUAUACCAUUACGCUUAAGAACAUCGCUUUUUGGUUUCAAUACAUGACAUAUAUCAAUUGUUAGGUAUUGUAAGUCUUGAUUUUACUGAUAAUAAAAAAGUUUAUCCUUUUGUCAUAUUCUCUGCUCAGAGCCUACUGCUUUUCUUCCCCGACUUUUUUAGGUGGAACAAGUGUCAUGUUUUAAUUUACUGUGCAGGGCUCCAAACCCAGAUAAUGUUUUGAUAAUACAAACUCCUUCAGGAGUCUUUUCUUCCAAAAAGCUUCUGCAAAAUAGUGUAAAGCAGACUGGUUCAAGACUUAUAAGGAAAGAUAUCCCCCAGGAAUCAACAUCACUUGCACAAUUACUGGAGACUUCAUGUGCUGCAAGAUGCAUGGUCUAUAAAAAAAUCGAAACUAAAGAGGUUUGUUAUAAAUGAAACCUUUUUUCUUUUUCACCAUUCUGUAGAAAAAAUAAUGGCUUGCAACGACAUGAAAUUCAACACUUUGCAUUGGUCUCUUAUAUUGAUCUGUUGCUUUAAAUGAUUUUUUAUGCAAAUCUGGUGAUGAAGUCGUAAAAUCGUCUCAGAUUUUAAAAUCUUGGUAUCAUGUUGUGCCUCCAAUAAUGUGAUGGACACAACAUUUUUGAAAGAAAACCUGCAUUUUCAUUUUGUGGGUGGUAAACUUUUUGAUAUAACAAAGAGCUUGGUCGUGCCCAUUAGCUGCAGGACUGAGCUUCAUUUGCAUCAGGCCAGACCCAGGUUGAAAUUAAGUGGGCUUUUGGAUUAUUAGUGAUUUUCAUUGUCAUUUGCUGGUUGUAAUCGGUGGAAAUGUAUGCCAUGGUGGUAAUAAUAUAUAGCUCCUUUUCAUGAAGAGAAAUUCUGUCUUUUUCGUUGAACUGGUUAACAUCAUAGUUCUUCUUAGAUGCAGGUGCAAAAUUUCCGAGGUGACUAGCUAUUCUUUCUUACUUUUCUUUUGUGCUGUUCAGAGAACGCGAGAAGGGGCCGUUGCACACCGAGUUAGGGGACCUUGUUAUCAUUCUCUUGAGGAAAUACAAAGACUGAAUGCACCUAGGGUAAUUUUCUUGUUCUUUUUUUUAAAAAAAAAAUCUGAGAUUUUGAAUAUGAUAUUCAAUUGGAAAAAUGACUGGAUUAUUUGCCUUCUUGAUUGGCAGGAGGAAAAGGAUCCUGAAUCAUUUUCAACGUUCAGAGAGCGUCUUCACUAUUUACAGGCAACUGAUUAUUUAUUUUAAGGCUUCAGCAUGUUACGAUACAUCUUUUGGAUUGAUUGCUAGACUUCUAUAAUUUUUCUGUUGUUUCUUGUCUUUCCAGUUAACAGAACAAAGUAGAGUUUGUUUUGGUAGAUCGGGAAUACAUGGAUGGGGCCUAUUUGCCCGUAGGAAUAUUCAAGAAGGAGAAAUGGUAUCUAAGUACUUCAAAGUGCUCUUUUUUUUUUUAUAAAAUAUAUCUUUGUCGUUGAUCAGAGAUUUAGCAUCUUUAUUAUGAUAUCAUUUUGACUGAUUAUGGUACAUAUGUAGUACCCCUUGUUCAAACUGCACAGCUGUAUGAACUUCCAUAUGAGUGUUCAAGAAAGUACCCUUGACUUUCAAAUUCCAACAAUGAGGCUAACAUUUCAAGCCUAUUUUCAGGUCAUUGAAUAUCGUGGUGAACAGGUUAGACGCAGUGUUGCGGAUUUGAGGGAGGCACGCUACCGGUUGGAGGGAAAAGAUUGCUAUGUGAGUUUCUCUGGUCUAAUCUAUUUAUGUUUUUAUAUGCUGCAUUGCUGUUGGUAAAUGCAAAUGUUCAACCUCAAUUGUGUCUUCUAGUUGUUUUCUUAAACCAUGUAAAAAAGGCAUAAAAACGUUUUAUAGUCAACAGUCGGUACUUAGUAAACUUGUCAAUGUUAUCCAGAAGGGUAAGUAGUUGGAGGCUAGGAUUGUCCAGCAAACUGUAUACAUUUGAGCUGUACUGCAGUAUUAGUGUUAACUUUCACUUUGGCUCUUAUUAAGUUAGCAUAUAUAGUUAUGUUUUGGAUUGCCUUGAACCUCCAAUAUUUAUGAGUUUCAUACAAAUGAAAAGGAUCAUGUGAGCCAAAGUUGCUUACUUUGUUUCAUUCUUUGAUCCCUUUUCUUCCGAAACUUCCCUAUCAGUUUUAUUGUGAUAAUACAGUGUAUCAUACUUGUUUUUCUUCUGCUGUUGCAGCUAUUUAAAAUCAGUGAAGAGGUAGUAGUUGAUGCUACAGAUAAAGGAAACAUCGCUCGUUUAAUCAAUCAUUCUGUAAGCCAUCAUAUGCAUGCCACGGUUUCACUUUUCUUUGAACUGUUUACAGAAUGCUGCUAUUGACACUUACCAAUUUAAAUAUUGAUACAGUGCAUGCCGAACUGCUAUGCAAGGAUUAUGAGUGUCGGCCACGAUGAGAGUCGGAUUGUUUUGAUAGCAAAGACGCAUGUCUGUGCUGGCGAUGAGUUAACGUAUGUCUGACUUACCCAUUUGUUUCUCAUAUUAUGUUCUCUCUUUUUGUACGAGUUGCUGUCGAUGGUAUACCUGUACCUUUCCUUAGCAGACCUUUACAGGGUUGAAUUAAGUUCUGCCCAUAUUUUCUCAAGAUAAAGGGUUGGUGAACUCGAGCAUGAGUUACGGGUGUAAUUUGUGAUUAUAACGCCCGAAUUUUGACACUUAAAAAUUCAGUUUCCAAUGAAGCGAUUAAAACAUUUAAGGAUAGGUAAUAUUGACUUUGAUCGUAAUGGCCAACAUUAUGAUAAAUCUCCAUCAAGUUGUUAUCCUUGGCGUCUGUGUUCAUUAGUGAUUAGUUUAUCUUGUUUCUAUUUAUAACUCUUUUCUUUAGCAAAUGAACUAAUAUAAAGGGCCCUGGCAAUUGAACCCACAAAAACUAUGCACUUGUUUCGGAAAUUUAACUUUCUACAUACUUCCAAAACAUACCUGUUUGAUCAUGGACGAUAGGCUACUGGAAUUGCAUGCCCUAGAUAUGGAUGAUUUUCUCUUUUUAAUUCCUAAGCUGAUCGAUCGUUUGCUUUUCGCAGGUACGACUACUUAUUCGACCCUGACGAAGGUGACGAGUGCAAAGUUCCUUGUCUCUGCAAAGCUCCAAACUGUCGGAAAUUUAUGAAUUAGGUUGCUGCAAAGGCCAAUUGGCUACUUUACAGUCUUCUCUUUUCUUUUCUUUUCUUUUCUUUUCUUAUCCUCCUUGAUCGAUGCUCCCCAUCUAUUAACAUCUUCAAGCUUGUAUUCAAUUUCUCAAUUUUUUUUUUUUAAUAAGUUCAAUUAAUUGAGGGUGCAAAAUUGCUGGGCUUCCAUUCUUUGUAAAUUCAUUUCGUUGUAUUAACUUUACAAUAGGUUAAUCAAUAUAGCAUUUUCUUUUUUUAACAUAAGAGCCACUGCAUCAUGUCUGAUUCGUGGAUUCGCCCUCUGUGGAGUCGUACGAAUGGCUACUGAGCAGUUAGCGUUCACUAUAUGUUGAAGAAAAAAAAUGAUCUUUAUUUAUUGGCAGGGUCUUUUGAUUCCAUGGACUUUUUUUUUUAAUAUUCCACAUUGAGUUUCACCUGUUUUCAUUGUUAACUUGAAAAUAAAGGGCAGAUUUUUAUUUUUUUCAGAAACAUUUCAAACUGCUGGAAAAAACAAAAAAACUUAUCUUCACCGAAUAUGCCCUUUCGAAAACACAAAAAUGAAAAUCAAGGAUCAUUGUGGCAUCAGCACAGAGGUGCGUUCGCUUCCCGUGUACCAAAUGCGAGAAAAUAUUACACUUCACAUUCCAAAUAUCACAGAGUGGGUGGGGUAUGGGGCGAACUGCAGACCCACUUUGGAACUGGUAAACAAGCAAAUCAAAUAAUCUAUUUUUUUUAUUAUUUUUUCCAAAUCGAUUGAGCUAACUUGAUUUAAAGAUGAAAAUGCAACUUACUCAAAACAGGAAAUGAUAGACUAUUAUACUCAAGAAAGGGCAAAACAGGAAAUGGGAAAAGGACGACAAGUUGCCGUAGCAAAUCAUGAAAAAUGCACCUCAAAGAUGAAGCAACAUACGCGGCGGCCCCUCGGAGCUCCCGGGGAAAGGAUGGCAUUAGAAAACGAAAAUAAAAACCGUCUCAAUGUGUACUUUCGGGAGAAUUAGGUAUCCGACUCAAAUUUACGCUAGUAGACUCCACUAAAGCCUCACUAUCCUGAGAAUCUUUAGUUAAAACAUCAGCAUUGGUGAUUAAAUCAGUUUUCCCUUCUUCCAUAUCAGUAGGGUGGUCACCAUCAGCAUCACUAGUCUUACCAUUCUCUUCGCCCAAACCAUCAGCACUCUCGGUGGAAUCAAGGAUUGCUGGGACGGGUUCUUCCAUGUUACCGGCAGGAAGAGAACUCUCUGAUGGUAUUUUAUCUACUAGAGCUAGAUCAGCUGUUGCUGAGAUUUCCUCAUUUCGAGCUUCAGGAGAAUCUUUCUCUGCUUCCAUGGAAACAACCGGAGUAGCGGGUUGCGGCGCUUUUACUCCAUUUUGCUUUUUGUAAAGUGACAUGGCUCUCUGUAAACACAUAGAAAAGGAUAGAAUUAUUAUUGCUGAUGCUCUGGGAUAUUGCACCAGGCGUAUACGAAAGCUGAUGAAGGUCAAAAGAAUACCUGGAAAAUAGCAUCUCUCCGUUUAGGAAAAAGCGUGGGCAGGAGGGUAUUACUUGUCAUCCUUUUCAUUUCCACUUUAUUGGCUUUGUCAUUCUCCUGCAACAAAUGAAACAAAUUCUCAAUGGUGGAAAAUUAGGAUUAUACAAUUAAAAAAGAGAAAAUAGAAGGAUACAUAGUUUCAUCCCAACUCGACUAGUUUCACAGUACCUGGGAGCAACCAUCCUUGGACACAUCGCGCUCUAGUUUUACAUCCAAUUCUCCCAGUACAGCCAUACACUUUGUGUACAAUUCUGAAGCAACGAAAUCAUGCGCAAUAUUGAUCCUCGAGAGGUACUUUUUAAUAAAGUUGGCAUUAUCAUCACCCGGCUUUUCGUAAGCUUCAGGAAUUGAUUCAGUUUUAUCUUCAUAAAGAGUUUUCUCUGCAAUCUUUGCUAGAGGUGCAUCAUUCUUCGCUUCAAUGCUUUCAGUUGGCAACGACUCUGAUCCAUGCUCACUUCGAGCAUACUCUCGCUCUCUCUGAGCAGUCGGAUAUUCCAGAUUACCAUUUUGCUCUUUCCAUGUAAGAGACCUAUUCUGAUCCCAGUGAGGCCUAUUAUAAAUAUGGGGUUCAUCAUUAAACAAACCAUCCAUUGAAUUAUGCCACCCAAAGGGGCGGACAUGGCCAGAAAACCUAUCGACCGCUUCAUGCAUGUGAUAAGGAACCCCGUUGUGUGUCAAAUCCAUUGGUGGUCUGAGAUUAAACAUAGGCGGAGAAGGGAAAGGGUGGACAGAAGGAUGGAAUCCAGGAGACGGGCCAUGCUGGAGGGGGAUGAAACCAUUAGCAACUGGUGAUGGCCAAGUAGGAGCAUUAUUCCAAGUAUUUCCACAUCCUCCUGAAUUGAGAUCACUCCUUUUUUGUCGAAAAUGUGAUUUCCAAUCUCCACUUUGAGAUCUGCUAUCAUCUUCAUCACGCCCUCUUCUGUAAGGUGGCGGAGGGGGAUUAUCGCUAUUAGUUGGUUUGUUAAUGAAGGAUGAAACAGCAGGAGUUCGCUCACGAGCCUCAGCUUGAGAAUGGUCAAAGCUAAUUGGCUUCUCCAGGAAUUCACUUUCUUCUCUAUUUCUGUCUUUGAAGUUGCUGCUUUUAUGUCCUAUCUCAGUAUCGAGGCUACGCCUGGGAGUGACUUUAUAAUCUGAAAACCGUCGCUCGCUCGUCGAUGGCGAUUUUGUGGUUAUGUCAUCCGGUGAGGGUUGGGUAGUUGAUCUUGGUGUCCUUGUAUAUUGCGAAGAUUCUAGAAUUUCCGGUAAGUCACAUGCAGGGAGUCUAGAAGCAGUUGUACGCUCUCCUGAAGACACUGUCCUGGAGCGAGUUCUCUCCUCUGAUGGUGAUCGUUUCCUUGCAGAAUCCAUCUGCUUAGAGUUGUGCCUGAACAUGUAUACCGAAUUGGAUAAUAUAAACAAUUUUUCAACGUCAAGUAACAUUCAGUUAGGAAUACACCUAAUGAAUGAAAAAUUAUAUAGCAUUAUGUCAACAGCAAGGAUGAGCUUUUACUAGAAGGGGGAAAGAAAAAACAAAAGAAGGUAACUGUCCAAGUUACAGAAUUUUAGGGAACUUACAUGGUUGAGAAAAAACAUCAAUAACAACUGAAAUUCCACAAUCUCUGUAUUCUAUCAAGCUGUUCAAAAUAUUGCCUUAUUGUACAUGCUACAGUAAAGAAUCCUAUAAACUUGCAGUACUCAUCUGACUUUCAGUAAUUUUCUUGAGAAGCACUACACCACAAAUAACAAAGCUACAAGUUCCACAACAUACUUUAUUCACUAGGUCAGACUCUAUCACAUGCUAAGUCUCUCUUUAAUGAAACCCAAUGAUCCCGUGGACAUUUAGCACAGACAAGUAUCACAGCCGUAGCAGGAGGAAACCUAGUACACAGACACCAUCAAAUUAUAUGAACUACGAAGUUUAAAUAAGAGUACAAAAAGACAGCAGUUCUUUUACCUGCUUUGACCUUUGCUGUGAUAAGAACUCGAGCUAGGAGAGCUUUUUGGACGAUUCUCACCCAGACCAGAAUCAACCUUCUCAGAAUGUCCAUAUUCCGGCAUUGCCUUCUCAACAUGGAAAUCAGAAGACCUACUAUCUGACCCAAUUCUUUCCACAUCUAUACGUGGUUCUUUCACACCUUGAGGCUUGAAAUCAGAAACAUCCUCUCUUUCGACAGAUGAUCUUUUCCUCCUAUUGUUAUCUUUGUGUUUGCUUUCAUAAGCAUCUUCAUCCUGCAAUUUACUCUUUCUGUAGCGGCUCUCUGAAGACUUCUUCUCAUCCCUAGAGCUCCUGUACUCAGACUUGCUGCUUGUAUAUUCUCUUGAGCGCUCAUCUUCACGCCUCUCAUCACGAUAUCUUUUAUCCCUGUCAGCGUCAUCCCUGUAUUUAUCAUAUUUAUCGUAUUUUUCAUAUUUAUCAUAUUUAUCUUUAUAUUUCUCAUCGUCAUGGCCUUGGUCUUUAUAGCUUCUAUGUUUUGAGUGAUCAUCUCUUGAGUAAUGUUUUCUAUCAUCGAUCUCCCUACCAUCGCCCAGCCGUUUAUCUUUGUCUUCAGACUCAUCUCUUCUCCUUGUAUGUUUUUGAGGCUCUUUUUCUGAAUUAAGAUUGCAUAACCUCUUUUAAUUUGCAUUAUGAUACAAAAUAUACAAUUUAACAAGAGACAACAGAGAGUAGAACAAGCAGCAUUAAACAAUUACACGUCUAAUUUGUCAAAAGAUGAUAAACUUAUCAUAAUGCCACAUCUUUACAGUAAUCACAAAAUGAGAAAAUAACAUUGAAGAAAUGUUAGAUGGUUGAGAGAGAAAAAGAAAAAGAAGUACAAAGAACCAAUAUUACAGCUCUGAGAAACACUUCAUAUAUAGGAAUACUGGAAGCAAAUGUGCCAAAUGGCCCUGAAGCUACCCAGACGCGUGCUAGGACAGCAAUUCAUAGUGAAAACGGAAUAACAUCAUAGUUACAACAUGAUGGCUAAAUGACAUUGAGCCUGUCUCAAUAUAAUUAUGGUUCUUGAUUUCUUGUAGUACGAGUACAGGAAUCUGAUAAAAAUUCAUAUCCCAGGAUUCAGAAAUUUCCAUUGUUUUUUUUUCCUCCCUGCAAGGGCUCUUAAUUCAAUAGAAGUUAUAAAUUUGAAUGACUUCAAGUUUACGAAUGCACUUCUUACAUGGCAUAAAAUAAGCUUUCUAUCAAAUAGGUUCAAGAGGGUUUUAGCCAAGUUACAAGUACGAAGAUUGCGAUCCUCGACAGUAAAUUACAACAUGACUUCCUAGUUCAAAUCCAGCACUAUAAGAAUACUGACUACAUCACUUACUAUUUGAUUCUGAAGUGUAUUGUUUUACAGUCAAAACUUGAACAACCAGGUCCUCUAACAAGAUUCUUCAUUUAGUUCCGUAGGGUAUUGAUCAUACAAAAUUCCUCUCUACUCCACCAGUCGUUCCUUAUUAUGACUGUAACACUCUUGAUCGAUCCCUCAGCAACAAAUCGCAAAAACAAAAGAAACAACAUUAAGCUUUCUUCACCUUGACAGCUAAGGUUACUGUCUUAGAUUUCUCAUGCUUAGUAUCAAGUCUAGUUAUUUUGACAAACUUUAGAUUCUAACAUUCUUCUCUUUAAUUCAACAAUGGAUUUGUAGCUGCUCUAGAAUCCUCAUGUAAGAGCUUAUUCACAUUCUGAAGUCAAAAGGGGGGAAAAAAUCAAAACAGUGCCAUUACCAGAACAAAAUAUACCUGUCUAUCCUAACAAUUUGAUGCCAUGUGAUUGUGAGGUAACAACAAAAUCUCAACCAUUAUAAAAAUAAACUUAACAGCAGUUGAUCAAAGCAACAUAAGGACAUCAAAAAUAUAUAUAAGGACAUAGUCAACAUAAUGAAAUUCCCUAUCACAAAAAGAGCAACCAGUGCGACUAUUCUCACCAUUAAACUUAUUUGAGACAGAAAAGAAACUAACACAACAGACUCAGCUAGAAGGAUAAAUAACCAACAUAAUAUAUGGGCUGUUUUUAUACUAUCUGACAUAAAAUGAACACUACAUUCUCCUUAGGAUCUUGGCUACAGAAUACGAAGUCAUCAGCUCAUUGACUUAUAUUAUAGGAACCCACUCAAAAGCCAAUCCGCAAAGGAUGAAAUUUGAAUGUUUAAAAUGUGGAGUUACGGUCAGUCUAUAUGAUUUUUUCUGGGGACUCAUGUAUUCAACUCAAAAGGUCCUGUGUUUCAGCAACUGCAUGUCCACCUUACAGCACUCCACAAAGUGAUAAGAUAUUCAAUUCAAUUUGUUAUGUCAAUUUUCAAGUUUAAUGUAGAUCCAACAAAGAUGCCCAGAAGCUACAAAAUGGGGUAUGGUUGCAUCUGCAUAUAGCAAGGUUUGGAUCUAAAACUAUGACUACAUGCAGCAUCCAAUGAUUUUUUUUUCCAGCCGAAUAAAAUGCUGUGGUAGAGCGAUUAUGAAUACAUAGACUUAGCAAAAUUGUAAAGAAAUUUGCACGAAUUGAAGAUUCCCAGCAUGAGAAAAACUGAUAAGCAAACAACAAAGGGGAGAAGGGAAGGAUGUAUAAGCAAAGUGGGAAAAAGUGUGAGGUAAAACUGAUUUUCCAAUAUAUCCAUACUUCUGAAUCAGGCCUAAAAGACUUACUAAACAACCAAAAUUGUAUCAAUUGUCUUAACUUCUCUUUGUUAACAACAAAAUUCGCCAUGGAAAAAGUGUGAGGUAAAACUGAUUUUCUAAUAUAUCAGUACUUCUAAAUCAAGCCUAACUUAAUAAUCAAAGUAUCAAUUGUCUUAACUUCUCUUUGUUAACAACAAAAUUCACCAAAACUUACAAGCCACUAAUAAAAAAUAUUUAGCUAAAAUGACUCAAGAGUCAAUGCAGUAGCAUUUCAAAAGCAAACAUUCAAACACUUGAAAUGUUAAUCAUACAUGGAUUCUCUUUUUCUUUAGCACAAAACAUUGAAUAAAACUAAAAAAUUGAGUUACCUUACCAGUAAAUUCCACAUCUCGCUUGGGAACAUGUUUAUCUUCAAUCCUGUCUGUUUUAGAACUACUCUUCCUACUUACAACAUCCUCAGAUCUCUCAUGCUUAGCAUCCUGGCUCUUCUUAUCCCUGUCGGACCCUCGCUCCCUAUCCUUGUCCUUCUCCUUCUCAUCCUUAUACUGUGCACUACUCUCUCUUCGGCUAGACUCCUUCUCCGACCUCCGCUUUGAUGAUUCCUUUCCCCCACUCUCCUCAUUCCUUUCAGUGGAAUCCUCCUGCCUUCUGCUGGACCUGCUUUUUGAUUCGCUAACCGAAAGCUUCGACUUCGAGCUUUUAUCCACAUCCUCAGGCCCAAAAACCUCUCCCUUGUACCUCUUCUCCGCCCCUAGAUCAUCACCACCGCCAUCUUUCCGCUUCUUUCCAUGCUCCCCAGGCAAAUCGCCAUUGCUGGCCACAACCAGGUCCUUCGCCAGAGACGAAUGCGACGACUUCCUCUUCUCUGCUUCCGCAUCCCUCGAAACCCUAGCCGGAUCCUCCUCCCUUGCCUUCCUCUCCUUCGAGCUACCCUCAUCCUCGGACUCCGACCAGUCCCUGGAGCUGUUCUUGUGGGACCUGUGGGACCUGUGGCGCGAGCUCCGCGGCAUCUCGUACCGCACCCCCCAAAACCCUAACUCCACUACCCCGAUCGAGAAACAAACGACUUAAAGCCACAACAAAACAGCACCAAAUCGACGAAUCCUUAACUCCAACAACAAAUCACCUGCUCCUCGCCUCGGAAUCGGAUCGAUCCGGGGCGACAACCGCGAAAUCGCCACCAAACGCCGCGACAGAGGCGGAGAAGAGAUCGGAUUGGGGAAGCCACGGGACGCGGGAGGAGCGCGAGAUCGACGAGGGGGUCGGGGGACGGAGCGAGAGCGGGGUGGAAUGGAAGAGGAAGGGGAAAUGGAGGAGGCGGCGGCGGAGAAGGGGAGGAGACGAAGAAGAGGGGGGAGAGAGAGAGAGAGAGAGAGAGAGAGAGAGAGAGAGGAGAAAAGGAGACGACGAGAUCGCGAAGGUGUAGGGACGAGGGAUAGGGGGGUUUGGGGGAUUGUGGGGUUCGGGUUCGCUUUUUGCUCGCGAGAUUGGAUUCGAGUCGAAGCGCGCGUGUCGUGGGUGAGGUUUAGUGGAGGCUUGUUUUCGCUGCGGAAUGACGGAUUUGCCCUUGGGGGGAGGUGGGGAACGGUGAGAACCGAUCCGGUGCGGGUUUCGACGGUCGAUAUUUUCGUUCGGACGUGGCGAGACCUGAUUGGUUGAGAGAUCUGUGCGUGGAUCGCAGUAAAUUUGGUGUUUUGCAAAGAUAAAAAAUACAAAACUCAUCCGAAUUGUAGGCUUUUUUUUUACUCGACUAUUUUAAUCCUUUAUUUUAAUAUUUAAGUUUUUAGUUUAUUUAAUUUAAAUAAUUUAAUAACUUUUUAAAUAUAAAAUUUAAAUAAAAAUUUUAUUUUAUUAAUUUAUAAUUAUAUAAAUGGUAUAAAAUAUACUAACUAAUCAUAGAGAUAAACGUCAUAUUUAUAUUUUAAAACUAAAAAUUUAAAUCUGCAUAUGAAAAAUCUAUAUUUUUUAAAUAGAAAAUGUAAAGACUAGUGGGUACACACUGAUAUGAAAAAUCUGUAUCCCACUAAAAGUUAAAAUUUUCGUCUGCCUAGUAUUGAAGUGUAAGAUACUCACUUUAACAAUCUUCGUAAAAAGAGGUUGGAGUUGAAGCAUAACUAUAUACUUUGCUUAGAUAAGGAAGAGACGAUUGACCAUAUUUUCACCGGUUGUGAAGUAACCAAAGUUUUAUUGGAGUGCUUGAUGUCCAAUAAGAAGGGAAUACGUUGUAGUUCUUUAGCUUACGCUCUUUGGGAAUCGAGUCGUCUUAGAGGAGGCUCAAUAAGGUCGAAGGAACUAGCAACAAUUAUUUGCAUCCGGUGGGUUACUUAGCUCAAACAAAAUAGACGUAUUUUUCAAAAGAAAAGGCACUCGCAAAAUCAGAUGUUAGCAGACGUCCGUAUAACUCGGGAUCAGUCUGCUAAACUUCAGGUAUUAUAACACCUCCUACAAGUCCCCGGUGGUGCGUCUACUUUUGCCUUUUUUAUGUUUUUGUAAAUAAUCUAUACUCUUCCCCUUUUUCCUCUUUUCCUUUUUUCCUCCUUUGUGUUUUUCUUUUUAUUUUCUUUCCUUGAGGUCUGGUUGUGUAAUUAAAUUCUUGAAUGAAACGAUAGCAUGCUAUCAAUUUUUCAAAAAAAAAUUGAAUUAAUUAAAAAAUAAUAUAAUAAAAUUAAAAUUUUUAAAAAUUAUAACCGUAAAGAUAAAUUUUAUACAGUUUUGUCUUUUGCAAUCGUGGAAACUGCCAAAGUCUAGUAUUGGAGUUUCGACAAAUUAAGGCCAUCAUUUGUCGUGCGGAAACUUAUAGAAUUACACGUGUAAUUUGUUCUUACUACACCGAGAGAUGCACAAAAAAAUCGGUCCCACACGUAUAACUCUAAUUUUUUUUUAAUCCAUUUUUUCUCUUUUUUUAAUGAAAGACAAAAACCGUUGGUUCUCGUCUCACCACAAAUAUAUAUAUAUNNAUAUAUAUAUAUAUAUAUAUCUUUUGCAAUGGUGUUGCACAAAAUAAAUCUUUAAUUUACACUAUUUUAAAUUACGUAUAUCAAAAUAUCAAAAUCUAAAUAAACUUUAUGAAAACACAUAAUAUACCAUAAUGAAAAUAAAACAUCAAAUUUAUUUACUGGCCUGUGAUGAUUUUGAAGAUUGAUGAGAGUAAUCUGCUCGUAAUAUGUUGAAAGUGCAUAAUACAACAAUCAUACUAAUGGUGUGACGUCUCAAUCAAUAUUUUUGUUAUGAACCUCAAUCAUUCCAUCAUAAUAUUUAUAAAUAAAUAUAUUUUUAUUGUAUUCUUUUACAAAAUAAUUAAUUCGUUAUAAACACGGUGGUGUAACUACUGCAUAAUAAACUUUCACGUGAUGUUCGGUGCAAGGCUACGGGCAUUUUUAAGGGCCGUAGUUAAACUGGUGCACUGAUACGAUAUUAUGGAUGGUAAUACAUCAAUAAUAACAUAUUUAGAAAUUGUUAAUACACUGAUAUAAAUUUGCACAUUUACUUUAGAUUUUACUUAUGAAUCAAGCAAAACAUAGCUUUUUGGGGGGGCAUCACCAUCACCUUGUUACCGUCCUUGACGCUCCGGGCGCGUCAACGAGUCUCUCUCCCUGACCCGUCAAAGUCUACACUAGUGAACCGAGUCUCAAUUAUGUCGCGUAUUAAUUAAUUAAAUAAAAUGAUUUCCUAUAAUCUCUUCACCCCCCAUCUCAAACGGGUAAAUUGCACAUUUUCGUCCUCAAACUAUGAAUCUGAUAACUCUUUGGUCCUCAAAAUUUUACAAUUUAUUAUAGUUUCUAACUUGAAUUUUUAGAGUUACAGUCAAUAAAUCUUAUAAUCUAUUUUAAUUGGGUAAAUAUUAAUAUAACGAUAACGUAGAGGUGAGAUGCAGUGGUAUCGUGAUUGAUAAUAUAUCAAUAAUUAAAUUAUUAAUUACAUCACUUUUAUAGCAACGAUGUAAUAAAAUUUAGUCAAUUAGAUUAAAUUAUAGGAUUUAAUUACAAUAAUUAUGAAAGUUGGAGUUUAAAUUAUAAUAAAUUAAAAUUUGAGUACUAAAGUGUCACCUAUGUGUCGGAUCGAUCGUUGAUGUUGACCAUUAAUUCAAAAAGCUCGAGCUGUUAUAAAUACGCAACCAAUUCACUUAAAGCGUACAAAUACAGUGCCCACGGAUCUCAAUUGUGAUUCGGCCCAUCCAGCCUCAUACCACUUCGAACAUUACUUGGUUUAUCCAGCCUCACACCAUUUCAAAUAUGACUCGAUCCAACCCGACUUCCCGCCACAAAGCAGAACGCUGGCUCUUUUAAGCCAACACUGUGUUCUAUUUUGAGGGCCAAACGUGCAAUUUACCCUACUCAAAACUAACUAUAAACUACUUCACUUCUAAUCCUCACUCAUCUCCCUAUAUAUAUAACCCACCACAUUCAUUUCCCCCCACCAAGCUUAAAACUCUAAUAAAAACACUCUCUCUUUCUCUCUAAUGGGGAAUUGCGUGGCUUGUUUAAUUUCUCAUGAACCAAAGAGGCCAAAGAGUAGAUCUCAUGGUUGUGUGGUUCCACUGAACCAGAUCUAUGGACCAGAUGAUUGCUCCGUCAAAGAGGAUGGCCGCGCGAAGGGAGUGACGAGAAUAAAGAUGGUCAUGACGAAGAAGGAGGCGGCCCAGUUGCUCUCUAAGCUCUCCGCCGAUCGCAUCGUCGAGCGUGUCAAACGGGAACUGGACAGAAGCAAGGGUUGUCGACUGCGCGCGGCGUGUCGAGAUCCGUGGAGGCCGGCGCUGGAGAGCAUCCCGGAGAAUUAACUGUUGAGGUGGUGAUGAGCUCUCAGAUGUUGAACUUACAAGUGGAUGUACACGUUUACAUUUAGUGAAGUGUUAUCAUGUUAAUUUAGAUGAAUGAAGAUAGAUGAUUUGAGUAUGCUACACUGUAAAUUAAAUCUCAUACAUAUAUGAGAAUGAAUAAAUCUCAUACAUAUAUAUGAGAAUGAAUUUAGGUGUAAGCAUACAUAUUCUUGCAAUACAUUUGAUGUUACACUAAAUUAAGAGAACUUUUCUCUGUAAGUUGAUUAAGAAUUUUUUUUUUUGAAAAAAUAUAGUAUGCUACCUCUUUAUUUAUUAAGUGAAUUUAGCAUUAGUGGGAAGCAACUGGGCUUCCGCUUGAUUAAAAAAGAAAAGAAAGAGAAAACUGAGACUACGUAGAAUAAAUCUCCCACAUGUUUCUAUACACACGUAAGUCCGCCAACAAGUGUUUUAUCGUGAGCUUUCUUUUCUUGAAAAUUCUUCUAUUCCGCUCUAACCAAAUAGCCCACCGAGCAGUAAUAAUAUCCGUUGAUUUCCUUCUCCCCAUCACUCUCCACCUAAUAUUGUUUAAUUUCCAAAGCGCAUGAACCGAAAUACAAAUAUUCAAGCUCCGUUUGUUUCGCAGUAAGCAGUCCAUUAGUGCAUGUGAGAAAUGGCAGUUCAUGAAAAGAUGAUCGACUGUCUCGGAUUAAUUAAGUUAAUUAAGAUUGAUUGUUGAUCUUGUGGGUAGUGAUUAUAUUCAAAUGCAAACUUAUAAUAGUUUUAACCUUUAACUUUUUUCACAGAAUACGUACUCAUAAAAAAAAAAAAAAUUUCCCCUAAAACCCAGAAAAUUAGAGUACCCUGUUUUUGUUUUUAACUUAAGAGGAGGAAACAAAUAAAACAACUGCAGUGAAGACUAAGUCAAGGGGAAGCGUAUAAUUUUUGUUUUUAACAGUCCAUGACCUAAGUCAAGGGGAAGCGUAUAAUUUUUAUGGACUAGUACUUAAAUUUGGUAAAGAGUCAUGUUACGAAAUGGUCAAUUUGCUGACCACACAAAGAGAUAACGUUGUCAAAAUUUUUACAAGUACUUUCACAUACAAAAAGAAAAAAAAGAAAAAGAAAAAAAAAAUUAUGCCUUAGAAUUAAAAUACUAGAUUGAUAUGGAAAAUUAAUCGAACAGUCUAGAGAACAAGGAUUGAUCGAUGCGGUUGAAAAAAAAAAAAAAACUUAAUCUGUAUUUUAUAUUUUUUUUUUACUUUUUAUACUUUUUUUUUUAAGACACUACUCAACUAUUUUCUUUUCUUAUAAUUAAUUCCUACACCAUAAAAUUGUGUUUGAAUAAUUUUUUUAAUUUUUUUUCUCAAAUUUAAUAUAAAAGAGGGUCUUCCUUUUUCAACUGGGACUGGGAUGCGGGUCGGGUUCUGAUGCAGUGAGUAUUCAUUAUCCCUAACAAUUAUCCGACACAGAUUUGAUUGGGAUUCGAAAUUUUGCCGCAACUAGCUGGGCUUUUGGUUUUGUGUAAAAUGCACUAAAAAAUUAUUUUCGAUAUGAAAAAUAUUUUUUCCACUUCUUCGAUUAAACAUAAAAAAUAUAUUUUUAUGAAUUUGAAAAAAAAAUUGAAGUUUUUGUUUUCGUUAUUUCUCGAAAGAAAAACAAAAACUGUGUAAAAUUUUUUCAUUCUUUUUUUCAAUCAAACUAAACAAACGUGAAUUAUUUUUCUCUCAACCAAACAAAUAUUGAUGAAAAAUUGUUUUUUUCAUACAAAUCCAAACACUUUAAAAUCUAAACUUUGUGCUGACUAAAAUAUUUUUUGGAGAAAAAGGGGAAUACAUAUAUUUUGGGGGUCAUCCAUGCAAAAAUUCCUAAAACUCGGAUCCUACGAAAGUGGGGAAGCGAAUUCAGAUCCAAAACUAGCGUACGCAGCGUGCGCACCCAAAACUCUUUUUAAGAACUCUACCAGAGAUCAACCCCGCGACCGAAAAUAAAUAAAACCAGGAACAAAAAAGGGGGAAAAAAAAAGGGGGGGAAAAAAAAGUUCCUGCAAAGAUGAUGAAAACGGAAACGAGAGGAGUUGGAAUUGGAGGAGGAGGAGGAGGUGAUAAAGGGAGGAGCUUAGCGUUCGAUCCCAAUCUCCCGAGAUGGGUUUGCCAAAAUUGUCGCCACGCUCUGUGCGUCGUCGGCGUCGAAUCCUACGCCGACAAGUUCUUCAACGACCCUUCUCGAUCCGGUUAGGGUUUCUCCCCGACGAUAUGCGAUCGCUUUAAUCGAUCUAUCUCAUAUAAUUGAUGUAGUGUGAUAAAUUCGUUGAAUUUGGUUGCAUUACUCUUCAAUUCCGUAUUUUAUUUAGUUGAUUGUGUUCGAAUUAUGCAAAUCAUGCUUUUUGUGUAUUCUGUAGAGCAAAUUUGGGUGUUUUUUAGUAGGAAUUUUACCACUCUGAUAUCCGAUUCACUGGUAAAACAUAGCAACUUACCUGAAUUAUUGUGCAUUUUUAGAUUUUUAGAUAUAGGAUACCUGGACUUUGAAACUUUUGAUUUUAUCAUCUUAAAAUUUAGAAAUUAUGAGCUAGUUACCUGAAUUCAAAAAGCCUCUGCCUUGAAGUAGAGGACACGCCGACACUGUUCCCUCGCGAUCUUAAUGUUGAUUAUUUCAUAGAGCUUCAGCAAUUAUGUUAACUUCUGCAUGCAGGAAUGCAAGCCUCUGCGUUCCAGGGCAGUGUGUUAGGAUCUUCCCGGAUAGAAAAUUCAUUCGUCGUGUUAUCGAGGAACAAGGCCCUGAUCCACGGCAUCCCUCCUCGCCCACGAAGCGGGGCCCAACAACACGAGGCUGGCCAAACUACGAAAGCCAUGGAAGAGUCCUAUGUUGUGUUGCCGCCGCCUGCUGCCUCUAUGUACAAGGGCGAGUCCCCGUCUGAAGGAGUCGGGGUCCAAUCACAAGCUUCUAGUUCGAACCAGACUAGCACUUUGCCAGCAAAUAACACUGGUUUCCACUUUAGUGUGACCGUCUUGAAGCGCGCAUUUGAGAUCGCUAGUUCUCAAACUCAGGUGAGGUCAGUUUCUUAGUUGUCAUAUAUCUUCAUGAUAAACAUGUACAAAGACCCCCUCCACUACUAGCUGCUUUGUAAUUGUCCCUUUAUUUAUUUCCGUUAUCACCUUCUCGAUCUUUUAUCAUUUUUUUUGGGCCUUAUUUUGUAAGUUGAAUAGGGGAGUCUGUUGAAAGUGUUGAAGGUUGAGGAUGUGUCAAUUAAGAAGGAUUAAUUUGAGAGAUCUAUUUCAAUAUGAUAUAUAGUGCAGGGGGUCUUUAUGCGCAUUUCCUUUUUUUGUUAACAAAACAAUUCAAAUUUUCUCUCUUUCCUACACAUUUUCUGUGUAUCUGUAUCUGCUUCAGUUUAUAGCUUGAAUGUUAUCCUGUAAAAUGGCAAAAAGACUUUGUAGGCAUCUGUAUUUGUGGAAUGUAUCCAUUGUAGCACGCUUGACAAAUGUGUUUUUUUUUGGGGGGGGGGGUUAUCUAAUAGGUUGAGCAACCUCUUUGUUUGGAAUGCAUGCGGGUGUUGUCAGAUAAGCUUGAUAAGGAGGUUGAAGAUGUGAAUAGAGACACAAAAGCUUAUGAAACAUGCCUUCAACGGUUGGAGAUGGAGUCUUAUAAUGUUCUCAGCGACGCUGACUUUCUAAAGGAGAAAGAGAAGGUAUUAAUUUCCACAAAAUUUAUGCUUUCUAUAUUUUUGCAGGCUGUUAUUCCACAUGAAAUGUGGAUUUAGGUUUUUUACUGCAUUAGUAACAAGAUUCUCUGGGUUACAUGUUAAGUAAAAUAUUCUUUAGUCGAUCUUUUGUGUGAACUGAUCCCAAAACUGAUACUUUGAUUUGAAAAAAGAACAAAAAUGACUGAAUAAUUUAACUAUGACAGAAUGUAUUGGGUCAAAUCCUUUACCGAAGUAUAAAGUUUUGUACCAAAUUAAAUUAAAUCAGUCUUACAUCUCUUUUAUAUUUUAUUUUUGUUAUACUUUUGACUGUUCAAGAUCGAGGAAGAAGAAAGGAAACUUCAAGCUGCAAUUGAAGAAACUGAUAGGCAGCAUUCAGAGGUUAAUGCUGAGAUGAAAGAUCUUGAAACAAAAUCCAAGCUUUUUAAUGAGUUGGAGGAAAGGUUGGUACUCCUUGUAACUCAUGCAUGUGCCCCAUUUCAUCUUUCUUUUUUUCUUUUUAUUGACCGCCUCAACAAAAGCAAGAAAUACUGGAGUAAGGUUCUGCACAUGAUGCAAGUUGGUUUUACAUAAUCAAUUUGCAUUCUUUUAUGCUAAGCUUUUGAUUUCAAAGAAAAGAAAUUGUUUUACACCUACCCUAUCUUAAUGCCUGUUAGUUCUACUUGAUAUAGAAUCUAGACAAUCUCACUUAUCUAUACCCCCUUCCCAGUUGUUUGAUGAAUAUUUUGCUGCCAAUUAGUCAUGACAUGGAGAUAUGGUGAAUCUGUACAAAACUGUAUAAUCAGUACAUUCUUAGUGGGGAUGAACUAGCAGUAGCUUGUUAUUCAGCACAUUUGGUUCUAAUUCUAUUCAUCAAACCUGUAACUUAAACAAGCUUUGAAUUAGCAUCAUAUGGUUCAAUUGCAUGUCUUAAACUAAAUAAUUCCUUUAGUUCUAUGUUCCUGCUUCCGAAGGACAACUCUUCAUGUGAACUACUGCUAGUGAGAUCAAAGCCAGUUCUUAGCCCUACACUCCCACUCCCUUUAUAACGCACCUACCGUGCUUCCUCUCAUCAUUCAUUUUAGUGCUCAUUUGAUGUUUUCUUUUGUGUUUAGUUCCUUAUUACCAAUCAAUAAAGGCUAGACAUCACAUUCUUUACAUUUUGCACAAUUUACCUUAUAGCAUGCAACUUAUGGAAUAACUAAUGUUUCCAGUCAGUACCUGUAAUCAGCUCGUUGGGUUAAAAAAUCAUUCACUAAAACUUUUAGUGGUCAUUCUACGUUUGCAUGAUUUUCCACAGAUGUAAGUUAUGUCUUUUCUCUUGAACAAGAAUUCUGAAUGUAUUAUAUCUCUUAAUUAGGUAUUGGCAUGAAUUCAACAAUUUCCAAUUCCAGCUAAUCUCACAUCAGGUAAUUAUAUAUAAACUGUCCUUGUUUCUUUCAAAUUGCCCCUUGUUGUGUGGUUUGUUUUCUGUUCUCUGUGGCAUGUAUGUUGUUUCAUUUAGCUUUUGUUUUUGUAGUGUUUAGAUGCUCUUAUCUUUUUACAAGCUUAGCACUCUUAACAACAGUCAAUUGUUCUGUAAUGUUUUCCAGUGGUAGAAUGUUGUAUAAUGGUUUUUUGAUUGGUCACUACCCUCGAGCAUAGAAAUUGCAGCAGGCAUCUGUAUCUGUGCGAAGUCUUCUUUAUUGACAUUGUAAUUCACUUCCCGGAGAGCUUUGCACAAUUUUGUACAUUGUAGAUGCGGAUGCUAAUAUUUGGGAGUAUUUUUCUUAUGUAUUAGCUUUGAUGCACUGUUUUCUGUGCAUUUGAGAGAAAACUCUUGGAUCACUAUGCAAUGUAUUGCACCUAUCAUAAGACAAUUUGGUACGCCUAGAGUCUUUCAAGGGCCAAGCGUGAAGAAAGAAAAGUUCCCAGUUAUCAUGGCAUAUUACCACUGAGCAGGUUUUGCUUUCGCCUUUCGCCCCCUUUUAAUUACGACCUCUUUUAAUUGUUUGAAAAUUAUCAUAGGUAGCAAUCUGUACAAUUCUAUCAGAAGAUGACCUUUUAUCUGAGCCAAUGUUUGCUUCUGUACUUUUACCUAGUCAUUAGCUUAAGUCAGUGAAAGGAAUACUCUUGUUUGUUCUCUGGGUACAAUUCUUAGUGUGCUAUUUCUACUGAAGUUUAAGAUCAUGAGAUCCUUAUGAAUUUUUUGACAAUGACCUUCAUAUCAACUUGACUCUUAAUAUAUUAUAUGCUGAUUGACUAUAAUCUCUGUAAUGCGAACCAACUCUAACAUGUGAUCUUAGAGAUUGGAAGGGCGAAAUUCCCCUUUUUCUGCUUUCUUUUUUGACUUCACCAUCUUUUGUGGAAAAUUAACUGUGUUAAGUGCAGGAAGAGAGAGAUGCAAUUUUGGCUAAGAUAGAAGUUUCGCAAGCACAUCUGGAGCUUCUAAAGCGUACGAAUGUGCUCGAAAAUGCCUUUCAUAUUACACAUGCUGGAGAAUUCGGAACUAUAAACAACUUCCGUCUUGGCCGCCUUCCUAUGUCUCCGGUACAAAAAUUCUAUGCCAAAUACUAGUCAUUGACCUUGCUGUUCCGCUCUUUUAGAACUAUUUUUAUAGGAUUGCUCAUGAAUUAAAUUACUUUACAUUUGCCUUUAUGGUAUUCAAUCCAAACUGGUAGGAGAACCUAAUAAAUAGACUCCAGAUAUUCCAGCUAAUGAUACUAUGCUAUUUACUAUCUCAAACGAUCAAUGAGAACUACAGAAUUUAUAGAGUUGACUAGUGCAGUAAAUUAAUAGGCUCACAAAAUAAUCUGUGAAGGAUUGACUGGGCACUUAGUGAUUCAACUAAUAAAAAUCUGAAAUUUACCAUCAGCUGUUAACCAUUUUUUGGUUGAUUUCUUAGUAAUGUACUUCUAAAAGUUUUGCAUACUUGCAAGGCUUAAAUCAAACUUACAGUUGUCAAAAAACAGACCUUGUUCUUUCACUUGCCCUUUCUUCUUUUAUUUAUUAAGCUAUUUAUUUGUUUUGGUGUUGCAUACUUGGCCUAUCAAUUUUUUAUUUGUUAGGUUGAAUGGGAUGAGAUAAAUGCUGCGUGGGGCCAGGCAUGCCUUCUUCUGAACACUAUGGCUCAAUACUUUCGGCCAAAAUUCCCGUAUCCUCAGACUGAUAAUCAUUUCUCAACUGUCUUUAUUUGCGUUUGGCAGUAAUUAUAUAAGCCACUGGAACCAUAAUGAUUCUAGUUAUUCUUUUGUACCAGUGAAGAUGUGUUCACUUUCACUUCAUUAAUAGUGCUAUUGCUAUAAUCCCUCAAAAGUCAUUCGCUGAUCUGAUUUCUAGUUUGUUCAUCUGUACUGAUAGUUUGACAGAGCCUUUCAGUUAGUGAUCAAGUUUAUUAGUGGAAAUAAUAAUUGGCGUUUUAGUGUUGAGGCAUUGGAUAGAGUAACUAGUAAUUUAAAUUUGCCUUUCGUUCUUUGAUCUUUUUAAUUGUGCAAGCCUUCAAACACUUAACUAUUAUAGCAUCUUUCUUGAACAAACAUGUGGUAAGCUGUAUUUAAGUGAUAAUUAUCACACACUUUUUUCCACCCGGGUUGGGAAUUUUGAUGUUUAAUCUAAUACUUGUUGGUAAUCUCAUAUGUGUGUUGAAAAAAUUUGCAAUCUUGCUCAUUACUACAUUAUUGUGUUGUUAUGCUUUGUAUUCUGUAGAUGAAUGAAUACUUUCGAACCUUCUAAGCUUUUCCAGCACUAAAGUUCUACAUUAAUUCUAUUCUAUAUUGUGCAUGCCAAAAAGCUAAUAUUACCUUGAUAUGACAUUGGAAUUCCUUAAUUUCCAUUAGAUAUCGAAUUAAGAUUCUUCCGAUGGGAAGUUAUCCGCGAAUUAUGGACACUAACAACAACACAUAUGAACUGUAAGCUCCCUUUGUGGCAUUUCCCUCCUGUCUCCGUGGUUAACUGGUUAUAAAGAUACUUUGUUCUCUUUCAUCAGCAGGUGCUUUUUAACUUCUAUGCGAAUUCCAAUAUUCUAUAAGCUUAUAUUUUAUUAAUACGUGAUCUGGUUUUCCCUUGUUUUGAAACUAUAAAUUAUGCACCAAAAAUAAGUUACCUCGCAUAAUUAGCUGGAAAGGGAUGACUUAGAUAAUGUUCAUUGUCUUGCACCUGAAAGUAGUAAAUUGUAGAAAUAAGACUCCAGAGAAGAUGCUACUAAUCUAUUAUGAGCUGGACAAUAAUAUCUAAUUUGACAGACAGCACACAUGGUGUUGAUGUAGUGCUGUUAUAAUCUGGAUAUUGGAGCUAAAAGGUUAUUGACAUUGAAGAUUAGCUUUAUGGAUUAGAUGGUGUGGUGGACAUGCGCCAACACAGGUGCCACUUGGAUCCUUUGCUUACCAAAGGAGAUGGAUCUAAGCAGUGAAUAUAUCAGUUCACAUGUAAUUAUGGCAUUGUCGUGUGAAAAGGAUGCCCAGUUAAGAGAGGAUCAAAAUAAUGGGAACUGAAAUUGAUUUUCAUAUUAAAAUAUAUAUAUGUCUUUUAAUAUUAGAAUCCUUUUUUCCUUUGUUUUUUUGGUAUUUGAAAUGUUCUUAUUUAUUUGAUUUGUUUGAGAUCAAUUCCCUUUUUGUUAGCUUUCUUUGUUUUUUUUAAAAAAGGAAAAUCUUCUCUUUUCAGGUUUGGUCCAGUGAAUUUGUUUUGGAGCACCCGCUAUGACAAAGCAAUGACAUUAUACUUAACGUGCCUGAAAGAUUUUGCCGAGUUUGCGCAUAUAAGGGAUCUAGAAAACAAUAUUCCACCAGAUAAAUGUUUCAAACUCCCUUACAGGUGAGGGCUCUUUUAAGUCGAAUUUUAGGCAACUUAAAUUGAUUAGUUGCAGUUUGCAGACCUGUUACCCCUUCAUGCGAAGUUGAUUUGGUUUUGUUUAUUUUACUAUCCUAUUAAGUGCUUGUAAUUUCUUUCUGUGGAUUUCACACAGUUUGACUUAGGAAAUUCAAUACAUUGAAGUCUUGCUAUUCAGCCGCGAUAAUUUCCUUUUUGGAGAAACAAGAGAGGAAUUGAAAUAAGAGAGAUAUUGCGAGGAAAUUUAGCAGAAGCCUUAGUUCGACAUUAAAUUAUAUGAGAGUUACGGAACAAAUUCUCUAAUAAAGCAACUGUAAUGUACACUUUUAAGACACUAAUAUUCAUCAGAACAAAAACCCCCUUCCAAGAUGAGAAACAAUACUAUCUUCAGGCUGUCUAUCUUUUGAAAGAAAGAAGAACGGAUCAUGGAUUUGUUGUCUUACAAAAAUGCAAUUAUCCUAUAUCUAUUUUUAACUUACAGUAGCAACAUUUUUAUUCGCAUGGGCAGAUUAGUUCUCUAUUAAAGAGAAUAUACUUUGCGUUGCAUUACUUAUCUGUUAGAUUUUUUUUUUUUUUUUUCUUAACAAAUUGUUUUCUAAUGACUCAAAUCUCAUUUUCAUAGGAUCGAAAACGAUAAAGUGGAAAAUCACACUAUCACCCAAAGCUUCAAUAAGCAGGAAAACUGGACGAAGGCCCUAAAGUACACACUGUGCAACUUGAAGUGGGUUAUGUAUUGGUUCAUUGGUAACACGAAUUUCCGGCCGCUAUGUCCAUUAGCUCCUUCUCAGGCUGAUGGUCCUUCCAUUGGAUAGCUCUUUAUGAGUAAAUCUGGUUAGAAUACUGAACUGAUUGAUGCUUUAAAUAGGAAAAGAAAAAAGGAGAAAAAAUGCUGACCCAAGAAGCCGAUUUUAGCUGCUUUUAGACUAUUUGGUUUCUCGUGUGUACAUAUAUAUAUAUAUAUAUAUAUAUAUAUAUAUAUAUAUAUAUAUAGGCUGGGACUACUAUACUUAUUUGUGAUUUCUUGUGCAGUGUAUUCACCUUUUCCGCUUUUUUUCCCUUUUGAUACUGCUGCUGCUACCUGCAGCUGCUCUACCUGUGUUUUCUCAAUCGUAAUAAUCAUAUGUAAAUUGCUGCAAGAAAAGCUUGAGGUGUCUUACUUUGAAUUAUUUUCUGAUACAUAUUCCUCAUUAACAACGAGUAUGAUGGAAUUGGAUAAUGUUCUUUCUGUUAUGCACAUUGUCCUGGUAUCUGAUUUCUAAGCGUCAGAUUGGUUAUUCUGAUUCUUAUUAUGUCAUUCUCGUUUGUGCAAGAGAAGAUUUUCUUAGGGUCGGUAAAUGUUCUAUUAAAUGUUCUAUUAUACCUCUAUGAUUCUAUACAAAGGACAGUAAAUUGUACUGUUUAAGCUCGGGUGCAACCUGAGGCGUGCAGAAAUUGCGCACGGUUGAUCGUGCCGCUCGCCAGGAUGACUGAGAAGCACCUCAGUGUGUAAUAUCCCAGUGGUUAAUCCGGACUUGUUGCAACCGCCAAUGAUGAGAAUUCGCUGCCAAUGAUGAGAAUUCGCUGAGGUCAGGAUGGCAACGGGGAUGAUGGUCCUUCAGUGGCAGGUCAAGAGGGAAUUGAGAUGGUCCUUCAGUGGCAGGUCAAGAGGGAAUUGAGAUAAGGGAGAAAAGGGACUGGGGGGAAUUGAGGGAAAUAAGAGAGAGAUAGAGGUGUAGAGGUAGAGAUAGAGAUAGAGAUAGAGAUAGAGGAGAAUUGGGAAGAGAAAUAGUAGAGAAGAAGAAGGGUUUGGAGAAGAACUUUUGGGGAAGAAAAUAGACUAAUUCAUUUCAUUCAUACCUUGCAAUUACAUCCUGCUAACUAUAUAUACCCCAUACAACUUGUACUGAAUUGAAAUUAAACUAUCCUAUGAGGGCUUAACAGCAAUUUGACACAAAAUGGGAAAUGUAGCCUGAUGGGUUGAAUCCGGUUGCUUGUGGGCCUCGGGUGGGCUUGUUUGGUCCGAAACUGCAUGAUAAACGGGUAAGCAGUUUGCGGGUCCGCCUACUCCGCACUAUCCACAACCGGGCGGGGCUUGGGUCUGCGUUUUACGCCCGAUCCAGUAAUCCGACCGCCCGCCACCCGCUAUCGAGUUACCUCUUCCUCCGCUCUCUUCCUCCGCCCUCCAGAUCCUGCAGAAGCCUCCGCCUAUCUACCUCGAUCCUCCCUCUUCUCCUUCGGAGCACCCAGGAUGCCCUAGUCCUCGACGGAGUUCCACCCGAGCACCUUCCCGCCGUCCCACUUGGCGCGCUUCCUCCUCUCCGACCGGCUGCCGCCCUUAUUCUCCAUCUUAACUAGUAAAACUGCUCCUUUUACUACUCUCCCAUGCUAACUCCUACUAUUACUACUAUUUCUACCAUUUAUUCUUCAGGGUUGUUAUACAGUGCUGAUGAGUAGUCGAACAAACUCGUGGAUAUGAACUUUAUUAAAUGGUUAGAAUGCAUUUUGCUGCUGAUGAAUGAAUAAAGAAGUUACCCAUCAGUAGAAUUGUUCACUCAUCUGUCGGGCUAUCAUGCCCGUUAAAAUGUGCAAUGCUUGGUAAAUUGGAACGUUGGUUAUAUCUGUGUUAUAAACUAAUCUGAUAUAAUUAUUUUAUUUUCUAUUUCACUUAAAAAAGUGGAUUAGUUUUGAUUAUUCGCGUCUUAUGCUUCAUCUUAUCAUUUAAAGACCUGUGCUCGUCAAAUCUGUUUCUAUAAUACACGAAUGUGACAACCGCACGUGUUUAUUUGGGAUCUAAUCUCCUAAUCUAAAUAUUAAUAAAGGUUUAGUUCGAGUUCUAAGCUAAAUCUUUAUUAUUGUCCCCCACUUGUGCUCUUAUAUAGCUGCACCAAUGAAAAACAUGUUAUUCCAUUUUAGACAUUUAAUUACAAUCUUCAUCUCCCAAACAUUAUUAACUUUUUUGAGUAUACCGAUAGCAUACUUUACCUAGAAUAAAAUACCCCCACCUAAAUAUAUUUUAACUAAUUUAUUAUAAUAUGCACAAUAUAUAACAUUAUUUAUGGGAACAAGGCAAUCCAUCUACAAUAUCAAAUGGAGACUAAUACUUCCGAUUUUUUUUAAAGAAAAGCAUUGUAAUAUUCUAACUCGAACCAUGAUUUGGUUCCACUUUUGUAUUUAUUAUUAUCUUUUGGUCUCAUUUUCAUGGACUUUUUUUUUUAUUUAUUUUUCGUUUUGGUCCGUCUCUCGUCGAGGCCUUGUUGCCUCACCCAUAUAACUUAAUUCACUUACUUUCUGAAUGAAGCGGGUAGCGUGUUAUUUUUCUCUCAAAAAAACAAAAAACACGUCAACUCGUGAAAGAAAUACUAACAUCGUGAUGCAGCAAUCCAUUUUCAAUCGUAAAAAACGUGGCUUGGUGGGUCUAUUCACGAGAUCUGUCGAUGAGCUUAAACAUGAUCUUGAUUCCUCCGCUGCAUGUUUAUCUUAAAUAAAAUGAUAUUGACAACAUCUUGUGUGUUAUUAAGGGUUAUCAAAUGUAGAACGAAUAUGUAAAACUAAAAAUUAUAUUUUAACUGAAUCUGUACAAUUUAUUUGGGCAACGAAGAUAAAGAUUGAAAACUCAAAAAAUAAAUUCACGAUGGUCAGAUAUAUUUUAAGAUUGGUUGUGGUAUAUAUAUAUAUAUAUAUAUAUAUAUAUAUAUAUAUAUAUAUAGGUAGCAAUUUUUUCGUUUCGUUUAUUUUAUUUAGAAAUAAGCUUAGCUAGAAAUGUGAAUCAUUUAUCAUUCGAAUUUGGGUCUCGAAUACCAACCACCAAAUCUUUUUUCACUUACUCUAGAAACGGUCGGUCUUUUUGUGAUAUGAAUUGUGGAUAAGGAUUAUAGNAAACUCAAUAGUACCAAGGGCUUGGUACUAUUGAUAGUAUAGUAGCAUAAUUCUAUAUAUAUAUAUAUAUAUAAAACUUGGAAUAGAUUAAGAGGGGUUAAGUAUGGAUUAUAGCCUGUUCUCAAAACUUGUGGUUUUUGAAAAUAAAGUUUCUAACAUGAUGUUUUAAAAAAUAAUUUUAGUUUCCUCAUAAACGAAAUGCUGAGAAUAGAUUUUCUGUAGUUUUUCAAAAGUCAAAACUUGUUUUCAGAAAGUAAAAUUUUAUAGUGUCAAAAGACUUGAUAGUUUUUUUAAGAAAAGAUAGCACGCUAUCUGCUUCAUUCAUUGAAUGUAUGAACUAGGCUACAGGAGUGAGGCAACCAGUGCCUCAAGAAAAGAAACAACAAUUAAAAAAAAAAAAAGAACAAAAAGGCUUGAUAGUUAAUACUCAUGUUCGAGUUUGAAGUUUAAUUACCUCACAUCUCCAGCUACAUUUAUUUCUAAAAUAAAAGAUAAAUGAAACACGCGACUGGUGCCAUACUAUUUUUCUCUCUCUCUUAAAAAAAAAAAACUCAUUUUGUGUCAUUUGCCAAAAACUCAAUUCAUUUUCAAAAAUCAAGAGAAUGUUUUUUAGUUUUCUAUAUUCGAAUUAUUAUUCACAUGUUCCGAAAAUCAAACAUGUUUUGAUCAUUUUUUUUUUUAAGCAUAGAUCAUAUAUGUUCCUCGCAAUCUCAAAAAGAGCUUUAUAAACACAACUUAGGCCUUCAUCCGGAAAUCCAAAGGGAUCAUUAGAUUUAGGGGCUUGUUUGAUUCACCUGAGACUGUAGAAUCGAAAUAAAAUUUAUUAAUUUUGAUAGUUGUUGUUGUUGUUGUUUUUUUUUUCUUUUUUCUUUUUUGAAAAGAACACCAUAAGGCAUUUAUUUUAUAGAAUAACUGGUCGGAAACUCCUCAAACUCUGCGAAAUAAGGCCAACUAAAAGCUACCUGGAAAACAAAACCCUAUUUGGCUAGUUGGUCAACACAUUAUGAAAAUAAACUAUAUCUAAAAGACCACCCUGUAAGAAUAUUAUUAUUAGAUUCCAAAAGGCGUCGAAGCAAAGCAAUUCGCUCUGCUACUUGCAGUGAAAUUGGGAUAUGCCGGUCCUCCUAAUACAAGCAGGAACGAAUGAUAGUUGUCGAAUCUAUGUAAAUUUGAGCACUUGAUAUUAGACCAAUUAUUUAGAAGCCACUUGACUGCCUUAGUACAUGCUUGUAUCUCAACAGCAAGAGCACUUUCUGAUUCGAUGGAAGGUGCUGCGUAAUAAUAAACGACCACAUCCCCUUGGCUUCAACGACUAACUUAUUGUUUAUUUUACAUAAAUUUAAUUCUGAUUUUCAUUAUAGCCCAAUCCGAUUUUGCAUUCUGGAGUAGCCACCCAUUCUAGAAUAAACCAUUCAAAACUUUGUUUCACGAACAACUCCCCUUCUUCUCCCUUCACCACUCUCCUUUUUCUUAACCAAAACUUUCUCAAAAUCUCAAAAUUUAGAUAUUUAUUUUGAUUUUUAUCAUAAUAAUCAAUCAAGUAAAAAAUUUUUUAAGUAAUUCAUCAUUUUACUUUUUAUUUCAGUACAAUCUAACUCUUUUUUUUUUUUUUUUUUUCAAUCAUGAACCAAAAACCGCGUAAACUUUUUCAUUAACAAUAAAUUUUUGCACUAUCUAUGGAAUUGGGUGGGUGGAGCUAGUUAAACAACGUUGUCACCAGGUUGUUGUCUUAAAGAAACUUGGGUCAACAUUCCACGAACAGGACGCAACUAAAAGUACGCAGUUUUUCCAACACGUUAUUAAUUGAUUUGAUUUGAUUUGAGUUGAAUUGAAUAUUCUCUCUCUCUCUCUUUCCUUAAAAAAAACGAAUUAUUAAUUGCGGCAUCAAUAAAUCGCACGGACCCACAUGUAAUUCCCUCUCUUUUGCAUCAAAUUGAAUCCUACAUUUUGCCACUGUUUCAAAUAGGAUACAAUAUUAGGAUGAAAAACUCCAACAAAAUGUUUAUAAAAGUUACAUCUUUAUAUAUAUAAGAUAUUUAAACUUAUGUAAACUUAUGAAACUUGGUUGUUUACAGAAAAACUUUAUUUAACUUAUAUGAUCAUAGUUUAUUGAAUAACGUAACCAUUGUUAUGGGCCAACUCAUUUCAUGAAAUUUUACAGAGUAGAGUAGUUAAACGUAGGAUCCAAAUUAAAGCAAAUAUUUGUAUAAGUGAUAAUUAAUUGAAACAAGAAGCAAAGCGCAAACCGGAGAUUUUACUAUUUAGCUCUAAUUUUCUUUUGAUAAAAAAGUACAAAACUCUCCUAUGGAGCAUUUUGAAUUCGUUAUCUAAUCUAUCGGAAUUUUGAUUUUACUGUCGAUUCUUUUAAUUUGUUUAAUUUGAGUCGGCCAACGUUAUUUUGACUUUAAAUUUUGAGUGCGACAUUUAUUUUUAUAAAUUUAGAUGGCAUACUUAAUAUAAUUCUCAUAACUAUAAAUUUAUUAAAAUAAAUAAUUAGCUUAAAUUUUAAUAUCGUUUACUAAAUGAAAUCAAACAAAUUAAAAAAUUGAAUAGCUAAAUUAAAUUUUUGAUAAUUUAUGUACUUUUUUUUUUUUCGGUCUUUCCUAAAACACCGUAGACUGCACGAUCUCCCAACCGUCAGAUCACCAUCCAACGGUCACCCGCAAGGUCAGUGCCCUGUUGCUUUCGCCCUGGAUUAUCCCCGCUUUUCUUUUCCUGAUAAAGACGCGUAAAACCCCCGCGUAGAUCCUAUGCCGCGCCAGUCGAAGGAAAAUUUGUACUUCAACCAAUAGAUGUUCGCCACGUGUCCGCCUUCGCAGGCUUCUCGUGGGCGACGCGCUUGGUUUGGACCGUGGAAAAAUUACGCUAAAAAAGUAUUCUGUAUGUUCUCAUACGUAAUAGAUUUUUUUUUUUUUUUUUUUUACAUUUGGCCCUUUCAAUAAAUUUAUUUUUAUAAAUAAAUUUAUCAAAUUUAUAAUUAUAAUUUUGGUCUUAUUUUUGCAACACAGGUGUCACGUAGGGGUGGUAAUCCAGCUCGCUGUUCGCUAGCCAGUUCGUGUUCGGAUCGAAAUGAGCUCGAGAUCGAAUCGCUCGUUUAGUAAAUAAGUCGAACAUGAGCUGAAUUUUUCAACUCGUUUAAUAAAUGAGCCGAACACGAGCUGGGGUCAGCUCAUUCGUGUUCGGCUCGAUAACAGCUCAAAUACAUAUAUUUAAUUUAAUAUAAUUUAUUUAUUUAUAAUUUUUAAUAUAAAUAAAUAAUAUAUAUAUAUAUAAUAUUAUUAUUAUUUAAUUUUUAGCAAAAUAAAAUAUAUAAAUGCAAGCUUAAUUAUAAAAAGACUCGUUUAUAUGUAAAGUUCAACUAUUAGAUUAAAAUCUAAUGAAUAAGAUUUUAUAAAUUUUUAUUAUAUAUAUAUAUAUAUAUAUAUAUAUAUAUAUAUAUAUAAUAUAUAUAUAUAUAUAUAUAUAUAUAUAUAUAUUUAAUUUUUUUAAUUUAUUGUUUGUUGGCCGCUCGUGAGCCAGCUCGUGUUCGGCUCGUUAAUAACGAGCCGAACAUGAGCCGAAUUUUUCGGUCCGAUACUUAACGAGCCAGCUCGUGUUCGGCUCGUUUAUUCCCAGUUCGCCUGUGUUCGGCUUGUUUCACCCUUAGUGCCACGUAGACGCCACACGAGCAUGAGUGAAGGGGUGGAAUAAGUUGAAUAUGGUAUUUCAUUCACCGUGUCUAAACACGAAAAAAAUAUAAGAAUAAAAAAGAUGGAAUAUAAGUAUGAAUACGGUGAAUCAUUCACCGUUUUUUAACACGGUGAAUGAUUCACCAUGUUCAACUUAAUGUCUCUCCUUCGUCGGCUUAUGUGACGCUAAUGUGACACCUACGUGACGGGGAUAGGAUCAAAAUUAUAAUUAUAAAUUUUAUAAAUUAUUUAUGAAAAAAAAAAUUAACAGGCCAAAUACAAAAAAAACUCUACGUAAUAUCGCGUUUCGCAUAUCUUGAUGGGCCGAUUAGAAUAUAUUUUUUUUAUGACCCCAUCAAAAAAUACAAAAUAUAUCUCCACAUUUUUUUAUUCUGAUUUUAUUUUAUUUUAUUUAAUAGCGGUAGAGGAAUCUCGAUACAACCAAAAUAAGUCAAGCCGAAGAUGACGACUCCUCUCAAUUGCGUUUAGAAACCGAGAAAGCGAGCGCAAGACAUGUAAUAAAAAAAAAAAAAGGGAAAAAGGAAAAAAAAAAGAAAAAGAAAAAAGGAGUCCAAUUUCUCCGCCACCCGCUUUGACAACCAUGCAGCGUUUCGAAUCUCUCCCUCUCAGAGGCGAAAAACGCACCGAGCCCCCUCAACUAUAGAACACGGUAAAACAGCCACCACUCAUUUGUUUUCAUUCUUUUUUUUUUUUAAGAGAUAGGUAGCACGCUACCGCUUCGUUUAUUUCAUUUAGAAAUAAACUUAGCUGAAAAUAUGAAUCAACUAGUAUUCGAACUUGGGACCUCAGAUACCAACCACCAAACCCUUUGCCACUUGCUCUAGGGCCGGUCAGUCUCAUUUGUUUUCAUUCUUAGUAAUAAUUGUUUUUUUUUUAUUUUUUUUUGAGAGAUAGGUAGCACGCUACCCGCUUCGUUUAUUUCAUUUAGAAAUAAACUUAGCUGAAAAUGUGAAUCAACUAGGAUUCGAACUCGGGUCUCGAAUAUCAACCACCAAAUUCUUUGCCAUUUACUCUAGGGACGGUUGGUUCUCAGUAAUAAUUGUUGCCUGUAAAAUCUCCCGAACUCGGUGAUAUUGCAUAGGUACUCGUAUAAAUUUUAAAACAUCUUAUAUAUUUCUGCAAAGUUUGUUAGAACGUUUUAAAAAUACCUGUGCACUAGUCAAAAUUUAUGGUUUUCAAGUACAAAGACUAUUUGGUGCCCAUCGUAAUCAGCAAUGACCAUCAAUUGAUAUUUAAUAUAAAAAUAUUUAAAUGAUCAUUUUUUACUGGUUUAAAUUUUUAGAGUACAACGAUUGUUUCGUAUUGUUUAAUAUAGUAUAGCGAUAAAAAAUAUUAAAUAUAAAAAUAUUUAAAUAUAUCAUUUCUUAUUAGCUUAACUUUUAGAGUGGAGCGGUCGUAUUAUUUAAUAUAGUAUCAAAGCAGAAGAUUCUGAAUUCGAUUCACGUCAUGUUCCUAACAUUAUUGAUUUUUUUCUAUUUAAUUCAAGUCCAUAUUAUGGACCUAUAAAAAGCCUCGAGUACAAACUCUCGAGAGAGUGUUAAUAUAAAAAUAUUUAAACAUCGUUCUCUAAUAGCUUAAACGAAAAUAUAGCAUAGAUACUUAUAUAAAUUUUAAAAUAUUAUAUAUAUAUUUCUGUAGAGCUUAUUAGAAUGUUAUAAAGAUACCUAUAGAUUAGUCAAAAUUUAUCGUUUUCCAGUAUAAGGACUAUUUUGUCCCCAGCAUAAUCUGCAGUGACCAUAAAUUGGUAUUAAAUAUAAAUAUAUUUAAACACACCGUUCUCUACCAGGUUAAAUUUUUCGAGUAUAGCGGUUGUUUCGUAUUAUUAAACGUGAUAUAAAUAUGAGAGAGUAUUAAAUAUAAAUAUAUUUAAACACAUCAUUCUCUACUAGCUUAAGAUUUUAGAGUGCAAUGGUUGUUUCGUAUUAUUUAACAUGGUAUUAGAGUUAUUUAAUAUGGUAUUAGAGUAGAAGAUUCUAAGUUUAAGUCACGCCAGAUUUCCAGCAUCAUUAAUUUCCUACUAUUUUUCAAAUCUACGUCAUUGACCUAUAAAAAAUCUCGAGCACAGACUUAAGGGAGAAUGUUAAAUAUAAAAAUAUUUAAACACCGUAUUCUAAUAUAUAGCUUACGCUUUUAGAGUAGAACGGUUGUUUAACAAUUGAUGUAAUGAAAUCAAACUUUAUUAUUUUUUAUUUGUAAAUUAAGACUAUUUGAUCUUAAAAAAUAUUUUUUAUAUAAUAUUUUAAAUUUUAGAGAGAUAAAUAUAUAAUAUUCUAUCUGUACACUGAUACUAGUAGAAGUGUGCAUGCAAUGAACGCUUUUAUAUAAAAAACUGUUGAAUUGAGACCUCUUGUCUACUAAUAAAAAUUUGUUGAAUUGAGAUCUCGUCUACUAAUAAAAAUUUGUCAAUUUUAGUAGUUUGAUUAGUUAUUAAUGAUUAAUUAAUCUAAUUUUAUUUACUAAAAUAUAAUUAAAAUUAUCCAAUUUGAUAAAAGAAGUUGAUGGGUCUCAACCAAAGAGCCAAAAAGUUAGGAAUAUUUUUAUUAAUAAAAUUAAAAAAAUUAUAAUUGUAAAUAUAGUUUUUUUAAAAAAUUAUUUACAAAACCUAGUCUUAUGCGUUUUAAAUGCACUAUACCGUUUACUGUUUAAUAUUAUAUAGUUUUUGAAGUUCAAAUAUAAAAAAUAUAUAAAUAUAAAUUAGUAAAAGCAGUAAAUUAUUCACCAUAUAUUUUAAAGCUAAUUUUAGAAGUAAAAAUCUAGAACGUCUAUUUUGUAAUUAAAAAACUUUGGAGGAUUACUCUGCCAAAAACACCGAGGAGCCGAUUUCAGAAUGUGCUAUAGUUGAGGGAUCGUCAUGCAUUUUUUUCAACCUUUCCUCAUCUCCACACACACGCCACCGUGCGAUAUGCUUCUCCCUCUGCUUUAUAUUUCGUUCCCAUCUUAAACGUAUAUAUAAAAUAAUAAUAAUACAGUAGCGAUCGAGAGAGCGAGGGUUAUAUAUAUUUACAUUAUUAUUAUAAUAUAAUAAUAAUAAGAGCGUAGUAGAGUAGUGGGAGGAGGAGGAGGAGGAGGAGGAGGAAGAAGCGGCGGAGGAGAUGAAGUACUUGGUGGAGGUGGAGAAGGGGAGGGAGGGGGUCGAUGGUGGGCCCUCGGUGGGGCCCGUUUACCGGAGCGUCUUCGCUGAGGACGGUUUCCCGCCGCCGAUCCCCGGCCUCGAUAGUUGCUGGGAUGUUUUCCGGUAAUUUUACGCCAUUGAUCGUUUAAUCUACUGGAGUUUGUGGCAAUCUCUUACUUUUCGAGUUACUUUUUUGGCGAUCUAUUCGCGUUGGAUCAUUAGUCAUUGUGUUUAAGUUGAUUUGAGGUGAUUUGUGGCGAUUUUUGUUUGAUUUUGGCUUGUUUUAUUUUUUUAGAUCAAUUGUUGAAGUUGCCAUCUUUUUAGUUUGAAUCAAAUUAAAUUAGUUUUUUUUUCGAUUUUUUUUUUCAACAUCUGUGAUCUAGUAUGGCGGUGGAGAAGUAUCCGAAUAAUAGGAUGCUCGGUCAGCGUGAGAUUGUUGAUGGAAAGGUAUGAACUUUAUGAUCCGUGGUUAAUUACAUUUUCUAUAAGUUUAUAUUUUGUUUACACUGCUUAUUUAUUUUUAUUUAUUUUUGUUUUUUGUUUUUGAGUUCAAAUUUGUGUUGUUUUGAUGUGUACUUAAUCAGGCUGGUAAAUAUGUUUGGAAGAGUUACAAAGAAGUGCAUGAAAUUGUUAUGAAAGUUGGGGCUUCGAUUCGGAGCUGCGGAGUUGAGCAGGUAAUUAACUAAUUAGCAUGUGAGAUUAUACUGGAAAAUGUGGAGCUGUGGAUAUUUAUAUUGUUUGUGAUUUUCUGUACUAUCCACUUAAGUCGUUAUGUGCUCUUUAUUGAAUAGGUUAUGGGUUUUGAGGGGGUAUUGUGUACUUGUUUUUGCAAAGCUAGUUCAUUUAUCCUGUAUAAAUUUUAGUGUCCAUGAAUGUUGUACCAAUCACAAAUUUAUUUUGUCCAACCGACUUAGUUUGGAGAUCGUUGAACGACUAAAUCCGAUGUUUCUUUAAUAGGAAAUGCAAUUUUUGUUGAACGACUAAAAUUGUAGUCAACAAGUUACCAGUUCUACCAAAGCAGCAUACCUCACCUGCGUAUAAAUGACGAAAUCGGCCUCGCAUAUCCUCUUUUAUUUGUUCGUUUACUCGUAGAAAUAGUGGCUAAAUAGUUUAGAAAAGAAGAACACAAGUUUUAUGCAUGGUAGCUGGUUAAUAGUGGUUCAUGCUGGCUAAGUUUUGCAAAUCAAAGGGAUUGUCAUUGAAUCCUUUUUUCUUUUGGCAACUAUGCUUACUCUGUACUCAAGAUUGAGCUUCGUUUGUUCCAAUAAACACUGCAGUUAUUAGAAUCAAAAGCUCCCACUUUUGGACAAUUGGCUGUAAUUUUAAGUCUAGUCGCUUGCAUUUUCUUCACUUGUGUGGAUACUUUAUCUUUCCUGCUCCCUAUUGUUUGCUAAAAUCAUGAUUGUUCCACUGCUGAGCUUUCAUUAGUUUGUAGGCAUAGUUGGGCUCUUAAAUAGCAAAUUAGAUAAACUUUUUUGGCACUCAUUGUUGAGCUUCUGAUUGGUCCUUGGCAGGGUCGUCGUUGUGGUAUCUAUGGUGCCAAUUGUCCUGAGUGGAUGAUCAGUAUGCAGGUAUAAUCCAUUCAAAUAUCUCUUUUUUUUUUUUUUUUUUGGAACUACUUUUAUUCACAAUGCUCUUUUCGGUCAUUUUCUUCUUUUAGCAAAGUCAACUUGUGACAAGUCUUGUUAUUUCUCAUUCUUUAUCCAUAUAUUCUGCAGGCCUGUAAUGCUCAUGGGAUUUAUUGCGUUCCCUUAUAUGAUACUCUUGGUAGGUGUCUUGCUUUUAAUUGUGUGAAAUCAUUUUGGUUUAUUAUGGCUCUUUUGACAGUUUUCUCUUAUGUGCACAACAAGAUUGCUUAACUAGCACUAAUCAUAAUAUUCUUAGAACGUAACUCAAUUUUCUUCUGAAUUGAGACUACGAACUGUAACAAUUUUGUCUUGGUUCUAGGUGCUGGUGCAGUAGAAUUCAUUUUAUGUCAUGCAGAAAUUCAGAUUGCUUUCGUGGAGGAAAAAAAGAUUGGAGAGGUACAUAUCCUUGAGUUGUUUUAAAGAUGUUGAGUGGAGGGUUAUGACGGUGGUGUUGUUGUUCUCUUAUUUUUAAGAUGAUGUUGUGUACUGUUAUGGUAAAGGCUUGACAAGUGUGCCUAGUGGCUAAGGCAGCAGCCUAUGCAAUAUUUUGCAUUUUUUUCUUUUGGUUAUAGAAGGGUGAUAAAGUUGUCGUAUAUCUUGUCCCAUCCUGGCCCUACAUUACUAAGAGCCUGUUUGUCAGAAGCUGUUGUUAUAUAUUUGUGUUGGCAUUUUCUUUUUCUAGAUGAAGCAAGUAAUACCAGAUCCUUCUAUUUUACAGAUGCUGAAGACCUUCCCCAAUUCAACCAAAUUCUUGAAAAGUAAGUUGCCUGUGGCUCAUCUAGAUCCACCAUUUAAUGUAAUAUGUUCCUCAAUGUGAUCAAUAUCAUUGUUUUUUGUGCAGCAAUUGUGAGCUUUGGCAAGGUAAACACGGAACAAAGAGAAGUGGCGGAGAAACACGGUUUGGCAUUCUAUUCUUGGGAUGAUUUUUUGCAGCUGGUAAGACUUAAAUUUGAGGUCUCGUCAAUGUGAAAUGAUUUUUCAUGUCUCAAGUAUACCUUCUUGUGGUGUCGGUAGAUUAAAAAGGCAAAUAAGUAUUUGCAUUGUCCUGUGUAAGAAAUCUGCCAAUUUUCAUUUAACAGAUACCAUUUACUUGCAUCAAAAUUAUUUGACAUAAGGAAAUAACCUGCUUAUAAGACGAUACUUCUGCUCUUUGUACAGUUUGCUAUGCUAUCCAAAAUUUUAGUCCAUGUUUAAUCCUUUACUGGAAUUCUUCUAUUUUGCUGGUAAUGACAUGUAUUGUAAUCUUAAGAAGUUUGAUGGUUUCGUACUUGUAGGGAGGUAGUCAACAGUUUGAUCUUCCAGUGAAGGAAAAGGCAGAUAUAUGUACUAUAAUGUAUACUAGUGGAACAACUGGUGAUCCCAAGGGGGUAAUGAUCUCCAAUAGAAGCAUUCUCUCUCUUAUUGCUGGUGUGAAUCGACUGCUUCAUUGUGUGAAUGAACAGGUGAGUUAUGUUUAUACCUUGUCCUUUUACAGAUGUUAAUCCUAAUUGUUGUCUAACUUGCUUUUGUCCUUUUUGAUUUUUGUGCAGUUGCAUGAAUAUGAUGUUUAUAUGUCUUAUCUUCCCCUUGCGCAUAUCUUUGACCGGGUGAUUGAAGAGUUGUUCAUUUUUAAUGGUGCCUCGAUUGGAUUUUGGCGUGGGGUAAGCUUCAACCCAAAUGUACUGUUUUCUUGCUGUAUAGACAUAGGACCCUUGAUUAGUUAAAAAUUUUGUCUUCAGGAUGUUAAAUUGUUAGUUGAGGACAUUGGGGAGCUGAAACCAACGAUAUUCUGUGCUGUUCCACGUGUGCUGGAACGGAUUUAUACAGGUAUAAAGUAUGAAUUUAAUUAUACCAAACCAUCAUAAAGCGAGAUAAAUAAGUUUUGACGCAUACUAUUCCUAAAUGUGCAAACUUGCAUUAUGUGGAUAUUUUUGCCUUUAUCAUGCAUCUUCAUGGUAUUCCUCUUGAUCUCCCAACUCCGUUUCCUUUUCUUUGUUUGUCUAAAUUUCAUUCACUUACACAGUUUACAAGUCUCAUGAGGCCGUUUCCUAGUAUAAUAUAAGGCAGAGCUUUAUAGGGCAGAUUUCGGAUGCCUUGACUGAUAUAUAUGUUGGCAUUUUUGGGGGUGAUUAGUGAGGUGCUAGAGAUACCUGUUAUGACUACCAUACUUAGUCUGUCCAUUCUAGUUACUUAAUUCUUCUAGUCUGGUUGAUAAGCUAUAUGUGAUGUAUAUACAUAGACAUCUUGAUAUGUCUGCUCUGUCUACUGAGUGUAAAAUUGGUUUUUAUUUCUAUGCCCAUUCUCUGGCACCAAAUAACAUUUUAACUCAAGAACUACUAGCACUUGACAUCUUUUGGUUGGCUGCUACUUUUCAGGAUUGCAAGAUAAGAUAUCUUCUGGGGGCUUACUGAAGCAUACAUUGUUUAAUGUUGCUUACAAAUAGUAAGUUUUGUACAUACUUUAGUCUACCAUUGCGAAUUUCCGUUUUGGCAGACGCAUAUAUCUUUUGUAUCCUUGUUAUUUUAUUUCUUCCUUCCCUCGUUACAUAGUGCUGUGAAGUUAUGCAGAUGUGUAUAAGUUGUGAAGGGGGAUUCCAUGUUUUUCAGAAUUACAACUUAUUAUUCUGGAUAAUUUGUUUCCUUCUGGAAAGUUAAGCUAUUUUCAGUGAUGGCUUAUUGAUGAUCAAUAUUCUUUGCGAUUCUACAGCAAGCAAUUUAACAUGUUGAGAGGGAGUAAGCACGAGGAUGCUGGUUUUAUUGUUGAUAAAGUAGUUUUUAAUAAGGUAAUUGUAAAGUGCAGCUGUUCUUUGUCCAGAUAUUUUAUCUUCUUAUUGGUUGUCCUCCUAGUAUUUUUUUUUUUUUACUUUCUCACAUGUUUUAUUUCCACAUAAAGGUAAAAGAAGGACUAGGUGGGAAUGUUCGUCUAAUCUUAUCUGGAGCUGCCCCUCUAGCUACACAUGUUGAAGAAUUUCUACGUGUGGUGUCAUGUGCCCAUGUUCUACAAGGCUACGGUAUGCAUUGCUGCAUAGCUGCGUCGUUUGCUUUAUACUGAAUAAACUGAAAAGUUCUGUUUGAGUGCACCGUAUGUAUUGGAUUUUACUCCGUGUUUGCUCUCGUCUUGUAAAUAUUGAUUUGACUUUCUUGAUUCAUAUAAAAAAUUGAUUAAUUGAUUCCAAUCUCUUUUUAUCUUUUUAGGUCUUACGGAGACCUGUGCUGGGACCUUUGUGUCAUUGCCAAAUGAAAUGUCCAUGUUAGGAACUGUGGGCCCACCAGUACCAAAUGUUGAUGUACGCCUGGAGUCUGUUCCUGAAAUGGGGUAUGAUGCUCUUUCAGAAUCAUUCCCUCGUGGUGAAAUCUGCAUCAGAGGGGAUACCUUGUUCUCGGGAUACUAUAAGCGUGAAGAUCUCACAAAGGAGGUUCUGACUGGGGGGUGGUUCCACACUGGUAUGCCUAUUUCACUAUACAACCUUUUAUAUGAUAUUCUGUGGUAGAAAAGGGUGAAGAAAUUCAUUGAAGCCAACAACCUUUUAUUGUUGUAACUCUGUACCUAGGUUGCAUCUCUUGUUUUUCAUGAAUGUUGCUGCUUCUCAGAUCGAGUAUCUAAUGCGUCUCUGUUGAUCUUUGUUGCUAGGUGACGUUGGAGAGUGGCAGCCAGAUGGAAGUAUGAAAAUCAUUGACCGGAAGAAAAACAUUUUUAAACUUUCACAAGGAGAAUAUGUUGCAGUUGAAAAUUUGGAGAACAUUUAUGGUCUAGUACCUGCUAUAGACUCGGUAUAUCUUGUGAACCAAGAAAUUCUUUUAUAUUGUCAUUCAAAAGUCAUCUUCCAUUCUGGUUACUCUAAUGUCAUCCAUGAGUUUCUUUUCCCAUUGGUUUGAUUGCCUGACAUUAUUGUUUUCUGAACAUCUUUCACUUAGAAGAUGAUACAUAGUUUACCUACUGCUGCCGUAAUUUACAACAGACCCUACAAUGUGACCUUUUUGGUGUCCUAUCUUUGCUGUGUUGAACAGUAUGUGCUUCUGUACAUAUUGCUUGUCGGUGAUUAGAGAGGCAUUUGUUAAAUUUAAUAUGAAAAGUAUUUAAGCUUGCACGAAGAAUCUUUGAUGAAAGAAAAAUAAAAUUGUGAGACCUUAGAUAAUCCUAUAUAUAAAAUAUGAUAGGGCUAAAACUCUUAACCCAGCUAUAGCAUUUUGAGUGGUGGCUAGGUCCAAGAAGUUAAAAGAGUUAAGCGUGUCAAGUCUAGAAUAGUCCUAGGAUGGGUGACCCUCUGGGAAGCGGGGCGUCACAGAAAUCAUACUAGUAAAUAUAUAACAGUGCGUGAUAAGCACGAGAGGACAUGUAAGCUGAGCUACUGUAAGGUGAACUUGAUAUUAACUAGUACAGAAUGGGUAUUAUAGAGAUUUAAAGUUAUGGAACUCACAGAUUUUAAGUUGAAUAUUAGUUUGGUAUGGUUAGUUGUUUGGCUCAACCAUAAUAUCUGCCGGCCAAGCCGAAUGUUCUCGCAUAUUUUUGAGGUACUUGGAUGUGAAUUUAUGACUAUAAUGUUCACCUCAUACUUAAAAUCUUGUGCACGAGUUGUCUGUUAGCUCUUUUGUAAUUUCUACUGAGUUAUCAUAUCCUGCAAGAAUUACCAGCUUCCUUUAUCCUUAAUUAACAUCGUAAAGUUUGUUUGACCAAAUUUUUUCCUCAUAUUGCCUCAGAUUUGGAUCUAUGGAAAUAGUUUUGAGUCCUUCCUUGUUGCUGUAAUUAAUCCCAAUAAGCAAGCUCUCGAGUGCUGGGCUGAAGCAAAUGGAGUAAGUGGGGACUUUGCCGCACUAUGUGAGAAUCCUAAAGCAAAAGAAUUCAUUUUGGGAGAACUUUCGAAGAUCGGUAAAGAAAAGAAGGUAGGUUUUGACAAUUCCCAGUUCACUCUUUCUAUCAUUAUCGUUAAUUUUUAACCCUUCAGCAGAACUUCAUAUUAAAAUUCUUAGAUAUGUUUAUGUCACUUUUCAUGCUUUUGACAGCUUAAAGGAUUUGAGUUCAUAAAAGCUAUUCACCUUGAACCUGUACCAUUUGACAUGGAUCGCGACCUGCUUACUCCAACAUACAAAAAGAAGCGUCCGCAGCUGCUCAAGUAUUACCAGGUACCACCGCAUCACGGAUAUCCAGCGAACUUGGAAAAACAUAUUUUGCACAUCAUAUGAAAAGUUCGAUCUGAUAUUCUGCAAAACGUAUUCCCUUUUUCAAGUUCUCCGAUUACACCCAUUUGAUCCUCGACUAACUAUAUACUGUUUAAUUCACAGAAUGUCAUCGAUAACCUAUACAAAAGCGCCAAAUGAGGUAUCAGGGCAAGAAUUCCUUCGAUUCGAAAGAAGCUUCCAGCACUUGCUGCCAAGGACUCUCUGUCACUGCAUCUUACAUUCGGAACAAUCAUGAAUAGCUCUAAUGUAAAUAUCAAUAUACUACUGAGACGAGGUGGUGAAACUAAUUUUCAUUAUCGUGUUCGUGCAUAAUAUAGUACAAAGUCUUUGGCUAACAAGAUCAACAUCUUUAUUGAUACUCUGAAGGCCAUAGCUGCUUCCAAAGUGUGUGAGAUGAUUCUACCCAUUUGGUUGUUCACAAUGGAUUGAUCAAUAAUUGCUGCUCUUGGAUUUCUGUUCUCUCUAGUUUCUGUUUAGGGUCAGAUUUUCUUAUAUUUUUACUUGUUUAAGGGGUGUCAUAAGAACGAUGUAAUGCGCGCUGGAGAUGAAUUAUAGAUCUGAUUUAACAUUUAAUUUUCUUGUAUAUGGUUAGGGUAAUUGAAUGAUCUUGUCAUCCUUUUCACCUGAGAUUCUUACUGGAAAUUUCUCAAUAGUUCCCGCACCCCUCCUUUCCUAGCCUGUUUUAAUCAGAAGCAAAUUAAGCUUAUACUGAGGAUGAUCUUAUAUUGUCCCUUUUCUCUAAUAGACCUUAUUAAAAAACAUUUCAUUUGACAUGCUAUUUUUAAGUAGCUAUAGCCAAAAAAAAAAGAAAAAAGAAUAAACCCCCAAUUCUUAUUCUACACAAUUUCUUUCAUACGUGGAGACAAUAUUCUCCAAUUUCCCAAGCCUCGGUUGUUCAGUGCAAUUCUGAUAUGAUCUCCUUUUCCGAGGAUGGUUGCUCGUUCAACCGCUGUACUCUUGAUUAGAUAUUUCAUCCCUUUCAACUUUUUGAUUAUAUUAUACCCCUUUGCGGUCAAAUGUAUCCAGAUGAAUUCGAGUUGGACUAAGUCCAAAUCCAACAUUUGGCGAACUCGUAUUAGUAGUCUCAUCGAACACGGAUGUUAUUUUCCAACCCAUUUUAACACCUAAUAUAAACCAACCACCGCAAUUGUAUGAUGUCAACAUAGUCAACCGUGCUUUAUAGAUUGCGUAAUACGCUGGAAUAAUAACGCAAGAGGAUUACUCAACGGGUCAAAAAGAAGGUAUAUGCCUUUCGUAUAGUUUUAAUACAUGUAGGAAUUGAUCGUUGCAAAAUUGAUGAUUAGAGUCCAUGAUUUGAUAUUUUUAUGUUGUGCACUCAUGAGAACAUGACACCUUGCCCCUAAGAAGCAUCCGACUGAAAAAAUAAAAAUUCAAGGGAAACUAUUUACUUACAGAAACUGUAUUGGGAUUUGUUGAUAUUGGUAAGCAUGAGUUUUGAAGUAGAAGCAAGGUAUAUAUAUUAAAUAUCCCAUUAAAGUUGUGAAGAUCAUGACCAGGUGCCUUUUUGGCUGCGCGGUCGAAUUGCGCAAAAAGCACUUUUGAAAAAGCUCUGCAAAAAAUACUUUUGAAAAAGCUCUACAAGAAGAGUUUACUCUUGAGAAAGCUCUACAAGAUGUGUUUUCUCAAAAAACAGGCUCCAAAACAUUACAAUCUAUACAACACAUUAUCAUUUAAAAAAAAAUAAAAUUUAUUAUCGUACUUUCCGACCGCACACUAUACUUAUUUUUUAAAACGGAUCCCAAAUGAGACCUUAAAAUAGUGCAUAUGCUUUAUUUUUGCGCAAUUUGCACUUAAACAAACUGCGAAUUUAAGAUGGUUUAUAUCUCAGAUUUGUGGUGCCAAUUACAACACUUUAGACAUCAAAUUUGUGGCGACAGAGAGAAUAAAAUCUCGGCCGCAUCCAAUUACCAGUUCCAUCAGAAGAGAUAUAUACACAUCAUUAGACUACCACUAAUUCACAUAUUAGCCCCUUCACACCUCCAUAAAAAUAAAAAAUUAAUAUCAAAUAAAAACAAAGACAAGCAAUACAUUGCGGAAAACAACUUAAACCAGAGCUUUCCAUUCCUUGCACGGCUCAGCACUGUUAAUGGUAUCAUACAUCGAUUAGAGCCCCUCCACCAUGGGAUUUCCCGUUUAGUAAUCCACUCAAAAAGUAAAAAGAACAAAUAUAUAGCCUAGAGAAAGCUUCGUUUUUUAAAUCAUCUAGACUUGUUAUGUAAUCUUCUCAACUCGACGACUACCACGCUAAUGUUGUCUUUACUCCCGCGAGACAUCGCCAGCUCCACCAGAAGAGCGGCGGCGUCGGCAGCGGUGCGGCCGCUGACGGCGUCAGGGAACGCCGCGGCCAUCCGCCCGCUAAGACAGUUUCUUGUUAUCUUGCACGCGACUUCGUUCGACACCACGUCCCACAGCCCGUCGGUCGCCAAGAUGAGGAACUCGUCCUUGUCCGUCCGGUCCAUAACGUUGAUCUCGGGCUCGGAUAUCACGUACGGCUUGAGAUAGUAGUCGCCUGCAGAAUUAACCCCCAAAAAAGACGAUUAAUCUCAUUCUUGUUCUUUCUACUUUUACGGACACUUCUGUAAAUUGCGGCUCGGAGUAACAAAAAACACAAUCUAUGAAUGCUUAAUAUAGUUCGCAGGGAAAAUUUGUUCAGUGAUUUUUCAAAGUCUAAUUCGAUGGUUGACUCCUUUUUUACUUCAUUCGUAUAGUAGCGGUAGCACGUGUAAUGGUAAUUUAAUACAGUUGUGAGAUCAAGGCAAACUAAUAGCAACAGUGCAAUUCCAAUUAUAACACUUUCUAAUUUUUCACACGGGCGUCUAGUAAUAUACCUAUUGAUCUAGAAGUGGCUAGGACUCCGAGGACGCGAUAACCAUUCCAGUUGAUCACCCUGCCACCAGCUGCUUCCACCCUCUCCAUCUCAUCUGGUCUAUCAGGCUGCACAGGUAGAGAAUUAUCAUAAACUAUAUGUUUAUAUCAAAGGGCUAAAAUCAGAUCUAAAACAUAAGACUAAACUUGAUACAUGUAAAAGAAAGGCAUAAAAGUGACAACUCAGAAUAAACUAUGCAAGCACUCGAAGCGUCAUAUAUCUCAUCCACCGCCCUCCGUCAGUCCUCCAUCCCUUCUCACAUUUUAAUCCCAAACUUGAAGAUUUUGUCUGUAUAGAAGUUGGAAGAUUCGGAAUAAAAUGCAAGAUAGAGUGGAAAGCCGACGCUCGUCAUUUUGUUAAACACUGGGAAGAGAACGAGCUACAUAUCAUGUGACCGAUUAGUUCACCAGAGAGGGCACUAAUUUGACCUAGCAUUGUGCUAUUGUAGUUAUGUCAUUCCACUAGUUCAGAGAUAAAACGUGUUAGCAUAACAAACAAAGUCAUUCAUUAGCUGUUUUUGUUUGUUGCCAUUGAACAACUUAUAUUCAGCUUUAUACUUGGUUACACGAGGGCAGGGAUAGGCUUGUUUGUUAAGCGAGCUGAGCUUGAGCUUUAGCUCAACUGGCUUGCAUUCCAAAUAAGAAAUAAAUAGAGAAAAUAUUGCAAAUAUAUAACAGUACAGUAUCGUCACGGAAAAAAAAAAAGAAGCUAAUUUACUGCUCUUUGUUAAACCAGCCAUGACUCGACAUUGUAUGAGCUAGCUCGAACUCAGCUCCAUAAUAAGUGAGCCAGGCUUGAGCUCAUCUUAGGAAGCUCAUGGAUACCCAUAGUUGAUGAAAAUUAGGGGCCCUUUGGUCAGGCACGAAAUGGUCCCGGACCACGGGUAAUGAUUUUCAGUUCAGAAACUUCCGCAAGAUUUUGUUUGCUCAUGAGUACUGGAUAGUCUGUUUCCGCACAACUCACACCUGACCAAGAGACCAGCUCACAUGAGCGAGCUGUGCGUGCGCACGCGCGCGCUCUCUCUCUCUUUCUCUCUCAACAGCAUAUAAAAUAUAAUGUAUAAUAAUAUAGUAUAUUAUUAUACGGCAAAGGGCUUAGUGGUUGGUACUCGAGACCCAAGUUCGAAUUCUAGUUGAUUCACAUUUUCAGCUAAGUUUAUUUCUAAAUGAAAUAAACGAAGUGGGUAGCGUGCUACCUAUCUCUCAAAUAUAUAUAUAUAUAUAUAUAUAUAUAUAUAUAUAUAUAUAGUAUAGCAAGAAAAUUAGAAUUAAUUAAUUUUAUUGCUUCGUAUUUCUUAUAUUAUAUUAUUAGUCGUAUUAUGUUAUAGUACGUCAUAUAAUAUGAUCUAAAAUUACAUCCGUAUAUUGCAUUACAUUUUGUUAUAUUGCACAUUUAUUUUUACAUGCCUCAUGCAUAUAUUUAUUUUAUGUAUAUCUUAAGCAUAAUAAAAAAUAGAAGACAUUAUUAGGUGAUGACCUCACAAUUUCGAUUGGAGGUACUGAUAACCCAAUUUUCCAAGCGGCAAGGGACCACAAAACUGUUUCUAUCUACUUUUCUUGCAAACCAAACAAUACACCUCGAAAACUGUUUUCACCCUAUGCAAACCAACAACUGCCGUUUCCCUUACAACGGAAAUCCUUUUCCCCUAAAGAAGGUUUUCCAUGGCAUUACAUAGAACCAAAUAACCCUAACCCCAAAUUAAAUAAAUAGGCACAUUCUCUCCUACCUUUUUUUUUUUUUGGCUUAAUUAUAAAAACGUCGUUUGCACUUUACAAUGCGUCUCAAGUACUAUCCUGUGUAAAAAAAUUUAAACAACGGAAACCACGCACUUUAGUCUUGUGUCAAAUAGAUUCAAUAUUUAUGAGAUUUUCUUAAUUUUUGAUGAAAGUAUGAACGAUGAAAAAUAUGACAAGAUCGCUUGAUGUUAAAAACGCUUAAAUUCCUACACACGAAUGCUGUUAUAUAAUUCUCUUUUAGGUUUUGACAUCCGAAGGUGUGCCUAAAAGAGCUUAAAAAUCGUGUCAUCUCAGUAUGUCACUGUUAAAAUUAAUGAAAAAUUGUAACAGAAGGACCUAAGUUGAGACAAAACUAGAGUGCAAAGUCGACAUUGUUUAAGCCUCUCUCUCUUUUUUUUUUUCUUCUUUUCCCUCCCGAUAAUUUAGAUAAUGCUUAACAGCGAAUUUAGUUUUGCAUUUAAUGGUCAUUUUUGCUCAAAUCGCACACACAUCAUAUAGUACAUACGAUGAACACACACCAAAAAAAAAAUGUGAAUUUUUUUUAAAAAAAAAAAAGGAAAAAGUGGGGAAAAAAAUGGGAUCCCAAUGUUUGUGAGGCAAGGGGGGUGGGGUUUAGAAAGUCUUAAUUGAGGGGACUCGGGGGAGGUAGCACUUAGCAGGUGUCUAAGCCUCGCACUUCUGGGAUUAAAAAAAAAAAUAAUAAUGAAUUAUAUAUGGGUAUUGACAAGAGAAUGAGGCAAAACUUAUCCUUAAACUAGUUCAGGAGCCGUACGUGCGUCAUAGAAUUGUUUUCUACCGCUUCUUUUUCUGCUUAAAAAUUUAAACAAUCACAAUAAUAAACGGAAACAUUCUCACUUUAUGAAACGGAUGCAUACGAAAUGCAAAGGGAAAUAAAAUCAAACGCUCUUUCGAACCCCUCACGAGGACUCCAAGUAGAGAUAAGGAAUUAAUAAAUUCAAUUAAAUUAAGUUGAGGAGAAGAGGUAUACCUUGUGGUCCGAGGAGAGGGGGACGGCGACGCCGCCGCGGGAGAGCACCGCCCUCGAGUCGCCGCAGUUGGCGACGACGAUGCGCCGCGCCCCCACCACGGCCACCACCGCCGUGGAGCCCACCGUCUUCUCCGCCGCCCCCGAUCCCCCUCCCUCCGCCGCCUCCGACACCUCCCCGUCCACCCUCGCGAAGCUCGCCGCCAUCGCCGCCCUCCACCUCCCCAGCUCCUCAUCCUCCUCAUCAUCUCCCAGCGCCAUCGCCAUCGCCAUCUCCAUCUCCAUCUCCUCUUCCCCCUUCACCGGCGUCGCCCUCCGCCGCCGGCGACGCUUCGCCGCCUCCUCGGCGAGCACGACGUGCAUCCGAUCCCGGCACGCCUGAGCCACCCGCGCCCCGCCGUGACCGUCGUACACCCCGAAGAAGUCGUACCCCGCCGCCGCCUCCGGCGACCCGGCGAACCCCAGCGCCACCGUCACCGCGUCCUCCAUCUCCCUCCGCCGCCCGAUCACCGACACCUCCCCGUGCGACAGGCUUGGGAAACCUAUCCCGGCCGCCGCCGCCGCCGCCAGGAUCCCCACGGCGGGGCCCUCCCCGUCCGGAUCUGACGCCGCCGAGGUCGGCGACGACGAAGACGACGACGGCGACGAGGAGGAGGAGGAGGACGAGGACGACGACGGCGGCGGCGAAUCGGGCUUCGCCUCACGAUUCCUCAGCCGCUUAGCGGACCCCGUUAGGGCUUCCGAUUUCAUGCGGCGGAGCGCCGCCCUCCGGCGACGCGCCGACGAGGAGGACACUUUGCACGGGGCCCCCUCCAAUUCCUCGCCGCAGCAAACGGGUACGGCCCUCUCGCCCUUGUCCUCGUCCUUUUUAUUGUCACUAUCUCUCGUUUUGUUCUCCAUCGCUCCCGCUCCAGCUCCCGCUCAUCGCUUGCGUUACAAAGCGAGGAAGAGAAGAGAGGGAAUGAGGCGAGAGAACAUUAUUAAUAGAGACGCGCGCGCGCACACGCCUCUGCGAUAGGUUAGCUAGGAACGGGAGAGAGAGAGAGAGAGAGAGAGAGAGAGAGAGAGAGAGAGAGGACGACGACGACGCAGGGCGCGCGAGUAAGNACAUGCAUUGGAGUCCACGUUAGAAGAGGCAAGGAGUAACAUAUUGUGUGGCCACGCCAAGUCAUUAAUUCAUGCGGCCUGAUAAUUACUUGCAACAAUCUGGUACUUACUUAAAUAUUGCUUGUUAAAUGGUCAUAGCUCUGUUGGAUACCCAUGAUAAAUUAGUGCAAAAGUUAAAUUUGUAUCGAAUGGCGUUUGACUUAAACGAAGUAGUUUUCUGACCUUCACUUUAUCAUAUAGCACUUUAUCAUGAGUGCAAAAGCCAAAUUUGUUCUUAUGUUUUAUUGAACCUUAAUUUGCAAAUUUAGUCAUGAUACUUCAUUGAAUUCCCUCAUUUUUUAGAAAAUGCACCCUCUUUCCCUAGGCAUAAGAGGACAUAAAAUAGAUAUCUAUUAUGUCUUUAAAAUGUAUGAUAUGGGACGGGCCUAUAUUUAUGCUCGUGAUCUAAUUCUUGAUUUAUGUAAUGAAUGGGGGGAAAAAAUAAUGUUAAGUUCAUUCUUGCUAGUUUAGAGGAUUAUCCACUUUCAAUAUUUAAUUUUUUUCUAUUCUCAUCUGUGUUCAAAGGCUGCUGGAAUUAAUGUUCCUAUAUUGUUGCAUUAUUUUUUAUAGAGGUAAAUAUUUUUUUUUUUUUUUUUUUUCUUGAGAGAGAGAUAAAUAGCAUAUUUUUUAUUUUAUUUAUUUUAUUAAAAAAUAAACUUAAUUAGAAAUGUGAAUCAAUUAGAUUUCUAACUUGAAAUCUCAUAUUCAUAAAGUUAUUUGCCACUUACUGUAGGAACGAUCGGUACCUUAUUCAAAAAUUUAUUAUUUACUAUGAUAUGGUAAUAUAUCAAAAUUUUAUGGACAUGCCUAUGGAUCGAAAAGAAAACCUAAAUAUCAACAAACUAUACUAAAAGAUAUUGAUAUUGAUCUUUUUAUCUUUUUUUUUAUACUUUAUAAAAUUAACUGUUUACCACCUAAUUUAUUUUUAGGUCAAAGAAUUUUGAAACCCUGUAUGUAUAACUUUAGAAGUUGAAUCUUGAAUUUCAAACUUACUAGGUAAGUGAACGAAGAAUAAAUCUAGAUUAGUACAGAGAAUUGGUAAAGGUUCUUAAUAUAGGUGUUUUUUUUUUUUUUUUAAGUAACACUUGAGCAUUUGUUCACUAGAUGACAUUAUAAUUUUUUGUUUGGUUCUGAUAUUGCUUAUAUUUUUAGUUAUAUUGGCGAUUUGUAAAAUUUGAUCAGCAGUAAGUAUUAAAAUUAUGAUUUUAAGCAUGAAGAACAAAAAAAUCAAUUUGAGUAUAUUUAUAAAUUCAAUAUAUUUCCUUUUCUUAUAUUGCCCUAUAUAUUAUGAACUAGUGCCAUACAAACCCUUAAUCCUGGAAAUUUUGAAUAACAUGUCUAUCAAGUGUACACAUCAAAAGCAUUUAAAAUAUCUACGUACUGAUGUAAAUAAUGUGUUUGUACAAUAAAAAUUUUACCUGUCAGUUUUUCAGACUAAUAAAUAUUUAAAGCCUUUUUAAAAAAAAUAAUAAUAUUUAAAACCUUCUUAGGCUAAAAAUAUAUAAAAAAAAUUCUAUUUGCAUAUUUUAUUUUAUUAGUGAGGUCUAAGUUGUACAUCCAUUAAUUAAAAAAUUUUAAAUUUUUAUAUAAAGAAGGUUAAAUUACAGAAAUUUUUUUUUCAAUAUCCGCUUUUUCAUUUUUCUUCUCUGAUUUUUAAAAAUCUAUAUUUUUCUCUUAAAAAAUAAAAAAAUAUUCAUAGAAAAAUACGGUGUUAAUUGUAACAAUAAAAAACCAAAUUGUCCUCUCCUUAUUCGCUUCCUACCCAACUUUCCUCCAUCCGUAGCCCCUCCUCCUCCAUCCUGCUCGCCAGCUCUCUUGAUUCGAGUUGCAACUUUGCUUACUCCAUGUUCUCUUCUUGCACUAUUGCCGUCCCUUCAUUUUGGCGAUGGUGAGGAGAAGGUCGGGGUGAGCGCGAAUGAAAGGGUGUGUGAGGGCUAGGCGACGAAUGAAAGGGGGCGUGGUGGCGUGGGCGAGUAGGUUGUCAGCGAGGAAGGAGGCAACACUGCUGAGAGAAAAAGCUUAAGGAUAUUUUGAAUAUAAAAAAAUAAUAAUUCAACAUAAAUAAAAUGCUAAUGAAAUACUGACGGGGAAAAUCAAAGUGAAUAUUUAUUAUUUUUUUAAUAAAAUAAUGUUAAAUAUAAAAAUAUUUAAAAUACCGUUCUCUAAUAGCUUAAACUUUUAGAGUACAACGGUUGUUUCACAUGAUAUCAGUGCAGGAGAUUUUAAUUUCGAGUCACGUCAGACUCCUAGCAUAUUAAUUUUUUUCUAUUUAAUUUAAGCCCACGUCAUGAGCAGACUAAAAAGUCUCGAACUCAGACGUAAGGUAAAAAUGUUAAAUAUAAAUUUUUAAUUAUCAGAAAGAAAAAUAAAAAAAACGAACAUUGAUUGAAAAAUUUUAUAUAAUUUAGUCUAUAAAUAAUAAUAAUAAUAAUAAUGAUGUUAGUGAAAGAAUAUUAGUCCCUAGAUGAUUGAGACGUAAGAUUUAUAUUGUACAACCCUUAUAAAUUUAUAAAGAUCUCAUAGCUGUGGAAAUAUAGAGUUGGUUUAUGGCCGAUAUGGUGGGCAUGGUUCAGUCGAUAAUAGAGAGAGAGAGAGAGUAAGUAGAGAAGGGACACGUGGAGGGUGAAUUAGAGCAGAGUUUGGCGUAUUCUAGAAGGAGCAUGUAACAUGUGGUCUGAUUCACCCGAGUUAGUAGUACUGGGGACAGGUCUUUUUGAUUUUUCUCCUUUUUUUUUCCUGAAUUACCCUUUUGGUUUUAAUUCGAGAUUUUCAAAAUAUAUUAUUACUUUUUUGAUUCAAAAUAAAAAUUGGGAGGAGAAUCGGACAGAAAAGCAAACUCCUAAUCUUGUAGCCAAUGGUGUUCAUAAUAAUUGUUGGAUUAAUAUGACAUAAUUUGAUAACGGAGUAGCUAUAAACAUUAUUUUCUUUAUUAUAAAAAGUCUAAAAAAAUUUAAAACGGGUGGCAUAAAAUAAACCUAAAAAUUAUUAUCAGUAUAAAAGAUUAUUUUUCGCUUGCUUGGUUCGGACGUAAAAUUAUCUUUCACGAAUUUGAAAAAGAAAUAAAAUUUUUGUUUUUUUCGUUGUUUUUUUGGCAGAAAACGAAAACUCAAACUGUGUAAAAAUUUUUCAUUCAUUUUUUCUACUAAACUAAUUAAAUGUGAAAUUUUUUUUUUAACCUAACAAAUAUUAAUACAUUUUUUUUUCCUAUAAAUCAAAUACUAUAAAAUAUAAUUUUUUUAUUAAUUUUUUUCUCAAGAAAUUGUUUUUUUCGAUUUUACGUUGAACCAAAUGUACACUUAUAAUUUGUAUAUAUUAGAAAAAGUAUAUUAUUGCAUAUUUAUUCCAUUGUAGUUACAAUCAUAAUUUUAUAAAUAAUAUAAAAAAUAAAAAUAUCUUUAAAUUUCUUAAUAUUGUAUAUUAUAAAAAUAAUUUUUUUAUACUCAGUGAUUGUUGUAGCUGUUUAUGUCGAUUAAAUCUCCUAAGUCUUGAUCAAAUAAGCUUUUGCGCAUAACCCUAUCAACUUUUACCUUUUCCGAAAAAUAAAAUAAAAAAAUAUGGAAAAACUUCAAAUAUCACUGCUGUACUUUCACACUUUUUUAUUUUAAUAUUCUGUAAUUUAAAUUAUAUCAAUUUAGUACCAUAUGGUUUUAUUUUUUUUUCUUUUUAUUAUUGUUUCCACUAAUUUUUUUCGUUAAAUCAAUGAUAAAAUUAAAACUAAAAAGUACUAAAGUGAAUAUUCGAUAAAUUUAGGUGGGGUAUCUGAAAUUUUUUCUAUAUAAUUUGACGAAAUACUAACGGAGAAGCUGACGAAAAAAUAAAAUAAAAUUAUAGAACACUAAUUUGAUAUAUAUUAAAUCAUAGGAUGCUAAAGUAAGAAGUACGAUAUCACAAGGUUGGUAUUUGAAGUUUACCCAAAAAAAAAAUCUAUUCUGUCACGUCAAAACAAAUCAAACGACGUGCACCACGCACAUACGAACCCAGACCAUGGUUGGAUCUGGUGUGAUUGGAUGCUUCGGUUCGGGUUAAUUAGCUAGGCUACAGUGAUCGAUUGUCAAGAAUUAAGGAUUAAGCUUAAUACUAUUUAAUUAAAAAAUUAAUGUAAUAAUUAACAUGGUUAAGAAAUAUAUAAUUAAUCAAUACUCCUGCUUCUUGCCCUUUGGUUCGGAUGCUAUUGAGAGAUAAAAAAUUAAACGAGCUAUUUGGACGUUUCUUCAAAAACUUUUCUACUUGAAUAUCAUAUUUAUACAUGGCAAGGUAAAGAGCUCACUAAUAAAAUAAUAAUAAUAAUAAUAAUAAUAAUAAUAAUAAAGCCUCAAUCUUAGGUAAUACUUUGUUUCUAAAAUAUAAAAAAUAGUAAACGGUGGAAAUAAAUGAUUUUUUUUUAAAAAAAUCAUAAUAAUAAUAAUGACAAAGCAAGUGAUAAGCAAUGUAGUUAAGCUUUUAGUUUUUAUUUCAUUAUUACUGUAAUCUUCAUCUGAACCGGAUCCCAAUUAUAGACGCUUAAUUUAGCCGUCCAAUAUAAAAAAAUGGCAUGCAUUUGUCCAAUACAAACAAGAAUAAGGCAAUAUCCAGGAACAUUCAUUCAAGUCCCAAAAGAAAAAGUUUAGCUACUAAAUGAUAACCAUACGAAUCAAACACUAUUCUUGUUUCUGAUCACGAAAAACGAACAAUUUCGUGAGUUCUAGGACUAUUUGGUAACGCAGACCCUUCAGUGAGUGCAACUGCUUGCUCAAUCACGUAAGCUCGACAUUGCCCUGCAUCCGUGAAAUCUAACAUCCGAGAAAUUCACCGACGGUCUCUAGCGCAAGUAAUAAAACGCUUGAUGAUUGAUAUCCGAGGUUCUAAAUUUAAAUUCUCAUUGAUUCACAUUUUCAGCUAAGUUUCUCUAAAAAAAAAAAAAAAUCGAAAAAUUCUCUGGCACUUCUAAAAAUGUAUGAUUCUCUUUAGUUUUUCGCGCUUGCGAUCGAGUUUCGCCUCACACUUGGGCUGGUGGAUAGAGCAUCACAACUUUCGAUGAUAAUCAUGUGGUUAUAUUUAAAACUUGUGAGAUUAUUAUUAUCAAAACCCGCGAAAUAAGUUAGGUAUGUCGGAUAAAACGUGGACCAAGAAACAAACGGUGGAAAGGUUUAAAAGGUUGAUACAUUACGUGUCGCUCAAUUGCCAUGAUCGAUGACUCGGUUCCUUAAUUAAUGAGUUCGUGAUCUAUAAAAGCAAUUAAUUGAGGAGCUAUAAUAAUGGUUGCGAAGAGAGGAGGCUCAAGUACUGAGUGAGUUUUAAGAAAUAGAGAUGGGUAAUUACUUAUAUAUAAUAUUCUCGAGAGAAAUGCUUGUAAAAUGUUAUUUUCCGAUUGAUUUAAAUUUUUUAGACAUAAAUAGUUAUAAUUUCAUAAGGUAUCAACACAAAACGUAAUGAGCGUAAAAUUAUGCGAUUCUUUGUGAUCUAUACAUAUUUCAAAAAAUCUUUAUAUAAUAAUAAUAAUAAUAAUAAUCUAUAAUAAAGUAGAUAGUUUAGUUUAACUCUUGUGAUUUAGCGCAUUUUCUUUCGAUAUCCUAUAUAUAGUUCUAAAAGUUACACUUUAAUUGCUCUAUUGUUUUAUAAAUUUUCUUCUCUCAAAGAUUUUUUAUUAAACAUCAUAGAAAAAUCAUAAAAUAAUAUAUUGCAAAAAAAAAUUUAUUAUUCUCAACAGUGAUACAAAAAUAUAACUGCAAAUUAAGUUAUGCGUGACACAGACUACAAAAUAGACUACAUAUAUAUACAGCAAGGGAGACAAAUUUAAGUUGUACCCCUAUACAUUCAAGUUAAAAAAAAUGCAAACUCCAAAAUGACUCGGAGGUGUGUCGAAACUCGCGAGUUUUGGAGACCAAAAAGUAAGUGUGGUCACCGACCGUCUCUAGAGUAAGUGGUAAAGAAUUUGAUGGUUGGUACUCGAGAUCCAAGUUCGAGUUCUAAUUGAUUCACAUUGCAAACUAAGUUUAUUUUUAAAGGAAAUAAACGAAACGGAUAACGUGCUUUCUAUCUCUCAAAAAAAAAAAAAGUGCGGUCACUUGCGAGCCAUGACCCUUUUCUUUUUUUUUUAUUUUUAAAAUUUUUUUGUCAUUUUUUAUUUUUGGUUUUUUUAAAAUUUAUGUAGGUGAGGCCACGUUAGGGCAUUGGUGGUAACACCUCCCCCUGCUACGUUACGUAGAGAGGUGGUACGUAGCUUCUACGUGGAACCAUAGCGGACGUUAUUUUUAAAGGGGUGGGACUUUUAAUUUGUACCCGUUUUAAUUAAUUUGUCGCUCACGACUCACGAGCAUGCAUUUGGAGGAAUUAUUGCAUGCCUACUACGAGUAUGCUCGCUCGUUAGAUUUUUUUUUUUUAAUUAUUAUAUUAUGCUAUAUUAUUUGUUUGAAAGGUAGAUAUUUGAAUUUAAAAUGAAUGAAAUGGAAUGAUACAUUAAUUAAUAAAUAAAUGGACAAUGCUCGCAUAUAUAUAUAGAGCAGUGGACACGAUUAGUAAACACCGUGGAGUUUGGCACUAAUUAAUUUGUCCCAUACCGAUCAUGUCUAGAGCAAGUGGCAAAAGCUUGAUGGAUGGUAUUUGAGAUCCAAGUUCGAAUUCUAAUUGAUUCAUAUUUCCAGCUAAGUUUAUUUCUAAAUGAAAUAAACGAAAUGGAUAGCAUGCUACUUAUUUCCAAAAAAAAAAAAAAAAAUUUAUCCCAUAAAAUUUAUUUAUUAUAAUAAUCACUGCCAUAGCUGUUAAUUGUUGAUUGUUAUUCGAAAACGCUGUCGAGCACUAAAACAUCUAUAUGUAUAUUUCAAAAUUUGGGAUUGGACUCUUUUUUGAUUUUGGGUUUGGGGAGAGAGAGCCUGAAGAAAUGUUCGCGCGCACGCGGAAAAAAAAGAAAAAAAAAAAAAAACCUAGGGCUCUCUCUCUCUCUUCUCUAAAAAAGAAUACAUUCAAUUAGUCUACUUAAUUAAUCACGAGAACUCAUGCUUUAAAUUAUUUUAGCCUUGUAUCAGACUAAAUGCUUGCUUGGAGCGGCUUUUAGGAUUGAGUGGGUGUUUGGUUGUAUAGUAUAAUCUAAUGGUUGAAAAUGAUCCGAGAAGUAGAUCUAACGGUAAAAAACUUACAAGCAUCAAAUGCUUAGUGCUUUUAUAAGCACCAUAGCUAGACUGAUAUAGAAUUGAGCUCCUAUACUUUUAAAAGCACCAAGUUAUUGAUGCUUGUAGAUUUUUAGCCGUUGGAUUAAGAGAUAUGCGGUUAGGAUGAUAUGGGCCUCCUAGGGUUGAGUGGGUGUUUGGUUGAAUAGUAUAAUCUAAUGAUUGAAAAUGAUUCGAGGAGUAGAUCUAACGGUAAAAAACUUACAAGCAACAAGUGCUUGGUGCUUUUAUAAGCACCAUAGCUAGACUCUCUCUCUCUCUAUAUAUAUAGUCCAUCUACUAUCCUAUUAAUAGGAUUGAGGAUAUUGUCCUAUCAAGUCGUUUUGAAUGAUCGAAACUUCAAAUUAAUAAUCGGUAUUAUUGAAAUUGAUCUACGCAAUUAGAAAUCUUUAGAAACCAAAUUUUGUAAUAUUUAAAAAUCAUAAUCAAGUUCAUCGAAGAGUUGAAAAAAAUAAACGGCCAUAAAUGAAUAACCUUCUUAAAAUAUAAAUUAGACUUUCUCAAUUCAUAAUCAGAGUCAUCAAACAUUAUCUAGAAUUUUCUAUAAAAAAUUCAAGCAAUUUAGAUCUUGUGUAUUAUUAGGAGUACGUAGGCCUUCGUGCUCCUAAGUUGUUUCUGAUGAUACAUAACAAAUUUCAAAUUAAAGCUUUAAUUUUGAGCUUUUUGUUGCAGCAGCAGCAGAAAGCAACUAAAAUAACGAUUUCAUCGAAAGAUUUUAGCAGACCUCAAUAAGUAUUUUUUUUUUGGAAAAGCUAAAUGCGGCAGAAGAGGGGGUAAAAUUUUGAAUUAUUAAAGAAAUUAGGAAAUGCAGUUUUAUUUUCUCAUAGAGAUGUUUGUAGGUUAUACAUUCGCGAACUCAAGUCUCUUUUGAUCCAAUAACCUUAUUUACGCAUUUUAUUUGCAUUAUUCCUUAACUAGCAUGAUUUCUAUUUUGUUAUCUUAGACAAAAAUGAUGUUUAUUCUUAUGCAUAAGUUUUGCAGUAGAGUUUAAUGCUAUAUAUAUAUAUAUAUAUAUAGAGAGAGAGAAUAUAUAUGACUGAACACUUAUUAUCAGUAAAAACCUUAUUUGCUAUCAAGUUUUUAAUCCUUGGAUAAAAUUUAGUGUCAGAUGAUAUUAUCGUUAGAGUUGAGUGGUCUCCACUGGGUUACAGUAUUAAUUCAAUAUUAGAAAUAGAUGAAAAAAUUAAUCCAAAGGCUAAAAAACUGGUAGCAACAAUGGAAUUUGCUACUAAUAGUAGCCCAGUCCAACUCAUAUAUAUAUAUAUAUAAUAUAUAUAAUAUAUAUAUAUAUAUAUAUAUAUAUAUAUAAUAUAUAUAUAUAAUAUAGGGGUCCGGCUACUAUACUAUUAGAGUAAGAUCGCCUCGUACUCAUAAGUUGUUUUUCGAUGAAGAGCUUUCCGAAUGACGAUUCACACCAUAAACGUUUUAUCUACAGCAUUUAAACUUCUAGAAAUUAAAUUUAUAUAAUUUUCGACAUCAUUACCUUACGAUCAAGAGCACAAUUUGACAAUUUUAACGGCCGGUAUGGGAUACUUGCUAGUUAGGGUGAAAAGAAUCCGGAAUUUAUUGAAGUUUUGAUAGAAAAUUCUAUCCAUUACAUAGAUAAAGACAAUAUUCCGAUCUGAAUCGAAGGAUCCGAUCAUCUUUUUAGAACGUCGUUCGAUUUUGACCGUUCAUUUAUGUCCACUUCAUAGACUUUAUAUGAUUUCAAAAAAUUUACAAAUUUAUUUUCUAGAAGUUUUCAAAUACUCUAGAUCAUAUUUAAUGAGUGAUGUUCGAUUCGGGAAGCUCCAUCAUUGAAAACAACUUAUGAGUACGAGGACUCCAAUACUCAUAAUAGUAUAGUAGCCAUGGCCUAUAUAUAUAUAUAUAUAUAGAGUUCAUCUACUAUCCUAUUAAUAGGAUUGAGGACAUUGUUGAUAGAUUUGAAUGAUCGGAAUUUUAAAUUGAUAAUCGGCACUGUUGAAAUUGAUCUACACAAUUAGAAAUAUUUAGAAACCAAAUUUUAUAAUAUUUAAAAAAUAUUAUUAAGUUUAUCUUAAGAGUUGAAAAAUGAACGGUCAUAAAUGAAUAACCUUCUUAAAAUAGAUAUUAGACUUUCUCAAUUCAUAAUCAGAGUUAUCAAACAUUACCUAAAUAGUAUAAAGAAUUUUCUGCCAAAAUUUCAAGCAAUUUGGAUUACUCUACACUGUUAAACAAGUAAACGGCUCAUACAGGCCAUCAAAAAUUGUCGAUUUUACGACACUUUGAUCACCAUGUAAAUAAUUUUUAAAAUUUAUAAAAUUUAGUUUCUAAAUAUUUCAAAUACUCUAAAUCAACUUCAACGGUUCCGAUCAUCGAUUCGGAAUCUCUAUGAUCAAGAAUAAUUUGAUAGGACAAGUGCAACUAUCCUAUUAGUAGGAUAGUAGCCCUAGCCAUAUAUAUAUAUAUAUAUAUAUAUAUAUAUAGAGUCCGGCUACUAUACUAUCGGUAGCACGAGGCCUCCCGUGCUACCAAGUUGUUUUCGAUGAUGCGGCUUCCAAAUCGACGAUCGGCUUCGUUAGACUUGAUCUACACUAUUAAAAGUAUUUGGAAACUAAAUUUCAUAAUUUUUCGAUAUCAUUUACCUAUCAAACAAAUAGUCUAAAAUUGAACGGCUGAAAAUAAAAAUCUCAUAAAAAAUGAUGAUAAAAAAUUUAAAUUCAAGAUCAGAUAUACUGAUCUUACUCUAAAUAGUGAAAAGAAUUUUCUAUAAAAUUUUCAUCAGAUUUCGAUUGUUUUACACCGUUAAACUCACAAACACGCCACAUCGGCCAUUAAAAUGGUCAAUUUUGAGAUCUUUUGAUCACUAGUCAAAUGAUGUCGAAAAAUUAUGAAAUUUAGUUUCCAAAUACGUUUAAUAGUGUAGAUCAAGUCUAACGGAGCUGAUCGUCGAUUUGGAAGCCGCAUCAUCGAAAACAACUUGGUAGCACGGGAGGUCCCGUGCUACCGAUAGUAUAGCAGCUGGACUCUAUAUAUAUAUAUAUAUAUAUAUAGAGAGAGAGAGAGAGAGAGAGAGAGAGAGAGAGAGAGAGAGAGAGAGAGAGAGAGAGUUCGGCGACUAUGCUAUUAAUAGCAUAAAGCACUUUGUUUCUACCAACUUUUCCACCGUUAGAUCUAUCCUUUUAAUUAUUUUCACCUGUUAGAUCAUAAUAUUCAACCAACCAUCCACUCAACCUUAGAAGGCUCAUAUCAUUCUAACCGCACAUCUUUUAAUCCAAUGGUCAAAAACUUGAUAGCAACAAUGACUUGGUGCUAUUAAUAGUAUAUUAGCCUAGUUUUAUAUAUAGAGUAUGGCUACUAUGCUAUUAAUAGCACGAAUAAUUUGGUGUUAUCAAAUUUUUUGCCGUUAGAUCUACCCUUUUGAGUAUAUUUCUUAUAUAUAUAUAUAUAUAUAUAUAUAUAUAUAUAUAUAAAAGAAAAGAUAUUACUGAGUAGUUCAAGUUGAAAAAGCAGUAAAUGAAAUUCUCACCAUUAUAUAUUUCUCUCGUUACUAGAAUCAAAAACACCAAUUUAUAGUUGCCUCUUUGGAUGCUCAAAAUGUUUUUAGCCAUAUUGGAAGCUUAGAAUUUUUUAUAUCAGUAUUAUUGCAUGGCUCUCAUAAUGUUGUCUAUACUUAUUUAUAUAUUAUUAAUGUCAUGGUCCCCAAUAAUAUAAGAAUUUUAAAGAAAAGUAAUAGUUGUAAACUUCAAAUUAAAGGGAGGUAGACAUCUUUAAUAUUUUGGAUUUUUAAUAUUUUCUUUGAAAAAGCUUGACAGGAUAAGGGAGGCCUUAGAUGAAGGGAUAUAAAUUUUAGAACUAAUUACAUAUAGAUCUCUACAAAUAUAAUAAAUUAUAAAUAAGGUUAAUUUAAUACAUGUCUUUGCAAAUAUAGUGAAUUGCAAAUAUAUUUCUACAAAGUGCAACUUUCAUAUGUUAUCUCUACCAAAGUCCUAAUGUUUUCAAAUAUCCCUACUGUUAGAAUCCGUUAGAAAAUUUUUGUUAAUCAUAAGUUAAAUAUUUAAAUCCCUAGUUAGUUUAUGAGAUAACUUGACAUUUUUGCCGACCUUAUAUUGUACUAUUGUGAAGAGGGACAUAUUUGUGAUGACAAAAAUGACAUUUUACUUAAAAUAUAAACAGUUCUAUAACGGCAACAAAUCAAAAGAAUAUAUUUGAAAACAUUAAAACUUUUACUGAAACAAUAUAUAUAUAUAUAUAUAACUAUAAUACUAUAUGUAUAUAGUAUACUAAUAUAAUUAUAAGAAGAAGAGAGAGAGAGAGAGAGAGAGAGAGGGAGAAGAGAGAGAGAGAGACCGCUGAUAUCUAUCAAUCAGUACCAAGGAUUCGGUGCUAUUGAGUUUUUCACCGUUAGAUUUACACCUUGAUUAUUUUUUUACCCGGUUAAAUUAUAUCUAUCAACCAACACCACUCAACCCUAUAGGGUCCACUCAUCCUAAUCACUCGUUUCUCAGUCUAAGGGCUAAAAAAUCAUAGCACCAAUAGCUUGGUGCUAUUGAUAGUAUUCCAGCCUAGUUCUCUCUCUCUCUCUCCUCUCUCUCUCUUCUCUCUCUCUCUCUCUCUAUAUAUAUAUAUAAUAUAUAAUAAUAUAGAGAGAGAGAGAGAGAGAGAGAGAGAGAAGUAGGUACUAUGCUCUCGAAGCACGGAGCCUUCCGUGCUUCCAGGUCGUUUUCGAUAUUGCGUACUUUCGAAUCUCGAUCGCUCCGUUAAACUUGAUCUAGAGUAUCGAAGUAACUUAGAAAAUAAUUUUAUAAAUUUUCUGAUAAUCAUUUCCAUAGUCAUCGAAUGGGCUCAAAAUCCAAUCGGCUUAAAAAUAAAAAUGUUACAAAACGUGAAUAAAGAACAUGUAAAAUUUUAAGAUACAAACAUAUGAUCUUGUUUUAUAUAGUAAUAGAGAUUUUUCGCUAUUCGAAAUUUCACGUGAUUGAUAUUUCUAAGCACAAAGUUAAACUUGCAAACGGCUCACCUACAGCCCUUUAAAAUAUUGAUUUUGAGCUGGCACUUCGAUCACUACAAAUAUAUCGAAGAAUUAUAAUAAAUUUCUUUCUAAGUACUGUUCAAUACUCUAGAUCAAAUUCGACAGUCGCAUCGACCGAUUCGAUAAGUCCAAACAUCGAAAAACGAUACUGGAGCAAGCGAAGGCUCCGUACUUCCAGAAAUAUAUGUGACCUCACUAUAUAUAUUAUAUAAUAUAUAUAUAUAUAGUAUUUAUUAUAUAUAUAUAUAUAUAUAUAUAUAUAUAUAUGUGAAAGUUGUACUUUAAAAAAGUAAUAUGUACAAUUUAUAUAUUUGUAGAAAUUGUAUGCAAUUAAUCAUAAAUACUAAUAUAUUUUUUGGAAAAUUUCCUUGGUGCGCCCCUCAAAACAUGUUAUUUACACGGAAACACCCUUAAAAAUUGAAUAAUAAUCUUAAAUGCCUUUCUACACAUAUAGAAAACUUUCAAAAAAUAAUCCUUUCAACAAACACCAGUUUGUUAACAAUCUAGCACGUAAUCAGCGAACCAAAAUACCCGAGAUUACUGCCUGUUUCAUAAUGCCUUUCUAAGUGUUCCAACUAUUACUAAUCGAAGGGUAAUUUCAUUCAUACCCCUGUGAAACUUGCCAAAUAUUUAAAUACUCCCUAAUAAUUUGUGAUAUAUUACAAAUAUCUUCACAAAUAGCUAAUCUUAAAUUUUAUCUCUGAAUUUUUAAAUUUUUUGAAAGAGCACUUUAAGAUAUGAUGAAUGACAACAAAUAAACGUUCAAAACUGUACCUCACUAGUAAUUAGUUAGAUAAUGAUACACAUAUUCAAUUUAAAUACAUUAAAAUAUAAUAAAUAAUCAAUUCACACUCGUUUAUUUAGACAUUUGGCACUUCUCUAACCUUCGAAUUCAUACAAAAUUAUCAGAUUAAUCUGAGUAUUUUUUAAAAAAUUUGUAUAAACCAAACUAAAUCAUUUUUAUGUAUUUCUAAAAUCUAAGUAUAUUUAUGGCUUUAUAAUUAAUGAUAAAACUUUGUAAUUUUCAGCUAUUUAUUAUUUUUCUCUCCAUUUAAAAAAAAAUUUAGAAUAAUAAUAUAUUUGAGUAAGAUAAAUCAAAUUAUUCUUAUAGAAUAUAUAAUUCUUGACAGAAAUCAAAGUGAGAACUAAACUGAAUAACUUUAAAAUUUGUAAAUCUUUUAAAUUACGGUAUUUACAAAAGUUAAAAAUUAAUUACUAAAAUUGAACGAUUUAAAAGGCAAAAUAGAAGGUAAACAUUGGUAUUUGAUUGUUGUUAACGUAGAUUUUAACGAAAAUGGUUUUGAAGGGCACCCUUGAAAGUUAUCUAAUAUUGAGAGAGGUAUUUGGAUUUUCAAUUUUAUGAUGGACAUUCUAUAUAAAUACUUACUGGUUAGGAGGGGCACACAGGAAAUUGCGCCCUAUCAUUGUUUUUUUCAAAAAACAGGAGCCGUGAAAUUGACACAGGUGGUUCCAGUAACUCCUAUCAUCAUUAAAUAAAUAAAUGAAUAAAAAAUGUGUGGUUUGAAAAAGUUAAAAGUGAUUAAAUCCAAUCAAUCAUGCGCCUCCUCCCCCCGUCCUUGGAACCAACAAUCCUCUCCUCCUAACCUUUAUAUAUUAUAAUAAGGUAAGAAUGCGCUGGCACUCGUGGGCAUGUUACGCGCAAAGGCACACCGCAUCAAUUGCUGACACAGAUAGCUACAUACACGUCAGCAUGAUCAUAGCUUCUGGAAUUUCACAUUUUAUUGCUACAAAACUGCUGUGGCCCCCACAAACCGGUGACUGAACACAAAAGCUUGUGUGUCCACAGUACCCACACGACAUUUCCUCCAUUCACAUAUACGAUUUCACAAAAAAAGAAAAACGAAAAGAAAAGUGUAGAUUAAUUGUGCCCCAAGUCACACAACAUGCAUAUGAUAAAAAACAAAAUUUUAAAAUAUAGCAUUUCUUUAAAUAUACUAGUUAUAUACUGACGUGAUAUUUUUAAUUAAUAAUAAUAUUCUUGUUGAAAUUCAUCUAUUUUAUCAAGAUCAACAGAAAAAAUAUUUUUGCUCGUAUUUUUUUUAUUCAAGAAUAGAAAUAUAAUGGACGUUUUACUGAUAUAGGAUCUGAGCGGGUAGAUGUGAACGAAUAGAUUUUUUGGCUAUUUUCGACAUGAGACGUGUGAGUCUUACUGAUAUGAAAAUUUUAUAAAAAAAAUAUAUUUUUUUUUAAUGAGCAAUUUGAUUUGAAGAUGAAUCAAGAACCCUUCGUGUGUACGUACCAUUGCUCUUUUAUUUGUUUUGUAUUCAAAUUAAUUUAUAAUACUUAAUUUUGUUGGGACGGAUUUUUUUUUGUGUUGUUAUUGUUGGCUGUUUUAUUGAAUGUUCGAUUAAGUAAUAACGAUAUUUAUUUUCAAAGAAGUUUUGAUUGUCCAAAAUUGUUGAUUUUUAACUUUUAUCUUUUAUAUCAAAUAAAAUCCUUGAAUAAAGAAUUUCUCCUAUAUUUUUUUAAAUAUCAAAAUUUUAUUUAAAAAAAUAUUAAACAAUACUAUGUUCAUACUGACCUAANNNNNNNNNNNNNNNNNNNNNNNNNAAGAUGAUUGAUUAAAGAAGGUAGCCUAAUAGGUACGUGAAGUAUACACUACAAAUUGAAAUAUACCAUCAUAGUAUAUAGUAGGUAUAUCGAUGAAAAUCACUUCACACUAUUUUUCCAAUAUAGUAAUUUUUCUUUAUAUUCAAAAAUAUGAAAUUUCAUUCUUUUAUUCGUUCAUGUAAUUUCUCACAAAAUAUCUUUUGCGUCCUAAAGAAUAAGAAUGGCGAAGUAAUGUACGAUAAACAAAUUUUAUGCAUUGAAACGUGCAAUGGACUUUAUGAUUCUUAUAGUGCUAGGGACUAUCUAAUAGGUACAGUAUGUGGCGUCUUGAAAGAACCACCCUUUUUGAAUUAUGAAUGCUGAAAGGUAUAUGAGCGUUAAUUAUAGUUUUACUAUAAGAUACUAACCUGAAAUAUUAGCAAAUAUAGUUUACGUAACAACAUUUUAUUUAUCUUUUCAUUUUUUUAUGUUUUAACAAAAGUUCAGUGACAUUCAUUUAUAUUGUGUUACCAUCUGGUUUGUUACUGUUAGAUCAUUGUUUAUUUCUCAACAGUAAAUAAGUAAAAUUAUAUUUUUGUUCUUAUAAAUAUAUCUCUCCAAAAGCCCCGACUAUUAGAAUUAUGUAGCAAUAUCCUCGUAAAAAAACAUUUUACCCAAUUAUAUAAGAGAGGUAAAAAGAUCAAUUUAACCAUUUACUAAUCAGUAUUAAGUAUUUUACUUAUGUUUAACUAUAUUUUUUAACGGAUCCUAAUAGAAGGAGUAUAUUUGAAAACAGUAGGACAUUCAUAAAGAUAAUUUUAUAGAAAAAUGCAUCUACUAUUCAAUAUGUUUAUAGAGAACUAUAUGUAAUUAUUUCUAUUUUUUAACAUAGAAUAAUAUGGGUGUGGUCAUGCAACAGCCCACAUUAUGCCCUAAAUACUAUAUAUACCUGCAUCAACAUCAAUAUUUUGAACUCUCUGAUAAAUAAAAGAAGGGUUAAUUUCAUACAGGUUCUUAUAAACAUAAUAAAUUAUAAAUAUAUCCUUAUAAGGUUCUACUUUUAUAUAUUGUCCCUACAAAAGUCCUAAUAUUUUCAAAUAUAUUUUUGCUGUUAGGAUCCGUUAGAAAAAAUUAGUUAAUCAUAGAUAAAAUACUUAACCUUAGUUAAUGAGGUGAAUUGAUAUUUUUACCUUUCUUUAAUUAACAUUUUUACCUUUCUUUAAUUAAUAGUUGGAACUUUUAGAGGGACAUAUUUGUAAUUUCAAAAGAACCAUUUCACUUAUAAAAUAAAUAGUAUUUUAACGAUAACAAAUCAGAUGAACAUAUUUAAAAUAUUAUAACUUUUGUAAGGGACAACAUGUGAAAGUUGUACUUUAUAAAAGUAUAUGUACAAUUUAUUAUAUUUGUAGAAAUCUGUAUGCAAUUAAUCAUAAUAUAUAUAUUUUUGGGAAAAUUUCCUGUGUGCCCCUCUAAAAGCAUGUAUUUACACGAACACCCCUAUAAAAAUUGAAAUAUCUUAAAUGCCUUUCUAAAUAUAGAAAACGUUCAAAAAUAUCCUUCAAAACACAGUUUUGUUAAAAUCUACAGUAACAGCAACCAAAAUACCGAAUUUACCCUUUUCAUAAUUGCCUUUCUAAAUGUUUCAACUAUUACUAAUGAAGGGUUAAUUUCAUUCAUACCCCUGUAAACGUUCAAAAUAUUAUAAAUAUCCCUAUAAAUUUGAUUAUAUUACAAAUAUCCUUACAAAUAAAGCAUAAAAUUACUUACUACAUUUGCACUUCUCUAACCUUGAUUAUAAAAUUUAUCAGAUAAUCUGAGUAUUUUUUUAAAAAAUUUGUAAACAAUACUAAAUCAUUUUAUUGUAAUUUCAAAUCUAGUAAGUAAUUUUAUGCUUUAUAAUUAAUGAUAAAACUUUGUAAUUUUUCAGCUAUUUAUUAUUUUCUCUCUCCAUUUAAAAAAAAAUUUAGAAAUAUUUAAUAAUAUUGAGUAAGAUAAAAAUAUUAUUCUUUUAGAAUAUAUAAUUCUUACAGAAAUCAAUGUGAAAAUAUAACUGAAUAACUUUUAAAUUUGUAAAACUUUUAAAUUUACGGGGUAUUUACAAAAGUUAAAAUUAUUACUAAUAAUUGGAACAUUUAAAAGGGCAAAUAUGAAAAGGGUAAAAUUGGUAUUUUGAUUGUUGUUACUGUAGAUUUUAACGAAAAUGUGUUUUGAAGGGCACCUUUGAAAGUUUUCUAUAUUUAGAGAGGUAUUUGGGAUAUUUCAAUUUUUAUAGGGACAUUCAUAUAAAUACUUACUGUUAGAGGGGCACACAGGAAAUUGUCCCUAUAUUUUUUUUUCGAAAAAACUGGAGCCGUUGAGAAAUUGACACGGUGGUCCAGUACUCUAUCAUCAUUAAAUAAAUAAAUGAAUAAAAAAUGUGGUGUUGUGAAAAAGUUAAAAGUGUAAAUAGGAACCCAACAAUCCCCUCCUCCCCCCCCCUAUAAAGCUAUUAUUAUAUUAUGAAUAGGUAAGAUGCGCUGGCACUGUGGGCAUGUACGGCAAAGGGCACACCCAUCAAUUGCUGACACAGAUAGUACAUACACGCAGCAUGAUCAUCAGCUUCUGGAAUUUCACAUUUUAUUGCUUACAAAAUGCUGUGGGCCCCCACAAACCGUGACUACACAAAGCUUGUGUGUCCACUACCCAACAACACAUUUCCUCCCAUCACACGAAUUUCACAAAAAAGAAAAGAAAAGAAAAGUGUAGAUUAAUUGUGCCCAGUCACACACAUGCAUAUGAUAAAAAACAAAAUUUUAAAAUAUACCAGUUUUUAAAUAUACUAGUUAUAUUACUGACGUGAUAUUUUUAAUUAAUAAAAUUAUUUUGUUUGAAUUCAUCUAUUUUAUCAUAAUUAACAGAAAAAUAUUUUUGCUGUAUUUUUUUUCAAGAAUAGAAAUAUAAUGGACGUUUUACUGAUGAUGAUGGCGGGGUAGAUGUGAUACAAUAGAUUUUUUUGCUAUUUUCGACAUGACGUGUGAUCUAACUGAUAAUGAAAAUUUAUAAAAAAAAAUAUAUUUUUUUUAAUGAGGCAUUUGAUUGAAGAUGAAUCAAGACCUUCGUUUGGUACGUACCAUUGCUCUUUUAUUUUUGUUUUUGUACAAAUUAAUUUUAUAUAACUUAAUUUGUUGGAGGAUUUUUUUUUUGUGUUGUUAUUGUUGGCUGUUUUAUGAUAUGUUCGAUUAAGUAAUAGACGAUAAUUUAUUUUAAAAAGUUUUGAUUGUCAAAAUUGAUUGAUUUUUUAACUUUUAUCUUUUAUUAUCAAAUAAAGAUCUUGAAUGAAAGAAUUUUGCUCCUAUAUUUUUUAAUAUUCAAAAUUUUAUUUAAAAAAUAUUAAAAACAAAUACUAUGUCAUACGUGACCUAAAUAAUUUAGUAAAUAAUAAAGAUUAUAUUUAGGAUCCUUUAGUUCAAGAACCAGAAAUGUUAUAUAUUUUAUAUCUUGAAUGGCAAAUUCGUUGCUAUCUUAUUAAGCUAUUUGAGUUGGGAGGCUGCUAAAAACUAGCUAACAAACUAUUAUUAAAGGACUACUAAUUAUUUACAAUGUAUAUAAAAAUGGGAAUAUUUUCUGGUCCAUGAUAAUUAAGUAUUGUUACCAUUGAAGAAUCUACAAUUAAUGAAUGAUAAAAUAAUUUGAAUAUUUUAAAUAAAAAAUAUGAAGAAUUAUUGAAAUAACAUUGACCAUAAAUUAAACACACCCUUAAAAUAAUACAGUGUUGCUAACAAAAUCAAAGUUAUUAUUGAUAAGAUGUCUAUAAAGUUUAAGUGUAACUUUUGUGCACCAUUCAUCCAAAAGUCUAUAUAUAUGUUUUCACUAUUCUUAUUAAUUUUUUAUUUAAUAGUAAAAUCUGAAAAUAUAUCUAUUUUUUAUUAAAUAGAUAAAGUGCAAAAUUUUAUGUCUAUAUAUAAGUAGACAGAUAGCAUUUUUCUAAAGAGCCGCUUGGUUAGAUGAUAAAUAAAUGCAGUAUAAUUAAAAAUAUAUACAGUUAAAAAUACAAUAGUUACAACUAUAUGAAUCCUGUUUGGUUGGAUGUAGUAGAAAACGUAAUUUGUUUGGUUGCAAAUAGUUGAGAAAUAAUUUUUAAAAUUUUAUUAUUUUAUAUAUAUGAUGAUGAGAUUACCUCCAAUGUAAAAAAUAUAUAUAUAUAUAAUUUUUGUUUAAAAAAUAUUGAGGUAAGUAAAGUUAAUCUCUUUAAUUACUGCAGUUGGAAUUGCGGCCCAUUUGGGUGUAAUUCGAAUUAUUACAGUUGGGCCUCCUCCUGCAAUUCCUACUGCAGUUGUUGGAGUUAAAUAUAUCAAAUCAAAUACGAAAUUUGUAUUUACUUACAGUUACAACUGUAGUGCAGUUACAACUACUAUAUACAAUCAAACGGCUUCUAAUAGUAAGAGAGAUUCGUGGUGUUGCACGAUAUUUAUUAAUUUAAUAAAAUAUACAGAGAUGGUAAUUGAAUUCAAUAAAGCUAUCAAUCAGUACUAAAAUUAAAUUUAAAAAUCUUAUUAUCUGCGCAUUUUUUUAACAUUAAAAUCACAUCCGUUAACACCAUCACCUACAAAAAUCUGGACCCUACCAACCCCCCCUUAAGUUGAACAACAACCAACAGAUGCAGCAACCUUUUCCACCAUUGUUGCCACUUGUCAACAAGUGUGAAGCUCCACAAAAGAAAAAAGAAAAAAGAAAAGAACAAAAGGAAACAAAAAAAAAAAGAAGAAAAAAGAGUAGCUUAAAAAAGGAGAUUCAUAUAAUAUAAGAUUCGCAACACGUAUUGUCCUGUAACCACGAGAAACACGAAAAGGAAAGCGUGCUAUAUCGCCCAUCCUUUCCCCCACGACUCGUAACGAAGAAGCACAUACAUUGGUUCUUUUCAUGCAUGGGACGUGGCACAAUUCAAAUUAUUUGGGUUACGUCGCAAUUAUUAGUUUUAGGAUUAAUUACAGUUUUGGUCCGCAACCGUUUUCAAACUUUAUUUUAUUAUUAUAACUUUUAACUUACUUUUUAAAAAUUUAUUAUAAUUAUAUUUUAUAAUAUAAUACUUUAAUUAUUAUUAUAUUAUCAAUUAUAAUAUUUUUAUAUUAAUAAUUUUUCGAAUUUAAAGAUAUCAAAUAAAAAUUAUAAUAAAUUAGAAUUUGAGAGGACUGGAUAUAUAAAUUUUUUCUUGUAUUAUUAUUAUUAUUAUAUGUCCCCUACGCAACACUAUCCAUUGAUACCAGGUCACGUCAAUGAAGUGGGGUUUGUAUUGUCAAUGGGGAUUUACUUUGAUAAAAAAUGAUACAUGUUAUUGUUGGACCAAUGAAAAAGGUGGUGGGGAGAUAUCGUGUCCUUGCCAUAUCUCGAUUGGGAAAAAUCAUUCACAUUCAAACAAAAAGAAUUGAAAAGAAACGUACGAAGACCCACUCAACGACUCGUGAUUUUGAUUUUGAAAGCGUUUGUGUCCCCCCUCGCCAUGAAUUGUUGACCUAUUAAAUAAAUUUUAUUUUAUUGUAUUGUAUUGGGUUAAUGUUAAAAAUAUCAAUCAAAAACAUAUAAACAUGGUAUAUAUAUAUAUUGUUGGACGAUAGUAAAGAUGUAUAAUCUACUAUUAAUAAUAUACUAUUAAGCAUGUUUGUCACUUAUCGCGUGUUUAUUGGUUCACAUGUGCUUAACGUUCUCGGCACAACUGUAAAUGAACAAUCCAAACCAUUAUUCUUUUGAGCUAAUUAUUAUUUUUAUGAUUAACAUCUUUCGCGCGCUUUGAGAUUUUUUUUCAAUUAUAAUACUAUCGAAGGUUAGUAUUUUGUUAACUCUGACAACUUCUUUUUGUUUAUAGUUAUUAGUUAAUGACUUCGUUCUAUGUUCACACGAACGAAUCGCCAAAUCUUUUAAUUAACUAUAGCUAAUGAUGGGAUAAUCGAUUAAAUUAAACAAAAUAUCUAAUACAAUACUUGUUGAUGGAGAAAGCGGAGUUAGGUAUUUUAUUUAAAAAGUGGCCAAAAACAAUUUAGGAGUUUUUUAAUUGUAUGUUCUCCAAAUGCUUGAACUAGAGCUGGAAUUGAGUUAGGCUUUAGUUCCACUUGGAACCUGGUUUAAAUUACGCGUGUAUUUUAAACCUUGAGAUCGGUCUAAAGGGGGACCAUGCAAGGUUUGAUGAAUUAAUAAAUUUUUGUACCAGAUCGAGCCGAGUCAAUCAGAGAAACGAAAAGAAUUAAUCCAUGUUUGGCCCAAAUUAUUUGCUUAUCUUGAAUUUUGAGGUAUAAUUCGAUUUGACUCGAUUAGGGACGCAAAUGGAUCCUGGUUGGUAAAGCUCCCGUCCCAAUCCGUCCGAAAUAGCAAGUGAGGACCAUCGUUUUUUGAUCUGCCAAAAAUUUGUCAGAUUUGCUCCAAAUGGAGCGGGGACCCAAAAAACAAAAAGAUAAAAAUCAAAUCUAAAUAUUUUAAAUCAAAUUUAAUAAAAUCAAUCGUCGAUUCAAAUAUCUCAUCAUCGAAAAUAGUUUGUUAGCACAGAAGCAUUUAUGCUCCUAAGAGUACAACAGGCCUAUAAUAAAGUAUAUUACUUAAGAUAAAUCCACAUUUAUUUGAAUGAGAAGCAUAAUAUGGAAACUCAGAUCAUUUGCAUUGUUGGGAAUGCUAAUGUCUUGGGUACUUAUGGUUUGCAUGUCCUUCCCCCUAGGCCCAGUAAAAUGCCCACUGAAGAAUGAAUAGAUUAUAAUGGGCCCUUUGAAUACAUUAAAUUUUUCACUCUCGGAUCCGAAAUAUAUGAACGUUACAGUGAAAAAAAUAUUUGCUCAUAAGAAACGUCCAAUUUUCAUCAACAAAAACUCUAUGCACCAGUUUGGUUCGGGGUUAAGGGGUAGAAUAAUCCCUUAACCUCGAAGUUAUCAAACACCCAAUUUGGGUUGUCGGGUUAGCUAACCCGAUCCCCAAUGGGCUAUCCCGGGAUAGCUGAUUUCGCCCCACCCCACUACUCCAACCAAACAAAAUACUAUUUAACACACUAUCCUUCUUAUCCCUCCUACUCUAACCAAACACUAUUUUACCUAUAUCUAGACUAAAUCCAAUUCUCAACCAAACAUAAAAUUACUCUAACCCACCUUAACCCUGAACUUAACUCUAUCUCUGGAAUAACAAGUUUUUACUUAACCUUGAACCAAACGGUGGCGGGACUGUUUGGUUGCACGCAUUUGCAACUGCAUUGCAGUUACAAAUGUAUGCAACCUCAAUUCAUGUGUUUGGUUUAAUGCAGUUGAGUCCAACUGCGGCAGUUGCAACUGUAUAAGAAGGUCCAAAUGCUGUAGUUGGAACUACAUCCAAAUUGGCUGUAGUUCCAACUGCAGCAAUUGAUGAGGAAUAGAAUCACCGAUAAAUUAAAAAUAAUAAAUAAAUAAAUUUUAUAUAUAUAUAAAAAUAAACAUACUUACAAAUAAACUCAUACUAAUAAAAUUUUUUAGGCGAUACAAGUUUUGUGCAAAAAAUUAAAUUUUUUUAAAUUUAUUUUAUUCAAAAUAUAAAAAAUAAUUUUUUUCUUAAAUCUUCAUAGAAUAUGAUUGUGUAAGUCAACUUAAUAAGUUUUAAUUAAUUAUAAUUAUUAAAUUUGGAAAAAAAAUGAGAGAAUCGUUUAAAUUUUUAAAGUUUGAUUUACAUGUUAAAAUUAAAUAAAUUAAAAAUUUUAAAUGUGUCAAUUGAUAAGUUGAAGAAUUAUUGAAAAAUAUAAAAAUAUUAUAUAUAUUCACUUAUUUAUUUAUAGAUAGUAAAUUUAAAUAAUUAAUAAAAUUAUACAAUUAUUUUAUGUAUAGCAAAGGUAAUCUCACCGCUCUAUCUUAAGGAUGUCAAUGGGUAUGGAUAAUUGAAAUUUUAUCCGAACCCGAACCUGAAUGAAACGAAUAUAUCCGAUGGAUAUGGAUAUGGAUAUGGAUUCGGAUAUUGACAUAAAAAAUAGAAACCCGACGAAUAUGGAUUCAGAUAUAGAUUUUGAUUGUACCCGACCCGAACCCGACCCGAACCAGAAUUUAUUUUGUAUUAUAUAUAAUAUAUAUAUAUAUAUAUAUAUAUAUAUAUAAAUUUGAUGUUAUAUUUAAAUUUAUAUUUUAAAAAUUUAGAUUUAAUAUAAUAUGUUUUGAAAUAUUGAAAAAAGAAAUAAUUAUUUUGGGUUUAAAUUUUCGGGUUCGGGUUCGGAUUCGGUUUCGGAUUUUUGGUCGGGUUCAGGUUUGUAUAUGAAUUUUUAAAAUCCGUCGGGUUCGGGUUCGAAGUCGGGUUCGAGUUUUUAAAAAUUCACCCCGAAUCCGACCCGUUGACAUCUCUACUCUAUCUAAAGAGGUGAUAAGAUUCACAAAUACAACUAUCAACUUCAAAUUACCAAACAGAAAAAAUGCAACAGCAACCGUUGUAUCUACACAAAACCAAACAAACUAUAUGUAAUUACAACUACUGAAUUUUUAACUGCAUGCAUUUUUAACUAUACUGCAUUUACGACUACAUCCAACCAAACGACCCCCGUAAGGAGCUGCUUCUAAAACAAACAAAAGCAAUGAUGCAAUGCAAUGAAUAUUAAUUCGUAUGUCCCGAGUAUCAAACAAAGUGGCUGCAAAAGGGAAGAGUUUAGAUUCCUUUCAGUGCAAACAUUGUCGUGAUAGUAUCCUUACAUUUCGUAUCAGCUUUCCCAGAAAAGAAUUUUGAUGUCACUUGGAAAUAACAAUAAAACCAAUUUGAAACUAAAAAAUUCAGGGAUUGUAUUUGAUUAUCCCUCCAACAAGUUUGCUAAUCUUUCCAACCGUCUUUUGCCGAUCUCCGUGAGGCGAGCCCUUUAGAUGAUGGAGUCGAAGAGGGUUUCGACGGCGUUAUGGGCGCCUCCACAUCGUCGUCCCAACCAUCUCCCCAAUUAUUAUCCCACAAUUCCGACAGGUCGGGUUCCUUCUUCCCCCCACUCGAAACAGGCAGAGCCAUGUCCACCUUCUGGUACGCGGAGCUGCCUUCAUGAGAGUGCGGCCUCCUCCUCCAGAACUUGAUGCACAACAAAGCCGAUCCUAUAAUUCCAACUGCAGCGAGAAACACAAAUAUCGACGCUGCACGUGUACGCCGGUUAAUAUAGCUGGACACCCUAGAUGUUUCUCUCGCAUUACCGGAGAGCGUGUUCCGCAGAUUGAGGCUGCAUUGCCCCUCCCCCGCUUUCAAUACUAUCAUGGUAUCAUUUGCACCAUCACGAAGAGAAACAUUGAUCUGCAAAAUUUAAAUCCAAAACGUAAUAUGUCAUCUAAAGGAAGUUCCUCAAAACAAUUGUGAGAAGGUUAGCAUUCAACAUAUAUUAAAAAAUGGCUGAUUCAUGCAGGAAACAAUCUUCAUUUAAGCCGAUUAAUGUCAGAAAUCUGAAUCUCAGAGAAUGGGCAAAACAGUUAGAAGCCAAACAGUUAGAAGCCUUGAUGAUGAGCCACUCAGAAACUUCAGAUGAUAUGUGAACAGUCUAAAAGACACAAAUAAAAAGGCUGCCGUAGGAUGCGGAAUGGAUGCCUUCGUUCAUUAAGUUGAUAGGAAACAUAAAUUUAUGUGGCCAAUGAGAAGAUUUUUUAGGACAACACAUAACUUUCAGAUAGUCAACUCCAAAUUUCAGAUAGUUAUGCUGUCUUGUGUACAUUUCAAUAGAAACUUCUGGCUAGCAAUCACAGAGCCAAAAUAACUGGCCGACCGUAUUAUUCAUGUGUUUGGUUGACAAAAAAAAUCCAAAGCUUCACUAAUAGAAAGCUAAAAUAUGUUUUCGAGCCCAAAAACAGAAACUCCGAGUUGAAGCAGCUUCUGAUGCAACAACCAGCUCUUCAGAAGAUUUUCAGACCAAACAGGCCUUAAGUAAUAUAGACAGAAAAGCAGCCACCAAUUUUAUGAUGCAACUAUACAUGAUGACCCAUUUAAGACUUGCAAGUAAUGAACUCCAUCUCCUAUUAAUACCUUCUUCUUCUCCUUCGCUUGAAGCUGGACUAUAGCUUGCUCUAGUGUGACAAAGUCGGGGGCAACGAUGUGAACAUCAAGAGAACCUGUUCCUCUGUUCUCUAUAAGAAGUGAAAGAUCUAGCGAAUCUGGCAGAAGAAUUGCAGGUAAUCUUAUUACGCUCAAGCAUUACAAAGAUUCAAAACAAAGCUAAAUAGAAAGAUGUACAGCUUGCAACUUUGGAAUCCAUCAUACUGCCACAUUUUAAAAUAAAGUAUAGCGAACAUAUUAAAAAUUGUUGAGUACGCAUGAGCAAGCAAGGAAGCAGAUACCAGAAGAACCACUUGAUCCACUCAAGUUGUAAUUUACAAUAGCAUUCUGCUGAAUUGAAUACAGAAGUAUUAGCUUUAGAUAUAUAUUUUGGUUAAAAUUAUUGAAAACUAGGAUUUUGACAUAAGUUUUACUUUUUUAUGGUACUAUUUCUGCUAAAACAAGAAUACCAUCUAAUUACAAGUUUACCCUCAUCAAGUCUACAACUUACAGUACCUCAAAAUUAGACAUAAAAUUGAUUUUGUAUUAUGAGAACAAUUUCAUGAGUAAUAAUUUGAUCCGAGGAUUUCCGCAAGUUCUAUCAACAAGCAAGACCUAAGCAGUGUAUAUUACCUAUGCUGAGGUUGACCACAUACUUAGUUUUCUCCAAAUCACAUUAUCUAUUAACCAAAUGCUUUUUGGCAUUCCCAAAAACAGGGACAAGGUAAUCUAGCUUAUCGAAAAGCCUUGAAUCUUGAUCCCGUACCUUGUCCGGGGACUCUUAAGCAAGCAAUGAACUUCUUCUUCUCAUCAGUGCAUCUAUUGGACGGAUCGCACUCUUCAACAUAAGAGUCCCUCAACGGCUGCGUCUUAGACGCCAAGCUCCCAUCUGAACUCCCUUCCCCAGAAUCUUCCUCAACCUUCGUCUCCUUCACCGGCUGAUCUUUCCUCUCAAGAGAACUUUCACUAGAAUCAUCCUUCUCAUCAUUUUUCUUAGUACCAUUUUGCAAUCCUUUGCCCUGUUCUAUACGCUUUUUCUCUCCUCCCGCAUCAACCGGAUCUGGCGGAGACAUCUCUGCCGCAUUGGAAUGUUUAACAAUGGUGUCAUUGUUCGUAGUUGAUGGGAAACUAUCGGAAUCACCCUGAAUUCAACAAAACUAUCAAUGCACUUUAUCCAUCUAAAACAAAAUCUACCAAUAUUUUUCUCAUUAAAAUGGAUCAACUAAGCCUCCUUCGAAUAUGAUACUUAAACAAUGCGAAUCAAAAAAAUUCCACAACCAUGUCGGUAAAGAUGCGACCUUUACUCAAUAGAAUGCAUCAUAAGCAAAUGUAAACAAAUGAGUUUUGCGUAAUUUAAUUGGCCUAAUACAAACAAAAUCCCCCCAAAACACACUGAUUCAUCACAAGAACAAGCUCGUAGAAUAUACUAAAUUCUACAAAAAAAAAAGAAAAAAGAACUAUCUCAUUGAGUAGAGAUCUAAAUUAACUAUAUAAAGAAAAACAAAUCUCACUCACCUCAGAUGCAACGAGGGGAAUCACGAGGGCGAUUAAGAAGAGGACACCGAUCCCCUUCAUCUAUUCAACUUAUUCUCGAGUAACAAGGAGGCAACGGAACUAGAGAAGCGAUCUACUUUGCUUCACAUCCGAAACCCUAAACCCCAUUCGCGACCACUUCGUUGACCUAAUCGGAGACAUCGAGAGGACGAAGAAGAAGAAGUAUAAAAAAAAAAAAAAAAAAAAAAAUGGAGUUAAAUAAUUUGCCACCCUUGCAUGGCUACAAUGUGCACAGCUCUUUCUUUACUACAAGACAAUCAUAUUUUUAANAUAAAAAAAAAAAAAAAAAAAACAAAUGGAGUGAGCCAACCGAUUUCUUGGGGAAUCGGAUUCGGAUCUACUUGUAGCUCAAGCGACGCUUCGAAUAUCAAAGUGUCGGACCGGUUCAGUAUAAAAAAAUCAGUGGAGAAUCAACCGUGACUCCGUUAAGACCAAGAGCGAGUCAAACGGGGUUAGAUAAGCCGGGUCGGAUCGGACUGGGCCAGUUGUGGUUGUUGAUCCGGCCAUAGAUUUUUUAUUUUAUUUCAUUUUAAUUCUGCGCGUACGUCCCUAUUAUCCCACUACGAGAAAACGAGCCAAACACGAAUGAGCCGGAGUAUCCCACUACGAGAAAACGAGCCAAACACGAAUGAGCCGGAGUAGCUCGUGUUCACUUGUUUUAUAAAACGAGCUGAAAGCUCGUAAAAUAUCGAGCUGAAAAAUUCAGUUUGUAUUCGACUUGUUUAUUAACGAGUUGAACCUGAGCUAACGUACAAACAGCAAGUUAGAUUACCAACCUUACUACUCGAUGAAAACUUAAAAUAAAAUUAAAAAAAUUAGAAUCUUAAUUUUAAUAAUUAAAAUUUACAAAAUAUUAGUCUCUUUUUAUUUGGAUCAGCCUAAACCCAGUAGAGAGAUCAAUUUGGGCCUAAGGAAUCUGCAAUCUAUCUGGGCCAUCAAAUUUCCAAAUAAUCAGGUUAUCCAUUUUGCGCUCAAGCUAUAGAUAGCGCACCGCUUCGCUAUUGUUGUUGGGUCAGCAAAUCUCCAACUAAUCAGGUCAUCCAUUUUGCGCCCAGGCUAUAGAUAGCGCACCGCUUGGCUAUUGUGGUUUCGCAUGCCGUUCCACGCGGAACUGCAAGAAAGAAUGGAUCCGAUAAAGCUCCGAAUCCGGCGAUGAGCGGUGGUGGGCCAAACAAGGCCUUUCUAUUGCAACUUUUGUAGCCCAUUGGGAAGAGGCCUAAUAAGUUCCAUCUAUUUUUGUGAUUAUAUAUGGCCCGUUAAACAAACGGUCUAGGGCGUGUGUUGAUGUAUUGAGAUCACUCACUACUUAUUAUUGCGAAGGCCACAAGCGCGAAAGAGAAAAGCCCAUUAGAAUUUGCCUAUGUUUUUGAGCGUGUAGGACUUGGUUGAAGCUAUUGAAGAACUAGUGUAAUAACCCGCACGAUGUGUCGAAUAAAAAUUUUUUAGUAAAAAUUUUUAGAUUAAAUGAAUAAAUAUAUAAUAUAAAAAAGAGACAAAAAUAUAUAACAACAUUUGAUUGAAUUUAAUAAUAUAAAAAAUAUAUUAAAGAUUUUAGAAUAAAAUUAUAAUUCAAUGCAAAACAAUGAAAGAUAGAAAAAACUAUAAAAGAAGAAAAAUUAUUAUAUAAAUAUCGGACCCCUUUGCACUCUUGUCUAGAGCAUUUUCUACUGACAUCGACGAUUUCAUGAGAUACCACAGUGCCUUUAACCGCUUCCCGACAACUCCGUAUUCUAGCUGAUACUUUUCGUCUUCGGGGGCCAUUACAGGAGGGGGAAGCAUCUCGAUCCUUUGUAUAACUAUACAAUACAAAUUUAGAUACAAAUAUUACACAUCUUCACCGACCGUUUCUAGAGCAAGUGGCAAAGGGUUUGGUGGUUGGUACCCGAGAUCCAAGUUUGAAUCCUAGUUGAUUCACAUUUCUAGCUAAAUUUAUUUCUAAAUGAAAUAAACGAAGCGGGUAGCAUGCUACCUAUCUCUCAAAAAAAAAAAGUACACAUCUUCUAUAUAUAUAUAAUAUAAAACCAACAACCAAAAAAAAAGUAUAUAAAGAAAAAAAAAAGUAUAUUGAUUUAGAGAGAAAAAAUAAAUAUCAUCAAAUUUUCUCAAUUAAUUAUUAAACAUAAAAAAAAAAUGGUAACGAAGAAAGAUAGUACCUAAUUGGUGCGGCCAUUGAAAUUAGUUAAUUAAGAAAAAUUUUCUACAUUGAUGAUUUUGGGUGAAGAUGGAGAGAUGGAUGGUGAUUUUUAUAUAUAAAGUAAAUUAUUUCAACAUCUUUCCAAUUUCAUCUUUUAUGGAGGGUGGACCAAAGGCCACUGAAAAAAAAAAAAGAAGAAGUAAAUAUGAAUAAAUACAAUGGAAAGCGAAGAGCCAUUAAAAAAAACAGACUAAAUACAGUUUUUUAGAGUAGAAUAAAUAGUUUAGGGCCCAUUUUCUUUAAAUUAAGGAGGUGCAUCCACAUAAAAUUUAGAUAUGAGAAUUUAUGUAUAGGUAUGAAUAUAAAUUGCUAUUUAAGAAGAGCUGUUUAAAAAAAUACCAGUAAUUUUUAAACUCCCGCCUACAACUUUUCGCGGUAGCAAAAAAUUCUUUUGGUGGGUUAGCUUUUAGGGCUCAGUAGUUGUUUCAUAGAUAUCAAAAACGUAAAAUUUAUUCCUACAUCGAGAUCGGGGAAUCUUCAUGCAUCGUUCGGAGCUGACAACUCAAUCUCAAUGGGCCUAUUUCGAUGCCCAAAUUUUUUGUUUAGGGCAUCUCUUUAUUUACUUAAAAUUUUUAAAAAUUAGUUGACGAGAAAUAAAAUCAAAUGACCAUAAAUGCGUAGUUGCAUAAGAAGAUAUAAACUAGAGAUUGUAAAGUCAUAGCCAUAAUAAGUAUAUUGAUGCGGACUAAAAUUAAAUUCAUAGGACACUGCAACGACCCGCAGAAGAAAAAAAAUACAAUAUUGUGAAAAACAAGACAUCGAACAAUUCCGGUCGGUUAUUUUACACAAUAUCAGCGUAGGUGAAUCUAAUUUUCAGAAGCAUUUCAAAGGAACAUCGAUUUGUCGGCAAUAUAAGAUUACGGAGAUCCAAUCAAAGGCAAUGGCGCUACACUAUCGUUGACAAAACCCGUCACUUAAGACGUUUACAAAAGGCGCUUUGAAAGGGAGCGCUUUUGUUCGACACUGAUUAAUAAGCUCAAAAAAACGGCCGGUCAACGGUCGCAAAUAUGGGUUUCUAAAAUUGAGUCUAAUUCGUGUUAAUUACGUGUAAUGUAGUUGGCGCUAUCCGGGGUCAAAGGGAAACGUUCGAGCAGUGGCGAGGCGACACGUGUCCCCCGUGGUUCACGCCCCCGCCGCUGCGCGACGCGGUGGGCCCGGUUUUUGUGAAGUCAAAUGUCCCCCCAAGCUCACGUGGGCGGUGGUCCACUAUCCAAUGGUAGUAGUACAUGUGGCAAUACUGGUCCCAAGCUCACGGAGCUUCUCGAACAUGGGGCCCACUCUUUCUAACUCUACUAUAUCAUAUUUAUAUUAUAUUAUUAUAAUAAUUAGUUAAUUAUAUAUAUAUUUUUUUAAAAGUAUUUUAAAAAUAUAUUUUUAAUAAUUAUGAUGGGACAGAUGAGCUCUAAAAAAAAAAAAAAUCUAAUUGGCUAGGGACGCCACAUUAAUAAUAUAAUUGAUAAAUUUUAGACUUUUUCAUCUGCAUAGACACUCUGCAAUUAAAAAUAACUUUUUUUUAAAAAAAAAAGAGUAAAAUAACAUACUAUAUAUUUUGUUUUUUUUGUAUAAAAAGUAAAUUUAAUUAGAAAUAUAAAAUAAUUAGUUUUCAGACUUAAAAUUUUGAUUAUUAAUAAUUAAAUUUUUUGCCACUUACAGCACAGACCGGUCGGUAAAGUUAUAGUAAUUAAAAGUCAAACAAUCUAAUUCGUGAGUAGGAGAAUGUGCAAGAAAUUUACGGGUUGGCAUUUAAAUUUGCAUCCAAGGAUGAAAAUGAAACAUAAAUUUUCAUUACUCUCAAGAGCAGAAUACAAAAUAGUUCCUAUCUCUAUGAAAAUUCUAACUUCUAAAUUCGUUCGAUACUCUACUCUAAAUUCGCAAAAAAAUUAUAAAUAUAUUUAGAUGACUGAAUUGAACAAGCCCGUCAAUACGCGAUUAGGUUUGUAUAAUUGAGGCCUCCACUGGAUUUGUACUGGCGUGUUAUGUGGGUCAUAGACCGUAGCUUUCAAAGAAAUCGUCGAAAAGUUCAUCAUUAAUCACCUUUCCUUCAAAUUUUGUUAGGCCCCAAUAUAAAUCGACCACUUUGACCUAAUUUCUAUACUUGUGUUAUAGCAAAAUGCUGAAAUGAGCCUUUUAUGCUAUGGAAUAUAAAAUAUUAAAAAUAUUGUCUUAUGAUAUCUUAAGUUUUUGAAUGAUAAUGCAUAAUGGUUCUAAUUUCGAGUGUUCUAGACAACUUUAUGUAAUUUCAGGGGUCUAUUCCUUGUGUGAACAAAUGAAGAUAUUAUUCAAAAUAGCCGAAUCAUUUGAUUAUUAUUAAGGGUCCGUUUGGCAUUAAGGAUCACCCAACGUUAGUAAGAAAAAUCAAAGUUAGGAUAGAAGCAUAUAGAAAAUGUUUCUCUACUUUUCGAUAGGAUUGCAGAAAAUAUAUUAUAACUACAAUGACCCGACUUCCCAGGGGGUCAUCCAUCCUAGGACUACUCCUCUCCUAGCACGCUUAACUCUCUUAACCUCUUGGGUCUUGUCACCACCCAAAAUGCUUAAGCCAGGUUAAGAGUUUAGCUCUAUUAUAUCUUAUAUAUAGGACUAUCUGGGGUCUCACAAUCUCCCCUCCUUUAAGCCCUGACGUCCUCGUCAGGCUCAGACUCAUAAGUACCAGACGAUGUGAGACUCGUUUUGCUAGCCCGUCAUCCAGACCCUCGCUCAGCCGAGACUCAUCUCACACUUCCGGCUGGUAAUUGGCUCUGAUACCAUCUUUGACGCCCCGACUUCCCAGGAGGUCACCCAUCCUAGGACUACUCCUCUCCUAGCACGCUUAACUCUCUUAACCUCUUGGGUCUUGCUACCAUCUAAAAUGCUUAAGCCGAGGUUAAGAGUUUAGCCCUAUUAUAUCUUAUAUAUAGGACUAUCUGGGGUCUCACAAGAACAGACUUAUUGCAAUGUACGAAAUAUGAGAUUACUGUAUAAAUAAUUAGAAUGUAUUUUAAUAUUAUACUUUUUUAUCAUACAUAACGCAAUUUCCAUGUAAUAUCAAAUGUACCCUUGCUGAUAGAUACAUUGAAAGUGACUGUGUAACAUUCACAUAUAUAAUUGGUUCUGUGGCAUGACUAAGUGGCACCCUGUGUAUGGAUUAGCUUUAAGUAUUUUAUGCACACUUUACCUAACAUAAUUUGAUUCAAAAGAUACAAAAUUGACUCAUCAAUAAGGUACAAGAAAUAAUUCAACUCUUUUACAUCACUAUUUAUACAUUCUUGGAUUUCAUGACCCUACAUUCAAAGCAAACAUGGUCUAACCGACCUUGAAAAAUCUUAUUUGAUUGAUUGGUAAACAUUUUGAGGGAUCUCUAAUCAUAGUAGUACAUACAUAUAUGUAGCCCAGCAUAUGCUGUAUUUCUAUUAAUUGUCAAAAGAAAUUAAUAAUGUGAAAAGAAAUUUGUUUCUCAACGUGUUGGGAGAGCUUAGGUUUUUACUUUCUUUUUCUUUUUUUAACCCCUAAGAUAUGAUAGAAUAUUCCCUCCUAAAUUAUUUAGGCCAUGUUUGGAUGCAGAAAUAAGUGUAUGAGAAUUUUAUUAUAGCAUGAUUAUAAACAAGAAGUUUGGCUUUUUGCUUCUUCAGAGUUGCGCGAUUUAUGAUUUUGUAGAAUAAUAUAUUUCACCUACAAGAUAAUUUAUAUUAUUCUGAAAACAUGACUUUAAAUCUGAAUAUUAUAUAAGAUAAUAUUUAAUAUUUGACCAUACUCUGCAUCAAUCAAAUAUAUANAUUUUAAUAAAUUAAACAGAUAUGCCAAAUAAGAUUUUGAUGCAUCCAAAACAAGAACCUUAUUAUUGUAAAAAUCAUUUCAACCAAUUGAACUGUGAAUCAGCUCUUACAGUAGUCAAUGAAUAUUUGGUAGCUGGUGAAAGAGAUCCCAAGUAUGUGUUUAUAUAAAUAGUGCUGUUUUUAGAAAAUAUAGUAAAUCACACAAUAUGUGACAUUAAUGCAAUUCAAACCACAAAGUACAUAGUUCAUCAAUUCAUUGUUGCAAUAUCUAAUAUUCCAAAUCUACAAAUUAAAUCUGUUUCACCCAUUUGGCCUCUAGAGCUACUAUAUAUUACUAGUCAAGGCUAAGGGUUAGCAUGAGCAAAGCAUUAAUACGCAAUUUAUAGGUGAUUACCAACCUCUCAUUAUUAAUUUGUAAUGUUGAUAAUCUAAAUCGACGGCGAUUUAUGAUGUCUAUAUAUACCAUUGAAUAGUUGCAGUGGAACCUAAAUUCAUCUAUAUCUUUGAUUUCUACUAAAAAUUUGUUAUAGCUAAUCAAUGCUACACCCAAGUGCUAUGUCUACCCUUUUUUGAAAGCACACGCAUGGAGAUUUGGAAUGUAAAUAAUGGUUGUUCCAUUGGCUAGAAAUUUUCAUUAAUUACUUAAUUUAUUACGACAUGCGAGUAGUAAUAAUUGAAUUUGAACUAUCAUUAUCGUAUGCAACGCAAAAUCACUCACAGCAUCGCAACUGCCUACGUAGCUCAAAAUCACUACUUUUCGUGCUAUCACUUGUGCAGCUUUGUGCUACUGUAUGAACUACGUAAAGAACGAUUAUUUCAUCAAACAAAAAGGACCUUUGAACAUAAGGGGAUUUUUUUAAUAAAAAUUUAGAAAUUUUACGAGAAUAUAUGAUUUAUUUCAAAAGUUGCAAGAACAUAUAAUCAAUAUAUUAUAUGAAUUAUGGUAAAGUUUGGGAAAAAAAAAACAUAGCAAUUAAUUUGGAAGUUUGCAAAAUAAAAUACACCAAUAAUUAACUCUACAAUCAUGUGAAAGAUUCCUCCCAAAAGGUGGUAGAGGAAUUCAACUAAAGGACAAAUUAAGUACACAACAAAGGCAAAGGUUUGACAAAAUAUUGGAUUAAUUUGACCAAUUUACGAUCAUGUUGAAAGUGUCCUAAAAAGUUGGAGCUGUUAAUGUUUACUUCCCCUUAAACUAAUUUUUCUUCUAGAAUGGUUAAUUAUAAGCCAAUAACACACAUAGUCACACAUCUCACUCCCAACAAACAAAUUGAUUAGGAUUAAUACUAAAAUAUGUCAGGGUUGAGGGUUCUCAUAGUAUAUAUCGGUGUAUUAUUAUUAUUACACACAUGAUCGCAAUUUGUCAAUAUAUUGAUUGUGAAACAACUUACUAUUCUAAACGAUUUAUACUUUGUUGUUUUAUACUCAAUGCUCUCACCGACUUCUACGGUAGAGACUUUUUACCUAGACCUAAGACUUUGAACUUAUAUUAACCAAUAGCAAAUUGAAUAACAUUCGGAGCUUAGUAAGAUUUGAAAUCAAUACAAAAUAUUAAAAUAUUAUUCUUUAAAAUAGUUCGAGUUUUUAGAGACAAGAGGUUACUUCACAUGAUUAAUUUAACAUGGUAUAUUCGCGUAGGAGAUCCUUAUAAAUUAAAAUCUCACCAGACUCUUAAUCUCAUUUGAUUAAUUGUUUCCCAUUUAAUUUAAUUCUAUAUUUAGGCCUAUCAAAGUUUUGAGACAUGCAGAUAUAUAUGAAAGGAAAUAUUGAAUGUAAAACAUAUAAUAAAUAUGAAGAUAAUAUAUUCCCUGAGACAGAUUAAGCUUAAAAAUAUCGUUUUCUAAUCACUUUCGGUCUUUGUUAAGAACCGCUUACUUUGAUAUCAUAUGCAGAAUUAAAAGAUAGUAUUUUGGGAGGGCCAAAAGAUUUCUAAUAAAGAAAAAGCAAAGUCAUAGACGCUUUGGAAUUACAAUAUAUAUCUACAGUGAGGUGACACUCCAAGAUGUGGGAGAGGAGCUAGAUUGUGAAAAAGAAGGAACCAAAAAGAAAGGCGUGGGCUUGGAAUUCACAUGGAGAAAAUAGCCACUACAUUAUCUUGGUGGCCUUUUGGUUUGGUUUCCUUCACAUUCUACGUCGCUUUUGCUUUGACUUUCUCGUGCCGUUCCUUUUGGUAUUUAAUGGUGAGUCGACAAGCACAUAUGAGCUACUCUCUCCGACCCAUAUCGAUCCACACUUUAAUUAAACAUAAACACACCUUACCUGUUAGGGAUAUACUUUGUGAAGUGGAACCUUUUGUGGACCCAAAACUAUAUUAUAUACAAUACGCAAAAGAAACUCUCCACCACUUAAUAUAUUACACCGAAUUAUUUAGUCAUAAGUUUAAGCUGAUGAAAAAUGAUGUGUUAUAAUUUGAGAUUAUGAUCGUCUUAGCAUAGUUAAUUAGAGCUUUUUUGCAAGUACUAUUGGAUGAUUAAAGUUGUUUGUAAAAAUAAUUCUUAAUAAUUUUUCUCUAUAGUAAAAGUAAAAAAAAAUAAUAAUAUUUUUUGAAAUAGAGGAACGAUUUUAGAAACUAUUUCAAUACCAUUGUAGCUAGCUAUCCGAUUCCUCCAAAAGCUAAUUAUUAUCCUACACUAUAAUAGCAAGGCUCUAUUAUUAUGUAUGGUGCAAAAAUUAGUAGAAUAUGCUAGAGAGAGAGAGAGAAGUGCCACGUAUGUGAGCUUUGGAAAAGUUGCCCGUAUUGUGUGGACUUUGCUUUGUGUUAGAUUGCGACUGCAGCGAAAAGAGAAUAAAGUUAUAUUUUGUAUUUUUGUGCUUUUAUGUAUUAUUAUGAUUUAUUAUUGUUAUGAACAGUGUGGGGUUGUAAAGGUGUGGCUUGGCUCACUCUUUACAUGACUUGAGCUUGUGGCUUUACAGGGAAUAAGGAUUUUGGCCCCAGUUCACCUUCACCUGCUUUGGGCUGUUUGUUUGCCCUGAUUUUUCAGACUGACAAUGAGAUUUUUAGUUGAACUGAGAGUGAAGUUUUUUUUUUUUCUUUUUUUUUUCUUUUUUUUUUUUCUUUUCUUUUGAGAAAUGCUAGCCUUUAAUAUAGUUUGGCCCCAGUUUACUAACAGGAGUAGCCGUUAGAUCAUACUAUUCAACAAACCAUUCACUCAAUCCUAGAAAACUACUAUCAUCCUAAUCGGAAUCCACUACCAUCUUAACUGCACAUUCUUUUAUCCAAUGACCAAAAUUUUAUAAAUACAAAAAAAUCUAUACUCAUAAAAGUAAAGCAGCCACAAGAAAAUAUAAAAAGUUACAACAGUUAUUUUUUUAAUUAUUUUUUGUAUUAUCUUUUCUUCCAUAAUUGACAUUGGCACUAUCUAUAUAGGUUGAAGUCAAUUAAUUUGAGAAAAUAAAGUUCCAAAGGAAUUUUAUUUAUAGUGAACCAAACAAUAUGAAUGGAUAAUUAUGACUGAAAAUAACUUUACUUUUCUUUGAUUUCAGUGCAACAAACAUACCCUACAAAACAACUUUAGAUGGGCUCUCCCUAGCUAGUGUCGCGAAGAGGCCUUGGCCCAUCACGCAUCGAAACUCUUCUAGUGCACUGUUCUUAAAGCAAGCAAAAUAUCGAUUACUAUAAUAUCGGUAGUAUGUAGGCCGCCGUUUGGUUGGGGUAUAAGGGGUGGGAUAAAGGUUAUCCUCUUUCUUAUAUCCAAACAAAAAAAAAGGGUGGGAUUGCUAUCCCACUCCUUAACGGGUUAUUCUGAAAAUUUAAAACUUUGAAUUUUUGAAUUUGAGGUUUUUUAAAUUCAAAUUUUAAAUUUUAAAUUUUGAAAUUUAACCCUUAUAUAUGUAAAUUUAAAAUUUUAAAUAUAAAAUUUAAAAAUUUUAAUGCAAAUAUAAUAAAGAGGACAAUAUUAUUUUUUAUUUAUAAUCCCUCACUAUUCUUCUUAAUCUAUUUACUCCAACCAAACAUCAUUUUGUUUAUAUCUGAAUUAAAUCCAAUACUCAACCAAACACAAAAUUAAUCUAUAUCCAUCUUAUACCUCAUCUUAUAUCUAUUUCUAAAACAACUAGCUUUUAAUUAUACUCGAACGAAUAGGAGUUUGGUUGGUGGGGCGCUCCUUAGCAAGUACUAGAGCGUACUAAACAUUUUAUUCAUUUUUUAUUCCCGAAUAUUUAUUCAGUCAUCAACUGCUCUGUUACUAGACGGAAAAAAAAAACAAAAAAAGCACUAUAGUUUAACUUAAUGCCAAACAUCUAAUCGUUGUUUCUCGAAGUAUAAAGCUGUUUCGAAAGAAAAGAAAAGACGUGCAAAAUUCGUAAUCUAUGAGCUUCAACAUCAUGUGGUCCGAACCGAAACUAGAGAGUCUACAAUUGAGUAGCCAAACUUAGUUAUCCAUCUUUCACCAUGUGCAUUGCAUUUAAAUGGGAACAGUUAUUCGAGAUCAUAGCAAAGGAUGCUCACGUCCUAUGGAGAUAUUAUUCCAAGGACUACAUGUGGUUUGCUCAUCGAGAGGGGAACAAGACAUGUUCUCCACGAUGUGAGAACUAAUUAGGGUGGAUCACUACUCCUGUUGUGCAUUUUAAUUCAGACUAUGUUAACUACUUCGCUCCCCCUUAAACACUCGAUAACAACAAUUACUUUGCCACUACAUUGAAGUGUGAUCUACACUUGCCUCAAAAAAGCGAGAAAAGUGAGAAAUUAAGUGCGAUACGAAGACGCUAAACCUGAAAUCUUUGAAUAGAUAAGCGAUUACAGUAGGGUCCACCGCAUUCAAUCAACGGUAUGUUGGUAACAUGUUUCAACAGGGUUAGAGAAGUACGUACGAACUAACGUAUGCUGUGGACAUAGUACGUACGUUCCAAACCUGUGAUGAUAAGCUGGCGAGUUUAAUUAAUUACUUAUUUUAAUUAUAUACUGGAUCCAGCUCCAAUAUUAGCUAAAAAUUAUCGUAACUAGGGUCGAUUAAUGCUUUCUGUACCAAAGAAUGUACCUCAAAGUAAGAAUAUUUCGCGAUGAUUAUAAGUUCAACAUAAAGUCGACUACGCUUUCGAAGAUCUUCACAUUGCCUUCCGCAGUGAAUUGCACAACAAAUUGUGUAGAGAACAUUGGAAGAGAAAGGAUUCGCGGUUAAGGACAAAUCUCUUACUGAUGGAAGUGCAAAUUUGACUUAAGCAGACUAAAAUUUACUGCCCGUGAUUACUUCUCAUAUGCAUAUUUAUGAUACUUUGACUUGCUUCGUACUCGUUCGUUUUGAACUUCGUCAAUCAAAUCAAAAAUCAAGUACCAAAAUCGAAUUGCUCAGUUUGCGGAAUGGGCAAUACUAUUUGUACACUCAUUAGUUUAUAGGCGUGAGAUUUUUGUCUACUCUUUCAAACAUUAAAAUUUACUUGUGUAAUCAAUUUAUUUUUUUAAAAAAUACUGAAAUCCGAAAGAGGUUUCUCUAUUACAUCAAUUUAAUAGCAUCAACAAUUACAUUAUUGUAAAAUUUAUUUUAUUACAACAGUUUGUGCCAUUACCAUUAUGAUAAUGCAAUCUUAUUAGUUAGUCAUUUAUUACCACAAGUAUAACAACGAUUUGCAACGAUUCUUAUUUAUUGUACAAAAUUAUUACUGCAACUAAUAGUUAUCAAUUGACAAUAAUAUUUACUGUUGAAAAAGAAUAAAUUUCAAGUGAUAUGAGAAUGACAUACAAAGGUAUAGCAACUUAAUUUUUUAGGCCCUACUUGGCACAUAAAUAUGUUAUUCAGUAUAUUUUUUCGAUUUUUAAUUAUUCUGCGAUUUCAAUAAGAUCUUAGUUAUAGUAGUUUCCUAACAAGUUUGAUAUUUCUUUUUUUCUUUCCGACAUGCUAGAUUCUAUCAAUAAUUGAUUUUAUCAUGUUACUAAAACAUAGGAUAUAAUUAAGUUAGGUGCCAUUCGAAUGAUUUCUGGUUGGCCUCUUAAAGCUUGAGGACACUUGGAGACGAAUUUAUUUAAUUUCUUCACUUGUUUUAGGAAAAAUAUAAAAUAAUUUGUUUCCGUACUCUAUGUAAGGAAAAAAACACACCUAUCUUAUCUGAACUAUGAACUAUUUUAAUUUGACUAUUUAGUUUUUUAAAUUUUAAUUUUAAUUUUAAAACUAACAAAUAACUCUAAUCAAAUAAAUUAAAAUAUUAAACAGUAUAACCAAAUUUUUUAAAGAUUUAAGUAGAUGAAUGAUAGCUCAGAUAAAUUCUAUACGAUUUUAUCUUUAUAUAAAUAAACAAUUGUAUUAAAGCUUAAAGCCGUUGAUGACUUAGAAAUAUCCCAGAAUCACAAGUCAUUGGUUCAAGCACUAGAUUAAACAGCAUUACCAUAAAAUUAUAAAUAUUUAAUUAUUAUUUUUUAUAGUAUAUAAUAAAAAAUAAUAAUCAAAGUAUAACACUAUAUUAUUUUUGAAUAUUUGAGCACGGAUUGUUAAAAUACUAACAUACAAUUUCAGCUGUUUAUUACACUACCGUCCCUAGAACAAAUGAUAAAGGACUUGAUGGUUGGUACCCGAGACCCAAAUUCGAAUCCUAGUUGAUUCACAUUCUAGCUAAGUCUUAGUUUGGUAUUGAGAUUUAUCUAACGCUAUAAAAUGGAGUUGAGGAGGGGUAUGCUUCUGCACUCUCCAAUGGGACCGCAGAAAAUAUAUCGUAACCGACUCAUCGCGAUAUGCGGAACGCAAUAUUACAUACGCAAUAUUACGUACGGAAACAAACAUGUAUUUUUCCAAAGUACUUUUUUACCGCAUGUAAAGUAAUUUUUCCGCAUUCCCAGCAUUUCCAAACGUAGCCUAAAUUUAUUUCUAAAUGAAAUAAACGAAGCAGGUAACGUGCUACCUAUCUCUCAAAAAAAAAAAAAAAAAACUAUUUAUUACACUACCAAAUAAGAAAAAUUCGGCGGAAUCUUAGAAAUUCUGACUCAAAGCAAAUUUUAAAUUAGUCCGAUUAUAUGAGUUGAGUCGAAUUGAUUUGUGCAGCAAGUCACGUCCAAUCAGUUGAUUUGAUCGAUCCGAGUCCUAAAAUACUAUUAAAGGUAAAUUGCACAUUCAGUCCUCAAACUAUGAGGAGGCUACGAUUUAGUCCUAAAAAUUUUAAUUCAUUAUAAUUUGUCGCUUGAGCCUUCAGAAUUUUUGCAAUCAAAUUUUACAAUCCAAUUUAAAAUUAUUGGCACAUCAUUUUUUUUUAGAGAGAUAGGUAGCACGCUAUCGCUUUGUUUAUUUCAUUUAGAAAUAAACGUAGCUGAAAAUGUGAAUUAACUAGAAUUCGAACUUGAAACUUCGGGUACCAACUAUCAAACCCUUUGCCACUUACUCUAAACACAUCAUCAAUCAGCAUACUACUAUAUUUUUUUUUCUAUAUUAGUAAUAUAUUAAUACUUAGUCAACUAUACUGAGUUAUAAGAUCUAGUUGUAAUAAUUCUGAAAAUUAAAAUCAGAAAUUAUUAUAGUAAAUUAAAGUCUAAAUAUGAAACCUCGAAUAUCAUCCAUUAAAUUUUUUUGUCACUUGCGAUAAGGACACAGUCGGUCACUUGCGAUAAGGACGGCCAGUAAUUGAUUGGAUAUGGUUGAUGUAGCGUAGGUGUGAUAUAGCAAGACAUUCUCCUAUUGGGGUGGGGCGGAGUGGAGCCAAGCCGAGCUCAUCGGGUUGGGCGGAGUGGAAGCCAGGCCGAGCGCUGCUGGGACCGCGGGCAGAGAGAUGGCCACGAGUUGAAACGUGUCGCUGGGCGUAUGCCAUCGGUACAGCCAGGGCCUCAUAAAUACCAAAAGUUUGCUUUUUAGCUUUCAGUGCCGAUCUGUCCCGAAACAGUUCGAUGUCAUGUGGACCCAAACCCAAACCCAAACCCCAGCCCCACUCCUCCCUCGCCAUUCUUCUUUCAUACUAUAUAUAUAUAUAUAUAUAUAUAUAUAUAUAUAUAUAUAUAUAGNAUAUAUAUAUAUAUAUACUGUACUAUACGAUUGAUUUUAUUUAUAUUUAUAUUUAUAUUUAUAUUUAUAUUUAUAUUUAUGUUAUUAUUAUCUAAUCUAUUAUCACUCACUCUCCCUCCCUCCUCUGAAAGCCCCCUGUUUUUCCGAAAAUACCCUCCGUUUCGACUCCCGCCUUGAGCGCUCUCCUAGAGGGCUUUUUCGGGAAGUGAAAAAUGGGAAGAGAUGAGGGAGGGAACUCUCUCUGCCUAUAAAGCAAGAUCCCGUUCGGUUCGCUCUCCCCUGUCCACUGCGAGCUCGGAGCGUAAACGGAGAACGAACGCUCUCUCCUUCGACUCUUUUAAAUAUAUCCCCACCCCCCCCCUCUAAAAAUCUCUAUAUUUCCCUAUCACUCCUCUAAUUUUCCCUCUCUCUCUCUCUUUUUCUUUUUUUUUUCCCCCCCUUGGCGGGGGAGUGGGGGAGGGAAGGGAAUUAAGUUUUUGGAAUUCUCCUCCUCUUUUCCCUCAGCAAUUUAAUUAGCUUCGAAUUUCACCCAAAAAUCGAAGGAACAAACGAGAAAUUGACGAAGUUAUGGAGAGAGCAAAGCGAGAAAGCCUAGCGGAGAUAGCGUCGUUUCCGAGCGACAUAGGCUCCGCCAGCUCCGCCGUGUCGAGCGUCCUCCUCUCCGGCACCAACGCCCUCGACUCCAUCUUCUCCCACCUCCCCCCUCCGCUCCCUCCGCCGCCCCUUCGGCCGUUUCUCCCGCCGCUCUCCGCCGCGGCUGCGCCGGAGCAGCUCGGCUCCGGCGUCUACCUCCGGCAGACGGAGCUCCUCCGGCGGCUCGGCGUGGCCCUGGCGCGCGCGCACCCCUGCUACGCCCACCGCGGAGGGUUUGGGGGGGCGGCGGCGGCGGCGGCGUCGGCGCGGGGGACGAAGCUGUACCGCGGGGUGCGGCAGCGGCAGUGGGGGAAGUGGGUGGCCGAGAUCCGGCUCCCGCAGAACCGGGUGCGGGUGUGGCUCGGCACCUACCGCCCCGCCAAGCCCAACCCCAAGCCCAACACCAACCCCAACCCCAGCAAAAAAGAUCCCCCGGCAAACGACGAUAGUAAUAAUAACAACAGCAACCAUAACAACAAUCAGAGUAUCAAUAAUUCUCACGCGGUGGUAGCACCAAGUCCGUCCCAGGAGUGCCCCGCGAACACGUCGUCGUGGUCGUCGUCAUCGUCUUCGUCAUCAACCUCCUCGGAGAGCGCGGCGACCGUCGGAUUCGCCGAAAUGGACGGCGAGUGCUCGCUCGCAAGGAUGCCGUCGUUCGACCCCGAGUUGAUAUGGGAGGUGCUAGCUAAUUGAGCUUCCCAGCCAGGCGCGCAAGGUACUAGUUCUAGAGUUAUGCAGAGUGUACAAGAUACAGCCAUAUGUAGAAGAGAAGGAAAUUUACAAAUAACCAACCCUCUGAACUUUAUGAAAAUUUUUAGAAAUCCUCUCGCUCCGGAGUCCGGAGCAGUCCCAGACCUGUCAAUGAUCUAGUUGGUUUUGUUUAGGUGACCUUUUAAUCAGCUUCAAAUUCAAAUUUUUGCUCAAAUGGUUUUUUUGAACCAACUAAAAGAUAUUAUAAAGUAAGGGGCGGUUUGAAAAUUUUUGUUUAUGUUUGCUCGUUCGUGGGCAACUUGUUUUUGAUAGUUGUUAUGAAGUAAUCACGGCGGGAGUUCAAGUGGCAGGUCAAGGAUUUUUUUUUUUUNUUUUUUUUUUUUUUUUUAAUCAUAAAGUUCAGGGGUUGUUUGUAAACUUCUCACAAGAAAUUGAGAGUUGAUGUUGGUUGCUGCUGAGUCUUAACAGAGCAGCAGUUUGAGUUUGUAUUCAAAUCCGAAUUUUACAUGGAUUUUAUUGUGAGUAGAUAAUCAUGUGUAUGUGCUACUAUGGGCUUUUUUUUUUUUUUUUUUUUUUUUUUUUUUUGUAAGUUGUAUGCGUAUAUGUAAUUUCUUGAAAUUGAUUCUCUGCUUGAUGAUCCCCAUGUGCAUGAUUUAUAGAGUUUAUGAAGCAAUUAUCCCCCAGAGGUAGCGUACAUGAUUUUGCUACCGAAUUCGCAUGCUUGCAGCAUUGUACUUGGUGCUUGUGCACAUGACUUUGGUCCUCAUUGUCUUGAAUGCACAACACUACAUAAGUAAGCAUCAAGUUUGUUGGUGCUUCUAGUUGAAGCCUAAUUAGUUUAUAUUUUUAACUUGAGUUUAUAUUUUUUUAAAAUAAAUGAACCGGAUAGUAUGUUAUUUUUUUCUCUCUUGCUUAAAGAAAAGGGUUGGCACUUUUUGCCCACGGCAGGUUAUAUCCUUUUCUCUGGAAGACGGACCAAACAGGAGCUAAAAUACAAAUAAAAUUGAGUUGAGUGAGGUAAAAUCGUUGGUUAGGAUCUUUGUAAGCUAUUGCUAAGAUGUAGGCACUAAUAUAUAAAAUUAAACAUUGAACCUCAAAUCUACAUAAAAAGGAAGCAAAAGUCUUAAAUGCGAAAAUCUAAAUCGGGCUUAAUGGACCUAUUCAGGGGCCCAAGGCCUAAUCGCCGGCCUAAAUCUAAGCCGAGCUCAGACAUGGUUCGGCCCUAAAUCAAAAUGGACGUUGGUACGAACUCACUGGGCCUAUUUCUGUGUGGACCGCACCUGAUCGAGGUUCGAUUUGGGUAAAUAACGUAUCGAAUGUAUGAUUUAAACUCUCCACUCUUCUCCCGUAGUCUCCGUAGGAAAUUUUAGUCACUCGCGGUGGGAGAAGAAUCCACGCGCGCGGGGUGAGGUGGUGCUUUGAGAAACCCCUAACUUCAUGCAACCGAACACUUGCUACAAACCCUCUGCGCCCCAAAACUGCCAUAAAAUUACCGCAACAACCCCUCUGUUUCGCAACAGCAACAGAGCAGGCGAAGGGCAUUUCCGUCCUAAAACCCGUUAAAUGUGGGAGUCGACCACGGCACACGUGCUCGGUGAUUCUCCUCCUCUCUUUCUACACUUGUUCGCAUUAAAUAAGAGGCCUACGUUUGGAGUGUGAGGGAGAGGACAAAGAGAGGAGGGACAAUUUGUGAGAGAAUCAUCGGUUUUCCAACUAAUUAUUCUCUGGUAACCCAAAAGGUUUGAUGCACACCAACUAUUUGAUCCAUGACACCACACUAAUCCAGCUUUCGGGGGUGAUUCCCUACUCUAUUGUAUUUUAAUCCGGUGGGUUAGUGGCUCCUUCUCUGUUAUCCACACUGGCUUCCACGAGACCUCCUCGCUUUUCUUGCAAGUUUUCUAUAUGUUCCACCUGCUAAAGUAAAAAUAGUCUCUCCGGUGCACCACGUCAGCUCGUGCACUGCCUCCUCUUACAACCGGUUACUAUCUUAUCCACUCAAAAAUGCCUUGCAUUGAUAAAAUAUUAUGUAGAUCAACUUAUUAAAGAUCUCCUAAGCUUCACCUAUACGUUUCACUUAUUUUCCACAUUGUUUAAACAUACUCGCUCCAACCCCUUUUUCUUUUUUUUUUUUUUUUUUUUUUUUUUUUUUUUUUUGUGCGACUCAUACGUGUUUAUGGAGGGUAAUAUACCGUCCACGAUUCCAACAUCUUUUUGCUAUUCUCAGGAAAGUUGUUGGUUUACAAAACGUAAAAUCCGAAGAUAGAAGUGUCGCUUUCUGGAAUUUGUCCUCAAACUUAGUAUCUCUUUUUCUUAAGAUUUUAUUAUUUUGGUUGGGACUUGGGACGGAGAUCCCAAAGUACCACACUUCACGACACCGUGCACACACUUUGUUUUAGUUGUUCCAUCGAUCGCCGUCCGUUAUGCCACGUCAGAAGGAUGUGAUCACAUCGGACGGUGGAUCCUCCGAACGCAUAGGCCUUAUAAAUGUACUUGCGUAGGGAGAGACGUCAUGUGAUUAAUGGGCAUUUAUGGCAUUUCACCAUCUUUCGCGGUUUCGUGGCUUCUCUAAUUUUUAUCUAAUUAAUUUAUAUAUUUUUUUAAGGAAUUUUGGUUUUACUAUUAAAGGGGCGAUUAGCGAUCACCAAUGGAGGAUGGGGAAGGGCGAGGGCGUGGACGAAUUCAGAUUACUAAGUUUGGUAACCUCGUCGAGAUCACAGCGCCCCUCCUCGGUCGAUAGCGAAAAGGACGAGAAGAAGCAGCAGCAGAGGAAGAAGAAGAAGAAGCAGCAUUUGCGAUUCCCACCACCACCGCGGCGGCGGCGGCCGCGGCGGCGGGGAUCAUGGCGGUGAGCGUACCUGGUGCGUCGGCGGCUCCGGCGAUCGCGGCGGCGGCGGCAAUGGGGAGCAGCCCUAGGAUCGUCGGCGUCCCCGCGACGAAGGAGUUCGGCGGGAUCCGGCGGUCGUGGUCGGAGCCGCAGCUCCGCUGCUCCGUGAUCGUCCCCCGCGCCGCCGCGCUGAAGAAGAGCCGCUCGAUGGGGGUCUUCCCCUUCUCGAUCUCGGGAUCGAUCCUUCCCGGCUCGAUCCGGUCGUUCCUCUUCGACUCCGACGACGCGCGCGGCGAGAUGCGGCUCGUGGACGCGGAGGAGGGCGACGAGGAGGCGGGAUCGGAGGAGGAGGAGGAGGCGGACGAGAAGGCGGAGAGGGCGAACUGGGUGGAGAGGCUCCUCGAGGUGAGGACACGGUGGAGGGAUCGGAAACAGAGGGAGGAGGAUAAUGCGAAUUACGAUGAGGAGGAGGAGGACGAGGACGAGGAGGAGGACGAAGCGGAUUACUACUGCGGCGUGAGCUACGACACGGAGGAUGAAGAGGAGGAGGGAGAGAGCAAAGUAUCGGAUCGGAUCGCCGAGUGGGAUCGCGACUCCUUCUCGAAGCUUCUAGUCCGAGUCCCCUGGUCCGACGCCAUGCUCUUCUCCCAGCUCGCCCAUCUCUCCAACUUGGCCUACGUGAUACCCGAGAUCAAGGUAACCUAAUCGCUCCCCAUCCUACCCGUCCAUUUCUCAACGAAAGGCCCCUGAUCUCAUCAUUACUCUUUUUUUUUUUUUUCCCUCCUUUUUUUUCGUAUGUGCGUUGUUAAGCGCGAAUUUGUGUGUUCGGUGGCAUCACUACUGCAUGUGGGGCCCGCGAUUUUUAUCUAACGUCGAUUUCAUAAAAUUUUAGGCAGCGGAAUUGAGGAAGUGGUACGACCUGCUGUUCGUGACGUCGUCGCUGGAGAAGAAAGCGGAGGCCGCGGCGGUGGUCGCCAAGCUCGAGCUCGACUCAACCCGGCCCAGCGCCGGACCGGCCCGUUCGGACUCGGGCGCGGCCGAGCCCAAGCGCCCGGUCCGCCCCGCGGUCGCGUACGACAUCGCCGCGUCGGCCGCGUCCUACGUGCACUCCCGCGCGAAGGGCCUCCUCUCGCUGGGCGCGCGACCCGAGGGGGUCGAGGAGGACGAGGACGACGACGAUGACGACGUGGCGAGUUGCAGCGCGGCGCCGUACAAGUCCGAGGUGGCGGCUUACGUGGCGGCGUCGACGAUGACGUCGGUGGUGGCGGCCGAGGAGGCGGCGCGGCGGGAGGCCGCGAAGGACCUGCGCUCGCUCCACUCCUCGCCGUGCGAGUGGUUCGUGUGCGACGAGCCCGCGACGCACACCCGCUGCUUCGUCAUCCAGGUGAGCGUGUGAAGUUACGCAAUCACCCCUAGCGAAGGUGUUCGAUCGGAGGUCAACUUCGAAAAAUAGUAUUGGAGAAUAAAUUAACUAUAGACAAUUUUUUUUAAAAAAAAAAAGAAAAAAAAGAAAAGAAAUCUUAGCUACCCAAUGCCCCGCCAAACUGGGCACGUACGUAUAGUAGCAUUACUUAAAUGUUCUGUAGUUGCUCAAAAUAAUUGUUUACUCUAAUAUGUUUACUUAUUAGAGUAGUUAAUUAGUUAUUAUCGAAUUGCUAUUUACCUCAGCGUGCAUCUCGAUCUUAAAGUGGAAAGAUCAAUCUUUGGACUUCUCAAUAGCGUAUUUUUUUUAUUUUUCGGAAAUUAGAAAUUAUUUGUCUCAGCGUGCAUCUCUUGUUCACAUUACACUUUUUGCCAGUAUAAACACCUUUAACAUGUUGGACGAAAUGGGCAGGGAUCGGACUCGCUGGCUUCGUGGCAAGCCAAUCUACUGUUCGAACCAACUAAAUUCGAAGUAAUUAAUUAAGCUCACGCAACUCAUUAAUUACUCCUCUCUGUAAAUUUCCUACGACUUCCCCACUGAGGUCUCUUACGUGAGUUUCUUAACGCUACUUUACCCAGAACACUGGAGUUCCUGUACAUAGAGGAAUAUACGAAGCCGCGAAGGGGAUCUACGACCAGCUGUUGCCCGAGAUCGAGGCGCACUUAAAGGCCCACGGCGACCGGGCCAUGCUACGGUUCACGGGCCACUCCCUCGGGGGGAGCCUGGCGGUGCUGGUGAGCCUGAUGCUGCUGGCGCGGGGCGCCGUUGGGCCCGGGGCGCUCCACCCGGUCGUCACCUUCGGCACGCCCUCCGUGUUCUGCGGAGGGCAGCGCGUGCUGGAACGGCUCGGCGUCGGCGAGGGGCACGUGCGUGCGGUGAUGAUCCACCGCGACAUCGUGCCCAGGGCUUUCUCCUGCAGCUACCCGGGCCACGUCGCGCUCGUGCUCAAGCGGCUCAAUGGCGCGUUCCGAUCCCAUCCCUGCCUCAACAACGAGGUAGAGUCCCUGAAUUUGACGUUAAUUAAAUGCCGACCGAGUAUUAGUCAAUGUCGCAUCGCUCGCUACCUUGAACUGACCUAAUUAGUUCUACUUGAUUAAUCUGACUCUUUUCUUGAUGUUCUGAACUUUCCUUUUGUUAAAUAUUCAAUCUCUAUUUAAUGAAAGACCGGCUUGUUACUGGGGAGUCACUUACGUACUAGUCCUCUCAGUAAAGGCAUCAAUAUUAAAAAAGAAUUAAUAAGAGUCAAAACUUUCUCAUCCAAUGCUUUUCCUUCCUGCCUGUACGGCUCCACCAAUAUUAGCUAAAGUGUCAUUUUAAUAUAAUUCUUAGCGACCGUGGUCGCAUUCGGUAAUAUAAUAGUUAAAAAAUAUUAUCUUUAUAUUAUAUUAUUUUUACCGCGUAAAUUUAAAGAAUCUUUUCUCCAUUGGGCGAAGCAGAAGGUGCUGUACUCGCCGCUGGGCCGGACGUACAUCCUCCAGCCGGACGAGAGGUCCUCCCCACCGCACCCAUUCCUGCCCGACGGCGCGGCCCUCUACGCCCUCAAACCCGCCGGCGGCGCGGAGCGCGGAUCGCGCCUUCCUGAACACGCCGCACCCGCUCGAAACGCUGAGCGACCCCAAGGCGUACGGCUCGGAGGGCGCCAUCUUGCGCGACCACGACUCGAGCAACUACGCCAAGGCCAUCAGCGCGCUCCUCAAGCAGCACACGCGCUCCGUGGUGCGCCGCUCCCGGGCGCAGCGCCUGCACCACUGGUGGCCCCUCCUCACCCGCCGCGCCUGCCCCGGCUCCAACGCGCCGGCGUUGGAGACGCGCCGCUUGGUCGCCGAGGAGCUCGUCACCGGCGCUUAGGCACUUCUCGCACGACUGAUGUUGCGGUCUCGGUCCGUGUACUCGACUUAAAUUGCGUCCGUCGAGGAAAAAAAAUAAAAAAAAAAUAAAAAAAAUUAAAAAAAAAAUAAAAUAAAAUUGGUGGGCUUGUUCUUUGCAAAAAAAAUUUCCUCAAGGAUUCCUGUACAUGCUAAAAUGGGCCGGGCUUGUUCAUUCGUUCCUUUUGUAUCUUUUCUGGUAAACAAUUAUCCGGAUUCAGUUUAUGUUUCAUCAGAGAUUCAGAGCACAUGUAAUAUCUUUCUCGCUCUCUACUCUCACCCCAGGCCCGGACCAGGUUCAGGUCCAGGUCCAGGUCCAGCUUUCAUCGAGCCACAAAUUUUUAGAUCCCACCCCAUAUAAUGAACCGGGUCGGGUCUGAACCGAAUGCAUGGAGCCGGGACGGGCGAUCCUGGUCGGGAAGAUCAGGUGGGAUUUUCUUAGUUAUUGACUCUCGACGCGAGUCCGAGACAGAAGAUGUUGAAUGGACUUCGUGGAUCAGUUAGAAGGAAAUCCUCGAACAAAUUACAAAUUGAAGGAUCCUUAAACGAUACAACUGUGUGUGUUGUAUACUUCUUUCUUACCUGUAUGAUGGGGAAAAGAAUAGCAAAUCACGGGGCAACAAAAUUCCUAAUUUGGGAUCAAAUUUAGAUCCUUGGGCCGACCCACAGAUCCCAUUAGUGAUAGACCUGCUUUUUCGACGAUCCGAGGCUUGUCGAGCAGGUCAAGCCAGAUGUUCAAAGAAUCAAGUCCUCAGAUCAUUCGGCCCCGGUCUCGCCUAUAGCUGGGCUCAAGUGCAGAGCCCAGUAAUAUAUUACAUAUGAGAACUUGAUGUGUGUUGGAAAGGGCACGAACGUGCCUGGGUUGAUAGAUGAAAAUUUUUAUACACAUUAUAUACAGAACAGUAUCCUUGUUUAGAUCCAAUGCGAGAUUUCCUAACAAUUUCUUGACACAUGUUAAUUACUACACGGAAUAAUUCUAAUAUAUAUAUAUAUAUAUAUAUAUAUAUAUAUAUAUAUAUAUAUAUAUAUAUAUAUAUAUAUAGUUUCUGUGGAUGUCAUUGUUCAUCCUGUUUCCAUUUUUGUGUGAUUUCUGCAUUUUUUGCAUAACGUCAAUAUAUGAUCUUCGUACUACCUGGUUUAAUGUUCAUACACCUGGUUUCUAGGUGAAAGUAUGCUAAUCUUAUAGAGAUAAANACGGAGCCUUCCGUGCUUCCAGCUCGUUUUCGAUGUUGCGACUUUCGAAUCGUCGAUCGACUCCGUUAAACUUGAUAUAGAGUAUUUGAAAUACCUAAAAAAUAAAUUAUGCAAUUUUUCGAUAUUAUUUACCUAGUGAACGAAGGGGCUCAAAAUUAACGGCUGAAAAUAAAAAUAUUACAAAACGUGAUAAUAUGACAUUAAAAUUUUAGAUCAAAGAUAUUGAUCUUGUACGUUUUAUAUAGUAUAAAGAAUUUUCUUUCAAAAUUUCACGUGAUUUGGAUAUUUCUACAUCGUUAAACUUGUAAACGGCUCACUACGACCAUUAAAAUUAUUGAUUUUGAGCCCCUUCGAUCACUAGGCAAAUGAUAUCGAAAAAUAAUAAAAUUUAUUUUCUAGGUACUUCAAAUACUCUAGAUCAAGUUUAACGGAGCCGAUCGACGAUUCGAAAGUCGCAACAUCAAAAAUAAGCUGGAAGCACGAAAGGCUUUGUAUUAUGGCAAAUGAAAUCCCACUCAAUUAUGGCACAGAUCCAACCCACAUGCCUAGUCCCUUAAACAACUACAUGCUAAAAUACAAUUAGGUUGCAGGCGGAUAAUGUCUCUUAUAGAUCACGUCUACGGUGUUGGAUCCUCGACUAUUCAUAACAAAAGGCUUAAUGGUUGGUAUCUGAGAUUUCAAAUUCGAAAUAUAGUUGCUUUACAUUUUUAGCUAAAUUUAUUUUAAAAUAAAUAAACAAAUUGGACAGGCAUACUAUUUUUUCUUAAAUAAUGAAGUGCUUCAACUCAACUCAAUGUAUGCCUCCUAAUCAUAUUUAAUUAUAAAAAUUUAGAAAAUAGAGGUGCUACAAAUUAGAAAUAGAUCACUUUAUUAAUCUUUUCUCAACUUUUUUUUUUUAGAUUGAAAGAUGAUAAGCUAUCGGUUAUUUUUUUUUAAAACAAAUAAUUUUUACUAAAAUCACGAAAUAACUAAAAUUCGAACUGAAAAUCUCGGAUACCAAUCAUUAAGCUCUUAUCACUUACGCUAAGGUAUAAUUUUCCCAACCCGAUUACGCCAUUUAUCGAAUUGUGCGCGCCAAAAAUGAAGAGGCCCCAUGUCCAAAGCUAAGGAGCAUACAAUGCCACUGCCCUAGCUACCAUUUUUUUAUGGCCCCGUCCCACUCUUUUAUCUCUUGGGAUGUUCUCAGACAAAACUCUGAACAGUAUUUUUUUUUCCUUAAAAAAAACAACCAAAGCGCCUUUACCAGAAAGGGUGGAAGUGGAUAAGCACGCACACCGUACCGUCCCUCUACGCAUCCACGAAGAGCCACGCGCCGCGUUGCGCCGCUCCCAUUCGUCCACGCGUCCCCGUUCCCACUCCCACGGACACUGUACUACGCGGUGGAGAAACUGUUGCGUCGUCCGAGGUUCUCCGAACACGAGAACGAUUAAAAAAUGAUAAGCACGAACUCAAAUGCAGAGUUGUCGGUGUGGAGUGUUCUAGCUAAAUUACAACUCCUCGUACAUUACUAAUUUUCCCUGCCGUAAAUAUCUAUUUGUUGCUAAUAGAUAGGGAUGCAAACGGAUCCGGAUUGGUGGUGCUCUCAUCCCGAUCCGCUCCGACGGAGGCAGUAAAUGAGAGAAAGUAAUCGGAUUCGGAACAGAAAAUGGGAUAAGUUUUACGAUCCGAGACAGAUUCGGGGCAGGAAACGAAAAAAAUUUUGACCCGCCCCGAAUCCGCCCCGUCAUGAUCCGCCCUGAAUCCGCUCCGAAUCCGCUCCGAAUAUCAUUUGUAUUUUUAAAAAAUAUUUUUAAAAAAUAAUAUAUUUAUAAAAAAAGUUCAAAAUACAAAUAAGUUAUUACUCUCAUUUCUAAUGUAUUUGAAACAUUUGAAUUUGUUUUGAAUUGUGAUUCAUAUUUUUAAUUUUUAUCAUUAAUAUUGUUAAAUUAUAUAUAUAUAAUAUUAUUAAAAAUUAUUAUUUUAUAUUUUAUAAAAUAUUAAUAAUAUUAUAAUUUUAUAAAAAAUAUUAGUUGGCGGGGCGGAUUUGGAGCGCCGGUAGGAGACGGGUUACGAGGCAGGGCGGAUUAUGGGAUGUAUUUUUUAACCCGUUACGGAUUCGGGGCGGGAGGCGGGGCGGGUUUUGCUAGUUGGGGCGGGAGGCGGGGCGGGUCUCCCGCCCCCAGAUCCGCCCCGUUUGCAUCCCUACUAAUAGAACAGUAAGAAUAUUGCUCCCAUAAAAUCGACUGUUCCUUGUGCAAGCGGUAAAAAUUUUGGUUGUUGAUAUUCGAGAUUUUAAAUUUAAAUUUUUGUUGAUUCACAUUUCCAACUAAGACUUAGUUUGGUAUUGAGGCUUAUCAAACGCUAUUAGAUAAAAUGAAGUUGAGGAAAAAACAUAUAGGGAUAUGCUUCUGCGUUCUCCGAUGGGACCGCAGAAAAUAUAUCGUAACCGACUCAUCGCGAUAUGCGAAAUGCAACAUUACGUACGGAAACAAACAGACUAUUUUUCUAACGUAUUUUUUCACCGCACGUAACGCAAUUUUUCCACAAUUCCAAAUGAAGCCUAAGUUUAUCUUAUAAAAAAAUAAACAAAGCGCGGGCAGCAUGCUACCUUUUUCUUAAAAGAAAUAUUACUCCGAUAAAUAACUCUUCUAUAGAAUUCGUUAAUUAAUAUCCGAACUCAUUAGCUGAUAUUCAUGAGUCCGGCUGGGAUACUAUUGAUAGCACCAAAUAUUUGGUGCUAUUAAGCUUUCCGUAGUUAAAUUUAACCCUUUGACUAUUUUCAUCCGUUAGAUUAUAUUAUUAAACCAAUAACUCACUCAACCCUAGAAGGCCCACAUCAUUCUAAUUAACUACACAUUUUUUCAUCAAAGGGCCAAAAAUUUAAUAGCACUUACCAAUAGCUUUGUGCUAUUAAUAGUAUUUCAGCCUAGAUCUUACAUUUAUUUGUCGGGAGGAAAAAUUGGUAAUAAGUACAACACCGCCCAUUUUGAUUCUAUAUUUGUUCGAAUGAAAUGUUUAGCUAAUUCUAUACGUCGAACCAAAAAAUUCUUUCUUUUUCUGAUUUUUCUAUCUUUUCAUUCAUUUUCGACGGACCCUUCGUCUUCUAAUAAUUCUAUUUAUAGAGAAAAAAAAAUAGCUAUCAUUCUUUUUUCUGACGAAUCACGUAAUCGUACAAUGUUGUGACUAAUAAGGUCAUUAAAUGAAGUGUGACCGCAAUUGAAAUGAUCGAUAAAGAGAUAUAUAUAUGAGUUAAUAUAAGCUCUAAGGUCCCCGUUGAUGUUGUUUCCAAUCCCCUACGCAUUUCAUCCUCCACCGGAAAUUUUCUCUGCUCCUAUCGUACUCCAGCUUGAUAGUUUCCACCGCCUGUUCAAGGUUGAGCCCUAAAAUUUGACGGCGGACUUGACAAGCCACCAAUAAGCGCUUUACGCCCAAUUAUUCUGAAUAACGCUUGCAUCCUUUGUCUUAUUGUGGCUACCGGUAUAGAGAGUUAGCUGAUACUUAUUCCUCUGAUAUGUUCUAUCUAAAUUACAAAACUCGAUUUUUUACAAAUUUUUACAAAUCUCGUGUAUUAAUUAUCAAACUUCUAGCUAACUAAAUUGGAUAUAACCAGUAAAAUAUUACACCAAAUAGUCAUACAAAAUAAUAGUACCAUUAAGAUAACUUCUAUAUUUUUUUUUAUAAGAUUGGCAUUUUAGAUAAUAUAAUAUCAGAAUCAACCCUAAACUCAUUAUUUUAGAAGUGCUGAGACGUAAUAUAUUUUCAUCUAUUAUUUUGUUGCCUUCCUCGCUACCUCUUCAGUCAUUCCACAAUAUAUAUAUAUAUAUAUAUAUAUAUAUAUAUAUAUAUAUAUAUAUAAACAUUAAUUUCAGCUUAUAUAUUUUGUGUUAGCCAUAAAAGUCAUCAAUUAAGCGAGCAAACAUCAGUCCGACUCAGCUCGAAUUAGAUUAAGAGAAAGCUCGAGCUUGCAAGAAGCNAUAUUAUAAUUUGAUUAUAAAUUUUAGAAAAAACUUCAUAUAUUUUUUCUAUAGUUCAUCACUUUUUAAUCUUAAUAUUUUAUAAUUAUAACUGUAUCACUUAUAUACCAUGUGGUUUCUGUUCUCAAUUUCUAUUAGCACCCCGUUAAAAUAGUCAUGUAGCGCGCACGUGUGCGUCAUUGAUCCUCACUUUUUUUCUUUUUUUUUUUUUACCGUCGAGGACUCUUCAAAUACGAUCAGAAUUAACCACUAAGGGAUCGAUCUCAUCUCUUUGCAUGUCGAUUUUCUGUGUCUUUUUUUAUUAAUUUUGUGAAACAUUUUUAACCCACAUACGCGACGCAUGAUUUUUUUUUUUUUUUUUGGAGAGAUAGGUAGCAUGUUAUCUGUUUCGUUUAUUUCAUUUAAAAAUAAAUUUAGCUAGAAAUAUGAAUCAACUAGAAUUCUAAUUUGAAAUCUCGGGUAUCAACUAUCGAGUUCUUAACCACUUGCGUCAGAAACUGUCGGUGAUACGCGAUCAUUAACUAGUUCCCAGAGGAGGAAUUCUACACUGUCACACUUGCACCACGUCAUCAAUAACAAGCCAAUCACAUUCCUUCUUUUCAAACGAAAGUACAAUAAAAAUACUUUUGACAUAUAUUUUUAAAAGAAUUAACUUGAUUGGUUUGUUACGCCACGUCACUAAUAUACCCGUUGCAUUCUAGAAAUUUUCUUCCCAGAGAGGCCCAGUUCUACAAAUCAUGGUCCAUGCAAUAAUUUCUCGAGUGACAUGGCUCAGGUAGCUUUUUCCUAUUUGGAAACCAAAAAUAUCUCUGAUCUCUUUAGCCGGCACACUCUCAACAAUCCCCAUCCCACAGUAACGGAAUAAAAGAGGAACCCACCCACGCACUGCACUGUCCUUCUCACACGUGGACGUCUCCCAUUGGUCGAUUAUUGUGCGGACGUAAAUGAGCCCUCUCAAAUAAUGAAGAGGACACCUGGCACAAUACCAUUGGCCACAUAGUCACGCCCCCCUCCCUUCGUGUGUUUAUUUAUUUAAGAAGAAACUUCAAAUAUCUCUUCUGUGUUUCACAUUUUUUCACUUUAAUAUUUUAUAAUUUAAAAUAUAUUAAGUUAGUAUCUUGAGAUUUCGCACUUUGUUUUUUUAAUAUCUUUUAAUUUCAAAUGUAUCAAUUUAGUAACUUGUGAUUUUAUUUUUGUAUCAAGUGAGUAUCCUGUGAUUUUUUUUUUCUUUUUAUUAUCUUUUUCGAGGUAUAUAAUUUAACGAAAUAUUAAACCAAAAAAUACUAAAGUGAGAAAGUGCGAAACCACAUAGUACUAACUUGAUAUAUUUAAAAUCACAGGGUACUAAAGUGAGAAAGUGCGAAAUCACAUAGUACUAACUUAAUACACUUUAAACCAUACGAUACUAAAGUGAGAAAGUGCGAAACCACAUAGAAUAUUUAAAGUUUCCCCUUUACUUAAUUAAGUUUUUGGAAUGGAGCUACGGCACCGGAGUAAGUGCGGCACACUUACACCAUAUGAGAAAUAAUAAAUUAAUUAGAUUUAUUUUUAAAAAUUAUAAUAAUUUUUUAAAUUAUGAUAAGACAGAUUAAUUCAAAAAAAUUAAUUUGAUUAGUUGAAAAUAUCAUAUCACUAGCAUAACUGGUGUAUUUUAAAAUUUUUCAAUGAUGAACACGUGGCAAUGCUCGUUUGGGGUUUUAGGUUGUCCCUUUUUUUUCCUUUUUUUUUCUCCGUACCCACAACUUAAAAAGUAAACAAAGUAGGGCCAUGUUUUACUCAAAAAAUAGGGCACCAUGCUUUUCCAAAAUUUGGCAUUUUUUGAAACAUGUAACUGUUGUUAUUAAUUGGCUUUAUCUUUGAAGGAUACUUCUUGUUAAAUCUAAAUCAUAAACAUUUAAUGGAUCAAGCAAUCACCGUCCGUUGCUUUAUCCAUUAAGGAUCGCGAUAUGAUUGGUGCAUGCGCAUUUCUCGAUUAUAACAAAUUGUGUCCAGCAUCGACUGUCCCUAGAGCAAGUGGCAAAAGGUUUGGUAGUUGAUACCCGAGGUCCCGGGUUCGAAUCCUAGUUGAUUUACAUUUUCAGCUAAGUUUAUUUUCUAAAUGAAAUAGAUGAAGCGGGUAGCGUGUUACUUAUCUCUCAAAAAAAAAAAAAACAAAUUAUGUCCAGCUGAAGUGCUAUUAGAAACAACAAAUUUUUGACGCUAUUAAUUUUUUCGUCCUUGUGUUAACUUUCUUGACAUAGAGAGCCUAAUUAAUAGCGGAGCUAUUUAAAAAAUCACUAUAUCUUUUUAGUUAAAAUUGUUUCGACCAACUUCUGCAACACAUAUUAAAAAUAAAGUCUUCGGGAUAGGAUUUUUUCUAGCUUUUCGUCACAUCAAAAAGUUAUAGGCUUUUGUCAGUCAAACCUUUGUUUGCUACACCCGAAGUAAACAACCAGCGAAGUAAUCACGAUCGCACCGACUUCUUAAUAAUCUUAUCCUGUUGAAUUCAUUGUCAAAACUAUUGCCUGAAAAUGUGGGAAUUAAUUUUCAUACUUAUCUUUCCAAAUUGAAGAAAUGUGCUACAAUAUCUACCAAUUGUUUUGCACUUAUCUUUCUCCUUCGAUUUAAUGUUGUUUUUCUAAUUUAGUGUCAAAUCAAGUACAACUCUCAUCGAGAAAAAUAAAUGAAUAAUAAGUAGAUGUGUAAAUUGAUUAUUCAAACUUUACCUUUCUUUUCUAUUAACAUGGCUUUUUAAGUUCUUUGUAUUAUGAUUAAUUUUAAUUGGAUAAAUAGUUUAAAGAUUAAAAUUUUGUUAAAUUUGAAUUUUUUUUUUUUUAGUUCUCUAAAAAGGUUCAAUAACAGUUAACAGCCUAAAUUAUUAGACUUUAUUAAAUAUAACCUAAACUAAAAUGCAUUAAAAAUUAAAAUAAUAUAAAAAUAGGACUUAAUUUUUAAAAUGGUUUAUAGUUAAGUGGUCUCCAUAUAUAUACAACUACUAGCGAACCCGCGCUUCGAAAUAAUUGUAUUAUUUUAUAAUUUAGAAAUAUAUAACUUAUUAGUAAUUUUGUAUUGUUGUAUUGAAGAAAAUUAUAUCGCAUGUAUUACAUAUUAUAUGGAUACGUAAUCCACAUAGGAUCAAUGUCUAAAAGUUGUAUAUAAUAACAAAAAUAAUAAAUUUAGAUAGCAAUUUAAUAAGGCUAUAAAUAUAAGACUCUUUUUGAGUAGAAUAUAUAUAAAUACAUUUUAUGAAGUACUUAUAUAAAUAGAUGAUAUAAAUAAUGAGGACUCCAUUAAUAUCAUGGAUGAAUUUAUUAUUUUUGUUAUUAUAUACAACUUUUAGACAUUGAUCCUAUGUGGAUUACGUAUCCAUAUAAUAUGUAAUACAUGCGAUAUAAUUUUCUUCAAUACAACAAUACAAAAUUACUAAUAAGUUAUAUAUUUCUAAAUUAUAAAAUAAUACAAUUAUUUCGAAGCGCGGGUUCGCUAGUAGUUGUAUAUAUAUGGAGACCACUUAACUAUAAACCAUUUUAAAAAUUAAGUCCUAUUUUUAUAUUAUUUUAAUUUUUAAUGCANUGAGUAGAAUAUAUAUAAAUACAUUUUAUGAAGUACUUAUAUAAAUAGAUGAUAUAAAUAAUGAGGACUCCAUUAAUAUCAUGGAUGAAUUUAUUUAUUCUUUUAUAAGAUAUAUAGGCAAAUAUUUAAUCUAAAUAGGAUCUUAUAAAGAUCAUAAUAUAAGAUUACCUUUUAAUAGACUUUUAUACACAAAUUUUUAUAAAGAGUAACGCAUACAUGAUUUUUAAAGGGUCUUAAGAAAUUUUUAUGUAAAAAAUUCAAAUAGGAACUGAACCAUUAAAUCUAAAAUAUUAACCAAUACGAAUUUUUUAUAUAAAGUAUAUAAGUUGAAUAAAUUUAUAUAUAAAUACCUUAUAACAAUAAAAGUCCAAAGACUUGUAUAUAAAUACUAAUUUUAAAGACUUGCGCAUAGAAUUAUAUUUACAAGUUGUUAAUUGUUAAGGAUUUAAAUGCAAAAACUACAUAACGGGCGAAAUGGUAAGAUCAAAUGUGUUAGAAUUUGACUAAGAAACUGAUAUAGUUUAAUUCAUAUUUUUAAUAAAUGAAACGAAUAAUGUACUACUCUUCUCUAAAGAAGAAAACCGAAUUUGACAAAGGAGUAUUAAAGUACUUUUAUAUCAUGCACUUUACAUACGCUAUGUAUAUUUUGCUUACAAAGCCGAGUGUGGAUAAAUGAUGGUAAGAAGUAAUCGGAAUAAAGUGACACGUGUUCACUUCAGGCCUUCUCAUAUCGAUAUACACUAGUGAAAGACCCGCGCGAUGCUGCGGAUAUAAAAAUAUUUUAAUAAUAAAUUUUGAUUUAUAUUUAUAUAUAUUUUAUAUAGUUUUAUAAGUCUAAUUAUUGAUUAAGUAAAAGUUAUGUUAAAAAUAAUUUAAUAAUUAAAUAUGUUUAAAGAAAAAUAAUUAAAACUGGUAUAUGUGCAACAUAAAUUUAUAUAACAGUUUAUUAAUAAUUAAAUUAUUUUGUAAAGAUUUAUGUGAAAAAGAUUUGAGAUAAAUCUAUUCAAAUAAUUUAAAUAAAUCAGUAAAUAAAAGAAAAAUAAAUAGUAGAAGAAAUUGUUUAUAAAACUAUAUUUAUAUAUAUACAGAGAAACACACACUAUGUUUAUAAAUUGUUAUUCCAGAAAUUUAAAUUUUGUAUUUUUUCAUAUGUCGACAUUUUUCAUGAUUUAGAUUGUAUCUACCAGAAUGGAUUUUAUUACGCAAUUUAUUAUGCGUAUUAUUAAUACAAUUAAUUAAUUAUAUAGGGUUUAAGCGUUUAAAUUUUGAAGUUUGAAAUUUAGAAAUAAAUAUUAUAAAAUUUAAAAUCUGGAGCUUAAAAUUUGAAAUUAUAAACUUUAAAAUUUUAAUAUCUAAAAUUUUAAAUUUUAAAUUUAGAACUUAAAAUUAUAUAUAUAUAUAUAUAUAUAUAUAUAUAUAUAUAUAUGUAUGUGUGUGUGUGUGUGUGUGUGUGUUAGUGUGUGUAGAAGGAGAGAGAAAUGGAGGGUUGGGGGGACACGUGUCACUCUAAAGUCCUUCCAAACCAUUUUUUAAUGUAGUUAGAUGGAUGUCCUUACACCAGGUGGGUGCCACAAGUUUAACCUUUUACGGAUGAACUUUUCAUCAAUCACAAUUUUUUUGAUGAGAUAUUGAUCCAACAGUUACAACAAAAAGGAUGAAAAUUCGUGAAUGCCCUCUUUAAUUAGAGGUUGUUUCGAAACAGCCUAUCUCCUGAACCAUUUUAUUGUAAUUGAAACUCUCAAGUUCUUUUUGUUUAAUUUGAAUUUAUGUAUUUACUUACCAUUAAAAUUUUAUCAAAUUUAAUAAUUUUAUUAUUAAUAAUUAUUGUUGAUUAACUUAUUUUUAUUUGUUAAAAUGUGAUACGGAAGUAGUUGUUUAUAUUCUGAUAGACCCACGUCAUCCACCCAACUAGAUGUCUUUACACCGACGUCUAUUUUUUUUGUUCAGCUAUCCAAUCUUAAGUGAAAAUAAAAUAACUUUUAGGAAUAAAGAAAGGGUAUACAACGUGGAUUGAAAGUAAUAAUAGGACGUGAUGGCGACAAGAAUCAGGAUCAAUGUAAUAGUUUUUUAAAAUAUUGGGCUUGGGGAGAGAGAAUUUUAUUAAUUCACACUACCAUCCCCAUUAAUUAUUGGAAAUCAAGAAGAUUCCAGAAAGCAGUAUGAUCUAAAAUUAAUGUUUAAAAAUAGUAGUAGUUGAUGCAGAUAAGGGACCUUCUCUUGGCACUAAUGAAAUCUAAUAAUGACAAUCCUAUUGUUGUAGAACUGGAGCAAUUUACAAUGAAAAGCAACACACAAUGUUGAAAGAAGGAAAGAGUGAGCACAUAUUAUAUGUGUCAUGUGUGGGGCUUUGCACUGAUGUUUUUUUUUUUCAAUUUAUUUUUUGAGACAAAUAAUUUGUUGUUACUAUGCCUGGGGACCAUUUUAAACAUAUAUAUAUACCCUUCAUUUGGUGUAAAAUCACUUUGUCACACUUUGUUUUUACUGUUUGGGGAGAUUUGAGUUGGCCCCAAAAAUAGAUCAAGAAGAUAUAUAUCUACAUGAGCAAUUCUUUCUUCAAAUUAAACCUCUCUGCUGCAUAAGGUGAGACAGCCAGGAUCUCAGAAGGGCGGAAAAGCAAAAAGACAAAGGUUCACGAAAAAAGACUAAGAAAAAAAAAAAAAGAACUCAAGACGAGGUCCAAACCAAGAAAUAGCCGUAACGCAGGGCUCACUCUUUUGCCAACACUUCGAUACGAUAGGCUGUUAGAUGAAUGAAACAGAUAGCAUGCUACGUUUUUCUCCAAAAUAAAUAAAAUAAAAUAAAACCUCUCUGAAUUUUGCCUAACCAGCUUAUAUUCCCAUUUUUAGUAUAUUUGUGGUAUUUGCUUUUUGUUUCACAUAUCUUAAUAAGUAUUGCCAUGUAUUCUUGAGACAUGCAUGAUUAGUUUCCUUAUUCAACCUCAUCUAUGACACUCUUAUGCUCCAUCCAGCUCAUGUGAACUAUUUAUAGGAGUCAAACAAAUAACUUAUCAUGAAAAAGUUGGCACCCAAACUGCUAGCUUAUAGUCUUGGUCAAAAUUCCCUUUUUGGACAGGUAAGGUUUGAGAAAAUUGUACCUUAGGACCAUGCAUGAGUGUCCCCUAAUAAAGGGCCAAUUUAAUAAUCCAAUCGUCUCUAACGCAAGUGACAAAGAACUUGAUAAUUGAUAUCUAAAAUCUCAGAUUCGAAGUAUAGUUACUUUACAUUUUCAGUUUAAUUUAUUUCUAAAAAAAACAAACAAAACGAAACAGGUAGCAUGCUAUUUUUUUUAAAAAAAAAAUUUAAUAAUCUGAGUAGUUGUUACCUAGAUUUAGCGCACUAUAUAUGUUAAUCGUAGAAAAUUUUGACUGCCAUCCAUCUUAUCUUUAUAUCAAACUAUCUCGAAUUUAAGUUUGGAAGAGGAGAUGGAAUGAAGAGCAAAUUAAAGAGGAAAUGAAUUGAAGAGCAGAUUAAGAAACGAUACGUGUAAUUUAUAUUAAUAUGGUCUUGGCACUCCUGUUCAUGUAUCUGUUGAAAAUUAGGUAGGCUCGUCGUGUACACCGCCGACGAAAGUAACAUAAGAAACAACAAGGAGGAGUUUAUAUUAAGGGCGUGUUUGGUUCGCUUUUUUUUCACCCUCGAAUUAAAAUUGGAAUGGAUAAAUUCGUUUGUGGGUGUUUGGUACGCGAGAGUCCCAUUCCGAUUCCGAUUUCGAUUCCCGAGUGGAAUGGGAAUCCCCCAAUCACCUCUUUUUUUAAUCCGGCCUACGAGACCGGAUUGAAAGUUGAAUCCGGACGUAAUGAAUAUAUAUUUAUUCAGAUUAAAUUUAUUUUUUUUAAUUUUUUUUAAUUAAAAUAUAAGUUAAAAUUUAAAAAUUAAAUAUAUAAUUUUAAAUUUUAAUUUAAACUUAAAUUAAAAAUUAAAAUUUAAUCAAGUAUUUCGAAUCUAACUUAUGAAUUUGAAUUUAAAUUAAAUUUUAAUUUAUAUAAAGUUUUUAUUCAAAUUUUAUUUCAAACUUAAAUUAAAUUUAUGGAUUCAAAUUAAAAUUUAAAUUGUAAUUUUAAGUUUGAAUUUAAAUAAAUUAAAAUUUAAUUUCAUAUUUUGAAAAUUUUAAAAUAAAGUGUUUUUUUUAGAAAAAAAUAGCACGCUACCUGUUGCAUUCAUUAGAAGAAUGAAUUAAACUACAGCGGUGAAACAUCACAGGCCUCGAAAGGUGCAGUAAAAAAAAAUAAAUUUCUGAUUACGCUACCAAUUACAGUAGUGACUAUUUACUGAAAGAAGUUGCUCCCAUAAGUUCGUCGAUUGUUUAAUUUUAUAGGCUGUUCAGAAAAAAUUUGACUGAAUUUUUCAGAAGAUCACGCCAUUCCUGACUGCCCAAGUGACCCACUAAAAUUUGUCAUUUGCGAAAGUUUGUAAAUCGGAUGGCCGGUCCGAGUAAAAUCAGGAGAUUGGCGAGGGCAUUAAUGUCAUUUCGAGUGAAUAACGCUGCGCGCUGAGGCGGCAAAACGAUGCACGUGACAAAAUGUACGGGCGGUCGAAAAAGGCCCGGGGACAGUGCCGCAUUUAUUUUUUAUUAUUUUUUUUAAUUAUUUUUAUUUUUUAUUUUUUAUUUUUUAUUUUGGUUAUAAAUUGCUAAUUUUCACAGCACUAUCUCCUGCUCUCCCAAGCAAAGGCGACGAGCGAGCGAGCGAGCGAGCGAGCGAACUCCACUUCUUGUCCUCUUCUCCUUCCCUUUUGCUUCGUGCGUCGUACCCGAGCCCGAGAGAGCUAGGGUUUCGGAUUGAGGAGGGGGAGGAGGAGGAGGAGGAGGAGGAGGACGCCAUGGUCGGAGAUCUCGCAGAGGAGGACGCCUCUCCCCGCAGCGGCGGCGGCGGCGGCGGCGGCGGGGGCGGCGGUGGGGGGUGGUGGGCGGAGGAGAUGGACGGACGCGGAUGCAGCAGCGCGGAGGAGGAGGCGGAGCUAGUGAGGCGCCACCACCGCCACGAGGUGGCGGAGAACCAGUGCUCCUCCCACCUCGUCAAGCACAUCAAGGCCCCCAUCCACCUCGUAUGGGAAGAGCAGAACCCUAGUUCUAGCCGCGGAUCCGAGCGAUCCCGUCGUCUCCCUCUCUGUUUUUGAUCUUUGAUAUCGAUUUGGUGGCGAUGGUGAUGCAGGUGUGGUCGCUGGUGCGGAGCUUCGAUCAGCCGCAGAGGUACAAGCCGUUCGUGAGCCGGUGCGUGGUGAGGGGGGAGGGGGAGCUCGAGAUCGGGCGCGUGCGCGUGGUGAACGUGAAAUCGGGGCUCCCCGCGACGACGAGCAUGGAGCGGCUUGAGCUCCUCGACGACGACGAACACGUCCUCAGCAUCAAGAUCGUCGGCGGCGAUCACCGCCUUAGGGUUCGAUUCUGAUCCGACACUCUUUCCUUCGCUUCUAUUCUUCUGCAGCAUAUAACUUUAGCUUGAUUUUAGUUCAAUAUACUUCGAAAAUUCUCGCUAUCCUGAUCGUUUUUGCAGUGUUUUCAUGUAUACAGUAGUAGUAAGCAAAAAUGAACUUAGAAUUCUGAGUUCGAAUAAUUCAAUGUCCCCGCGAAUUUGGUGGUCGAAACUUUUUUCUACUAAGGAGAAUGCAAAAACUUGAUCGCCUUGUUCUUCGAUUUUAUUGUUUGUUUUCUGCAGUAAUCAAAAAUUAGAAUUAAGAAGAACUAUGUUGUUGACCGCGUCAAUAGACUAACGACAAUUCUCUUCAUGUUGGAGUUCAUUUGGUGCUUCAUCCUUAUCUUUCGUACAAAACACAAGUACAGUGACCACCGGUCCACAAUCUUAGCCAUUAGCUAUUUUGUAUCAUUUAAACUUUUGCUCUGUCUCUGCAUUAUUGCAUCGCAUUUGGAUGGGAAAUAACAGUUAAUAGUAAUUUUCAGUGUGAAUGCUAUGAAAAAAAAAAAACAACUUUGAAGCUCACCAGUUUAUUCCAAUCGGUAAGUAAUAUACUGUGUCUACGGGCCUGUUUGGCUCGAGUGGAGCUUCUGUAGCGUGCGAAGAAGCAUCAGCAGCUUUUCACUUCAAAUCUCCACCACAUUUUUCUUUUCUUUUUUUUUUUUUCUUUUUUUUGAGAGAUAGGUAGCACGCUACCCGCUUCGUUUAUUUCAUUUAGAAAUAAACUUAGCUGGAAAUAUGAAUCAACUAGGAUUCGAACUUGGAUCUCGGGUACCAACCACCAAGCCCUUUGCCACUUGCUCUAGGGACGGUCGGUUCUCCACCACAUUUUUCAAAAUGAAACUUUUCACUUUGGAGGGUGCGCAGGCUAAUUUUACGGUCGGCCACACUAAGUCCUGGUUAAGUGCAAGUUACUGUUGAAUCCUUCUAAACCCCUGAAUAUUUCAAUUAAAGGGUGUACUUCCAGUGUCACACCCAAACCUAUCUAAUCAUAGAUAUGUGAAUUAGGGGGGAAUCGAAUGUUCCGGAAUACAUAUAGCCCAAAUCUCAGGCCCUAUUAGAUUUGCCCUUGAUAUUUGCAAGAUUAAAAAUAUUAUCUUCUAUCUAUCAUUCAAAAAGUGCAUCUUUAAUAGCUUGCCCUGCUCUCUAAUGUAUACAGUAUACAGAAUAAGUGGAUCAGUUCUGGGAAUCAGCUUUAUAGGUACUAAUAUCUAAUCGGCUCGUCCAUCGGUGGAUUCAGGUCUAUUGAUUCUCUCCCCACUUUGCUUUGCAGAACUAUUCUUCGAUCAUCACCGUCCAUCCGGAGAUCAUCGACGGGCGGCCGGGGACCCUGGUGAUCGAGUCCUUCGUGGUUGAUGUGCCCGACGGUAACACCAAGGACGAGACCUGCUACUUCGUAGAGGCCCUCAUCAAAUGCAACCUCAAAUCCUUGGCCGGCGUUUCUGAGCGGCUCGCGGUGCAGGAUGCCACAGAACCUCUCUAUUAGAACCUCGGCUCUCGGCCGCAAUAAUGACUAUUGAGGUUGUUUAUAGACGAAGAUGGUUACGACCGAAGCCGCGAGGGGCUUUGAGAUUCUUCGCGCCAACUGCAUUAUGUCAUCUUGUAGUGUUUUGCUAUGAUUUUGUAGCAUUGAACUCGGAAAAUAUUGGGUGGCAAUGGAAUAUAAGUAAAAACACCAUUGCCUUAUCUUAUUAGCUUUCCCUGCCCUAUGCCUUGACUAGAAGUUUCUGUAUUUAGAUGUAACUCCCCUCUGACCAAAGGGUUUAAAAUCCCAUUUGUGUUGCUUGUGUGCAUAAUCAUGUCUCUGGUGUUGAACAGUGGUGAUUAUUCAAUAUAACCAGAAAUAGUAUAGGUACAUCUUAAACGCCAUAUUGAUUUCUAGUGCAACAUCGGCUAUUUGUAUUUUAAUAUUUGGAUUUUGUAUUCCCUAAUGUGUUUUGAAAUGAGUUGGCCAUAUAAAAUCUGAAUGGUAAAUGGAAGCUCAUCUCACCUCUAUUUCAAACCUCAACAACCUACUUAGCUGCAGCUUUGUCAGAUAUUUUUUUAAUAUAUAUAUAUAUAUAUAUAAAUAGAGAGAGAGAGAGAGAGGGAGAGAGAGAAAAAGAGUUGUGUUGGAUAUUAUUAAUAGUACAAUGCUAUCAACUUUGUAAUUAUUGGAUGCCUAGAAUUUGAGUGGAUGGUCAGGUAAAAGUAAAUAAUAUGUAUCAUUAAUAAUAUUCUAGCUGGACACUCUCUCUCUCUCUCUCUCUCUCUCUCUCUCUCUCUCUCUCUCUCUCUCUCUAUAUAUAUAUAUACACACAUUGGAUAUACAAAAUUUGAGAUUAAAAUAAAUGGCUGAUUUCUCGGCGGUCCAUAACCCAGAUGGAUCAAGUUUAGCCAACGAUUCUCCCUUACACGGCUGCAGUAAAAGAAUCUCGAUUUGCUAUAUUUUCGAGAACUCAUAAUUUUGUUAUAGAGAUCAUUUUUUACAUAGAGAUAACAUUUUCGUAUACUAGGUUGUGUUUAGUUCGGAUAUAAAUAAGAACUACUUAUUUUAAAGACAUUUACAAAUUCAGGUCUAAGCAAGAAUUAGACCAAUUUUACGAAAAAAAUUAGGUUGUUCUUUGAAAUAAGAUAAAUAGUGUUUGGAUUGUUAGAUUGGAAUAGGAGGGAUAAAAGUUAUAAUUUUAAAUUAAAAAUAUUUUAUCUAUUUAAUUAACAUCAAAAUAUUAAUUAAAAAUAAUUUAAUAAAUUAAUAAAUUUAUUAGCUAAGAUAAUAAAAAUAUAUUAAUUAAUUAAUUAAAUAAUAAAAAAAUAAUUUAACUUUUUAAUUAGUUAGUAAAUUAUUUUAGUUAGAUAACUAGUAAAAAAAAUUAAUUAGAUUAAUAAAAAUAUUAAUGAUUGACCAAUACAAAUAUUAGUUUAUGAAUAAACAUAUUAAAUUAUUGUAAUUAAUUAGCUAAUUAAUUAUAAGUAAUAAAUUAAUUAAUUACUUUCUUAUUUAAGAAAUACAUAAUAACUUAAAUAUAUUACUUAGAUUAAUUAAUGAUUUAAUAUCAUAAUUAAAAUUAAAUUUAGGCUUUGAUUAAUCUUGUUCCUAUUUGGGAAUAAGAUUGUUCCAGAAAAAAGAGUGGAACAACAGCUCUAAUCUUAUACUGAAUUAUACUAGUUUAUUCUAAAAAUCUGAGAACUAUUGUUUUCGGGUACAAAAAUUUAUGUUUGGAAAUAAAGGAGGGAAUAAAGACUUGUUCCUCAACUUGUUUUUGAGCCAAACGCUCUCCUAAUACCGAAUUUUUUUACACACUUAGCAUUCCGAGAGUUUGCGAUAAAAAAAAGGGUUAAUUUCAUAUAUAUUGCUGCAAACAUGAUGAAUGAUAAAUAUAUUCCUACAAAGUUCAACUUUCAUAUGCCGUCUCUAUAAAAGUUCUAAUAUUUUCAAAUAUGUCCCUUUUUGUUUGUUACAAUUUAUAUUUUAAUUUUGUCAUCAUAAAUAUAUCUCUUUAAAAGCCAUACUAAUAUAAUAUAAAGGAACAAAAAUAUCAAAAACUAUAUUGGGUUAAGUAUUUAACAUAUGGUUAACUAACUUUUCCUAACAGAUUCUAACGGCAGGAACAUAUUUGAAAAUAUCAUGACUUUUGCAGAGAAAAUAUAUAAAAGUUGAAUUUUGUAGGAAUAUAUUUACUAUUUACUAUAUUUGUCAGGACAUAUAUGAAAUUAACCCAAGAAAAGAAAGGGGGAGGAAAAAAAACAAAAAAUGAUCGUACCUGUGGAUAAAUUUUCGAAUACUUAGGUUUAGGUGGGCAAGCGCAGAAAAUCCCGACGCACUUGUCCGUAGAGUGUUAGUGUGUCAUGUCCUGGCGCAGGUGAUGCAAUUUUUUUUUCCUGCAAUAAAAGAAUGAGCCCAAAAGUGUUAGUCGGCGCCGUAGGAGUGACCUCUACGGACCAGAUGUCGAACCCUGGUGGAAUUGCCGCAGUAGGACGGAGAAGAUAACGGUAGUGGUCGGCUGAAACGGUCACCGCCAUCUCUUGUCUCCGGACUUUUUACUCGCGCUUAUGUAUGUCUCCAAUUUUACUUUUCAUUUUUAUAAUACAAUAAUAAUCAUAAUCUAACUUCUUCUAGCAGCUAUUGUUAUACAAUUAUUACUUUUAAUUGGAUCUCCUGAGUCAAAAUACUGUGCGGAUUUGGACAGGAAUUGUCGUGUGCUGGGACAGCUAAGUUACAUCCAUUCCCCAGAGACGAAAAAAGCUAGUCAAUAAUCUACUGCCACAUAAUAAUAAUAUCUAUUAAUUAACUAUAUAUAUAUAUAUAUAUAUGAUGAUGAUGAUGCUCGUAAGUUAUUAUUAUGUGCAUGAAUUAGUCAACAGCUUCUUACAUCGAGCAAGGCAAUGAAUGAAUAACAAAGCAAGAUCUGAGGGAACUCGCAAGUUUUCUGAUGACAACGAAGGGCCACCUCCUUUCUUUCUCGGGGCUGCUAUGUUCAAUGUCGACGCAGUGAAUGUGAUGCCCCCCGUGGUUGCGUGGCUCCCAGUCCUCGUGUUUUAUUAUUUUGUAUUCAGCUCUACAAAGUCAUGAAUUUGCCUGCAGCAGGCUUUUUCUCCGAGCUUAUCCCCCUUCAAACUUUAAAAGCUUCGCUCCUCGGCGGUUGAGUGCUCGUGCGACCGGCUCGUGGAGGGGGUCGUCUUUUAGGCGAGCGAUGAUUGAAAAGGCGUUCGAUUUACGAGAUCAACGAUGGCGGUCACAUCCCCCCAAGAAAAAAGUUGUUGAAAACUUUUUUUUUUGAGAAAUAGGUAGCAAGCUACCUGCUUCAUUCAUUAAGUCUAAUGAACUGAGCAUAUAAGUUGGUGGCAGCUUAGGCCUCCGAGUAAGCGGAAAAAAAAAAGAAAAAAAAGAAAAAAAAAGAGGAGGUACGUGAGGGCGUCAGAGCAAUGUACUCCAAGAGUUGAUCAGAGCUUUGAGGCGAUCAAGAGACCCAGAAACCAUGGGCGACUUUUCAUUGAAAAUAGAGUUGUUUCUAUCUGUCCAGAUUACCCACCAAGUCGCAGCCAGAAGGACCAAGCGUUGGUUUCGCAACGUGGCGACAGGAAUUUCAGUACCUUUGGUCCAUAGAGCUUUAGCAUCACCAGUGUUGUCUACGUUUGCGUCCGGUAGUCCUCCCAUACUGAGAAGAAGAUACCGAACGUAAACACAGUCGUUGAAAAGGUGGUCGCAGCUUUCCGUAUGAACUGCGCAGAAAGCACAGUUCUGGUCUACGUGCAUGCCUCGGGCGAGCAGUCUGUCGGAGGUGGGUAGUCUAUUUCUAAGGAGUAGCCAAAUGAAAAUUUUAAUUUUAACUGGGAUUUUGAGCUUCCAGAUGUGCUGAUUCGUCAGGACACGAAGUCCAGAAUCCGUGAUGAACUGGUAAAGGGAUUUAACUGUGAAUAGUUGGUUGGAGGUCCAUCGCCAUUUCACCAAGUUGUUGAAAACUACAACUACUACAUCAACCUGUAAGAUCAAGUAACUUCAAGUGUGCUGUGUGCGCGCGCGCACAUAUAUGCAUAUAGUUCUGCAACUUAUUGUUGGGUGCAGAGUUCACGCAUAUAUGCAUAUAGUUCUGCAAUUUAUUGUUGCGUGCAGAGUUUGAUCGGCCCCAAAGAACUGCUUAGAAAACCCUCCGAGGCUCUGACUAUUGCAUCUUUCCAUCUUCACGAAAGUGAAACCAAGUAUUAAUCACAUUGCGAGUAAUAUUGAAUACCAAAGCUAUUGGUUAGUCAAAAUCGUUACUCUCUCCAUCAUCUGAGAGUAGCGGCAUUUAAACCACAGCCGCAUCUAUUACAUCGACAGCGCUCUUCUAACAUUCGAAAGAUUUGAAUCUUGAACAAUUUAGUAAAGCACUCAAGAGAGCAAGCAAAAGAAACCACUCUCAGUAAAAUCACCCAAAGCUAUACUAGAUAUGAAAAGUUACAAAACCAAAUAAUAGAGACAAAUGACAUGACUAACCAAGAGUGCUUAAUUGUGACUGCAACAACGUGUCAAAGUUGAGAUAAUUUAUCUGCAAUCAUGUCGCCCACCAUAACAACAAGACCAUCCAAGAAAUUCAAGUAUAAAGCAUCAUUACUGUAUAUGUGUCAUCAGUAAUAACACUGCAGCAUACAAGUUACAGCAGCAACCAAAACUGAAAAUUUGUAAGCAUAGAAUCUUAUUAAUGGACUGGCCUUUUGUAAACCUAAAAAUAACAAAAGAGCAUGAAAUUGAAAUAACAAGAGCACACAAAAUUUCAGCAACCUGAGCUCUCCUUUAACUGCUGCUCUUUACAGCUAUUGCUGACACAUGACUAGAAAAGUGUUUCUUUUACGCUCUGACACCCUCAUUCAUCAGUCCCCCAAUUUCAAGUUUGAAGAAAUAUGAUAAUUCCCGCAUCUCCUGAUGGUAACCAAUUAGCGGAGAACGUUUCUGUGGCUACAAAUAAUAUUUUCUGAUAUCACAUCACUGUACACUGCUUUACAGUUGGGAAAGAUUGGUCUACGUCAAUGCAAGCUCCUCCAAUUGAUUAGAAAGCUCAACUUCUGGGUCGGGGUUGAGGAUUUGCUUAAUCUCAUCAGCAUUUAGUGUCUCGUACUCAAGUAGCGCAUUCGCUAACGCAUGCAACGCCCUUUCAUGCUGAAAAUAAAGAGUUAGAAUUUAAUGAGAAAAGACAAUUAGAAAAACAAAAAUUAGGAACUUUCGAGAAAAAUUAGCUGAUGCAGAAUGGCACAACCCCUAAAAACAGACCUUUCAAAUUAUCACAAUGAUGCAACCUUUCAGAUCUCACUACCUUCAAACUUUCAAACAAAUAAAUGAUCACAAACAACCUUCAAGCCAAGGAUGAAAUCUUGAUCUUUCUUUCUUUCUUUCUUUCUUUUUUUCCUUUUUCUUUUUAGUAAUCUAAUGAAUGCUUAUGCUAAUCAUCAUACCAUCUAUCCACAACUAGGAAGUAAAGCAUGCACUAGUCUGCAGUCAUCCAAUAUUCCCCUGCAUAAACAGUUGUUUAGACUAAUCUGUUUUUACAACACCUGUAAAGAUUACUAGCAAUUGUAUUCAGUAAUCUGUUUUUACUCCGUGUAAAGAUAAGCUAGCAAUUGUAUUCUUGCUCCCUAUUUCUUCUUUGUAUGAUGCAGGAAGGAGUAGCUUCAUUCAUUCUAGAAGUUUGCUGAUGGCAAUAAAUAACGGAACAACCAUUAUCUCAAUACUUUGAUCAGUAUGGCUAAAAGGAAAUUGAAAAUGUACAUAGAUGGAGAACUGAUGAUACAAAGGCCCAUGGACAGUUAAAACGACACAUUUCAGAGACAAACCUUCUUAAGCAAUCGUUUGACUCGAUCAUAUGCUUCUCUCAGAAGUUUGACUACCUGCAUGAAGAGAAAGCUUUUAGUCAAUUAAGGUUCUGUAGAACAAUACCAAGAUGCAACAGAUUAUCAAAAUAGCAUACCUCAAAUAAAUCAGAUGGCAAUUAAGAUUGUAAAGUAUCAGAAAAUAUGUUGAAACAGCGACUGACGCUUCCUUAAUAGUAAAUUAUAAGAUUGGCACUAAAUCUAAAAAAUAUUGAGGCUGAUAAUAUGCAAAAGGCACAGACACAAAUUUCAGGCGGUGACUCAAAACUCAGUCUGGUUAUAACAUGGGAGUACUGAUCAAUAAUACCAGCUACAGCCAUGCAAGACAAUAUAUAAUGAACAGUAGAUAUUAUAAUCUAGAUAUUUAAAAAAGAUAUGUAAGAUAAGGUUCGUAAAACAUGCCUCUGCAUCUAUCCGUGAUUGCAUCUCUGAACCUGGUCUCUCUUUAACAUGAACAGGGCCAAUUGCAUCACUCAUCCCACAAGUUGACACCUAAGAAAUGUAUAAUAGGUUCAAACGUUUAAUAUUGACUAAAAAAGAAAAUAAAAAAAGGAGGUUUUCUGGACAUAAUAUUGUACCAUAUAAUGAGCGAGUUCUGUCGCUGUAUGGAGAUCAUUACUUGCACCAGUCGUAACAUAAUCUUCACCAAAGAUAAGCUCUUCAGCAACUCUCCCUCCCAUGCAGACAUCGAGGCGUGCUAAUAGCUGUUUCUUGCUAACAGACGUUUCAUCUUGAGAAGGAAGCUGUGUGACCAUCCCAAGGGCAGAACCACGUGGCAUUAUAGUUGCUUUAUGGAUAGGAUGAGCACCAUCGGUAUUAAGAGCAACAAUGGCAUGGCCACUCUCAUGGUAAGCAGUAAGCUAGAAAGAAGAUAUAAUACCAUUGUUAAUACCAUUGUAACAUUCCAUGGUUCUCUUAUAGUCAGUCUGGCCUAGUUGGAAUUUCUGUAGAAGUGUUGUUUAAAUAAAUCUGUUUAAAGAAGCACUAAUAGCAUUCUUUGGAAUCUACUCAGUAGCUUCUUGCUGACAGAAGCAGAAGUUUCAUAUUUAAGGUUCUGCUUUUGGAGAUUGAUGGUGCAUUAUAGCAAAUUGCUGCAAGCAAAUGCUCCAGGUUUUUUAUUAGCCAAAUCUUGGAGCACAGCCAGGCACCGAAAACAGCUAAGCAUGGCCAGAAACUAAUUGUCUGAAGCGAAAAAAGGCAACAGCUCAAGUUCACAUGUGAAAAGAUUAUCAACACACCUUCCUUGAUUCUUCAGAUAUAUACAUAGUCUUUCUUUCUGUUCCCAUUAUUAUCCUGUCUUUUGCAAACUCCAACUGAGCAGCAGUUAACUUUUCAACGCCUUCAACUGCAGCCUUAAUGGCUGCGAUAUUAACCAAAUUUGCAAGAUCUAGCAAAUAGUGGAAAGAACACUUAGUGUGGCACUUUAGGAACUUCUGGGUGUUAAGAAAACUCAGAUUUCAAAUGCUGCCAAACAUGGUGCAAUUAAUAAUUACUAAUUAUGUCCAUAGAUAUGGUUUAGAAGUAAGAAAGCAGACCUGCACCGUUGAAACCAGGUGUACCACGAGCAAUUGCAUUGAUGUCUACAUCAUCAGCCAUUGGUUUGUCCUGCAAGUAGAGCUCCAGUAUCUCUUGUCUGCCACGAACAUCUGGAUUUGGGACAACAAUCUGCAAGAAAAUAAGAAAUCAGAAAUGAGGAGGGAAAAAACCAAAACACAUUUUUUGCACAUUUCAACUUCCUUGAAAACUAGUGCAACUAAUUAAUGCAUUUGUUCAGUAAUUUCCUCAUUAAUGAAGCUAAUGUUUUCAUCGACCUAACUGCAAAUGGAGCACCCAAACAAUAAGCAAAGCUCUUGAAGCACCCUGAUCUAAGCUUAUUCAUCGAAUAAAGUUAUAUCAAGUCUCUGAGCCGAUGUUUGAGUACAUUUAUUUCCUAUUUUCAGGUGCUUUUAAUGAAUAUGCCCAGAAUUUUUAGGAGAACUUAUACUCUUGACAAAAAAUCACAGAACAAAGAAUUCAUCCCUCAAACUAAGAGAGUAAAUAACUAACAGCACAAUUUUGCAGAGUCUGACUUGUUCCCAAUAAUACGGGACUCAACCUUUUUUUACAAUUGUUUUUUCAACAUAUUCCAACAAUUUAUUUGCAAAAACUUGUCCUGUAGCAAAGUUUGAAUAAUACUUACAUGCCUGUCAAAUCUACCAGGUCGUGUCAAUGCCGGAUCAAGAAUGUCUGGCAAAUUUGUUGCAGCCAUCACUAUUAUGCCCUGUAUAGAAAAUUAAUGCACUUAAGAAUUACAUAGUGGCUUGCCUCAGGGUACUACAAUUAUCAAUAUAAUAUACCUCAUUCUGCUCAAAUCCAUCCAUCUCAACGAGUAGUUGAUGCAAGGUUUUCUUUGUAUGCCCCUCCCAUUGCUUUCUAGUGGAACCGACAGCAUCUAUUUCAUCAAUGAAAAUGAUGCAAGGCGCCUAUGAUGAGCACAAAAAUAUAGAUAACAUUGAGAACAAAUAAUAUCUAUUGAGAACAAAUAAGACAAAUAAAAUGAUAUGAAUUUAAAUUGUAGCACAACAGGACGAUGAGCAGGAGAGUAUGUUUACCUUCUUCUUAGCAGCCUGAAAUAAGGACCUUACUCGCCGGGCACCGACGCCAACAAACCUAACAUAAAAGAUCAAGUUGGACUCUCUAGUUGUAAAAAAGGACAAUGUAUACUCUACAUUGAGAUAAUAAAAAAGACAUAAUUGCACAUGAGUGAAACCUCAUAAAUUCCCCAGUAAACAAAUAUUCUUUUUAUCUCCAUAAAAUUUCUAAUCAAGGGGAGAUUUAACUUAAAACCAAUUGAUUUGUUUGGCAAUUGAUUCCUAGCAAAUAGGCAAGAGCACACAGGAUGCUGGCUAAGCAGCAAAUCGAUGACAAUACUUGUUAAGACUUAAAGAGGGACCAAUCAACAUGCCAACUAUUUGCAAUUUGACAACAAACUGAUAAUAUAGAUUGCGCAAUCCAAAAUGGUAGCUUACAUUUCCUCGAAUUCUGAACCUGCUCGAUAGAAGAAAGGCACCCCAGCUUCUCCAGCAAUAGCCUGAAGCAACAAACUCAGCCCAUCAGAAAAGUGAGUUUCAGUUAUAAACAACGAGCAAUUCGCAUUGGCCUUAGAAAUUUAGAACAUGUAUAUCAACAUCAAAUGUUGGCAAUUUGGCAUCUGGUGGCUGCUACCCAGCAUGCAAGAAAUUCAAGAUUCCCUAGUAAUACCUAGAAUGUCUGUCAAAACUUAUCAAUUAGAAGUGUUUUAAUUCAUUAAAUCAUAUCCACAAAAAUGCAUGUACGUUAUCUGCAAUCAUUCAAUAUCAACAUGCAAUUAGAGCAGCGGAAGACUGAACAAAGACAUAGUCUUUUGACCUAAACAUUUCGAAACAAUUUACUUCAUCAACAGGCAACCAAAUAUCAAGUCGAUAUAUCAUAACAAAAAUUUAUUUACUAAAUUGGCGUAAGCACAUUAGGUUGCACAGUGAAAGUGUAUAUUACUGCUCAGGGAACCUUUUUCUCACGAAAGAACACUUGAUUUUCUAUUAUUUAAAUAAGUUUAAGGGUCAAACUAACUAAAAUACCUGUGCCUUAAAUAAUCAAAGAAGAGUGAAAUAUCAAAUUACAUGGUAGAUAAACUCGCCUUAGCAAGCAAAGUCUUCCCUGUUCCAGGUGCACCAGUCAAAAGAAUUCCCUACAAAGCCAUUAUUUGUCAAGUUCAUGAAGCAGUUCAAGAGAAAUUACAAACAAUAAUCAAAAUGAUAGCUCGAACUAAUUGAACUUUGGCAUACCUUCGGUAGCUUUCCCCCGAGGCGAGUAAACUUUGAUGGAUUUUUAAGAUACUCCACUACUUCUUCGAGUUCUUUCUUUGCAUCAUCACAGCCUUUAACAUCCUUAAAUGUUUUGACAUUCUAUAUACGGAAAGUCAUGUAGAGCAUCCUCCAUCAAUGAAAAGUUGGAACAACAAACCUUUUUUCAGAGUAAAGCAACAAGAUGCAAGUAACUAAAGCAAUAUGCUGAACAACAUGUCAACAAACUACUGUAUAUUGUUCAGCAUAUUGCUAUUAUUUAAGCAAAUGAAGCUUAAGCACAUGAACAAACUAUGAGUACGCAAGAAUGAAGAAAGUUGAACCUCAUAAAAAUAAAAACUAAAAGAAUAAACAGACAUAAUAGAGCCAUACUACCUUCUCUGGCAUAAUUUCUUUGUUCAACUCUUUUGGGGAAUACGUAGCACCAGAACCAACACCAGAGGUCCCUAUGCCACUCAAGCUGCCAACAUAUUUUUGGAGUGCAGCUGCCCCCAUUACCCUGGCAAUUACAAGGAGCCACUAGUGAACCAGACAGAAAAAUACAAGAUCACAUUUCAGUUGAAUUGACCAGUUUGAACCAUCAAAAGAAGCUAAGCAGCAGCAUCUGAUUUGUUAAUAGAACUUAAAAGUUGCAGUUGGUUUUCAUAUAGUUUGAAGAAUAGAAUAAUGCACAUCAUAGAAGCAGGAAAAUAUUUUUUUUUCAAAGUAUACAGUGAUAUAUUGAAGACUCGAGAUGCAAUAAUUCAGCAUACAAGAUCCACAACAUAAAUACAGUGGAAAGAAAGCAAAAAUAAUUUAGACCCGAGGUGAUAAAGAGCAAACUUCUAUUUAGAUACAAGAUGUUAAAAACGCUUGAUGUAACAAUAGCCAAAAUUAAAAACGCACCACAUCAGACCAACAACAACUGUGAACAGGAUUGUUGAGAGGAGCUCCUGAGCAAACCUUGUUGACCUACUUGAUGCUUUAGGAUCAACCUGAAGCGAAAAAACAUGAGAAAUAGAACAAGAAAAGACAGCAAAAAGCCUAAAGCACUUGAUUGAUACUACCUAUAUCUUAUAGCACUUUUCCCAUCACAAACAAUGUCCUAACAGAAUUUCUGCUAUAUACUUUAACUUACCAUAACCACAUGCAAAGGAUGCUUCUCUGAUAUUCCAGGGUUCAAGAAUAGUUCGUCCUCAUUCCCAGAUGCUCGUUGCUUCAACUCUUGCAACUACUGACAAAAAAUUUAAAUUUCUGGGAAAGUCAAAAGUUCGUAGCAGCAAUAAGAAACUCAUUAAAAAUGAAAAUUUGAUAGCAAUUUACAGUUUCAAACAACUCCAGUAAACAGGUAGAGAAAAAAAAAAAGAAAAAGAUAUCAAGAAAAUGUUGAAUUGGUCAGUGUUGGUAGUAAGAUUAUAAAACCCUAGAAAACUUUUGCACUUAACAUUCAACUAUUCAAGAUCAGCAAUGUAGCUUUCUAAAGGACGAUCAGCAAAUUAUAGUCUAAAAUUUGUUAAAGAUGCAUCUAUCAUUGUUUACUCAAUUUUCAACAAAUGCAAGACACUUUUCAAGAGGAACAAAAGAACAAAAGAAGCUAGAGAAAAAUGGUCUUAAGAGCAAAAGAAAUCAUGCAUAUAACAUAAUGAAAUAAAAUCAUCCAUAGCCCAGUCAAAAUUGAUAUAUAGCAUCAUUAGAAAAUAAUCAACUUUUAGAUUUAAUGAAAGCAACAAAUGCUUAAGACAAGAAAGUAAUUAUCCAUGAUUCGCAAUCUAAUAACAAGGUGAGAAUUAUGAGUACCAAAUUUGGGAGAGUAGAAGGUUUCCCUGACUGCUCGUCUGGUAGAUAUUCUGCUAUAGCAUUAGUCAUAACAAGAGCUCGUAGAUAUUCUGCAACUCCUUUGCUGUCCACUGCAUGGCUUCUUUGCUCAAAACGCCUAAUUACAGACUCAGGACUGCCAAAAAAGAAUUAGGUGCCGUUCAUUAGUGUACCUAAAAGUUAUCGCUUUUAGAAAAAGAAGAGCAGGCAGUAGUGGCACUAGUGAACAACCUCUAGCAUGGGAAAACAACUUUUUAAAUUCACAAUGUAUUCCAAAGAGAGUAGAUAUGAACAUAGAACUUGAAAAUUGAUUAAAAGAUUAUUGAUCAAAAAAUUGGCUCUCCUUCUUUCAUUUUUUUUUUUUUUUUCCUUUGAUGCAUUAGAUAGACAAGCAUUUUCAUUGAAUAAAGAAUCAAAUUUACAUCAAGUAGUACAAAGAGCAGGUUUUAUGAAAUGCAACAGGUAAUUAGAGUGUGCAGACUUUUUAAGUAUUGCUAGUAUAAUCAAAAGAUGAGCUCUCUACAGUACUAAUCCAGGUUCUUGUACUGGUUAUCUCUUAUAUGAUCUUUUAACAAGUUCCUUCCUUUUCCAAUCGAUCUUCUACAAUUUUGCAAGUCUUAACAAGAUUAGUGAUGUCCUAUAAGCAAGGUGCUAAAGAAGGCCCCUGUACUCUCUAGUCUCUGCUAUCUGAUUUUAUCAUUUUAGUAGUUGAUCCAUCUCUGUUCUGCUUGGACUCUCGUUUUUCCCUAACUCGAAGGAUCGUCUACCGCCGUAGAUUCAUAAAUAUCCAACUUUGCAUCAAGUUCAAUUUGCUUCCACUUAAAAAGAUCAAAACUUUCAAGGACUGCGGCAUCCGGCAAAUAGAACUAACGAGGAACAGAGAAAGGAAAGAUGAAAAUAAACAGAAAUUUGACCAGCUAAAGGGAGAGAACCUAGAAACCAAACCUGUGUUUAUUGAGCUCCGAGAGAAGAGCGCUCUGCUUCGCGGCGUCUCUAGGGUUUGCAUCGGCCUCCGCAAUUAGCCGCUCCAACCUCUUCUCCUGCCUCCAGAACGGCCACCAGCUUAACCACUCCGACAUCGCCAAUGUAUCGAGCCCCUUCCUCGCCGAAGCAAGCACCCCGACCAAAAACGCCACUACGGGCAACCUACUCUCCGCCCCCUUCCUCUCCCCCGCCGCACCAUCCGAUUCCGCCACGGAAAACACCGCCCCAUCCCCAACCCACCCACCCUCCGCCGCAUCCUCCGCGGCCCCCGCCGCGCCAUCUCCGCGGGAAAGGUCGGAGCUUCCGACGUCGCGGUACUCCACGAGCGGGUCCUCGCCGGGCGAGGCGGGCUCCCGGCCCGAAUCCGCGGCCUCGGGGGGCAAUGCGCGGACGCGGAGGCAGUGGCGGUGGCGGUGGCUGGGGCGGGACCUCGGGAGGGCAUCAACGGAGACGAAGGCCGAGGCGGCGCGCUUCGGGCGGCGGAGGAGCCGGACACACGGCGGCGACGGCCGGAAGAGGAGGAGGGAACCUUGCAGCGCCGACAUGGUUGCUGCGGCGGCGGCGGCGGCGGCGGCGAUCGAGUUCCUCGUAGCUCUCUCCGUCUCCGCCUCGCUCUCUCCGGAGAAGGGUGUGGGGGCGAAGAGGAGGAGAGAGCGAGGGUUUUGAGGUUAAUAGCCACACGCGAUGGGGGGGGCCUUAUCUCGAGCCUUUGGGUGUUUUUAGUUUUAAGUACGAAUGGUUUGACUCGUAAAUUAAGGGAGAAGAAAAACGAAGGGACGGGGAGAUGGAGAGAGGUUGUGGCGGCUUUUUAUUAAUUAAUUAAAUUAGUGUGUUAGCCUCGGGCGCAAGAAAAGUUGCAUAGAUACUUUGAUUGCUGUGGCUGCAAUUCGAUAACUUGUCCUCUCUCCUUCGGAUCCCUUUUUCGGGUUUGAGUAGUCUUAUGCACAAAUGUAGUAGUUUUGAAUCCCAAAAUAUGAUUUUUCUUUUCUUUUCUUUUCUUUUUUCUUUGUGCAAUGCAAUUUUAAGUUAGGCCUUAAUUCUCUUUUAUUAACUAAAAUAUGUUUUAAAAAAAGUGCUGGAGAUCUUAUCUCAUCCCUUAACCGCUUCAAACUAAAAAAAUCUGAAUACAAACAAAUCGUGCUUAUUAUGAGCUAUACCAUAUUUGUAACUUGCUCUCUGGAGCAAAUAAUGUGAUAUAGUUAAUAGUUAAUUAGGUCGAGUCAAACAGCGAUCAUCUUUGGAUUUGAAAGAACCCAACCCAACCAUUAUUACACUAAUUAAGAUUAUAUUGGGUCCAACGUAAUCUGUUAAUCAAAUUGUGUUUGGUCGGCUCAUAUGAUCAUAUCAAACUCAACAACAUUCAGACUAUUGCUGAUAGUACAGUUAGUACAUCAGAAAAUGGGAAAAAAAAAAUUACAUCGUGUCUAUCCAUCCAGCAUCAGUAAUUUUACACUAAUCUUCUUAUAAUGUUUUUUUUUAAUAUUCUAAACUUGAAAGAAAUGUUGAGCCAUCAACUGAACCGUCGUAAGAUUUACAUUCUACUUUUAAUUUAAGCGAAGGAGCUAUCUUAUUAUCCAAGAGGCAGGUUACAGAUCAACUUAGACAAAAUGUUCCCCUCUGCAAUUAAAACUCAAAUGUAAGAUACGGAAAUCGCCACAAUUCCAAAGCACCAAGAACUCAGCUGCAGCCUACAUAUCAUGUCCUUCGUUUCUUGCCAGCGACGGGGAACCGCGUCCUAAUGAACCGAAACCGCUCUCGCCUCCUCGCCCGGCCGGCGCCUUCUGCUCUCCUCCCAGUUCAGCGGGACUCGACCUUCCCUGUCUCGACUGAGCCUCUCCUGCGCCCCGCCACGGAGCUUCUCCAGCCUGAGUCCAUCUGCUUGCUGCAUCUCAAACACUUUCAGUACAUUGCAUAGUCCUCCGACGAAGAACAGCAGGCUCCCAAACAGACACAACCAUGCCCAGCUCUUUGCCUGCACGUAGUCGGUUAGCAACCGUAUGACUCAGUUUCUAAAACAACUUCAGUAAUAUCAAAUAAAGUAUAUGAAGAUCAUACAUUAAAGUUAACUUUUAAAGCUUGUUUCUGCAGAAACCCUGGUGGCAAGUAACAAGGUUCUGACUGCUUGAAUAGCUGUGGAAGCUUACCAUGAUCUCGGACUCUGGAUGAGGCGAACCGGAGACGUAGUGCCGAUUGAAGAAGCCGCCAACCAAGAAGAGCAAGCUACCCAUGAGGAAUGGGAGGUUUACGCUUGAUUGCAGGAUCUGGGUGCGGCCGUCGGCUCUCUCGUAAACCUGGCACGCGUUGAGGAUCGAACCCACGAGCCACAACAGCGGCCCGGCAAUCAGUGCAUUCAAUGCGUGCUUCUCCAGCCUAUAACUGUAUCCUCUGUUUUCCUGCAGGAUUAUUUUCAUAAUAAUAUAAACUAUGAUUUGAUUAGAUUAAAGCACAUCCGGGCCCAAAUUAAGCGUUUUAGGGCAUAACUAUGUAUCUUGGUCUCAAACACCAUUCAAAUCGUUUAUGUUUAGUUAAGACUAUUGCUAAAUUGUCUCCUAACACAGAGAAUUAUGUUGAACAAGGCGACAAGGAUUUAUCAGGGCAAUUGGAUUAUGGAAUUCAGAUUUUGCUGAAGAAGUGAUUAUUGGAUAUGAAAAUUCUCGUCAUAGUUCAUCAAGAUCAUUCCGCAACACGCUAAUCAACCAUUAUGCCUCGUUUAUUUAUUUAUUUGGUAAAAACAUAUCGAACUUAUGUAAAUUAUAAACCAUUUUUAAUUGACUAUGUAAUUUUUUUUUAUAUAUUUUUCCACUCAAUUUUUUUAAUUUGUUUAAUUUGAAUCAGUCAACGGCACCUUACCUUUAAAAUUAAUUAUUUUUUCAGAUUUAGUUACGAUACAUUAUACAAUUCUCACCUUUAUAAAUUUAUUAAAAUAAGUAAUUAGCUAAAAUUUUAAAUCAACGUAAUGUGUACCAACUCAAAUCAAAUAAAAAUUUAAACAAAUUAAAAAAAAUAAAUAAUAAAUUAAAAUUUUGAAAGAUUGGAUAAUUAUUCAAAAAUGGUGAACAAUAAGUUCCGUGAGUUUUUUUUUUUUUUCUUUUUUUCUUAAAUCCGAAGCUCGGGCUUACACUGAAAUGUGUGUGGAGAGUUUUGAGUAUUUGAGCGCCGGACCAAAAUUAAUGCACGCACCUGACUCAGUAGUAACAGCACUCCGACGAAGCUAAGGACCGAUCCCAAGAAGCACACCGCCGGCACUGCAAACUCGACGAGCCCCAGCUGCAGGUCGAAGCGCACGAGCCCGACGCGGCAGUCGAUCCCGGCAGCGUGCGCGGCGAGGUCGUGCGCGCUCGCCGCCGCCGCGAUCGCCAGCGCCACGAGCGCCACCACCAGCCCGAACUCGCUGCUUCUGCUUCGCGGGCCAGCAGCGGGGAGCUGCGCCGCGAAGCCGGCGAGAAGCAGCAGGGAGGCGAAGACGUAGACGCCCGCGUUUAUGUACUCCCAGCGGUUGCGCGCGCCGCGGGGCCCGUACGCGCGGCUCUCCCGCGCCGUCACGAGCUUCACCAUGUAUAUGUUUUUUUUACUAAUGAAUUACAAAUAGCUCAGUGGGACAGAGAAAAGAAUAGAGAAAAGAUUCAUAUUUCAUAAGAAUAUAUGUACAAAGCGGUGGUGCAGGUCAGGAAUGAGAGAAGCGUGAAGGGAUUGAGGGAAUGGACACGUGGGUUGUUGCAUGCAUGGGAUCGCGUGAAGGGCACUUGCGUGACACGCAUGACUCUGGUGUAUCAUGUAUGGGUGGAAAUGUAGAAGAGGAUUUAUCCCUGUGUCUGUGUGCGUCGAAUUUUACUUUUAUUUUUACCAAUGUUAAUUAAUAUUUGCUAGUAGUUAUAUUUAUUUUUCUUAAAGAAAUUUAAUUGCAUAUGUGUCCUUACAAGGCAAUCUAAUUGCAUUAUUUGUUCCUCAAAAUUCUUCUAAUGUUGCAUAGUUUUUAAAUAUAUUUAUCUCUAAUUAAUUUUUUUUCCUACAAAAUAAUUAUUAUAUUUUUAAUUUCUUUAAUACCAAAAAUUUAAAAUAAACCGUCUAAACUUUUGCUAAAGAGAGAAAAGCACUGUUCAAAAUCAUUUUAUUAAAUAGUGCUACAUUGUUUUAGUAAUAUUUUAGUAUAAAAAUCUCUCUUUAAUAUUAUAAUAAUUCGGAUCCGGGUUCAUCCGACCCGACCCAUACUGUAGUCAACACCAACACACCGAACUCGAAUCAGCGUCUACGGCUUUCACCUCGAUCGGCGCUCCCCCGUCCUUCGAGCCAGUAUCCAAAUGCCGACGCGGCGGCGCGACCGCCGCAACCCGCCCGGUCCAUCCGAACCGGCCAGCCCGAACCGGCCGGCUCAGACCCCACCCCCCGCCGCAUCAAAACCGCGCCUCCUCCUCGUCUUCUUCUUCUUCCUCCUCCUCCUGCUCCUGGUCUUCGUAUCGCUGCUCGCCGUGCACCGCUCCAAUCGCGGCUCGCCGAACGCCGGUGCACCCGCACUUUCGGUCUACGAGAGGGGCCUCGUCAAAGCCGAUGUUGCGUUCCGAGAAAUCCUCGCCGUACGUUCCAUCCUUCUCUAUUCUCUUUCUCUUCCUCACUGUGAUCGAUACAUAUCUCCUUUAGAAUUCGCGACAUGUGCUUAAUUUAUACAGGAGAAUGCUAGGGUUUCGGAGAACCGAUCUCGCCGCCACUUCCCGAAUCCCGUCUUGGCCUACGUUACUCCCUGGUGUGUUCUUCGUAUCGCGAUUUUUUGAGUAUUUUUGUGUAAUUAUUCUAUGUAUUUUCCCCAAUUUUACAAUUCCUAGCAACGGGAUUAGAUAGAGGUUAAGUUUCUCGCUUUUUAGAGAAUCUAAAAUGGGCUUCAUUUUGGAGCUUUUUGCUUCUAAUUGCAGCUUAAAGCUGUUUGUUUCACUGUAACGACUUUUAUAUGGUAGGUGACAGGAUUUGCUUUACUCAUGGUUAUUUAGAGGAUAAAUUAGUUGAAUUGUCUUGUGUAUUUUGAUAUUGUGUCAGAUUUGUUAGUUGCAUUUGAAUGUUCGGAGUAAGGAGGUAAAUGAUAAUCAUAUAUAUAUUCAUGAUGAUUAUGCAGUUAUCACCUGAGUUUCUUUUGCAAUCUCUCAAUUUAUUUUUUUUUAUUUUUUAUUUUUUUAUUUUUUUAUAUGGUUUGCUUGUAUUUGGUGUUAUUUCUGGAUGUAUUAAUGUAUAAAAAGUAUGUAAUGCAGGAAUUCCAAAGGCUAUGAAAUGGCGAAGCUAUUUACUUCAAAGUUCACGCAUCUGUCGCCUGUGUGGUAUGAUCUGAAAAGGUAUGAAGAACAUUUCUUAUUGAAUAACCAACUGUUGUUAUUUCGUCCUACUGUGUGUGUCGUGUAUUCUUUCAGUCUAAUAACCUGCUGCUGCUGCUUCUGCUGCUUCUGCUUAGCGAAGGGAAGAACCUAGUUCUCGAGGGACGACAUAAUGCUGACGUAGGAUGGAUAUCAGAACUUCGCAAGAACGGGAAUUCUCUGGUAUAUCAUUAUCAUCCAUUCCGAUUGUUACUGGAACUUGUUAAGUCGUUUCUUUGAAUACAUUAUUGUUAAUUUAAUGAUGUUUCGAGUGUCUUUAUGCAGUACGUAAGUACGUUGGCACUUAAUUUUGGAAAAACAACACGGAGAUAGUGAUUCUGUGAUUGAAUGCAUAUUUUUGCAAUCUGUUGAUAAAUAUAUCGUCUAGAAAUCAAUGACUGUUUGUUCUUGUAUUUGUAAUUUGAUGGUAGUAGUAAUAACCAAGCAAACUAGAUUUAUGUUGUGGCAAACUUAAUAUAUGUCUAGUAGGUGGUCCCUAGAGUUGUCCUAGAAGCAUUUCCUGUGGAGAUACUCUUGAAGAAGAAACGGUGGAGUAAGGCGAUCAAUUUAAUUGUAGAUGAAUGCAAGUAAGUCCUUUUUUUAAAUAAUUUUUUACCAAGUAUUGAUGUUACAUUUUAACUUAACAUCUUCUUGUGAAUUCAUAGGGAAAUGGGAUAUGAUGGUAUUGUGCUGGAAUCCUGGUCAAGGUGGGCAGUCUACGGUGUUCUGAACGACCCAGAGUUGCGGAAUUUGGUAUUUUCAUUAUUCACUAAUGUUUAAGUAGCUAGUUACGAUUUGAAAUGUUAAAUUUGCAUAGACUAUGGUAUGGUUAUCUGGUGGCUUUUUAUUUCCUUUAAUAUGAUGUAUCGAUAAAGAGUGGACAUUGUUAUGCCUGAAUAAGUUGAGUACUUCCAGCUGAUAUGCAGCUCAUUCUCUUAGCCGAUAAUAGUUGUAUGUUUCACAGACGUUGCAAGUAUCUAGAAACCCAUUGAUUUGGGAUCGUAUACAUCAAUUUGGAAUGCAUAGUAUCAUGUGUGCAUUUGAAUACACUUCUAAAUUCCAUUCACGUUAAAAUGUUUCUCUGCUGUUAACAUGCUAUAUUAUUAAGAUUCUUUCACAGCCUCACCAGUAGUAUGUUAAAGUUGUCGAAGUUUUGUUAUCUACUUGUCUAUUUAUCCAUUAAGUGUCAACUGCAAGUUACCAGCACUAUUCUUAUGUUUCAUAAAGAGAAUUUUGCUCGAUGUAACAUGCCUAAUUGCUUAGCAUCUUCAUUUUAUCACUUCUCCAACUUUAGGUAGAUAAUUUUAUCUCUCUUAUCUCAUUUAUAUAUGUAGAUGAAUAAGCUAGUAUAACUGCCUGUGCUCCGUAAUAUAUUUUUCUCAUCCUUUCAUCUUGCACAAAUCAUUAAACUAAUUUCCUCUUGUUCUGGUGAAACAUAGGGGCUACAAUUCAUUAAUCAGUUAGGGGAGGCUCUUCAUUCAGUCAACUCGAAGUCAAAUCUCAACCAUCAGUUAGAAUUGAUCUAUGUCAUCCCACCCUCACAUUCAGAGAAGCUCAGUUAUCAUGAUUUUGGUCCACAAGAUCUUCAGCAGCUAGGUACUGCUGUGGACGGCUUUUCUCUUAUGACCUAUGACUUCUCAGGGCCACAAAAUCCUGGUCCAAAUGCUCCUUUGAAGUGGAUACGCGCUUCUCUCGAAAUGCUUCUUGGUGGUGCUGACUCUGAACAUGCUCCCAAGAUAUUCCUUGGUAUCAACUUCUAUGGCAAUGACUUCGUUCUCUCUGGAGGUAAACGUUUGCUAUUUUGGCCUGAGAAUAGAUUUUGAAAAUGUAAUAGUUGUUCCUUCAGAGACGUGUUGCAGUGAGAAAAGGACAAUCACAUGACAUUCAACAAGAUUAAUUUUGACCAGAAAACCUUUUACUCUCUUUUUCCUUCUUUUCUAUGAAUUUUCCGCUCUAGAAACGUAAAAGACAAAUCCCAGGCACGGAAAUUUCCUUAAUAGAGUGGCACAAAAAUUUGGAUUGAUCGAUUUACUACUGUUAAUCUUUUAUCCGGCAUGUUUGACUUGAAUGCAAGUAAAUAAUGCAUUCUACAUUAGAUGAUUUGACUAUUGUUGGUUCCUUCACUAUUCUGUGGCACGCAAUACUGCUUGUAUCUAUAAUUACUCAUUUCGUGACCGACUGUCACAACGAUAAAAACUUGGAAGCCUAUUCAGAGCAUGUUUAAUUGAUGUUCCUACAGGGAAGAAAUCAAUCGCCUUAUAAAUACAUGAAAAGAAAACCUUUACUUGCUUCAGUGAAUUUAUCAUUAUGAAUCUCUGAAUGGUUUCAGGUGGAGGAGCUAUCACUGGGAGGGACUACAUCUCCUUGCUGGAGAAGCACAAACCAAAGCUGCAGUGGGAGGAGAAAAGUUCAGAGCACUUCUUCGUAUACUCACUUAACAAUGUGAAGCAUGCCGUGUUUUAUCCAUCAUUGAUGUCUAUUUCCUUGCGGUUGGACGAAGCGCGAGCGUGGGGGGCAGGUCUCUCGAUUUGGGAAAUCGGGCAGGGCUUGGAUUACUUCUUUGAUCUUCUCUAAGUUUCUCACCUUUCCAUUAGGGCGUUUUGUUCGCAGAAACUGUAACUUAAUCAUGAGUCUCAUUUUGUUUUGACUGUUGAUAUGUCUUCUAUUUAUUACCAAAUAGUCCUAAUUAAGUUGUGUAAAUUGUGCAGCAAAUAGCUUUUCAAAAUUUGUAUUUACUCUUGGCUAUUAGGUUGGAUUUUUUUCUUCUUUCUGCGAAAGACACCUUAAUACUCAGCUAUUUGCUACUUACUAGCCCAUAAUGAUUCAUGGUGGUCUCCUAUUUUGGAGUGUUUGAUUGUAGGUUCUUUAGUAUCAUGAAUGGAAAUUUGAGAAUAUGUACUUGCCAAUCCUGUUCUUCUUAUUUCCUUUUCUUUUAGAUUGUCUCUGUGGACCACACUAACGCAUCCUAUUUCUGAUGAUGAAGUGGGAUACAAAACGGAAACCUCGUGCCCGAUAUAUAUAGCAUGCUUAUCAAUUUCUCUAAACAGUAGAGGUUGUGACUUAUUUACUUGAUUUGUCAUAAAAUGUAUUAAUGGAUUUGUCAAUAAUUUAUACAUUUAUUUAUAUUUUCGACUGUAAAGCAUAUGCUUUUUUUUUUCCGUCGCUUCAAUUUAAUAUAUUAUUAUAUUAAAUUUGAUUGUAAUUGUUCUUUAUCUGUAUUGAGAGCCUAAAUACAUCAUUUAAGGGCCCGUAUACCUUUUAAUCUGCGCAAAAUAUGUAAAUGUUUUCUGAAUAGGAAAUUUUUUUUUUUUUUACAAGAGCAAUACUACAUAUAGAAUCUAAAGCGAGAUGUACAUCUUUCAUCCAUUUUUAUCCAAAACUGUUAAUACUUUACUUAUCAUAUUAAUUUUUUAAAAUUUUUGCUAAAAAUUACUUGCUAGGAUGGAGGAAGUAUAGAAAGUAUUUUCUUUUUUUUUACAAAAAAUACUAGGUCGAUUUCCAAAACACGUCCCUUCAUUUCAAAUUACACUAAUGCGCACAAUCUCGCUUAGUGGAGGGUACAUACGCAAAUAAUAUUUCUCGGGGCACUAAUAUGCAAAAUCCUCUGAAAAUAUCCACAGGGGUUUUUGUUUCCCCAAACCCUCCAUUCCUCGUGCCGAGAACACAAAAGGGUGCUCAACCCCAAUCUCCUCUUCUUCAAAGUUCAAACACCUUCACUUCACUUCAUGGUAUGCUCCUCUCCCCUUCUCUAAUCAAAUUUAUAUAUAUUUUUUUCCCCUUUUAAUCAACUAAAAUUUUUUCUUAAUACCACCAAUUUUUUCCUCCAAUUAAACCAUUUUUAUGGAUCCAAAACUCCUCUCUCUCCCAAGAACACCAUCUCCAACCCCUUUCCCCCUUUUCCUCUCUUACCCAAAUUCCUCUUCCAUCAAUCUCCACAACCCAACCUUAUCCUCAAAAACCCAUCUUUCACUUUCCCUUACAGCCCCCAAAAAGUCAUCUUUUUGGGGAAAAACCCUUCCUUUCCAUGGGAAGAAGCCACUGCUCCUCCUGCAGAAGAAGAAAACGCAUUUGCCCUUACACCCAGUAUCAGCUGUUGUGAAGAGGAGAAAGGAGGCCCCUUUUGAUAAUGUCAUACAAAGGGAUAAGAAACUGAAGCUGGUGUUGAAGAUUAGGAACAUACUUGUGAACCAACCUGAUAGGAUUAUGAGUUUGAGGGAGUUGGGAAGGUAUAGAAGAGACCUCGGGCUCACGCGGAAGCGCCGAUUCAUCGCUUUACUGAAGCGGUUUCCGGCCGUUUUCGAUAUAGUGGAGGAGGGCGUCUACUCGCUGAAGUUUAGGCUUACGCCCGAGGCGGAGCGGAUUUAUCUCGAGGAAUUGCGGGCGAAGAAUGAGAUGGAACAGUUGCUGGUCGUGAAGCUGAGGAAGUUGCUGAUGAUGUCCUUGGAUAAGCGAAUUCUCAUCGAAAAGAUUGCCCAUUUGAAGACGGAUCUCGGUCUCCCUCCCGAGUUUAGGAACACUAUAUGCGAAAGAUACCCUCAAUACUUCAAGGUGGUUUCGACCGAUCGUGGCCCGGCGUUGGAGUUAACUCACUGGGAUCCUGAGCUAGCAAUCUCGGCUGCUGAGGUGGCGGCGGAGGAGAAUAGGAUUAGAGAGAUUGAGGAGAGAGAUUUGAUCAUAGAUAGGCCUCCUAGAUUCAAUAGAGUGAAGCUUCCUAGAGGUCUAAAUGUCUCCAAGGGAGAAAUGAGGAGGAUUUUGCAAUUCAAGGAAAUGCCGUACAUAUCCCCGUACUCGGACUUCUCCGAGUUGAGGUCAGGUACCCCUCAGAAGGAAAAACAUGCUUGCGGGGUCGUUCACGAGAUACUUAGCCUUACUCUUGAGAAGAAGACGCUUGUUGAUCACCUCACGCAUUUUAGGGAAGAGUUUCGGUUCUCGCAGCAGGUGCGAGGAAUGCUGAUUAGGCACCCUGACAUGUUCUACGUGUCUUUGAAAGGCGACAGGGAUUCGGUGUUUCUACGCGAGGCUUACAAGGACUCUCAGCUCAUUGAGAAGGAUAAGUUGUUGCUGUUGAAGGAGAAGCUGCGUGCGCUUGUCGCUGUCCCGCGAUUUCGCGGAAGGGGGGCGGGAAAGAGUGAUGAAAAGGAUAAAGACGGCGAGGCACUGGAAGGACGAGAUGGUGAAGAAGAUGAAGAAGAUGAUGGCGAGCAUGAUGAUGAUGAGGAAUGGUCAGAUAUCGAUGAUUCGUUGCUGAAUGUCUUGGGAAGCGAAUUAGAGAAUGUUGAUGAGGAUUAUGAUGAAGGAGGUGAUUGGAGCGAUGAUGAUGAAAAGGAAGAAUCUCCACCACAUUUUCAUGAUGGUGAGAGCAUAAGUUUUCAAGAAAGCAAACCGCAUAGGAGUAGUGUCUCGAAACCUACUGAUGACAAAGUGCUUGUUCCCAUGUUUCCGGACGGUAGGCUGAGGGACAGGUGGUGAAAAAUUUAGUUGUGUUGACUGAUCGAAGCCUUUGCUGCAGAGUAGAAAAGGGACAAUGCUGAGUUUGUUCUUUCGCAUAAUGCUUCAAUCGUAGGUGCAUGCAAGACUAAACUGUCGCUGAAAUAUUGAAACGAGACAAGAAAUUGAACAAAUUGAGAACUUUUGACAUGUCAGGAACCUGUAUCUUUGCUUGUGGGUAGGAGUUGUAUUCUUUUCACAGUGCAAACAAAUUAUGGACUUUUUUUGUUGUCUUUUACAUAUACUAUUGUGGUUCUUCCUUUUAAGGGCUUUUAUGUAGCUUUUUUCUCUUGCAUAACUUUUCAGAUAUUUAGACAGUACUGCCAUGUUUGAUAUUCUAUAUUCUCACCUCAUAUUGCUUUAGGGUAUGUUAAGCUUUGUGUUCAUUAAUUUUUUGUUUUUCACACCGCAGAUGGUAUUUUGUUUUGUGGAUCAGAUACUAUACUGUGCUUGAGAAAAUAGGUGAUCAAUCCUUAAUUCUCUUUCUGCGUGAACCUUAGAAAAUGAGUUAACUUCAUCAAUCAUCUGAUAGUUUCUUUACAAAGAUAACUACACUCAAUAAUGUCAAAAAAGGUUUUCUUCAUUUUAUGAAUCAUGUUAGAUGAAGGAUUUCUUUUUAAAAAAAAGUGCUUUAUCUCCUGCUGUUUGAUCCACUGUGGGCCGAAUUUCAUUCUUACUGCAUCAAAUUCCAGUGAAUUUUUCUUUAGGUAUGAAUGCUGCAAACUAACAUUUCAGAUGACACCAUAUGUAGACAAUAUGAACAUAGUUCAAGCUCGUAUAUGAACUGAAUACUUAUUAAAUGCCGAUGAAUAUUUUCUAAUUCACAGAUUCAUCAGCUUUAUAAACUAUAGUACAAACAAAGUUACACAUGAGGUCUACAAAUUUACUCAAUUUCAGAGUAAAAUUUGCAUGUGAUCAUUUGCGACUAUGAUAUCCUGUAAAAUGAUAUACAGAACAAAAAGCUACAAUAAUUGGAAAUUAAAGAGAGGCACAAAUACAAUGUGUCUAAAAAUCAAACAUAUCUACGGAGGUAGUCGACCCGAACGGGAUGUUUGAGCUUCAUAAGUGCUUUUAGUUCAUGCUUACGGACCAUCUCUCUCGAAAUAUUGAGGUUCCCUGCAAUCUCUCCCAAAGUUCUGUUGCCUUUGCCGUCGAGUCCAUAUCUUUGUCUUAUAACCAGACUUUCUUUAGGUUUAAGUGAAUCUAGCUGCAGAAAAACAUCACUCAGUGAGAGAACUUGCAAGCAUCAAUAUCAAAUUACUCAAAUUCGCAAGCAAAUCAAAUGAACCAUAUAAUGAAAAUUCUGCUAGAUCCUAUUUGAACUAUUUCUUGAGAAGAACAAUGUUUCAGCAAUUUGUUUAUCUUGACAUUUACCACAUCAUCAAGAGCAAGUCGAAGAAGUGCUGCAUGUCGACGUUUAUCGCCACUGAUACCAUCAAUAUCGGUUAUCCCCUUGAUGAACUCUUCUUGUGUCACAGCAUGCCUGGAGUUGAGGGAUAUGACUGGUUUUGAGGCCUUGAUGAUAUCAUUGUAUCUCUCUGGUGAUACUCCUACUCUCCCAAUUAUUUCUUCCUCUGUUGGUGACCUCUCAAGUUCAAAUGACAACUUUAGUUUGGCCUUCUGGAUCUCUUGCCUAAUCUGCAAUGUCCAGUUAAGAGUGAUUAUUAAACCAGGCUCAGGUUCUUAACAUUCUGAAUUACACAAUUAUUCAAGAAUCUCAGCAAUUUAAUGCAUUUUUUUUUUUCUGAAAACAAAAGGGACGAAGAUCAAAUUCUUGCCCCAAAAAAAACAAGUUUCUUAACCAGAAUUAGUUCAAAUACAGAGAAUCAAGAAGGAAAUCAUAAACAUCAGAUGAAAGUAAAGAGGACCUACAAAAUAAUAGAUUGCAGCAACUAAAAUAACCUUGAGGAUGAUGAUAACUAGUUGAUCACAAAAUUUUAUGAUGAAAAGGGGGAAAGCAGCAGGAAAAACCCCAAAAAUGGCAAACUUAUCUUUUAAUGUUAAAUAGAAAAGCCAAGAUAAUUUUUUUCUCCAAUUUACGUAGUUUGUCCCUGACACUCAUCUAACUAAUGAUUUCCAUAUAUUACACUAAUACAUCAAUCACAACGCCGACAGUGAAAUUAUUACACACAACUCCAAUCAGCUCUAAUAGGCUAUCCUUAGUAUGCAGCAUAGAUUGAAAACCCAAAUACUCAAACACAGAAGUUGCCUAUAAGAAUCGUAGAAUCUCUUUUCUUUUCUUUUUUUCUAAGAGAUGAAGAAUCUUGAAAUUUUCUGUGUUUAUUCUUAGAAAGUAAGAAGGAAGCUCAUACCGACUCGAUUCCAAAGGGAACCUUGGUGAAGCUUGAGAGCGUCAUCGACCGUAUUAUGGAAUGACGGAUCCAGAAGAGGCCAUAUGUGGAUAGACGGAAGCCGCGCUUCUGUUCAAAUCGAUCGAUGGCUGUUAUCAGACCCUUUACACCGGCUUGGCAGAGGUCUUGGAACUUCUGGCCACUUGCGAUCUCUGGAAAGUAUUUGUUGAUGACAAACAACACUAACCGAAGAUUAUGCUGCAAAAGGUCCGAUAGAACAUAAUCGGUCUUCAACUCGUGGCAAUUAAAUAGAUUAACUUAAUUUGAAAAAUAAAAGGAAGCAUCAUGCUGAGAAAAUUAACUUUGGCGUAUGUAUAUUCAAAGCACAUUAAUGAGCAACAAUAGAAAUGUAAACUAUCAAAAAGCUUUAAACUAAAAUUACACAUUGUUCUAGCUAAAAAAGUUAUAUUGAACUAUGUAUGUAAUAAUUUAAACAGCAAAAUAAAUGCGUAUAACUUGAAAAUUGAUAGUUAGAAAUGAACUAGUUACAGAUACCUUUAUUAGCUUGUUUCUUGCGGCCCGACCAACCUCUACAUGUUGUCUCAACCGCGAAACCCUCAUGUUCAUUGCCGCUGCCAUUUCACUGUCAGUCGGCUCCCUGAGCAGAUCUUUGUGCAAGCUCUCCUUCAUCUCGUAAAUCACCUAUGUUUUAACGGUAAAAGAAAAGAUCAAACAGUAAAUAAUUUGCAAAUAAGCAGUUCAAAGUAGUUUUUCAGAUUGCGAGAUUGUCAAAUGAAGCUAUAAACUACUUAAGGGUGAUCUCAUCAUCAACAAAAAGCAACCAUUUUGGUUUUAGUUUUCACCAACACAAUUCUGAAGCCUAGUAGAUGUAUUAAAGCUAUUAUUGUUCAUUUUGCGUAACAUGAUAUCAGAACCAGUAGUACUUAGCACCAUUUGUUCCCGACGACAUUCAUCAUCUAAUCGAUUAUAUUCAUAUCCUUUGCCUCCCCUAUCAAUGCGAACACGUAAGCAGAGAUGUUAACACUGUUCGUGCUUCGUCUCGUACAAUUCUCAACCAAAAAGCAAAGGAGGAAGAUAAAAAAUAAGAACGAGGAGGCUCACCUUCAUCGGCUGCAUCAGCUCGAACAGCCUCGAAUGCUCCGCCGAACCGAGCACCGGCGGUAUCCUCAUCCUCCUCCAGUCCAAGCACGCCAAAUCCAUCGACGCCGAGUUGUCCCUCACCAGCUCCUCCACAUCCCCACCGUGCUCCCUCCUUUCACCCUCCCCCUUCCCCCUCCUCAGCGCCACCCUCUUCUCAAGGCUCAACCUUUUCGCCCUCCUCCGCCUACUCCUCACUACGCCCGCGUCCCCGUCGCCCCCGCCUAAGCGCUCCUCGUCGGAGACCUCGCCGGGGCUCAGCUUGUAGAUGUUCUCGAGCGCCGCGGCCAACUCGUCGUAGUCCAACUCCGGGGCGCAGGGAGGAGCAGGAGCAGGAGCGGCGCGGGGGGGGGCGUUUGCUCUGGUCGGGGCCGGGGAAACCAGCGUCGAACACCUGGUGGGCCGGUUCGAGCCGAGGGCCAGGAAGAAGAUGAGCGGCCGCCGCAGCGGCGGNUGAGCGGCGGGAGGAGGAGGCUGCGGCGCCGAGCGGUGCCGGGGGAGCCGCGGCGGCCGCUCCCAUGCCCCUGCGCGCGCGCGCGAAUCUGGGAGCAGAGGGGAUUGCGGUGGACGGUGGGGAUCGCGUGGCCGCCGCGGGUUCCGACGUUGAGAGCUCGUGUAACAGUAGAGGGGGUGGAACUGUGGAACUGUGGAAGAUCGUAAGCGGGUGGUAAAUGGCUACCACAAGCUCGUCGUGGGGCCCCAAUGGGAUCGGACGGUUGAGAUGUGCUUUUAAAAGGAUGGAUCGAACGGCCGAGGAUUUACACGACGUGGGCAUCGCGGGGAAGAGAGAGGCGGGUGGGGGGAGAGAUAUAUAUUAUAUUUAUAUUUUAGGGGGAGAAAAGGUAACCCGUGGAUGGCGUUGUUGGCACGUGGAUGACUCUGAUUCGUCGACCGAUAUUUCUGGGAUCCACGUGUGGGGCCCGUUACACUUACAGGUGGAUGAUAAAAUUGUGUGUUCUCCGCGCGACGCUUUCUUUAUGGCUUUUUGUGAGGCUGACAUGUGGGGCCUGAGAAUAUAAGAUUGGGUUAUUUAUAUAUACACCCGGCGUAAUCAUCUGUUUACACUCUUUUUAAUAUUAAGUAUAGUUUGUUUAAAAAAUAUUCUACUUUCAGAAGGUUAAUAACACAAUUUUCUAAAUUUUGAUAGAUUCAUCAAUAAUUCAAAAUUUUUGAAAUAUUUUCUUAAGUGUCGUCCACAGCCCAUGGGAGAGGAUAAGAAAAUCACGAGUAGCUUAAUAUCAUUUACACCCCGGAUUUUUUUUUUUUUUUCAGAAAGAGAAAUGCGGCAAAAGAGUGAUAUAAUUAAUGUGGGAGCAAUAAAGAGGAUCUAAAGUACAACCUGUAACAUUCACAAAGGAAUCUAUGAAAUAGACAAAGAAUCAAAUCGAACCAAGUAUUAGAAGUGGAGUAGUACUCUGUACGCAACAGGUAAAUAGACCACGGUGAGAGAUGAGAUUGUACAAGGGUUGAUCCUUAUUCCUUAGGCCACUGUUUGAUUCGGGGUUAAGUAAAAAUUUAUUAUUUUAGGAAUAGAGUUAAAUUCAGGAUUAAGAUAAGGUUAGAGUAAUUUUGUGUUUGGUUGAGAAUUUGGUUUAGUCCAGGUAAAGAUAAAAUAGUGUUUGGUUGGAAUAGGUGGGAUAAAAAGGAUAAUGGAUAAAAUAGUAUUUUAUUUGGUUGGAGUAGUGGGGUGGGGUGGGGUUAGCUAAUCCCACCCAAAUGGGCUAUUCCGGAAUAGCCCAUUUGGGAUGAGGUUAGUUAACCCCACCCUCCAAAUUAGGUGUUUGGAAAUAACUUCGGGGUUAAGGGGUUAUUCCACUCCUUAACCCUGAAUCAAACGCGUGCUUGGAGUGUAAAACAAACCGAGUUGCCACCAGUCCAGUUCGGUCCUGUCCGGUCCGGCCCGGCUCAGCUCCUAACAAGCCUAUGGCCCGACACGACAUUGCUCAUGCCCUAAUGUGCGGUCUGUACUGUCCCGUGCCGAGUCUUGCAGAUCUACGACCCCCGCAUGGCACGACCCAUCUGAGCCGUGCCUAAUGGGCCGACUUAUCUUGGCCCAGUAGAUUUUCCUUUUAUAUUUUGUAUUUUUUGUAAAUAUAAUUAAAGUUAUUAUAUAUAUAUAUAUAUAUAUAUAUAUAUAUAUANAUAUAUAUAUAUAUAUAUAUAUAUAUAUAUAUAUAUAUAUAUAUAUAUAUAUAUUAAAGUUUAAAAUAAAUGGUUAUAUAUUUUACAAGUAAUGUUAAAUAAAUUAAGUGUAAAAUAAAAUUUUUUCUUUCAGUUAACUCUCCGACUUUCGACUUUUGGUAUCCUAAUGGUCUCGUCCAUAUCUGAUUCAUCCUUCAAAACCAUAUCACAUCCUAAUGAUCCAGGAAGCAAUUCUGAUUCAUCCUUAAUUAGGAACCAUAUUACAUCCUAAUAAUCAAUGACGCAAUCCUGGACGUGAGGAAUUACUGAUUUAUGGAUUGGAUUUCACUUGACUUAUCAAUUCUAGUGGCUUUUGCUAUUAUGACCUUCCCAACCACGGAGAACAAGCUAGCUCUCGAUUCAAGUGGCAUUAGAGUGGAUUCGGUGUAAAAGAGAUAGAUCAAUUCAAGCAUGAGAUAAUGACAUUUUUUGGCUUCUCCAUAAUAUUGAAAAAGAAAAAAAUUUUAAAUACCAUCCUUGUAAUUUUGCACUUUCUCACUUUGGUGCUUUAUUAUUUAAAGUGUAUUAAUUUAGUACCCAAUGAUUUUAUCUCUCUUUUUAUUAUUCGUUUUAUUAAUUUUUUUAGUAAAGUUAAAACUAAAGUGUAUUAAAGUGAAUAUUGGAUAAACCUAAAUGGGAUAUAUAAAACUUUUUGUAUAUAAUUUAACGAAAUAUUAACGAAGGGGCUAACGAAAAGUGAAAAAUAAAAUCACAUGACACUAACUUGAUACAUUUUAGACCACAGGAUACUCAAGUGGAAAAAUGUGAAAUUAUAGGAAUAAUAUUUAAAGUUUACUCUUAAAAAAAUGCAAUGCCCUCUCUAUAAGAAGUUUAAGUUGCGCAAAUAUUAAAAAAAUCACUAACUAGAUUGUGAAUUUUGGUAAUUAGAAAUGUAACUAAUCCUUGGCAGCAUGAUUCAUAGAGAAAUAGGCAUAGAAGUAGGGGUGUCAAACGGGCCGGGCGGCUCGCAGGCUGCCCCGCUCCGCACUAGAGCGGACCGAGCCAGGCAUGACACGAGCACUGUAGCAUUCGUGUCGGACUGGGCCGGCCAGUUAAAUCGGGUUGUGCUGCGCCUUGGUCUCACGGUGCGGUGGCCCGGCACGACAUGGGCCUAGGCCGUGCUGAGCCUGAGGGGAUGCCACGGCCCGGCCUGGCACGGCACAGCCAGGCCCGUGUGGGAAGUGCCUCCCGAGCUGGACGCAGGCAAACAACCCAACUCCCAAAGCCCCCUUGGGAGAUCGGCCUAUUGAACUAAAAUGUCCUUCCCAACUGUCAAAAAUUUGACCGUUGGGAGGGUAUUAUGGUCCACAAAAUUUAAAAUUUUAAAAUAAUUUAAAAUUUUAAUAUUUUUAUAAAUGUAUUUCAAAAUUUUAAAUUAUUUUACUUAUAUAUUAUUUUUUUUAAAAAAAUAAUAUUUUUAUUUUUAUUUUUUAAAAAUUUUAAAUAUUUUUAAAUAAAAUUAAUAAAAUAAAAAAAGGCUGGCUCGAAGCCCGGCCCGGCCCGUACAAUCCGGGCCGAAGUGCCGUGCUCGGCUGGGGUCUAAAAACUUUGGCUCGGCACGGCACGGCACGGCACGACCCGACUUUGGGACCGGGCUGUGCCGGACUGGCCUUCGGCCCGUUUUGGGCCGGGUAAAUGUGGGCCGUGUCCCGGCAAGGCUUACAGUACAUCUCUAAGUGCACCAAAUGAAACAUCGUUUUUGAAUCUACAUACAGUAAAAACUGCAAUACAGACUUGCUCCCUUGUGUAAUCGAGUAAUCUUUAACUAGGAUUAAUUUGAUCAUACCAAUUUAUAGGAUAAUAUAAAAAUAAAAAAAUAUCUAUUAAAAUUUUGGAUUAGUUGCAUACAAUUCUGUGUAAAUAUAUCGAAUAGCAAAUAUAUCCUUACAAAGUUCAACUUUUAUUUUUAUCUCUACAAAAAUCUUGCCGUUUUCAAAUAUAUCCCUGCUGUUAGGACCCGUUAGAAAAAAAUAAUUAACUAUGAGAAAAAUACGUAACCAUGGUUAGUGAAUCAGUUAAAUUGAUAUUUUUAUUGUUGGGAAUCCAGUACUCGCCCCGGUACCGGAUCUUGUGAAUCCGCAACCCGCUCUGAUACCGACUGCUGUGGAUUCGGUACCGAUUGUUGGGAUUCCGCAACGGAAGCGUCGAAUCGGGUUUUUACCAUAAACCCGUCUCCUCAGCAGAUGCCGAUACAAUCAUAAAAGAGAAAAAUAUGCAGGUAAAAUAAGAUUCAUUAAAUAAGAGAAGAUUACACCUGACUCCUCUUCUGCACAGAGUAGCUACAACCCGAGCCCUCUCUCUGAAUCUCUCCUACCCUUCUCUCGUCUUCUAUACUCCCAGAAGACAUCUCUUUCAUCCUGUGCAUCCGUGCACAAGGUAUACCAAUGACCCACGGCUACGAAAGCCGCACACGUCCUCUUGCACCCAUGCACUAGGUGCAACCAAAAUCAUGACCAUAUUGGUCAUGCCAUAUGGGUGUGGCUAAUCCAUACCACCACCACCCUUCUCUCUUUUUUUCUCUCUCUGGUACGGCACCCAAGAGGCCUUUUCUCUCUUUCCCGUACUCACCCUCAAAAGCAAACCCAUAAAGAGCUAUUUAUAAGGCUCCACUAAAACGCACCUCAAUCCUAAUAUAUUUAGGAUUUCUACUCCAAUUAAUAUCUAAAUCUAUCUUAAUUAAUCUCUAAUAGAUUUAAAUAUUAAUCCUAAUCUAGUUAGGUUUAUCCUCUAAUUAAUAUUUAAAUCUUAAUUUAUCUGAAACAGAUUUAAAUAUUAAUUCUAAUCCAAAUAGGAUUCAAUUACAAAUCUAACCAAAUCCUAACAUUUAUCUCUUAUAUUAUUAGGUAAAAUACUUUUUUGAGAGGAUAUUUCUGAAUAAUUCUAACGAUUAGGACUUUUAAUUUAGAGGGAUAUAUUUUUAAGGACAAAAAUGUCAUUUUAUUUAAUUACUGUGAAAAAAUAAAUAGUAUUUUAACGGUAAGAAAUCAGAGAGGCAAAUACGAAUAUCACAUUGCAGGAAGGAAAAUAAAAAAUUAAAUUUUAUAAAAAUAUAUUUGUUAUUCAAUAUAUUUAUAAAAAACUAUAUGCAAUUAAUUCUAAUUUUUUAAAAAAGCUUCUAUAUAUAAAUUAUGUAUUUAUUAAUUUAUUGCUGUGUUUGGUACAAAAUUGCUUUCAUCGGCUAGGGCCGCUAUGCUGUCACCAGAGCUUUUUGUUACAUUAUUGAGUGACAAAGAAACUAUUUUGUUUUCAUUCCAAAAUGGUAUUUUUAUUAUUGAUAAUAAAACAUGCAGUGAUAAUUAUUUUGAUCAUUCUAGUAACGUAUUUUGUAAUAAUUACACCAUAUAUACGAACUUAUACUAAUGAUAUUCUCGGUGUAGUUAUUGCACGUACCUGAUGGAUCGUAUGUUGCUCUCUUAAAUUUAAAUUAUAAAGAUUUGAAAAUUGGAAUUUGAAACUUUACAUAUAAAUAAAGUUUUUUAUAAGUAAGUUGGGCUUUAUAUUUAGAUUGGACUAAAAUUUAAAUAAUAAGAAUUUAUAUUUUAUGUAUUUAAUUACUUAUAUAUAUAAAUAUAAAAUUAUAUAAAUUAUAUAAAUAUAAAAUAAAUGUAUCUAGUUGUUAUCGAGCCGAACAUGAACGAGCUGAUACCAGUUCGUGCUCGACUCGUUUAUUAAAUGAGCUGAAAAUUUCAGAUCGUAUUCGGCUCAUGUUACUAAACAAAUAAUUCAAUCUCGUGUUCAUUUAGAAUCGAGCACGAAAUGGCUCGCGAACGAGCUGAAUUGCUACCCCGACUUAAAAAAAAAUGAUUUAUUAAACUAUGUGAUAAAAUUUUAAAAAUAUAAUCGUCAAAAUUAAAAUUUCAUAUAUGCCCGCUUGCAAAAGAUUUAAAAGUUUUUAGGAGUUCUCUCUACUUUUUUUUUCCAAUUUUUUUUUAUUCUAUUUCGUGUAGUAUAAUUGAUGUAGAUACAUCAACAUACGCAAAGCAUGCAACAUAAGUUUUAUCUUUUACAUAGAAAGUAUCUGCGCUGAUUAUUUUACAUAAUUUUCAUUUUUAGUAGACAAAAAUGCGUGUACCCAUUUUAGAUGUUAUGAUCAUGACAAAGAUUAGAGUUCCCCUUCUUUUAGACCAUUUUCUUAAGUAUUGCUCCGAAUUUAAUUAUGAACUCCUCAGAUUUUUUUUUUCUUCUUUUUUGAGAGAUAGGUAGCACGUUAUCCACUUCGUUUAUUUCAUUUAGAAAUAAAUUUAGUUAGAAGAAUGAAUCAACUAUGAUUCAAACUUGAAUCUCGAAUACCAACCAUCAAAUUUUUUGCCACUUGCUCUAUAGAUGGUACGGUAACUCCUGACAACUUGUUGAAACAAACAGUUUGCCAUUUGUUUCUACAUAAAUUACGGAGGAAGCACUAAACACAAACUGCAUAGCUUUACAAUGUGGUUUCCUAACUAUUCUCUUUGAAUAGAUUUAUUUAAAAAAAAAAAAACAAAACUAUCUCUACACUCUAGAUUUAGUGCGCUCUCUUUUACCUACGAUCUAACGAUUUAAAAAUCUCUUUCAAGAUUUUUAUAUUAAUAAAACAAUUGUUGAAAUUAAUGUGAAAUUAUUAAAAUUUGAAUGAGUAGAAUGUAAAAUUUAAACUCUAAUUUUGGAUGUACAAGUAUUUACUAUAAACCAAAAAAAAAAAAAAGAAAAAGAAAAGAAAAGAAAAGUGACCGAUGUACUAACUACUAACUCUUCAAGUACAAAAGUGCAAUUCUUACUUUCUUCUUCUUUGCAAAUAGCCCCAUAUAUAGUUUCUCCUCCUCGCGUCUCAUUUGAGGACGCACGGAGCCAUGAACAGGGCGAAUGCGAAGCUCGGUUGUGCCCUCGCCAUGGUUUUGGGCUCUGCGCUCCUCGUCGCCUUCUCCCACUCCGACGCUUCCGAAGCCGAGAUCGUGAGAUCCGUAGCUGGGAACAAGUUGAAGAGAGGUGCAUGCGCCAUUACCUAUUUACCUUCGUUUAAUUUGUGUUUUUUUUUUUCCUUCUUUUUUUUUUUUUUUUUUUUUUUAGAAAGGGCGAUUCGAUUUUUCUUCUUAAUGUGGUUUAGUUUAUUUUAUGUUGUUGCAUUUUUAUUCUUCAAUGUGAAAAUUUUAAAUGUNUUUUUUUUAGAAAGGGCGAUUCGAUUUUUCUUCUUAAUGUGGUUUAGUUUAUUUUAUGUUGUUGCAUUUUUAUUCUUCAAUGUGAAAAUUUUAAAUGUCAUACUCUAUGCAAAUUAACGAAGUUACAACUUCACUUACCUUACAUUCAUUAUAAAUCUCUAUAACCUAUAUAUAAUAUUGUUGAACCUACAUUAAAAAAGAAUUAAUUUGCUAUACUAUUUUAUAGUAAAUUUUUUUAGAUAAAGAUAGAAAUAAACAUUAUAAAAUAAUUAAGUGUAUUUUUUAAAACUAUAAAAUGAUAGAGUAAAAAUAAGGUGAACUAUUUGCAGGCAAAUUAAUCUUUAAAAGAAGCUUAGACCUGAUUUGGCAUCAUUACCGUUAUAUAUUUUAAAACAAUAAUUAUAUAAAAUUUGAUACACCGGUAAAAACAUUACAGGUUAAUUAUUCCGGCCAAAUAAUAAGUAAUAGCUUUGUAAAAGGGGUAUUAGGCAAUUUUUUUUUUUUUUUUUUUGAGAGAUAAGUAGUAUGCUACCGUUUCGUUUAUUUUGUUUAGAAAUAAAUUUAGCUGGAAAUGUGAAUCAACUAGGAUUCGAAUUUGGGUCUCAGAUAUUAACCACCAAACUCUUUGCCACUUGCUUUAGAGACGACCGAUAGGCAAAUUUUUAUUUAUCUCUCUUUUAACAUGUUCUGCAAUCGUAUGAAACGUGAUGCAGAGCAAUGCGAUCUCUUCGCCGGGGAAUGGCUCCCGAACCCUUUCGGGCCGGCUUACACGAAUGCGAGUUGCAAAUUGAUCGAAUUUACUCGAGAUUGUUUGACAAACGGGCGACCCGAUACAGGUUACCUCUACUGGAGGUGGAAACCAUUUGGUUGUGAAUUACCCAAAUUUGAUGCAGGGAAAUUCUUGGAUUUAAUGCGAAAUAAAGCUUGGGCGUUUAUAGGUGAUUCGCUUCUUCAGAAUCAAAGAGGGUCACUGCUUUGCCUUCUCUCUAAGGUGCUGCAUUAAUUUCUCGUAUAUCCUAUCUUAAAUCUUUAAACUUUAUACUAUAUUUACAUCCUCGCUCGCAUUAUUUAAGAAAAAAAUCAGAUGAUACUAACUAAACUUAUAUAUGCAUCUUUUUUUUUCCCAUCUUUUUGGACGCUAAUGCACAUCAUCAUGCACAAUUUAUAGUGCUAGUUUGUAAUAGGGGAGAGUAUGCAGAGUCUUAUAUGAGAUUGACGUACAUAUUAGUAUUAGUAUUAAUAAUUAAACUUAAAUAUUUAAAAACCGAUUGCUUAGGCCGAAUAAAUUGUUAUUUACUCUAGUAUGGUAGGUUGAUACGUACGCAUUGUUAAUUUUAAUCUGAGUCUCUACUUCCACUUUAAUUUUAAAACUUUUUUCUCAAAUUCUGUGUAGUUUCGUACCUUUUUUUUUCUUCUGCUUAACUAAUAAUUAGUCCAAACCUUGAAACCUUUUACUGUGACCCAACGCUUCACAAGAGUUACUUAGGGCCCGUUUGGAUACCUCUAAAAAUGUAGCAUAGUUAAACUAUACUACGCUAGUAGGAAAAUAAUCCUAUAAAGCGUUUGGAAGAAAAAAAAAAUGACGUAAUUUUUAGAGUAUAGUUAUACUAUACUCCAAAAAAUGGAGUAAACUUACAAUCCACUUUAACCAAAGGAAAAAAAUUUCACCAUUUUGGGCUCCCAAAGAUGUAUCAAUUUUUAAAUUUUAAAUUUCAACAUAAAAUUUUAGAUUUCAAAUUUUAAAAUUUUAAAAUUCAAAUUUAAUUUUGAUUUUAAAUUUUAAAUUUUAAAUUUCAAAUUUCAAAUUUCAAAAACUUCAAAUUUUAAAUUUUAAAUUUCAAAUUUCAAAAACUUCAAAUUUCAAAUUUCAAUUUUUAAUUUUAAAAUUUCAAAUUUCAAAUUUUAAAUUUCAAAAAGUUCAAAUUUUAAAUUUUAAUUUUCAAAUUUCAAAUUUCAACUUUCAACUUUCAAAUUUCAAAUUUCAAAUUUCAAAUUUCAAAAAGUUCAAAAUUCAAAAUUCAAAUUUCAAAAUUCAAAUUUCAAAAUUCAAAUUUCAACUUUCAAAUUUCAAAUUUCAAAAAGUUCAAAUUUCAAAUUUCAAAUUUCAAAUUUUAAUUUUAUUUUUAAUUUUUAAUUUUCAAUCUUCAAAAUUUAAAUUUAAACUUAAAUUUAAAAUUUUAAAUUUAUAAAUAUGUAAAUUUAUAAAUUAUUAAAUUUGAAAUUUAAAAUUUUAAUUAUAGAUUUUUUAAAUUUCAAAAUUUAAAGUUUAAAUGGUAUACUUUAAGUUUUAAAUUUUAAAGUUUCAAAUUUCAAAUUUGAAAUUUCAAAUUCCAAAUUUCAAAUUUCAAAUUUAAAACAUAAAAUCUAAUUUACUUUUUAAAUUUUAAAUUUUAAAUUUUAAUUUUAUAUUUUGAAUUUUUAUGUUUAAUUUUUAAAAUUUUAUUUUUAAAUUUUGAAUUUUGAAUUUUGAAUUUUGAGUUUUGAAUUUUGAAUUAUAAAAUUUUAGAAAUUUAAUUGUUAUAAAUACUGUGGAAUUGUAUGAUAUGUAUCCAAACAGCUUAAAAAUGAGGCUGUGGAAUUUUUUUGUAGUUACAGGAUUCCGUAUUUCAUUUAGACCAAAACCAUAGAAUAAAAAUUUCAUGGAGUUUUUUAACUAUGCAUCCAAACAGGGCCUUAGCCUUUUCUACUAGCUAAUAAUAGACUUUUUUAAAAUACUAGUGGCCCAAUUUGUCUAUUAAAAUUAUAUGAAAAUAUUGAAUAGAAAAGCCUAAUGAACUCCUCGGAGAGUGAGCAAAAUUGCAGGCGAAAAUUUAUUUUGUCAGAACAUGCACGUUCCCUAGGAAUAUAAAAAUUCCAGAUCCAUCAAAUUGUUUUUCCCUAUGCUUUUUGGAACUCUACCCCAUUACCUAAAAUCUUAAUUAGCAUAUAGAUAGGGGCGACCGUGGGCCGGGCCGUGUAAGUCAGGAUCGAGCCGUUGCCGGGCCCAGCACGGCCCAGCAUGCCCGGGCCAGGCAAGGUCAUGCCAUGGGCCGGCUGGGCGCGGCCGAGCACGGCCCUAAAUCCAUCUUCUCUUAUAUGAAAUCUAUGUCUCUUUAUGCGUGCUUAGGUCAUCUUUUUUGUUUGGGCAGGUAACAUGAUUUAUCUGAUCUUCAUUCUGCACAUGAUCAGCGAGCGUUUACUAAUUCUCUUGCAUACAUUGAUCUCCAGGUGGAAGAAGCUGUAGAAAUUUAUCGCGAAGCGUUUGCAUUUACAAUCUGGUACUUUCCUUCUUACAACUUCACCGUCACAGAUAUAUGCGCUCCUUUUCUGCUCAAGGCGGAAAACGAAGCAACGGAUCACACCAUGCUGCACCUCGACGCGCUCGACGCGAAAUGGACUAACAAUUACCAUAAAUACGACUACAUUGUGAUUUCCGGCGGAAUGUGGUUCUGGAGAACAGCCACAUUCCUGGAGAACAAUGCGAUUGUGGGGUGCCACAACUGCGCUGCUGCAGGACAGAACGCGACCGAAUACGGGGGCGACUUCUCGUACCGAAAAGCCCUCCGGUUGGCCUUCAGCUUCAUGCUCAGCUCCGACCACAAGCCGCUCGUUCUCUUCCGGACGUGGAACACGGAACACUAUGAGUUCGGCGGCGACGGCAUGCUGGUCUGCAACCGCACCGUGCCGUACAGAGCCGGAGAGUACGACGGGCGCCCGACGGAUCAUCUAAUGCGGGGUGUGGAGGUCGAGGAGUUCCGCAGGGCCGCCGCGAGGAGCGGGGCCCGGAUUCGGCUCGUCGACACGUUCCGGCUCUCGGUUUUGAGGCCGGACGCGCAUAUGGGACUGUACUGGUUGGUCGACCGCGACCCGGGCGACAAGACUAUGAAUGAUUGCACGCAUUGGUGCUUGCCUGGGGCCAUAGAUACUUGGAAUGAUAUAGCUAUGGAGAUUUUGAUGCGCGAAGGAGAGUUCAGGUAUUCGUCAUGAAUUGUCGAUCUCGUCGUUUGUGUUUUAGAAAAAUGUUUUACCUAAUUUUAUGCGCGCGCCCAAAUGCCGUGAGUUUAACAGUGAUUGCUCUGUUUUUCAAUAAAUAUUAGCUGUGCUGUUGUUUCGAUUUAUAACUGAUACGUUUGAUGAAAAAAAUCUCUCUCCAGGCUCUCUCUCAUGUUUUCUUCUUAGCUAGAAUUUUUUUUAGAAUGAAGCUCCAAAUCAAAUAACAAGGAUUACAAGGAUUUAAAAUCGUAAAAUUUCAAUUCUAUUUGGAAAUGAUUUUCACCGUCCAUCCGAAUUUUCGUUUUAUUUUUAGCGGUCGAUCUCCUAUUAAAGCCCUCUUUAAAAAAUUCCAAACCAUCCUUAAUCUUAGAGUAUAAAAUCAAAUCAAACUUGGGCCGAAUCCAGUUUAACUUAUUCGCCGUGUCUUAUAGUACGAGUACUAAAACAGGAGUUUUGAAACGGGCAAAUAUUGUAUGGGCAUCGUCAUCAGUUUGGGGACGAUGCCGAUGGGCGCCGCGUGGCCUGUCACCCUCCAUUGCUCUCCAUCAUCUUCUCUCUCUCUCUCUCUCUCUCUCUAAAAAAUUCAGCUGGCAAAGUUUUUUUUCUUUUUAUCCCAUCCUACUUCACUACUCCAACCAAACAAAACACUAUUUUAUCCAUUAUGCUUCUUAUUCCACUUACUCCAACCAAAUAUUAUUUUAUUUAUAUCUGGACUAAACCCAAUUCUCAACUAAAUACAAAAUUAUUCUAACCCCAUAUUAAUCCUGAAUUUAACUCUAUUCCUAAAAUAACAGAUUUUUAUUUAAUUCCGAACCAAACGAUGGGUUAGAGUAUAAAAUCAAAUCAAGCUUGGCCCGAAUCUAGUUUAACUUAUUUGUCAUGUUAGUACGAGUACUAAAACAGGAGUUUUGAAAUGGGCAAAUAUUGUAUGGGCAUCGUCAUCAGUUUGGGGACGAUGCCGAUGGGCGCCGCGUGGCCCGUCACCCUCCAUACCUCUCCAUCGCCUUUUUUUUUUUUUUUUUUUUUUUUUUUUUUCUCUCUCUCUCUCUCUUUAAAAAAAAUCAGCCGGCAAAAUUUUUUUCCUUUUUUUUCCCGUUUUCGGCCAUGUGAUGAGCACGCCUGGGCCACGUGGUGCCCAUCGGUAUCGUCCCCAAACAGAUAGUUUAGAGACGAAGCCAAUACAAAUUUGGCCCUUCCGAACUUCAUAAGCUCUGGCAUAUGACAUGUACUGGUGGUACUCACAAAAAAGUAUCAGUACUCCUCCAGCUGACAUCGUCUCCAAACUGAUAGUUUAAAGACGAUGCCCAUAUAACUUUUGUCCUUACAAAACUUUAUAAUUAAGCUCCGGCAUAUGACAUGUACCGGUACUCACAAAAAGUACCAGUACUCCUCCAGCAGCUCAACAAUAAUAAUUUCUGAGGAACUUCAGUCUGAAUGCCGAAACUCAUUGAAGUUUCGAAAUUUGGCAUACACUAACUUUAAAGUCCCGACGUUUUCACGGUGAUAUCGAUCUGCAACAUGGUUUCUCAUAAUCCAACAUUAAUUAGAUACACGUCUUGAAUCCUAGAAAAAUAAUAAUAAAAGUACAAAAAAAAAAGGAGAAUUUUAUGCUAAAUAAUUUGGUCCAAAUACUAUUAAACGGAUAAGUAGGAAACCAAGUGAAAAGCCAUACUUUGAAAUGGUCAGACAUUCUAUCUCUUCUUCGUCUUUUCUCUCUCUAUCUCUUUUCUACUUUAUGGUUCAUGUCCUUUUUGAUGGAGAUGCUGACUCGGUCUUGUAAUAAUUUUUUUUAAAAAAAGAAGCACACAAUAUUCAACUUGAUUGGAGCCCUUAAAAGGAGCAUAGUCCUUGAUGAAAAACGCAUGCAAUGCAUGUACAACCUUAAACACCACCAAGUCAAGUGCCAAUUUAUUUAUUAUUUAUUUAGUUAAAUACCAUCCCCCACUUUUUCAAGCUCCGAGGCCUACUUAUUAUUGUUUGAAAAUGGUGAACAAAAGGAGACAAGAAAAUAAUAAAAUAUAUAAUUCAAAAAAGAACAACUUCAAUCCAGUGUCUUAGAAUGUUUAAUUUUUAGAUAAAUAUUUUAUUUACGAUGUCAAAUUUUAGUUGUUGGUGUAUCCACCCAACUAAGUCGAUAGAAAACGAACCCGAAUUAGUUUUAAAAAUCUUUUUAAAAAGAAAAGAUUUAUAGCUAGCACAGGAGGUAAACAAACAAAAAGACUUAUGAUUUAUAUCCAAGAUUAGUUUAUUCAUAUUUUUAAUUAAAAUUAUUUUUUUUAAAAAAAUAAACAAAAUAAACAAUAUGCUAUAUUUUUGCAAAAACAAAGGGCACUUAGGUAAGUGUGUUUUAAUAUAUAAAUUAUAAUAAUUAUAAUAAUAUGACAAUAAACAUAAAAAAGUGUACGUUUGCCCUUUCCACACGUUUGUAGAAAGUAAUGUGUACCCCUUAAAAGCCUCUCCAACAUGUUUCCGAGAAGCGAGACGGAAGGCAGCAAGGGAACUGUGUGUAAAAUACCAUGGGGGUAAGCCUCAAGUUGUUCUUGGGUAGGGAUGCAAACGGAUCCGGGUUGGUGGAGCUCCUAUCCCGAUUUGCCCCGACGGGGGCAGUAAAUGGUAAAAAAUAAACGCAUUCGGGGCAAAAAUUGGGGUAAAUUUUAUGAUUUGAGACAGAUUCAGGGCAGGAAAAGGGAGAAAUUUUGACAUACCUCAAAUCCGCCCCGAAUCAGUCCCGAAAAUUAUUUAUAUUUUAAAAAAUAUUUUUAAAAAAUUAUGUAUUUACAAAAAAGAUCAAAAUACAAGUAAGUUAGUACUCUCAUUUCUAAUGUAUUUGAAAAUUUUGAAUUUUGUUUUGAAUUGUGAUUGAUAUUUUUGAUUUUUAUAAUUGAUAUGGUUAAAUUAUAUAUAUAAUAUUAUUAAAAAUUAUUAAUUUAUAUUUUAAAAAAUAUUAAUAAUAUUAUAAUUUUAUAAAAAAUAUUAGUUGGCGGGGCGAAUUCGCGGCGCCGGCGGGACGUCAUGAAUUCUGUGCGGCAGACGGGGCGGGAUUUUUGCUAGUCGGGGCGGGAGGUGGGGCAGGGCUCCCGCCCCCAGAUCUGCCCAGUUUGCAUUCCUAUUCUUGGGUGAUUUAGCUAUAUUUACUUUACUAUAAUCUAGUUUCAAAAAUUACAUUAAUUUUUUUGUAGUAUUAUUUUAUUUUACAGCAGAAUCUAUCGUUAAGCAGAAUAAUAAAAUUAUAUUUUUGCAGACCACUGGUGAUACCGUGAUAGAGCAUAAUGCUUUAUUAUUAUUAUUAAAAAUAUAUAACAUUUAUCUGAACUAUCAACUAUUUUGAUUCGGCUGCACGACUUUUGAAAAUUUUGAUGUUACUAUUCAAUCUUUCAAUUUGUUUGAUUUGAGACAGUCAACGACAUCGUGAUUUCAAAUUUUAAGCUAAUUGCUUAUUUUAACAAAUUUAUAAUAAAAAAUUUUUAUAAAAUAUACUAAUUAAACCUGUAAAGAUAAAUAAAGCAUUUAAAUUUUAAAGUUAAAGUACUGCUGAUUGACUUAAAUCAAACAAAUUAAAAUAUUAGAUAGUAAAAUCAAAAUUUUAAAAGGUCGGAUAGCCAAUUCAUAAUGAUUUAUAGUUUAAAUAAAUUUUGCACAUUUUUCACCUUUUUUAUUCUAUAAUAUAUAGCUUACUAUUUUGCAAUUUGUAAAAGCUAUUAUUUAACUACGCCUAUUUAGCCAGUAGAACUUCACGGUUAAACGAAAAUAAAAUUAUAUGGUAACAAUGUAUAACAUUUUUAAACUAUACAGUAAUAAAGUAAAAAAUGUACUAUAUCUUAAGAAAGACAAAUUAAAAUUUACUCUGAAAUAAUAUGUUUAAUGUUAGAUAAUAAUCCACAUGUUGUUUGGUUCCGAAUAAUAACUAGAAUACCAAUAAUCCAAUACAUCCAACGAAAUUCGUGACCGAAAAAAAUUUAAAUUUUAUUAUAUUCGGCAGAAUAGCUGAUCAAAAUAAAUGUAAAUUUUAAUUAUAUUUGGUCAUUGGCGAUUGAUGUGAGGUGUUUUAUUUGGCAGGUAGUAUUGGAAGUGAAAUGAAACAGCUAAGUUCCUUGUAUCUACUGUUCCAAAAAGUUGCUCUAUUAAUUGUCCUUUUCUGAGAAUAAAAUGAUUAAAAAGUAAUACUGAAUCAUCAACUGAACUUAAUAAGGAUAGUUAAUUGACUAAAAAUUUGAUAGUUAGUAUUUGAAAUUUUAAGUUUAAAUUUUAGUUUUUUUUUUACCCUACUAAUUGAAUUUAUUUUUUUUUCAAAAAAGAAAGAAACGGAUAGCUUGCUAUCUGUCUCUUAAAAAUAGAAAAAUAUAUUGAAUACGUGGCUUAACAAUAACAGCAGCAGCAGCAGCAGCAGCAGUGACAACAACAGCACUAGUAAGAACCAUUUAAACUUUGAUCACUUAAGCUAUGUUAAAAUUUUAUAUGUGAGAAUAGUUUUCUAAGGAUCAAUAACAAAUUAGAGAAAGGGAAAGCACUAACAUAGGCAAAGACAAUUAAAAUUUUAUAUUAUUUUUAUUGGUCCUAGGUGACAUGUCCUAUUCUUGAGCUAAUGUAUAGUUUGAUAAUUUUGGCCCACUAGUGAUUUUUAUAAAUACAUCAGAGGCGUAUAAGAAGGUUUUAUUCUUUGCACUUAAAUUUUAGGAAAAACGUCCAAUACUCUCCUUGUGGUUUCACUUUUUCUCACUUUAGUAUAUAUCCUAUGAUUUAAAGUGUAUCAAGUUAUUACCUGUGAUUUUUUACUUUUUCACUUUAGUAUCUUGUGAUUUAAAGUUUAUCAAGUUAGUAUUCUGUGGUUUCGCACUUUAUCACUUUAGUACCCUGUGGUUUAAAAACCAUAUGGUACUAACUUGAUACAAAAAUAAAAUCACAGGGUACUAACUUGAAACAAAAAUAAAACCAUAGAGUACUAACUUGAUACACUUUAAACCACAGAGUACUAAAAUGAUAAAGUGAGAAACUAUAGGGUACUAACUUGAUACAUUUUAAACCAUAGGGUAUUAAAAUAAAAAAGUGCGAAACCACAUAGGGUUUUUUUAAAGUUUUCCCAAAAUUUAAAUUCAUGUUUUUCACUCGCCUCAAAUUGCUUAGCACUUACAGCUUGGAAGUGGUAAUCUGCCAAAAUCAUAAAUCAUAAUAGGAACUCCAAAUAGAUCUAAUACAAACAUACUUGUAAUGAAAAAAAAAAAGAAAAAAGAAAAGGUUAUGAACCCGCCGCUUCCUCUGUUUCAGGAUUGCUUUGAUACCAAUAUAUUAUGACAAAAACGGAAAGAAUCUAGUUCGUCGAGUAUAAAAAUAGUAAAAUUGAAUGGGAGAAGAAAAAUAAAAUAUAUAAAUAUUUAUAUAAUUUGACCACUGACCUACGUCCACAGAUGAAGAUGGAACAGAGACUUUUAUUAUAAUCAAAAUGGUGUAUAAAAUAUGACUUUUUUACAAAUUCCUAAUCUCAAAAUAUACUCCUAUUCUAUUUCAUCUGCCGGCUACCGCACUAAUACAGAAUAAAAAAUAUAUUUAUAAUUGCGGCUAAAUCCUAAUAUAACUAGAAAUACAAAUCCAACGAAAAUUAGCAAUAAUUUUAAUAAGAUUAAAAAUAAUCUGAACUUAACUUAAUAUGAUAAUCAAAAUAAAAUAGGAUUAGAAAAUCUUUCAAUUCUACAAUUUAAAAUAUAUCUAAUAAAAAAUAAAAACAAAAAUAUGAUUAGUUCUUUCUUAAUUGGCAACUCAGAACGGUCCAUUUACACACCCAAAAAUAUAACCAUAAAUUUUACAUACGUUCAUUCAAUUAAGGAUCAUUUGUUUUAAUUAUACGAGUCUUUUUGAAUUAUUUUCUAUAUUAAAAUUUUUAAAAAUUUUCAAAUUCGUGAUUGGAUAGAUGCAAAUUAAGUUUACAAUCUACUUUUUUGAAUAUAAAAGUAGAGAUUCUCUUUAACAAAACGAGUUUCCAUUGAGCCUAGUAGGGCCACGUACGGUCUAAAUGAGACCAAACUUGUGUCCCUCUUUGUCCUCAUUAAUUAAUUAAUUAAAAGAUAAAUUAGUAAACCUUGUCCCAUCGUUUUCUUCUAAACGCGCUUCCACAUUUCAUUUUCAGCCACAAUUUUAAACAUUCUCCAUCUCCUCCCAUUUACAUUUUCUACACUAAUUUAAUUGUCUUUUUUUUUUUUUNUAGUAAACCUUGUCCCAUCGUUUUCUUCUAAACGCGCUUCCACAUUUCAUUUUCAGCCACAAUUUUAAACAUUCUCCAUCUCCUCCCAUUUACAUAUAAUACACUAAUUUAAUUGUUGUGCUUCACGUGUGAUGCUCUUUCUCGUGCACAACCCAUUUCUCUCUCUUUCUCUCUCUCUCUCAAAAACUCUUUUUUAUCGCAGUAAAUUCCACAUAAUAAUAAAAUAAGAACUUAGAAAACUUAUUUUAAUCGUAAAAUAUUUUGAUUUGAUUAUUUGUUUUUUUAAAAAAUUUUAAGUUUGCUAUCCACCUUUCAAUUUAUCUAAUUUAAGUCAAUCAAUGAUAUUUGGACUUUAAAUUUAAGCUAAUUAUUUAUUUUAAUAAUUUUACAGUUGUGAGAAUUGCAUAAAAUAUACUAACUAAAACUGUGAGGAAAAACGAUGCAUUCAAAUUUCAAAAUUAAGGUGCUGUUGACCGACUCAAAUCAAAUAAAUUGAAAGAUUAGAUACCAAAAUUCAAAAUAUUAAACUAUUAGAUAGACAAAUCAAAAUUAUCUAUAAUUCAGGUAAUUAAGUUAUGUAUAUUUUUCUAAAAAAAAUAAUAAAAUCUAUCUUUCCUUUAAAUUUUGCAUGCACACUUCAUCACCCUAGAAUAAUAACAUGAGUUCAGAAACCUAACCCUCAAAAUUGCACUUAUACAUAUCAAUCUCAUGGUCGGCGCUCGAAUUCCCAACCAACAAGUUAUUAAUAAUUUGAAUAUUGAUAACAUCCAAUUAUUUAUUUCCAUUUUUAAGAUGUUAUUUUAAUGUGAAGUUAUUAUUAUGUUAUUAAAUUUUUUACUAUUUCAUAGAAUAAAUAUAACUAACUUAAAAUGCAAUCCUAUGUUAUGUAAGUGUUAAAAAGAAAUUUUUUUAAAAAAACUUUUUCUUCCGUAGGCGCGUUAACUUGUUCUCUCUCUCUCUCUCUCUCUCUCUCUCUCUCUAUACCGCGUAAGGAGAGUUGAAGAGUCUUCUUGGUCAGUUUCGGAGCAUCUUCCACUCUGACCACAAACUUUAACACGUACCACUAAUUCGUGUCCAAUGGCAUGUAUACAACAAAUAUUUUUUUUAAAAAGCGAUAAUUAAUCCGAGAGUUAGAAUUGGUCAAACAAUCGUACAAAAAUUUAUCUCUUGUGCCCGGUUCAUCCGUACAUUUCAUAAACCAUGCCAUUAAUUAAUAGACACGUUAAAACAUGUAUUUCGACAUUCAAAUGAACUACGCUCUUGUCUUUUUCUUAAGAAAAAAAUUAGAUCAUGAAUUUUGGACACAUGUUUCUUGUAUAGCGAACAAUAUUCAUGCAGAUCAUGUUUGUUAAAUUAAACUUUAAUCUAUAAAGCUAUGAAAUAUUAAGAUUUCGUUUGGAAUUGUAGAAUCAACGUGCAUGAUUUCAUACUUCGAAGGAUUCGAGUAAAUUCAAAAAUAUUUCGAAUGUUUUAUUCUUUCAAUGUCAUAAGAUUUAAAUUGUCAUCGAAGAAUUAAGCACUAUUUAUAUUUUUUGAUGACUAUUUUCGUACUAGAGAUUUUAUUUUUGUUUUUGUUUUGUUUUUUUUUGGCGCGCUCUUUGUAUAAAAUUAGAGAGUGUGUGUAUAAUUAGAAAAUGUAAAUUUCAAACUAAGCUUCAUGUGUGGCACAAGAGACGUACGGAUGCGCCCAGCGUAGAAAAUAAUUGCUUAAAUGAUAAGCUCUCUCGCGAUUCGUUAUCAUUGUGUGAAGAAGCGAAAAAUGUAGAGUCAUUUUCCUUACUCCUUAGUCAAUCUCCUCAGUUUGAUUCUACACAAAAGAUUAAUUGUUCGGAAAAGCGCUUCUCUCCACCUCACCCCUAUAAAAAAGCCCCUCCAUUUGCUUACUCCCCACCCAACACAAACUUAAUUCCUAGUAGUAACAUAGCUUUCCCAAAGAAGAGCACAAAAGAGCGCUUCUUCAGUAGAUGUGCUUCUCCAAUUGAUACCAACUAAGUAUUAAGCACGCUAAUUGCUGUAAUUAAUGGAGAACACCUUUUCCCCUCUAAUCGCGGAGCUAACGCAAAUUAAGGAGCUUAUGAUGCAGCUAGAGGCGCAACUGGAUCAGCCGUUUCCGAUUGAGUUGAGCAAGUCCAUGGUGUCGAAAGCGCUUCUCGCCACCGAGAAGUCGAUCUGCAUGGCGAAUAAGUCGAGCUUCUGCUGCCCCAACUGCGGGCCGGAGGGGGUGUCGCCGCCGCACUCCGCUAGCGGCAGCCCCCGGAGUGAGGGCUCCGACCAUGCGUCUAAGUUUCACGAACGAAGGGAAUUCCUGAAGAAAAGGUAACGAAUCAAUCCUUCUAAAUUAAUAAGAAGAAAAGCCGAAAAUAUUAGUGUAUUCUUACAUCGAGAACCGUAAAUUUAUCGGUCUUUUUUAUCGAGUUUGCAAAAGUUAUUAUUUCAUUAGGACCCUUUUGAGAAGCUUUUUAAUUUGUUUGAAAAGUUUUUCUUAAUAGCAAAGUAAAGUUUUGAGUUUCUACCUAUGAGUUUAUUUAUUUAUUUAUUUAUUUUUUCCCUCAAACAUUAUAGGAAGGCACUGCCAACAUGGAGGAGUCAAGUAAAGGUGGGCGCAGAGAGUGGAUUUGAAGCUCCUUUGGAUGAUGGAUAUAGCUGGAGGAAAUAUGGCCAAAAAGAUAUUCUAGGAGCCAAAUAUCCAAGGUUAGUUAUAGUUUACAUAUAUAUAUAUAUAUAUAUCCUACACUACACUCAUAUAAAAAUAAUAAUAAUAAUAAUACACCUCACAAAACAAAGUUAAAGGGUUUUUUUGUAUUUAUGUUGUGUCAGAAGUGGUACUAGGGUACCCCACACAAGGCUACAGGGUACCAUAAACCCUGGGACAACAAAAUUUAAAGGGCCUUGUUGCAUUUAUCUUGUGUCAGAAAUAGUAUAUGGGUACCCCCACCAGAUACCAUGAAGUUUAUUUUGAUAAGUCAAAAUUUAAGUCAGAUAUUUUAAGUCUGAUUCAUAGACUAUAGUUAAAAAUAUAUUUACUUUAAAUAGUUUAUUUUGAUAUUAUUAAUGUAAAUUUAUUGAAUUGUAAAGAUAAUAUUAUUUAUAUAAUAUUUUCUAGUUAAAACUGAAAAAGCGCAAAUAAUUUUUUUUUUUAUAAAUUGCAGGGGCUACUACCGAUGCACCCACAAAAACACGCAGGGUUGCGCCGCCUCAAAACAGGUCCAACGAACGGACGAGGACCCAACGGUCUACGACGUCACCUACCACGGGGUCCACACGUGCCAACAGAGGCCCCACCCCCUCCCCGCACGUGCGAAGGACCAUGAGCAAAUUACCCACCGUGGCCCGGCCCACGUCGGCCCACUCCACCCUCUCCGACCGGGCCUCGCCGUUAAGACCGAAGGCGCUUUCGGCCCGUCGUCGGCCCACGAACAGUUGAAUUUUGUCCCCUUCGCAUUUCCCUCCACAACUAUUGAGAGCAGCAACAACAACAACAACAACAACAACAUCUAUUUCUCAUCUCACGCCUGGGAGGAUUGCUUUCCGGCGGCCACCGUCGGCGGUGGAUUCUCUCCGUCCUUCGCCUCCCCGGCCACCUCCGAGUCGAACUACUUCUCCCCGCCUUUAAGAGGGCUCAGGCUUCAUAAGUCGGAGUCUGACCUCACUGAGGUGAUCUCCGCGGCCACAUCCACGACCAAUUCGCCGAUGGCGGACAUGGAUUUUAUGCUCGACGGACUCGAGUUGCACCCGAGUUUCCAUCUUGAUGCUUCUAGCUUCUUCUCAUGAACUUUGCACUUAGGGGCGCAUAAGUAGAUAUGGCCAAGUAAUUUUGGCUUUUUUUUAGGCUUUAUAUAGGUUGAAUAUGUAUGCAUGGUAGGUAUUCUUUGCUAUGAUGGUUCCUUUCUUAAGGAGAGCUUUUUUUUCUUUUAGGGGAUUUCUAUGUCUUCUUUUGGACUAAUUAAGUCACGAGGAGUAAUGAUUGUAGUGACAAAGAUUUAGGUGAUUUAAUCAUGUCUUUUUUCCAAAAAAUGUAAGCUUGUUGUAUAAUCAAGUUGGUGGUUUGCACUUCUUCUAGAGUAAUAACUUUGGUAGCUGAGUAUAUACUUAGCAAUGCAGUUAAUGAAUUAGUUUUACACAUACAACAGUAUUAUGGCGUCCACUCUGAAAAACUGAUAGAAUUAUUCUUAGUAAUUACACACCAAUUUGUUAAAAAAGUUUAUCAUCAUCAAUGACUUGAAAUACUAUACGAACAAAAUUUUUUUUUUUUUUUUUUUUUUUUUGAGAAAUAGGUAGCAAGCUACCUGCUUCAUUCAUUAGGUAAAAUGAACUGGGCAUACAAGUUGGAAGCAGCUUAGGCCUCCGAGAGGUCGGCAAAACACAAAAUUAAAUUAAAAGCAAAAGAAAGAGGGAGGGAGAUCAAAGUCCCAACGGGGAGUGGAGCAGGGGGUGGAGGUACAAGAGGGGCGUCAGAGCAAUGUGGUCCAGUCGUCGAUCAGUUGUUUGAGACGUUCUAAAGAUCGAGCAACAUUGGGCGACUUUCCGUUGAAGACGUAGUUGUUUCUGUCCGUCCAAAUUACCUACCAGGUCGCAGCCAGGACAAUCAGGCGAUGUUUUCUCGACGAUUCGACGGCGAUUUCUGUAGUUUCGGCCCAGAGUCCUCUAGCGUCGGCUGAGCUGGCGUUGUUUGCGUCCAGUCCUCCUGUAUUGAGGAGGAGAAAUCGAAGAUAAACGCAAUCGUUGAAGAGGUGGUCACAGCUUUCCGUGAGGACUGCGCAGAAGGCACAGUUCGGGUCUACAUGCAUGCCUCUGAUGAGCAAUCUGUCGGCAGUGGGUAAUCUUUUUCGAAGGAGUAGCCAAAUGAAGAUUUUAAUUUUAACGGGGAUUUUUAGCUUCCAGAUAUGCUGAUUCGUCGGGGCACGCAACCCAGCGUCCGUGAUGGUCUGGUAAAGGGAUUUAACCGUGAAUAAUUGAUUGGAGGUCCAUCGCCAUUUGACCGAGUCCUUACUGGCGCAUGGUCGGAGGUCUCGGAGCAAGUCUUUAAGCAGCGACAGCUGUCUGCGACUUUCAGUAGAGCGAGCGGUCGUGAAGCCACGACAGAUAAAGCGCCAUCUCCAGCCGCUUUGGUUCCAACAUUGGGAGAUCCGGGCUUCCUUAUUGCAGAUGUUCGAGAAGAUAAUCGGGAAUAGGGUACGAAGAGGGGCUUCUCCAAUCCAGAUGUCGGACCACAUCCUGAUAUUUUUUCCGUCUCCGAGCUCGUAGGUUACUCCACAUGAGAAGAUAUCUCGACAAUAGAGCACGCUUUUCCACCACUGCGAAUAGGGAACGAAGGCUCUGCCCUCCAGCAAUGGCUUUCGUCUGACGUAGUAGAGGGAUCUAAGCAAUUUACACCAAAGGAGGUCUGGGUUGGUAAAGUAACGCCACCACCAUUUGGUUAAGAUUGCCAGAUUCAUAGAGUUUAGUUCUAAGAUUCCAAGUCCGCCUUCUCGUUUACUUUUGCAUACUGUAUUCCAGUUGACGAGACAAGCACCACCAGUGAUUUUGGAGCACCCCUUCCAGAAGAAGGCUCUUUUGAGGCCCUCUAAUCGAUUUAUCACCUACUUUGGCGCCCUAAAGAUGGAAAAGUAGAAUAGUGGCAGGUUGGUGAGAACCGAGUUGACGAGCGUGAGUCUUCCCCCUAGCGAUAGUAGUUUGGCUUUCCAGCCUUCUAUUCUCGCCUCAACACGAUUGAUGACCACAGCCCAGUCUUCCUUGCGAAGUUGCUUAUUGUGAAGUGGUAGGCCCAAAUAGCGAAGCGGUAGGCGUCCCACUUGGCAUCCCAAAAUGUUCGCAAGUCUAGUGGCCUUACGAUGGUUGGGUCCCAAAUAGUACAGUUCCGAUUUCUCCUUAUUGAUGCUGAGGCCAGAGGCCCAUUCGAAUAUGUUCCAGAGGAACAGCAGGUUGUGCAUAAAACGUUUCCUUGGUUCACAAAAGAAGAUAGUGUCGUCGGCGUAUUGCAAGAGCACCGUUUGGCAGUCAUCAGAUGGUCCGAUGCCUUGUAGCUGAUUAUUUCUCCUCGCAGUUUCAGUUAGUCUGGCUAGACAGUCGGCGACCAAUAAGAAUAGGUACGGGGAUAGGGGGUCCCCUUGCCGGAGCCCCUUCAUAGGUUUCAACCAUUGGGUCGGGACAUCGUUUACUAGAAUGGCUACUUUAGCAUUGCAAAUACAUUGCUCGAUCCAUGCCCACCAUUUGUCGCUGAAGCCUAGCCAGUGUAGGAUACGUUUAAGGAAGGACCAUCUGACGUUGUCAAAAACUUUCUCAAAGUCAACCUUGAUGCUUGUGCAUUCCCUGCCAGAUUUAGAGCACCAGUUUACUAGUUCGCUUGCAGUAACGAAUGAGUCUGUCAGUAGUCGGUCUUUAAGGAAAGCCGAUUGUGUAGAGGAGAUAAUGAACGGUAGUUUGAGUGCUAAUCUGUUGGCCAAGACCUUAGAGAUAAUUUUCUGAAUUCCGUUGAUGAGGCUGAUGGGUCGGAAGUCCCUAGCUUUGCGCGCGCCCUCCUUUUUUGGUAUGAGGCAGAGAAAGGAAUAGUCUGUCGGGCCCGUGAAAAGUGUGCCAUCAUAGAGCUCAGAGAAGACCUUAAGGAUGUCGUCCUUGACCACAUCCCAGAAGGUUUGGAAGAAAAUAAGUAGAAAGCCGUCUGGUCCGGGCGCCUUAUCGCAACCUAGUUGGAAGGUGGCAGUCUUGAUUUCGUCGAGGGUGAAUGGCGUCAUUAAGGAGUCAGGAUCGAGUAGUCUGUUGGAGUGGUAAAGGCCACUCCAGUCACCGAGUGACGAAGGUUCGUCCGCAUGAUUCCCAAACAUUCGUUUGAAAGAUUGGUAGAAGUACGAUCUCUUAUGCUCUUCAUUGGUUAUCUGUUGGCCGAAAUCAUCCUCGAUGGCCACUAUUGUGAUUUCCUCCUCCUCUAGUAUUAGUAGGAGGUUUGACUUGAGUUCGGCCCGUUUAUCGAAGGUUUCCUUGGGCAAAUUUUGCGAUUCCUCGAGUUGGUCAAUAGCUUGGAGUUCAGAUUGCAAUUGAUUUUUGACCUUGGUGAUACUGUGGAAAUGGGUCUUGCACCAUUCUUUUAUCCGGACUCUGCAGUGUCGGAGUUUAGCAGUGAUAGAUAGGAUGGCCGAGCGUUGACCGGUAGUUUCAUUCCACCAGACAGGCACGUUUGAAGUAAAGUCCUCCCUGGUAAGCCAAACCCUCUCGAACUGGAACCUACGCGAGGCAGGUGGCGGCCCUGUUGUAAGCACAAUCGGGCUAUGGUCAGAAGUGAUCUUGGGCAGAGCUUUUACCUUGCUGAAUGGAUAAGAAUGAUCCCACUUCGUCGAGAUGAGAAAUCUGUCUAGCUUGGCCAGAGUGGGGCUUUGUUGCAUAUUAGACCAGGUGAAGUUUUGGUUAGACAAAGGUAGGUCAAUAACAGCGAGGCUAUUGAUUAGAUUGGAGAACAUGCUCAUGGCUUUGAAGCUCCAAGGCUUUCCUUUCCUCUCAGAUUGAUUCUUGGUGAAAUUGAAGACUCCGCAAAUUACCCAGUCGGAAGAGCAGGAACUGCUAAAGGAGAGGAGUUCGGCGCAAAAUUCUUCUUUGCCGCCCCAGGUUGGCAGCCCGUAGACGUUCGUGAUAAAAAAUAAUUUCCUACUAGCAAGAUGAGUCAGGUGGAGAGUUAGCAAGUGUUUACGCACUAAAACUGCAUCACAAGAGAAACGUCUAGAACUCCAACAAGUAAUUAAGCCCCCAGAAGCCCCGGUUGCGGGAACAAAAUGGCACCUGUCGAAACUAGAGCCGCAACAGGAGCGAAGAAAAGACCGGGACACAGAAUCCACUUUGGAUUCUUGGAUACAGACCACAUAACUGAAAUACUUAGAGAUGACCGACCUAACGCAACGACGCUUGACAGGGUCGUUAAGACCACGGACGUUCCAACACAAAAUGUUUAACAUCAAACUACGACACACACCUAAAGGCAUAAAGCGACACACACCAGAUAGGCAACGCAGACAUCAACACACUACGCCCCGACGUGUAUGAACCUGUGAAGAUCCGAGGCUUCUGCGUCCGAGAGAUCCACCCCGCACAAAAGGCUCUUGGACUUAACUUUCUUCCUAGUCAGUUUGCGUGCCUUGGUCCUGAGUCCAGAAGAUGUACCCUCGAGUAAGACGGCUUUUCUGCGCAUGGCCCUGCUGAGGGUGGAGUCCGUUUGCGCGUUCCGGAGCCGCGUGCUUGAUCUGAGAGGGUCCGGGGUGUUGUGGGAGGUAGCUGAAGCAUCCGCCUUUUUGGGAUCAUCUCGCACCAAAGCAGCACCAGAUGGGGGGGCUGUACCUGUAUCUCCGAGUGGCCCCGGUACGACAGCUGCUGUUGAGAGACCCCCUGCCCCUCAUUGAAGGGCCCCCAUCGCGGCCAGAUUUGCCUCGGGGUCGACUAGGAGGCGGGGGUUGGUGUCCGACUCUCCCUCAUGAUCGACGAACAGGCGAGGGGAAGAAGGGUAAGGGCCGGCGGUCGCAGCGAAGGGCGAUGAAUCACCGUCCCCGAUCAGCUCCAAAGAAGCGGCGAGGGCAUCGUGCUUCGCUCCUCCGACUCCUUCGAGAAGCACUGUUGACGAUCCGAUAAUGAAAACCGAAGGGCCCCGACCACUAAGGCGAUCCGGUCCAAGGGCCCGAAGAGCAAAGAAACCACCCCGCAGGAGCAGGCCAGGAAAGGGUGAUGUGGGCCUGGCACGAGGCUCCAGCUGAGGCCCAAUAACUAGCGCAAAGGAAAGCCCACCCAUCGCAAAGGAAAGCCUACCCAUUGCCCUUAGAGAAAAUAAGGUGGGAAAGGUGGGCCCAGAGCCAGAGGAUAGCAUUGGUAGCUUGGGGCCCGAGGUUUGACCCGUGACGUUGAUUGUCUCGGGUCCAACAACGAGGCUGCAUGAGUAAUUAGCCUUCUUAGGUGAAAUCGCAACCCGAGGAUCUCUGGUAGGUGAAACCGCAGCCCGAGGAAGGCUAUUAGCGCUGAAAUGGCAAGGAGGCGAUAGGCGAAGCAUCCUGCCCCCGCUCUGUCCUCUUACCAUUUCUGAGCAAACCUCAGGGGUCGCGCUACACGCAGUCCUCGGGGCUAGCCCUCCCUCCGCCUCGGUCUUCGAGCGAGAUCUGCCCGUUGCGGCCCAGCCCCACCGGCCUGCCGCCACACCGAGCAACCCCAACCGGCCUCCCUCCGCACCGCGCAGCCUCGGCGCCCGACGGAUAGCCGGCGCUCCCGCCGACCCCGCAGCACGACGCCCCGCCGCCAUCGGUUGGGCCCUCGAGGAAGCCGACGUAAGCAGGCCGGACCUCAGAGCCCUGUGAUUAGAGUGGUUUGUCUCCGCUUCCUCCAACUCCCCAGGAGCGUCCUCCAUGGCCUCAUCUUCGCUUGCCUGGUUGCCGUCUGCUUGGCGUUCGUGGUUCCGAUUGGCUGGGCGCUCCCCGGGGUUGCCGUCUCCGUUGCGUGGAGGUGUGGGAGGUGCGGGAGGUGCAUCAACCCCGCCUGCGUCAGCCCGUUCCCAUCGCUCCAGGUGGACCAUGACCGGGAACAACUCCUCGCCGAUUAUCACAGAGAGGUUCUGGGGGAUGUUGUAGAUCGAGUCGAGAGCAAUCUGACAGCGAAAAGCUCGCAGAUCCGUCAUCGCCCUAGAAACGCUGUCCGCCUUAAUGAAUCGGCCGAAGCUGCUAACCAGCGCCGCCACUCUCGCCACUGACCAGAUCUCGAAGGGGAGAUUAAUAAGCCGGAUCCAGGCCUUGUAUUGGACACGAUGUGGCCGAGCGUCCCGGUAACGACCCCACGGCCAACACCGCAGCCAGAAUCGGUUAAGUGUAAGAAUCUCUCUUCUGAUGAGCACGUCGGCCGGAACCCAAUUCGGCAAGAAGAUUGCGUAGUUUCGCUCUCUGCAGCGCGCGACUGCGAAGUCCUCAGUAUAUCCCCCAAAGCGACUGGCCAAAGCAGUCUUAAUGACCGUAAUCGGCUCCGGCCCGAGGUUCGCUGGCUCGAUGACAUCCGCGAGGAUGGCGUUCCGACGUAGCUCGAUUCGUCGCAGGUACUCCUCCGUAUAGGGGACAAAGACCUUGUGGGGAGGAGCUCGUGCCCUGAGGUUAGCCGCUCUAUUUAUUGCGGCUUUCCUUAAGCCAACUGUCUCUCUGCAGGUUGUCGCUCGAUGGCCGGUUCUCCAGCACCUAAGGCACCGCACGGGGUCGCGACACUCCACAACAGCGUGGUCAGUCGCCAAACACCGGAAGCACCUCUUCUGCGAUCUUCUUGUGGAACGGUCUCUGUAGGUUCGAGGUGGAGGGGGGCGAGUAUGAGGGUGGUGGGAGCUGAUUGCCUUGGGUUGAGCAGUUGGCUUCCUAAGCAAGGCCUCCUUAUAAGAUCCUCUGAUCAAAGGAGAGCAUUUACUAGGAUCAACUUCCCCCCUGGUCAUCACCUCGCCCCGCGGUUCUUGAGUCAAACCCCGAGUUUUACUCCAUUGGUGUCGAACUGCAUGGAUGCCACAGCGCUCAUGAGUGGAACCCUUGCCAGUUGCAUGAAACCUCCUCUCCUCAUCUUCAAUACAGCUGGAGGGCCUCCUUAACUCCCCGCCUCUGCUAUCUUCAGGCUCUUCGUGUGCAGCCGCUUCUUCAUAAAUAUUUCAUCUAUUUGGUCCUCUUUAAGAUCGCUCCGCUUGCCUCGGACGGAGCUCUUGCUGGAAGCGGGUAACUUCCCUUUCUCCACUUCAUGAUCUCUGCAGACCGCGAAUAAAUCUCUACCAACCUCGUCUGCCCGGGCAAACCUCGUCUCAUCAUCUUCUUUACAGCUGGAUGGCCUCCAUAACUCCCCACCUCUGCUACCUACCUCCGAGCUUUUCGCAUGCAGCCGCUUCUUCCUGGAUUUUUCAUCAUUUCGGUCCUUAUUGAAACCACUCAGUUUGCCUCGGGCGGGGCUCUUGCUGAAAGCAGGUAACUUCCCUUUCUCCACUUCAACCUCUCUGCAGACCUCUAGUAAAUUUCUACCAACCUCGUCUGCCCAGGCGAGCCGUUUCACCGUCUUUUUCUUCUUCGCAUUGAUGCAUGUGACCUCUCCUCCUAGCGUCUUCUUCUCAGCUCCCAGCAUCUCAGCUCCGAGAGAGAGUUACUCAAACAGUCCCCAAAAGAAAAGAAUUUUUUUUUUUUUUUUUUUUUUANACGGAGAUGACACAUUGAUUAUUCGAUCCCCCAUUAAUCCCACAUCAAAUAAGUCAUUAUUAAUAAUUUGAUCUUUAACACCCACAGUUAGAAGUCAAUAGAUAAAAGUUCUUUUGAGCUGAAAAGCCAUUUGAAGUAAAACCAUCCAAGAUCAGAAGUCAUUCAAGUACUUUCCAAGACAAAAAGAGAGUUGUCUGAAAUGAAGACCAUCUGAGCUACUGCAUCUGCCCAGUUCCCCCGCAAUCACCAAAACAAUCACUGUAUAAAAACACAGUUAUUAGGAUGAAAAAUGUAGCUUUACAAGCAAAUUCACAAAUUUCAUCUGUUCCGCGAAUGAAAUGUUACUAGCAAUGUUUAAUACACCGGGUCUGAUUACUCUGUACAGUUACCUAGACAGAAGUUUUUUCUUUGCUUUCCGAAACAGCUCGAGAACUGCUUGCUUUUGCUUCUCUCAUUUUCCUCAGAGCCUCUCUCAGUCCCAAGACAAUAAACAAAUUGGUGAGAGUAAGCAAUGAUUCCGCGCCACCGUGCAGCCAGUCGACGUUGGACAAGGAAGUUCCGUAGUGCACUUUCGCUGUCGACAGUAAUUAACUUCAUGUUAUGUAACAGUGUGCAUAGAAACAACAUAAAUAGGAUAGAUUGAUUUAAAGAUGAUUACCGUAUAUUCCAGCAGGAACUAUUUGAAGAAUACGAAGAGAUAUACAUGAAAGAAAAAGAAAGAGGUUAAUGCAAGUCAAAAAAUUAGAAAUUCCAUAAAGGUAAUAUUUGAGAAUAAGUAAACUAAUGACUUAGAAAGAAGACCAACAAUGUUUGCAGCAAUGUUCUCGCAACAUUUAGCUCAAGGUAUACGAAUAAUUGACGGUUUCUUCACUCAAAAGGGGCAGUUCGGAUUAUUUUUUUUGUGAUAUCGAAAGUUCAUUAGCUAAAAGAAAUGUUUAAGUACGGCAACUGUAAAUAGAUUUCUAACCAUUCUGAAUAUGUAUUAUCUACAUCUGAGGAAAAGUCGAGCAGAAUAUUAGAGUGCUCAGGGGUGGUUUGCUAAGGCAGUGGGAUACUCGAAUCGGACUCGAACUCGAACUCAAACUCGAACUAGAGCAUUAAAACAGUACUUGGAUUUGAAAAUUGAAGGGAACUAAGCAUCCCAAAGUGAUCAACAACUACUAAAUUUUUUCGUAUUUACUCUGCUUAUCAGGGGAGUUCCAAAAUGGCACCUCUAAUCAAUCUUUCCCUAAACCAUUUUCUAUCAAAUUGAUCUUUCUGGUAACAUCAUGCCAAAAGUUACUACUAAACAAAUCUUGAGUUUCAUGUUAUUUUUAUUGGCUUAAAUAGGCCAGCAUUCUGUUCUGUAGUUGAGAGGUCCAACGCACGUUCGAAAUGUUCGAAAUGGCGUGAGGCUAGGUUGGGCCUAGUCAUGUUCGAAAUAGAGUGAGAAUGAUUGGGCCAAAUCACAAUCGAGAUUUGCUGUAUCUGUACACUAAGUGAAUUGGUUGCGUAUUUCUAGCGGCUCAAAUUUUUAGCAUUAGUGCCAUCGAUCCGACAAUUCUUAUUUACUAUUAAAUAUUAAAAUUAUCGUUAUCUUAGAGCUCUGGAGACAAACAGUAGUUAAAUAUACUAUCCAGACUUGUAGUAUUAUUUAAUAUAUAUCCCUUCAUCUAAUUGAAGUCUAUAUUUUUCGAACCAUUUAUCCUAAUAUAUACGAAUUUUCUUAAAUUCAGAAAAAAAAAUGUAAUUUCACACUUGGUUAAUCAAAAUUUAAAACCAACCAAAAAAAAAAAAAGAAAAAAGAAAAAAAAGGAGAAGAAGAGGAAAGGAUAAGGAUAGCAUACUUGUGGCUCCGACAAAGGCGAGGAGGAAAUAGAAGCCAAAAAGGGUGAGCUUGGGCGAAGUGUUGGACUUGGUGAUGAAGUACAAGAAGCCCAAGUAGGGGAAGAGGGAGAAGGCGAAAAGCUGAGAAGCGAUGCUCUGGGAAUCGGCGGUGGGCGCCCAGGGAUCCACGGGCAGAAGCCCACACACCACAAUGCCCAACCUGCUGCUGCUGCUGCUGCUGCUGCUGCUGCUAAAACCGCUUCUGCGUCGAAGAAGCGCUUUUGAGGGUUGGGGGAAGGGAUCUGGGGCAAAGCGAUUGUGAGCGCCGGGGGGUAGAAGAAGAGGAUGAUGGGGUUUCCAGGGGGACUGCGAGGAAAAGCAGCAGCUUCGGAUCAUUUUUUUGGGCUUUUGCUCUCCUUCGCCCCUCCGCCGGAAGUAAAAAGAUCUGCUUCUGCUUCUAGUGCUGCCAUUGGCUAAAAUGUAUAUUAAAGGCAUUUCAGCAGUACUCUGUAUAAAAUUAGCUUCAAAGUUUAUUAUUUGGUACUAUUAGAUUUUUAAUUCUUUGAUAAAAAAUAUUAUGCGGUCAGAAUAAUAAUAAAUUUUUAAGAGUUGAGUAAGUAGUUGGUUAAAUAGUAUGAUCUAAUGGAUAAAAAUAGUUAAAAAAAAUAAAUUUAACGGUAGAAAGUUUGGUAAUAUUAAAUACUUGAUGCUAUUAGAAAACACUCUAGUCAGACUCAUAUAUAUAUAUAUAUAGAUAUAUAUAUAUAUAGGCUGGGACUACUAUACUCUUAUGAGUAUAGAAUCUCUUGUACUCAUAAAUUUUUAACCGUUGAUUGAUGGGAUGUGUGGUUAGAAUGAUGGCGGUUCCCACUUAGAAUGAUAGUGGUCCCCUAGGACUGAGUGGGUAGUUGGUUGAAUAGUAUGAUCUAACUGGUAAAAAUGAUCAUAGAAUAAAUCUAAGAGCCGAAAACUUAUGAGUAUAAGGGAGCCAAUAUUUAUAAAAGUAUAGUAGCCGGACUAUAUAUAUAUAUAUAUAUAUUAUAAAUUAUGCUGGAAUAACUAUUACAUAGCAAAACGCUCUUUUUGUUAUCAGUUUUUAAUCGCCUUGAUGUCACAAAUGUAUGGUCAGGGAUGAAUUAGUCCGUUUAGAGUUUAUGGUUCCCCUAUCGGAUUGAGUGGCCCCACUGGAUUAUAUAUUUACAUCUAAGAUUAGCAAAUAAUGAAAAGAGUUUAUCGCAUAAUAGGUUAAAAAACUGAUGAGGCAAUCAAUAGAAUUUUGCACUAAUAAGUAGCAGUCCACUCUCUCUCUCUCUCUCUCUCUCUCCCUCAUCUCUCACUCUCUCUUCUCAUCAUCAGUCUCUUCUCAUCUCUUCUGCUUCCUCUCCUAUAUAUAUAUAUAUAUAUAUAUAUGAGUCUGGCUACUAUACUAUCGGUAGUAUGGAGGGCUCCGUGCUACCAAGUUGUUUUCGAUGAUGUGGCUUCCAAAUCGACGAUUGGCUCCGUUAGACUUGAUCUACACUAUUGAAAGUAUUUGGAACUAAAUUUCAGAUUUUUUUCGACAUCAUUUGACCUGUGAUCAAAAGAUCUUAAAAUUGACAAUUUUAAUGGCCAAUGUGGUGUGUUUGUGAGUUUAACGGUGUAAAAUAAUCCAAAUGCGAUGAAAAUUUUAUAGAAAAUUCUUUUCACUAUUUAGAGUAAGAUCAAUAUAUCUGAUCUUGAAUUUAAAUCUUUUAUCAUCAUUUUUUAUGAGAUUUUUAUUUUCAGCCGUUCAAUUUUAAACUACUUGUUUGAUAGGUAAAUGAUAUCGAAAAAUUAUGAAACUUAGUUUCUAAAUACUUUUAAUAGUAUAGAUCAAGUCUAACGAAGCCAAUCGUUGAUUUGGAAGACACAUCAUCGAAAAUAACUUGGUAGCACGGAGCCCUCCGCGCCACCGAUAGUAUAGUAGCCUAGUUCUCUAUAUAUAUAUAUAUAUAUAGAGAGAGAGAGAGAGAGAGAGAGAGAGAGAGAGAGAGAGAGAGAGAGAGAGAGUUGGGCAAGAAUACUCUCAAAAGCACAAUAGAUUGGUGCUUUUGAGUUUUUAAUCCUUGGAUGGAGAAAUGUNCCUCUCUCUCUCUCUCUCUCUCUCUCUCUAUAUAUAUAUAUAUAUAUAUAUAUAUAUAUAUAGGGAUAAUUGCCUAUAUACCCCUCAUACGUUUGGAAAUAUCCGAUUUAUCCCUACUUUGUUUUUUCUUUCUAAAACACUUCUCAUAUGUUCCACCGUUAUUAUAAAAUACCCCCGCAGUUAUCUCCUGUUAAAUUAACAUGGGUUAAACGUGAGUUAAAUAUCUACCACAGUUAAAAAAAAUUAAAAUAUCAAUUUUGCUCUUAACGUAAGGGCAAAUAAGAAAGGUUGGUGACGGUAGAGGGGUAUAUUGGAAAAGACCAAAAGUCAAAAUACUUUUUAUACCCCCUGAUUUUAAGGGCAAAUAAGAAAGAAAGUGUUGGUGGAAAGUUUUAUAUGAAAGGGUAAAAUAGUAAUUUUACAGAGAUAACAGAGUUACUUAACAGGUUUUAACUCUAGGGGUAUAUUAGAAAUAGGUUGGAACGUAGGAGGGGUAUUUUCAAUAUUAGCCUUCUAAGAAGGGUAAAUCAGAAAGUCGAAAAUUUUUCAGAGGUAUACAAGCAAUUGCCCCAUAUAUAUAUAUAUAUAUAUAUAUAUAUAUAUAUAUAUAGAUAGUGCGGCUAGGAUGCUUAUGGAAGCACGGAGGGCUCCGUGCUUCCACUUUGUUUUCGAUGUUCGGACAUUCGAAUCGACUAUCGGCUCCGUUAGANNNNNNNNNNNNNNNNNNNNNNNNNNNNNNNNNNNNNNNNNNNNNNNNNNNNNNNNNNNNNNNNNNNNNNNNNNNNNNNNNNNNNNNNNNNNNNNNNNNNNNNNNNNNNNNNNNNNNNNNNNNNNNNNNNNNNNNNNNNNNNNNNNNNNNNNNNNNNNNNNNNNNNNNNNNNNNNNNNNNNNNNNNNNNNNNNNNNNNNNNNNNNNNNNNNNNNNNNNNNNNNNNNNNNNNNNNNNNNNNNNNNNNNNNNNNNNNNNNNNNNNNNNNNNNNNNNNNNNNNNNNNNNNNNNNNNNNNNNNNNNNNNNNNNNNNNNNNNNNNNNNNNNNNNNNNNNNNNNNNNNNNNNNNNNNNNNNNNNNNNNNNNNNNNNNNNNNNNNNNNNNNNNNNNNNNNNNNNNNNNNNNNNNNNNNNNNNNNNNNNNNNNNNNNNNNNNNNNNNNNNNNNNNNNNNNNNNNNNNNNNNNNNNNNNNNNNNNNNNNNNNNNNNNNNNNNNNNNNNNNNNNNNNNNNNNNNNNNNNNNNNNNNNNNNNNNNNNNNNNNNNNNNNNNNNNNNNNNNNNNNNNNNNNNNNNNNNNNNNNNNNNNNNNNNNNNNNNNNNNNNNNNGGGGCCCACAUCAUCCUAACCGCACAUCUCUUAAUCCAAUGGUCACAAACUUGGUAGCACCAAUAACUUGGUGCUAUUAAUAGCAUAGUAGCCUAGUUCUAUAGAGUCCGGCUACUAUGCUAUUAAUAGCACGAAGCACUUGGUGCUACCAAGUUUUCCGCCGUUAGAUCUACCCUUUUGAUCAUUUUCACCCGUUAGUUCAUACUAUUAAACCAACCACCCACUCAACCCUAGGGGGCCAUAUCAUCCUAACCGCACAUCUCUUAAUCCAAUGGCCAAAAACUUGGUAGCACCGAUGACUUGGUGCUAUUAAUAGCAUAGUAGCCUAGUUCUAUAUAUAUAUAUAUAGGCUAAAGCUACUAUACUCUUAUGUGUAUAGAGCACUUUGUACUCAUAAGUUGUUUUCAAUGAUGGAGCUUCCGAAUCGACGAUCCACUCCGUUAAAUAUGAUCUAGAGUAUUUAAAAUUUUUAGAAAAUAAAUUUCGUAAAUCAUAAUAAAGUUUAUCAAGCGGGUGUAAAAUGAACAGUCAAAAUCGAACGACGUCUUAAAAAUGGAUGAUAGGAUCCUUCAAUUUAAGAUCAUAAUUAUUGAUCUUUAUCUAUGUAGUGAAUAGAAUUUUCUAUCAAAAAUUCAACUGAUUUUGAUUCUUUUACACCGUUAAACUGACAAAUAUUCUAUACCGGUCGUUAAAAAUUGUCAAUUUUGUGACCUUCUGAUCGUAAGGUAAAUGAUGUCGAAAAAUUAGAAAAUUUGAUUUCUAGACCUUUUAAAUGCUCUAGAUAACAUUUAAUUGUGUGGAUCGUCGAUUCGGAAACUCUAUCAUCGAAAACAACUUAUGAGUACGAUGGCGACGUACUUAUAAGAGUAUAGUAGCUAGACUAUAUAUAUAUAUAGUUGAUCUAGGAUACUUUUACAAGUAUCAUCCCCAUGUUGCUAUCACGUUUUUAGCCAUUGGAUCUACUUUUUGAUUACAAAUAGCCCUUGGAUCAAACACUAUUUCACCUACCACCACCUACCGCCAUUAUCUCAACCUCACAUCUCUCCAUCCAAGGGCUAAAAACACACAAGUAUCACUUGGGUGAUACUUGUAAAAGUAUUCUAGCCCUACUCUAUAUAUAUAUAUAUAUAUAUAGUCCGGCUACUAUACUCUUAUGAGUAUAGAGCCUCUUGUACUGAUAAGUUUUUUACCGUUUGAUCUACCUUUUAAUCAUUUUUACCCGUUAGAUUAUACUAUUCAACCAACCACCCACUCAACCCUAGGAGGCCCAAUAUUAACCUAACCGUAAUCACUCUCAUCCUAACCGCAUAUUUUUUCAUCCGAACUUCUAAGUUUCUAGCCCUCGGAUCUACUUCUUGAUUAUUAAUAGAAUUUGGAUCAAACACUAUUUCAUCUAUCACCAUCAUCUUAGGGCCCGUUUGUUUUGGUGUAAGUGGAGUGAUGGAACUCAAGUUCCAUCACUUCCGUUAUUUGUUUUGGUGUAAGUGAAAAAUAUAAUGUAACUCAAGUUACGUUAGAGCUCCACUUCACCUACUCUCGACUUCCGGCUCUAAAGUACCGAACUCGACUUCCACCACACUCAACCUUCUCUAAACAAUUUAUUAAACAGUAAAACCUAAACUCUACUUUCUUUAUAAUGGGUUAGAAUUACCUUAUUUAUAAUAAAUUAAGAUUAUCUUUAAAUAAUAAUAAAAAAUUUAAUUAUAUAAUAGGUUAAAUUUUAUAGUGAUAAAUUUAUUACUAUAUUUAGGAGAUAAUGGGAUCCACUUACUUACAUCAAAACAAACAACGGAACUCAAAAAACUAAUUUUACCAGCACCAAGUUACAUCAAAACAAACAGACAGAGAAGUGAUUGAAUUUAACUUUCAGUGGUACGAGUUACGUCAAAACAAACAACAGAAAAAUAAUCACACUUCAGGGAAACUCAAACACCACUACACUUGACUUACGUUGAAUCUACAAAUUCGUCAAUCCAAACGCCCCCUUAACCUCACAUCUCUCCAUCCAAUGGCUAAUAACUCUAAAGCACAUCUUCAUAGUGCUUUUGAAGUAUUCUAGCUCAACUCUCUCUCUCUCUCUCUCUCUUUAUAUAUAUAUAUAUAUAUAUAUGACGAAAUACGUACAAAAUUUGGCUAGACUAUAAUUUUUGAAUCAAAUUUUGGAUCAGCUAUCCAAUUUUUAAAUUUUGAUUUACUGUUUACUUUUUAAUUUGUUUGAUUUGAUAGACUUUAAAAUUUAAUAUGUCGUUUAUUUUUAAGAUUUAGUAUUCUUAAUUUAAUUUUGCAACUAUAGUUUUAUAUAAAAUAAAUAAUUGACUUAUAUUUUAAAGUCAAAUACUGUUAAAUGAUUCAAAUCAAAUAAAUUAGAAAAUUUAAAAAAUUAAAAAUUAGAAUAGCUAAUUUAAAAUGCAUAGUUGAAGUAAGUCUUCGACCUCUUUAGCUUUUUUCUUUUUUUCUUUUUCUUUUGUUUUUUUUUUUUUUUUUUUUUGUUUGGUGCAAGUUAGUCCAUUAGAGAUUUUUUUUUAGUCUGACUCUCAAGUCUCUUAGAGGUCGUUUGAUUGUAUAUAGUUGUAAUUGUACUGCAGUUAUAAUUAUAUAUAAAUACAAAUUUAGUGUUUGAUUUAAUAUAUUUAAUUUCAACUACUAUAGUAGAAACUACAAGGGGAGACCUGUAGCAGUUAGAAUUAUGUCCAAAUUAAUUAUUACUAAAACUACAGCAAUUAAAGAGAGUAAUUUUAACGAAAAGUAUGAUUACCUCCUUACUAUACUUUUAUGUUCACCAAACAUUGGCGGUGUGUACCAGGUGGGGUAACCGUGAGGUCCGGGAAAUAAUGAUAAAAAAAUAAAGCACUUAAUAUAAUCAAUUGUUACAAUAAAAAGUUGGUAGUGUGAUUAAUUGAAAUGAAAAUAUUUAUCCACAAGAUUUUUCUUGCAGUAACUUUUUACAAGCUUGCAAUUUUUGUACUAAGCUCGGAAGUUUACACUAAUAUUAAUUCUACAACAAUCAACAUCUUUUUUUUUUUUUUUUUUUUUAAAAGAAAGAAAAUUCUAGAGGCGAAGAUCGUUGUAAUUGCCACUCCUAUUCCUCAAAUAAUCAAGAGCCGUACGUGAUUCUUGAAUUUUGUACAAACUACAUACAGUACAAGCCGACCGGCGAAUAUCACCCGAUCACAUACUGGGAACGCGCUCAAUCUACGACAUUAUUACUGAAUAACUUAAACUGGUUGGCAUCGAGAACGAGCUUCCGAAUAGAGGAGAAGGCACCGGUGAUCCCGACGCCGGUGAAUAACACCAUGACAGAUACAUUGACCCAGUAGACGGGGGAGCUCAUCCGCGGGCGGAGGGCCAUGUUGUAGAGGAGCAUCGGGAGGACGAAGUCGAGAGGGAUGAACCCGAUGGCGCCCACCACCGCCGCGAUGUCACCGAAGAAGGGUAGCAUCGCGGCCACGAACGCGCAGAAGACCAUGUAGAGUGUUCGUAGGAUUAUUCUCGGGAUCAGGUUUCGCUUCGAGAACUUGCCUUGCUUUGCGUCGGCCGAGUUCUUCUCCAUAAUCUCGUAGGCUACUUGAGAGUAUACCUGCGAAUUUUGAUACAAGUGUGAUCCACAUGAGAAAAUGACUAGUCGGCGGAUAUAACGUGAUUCAAUAAAUCUAUCUGUCAAUAUCAAAAUCAAGUUGGUAAAUAGUAGUACACUUUUAUCGAUGCCGGUAAUUACUUACCAAGCCAAUGGCGAGCAAUUGGAGGAGGACGAAGAUCACCGUGAUGCCCAGAAGCCACGUGGGAGCGAGCGAGGGCCCGUUAUCCGGCAUAAGGCUCUUCAGGACGUUGGAGCUGACCUGUUUACCGAAUGCCCAGUAACCCGAUAUCGCCGUGGAAUAGAAGGCGAAGAAUAUGACCCAAUAGCACAUUAUCAGCCCCUUAACCAUUUUUCCGGCCGCCGGAGGAGCCAAUGUGGCCUGCAAUGUCGUUUUGUUAUAUGGGUUAAUUAUCAACUAGUUUAUGUGUAACUGUGUUUGUGUUCCAAGCUGGUCCAAUUAAUUAAUUAUAGAAAUAAAAUCAGGGGUCAAAAUGAGAUUUUGUUCAAUUAUUACCUUUUAUAUCCUCUAAAAUUUUUGGUUUAUGAUCAUUUGAUUAUAAGAAAAGUUAGUUGCGAAAAGCAAGGAGUGUGGCGUUUAUUCCGUAUUGUUCGUCUUUUUCCGACUCCAUAGUUUAUAUGUAGAAUUGUACAUUUAUAUAUCUUUUAAGAAAAGAAAAAUUAUUAACCUGAAUCUCCGGCAAUAUCCCAUUGCCGAAGACGGUCGCCAAGAUGGAGAUGGAGGUGAAUGCGUCGAAGGACCGCUCGGAUUUGGAUGAGCUUAGUGAAUAGUCCUUUGGCGGAGCGUUUCGCGAUACACCUGGUUCAAUUCAAUGAGAGAAAAAUCAAUGUCAAAGGGUCCCGGAAGAAAUUGUUCUAUGAUAACGCAGUGGACUGGGUUUAGUCGACAAUUUCAUUAUAUGUUGUUUUUUAUGAUGGAACUUUAUAAGAAAAAUAUUAUAUUUUCAGUUCCUUUGCUUAAAUACAAGAUGCGCUAACAAAUUAAGCUUUGUAGAUCUAAUCUCAACAACUUUUCUCAUUUCAAAAGAAUUAAAUGUGGAUAAAUGGUGCAACAUUUAUGGGUGCUAACAAAAAAUAGGCAUCAUCUAAUUCUCCUUACCUAAAUAAGCUACGAAAUGAUGACAAUGCUUUUCUAACCAGUACAUCAAAUAUUUAGUGCAUGCUUUCACUAGCUUCUAGAUCGAGCAAUUGUUUUAUGCCAAAAGCCUACAGUAGAGUACUACAUAAACAAAAAUAUCACUAUUUUUGUUAUAACGAAAAGUUGAAAUAAUUUUAAACCUGAAGCGAAAAAAACAAAAAAAAUCUAAUUUUUAAAGUAAGAACAAGGAUUGAGCAAAAUGACCUGCGCGGAUGCAACCGACGACGACAAAGAAAGUGUAGCCCAAGCUCAGGAGGAGCGACGCGAGGUUGAUAUGGCGGAGAGAGUGGAAAGAGGGCAACUGGGAGAGAAGGAUCAAUACGACCGUCACCACGAUGAUGAAAUGGUACAAUUUUAGAGGGCCAUUUGGGAAAAGGCUCGAGUACAUUAUCUUCGCGCAAAAAUGUUACACAAGUUAAUAAGAUAGUCGAUAGAUUCAACGAAAAACAAACUUGUAAUAGAUGAGCUUAAUUCCAAAUAAAUAGCUCCAAUUUAGUAGCGCUAGCUAUUUAUAUAGUAAUUUAUCAAACAAUGCUGCAUCUUAAUUAACAAGACCGUAUAAACUCCUUUACACAUUACUAAGUUCCAAACUACGUCGUUGAAUCUAAGGCCAAAUCAAUACUCAUGAUUAAAAAAUACGUAAUUAGUCGCAGAACUUAUCUUAACAUUAUAUUAACAUCCACACUAUUUUCUAAAGUACGAAACAUAAUUCAAAAACUUACUUAUUUAGUGAUUAUUUAAAGGUUGUAGCACCAUCCUCAUGACAUUAAUUGUUAAUGACGAAUAAGCGAAAUGAGAUUUCUUCUAAAUAUAGUCCAAAAAUGCCAACUUUUUAUGCAAAUUUUUAACAAAUUUUAAUAAUUUUUCAACAACGAGGAGAGGCCAAGUCCUUCUCAAUGAUCUCCUAUUCAUGAUCAGUUUGCAAAAUGAUCCGACUUUUUUUUUUGGCUGCAAUUUUUAACAUAAUGGGAAAGUUCUAACACUAAGAAAUGCUAUUUUACAAAUAGAUUAAUUACAAUAAUUUACAAAACUAUAAAAUUAACGGUCAAACCUUAUUUUUGUCCCCAUAAAUAAACCCAUCAAUCCAUCGUGGUCAUCAUUCAAUUAAUUAAAUAUGACCAUGUAAAAUACCUGCUUGUAAAAGAUUGUAAAAUUGAUUUAUGAGUACAACUUAGUGCCUCCACAAUUGAACAAAAAUUCUCUGGGGAAUGGUCCCAAAUUAAUUUACUUUGUGGCCACUCCCUUGAUAAGGGCCAUAUUGCACCGCAGUCACGCGACGUCCAUUAAUAAGAGGGUCAAGAUGUUCAUCGUUCCCCAAUUCUGGGAGCGUAGUGAAAAUUAUUUGGUGCACUUGAAAAUUAUUGCUUUAAUUUUCUAGGGCUCAGGGUUUAGUAUUUACUGUUUAGAAUUUAGGAUUUUACUCUAGGGUUUAGGAUCUACACAGUCGGAUUAUUAUAAUAAAAAAAUCCGAAGCAAAAUUCCAUUCCCAAUAUCACGAAAACGACAAAAAGGAAAUUUAAUUAAAUGGCGAAUAAAGUCCAUUAAAAAAGAUAAAUUGCAAAUAAGUACUUGAAAUUAAGUACCUCAAGGCAAUCACCCGCGAGCAAAAUGGAUCCAAUCGCCACCCCCGUGUUAAUGGUCGUUUGCACACACACCACAAAGUAGAACAUAAAUCCCGACCCUAAAUUAUUAAAUCCAAGGCACUAAAAUUAUAAGAAUAUAUAUAUAUACUUUUUAUAAAUUAUAAAAGCCCCUACAUUUGAAAAUAUAUGAACGCGUAAAAUCAUGCAUAAAUUGCUAAAUUUGGCCACGAAGUUCAAUUUCCUACUCUAGUUUCUGAAUGAUUCAAAAAACGUUAGGUACUUAUUAAUGAUCUUUUUGCCCGCCAAUUAAAAAUUUUCGAGUCGAAUUGAAAUACAUUAAUGUCAAAGUGCACCAUGCCCAUGCUUUGGCCAAAUUUACACGCAAAAUCCAGCUAUAGUUGUCGAUGCCAUUAGUUUUUGCCAAAUUUACACGUAAAAUCCAGCUACACGGUAACGGAGUUCUAUCGAUUGCGAUCCAAUAGUUUUAAGUGAAGAUUCAAUAAAGGGCACAAUAUGUGCAUACCGAGGACGUCGGCGGCGAGCUCGCGGAAGCGGAUGUGGCGGCGGCCGUGGCCCUCGCAGUGGUCGAGGACUCUCGACAUGAGGAGGUAGGCGUAGAAGGUCACCGCAGCCACCACGGUCAGCGACGCCAAUCCCAGCCACCACCCCAUCCCCCUCAGCGCGUACGGCAGCGUCAGCACCGUCGGCCCCAUGAUCGCCGUCGUCAGGUGGAACCCCGCGUGCCACCACGUCCCUAAUAUAUCGCCCAUAACAAUAUAUAUUAAAAUUAUUUCUGAACUGUUUUCUAUCAUUUACGUCAUUUUAUGAUAUGAAUGUUAUACAUGGAUAAACGUGUUAAGAUUAUUUCCAAGCUGUUUUCUAUUCGUCGAUACCUUUGGAUUCGAGGACGAAGGCCGCGCCGGCAUCGGGAGCCGGGGCGGAGUCUUUGAGGGCAGCGGCAUGUUCAACGUGAAGUGUUGUGUGCGGCGACGGCGACAGCGACGACAUGGACGGUGUUUUGGGGGAGAGGACGAAGGGAGCAGUGUCUCCCAUAUGAGAGAGAGGGAGAGAGAUAACAAUUAAGGAGUGUGAAGUGUGUGGCGAUAACAAUUAAUAGAGCACGGGAAGGGGAUAAAAUUGUGAGCAAAUUAAUUAAGAUUUAAUAAGGGAGGCGUGGAAUCUACGCUCUGUUCGUUAUUCUUUGUGAUGGGAUUGCAGAACAUACAUGCAGGGACAGAGAGAUUGUAAAAAUCAAGGAAACGGAAAAUUAUAAAAAAAAGAAGAAGGAAAGGGAGAGAGGAGGGAGAGAAAAAGAAUAAAUAUUAGUGUACCCAUCAAAUGAAAAAUAUCUUAAUUUAUAACUAAUUAAUACCUACAUAAUAAAAUUAAAAAAUUAAUACGUAAUUAAUAAUAAAAUCAAGAGGAUGGAUCCAAAUUGGUGGAGCUCUCGCCCUAAUCAAUCCCGAAUGGGGAUGUAAAUCGUAGUCAAUAAUAUAGAUUUUGAUCGGUCAAAAAGUAAAAUAAAAAAUAAAAAUAUUUUUCUUAUUUUAUCCAUUUUGAUUCAUUAAAUAUUAACUCUAAUUCCCAUAUGCUAUAAAUAGAGCGAGAAAUAUCUCUAUGUUGACACGUAUUUUAUUUAUAUUUAUACUGCACCUGAUGUAUUAUAGAUCCUAUUACAAUUUUUACAAGACUUGAGAGAGAAAGGGUCGUAGGAUGACACGUGGGGCCGGCAAGAUAUGUGGAGACGGCACUGUUAAUGGUUUAAAAAAAAGGAAGGGGCUGCAGCUGUUCGUUUACCCACGCUAUAAAUUGGGAAGGGAUUUCGGACGCGGAUCUGUUACCAAAAUAAAUCUCGCCGCCCCAGGUAGAUCCAGCCAGUGGUUGUGAGAACCUUCGAAAAUUAAUCGAUCUAGCAAAUUGCACAGAUGACCAAUUCACAGAGAUUUAGGCCAGACCAUGUUGGAAUGCAUAAAUAUUUCAAUAAAAUUGAAUAGAUUUCUAGUCGCCGACUCAGCCAAAUGAACAACUCACGGAGAGUUAGAUCAUGUCUAGAUGUAUGAACAUCUGGGUAGACAUUUUUUCUGAUUUAUUCGAUAAAUAUGUAAUAUUUGAAAGAUAAGCAGUAUGAUCAAAUAUCUAGAAUUAAUAUUAUAUUUAUUUUUAAAAUUAUUUUUUUCAGAAUAAGAUAAAUUAUUUUACUAUAAGAUUUUUCACAAGUAUGAAUUCUCCUUAAAAUGGAUAUAUAUAUAUAUAUAUAUUGUAAAUAUAUUGACAUAAAUAAUAUAUGAAUGUUUUUGAAUUACUUCAUGUCUUUGGAGGUUGGUACUUGAGACCCAAGUUCGAAUCCUAGUUGAUUCACAUUUCUAGUUAAGUUUAUUUCUAAAUGAAAUAAACGAAGCGGGUAGCGAGCUACCUAUCUCUCUCAUAAAAAAAAAAAAAAAAUCUUUAUAAAAUAGCGAUUGUCACAUUAUAUCACUAUAUUUUCAUGACGAUUAGCUAUUACUCGAUCUAUAAAUUAAAACAACAUUAUUUGCAGAAGUUCCAGCGCGACGUCUAAGCUGGGUUUUUGUCUCAGGUCAAGAAGUCAACUAUUUGUGCAUGCACCCGAGUCUUAAUUAAAGAAUCCACUUCAAAGCUUAUGUGAAUGCCAAAGUGAUUUUUAAAUGAGAACAAGGGGCUCUAGUGUUGCAUAGAUUAAGGUGACAACUCAGUAGUAAUGUAAACCAAGUCAACGGCUUGUAAUUAAGUGCAUAGUUUCAUAAACAAGUGAAACACAAUGAACACUUAAUUAGUAUUAUCCAAAUUAACCUGCACAAGUUGGCCUGAAACUUAAGAUUAAUGUACCUUUCAUAGUUGAUAUACAAUUGCAUAAUUACGUGAUUAAUGUUUAUUGGAUUCUACCGUGAGAUCGAUCUAUGACCACAUUAUGUUAAUGUUCAACAAGUUGCAAAUAUAUUUUGAUUACAAGCUAGUCUCAGUGAUUAUGUUUAAAAUAAUAAAUGAUCUCUAUGACCACAUUAUUUUCCCCUUGUUAUAGUUUGUGUUAGGGCAACUAUAUAUUCAUCUAAUUAACUAUUUGUUGGAUUCCACUUCGGAACAAAAUGAGUCGAAAAAUUGAAACAUAUAUAUGGAGUAUAAGUAUAGUAAGUUUUUGCUAACCAAUUUCAAAUGGAAAUAUAUAUAAACAGUUUUUCAAGCAAUAUGUUAAGGAUCUCUACCUUAUCCUUUUUUCAAAAGAUUACGAACAACAGUGGAUGAGAUAUUUAUUUACAGUAUGUCUCUGGGUCUUUCUCUGCUUCUGAUUUCAUGGGCUAUGACACUAAAUUCUAAACUAAUCUCGAAUUUAUAAACUAAAAUAUCUCACGUACACUACAAAAAAAUCUCAAUAUAAUGACGCUUUUAGAUGACGCGUAGAAAAAGCAUUCCUAAGCUUCUUUACAAUAUACCAAAUGCCAAUGCUUCAAAAAGUGUUAUCAUAUGAAUUCUCUAUUGUGUCAAACUAAUUUAUUAAAUAAUAAAUUUUAUUAUUAUUUUUAAAUUUCUGAUGCGUUAAAAUGUCAAAAUAUAUUUUAUCGAUAUUUGGUAUAAAUAAAGCAUUGGUACAUAUACGACGACUCUCCAUUUGUUGAUGAUUAAAUUGAUAAUUUUAAAUAUGACGCUAGACUAUGUUGAGACACUUUUAAAUAUCAUUAAAUAUAUAAAAAGAUGUCCUUAAAUGUUAAUUUUCUUAUAGUGGUAGUGAAUUUACAACAUAUUUUUUUGUAGUGGUAGCGAAUUUACAACAUUUGCAGGUUGUCAUGUAUUUUUUUUUAAUUAGAUUUCUCAUAUUUAGCAAAUCAAAGUAAUUUUACACUCGUGCCAAAAAUUGAUAGUGUAUACUGUGUGGGCUUUUUUNGGUUGUCAUGUAUUUUUUUUUAAUUAGAUUUCUCAUAUUUAGCAAAUCAAAGUAAUUUUACACUCGUGCCAAAAAUUGAUAGUGUAUACUGUGUGUGCCUUGUUUGUACGGGUGUAAUGUGGGCCAUACCGAGCGUGCGCGGCCCAUAUUUUUCGGGCUGAAACGGGCUAGUGGUUGUUGAUACGGCCCGACCCGGUUUCAAUUUCGGGCCGUGCCGGGCCGGGCCCGAGAUGCCUAUCCUCUGGCCCGGCACGGCCCUUUGGCCUAGAAGGCACGGACCGUGCCGGGCCGGGCCUUCGGGCCACCUCUAGGGCGCGGAUGAUCGUUGUCUCCGUCGAGUACCGCCGUGCCCCGGAGCACCCGCUCCCCGCGGCCUACGACGACGCGUGGGCCACGUUGCGCUGUGCCGCGGCGCGCGUCGACCGGUGGCUCGCCGAGCGCGGCAACCUCGCGCGCGUCUUCCUCGGCGGGGACAGCGCCGGGGCGAACAUCGCCCACAACGUCGCCAUGAGGGUCGCCACCGAGGGUUUAGGGGUCAAGAUCGAGGGCUCGAUCCUGAUCCACCCGGUUCUGGGGGGAGAAAGAGAUCGGGGUGGAGGAGGCGGAGAGGAGGAGGGGGAAGAUGAAGGCGUUUUGGGAGGUGGUGAGCCCUGGGACGGAGGUGGCGAAGGAUCCGAGGUUGAAUCCCAUGGCGGAUGGGAAAGAGGAGAGGUUGAGGACGCUCGAGUGCGAGAGGGUGAUGGUGGCGGUGGAGGAGAAGGACGCGUUGAGGGAGAGAGGGAGGGAGUAUUACGAGGGGUUGAAGCGGAGUGGGCUUGAGGGGAGAGUGGAGCUGUUGGAGUCGGAGAGGGAGGAACAUGUUUUCCCUCCUCCCCAGUAGCUUAGGCCCUUGGGCCUUAGGAGUCUGGGCCGUGUUGGCCCGGCUGGCACGGUCCAAACGAGCCAUGCUGUGCCGGGCCGCCUGUCUCCCCUCAGCCCAACAUGGUCUAUGCCCGUUUCGGGCUGUGUCGUGCCGGGCCGUCAAGCCACAGAGGAGAGGCCCAGCACAGCACGGAGGUUCGGACCGGGCCGGCCCGGCACGAGGCCGUGUCGGGCCGGCUGGCCCACGUGCCGCCCGGCCCGUUUUACACCCCUACUUGUAUGAUAGUUGAACAGAAUUCAUAAAUAAGUUGAAUAAAACAGAAUAAAAUACAAGUGUAGAGAAAAGAGUAUAUAUAUUGUGCUCUUAGGAUCAUUGAAAUUUAUAAGACAUAUCGAAUAUAGUACUUUCAUAGGCACAAUAAUCUAAUUUUACACUACCGUAUUUAACCAAGUAUAGUAAAAGGGCAUUAGUAGAAAUAUAUAUAAUUUAUAGAAAUUAGAUUUCUGAUUAUGUUGAAAUAAUAAAAAAUGCUACAUACACGACCCAAACUUGCCCUAGUUUCAACCAAAGGCUAAGCAACGGUCAUUACAAUUUUGACAUGAUCCAUAAUCCAACAUAUUCUUCAUCCAUCUUUCAAAUUAAAUUCAAGACGAAUACCUCAUAUCGCCUUCGGUUAACGCCAUUUUCAUAACAAUAUAAUUCCAAGCAUCAACCGGCCCCGGUAAGCACCAAUGUAAGCAAUCAUUUUGAGUCUUCUUACUCAAAUCUGGAUGAAACCGCCGAUAUGGCCCCGGGUGUCCAUCAGGCCUUAAAAGAGAAAGAUGGUAAAUGUCCAAAAGCCGAAUCCGCGUCCUGUUCCGCAUCCCGACCGCCACCGCCUUCUCGAACUCCUCGAUUUCGACCCCUCGCAUUUUACGGUCCACAUCAUCUCCACUAAACUCGCCCUCUCUGUAAGGUUUAGUCCUAUUACAAACCCCUCCACUGUACCAUUCCCCGAACUCAAAGUGGUCCGGAGUCCAAGUCCUAAAGAGAACAAUUGGCUUGUGAUCCGAGCUAAGGAUGAAGCGAAAAGCCAAUUGUAGGGCUUUUCGGUACAAGAAGUCGCUACCGAUUUCAGGCAAGUUCGGUAAGUUCGUUCUGCGACAGUAAUGGCAACCGAUAGCUGUAUCAUUCUCGAAGAAUACAGCUGUUUUGAAGAACCAAUGGCCACCGGCAAUUACUACGUAGUCGUGGUCGUUGUAUUGGCUCGCCCAUGCACUGUCAAGGACGUCGAGAUGGAUACUGAUGUUAUAGACUUUGUCGCUCGCUUUGAGUAGAAAAGGAGUCCAAAUUGCUGCGAGUGUGAAGUUGUGUGAGGGGAAGUGCCAUCUACUAGUUUUGUAUGUUUCAUCCUGAGUAACUUCUUCGCCCUGGCGACCAAAAUGUACGUAAUUUCACAUGAUUUGGAUACUAGGCCUAACCUAAAGAUUCAAGUCGAAAUAGCAUGUACCUUAGAGAGGAGGCAAAGCAAGGAGGCUAAUUGAUUGGUAAGGAUCGAAUCGCCGAUGAAUACCCACGAUUUAUUUCGCAUCGAAUUUAAGAACUUCUUCGCAUUAGAUAGAGGUAAUUCGCAACCGUAUGGUUUCCACCUCCAGUAAAGAUACUCUCUAUCGGGUCGCCCGUUUGUCAUACAAUCUUGAGAGGCAUAAAUGAAUUUGCAACUUGCUUUCGUGUAAGCUGGUCCCGCAGGGUUUGCAAUCCACCUGCCUUUGAAAAGAUUGCAUUGUUCUGCAUCACAUUUCAGACAAAGUUAAUUUGUUGGAUUAAAAGAAAGAGAGUCGACAUGGUUAUGCGGCGCGAGUGUAAUAUUCAAUGACUAUGCAAAAAAACACAAUAUAUAAUAUAUAAUGAGAAGCGUGUAGAAGUCACAAUAAGCUCUUCUCACUAGAAAGUACAAUUACCAACUAUUCUAGAUAGACGAAUGCUUCAAUACACUAUAAAUAUUAAAAUCUAAUUCUUAAUUAGAAAAAAGUAUAAUUGGAUUUUACAUGAAGUAACUUGUUUAACAGGUUACCGAUUCGAAUUAGUUAAUAUGAUAAUAUUAAAAAAAAAAAUAGUAGUAUAUACCGAAUUUGUCACCAUCCUAUAAAUAUUAAAUAUCUUAUUUACUUUGGUAACUUACCAAAUUAUAUAAUACCCAAUUUGUUAAAUAUCCAGCUCAAAAAAAUAUUAAAUUUAAUUUUUGAAGUUGGUAUUGUAAUAUAAAAUUUUAAAUUUGAAAUUUAUAUUAAACUUUUAAAUUUGAAUCUGAAUUGAACUUUUAAUCUUAAAGACAAAUUUUAAUUUUUUGAUUUAAAUUGAAAUUUUGAAUUGGAAUUGAAAGUUUUAUUUUAAAUUUGUGUUUUACAUUUAAAAAAAUUGAAUUUGAUUUAUAAUUAAGUUUUAAAUGUUGUUUAGGAUUUAAAUUUAUAAUUUGGUUGUAAUUUGAAAUUCAAUUAUUGUUGUAGGCAUUUGAAAAUGUUACAGUAUUCUUAGUUGGAUAAAACUGGUUUUGUAGACCAAAAUAUUUUGCAAAGACCAAAAUACCCUUUAAAUUGGUAUCUAGUGAAUAAUACUUAUGUUUCAAUAGUAGGUCACCUCUAGAUUCAUAUUAAAUCUAACCAUCUAUUAAGAAAAAUAAAUGGUCAAGAUUUAUAUGGUGUAUUGAAGUAUUACUUAGAUAGAUAACGAUCGCUGAUCAGAGAAAAUAAUUAGUUUUCUUAUGUACGAAAUCUUGCUAAUUUCGGUACGACUUAUCCGCGCCAUUACUGGGCCAAUUUUGUUAAAUAUAGUCUUUGCUCUUUUUUUUUUUUUUUGGUAUAAAAAACAUAUUGGGUUGGAGUCGCAGUUGAAAGAAUUUUACACUGCCAGGUUCAAAAGAAGAAAAAGGAAAUAAAGAAAACUGUGAUACUGCAGCACCUCUCGGUAGUUUUCCAGUUGUGGCAUCCACCAACUUCGCAUCCUCCGCCGCGAAAGCAACGACAGGCAAGUGGAGGCCGAGGGCGCAGGCGACAAAGACGGUAGAGCACAAAACCAUGGCGACGGCACAGCCGAGCUCCGCCUUAGCCAUCAUACAUACACAAAAUGAAUACAACACGAGAAAGAAGAAGAAGAACCACACCCCUUAAUACGACCAAAAAGGUGUAUGCAUUAAAAGAGAUCAUACAGUGCAAAGUUGAUGGAAGGUGCACGAUUUGUAUAAAUACAUACUUCUCGGCAUGCAUGCAAUUAUUUUUGGCGCAUUUCUCAAAAACUAAAUUAUUUUCGGGCACAUGCAUCACAUAUCAUCAUGAUGAUGAUACACAUUUAAUUAUGGGGCAAUUACUUAUAUACCUCUGAGAGUUUCUGACAUUCUGAUAUACCCCCCUUAGAAGGUUAAUAUUGAAAAUAUUUUUUUUAUGUUCUAACUAUUUCAAAUAUAUUUCUAGAGUUAAAUUUCGUUAAUGAACCGUUAAUAAUAAUUGUUAUUUGUAUGAAAUUAAUUACUAUGUUACUCUUUUAAAUAUACCUUUCCACCAUCACCAACUCUUUUUAUUUGCUCUUAAGUUAGGGAUACAAAAAGUAUUUUGAUUUUUUGUCUUUUCAAAUAUGCCCCUCUACCAUCACUAAUAUUUCUUAUUUGCCCUUAAAUUAAGAACAAAAGAGACAUUUUGAUUUUUUUUAACUUUAGUAAAUAUUUAACUCACAUUUAACCCAAAUUAACUUAACUGUUGGUGACUGUAGCAGUAUUUUGGAAUAUCGAAAGAACAUAUGAGAGGUAUAUUGGAAAGAAAAAAAAAAGGAAUAAAUGAGAUAUUUCUGAACUUUUGAGGGAUAUAUAGGCAAUUAUCCUCUUAAUUAUUGUUGCUUUGGUUUAUAUAGACUUUGGCAUGUUUGGUUGGUUGGAAAAUAUUCCAGAACAUUUGUUUUAGGGUGUAAAAUUUUUUUCCGUAUGUUUGGCUUGCAAAAAAAAUGGUCAAUUUGUAUAAAAAAUCUACAAGUUUUGAGCUUUUGUAAAACUGGACCAUUUUUUUAAAAUUUUGUAGAUUCGAGUUGAAUUUUUAGAAAACUGGCCAAAAUAUUCUUAUUCCUUUCUCUCUCUUUUUUUUCUCGUUCUUUUUGUCCUUCUACGAAGAGAGAGGUGGAGGCAGAGAUGGAGGCGACCCGUCUCUCCUCUGCCCCCUACGCCAUCGCCUGCGUUCGUGCACCACCAGCCCUCCUCGCAACCUUGGUGGGGUCGGAGGUGAGAAGGACAGGUAGUGCGCGGACGCGUGCGAGGGUGCUGGAGGCAGAGGGGAGGCGGGCUGCCUCCGCCCCCGCCUCCGUCUCUCUCUUCUUAGAGGGAAAAGAAAAGAACGAGAGAAAAAAAAAAAUGAGAGAGAGAAAGGAAUAAGGGUAUUUUGGUCAGUUUUCUAAAAAAUCAGUCCGAAUCUACAAAAUCGAAAAAGACGGUCCAAUUUUGUAAAUGCUCAAAACUUAUACAUUUUUUAUGCAAAUUGGCCAAAAACAUAGAUAUUUUGAAUUUUUUUAUAUUUCACAAAAAAAUUUUCUUUUCGUUUUCUAAUUUUUUUUUUCAAGAAACAAAAAUUUUUAUUGCGAAUAUUUUGAGAAUAAAAAAAAAAAAUUCUUUUUCUUUACCACCCAACAAUCAUCUUAACCAUCUUCCAUCUUCAUCUCUAUCGUCCUAUAUAUAGAGAGAGAGUAGAGCUACUAUAUUAUCGGAAGUAUAAAGAAUCUGCUACUUCCGACUAAUACUCCUUUGGUCAUUUCUAACCUUUGGAUUAAUACUAUUACCCUGUGGGGACUACUCAACUCUAGGAGUACUACUCAACCCUAGAGGGACCGCAACCAUCCCAACUAUACAAUUCUUGAUCAAAAGGUCAAAAAGUCGGAAGCAUUAACGCCUCUAUACAUUUGAUAGUAUUGUAGCUCUACUCUCUCUCUCUCUCUCUCUCUCUCUAUAUAUAUAUAUAUAUAUAUAUAUAUAUAUAUAUAUAUAUAUAAAGCAUAAUUAUUUUCAUCUUCUAUCUGUCAGGUCAAUCAUUUCUAUCUCCCUUAUAAAACUAUUUUAUCUAUACCAAAAUAUACUUAAAAUUAUUUUUAUUUAUUAUUUAUUAUUUAUUAUUACGUUAAAUUUAAAAGGUCGGUAAUCUCACCCUUUUUAUAAAAAUUUUUUAUACACCAAAAUUAUCUACUAAUCAAACAAGUGAAAUAAAAAUAAAUUUUUUUAAAAAAUUUUUAUCUUUUCACCAUCCGACGACGAUGCAUGGAAAACUUAUUAUUUUUCCGUCCAAUCAAACAAUAGAAACCAAAAAAGAAAUUCAAAAUUUUUUUUCUCCGAAAAUAAUUUUCUACUAUUUUUCAAAAAACCAAACAGACCCUUAUGCAUCAACAGAAAAAGUUGUACCUUCAAAAAUUAGUUAUUAAUUAUUUAGUAACUAGAUUUUGUUGAGUACAAUUACACAUAUAGCUGGACAGCUGAAAUUUGGUUUGCAUUUAAUUUUAGCGAUUGUUCUACAUUUGGGCUCACUUGAGACAACAUAAAUAAAAUUAUAUUAUAACUUUUCAUAGAGAAAGUAUCCUGAACCCAUGGUACGUAUAGUGCGGAGAGAUUUUGUUCCGAGAAAUAAUUAUUAGCUAUUUAUUAUUAACUAACAUAGGUCCAACUGUAUGUACCAUGAUAAUAAAAGUUCAGGAAAUUAGUAGUUGAGUUUGAUGAGCCAAUAAGUUGAGUGCGAUUAUAGUCUAUAAUAUCUAACAGUAAGAGAUUCAACAAUAUACCUAAGUUCAGAUUGGUUGAGUGAAGUCCAAGUCCGUAAAUGCUAUGAUUGAGCGCUUAAAUGUAAUGAAUAUAUUUUUACUAUCAGUACGUGCUUUUGAAAUAGUUGAUUAGUACUAACGAUUCGCUAGUAAUGUCAGAAACAGUGGUGCAGAUGAAAUUCCUAAAAGCUGCAAUAAACAGUGCAGGUAAGCGGGUUCGAUUUUUAUAAGCUGUAUUAAAUGUUGCAGCUGAGCUCCAUUAAAAGGUGUAGAUGUUGGGGUUGCUUUUGGAACAGUUAAUUAGCACUUACAUCUACAAUAAUUGCAAAAUAAUAGGGAUAAAAAUUUUAUGGGCAUCAUGCCCAAACAAUUUGUCUAGGCACGGUGCCCGGAUGGGCGCCGCGUGUGUAGCGGCGCCCAUCCGCACCCUCAAAGAAAAAAAGAAAAAUGGUGACCUCAAAGAGAGANAAGGGAGGGUGCGGAUUGGCCCCACUGCACACGCGGCGCCCAUCCGGGCACCGUGCCCAAACAAAUUGUUUGGGCACGGUGCUCAUAAAAUUUUGGGAAAACUUCAAAAACCCCUCAUGUGGUUUCACACUUUCUCAUUUUAGUAUCUUGUGAUUUAAAGUGUAUCAAGUUAGUACCUUAUUGUUUCUCACUUUAUCACUUUAGUACCAUGUGGUUUAAAGUGUAUCAAGUUAAUAUCCUGUGGUUUUACACUUUAUCACUUUAGUACCCUAUGGUUUAAAAAACCACAGGGUACUAACUUGAUACAAAAUUAAAACUACAUGGUAUUAAAGUGAUAAAGUGCAAAACCACAUGAUACUAAUUAACUUAAUAAACUUUAAACCACAUGGUACUAAAGUGAUAAAGUGAGAAACCACAGAGUACUAACUUGAUACAACCACGGAGUACUAAAGUGAAAAAAAAUUGAAACCACAAUAGAGGUUUUUGAAGUUUUCCCUAAUAUUUUUGUCCAAAUAAUAGAAUGUGGUCCACAAUAAUUAAUUAGCGCUUGCAAUUAAUAUACAAUAAUUAGAAAAUAAUAGAAUGUAGUGGAAGUUAUCGUGUGGUCCUCACUCUUAUCUUUUGCUUAAUUAUUGCUUUUAUAUUUCAAUGAUCGAUUGUCACUAAUUUCUCGAAUUACAUCCAAUAGGGUGCUGAGAAUGAAUAAGAUUCUUUGAUCGAGAUUGAACUCGCAUCUUUACUCAAUCCUCGGAUCCGAAUAAACAAUUGCAAAAUCCAUUCAAAAACAUAAAUAAUUGCAAAACAGUAAGGUUGAUAUCUAUCGACCGCCGCCGCUGUUUCUAGAGCGCAAAAAAGGAAAAGGAGAGUGAAAGGGCGUCGUUGCUGCUGAUAGCGAGCCAACGCCGUUGCAUGAAGCCGAAGCUGCGGCUAUCCCGGAAGUGAAGGCAAAAAAGAAUUGAAGUGAAGCAUCAUUUUCUUUAUCCCUUGAGCACAUACAAGUGCACCCCAAACUAUAUUUUUAAUAAAUUUUGUGAUGAAUUCCCGUUGAAUUUCAUGCAGCAUUUGGUGGGAUGCAAAAUCAACCCAAUGCAAGCAAGACAUGUGAUCCCUUUGUUACUAGUAGCACUAAAUAUAUAUAUAUAUUAUUUAAAACUAGAUAAAUUUCAUCUUUGAGAGGUCAGCACUCAGCAGGAGCACAAGCACCUCAUAAUUUGGGUUCAUAUGCCUAUAAGUAUAUUUUUUAUUUUUUAUUUUUUAUUUUUUUUAUUUUUACUUUGAUUAACCCUUCACGAAUUGCAUUAUAUAAAAGUGGGCCCAAAUAAAAAAUUUCUUAUCAAACUAGUAUAUUAAAACUACGAUUUUAUGCAAUUAUGAUUAGUCCUGUUAUGAUUCUUACCGGUAAUCUUAUAUCUUAUUCUGUCCCAAGGUGAUACAGGUGAUGAUUGUCUACCCUUUUUUUUUAAAAUUUGUUUUAAAGACGAUAGUAUCCGGUAUAAUGCAUCUAAAUAAAUAGAAAAUUGUAUGCCCGCUCUGUCUUAUACUUAAAUUUGCUUCUAGUUCGAGUUUUACAAAUAUUCAGUAAAUUUUCUAUUUGAUUACUUUACUUGGUGCUUUCUACCUAACUAAUUAGAAGAGGGAUAUUCUAAUCACAACCAGCUUAAUCAGAGGUGGCCUGAAUGUAAUGAGAGGGCGUAAUUAACCGGCGGAUACCUGGGAAGCAUGAACCCCUUAUUCUCUGGUUCUUUUUAAGUCUAUUUAGACUGAUAAAUAAUUGCAUUUUGUUUUAUCUUAUUUAUUUAAAUUUUUUCGUUUUUUUCGUUGUUCAUUUUUCAGGAAAACAAGCUGGACUAAGUAUGAGUGUGGGAGAAUUUUUGAAAUAGAAUACACUUUACGUUUGGCACAAAAAUUUAUAAAACAAAUCAAAUACCGUAAUGUUGCAUGCUCAGCAAUCCGGCAUUAUAUAAUGCACUGAAUUAAAAGAAGUAAUACAGAAUUCAUAGUAAACUGAUUCAUAGAAAUCAGUUUUUUGAGUAUGUUGAAUAAUUAGAAAUUCAACAUACAUGAACCAAACGCAGCCUAAGUUUCCAACCAAGGCUACGCAAAAGGCAUUACAUUUUGACAUGACCCACACAUCUUAAUUUGAUACUAUAUAUAUAUAUAUAUAUAUAUUCUUGAUCCAUCUUUCAAAUCAAAUUCAAGAUGAAUACAUUAAAUCCCCUUCAUUUAACACCAUUUCCAUAACAAUAUCAUUCCAAGCUUCAAGGGUCCCCGGCAAGCACCAAUGCAAGCAAUCAUUGUAAGUCCUCGUUCUCAGAUCAGGAUGAAACCGAUAAUACGGCCCUGGGUGCCCGUCAGGCCUUAAAAGAGAAAGAUGGUAAGUGUCCAAAAGCCGAAUCCGCGUCCCGUUCUGCGUCCCGACUGCCACCGCCUUCUCGAACUCCUCGAUUUCAACCCCUCGCAUUAGAUGGUCCCAAUCAUCUCCACUAAAUUCACCCUCUUUGUAAGGUUUAGUCCUAUUGCAAACCCCUCCACUCGACCGUCUCCCGAAUUCGAAGUGGUCCGGAGUCCAAGUUCUAAAGAGAACAAGUGGCUUGUGAUCCGAGCUAAGGAUGAAGCGAAAAGCCAAUUGCAGGGCUUUUCGGUACAAGAAGUCGCUACCGAGUUCAGGCAAGUUCGGUAAGUUCGCUCUGGAGCAGUGAUGACAACCAAUAAUAGUAUCAUUCUCGAAGAAUACAGCUGUUUUGAAGAACCAAUGGCCGCUGGAAAUUACUACGUAGUCGUAGUCGUUGUAUUGGCUCGUCCACCGGCUCGCCAGGAUGUCAAGAUGGACUGUGAUGUUGUAGGCUUCGUCGCUAGCUUUGAGUAGAAAAGGAGUCCAAACUGCUCCUAGGGUGAAGUUGUGUGACGGGAAGUGCCAUAUACUAGAUUUGAAUGUUUCGUCGCGAACAACUUCUGCGGCCUGACGAUGAAAUUAAAUGUAACUUGCAUAUAUAAUUCGGGUACUAGCUUUCACCGAAAGAUUCGAGUAGAAAUGGAAUAAUGUACCUUAGAGAGAAGGCAAAGCAAUGAGAGUAAUUGGUUGCGAAUGAUUGAAUCGCCGAUGAAUACCCAUGAUUUAUUUUGCAUCGAAUUUAAGAACUUCUUUGCAUUGAAUAGAGGUAAUUCGCAACCAUAUGGUUUCCACUUCCAGUAAAGGUACUUUGUAUCAGGUCGGCCAUUUGUUAUACAAUCUCGAGCGGGUUCGAUGAAUUCGCAACUUUCAUUCGUGUAAGCCGGUCCUACAGGGUUUACAAUCCACUCGCCCUUGAAGAGAUCACAUUGUUCUGCACCAUAUUUCAUACAAAAUUAAUUUGUUGGAUUAAAAAAGGCAUGUUUAAGAGAUGUACAUGUUAAUAUCGAAAGAUUACGUACAUACGAUAAAAUGCAAAAAACACAAUAUGAUAAUAUGCAAAAAACACAAUAUGAUAAUAUUAUAAUGAGUGGUGUAAAUGUGCAGAGACACUCAAUAAGCUUGUUUCACGAGAAAUCAUUGCCAACUAAACUAUGAUUGCUGCUUGAGAUCAAAUAAGUAGUUUUUAUGUCCUAGAUGUUAAUUAAUUAUUUCGUCGAAUCUGCCGUAUUUUGCAAAUAUCUUCCACUAUACUGUUUUUUCGUUUUUGCUUCCGUCUUCCUUGAGGCCUUGUUGCCUCACUCAUGUUGCUUAUUUCAUCUACUAUUGAAUGAAGCGGGUAGCAUGCUACCUUUUUCUCAAAAAAAAAAAAAAAUUAUUUCGUCGAAUCAUUAAUUUCAACAAAUUUUUUCCCUUUUUCUUAAUUUUAAUGUAAUUGUUCAAAUUUUGCAAACCUACAACUCCACCGGUUGAACCAGAAGUACGACCUAAUGUUCCAACACUUACCUGGGCCAAUAUUUUGACAACUAUAGCCGAAUUCAAGUACUAGAAAUAUGUUGGGUUGGAGCCAGAUGCAGUUGGAAGAUAUUUACGAUCGAUGCGGGGGUCAGAAUAAAAAAAAAAAAAAAAGUAAAAGAUGAUCAUAAACUAUGUAUGGCACCACCGUGUAGUUUCCCCGCCAUGGCAUUCGCCAACUCGGCAUCGUCCGCCACGAAAGCGACGACGAGCAAGUGGAGGUGGAGGGAGAAAACGAAGACAACGAAGAUGACCGAGCCCAAAACCAUGGAGACGUGGGGACCGAGCUCCGCCUUAGUCAUCAUACAUACACAAAGAGCGUGUUUAGUUGAAAGAUAAAGGGGUAAGGGGUUAUCCCUCUCUUAUAUUCAAACACACACACAAAUUAAAGGUGAGAUAACUAUCCCACCCUUAUUUAAUUUUUUAAAAAUUUAAAUUUAUUUAGUUUUUAAAUUUUAAAUUUUAAAAAUUUAUAUUUUGUAAUCUUAAAAUUAAAAUUUUAUAAUUUUAAAUUGAUAUUUUAAAUUUUUUUAAAUUUAAAAUUUGAUAUUUUAUAUAUUUAAAUUUAGAUUUAAUCUUAAAUUUAAAAUUUAAAAUUUAAAAUUUAGAACUUUGAAUUUGAGAUUUAAAACUUUUAAUUUUAAUUUUAAUUUUAAUUUUAAAUUUUUUAAAUUUAAAAUUUAUAUAUUUCAAUUUAAAAUUUUAAAUAUAAAAUUUAAAAAUUUAAAUUCAAAUAUAAUAUAAGGAAAAUAUUAUUAUUUUCUAUUUAUAACUACUCAUUAUUUAUUUUAUUCCAUUUAAUNAACUAUCCCACCCUUAUUUAAUUUUUUAAAAAUUUAAAUUUAUUUAGUUUUUAAAUUUUAAAUUUUAAAAAUUUAUAUUUUGUAAUCUUAAAAUUCAAAUAUAAUAUAAGGAAAAUAUUAUUAUUUUCUAUUUAUAACUACUCAUUAUUUAUUUUAUUCCAUUUAAUUUAUCCAAACGUUAUUUUUCUUAAUCCCGAAAACAACUCAAUUCUCAUCCAAACACAAAAUUCGUUUAGUUCUUAUUUAUACCUAUCUCUGAAAUAAACAUGUCUUACUUAUAUUCGAACCAAACAAAGUUAAAAAAAAUCUGCCAGGAAUAAGGGGAAGAAGCACGCUACUACUCAAGAAGACCAAAAAGUGUAUGAAGAGAUCAUAUACAAGGCAAAGUUGAUGGAAGAUGCAUUUUAAAAUUACUUAUUAAUUAUUUAGUAACUAGCUUUUGUUGAAUAUUAUUAGAUAUAUAUAUAUAUAUAUAUAUAUAUAAUAUAGUAUGUAGUUAUAUAGCCGCGGAUAUUUGACACUUGAUUUAACGGUUUCUACAUUUAGCCUCCUUGGAGAAAAUAAUUAAGUGCUAAAUAAAAUUAAUUACAACUUUUUCUGUGGAGAAAGACUUUUGAACACAUGCUACGUGUGAAAGUUUUAAUUUAGCGAAGGAAUAAUGAAAAUAAAUAAAAUAGAAACGUGUGCAGGAUCAGAGUGUGUCCUACUCUCAUGCUUUGCUUAAAUUAGCUUUUAUUUCAAUGAUUGUCACUAGAUAGUUUCCUGAUGACGUGAGUAAAGUAAUUACAAAUCCAUUCAAGAUAUAAAUAAUUGCCAAAAUAGUAUGUACCGGAUUUAAAGUUUAUGUACUAAAGAAAUACUUCACAAGUUUUUUUUUUUUUUUUACUUUUAUUUUAAUUUUAUUUUUAUUUUAUUUUAUUUUUAUUUGGUCUUUGUCCGGCUUGCUUCAUCUUCAGAGGCUUUAUGUGCCUCACCAUUAUCAGCUACAUCAUAUUUAAAAUAAAAAAGCAGAUAGCGUGCUAUUUCUUUCAAAAAAAAAAAAAAAGUUUCUUAAGAGUCGCUGAAGUGUGAAAAAUGUUUGGUGGCACUUACGUAUGUUGGCAUUAGGUACCUGCCACGUGUUCACUCACUGGUGGAUAUAAUGCAUGAGAGGUACCUAAAAUAUCAAGGCAAUUAACCACAGUUACACAACUAAUUUCAAUUCGAACUAAAGGUUGCACUUUUGCUUGUGUAUUACUCCAGUGUAGAGCUUAUAGAAAUCCUACAGAAAUUUUUUAUAAAUGUAUUGUGUAUUGAUUUAUCUUGAUGUAAGUUUACGAUUACUAAGGCUACAAAAUAACCUCAAAAGUAUUAUUGGAAGAAAAGCGGGUAAUGUAUUGCUAGUGUGUUUAUUCCUAUACACAUGAAAAAUAUAAAACCAGCUGAGAGUCUAGUCAGCCUGCGAGAUCACGGGCGCACCGCCAAUCUUGACGCAAAAUUAGCCAUCUUGGCAGAGAUCAGAUUCACAUUUCCUUCUUUUUUUUUUUCUUUUUUUAUAUUGUGGUUCCCUUCCCUCUCCUUUUUUCUCUUUUUCUUUCUUAGUGUGACCUCGAUUGAUAUCUCACGUUUUUCACUUAAUUUUCUUCACACGACUGAAGUAUGUUAAGGGCUCUACUUAGGCUUAGUUUGGUAUUGAGGCCUAUCAAACGCUAUUAGAUAAAAUAGAGUUGAGAAAAAAGCAUAUAGGAAUAUGCUUCUACGUUCUCUAGUGAGACCGUGGAAAAUAUAUCGUAAUCGACUCAUCGUGAUACGUGGAACGCAAUAUUACGUACGGAAACAAACAUGUAUUUUUCCAACGUAUUUUCUCACCGCACGUAACGCAAUCUUCCUUCCUGCAAUCCUAAACGAAGCCUUAAUCUUUUGCUUAAAAAGAAAAAGAAAAGGAAAAUAAGAUAUUUGCCUAAAAUAUGUCUGUUGGGCCCUUCUCUGCUUCUGAGUUGCUGGGCUUUGACUCAAAAUGAACUAAAAUGUCUAAAGUAGGCCUUAGAGAGAUUCAUAACUAUUGCAAUUUGUUACUCUCCCUUGGGGGAAGACUAACGCUCGUCAACUCGGUACUCUCUAACCUGCCACUAUUCUAUUUUUCAAUCUUCAAAGCACCACAGUAGGUACUACACUGGAUAGAAGCCUUAAGACGAGCAUUUUUCUGGAAAGGGUGCUCCAAAAUCGCUGGUGGCGCUUGCCUUGUCAACUGGAAAGCCAUCUGCAAAAGCAAGAGAGAAGGUGGCUUAGGUAUCAAGGACAUGGAAUCAAUGAACACGGCUCUCUUGACCAAAUGGUGGUGGCGCUUCUUCAACGAGCCAAAACUCCACUGGUGUAAACCGAUCAGAUCCCUCUACUACGCCAGAAGAAGGCCACUGCACGAAUGUAGGGCUUUCGCCCCUUACUCACAAUGGUGGAAAGGUGUGGUUCGAUGCCGCGAAAUUUUCAUCUGCGGCGUAACCUACGACCUAGGCAAUGGCCAAAACAUCAGGAUGUGGUCCGAUAUUUGGAUUGGAGAAACCCCCCUUCGGACCCUAUUUCCGGACAUUUUUACGGUUCUUACGCACAAGGAGGCCCGAAUAUCUCAAUGCUGAAAUGCAAAUGGAUGGAGAUGGCGUUUCAUCUGCCGUGGCUUCUCGACAGCUAAUUCUGCUGAACGACGCACACGGCUAACGAUGUUCAAAAACCUGCUUCUACACCACUCCCCCCAUGACAGACCUGACUCGUAUAAAUGGAGGUGGACAUCCAACCAAAUAUUUACGGUCAAAUCUCUCUACCAGUUCCUUACUAACGCGGGACAAUGAACCUCGUUGAACUGCCAUAUUUGGACUUUGAAAAUUCCGCUCAAAAUCAAAGUCUUCAUUUGGCUAUUACUUCGGAAGAGAUUACUCACUGCUGACAGACUGUUUCAACCGAGGCAUUUUCGUUGACCAACAAUGUGCCUUCUGUGCUGUAUCAAUGGAGAGCUGUGACCACCUUUUCUGUUCCUGCGUUUAUGUCCGAUACCUAUUUGUCAGUGUGGAUCGAUUGGAUAUACCUACUGCCACCCUUGGUGACGUUCGAAGUCUUUGGGCCGACUUAGCUGCCAUUCCUGUCAAAUCGUUAAGAAUGCGAAGUCUAACCCUACUAGCUGCGAUCUGGUAGGUGGUCUGGAGGGACAGAAACAACUCUGUUUUCAGACAACUACGCCCGAUGCGGCCCGCUCUCCGGAACGUGUUAAUCUUCUUACGACCGACUGGACCGUGCUAACAUGAAGCGACAUUAGGUUUACUCUUCCUUUUCACCCUCUCACAUCUUUUUUUCCUCUUUGACCUGUUAUCUGUUUUUCUCUCGGAGGCCUAGGCUGCUUCUAUCUCUGUAUGCUCAAUUCAUUUUACUUAAUGAAUGAAGCAGGUAGCUCGCUACCUAUUUCUCAAAAAAAAAAAAACUAUUGCAAUUUGCCAUUUUUUUUUUUAUAAAUUAGAUUUGUCAUAUUUAGCAAAUCAAACUAAUUUUACACACGCAAAAAAUAAAAAAAUUAUUGUGUAUAGUUUUUGACGCAUGCUUUCCACCACUUUGAGGGCUAAUUGUUUUUCCACUUCCAUAAUAGUUGAGUAAAAUAGUUUAUAAAUAGUUGAAUAAAAAGGAAUAAAUAUGAGUGCAAGGAUAUUUUUGAAAUAAAAUACAUUUACAAUCAAAAUUACUAAAAUUUAUAAAACACACCAAAUACAAUAAUUUCACAUUCUUAGUAAUCCGAUUUUAUAUAUGACUGCAUUGAAUCAAAGACAGCAACACAGUAAUAAUAGUAAUCUAAUUUAUAAAAAUCAAUUUUUUGCUUAUAUUGAAAAAACCACGAAUUCUACGUGCGCGAAACAAAUACGGCCUAAGUUCUCGACCAAGGCUAAGCAAUGGCCAUUAGAAUUUGACACGAUCCGUGAAUCUUUCAAAUCAAAUUCGAGAUGAAUACCUCAAAUCCCCUUCAUUUAACACCAUUUCCAUAACAAUAUCAUUCCAAGCUUCAACGGGUCCCGGCAUGCACCAAUGCACGCAAUCAUUUUGAGUCCACUUUCCCAUAUCAGGAUGAAACCGAAAAUACGGCCCUGGGUGCCCGUCGGGCCUUAAAAGAGAAAGAUGGUAAGUGUCCAAAAGCCGAAUCCGCGUCCCGUUCUGCGUCCCGACCGCCAGCGCCUUCUCGACCUCCUCGAUUUCGACCCCUCGCAUUAUAUGGUCCACAUCGUGUCCACCGAACUCGCCCUCUUUGUAAGGUUUAGUCCUAUUGCAGACCCCUCCCGUGUUCCAUCUCCCGAACUCGAAGUGGUCCGGAGUCCAAGUCCUAAAGAGAACAAGCGGCUUGUGAUCCGAGCUAAGGAUGAAGCGAAAAGCCAACUGUAGGGCUUUUCGGUACAAGAAGUCGCGACCGAGUUCAGGUACGUUCAUUCCGGGACAGUAAUUGCAACCGAUAACUGUGUCAUUCUCCUGGAAUAUUGUUGUUUUGAGGAACCAAUGCCCACCGGAAACUACUACGUAGUCGUAGUCGUUGUAGUGGCUCGUCCACUCGGUCUCGAGGACGUCAAGAUGGACCGUGAUGUUAUCGGCUUCGUCGCUAGCCUUGAGUAUAAAAGGAGCCCAAACUAAUGCUAGGGUGAAGUUGCGCGAAGGCAAGUGCCAUAUAAUAGAAUUGAUUGUUUCCUCGCGAACAACUUCUUCGUCCUGCGGACCAAAAUGUAAUUUUGCAUAAUCCAGGCACUAGCCUUAACUAAAGGAAUCAAGUAGCUAGAAACGGUAUGUACCUUAGAGAGAAGGCACAGCAGUGAGCCUAAUUGGUUGCGAAGGAUCGAAUCGCCGAUGAACACCCACGAUUUAUUUCGCAUCGAAUUCAAGAACUUCUUCGCAUUAAACAGAGGUAAUUCGCAAUCGUAUGGUUUCCAUCUCCAGUAAAUAUACUCUGUAUCCGGUCGCCCGUUUGUCAUACAAUCUCGACGGGCUUCGAUGAAUCUGCAACUUUCAUUCGUGUAAGCCGGUCCUGCAGGAUUUGCAAUCCACUCACCGGCGAAGAGAUCGCAUUGUUCUGCAUUAUAUUUCAAAGGAAAGAAAGUAAUGUCGAAGGAUAUGUUUGGCUCCUUAAAAAAUAAUAGAAAAUUAUUUUUUGAAGAAAAAAAAAAUUAUGGAAUUUUUUUUUUCUAGUUUCCGUUGUUUGGAUCAACGAAAAAGAAAAGUAGUUUUCAUAUUUGCUUGUUUGGUUGGUAAGAAAGAAAAUUUGAAAAAUCAGUUUUUCAAUUCUAUUUCAUUGGGUGGGUUGGUUGGAAAAUUUAGGCCCCGUUUGGUUGGUGGAUAAGCGGGGAUAACAAAAGUUAUCCCCGCUAUUCCACCAAACGGGGUGAAAUUUGGCCGGGAUAUUUUAUCCCGGUCAAACCUUGCUAUUCCCGGUUAUUCCGGAAUAGCAAGGGAUUUGCUAUUCCACCAUUUUGGUGGAAUAGCACUAUUCCAAUGCUUAAUUUCAAACUUAAUUAAAAUUAUAAAUUGAAUUAAAACUAAAUUAUAUAAAUAUAAUAUGUUAUAUAUUACAAUACAUUAUUUUUAUUAUAAAAUUAUUAAUUGUACUAUAUUAAUACAUGUUAUUUAUAUUUAAAUAUUAUAAUAAAAUUUAUAAUAAAUUAUAUUUAAAUAUUAUAAUAAAUUCUUUUUAUUAAAUUUAAGUUUAAGUAGAAUUUUUAAAAAAUUUAUAAAUUUAUUAUAAUAAAUAGUUUUUAUUAAUUGUUCCCACCCCUAUUCUUAUUUUAAAAAUUUAAAAAUUAAAAAUUUAAUUUUUUAAAAUUUAUAUAUUAUAAUACAUUAUUUUUAUUAUAAAAUUAUUACUUGUACUAUACUAAUAAUUAUUAUUUAUAUUUAAAUAUUAUAAUAAAAUUUAUAGUAAAAUAUAUUUAAAUAUUAUAAUAAAUUUUUUUUAUUAAAUUUAAGUUUAAGUAGAAUUUUAAAAAAAAUUAUACAUUUAUUAUAAUAAAUUAAUUUUAUUAAUUGUUCCCACUCCUAUUCUUAUUUUAAAAAAUUAAAAAUUAAAAAUUUAAAUUUUUAAAAUUUAUAAUUUAUAAUCUCAAAAUUAAAGUUUAUAAUUGUAAGGAAGUGAAUUCUCGAAAUCCGAGAGUUCUAUUUCGUCCAGGAUCGACUAUUUGUUGAGAGAAUACCUUUUAGGAAAGUUAGAGAUGUCCAAAGCACAAAGAGUGCCUUGGAGUUGAGUCCACGAGAGCAAAUGGUGCAAAUUGCAUCAUUGGGCUGAUGUUACUAUCGGGGACCGGUCUCUGGAGGUGAGAGACCGGUUCCAUCGACUGGGUGUAGCGGGAUUGCUUGAUGCAGCCGGUCCCUGACAGGGAGGGACCGGUCCCCAAACGUGGUCCCAACGAGAAAUGCCGAAAUUUGGCUAAGUGCUGAAAAUUCAGCUCUCGAGAACCGGUCUCUCCGAGAGGAACCGGUCUCCCGAGGACCGGUCUCUGAGAGAGAGACCGGUUCCCGAACGCGUGCGCCCGAGGAAGGCUCUCGGGGACCGGUCCCAAGUCGGGGAGACCGGUCCCUCCACGCGAAUUCUGCCUAGUAAAGGCAGUGCAAGGAUGGAAAAAUGGAGGGGUUUAAAUGCAAAAUGGCCAUCAUAUGAGAGGUGUAUAUGGAAAAUUACCCUCUCUCCCUCUCAUUCCCAUCCCCUCACUCCCUUUAAUCACUCUCUCUCUCUCUCUCUCUCUCUCUCUAGAAAGAGAAGAAGAACAAGAAGGAGAUGAAGGAAAAGGAGAAGAAGAAAAGGAAGAAGAAGAAGAAGAAGGAGAUCAAGGAGAAGGCUUUAAACAUCUCCCUCUCCCUCUCUUCUUUCCAUUGGUGUAGCUCAAGAGGUAAGCUUCAAACCCUAGCUUGUAGAACUUAGAAUUUUUGGGUUUUGAGCUUUGAAAAUAGGGUCAAAUGGACUCCUAGCACCAUUGUUGGUGGAUCAAAGCUAGAGUUAGGGUUUCAGAUUGCAAAUGGCAAGAUGGGAACCCUAGGGCACCCAAAAUAGAAUUUUUGGUAAAGUAUGAGAUUGAUCUCAUUUGAGGCCUCGUAAAUCUAAUUGGUAGGUCACAAAACGCGGGGGCGAAGUCGAUUUCGCAAUUCGACUAGUGGAUUGGGAGCUAUCGGCGAAAUACGACCGAUUUAGCCUUGUCUUGGACCAAGAAGGCCGAGACCUCGUCAUAAGGUUCGCCGAGGAGCGUUUCUAAAGCCUCUACAUCGAUAGAAGGUGGGGAGUGCCAUCCCAAAGCUUUCGAAUUUCUUUCUAUGUCUUAGAUUGCAUUUAAUCUCAUCUCUUACAUGUUGCAUUGUAGGAUUGCAUAGUAGUUCCAUUCCUUAUGCUUUCUAAUUGAUAACCUAGUGUACUUGAAACGCUUGGUAACUUAGAUAGGUGAGGAUUGGGUCGGAACGUGGAUCCUAUGAUGCGAAAGAAAAGAGAUGAACCCGAUGGGGGUUGGUGACAUAGAAAGUAGUGUUUAAUGUUAAAGAACAAACGAGUGGCAUCCAACUAUUAAAGAAUAACGAGUGACAUUAAUGUAGUGUAAAUGACACUAGAGGUUUGAGAACCUAGGGAUAGAUGGAUCCCUUAGGAAAUACCUUGUGGAUAAAGAACUUAGUAAACCUAAGUACCCUCACUUGGAGAGGAUUUGAUUGGGUUGUUGACCCUAGUUGUAGUGCAUCCUCACUUGGAGAGGAUUUGAUUCGGUUGUUGACCCUAGUUGUAGGGUAUCUUCACUUGGAGAUGAUAGAUCUAGCUCACUGUCUCCAUUUGGGGUGGUAUAGCCAUCCAUAUCCCCACAUGGAGGGGAUUGUCGUCGAGUACUCCGGAGUGUCGAGCAAUUAGGACCAUUUGGAGGUCCGGACCACAUGGAGGUCUGCAGACGGUCCCGGGUUUGGGCGCACUUGGAGCUCCCUCCCCACUUUGGGAUUGAAAGGUGAGUUAUUGGCGAACCCAAGGGCUUCGCCACAGAUUGGAUAAAAGAACAGUGAACAAUGUCAUUGAACAUUAUUAUUCGAAUAUGGAUCGAAUUCGUUAGCAUGAUAGUAAACCUUUGCUAUAUGAUGCAUGCAUUCAUUACAUAUGAUUAUGGGCAUAGUAGCAUAGCUUUCCUUUUUGCAUUAGUACACCUAUGUAUUGAGAGAGAUUCAUUGUAGGUGAGGAUUUGGAGAGCUAUGUAUUUUAGAUGAAAGAUGUAAUCAUUUAAAGAAAAUGAUAUAAAUGAAAAGGAUGAACUAUUGUAAUAGUUAGUAAAGUACUCUCUUUAUUUCACAUGUUAUUCCUGUGGAUUACUUGCUGUUGUAGUUGCUGGCACUAUUCGUGCUCCGUUGAAUGUGUAUAUUUAAAAUUUAAAUUCCUGAAAAAUUCUUGUACACAUUCUUAUUGUGGGUCUUCGGCGGACAGGGGAGGUGCUGUCCGUUCGGCGGUCUGCUUGCCGCGCCCGAAUCGUGCCAAAUCGGCAGCGGUUCCGGGGCGGGGCGUGACAUAAUUUUAAAAUUUAAAUUUUAAAUUUAAAUUUUGAUAUUUUAAUUUGAAAUUUAAAAUUUGAUAUUUAAUAUUUUUUAAAUUUAAAUUUGAUCUUAAAUUUAAAGUUUGAAAUUUAAAUUUUAAAAUUUUGAAUUUAAAAUUUGAGAUUUUAAAUUUCAAAGUUAAAAUUUUAAAUUUAAAAAUAUAUAUAUUUAAAAAUUUAAAAAUUUAAAUUCAAAUAUAAUAAGAGAAUAAUAUGAUUAUUUUUUAUUUAUAAAACCCACUAUCUUUCUUAUUCUGUCUUACCUAACCAAACGCUAUUUUUUUUAUUCUCAGGAAUAACCUAAUUUUCAUCCAAACGCAAAAUUGAUUUAACCCCUGCUUAUACCUCAAUUUANAUUUAAAAAUUUAAAAAUUUAAAUUCAAAUAUAAUAAGAGAAUAAUAUGAUUAUUUUUUAUUUAUAAAACCCACUAUCUUUCUUAUUCUGUCUUACCUAACCAAACGCUAUUUUUUUUAUUCUCAGGAAUAACCUAAUUUUCAUCCAAACGCAAAAUUGAUUUAACCCCUGCUUAUACCUCAAUUUAUACAUAUUCCUGAAAUAGUCAUUUUUUGUUUAUCCUCGAACCAAACGAUACCUUAGUGUAUAAAACACCUCUUCUACUAAAGAAAACUAACAUCCCCAAUAUUUUAAAAUUUAAUAUAAUACUCACAAACUCUUUACAAUAUAAAUAGUAAAUAAUUAAAUAAAAAUAAAUUUUAAAUAAAUUUUAAGUGUAUUUUGGUAUGGAUAGAUUAGUUUGAUAUAAUGGAGAUGAUCGGUAAAAGAUGGAAAUAAUUCUGCCAUGUGUUUAUAUAUAGUUUGGACAAUAAAAAUGACGGUGAGAGAUGAUAGAAAUAACGGGUUUAAUAGUAAACAUACAUAAAUAUGUUAGGAAAGACUUACUUGGGCCAUUAUGUGACCCGAUUUUGAUAAGUGUAGCCAAAUUUCGAUGUUAGAAACGUAUUGGGUUCGAUUUGUAGUUGAAAGAAUUUUAUAUUACAUGGGUCAAAAAAGAUUAAAAAAAAAAAAAUCCUUGAUUGACUAAAAUCAAAUAAACAAAAAAUUUAUAUAGUAAAAUUAAAAUUUUGAACAGUUGGUAGUCAAAUUAAAAGUGAUCUAUACUUCAAAUAAGUUCUAUAUAUUUUUACGAGAAGAAAAUAAAAAACUAUAGCACCUCUCUGUAGUUGGCCAACCGUGGCGGUCACCAACUCAACGUCUCGGGCAGCGAAAGCUUCAACGCACAAGUGGAGGCGGAGGACAAAGGCGACAAAGACAACGUAGCACAAAUCCAUGGCGACGGCACCGACGAGCUCCGCCUUAGUCGCCGUAUAUACACAAAAAGACUAUGCGAGAAGGAAGAGGAAGAAGAAUACUACUCAAAAUGACAAAAAAGAUUUAAACAGAGAGCGUUUGCAACACAUAAUUGAUGAAAAGGUGAUUUAUAUAUCUCCCACGGCAUGUAAUUUCGGUGCAUCUUUUCUCAAAACUAAAUUAUUUUCUUGUAUGCAUCUAACUAAAUGAUGGUUCGAAUAGUAUAAUAUUAAAAAUUAAUUAUUAAUUAAUUGUUAAAUAGUUUUGUUGAAUAGUGUUAGAUAGCGAGAUCUCCGAUAUUUUAUUUGCAUUUAAUAAUUUUGGCGAUUAUUCUACUUUCGCCUUACAUGAGACAAGACUCAAGAGUGAAGUGAUAAUUCAAAUUGUUGCAAUUUCUUAUGGAGAAAGUGCUCUGAAAACAUGUUAAAAGUCUAGGAGAUUUUGUAAUUAGCAGAGAAAUAAUUGCAAAAAUCCAAUGGUGCAUUGUUCAUGGACGAGCUCACUCACCCUCACUGAUUGCUUAAUUAUAUUGCUUUUUCUUGUCAUUAAGUUUCUCUGAUUGGACAAAUAAUUGGAAAAUCCAAAAAAAAAAAAAAAAAAAACUGCAUGUGGGUGUGCUUUGUCCUCCGAGUGAACGUCCCUUAUAAAACGAGGGAUUUGAAAGUACUUUAUAUUUAUACUAUUUUUUGGUGCUUAAAGUUUAUUUUUAAAUGAAAUUGAUUCAUAGUCAUCAAGAUUGAAACUUUUUUAAAAAGAAUUAGAAAAAAAAAUGGAGUUGUUUGACCCCUAUUGAGAGCAGUUGCCCAUUGUUUAGUAGCCUAAAAGAUGGAUUAUCUCAUCACAACCACUACAAUGGGGAAAAUUGAGUGGCUCCUCAUUCAAUUUUAUUGGAUUCUUUCUAAAUUUGUUGUUCGAUACGGUAUUCAGAUACAGACGAAGGACUUCUAAAUUGAAAUAAUUCUUUAAAAUUUGGAAGCAAGUAAAAUCAUAUUGAUAUACGUAGCUGUCUCAACAAGAACUCAUUGAGGAGCUUAAUGAUUAAGUUGCGAUAACUACAAUGGGACCUCACCAAGCCUUUCUAGCACUACAUCUAAUUGGACAUAAAGUCUAAUUGUGACCUCUGGUUAAGUUGAUAGUAAACUUCACCCAAGCUAAUUCAAGUGAUGAGAAUGUACUUGACUCGACCCAAGCUUGUUUAAAAGUGAUAAUUUUGAAAGUAAUUUUAAAGACAGUUGAUGUGUCUACAAUAUAUAACAUAUGUUUACAAGUUUCGGUAGGAGGCAGUGAUAGUAUGAUCGAGGGGCAACUGCUUAUAUAACUUUAAAAAGUUUUUGACUUUCUGAUUUACCCCUCUUAAAAGAUUAAUAUUGAAAGUACCCUUUAUACGUUCCAACCUAUUUUAAAAAUACCCCUAGAGUUAAAAUAUGUUAAUGAACUCUAUUAUAUCUGUAAAAUUACUAUAUUGCCCUUUCAAAUAUACCCUUCUAUAAUUACCGACUUUUUUUAUUUGCCCUUAAGUUAGGGGCAUAAAAAAUAUUUUAUUUUUUGGUCUUUUCAAAUAUACUCUUCUAUCAUUACCGAUAUUUCUUAUUUGCCCUUAAAUUAAGAGCAAAAGUGGUAUUUUAAUUUUUUUUAACUGUAGUAAAUAUUUAACUCAUAUUUAAUCCAAGUUAACUUAACGGGUGGUAACCGUAGAGAUAUUUUGAAAUAAUGGAGGAAAAAGUGAGGGGUAUAUUGGAAAGAAACAAAAAAAAUAAAGGAAAUAUUUUCGAAGUUUUGAGAGAUAUAUAGGCAAUUAUUUCUAUGAUCAAUGUGCCACGAUCCAAAAUCCCUCUAUUUGAGUCAUAACGGUCGCAUCUCCAUAAAAGGUCAAAUUCAAUUUAAAUCUGAACCUCAUAAAAACACAAAUCAUUUUUUCUUUUGUUUUUUCGUGCUUUGGUGAUCUCCUAAUCUCUCGUACUUUUCGCUUGUUUUUCUUACCGAAGUAUGUUAACGGCUCUAACUUAUCUUUUCUUUUUAAACAAAUAAAAUAUGUGUGCUGGGCCUCUCUCUGCUUCCCCUUUGAUGGGCUUUAAUGUUAAACUAAAAUAUCUCGCAGAGGCCCAUAAUCACAGUGACAUUCAUAACAGUUGCAGCUUGUCAUUUUUUUUUCUUAAAAUUAAAUUUAUCAUAUUUAGCGAAUCAAACUAAUUUUACACUCAUUCAAAAAAUUCACUGUAUAGUGUUUGAUGGAUGCCUCCACAACUUUGAGUGCUAAUUACUUUUUUUUACUUGUAAGAUACUCGAACUCGAAUAAAGCAGGAUUAAAUGUGUAGAGGCAUUUUUGGAAUGGAGUGCAAUUUACUUUGGGGAUUACUGGAACAUUUAAGAUGAACCAAAUCUGACAUUAUAUUACGACAGAGAAUCAUAUAUAGUAAUACAACAUAAGUAAUCUGAUUCACAAGAAUCAAAUUUCUGAUUAUGUUGAAAUAAUCAGAGACGCUACAUUUGCGAACCAAAUGCACUCUUUAAGUUCCAACGAAGGCACGACAACUUUGAGAUGAUACAUACAUCUUAAUUUGACACUUAUUUGCGUACUUAAUAGUCUAAUCCGACGAAUUCUUUGAUCAAAUGUUUCAAAUCAAACUCAAGAUGAAUACUUUAAAUCCCCUUCGUUUACCAACAUUUCCAUAACAAUAUCAUUCCAAGCUUCAACCGGCCCCGGCAAGCACCAAUGCAAGCAAUCAUUUUUAAGCCUCUUACUGAAAUCUGGAUGAUGCAGCCGAUAUGACCCUGGGUGCCCGUCAGGCCUCAAAACAGAAAGAUGGUAAGUGUCCAAAAGCCGAAUCCGCGUCCCGUUCUCCGCCCCGACGGCCACCGCCUUCUCGAACUCCUCGAUUUCGACCCCUCGCAUUAAAUGGCCCACAUCAUGUCCACCGUAUUCGCCCUCUUUGUAAGGUUUAGUCCGGUUGCAGACCCCGCCGUCGAACCAUCCCCCGAACUCGAAGUGGUCCGGAUUCCAAGUCCUGAAGAGAACGAGUGGCUUGUGAUCGGAGCUGAGGAUGAAGCGAAAAGCCAUUUGCAGGGCUUUUCGGUACAAGAAGUCGCAAGGAAACUCAGGUAAGUUCAUUCCGUAGCAGUAAAAGCAACCGAUAACUGUAUCAUUCUCGCAGUAUAUAGUUGUUUUGAGGAACCAAUGGCCACCGGAAAUUACUACGUAGUCGUAAUCGUCGUAUCGGCUCGUCCACAGAGGGUCAAUUGCAUCAAGAUGGACCGUGACAUUGACGUAUUCGUCGGUAGCUUUGAGUAGAUAAGGAGCCGAGAUUGCUGUUAGAGUGAAGUUGUAUGAAGGGAAGUGACAAAUAAUAGAUCUAUAUGUUUCCUCACGAACAACUUCUGCGUCCUGCGGACCAAAAUGUAAUUUUGCAUAAAUUCGGGCACUAGCCUUAACUGAAAGAUUCAAGUAGAAAAGCUAUGUACCUUAGAGAGAAGGCAAAGCAAUGAGGAAAAUUGGUUGCGCAGGAUCGAAUCGCCGAUGAACACCCACGAUUUAUUUCGCAUCGAAUUUAAGAACUUCUUUGCAUUAAACAGAGGUGAUUCGCAAUCGUAUGGUUUCCAUCUCCAGUAAAGGUACUCUGUAUCCGGUCGCCCGUUUGUCAUACAAUCUCGAAAUUCUUCGAUGAAUCUGCAACUUUCAUUCGUGUAAGCCGGUCCUUCAGGGUUUGCAAUCCACUCGCCCUUGAAGAGAUCGCAUUGUUCUGCAUCACAUUUCAUAAAAAGUUUGCUGAAUUAAAAGAAAAGAAGCAAUGUUUACAAAAGGUCAAUGCAAUAUAAAUGGGUUGUAAUCUCUACUGUAACGACCCAGCCCACUAGCAAUAAUAACUCGUUGGGCUUAACCACCGGCCCAAAAUGCUUAGGUUCAGUUAUUAUAACUAGUGUCUAAGUCUCUUAUAUAUUCAAUCACAUUCUCAUUUCUAUCCGAUAUAGGAUUAUUGGAGUGUGACAUAUACAACCUCUUAUCCAGGGGGAUAAGAGGUUGUAGGAUUUACUAAUCCUAGAUUAAAAAAAAUUGAUAAGAUAAGUAGGAAAAGAAAGGCUUUUGAAUGAGAGAGUUGUAGAGAUUAUAAUCCAAAAUGAAUUGUAUUUGUAGCGUUCCUCAUAAAACUACAAAUAGUAUUGUAAACCUAGCGCUCCAUCGGUCAAAUCAGCAGUACGAUUGAUCAAUUACCAAAUGUCCCAACGCUUAUCCGGGCCAAUAUUCGGCCCGAUUUUGACAACUAUUUCGUUUAUUUUAUUUAAAAGUAAAUUUAGCUAGAAAUGUGAAUCAACUAUGAUUCAAAUUUGGAACCCAUAAGUACAAACUCCUAAGCCCUUUGCCACUUGUGCUAGUGAUGAUCGGUUACUAUAAUAGAAUUUCAUUAUUAGAAAUAUAUUGGGUUCGUGUCACAGUUGAAAAAAUUUUAUGAUGUCAAAAAUAGAAAGAGAAAAUGAAAUGGUGAUAAACUACGUCGUCACCUCUGUGCAGUUUCCCAGCUACGGCAUUCACCAAAUCGGCGUCCUCGGCCGUGAAAGCGCCGACGAACCAGUGGAGGCGGAGAGCAAAGGCAAAAAAGAUGACGGAGCUCAAAACUGUGGCGACUGCACGGCCGAACUCUGCGUUUGUCGUCAUGAAUUAAUACGAGGAGGAGGAAGAAGAAGAAGAAGAAGAUCAAACUACUCAACAAGACGAAAAAUGCAUAUCUAGAGAGAUCAUUACAUUAAUGCGAAGUUGUAGGAAGGUGAUUAAUUUAUAGACUUCUCAGGGCAUGCAAUUAUUUUCGGUGCAUCAUUUUUCAAACAGUAAACUGUAAUUCUCUCGCAUGCAUAUACUGAUAACUGGUUAUGGAGGGAGUACUUUGAACGCAUGCUACACUGUGGGAGAUUUUGUAAUUUAACCGAGAAAUAAUUGCAAAUUGAUAGAAUGAUGCAUGCCCAUGAAUGAGUGCUCACACUCAUUGUUUGCUUACUUAUUGCUUUUGUCUCUCAAUUAUUUUCACAUGGUUCUCUGAUUUGACAAAUAAUUAAAAAUAUAUAAAUAGUUGCAAAACAGUAAAAUAGUAGUAUAUAUUCAAAAUUUCGGUAAGGACAAUUAGAUGAAAAAUUAAAUUUGCGUAUGACUCUGAACCACGACUUGGAUUUCUAAGCUCUUGUCCUCCACAUGCUGCUUCAUCCUUGUAAAUGGAUGCCCAGGCAAGCUGCUUCAUCUUCGACGGGGAUUAAGAUAGGCCAACCCAAUCUCACUUUAUCUCUUUAUCCUUGUGGCUGAUGUUUUACAAAAAUUUGUGGAGCAUUCUUCAAUUGCCAAUCUCAUUCCGUCACCCUCAGGCAUUACUGGCCUUAGCCCUCUUUUGCAAUAUGCAGACGACUCUCUCCUAUUUUGCGACGCCAACGUCAACAACUUUCUUAAAUGCAAGACGCUACUUGAGGCUUUCUGCCGUUCUUCAGAUUUAUCCAUUAAUUUUGCGAAGACAUCACUCUAUGUUGUCAAUCUUGCCGAAUCAAUUCAUGAAAAACUCACUUUCCACUAAUAUACCUUGGACUGCCACUUUCGCCAACUAAACUUCCAGUGUGAAAUAACCGUUAUACUCUAAAAGCGCUUUUAGAGAUAUUUUUAUAUUUAACAUUCUCCCUCGCAUCUGGAUUCGAGACUUUUUGCAAGGCGCAUGUCGUGGACUAAAUUAAAUGGAAGAAAUUUAAUAAUAUUAGGAGCUUCCCGCGACUCGAAUUUAGAACUUCCUGCUCUGAUACUAUAUGAAACAAUCGUUGUACUAUAAAAACUUAAGUUGUUAGAAAAUGGUGUUUAUAUCUUUUUAUAUUUAACACCCAGCAUGUGCUUUCAACCCUCUUAUUGACAAAUUCCAAAAAAGACUUUUAGGAUGGAAGAGUGCUUUGAUUUCACAAGCUGUUCAUGUCUUUUUGAUUGAUUUAGUCCUUACAAAUUUAUCAAUCCACCACCUCUUUGUUUUAUCAUACACCAUCUGUUGGAGCUCCAGCGGCAUUUUCUUUGGAGCAAAUCCUUUCCUACAAGGGAAGGUUUACCUCUAGUCGCCUGGGAUGUUGUGACUCGACCUAAACCUCUAGACAGACAUGGAAUCGCAAACAUCAGCCACCAGAAUUUGUUUCUUCUCUGUAAGUGGCUUUGGAUAUUUCUUUGACAACCGAAUUCACCUUGGGCAAUUUUAAUUAAAUCGGUGUAUUAUUCCAUCUUCCCUCUCGGCUAGAAGCAUCCUGAACAGACCUCUCAUUUUUUGGCAUUGUGUGCUCAAGACAUAUUCUAUUUUCAAAUUUUCACACUCUUUUGUUAUAUGUCGUGGCUCGAAGACAUUUUUCUUAUUAUCACCUUGGAUUGGCGCCCCCCUUAUGGAUCAAUUUUCGGUUCUAUUCUCCUUCUCGACUCACAAAAUUCGCUCGCAUCCGAGGCAUUUAUUGUUAAUUUAACCUCAUUACUAAUCAUCUCUUACCUCUCCAUCAUCGCAGACUACGAGUUUUUUGUACUUUGCCGCAGGUUUCGUGAUUUUCAAAUUUGUUCCGAUCCUGACAUUUGCUAUUGGAAAUGGAAUCCCAAUGGCACCUUCUCCACUGCAUCAGUCUACAAGUUGUUCUUUGCCGGCUCCACAUCUGACUCGAUCUCGAACACAGUUUGGUAUUGUUCUGCGCCUCCUCGGGUGCAAUUUUUUAUGUGGCUUCUGUUUAAAGACCGAAUUUUAACUCUUGACAACCUCCGGCGUCGUGGUUGGAUUCUGGCCUCUAGAGGUGAGCUUUGCCUCAAUGCUAGCGAAGAUAUUAUCCACCUGUUUCUCCAAUGCCCCUACUCCACAGCAGUGUAGGCAUCCCUCAAUCUACCUCUUUGUCUGUCGCAGCCAUCAAUUUUUGGACUUUGGAGGUUUUUGGGCAAAUUGGUCAUUUCUCUUACCUAAGCAUAGUCGAAGUAUUGGAACACUAUCUUCAACUGUUUCGCUUGGUCCAUCUGGUGUGAGCGGAAUAAUCGUAUCUUCGACGACACUAGCUCUACUGCUAGUUGUAUUUGCAAGCUAAUUGCCGAUGUUGACCUCUUGCCUUUCGCAUGAUAGUCUAGAAUUUUUCCAGUCUUUUAAAUUCAGACGCUACUUUUUAAUGAUAGUCUGAAAUUUUGUACUCCGCUUUUAUCUUUCACUAUUAACAUUUUGGUCAACCUAUUUGGGCUGGCCUUUUCUUUUUGCAAAAAAAAAAAAAAAANACGCAAUUGGCAAAAAGCUUGGUGGUUGAUAACCGAGGUCCAAAUUUGAAUCUUAAUUUAUUUAUAUUUUCAACUAAAUUUAUUUCUAAAAAAAAAAAGAAAAAAAGAAAAAACUCUGAACGUCCCUUGAACUUGCAAGUAAUAAUAAGAAAAUUUUGUAGUGCUUUUUUUUAAGAGAGAAAGAUAACAUGCUAUCUGUUUCGCUUAUUUUUUUUAGAAAUAAAUUUAGUUGAAAAUAUAAAUAAAUUAAGAUUCAAAUUUGGACCUCGGUUAUCAACCACCAAGCUUUUUGCCAAUUGCGUUAGGGACAGUCGGUGAAAUUUUGUAGUACUAGUUGUUACGUCGCAAUAGUUAACUAUCAUAAAAACCUACAUUGGGAGGUUAAUGAUCCGAAUUGCCAAUCAAUAAAUUAUUUUUUUUUUUUUAGAGAGAUAGGUAGCACGCUACCCGCUUCGUUUAUUUUAUUUAGAAAUAAACUUAGCUAGAAAUGUGAAUCAACUAGGUUUCGAACUUGGAUCUCGGGUACCAACCACCAAGUCCUUUGCCACUUGCUCUAGGGACGGUCGGUCCAAUCGAUAAAUGUUGAGCACUGUUUAAUUUACCCGUCUCAUGUUCGUGAUAUUGUUGUAGUUUUUUUUUUUUUUUUUUUUUUUUUUUUUUUUGAGAGAGAGAGAGAGAGAUAGGUAGCAUGUUACCCGAAUCAAUUAAGAUUCGAAUUUGAAAUCUCAGGUAUCAAUCACCAAGUCCUUUGCCACUUGUGUUAGGAACGGUCAGUAGAUAUUGUUGUAGUUACCAUCAACUAGUUGCCAAGUUUCAAGGGCUAGUUAUUGGAGUCGGAGCUCAGAAGGUACCAGAUGAUGGAUUAGACCCGUUAUGAAGGAGGCCCAGUAAUAUGUUUUUAAACACAUGGUGAACGGGUCCAGCAGAUCAAUCCGUUAUCUCUGUUGCCAAUUCCAUCAACUAAAAAAUUAUAGUUAUUCGAGUAGAUAUUUCUCUAUUUAGUAGAUGCAAAUUCUGAAAGAACUCUAUAUAAAAGAUUGUAAAAGGAGGUAUUUGUAAGUACUUUAGAUUCAUAGUAUAUAUAUUUUUUUGUGCUUUAACAGUUAUUUUUAAAUAAAAUUGAUAGUCAAGAUUGAAAACUUUCUGAAAAAAAAAAAAAGAAAAUAAUAUUAGUUGGCCUUCAUGUAGUUGAUUUGACCCCCACGAAGGUCAUCACGUCCACUAUAAAAUUUAGAGAAAGAGAGAAGUUUUUUUUUUUUUUUGAGAAAUAGAUAGCAAGUUACCUGCUUCAUUCAUUAAGCAAAAUAAAUUUAGGAAACAUGAUGGAAGUAGCUAGGGCUUUCAGACCGAACCGGCGACAGAGGAAAAACAUAAAGAAAACAAAACAGAAACACAAAUAAAACAUAGAAAAUCAACAAAACGGGACUACAAAUGUGCUUAGAGCAGCGGAUGAAAAAACCCGGGAGAGAGAAGUUCUUUAUUCAUUUUUUUUGAAUUCUUUUUUAAGUUUGCGGCAUUAACAUUCGUAUAGAAAGCCUCUAAAUUAGAUAAGAUUUUUAAAUUUGAAUAUUAAUUACCCAACUGUUUCGAUAAAAUUUCAUUAAGAAGCUCUUCAAUGAAGCUGCACUAAGCUGUUCAAGCAAAAUUUCUAAUUUGAGCCCAAAGCCCAAUUACGACUGUGGAUCAAUUUAAUUGUAAUUUUGCCCAAGCUAAUCCAAGUCAUAAGAAUGUACUUAGCGUGGGCCAAGCUAAGCUAUACUCUCGAAUGUUACGACAAAAACAAAUGACGCGUGUUUACUCCUGAUGGCAAUCUGAUGGGUUGUUUGGACGGACAGAAAUUCGACUAUAUUCCAGGCCACAUCCCCCAAUGCCGCCAGAUAAAUUAAACGUGUCAAACUUUUGACCUCUGACUGGACUCUAAUUCAUUGAGCUUGCACCCCUCCCCUCUUCAGCUCUUCCUCUCUUCUUCUUUUCUACUUUUAUUUUAUUACUUUAUUUUGUUCUGCUCUCUUUUUUGGGUCUCGGAGGCCUCAACUGCCUCCAACUUGUACGCUUAAUUCAUCUUACUUUAUGAAUGAAACAGGUAGCUUGCUACCUAAUUCUCAAAAAAAAUACGUAUAUACAAGUUUUGGCUUGAGAUAUUGAUAGCAUAUGUAUUCUUUUUUUUCUUUUUAUUAUUAUUAUUUUUUUGAUUGAACAGGCGUAUACCUUAUUUGAGAAAAUAUAACAUACAAGUCCAGAGACCAACUGGAAGACUCAAAUUCAAGAAAAAUACCUAAAAUCCCCCUCAUUUAACACCAUUUCCAUAACAAUAUCAUUCCAAGCUUCGACCGGCCCCGGCAAGCACCAGUGUAAGCAAUCAUUUUGAGUCCUCUUACUCAAAUCCGGAUGAAAGCGCCGAUACGGCCCCGGGUGCCCGUCAGGCCUUAAAAGAGAAAGAUGGUAAAUGUCCAAAAGCCGAAUCCGCGUCCUGUUUCGUGUCCCGACCACCACCGCCUUCUCAAACUCCUCGAUUUCGACCUGUCGCAUUAACCGGUCCGCAUCAUGUUCACUAAACUCACCUUCUUUGUAAGGUUUAGUCCGAUUGCAAACCCCUCCGCUGUACCACCUCCCGAACUUGAAGUGGUCCGGAGUCCAAGUCCUAAAGAGAACAAUUGGCUUGUGAUCCGAGCUAAGGAUGAAGCGAAACGCCAAUUGUAGGGCUUUUCGGUACGAGAAGUCGCUACGGAGUUCAGGUAAGUUCAUUCCGGGACAGUAAUUGCAACCGAUAGCUGUACCGUUCUCGUAGAAUAUAGUUGUUUUGAGGAACCAAUGGCCACCGGAAAUUACUAUGUAGUCGUAGUCAUCGUAUCGGCUCGUCCACCGACUCUCAAGGACGUCGAGAUGGACUGUGAUGUUAUCGACUUUGUCGCUAGCUUUGAGUAGAAAAGGAGCCCAAAUUGCUGCUAGGGUGAAGUUGUGUGAAGGGAAGUGCCAUAUGCUAGAUUUAUAUGUUUCGUCGCGAACAACUUCUUCGACCUGAGGGCCAAAAUAUAAUUUCACAUAAUUAGGAUACUAGCCUUAACCAAAAAGUUCAAAUCGAAAUGGUAGGCACCUUAGAGAGAAGGCAAAGCAAUGAGGCUAAUUGGUUGCGAAGGAUUGAAUCACCGAUGAAUACCCACGAUUUAUUUCGCAUCGAAUUUAAGAACUUGUUUGCAUUAAAUAGAGGUAAUUCGCAACCAUAUGGCUUCCAUCUCCAGUAAAGAUACUCUGUGUCGGGUCGCCCGUUUGUCGUACAAUCGCGAGGGGCGUCGAUGAAUUCACAACUUGCAUUUGUAUAAGCCGGUCCUGCAGGAUUUGCAAUCCACUUGCCCGUGAAGAGAUCACAUUGUUCUGCACCAUAUUUCAUACAAGGUUUGUCAGAUUUUUUUUUUUUUUUUUUUUUAAAGCAUGUUUAAGAGAAGUAUAUGUAAUAUCCAAAUAUUGCAGAGAGUAAUUUGCAAAAAACACAAUAUGAUAAUACUAUAAUGAGUGGUGUGAGUGUAGUGCGAGCUAUCUCUUAAACCCGUAGGAGCCAUCCACCUCUUGAACCCAUAGGAGCCACAUAUAGAACCUCACAUGGUCUGAUAAUUCUAAUUCUGAUUUGUCUGUUUGGAUUUGGACCUGAUGAGAAUCCGAUGUGGGAUACUGAUUCCAAUCAAUUUAUAUAAAGUCUCGCACGCUAGUAAUAAAAAACUGGAAUUAAAUAUUUUGGGCCGGUGGUUUGAGCCCAACAAAUUAUUGUUCCUAGCGGAUCGAAUCGUUACGGGUUAAACCAGACCAAAUGUUCCAACACUUACCCGGGCCAAUAUUUGGUCCAGUUUUGACAACUAUAGCCGAAUUCAAGUACUAGAGAUACAUUGAGUUCGAGUCCAAUGCAGCUAGAAGAAUUUUAUGAGGGGGUUUGAAAGAAAGAUCAAAAGAAAAAUAAAGUAAAAUGUGAUCAUAAACUAUAUAUGGCACCUCUCUGAAGUUUCCCAGCUAUGGCAUUCACCAACUCUGCGUCCUCUGCUGCGAAGGCAUCGACGAACAAGUGGAGGCGAAGGGCGAAGGCGACGAAGAUGACAGAGACCAAAACCAUGGCGACGUCGUGGCCGAGCUCCGCCUUAGUCGUCAUGAAUACACAAAAAGAAUAUGCGAAGAAGAAGAAGACGAACUAAAGGAAAGUAAAAAAGGUGUACGAAGAGAUCAUUUACAUGCAAAGUUGAUGGAAGGUCAUGAUUUGUGUGCUUCUCAGGGCAUGCAAUUAUUUUCCUGCAUUAUAAUCUCAAAAAGUAAAUUAUUUUCGGGCAUUCAUCUGCAUGAUGGCAUGCAUUAAUGAUUAUUGUUUCAUCAACCCAAAAAUCCAAAAGGAAUCCCAAUAUGGUAAAUCGUAAUUAAAGAACUUAUCUGAAUUAUAGAUUAUUUUGAAAAUAUUAUGUGAUAUAUCAAACUUUUAGUUUUAUUAUUCAAUUUUUCAAUUUAUUUAAUUUGAGUCAAUCAAUAAUAUUUUGACUUCAAAAUUUAAACUAAUAACUUAUUUUAAUAAAUUUAUCGUUGUGACAACUGUAUGGAAUGUACUAACUAAAUAUAUAAAAAUCAACGAUACAUUCAAUUUUAAAGUCAAAAUAUCGUUGAUGGACUCAAAUUAAACAAAUUGCAAGGCUUGGUGGUAAAUUUAAAAUUUUGAAAAGUUGGAUAAUUGAGUCAAAAUAGUCUAUAGUUUAAAUAAGUUUUUUAUAUUUUUACCGUUUUUUUGAGAGAAAGGUAGCAUGCAACCUGCUUCGUUUAUUUUAUUUAAAAAUAAACUUAGCUGGAUAUGUGAAUCAACUAGUAUUCGAACUUGGGUCUCAUGUACCAACCACCAAACCCUUUUGCCACUUGCGUUAGGGACGGUCUGUUAUUACCUUUUAAAAAUUAGUUAUUAAUUAUUUGGUAACAAGUUUUUGUUUAUUUUUUUUUUAGGCAAGAAAAAAGUUAAUAUGCUAUUCACUUUGUUUAUUAAAAAAAAAUUUAACUAAAAAUAUAUAAGUAAUUAAACUUCGAACUUAAGAUCUCAUAUAUCAAUCAUUAAAUUUUUUAUCAUUUGGGCCAGGAACGAUCAAUGUUUUGUUGAAUAUUUUUAAAAAUAACUAGAAUGGUGGUCGCUGGAUAUAUAGACAGAGACAAUUGUGUAAGUGCAUAAUUAAAAUUAUUAUAAUUAUAGAGAAAGUACUUUGAACUCAUGAUAAAGUGCAAGAAAUUUUGUAAUUUAGCCGAGAAAUAAUUGCAAAAUAAUAGAAUUGUGCAGGUUCAUGCAUGAAUGAGCCCACACUAGCUCCUCCUGAUUGCUUUAGAGCUUUUGCUAUUAACAGAUAUGGUUUUCAAUACCAACAGAAAAUUUUAUUAAAUUUGAUCGCUAUUCCCUGAUCGAAUUUGACUCAAUUCAAUACAUCUGUUUUGUCUUACACCGAGUGCAAAUCUCUUUUAGUACAGUUCGUGAGCCCGCAACCCAACAGGAGAGGCAAGAAGAGUCUCAUUUUGCUGCGCAAAUAUCAGGUAUUGAACCUUAAACAUCAAGCUCUAUAUGUCUUAAUAAUCAGCAAAAAUUAGGGCAAAGAUGAUUACAAAUAUGGAAAAUUAACUAUCAAAAAUGUAGUCACAAAUUAACAUGAUUUACUAGAUAAAAUAGCACAAAUUGCUCUCUCCAAUUUAUAUAGCGAUUAAAGAGGUUGCUUUUUCACUUUUGAGUCACAUAGUGCGAGAUUUUGAUUCUAAUUUAAUGUGUAAGAUUAAGAUUUAAGCCACAGAAAAAGACAAUCCAACAAACUAAUUGGGUUGGUUGUCCACAUGCGCUUUGUUGGAUUGUAAAUAUGUCACAAUUUUUUGGUUCAAGCACAUGGAAACUGCUUCGCUUAAGUACCUAAUCUAAUUAAUGUUUAAUUUUAUUUAGACACUCAUGUUUAUGUAUAACUUUAGAUCCAAAAAUAAAUUAAGUAUUAAUUAAUUAUUGCAAUGAACAUAUAUAAAUAACGGAUGACCUGUAGCUAUCGAGUAUAAUUAAUCCAAAUGCUUCUGAGGAAAAUGAAACCAAGGACUUCAUAUUGUAUCAUUUUAUUUUUUAACAUAUCAUUUUGAUUUCUAAUUUCUAAUUUUAAUUGUUGUAUAAAGGUUUCCACGCCCAAUAAAUAGAUCAAUCAAUUUAGAAACGUACGGCUCCGGAGUUAAUCGGUUCAAUCAAAAUUUAACUUAGGACCAACAUUGCACAACAAUCUGUCCAGCUCCAGCUAAUAAAUUAAAUAUAAUCCAUAUUAUUUUCUUUUUCUUUCAAAAUUCGUGUUAUUAUUUACUAAUUUUUAACUUUUUCUUCAAGAAAGAUAAAUGAUUUAUAUAGUUAAACAAAGACUAGAAAAAUGAGAUAAAAAAUAAAAGUAUCAAUGAUAUGUAGCUACCUACAAUGUAACUUCCAUGUUUUUACAUUUGCAGGUUAGGAUACAUAUAUGCAUAUACAUAACAUGCUUUCCAAUUAUACAAGUAUAGGAUACUACCUAUUCACAACAACUAUUCUACUUAUUAAAUGCGCCAUCUCUGUCACUAUCCCCAACCAAACCACACUCACACUCUUAUACAUAAUGGCAAAGCAACAUGGCCAUUUUUCUUGUACGUAUGUGUCUCUUAGAUGGAGCCAAAAGUUGGGGAGGAGGAAGAAGAGGAAGGAAAGAAAGAGGGAAGGUUGUGUGUGUGGGAUUGCGGGAGCCCGCUCUAUGACGCCUUCGAGCUCGUCUCCGUGUCUCACCUCAUCGACCGACAUGUCAUGGCGCUGCCCUUUGUGAAGGAGCGCAACGCGUCGUCCGUGAGGUUCGAGUACGCCGUGUUCGACGGGCGCGACGUCGAAGCAGCGAGAGGAGGGAGGAGGAGGAUGAAGAAGAUGUUGGUGGUCAUGGGGAGGAGGGGACAGAAGGAGGUGGCCAAGUUGAGGAGAAAGGUUAGGGUGAGAUUGCAUGGUGCGUUCAAAGCCAUAUAUGCAUGCUUGUUCGAGAGGACUAUGAAGUGUGUGUAAUCUUUUGUAAUUGCCUUUUUUUUUUAAUUACUCGAUCCAUCCCUUGUUUCCUUUUAUUUUGUUGCUUAACUUGCUUUUGAUCGCAAUGUUUUUGGACAUAUAUGGUAAGUUGCACCAAUAUUUAAUGUGAGACUAUUCACAUAUACUGUGAAAAUUUGAACAUCUAAAGAUGCCCUUCAUAACUCAAUUUUCUAGUUUGCAGGCCCAUCAAGUGGGAUCUGCAUGUAAUAUUUAUUUCUUGAAAAUGUAUAGAAACUUAUCUCUGAACCAUUUUGAAUCAAAUAUUCAACCUUUCAAAAUUUUAAUUUUACUAUCAAACUUUUCAAUUUGUUUGAUUUGAGUCAGUCAACGACACUUUGACUUAAAAUUUUAAACUAAUUAUUUAUUUUAAUAGAUUUAUAGUUAUGAGAAAUACGUAAAAUAUACUAACUAAAUUUAUAGAGAUAAAUGAUACAUUCAAAUUUUGUAAUCAAAAUAACAUUGACUAACUCAAAUCAAACAAUCUGAAAAAUUAAUAUUAAAAUUAAAAUUUUAAAAGAUUGAAUAGCUUAUUUAAAAUAGUCCAUAGUUCACGUAAGCUAUGUACAUUUUUACCUAUAUUUUCAUAGGUAGGCUCUCAAGUUUCCUUUUUCAUGAUCUGGAAAAGGAAAAUGUUUAAUUGGGUUCAUAAUCAGAUGUUAUUAUUUCUACAUGAAAUAAAAAAUUUCCAUCAAUAAUUUGCUGUUACAAUGGGCCCAGAGCUAAAUUGCACUAGAUAAUUUGUUCCACCAGAAAGGAAAAUCUAAUUAAAAUUUUCUCUACAUUUCAUUUAAUUUUGAGUGAAGACUCUUGAUUACAUUUUGUUGACCAAAUACAAGUUAGAUUACAAGGACAAGUGAACUCAACGGUCAAUGCUUGGGUAUGACUUAGUUGACCUUCUCCCGAACAUUCCGUCAAUUGCAUAAGCCGAAUAUGAGCUAGCUCGUCAAAGUAUUGAGCCGAAAAAUUCAGCUUGUGUUCGGCUCGUUUAUUAACGAGCCGAACAUGAUCUGGCUUACGAGCUGACCAACGAAUAAUAAAUUAAAAAUAAUUAGAUUAAAUAUAUAUAAAAAAUAAAUUUAUCAAAUCUUAUCCAUUAAAUUUUGAUCUAAUAAUUAAAACUUUACAUAUAAAUGAAAUCUUUUAUAAUUAAGCCUCGCAUUUAUAUUUUUAUUUACUAAAAAUAAAUAAUAAAAAUAUAUAUUAUAUAUAAUUAUUUAUUUAUAUAUAAAAAUAUAAAUUAAAUAAAUUAUAUAAUAUUAAAAUAUAUGUAUUCGAGUUGUUAUCGAGCCGAACACGAGCGAGCUGACCCCAGCUCCGUGUUCGGCUCGUUUACUAAACGAGUGAGCCGAUUCAAGCUCAUUUCGAGCGAACAUGAGCUGGCUUGCGACAGUUGAGGCUGAAUUGCCACCCCUACUUUUGGAUAACUAUUCCAAAAGUAUAUACCGAUAGAAAGUAUGCAUUUUAUCAUACUUAAGGACUUAACUAUUAUGCUCAUGGACUUCAAUCUGACUCAAUUCAUCUGGAUAUUGAAUAUAUUAUUAGAUAUCUUCCCGUUGAGUCAAUUAUAAACCGCAACCUCAUUCAACUUAUUUGACUCAAUUCAAUUAAAUUUAUUAAUUUUCUGUACCUAUUGUCCAAUUUAAUUUAUUAGUAUUCUAGAUCAAUUAUGGGAUGGAAAGUUGGGUCUAUUUCAGCCAACAUUUCCCCCCCCCCUCCCCUUCCUCCAUCACUGCUAACUGACUAUUCUAACCGUAAAUGCCGAUAGGAGAUAGGCAUUCAUCACACCUAAGGACUUAGCCACAGUAAUCACAAAUUUCGAGCUGACUCAAUCUAUCUAAACAUUGGAUCUAUAAUUGAGUCUCUUAUUAUUAAAUCUACUAUGCACUGCAGCCUCACUCAACUUAUUAGUCUUCUAAAUUUAUUGUCACAAGACAAAAACUUAUACCUAUCUCAACCAACAUAUUUUCCGCCAAAAUUUAAGCUACUAAAUAAUAAUAUUUUUAUAUUUUUAUAUUCAAUACUUCUCUAAAAGCUGUUUCAAUCGGAAUGCGAAAAAAUAUACAGAAAAGUAAAUUAAACCUAAAUUGUUUUCAGAGGAAGCAAAACUUACAUGCACAUACAACUUGAUCAAAGCAAAGAAAACACAGAGAGAUACCCUAAUCACAGCAGCAUUAAGGACUCAAAAGCAGCAGCAACAAAAAAAAAAAAAAGAGAGGUCAAAAACAAAGAAAAAAAAGAGAGCAAAUAGCCUAGCUUCCAUAUGCAGUACUUAAGUAGUUCUUGAUAACAUUCCUAGACAAUAUCUGCAAUACCAUGCUGUUCGACGGGCCGACACACCGUGGCGUCUUGAACUGGCUCACUGCCGCGCCGAGGCCCAAGUAAUGGUCUAGAAUAUUCUGAAAAGUCCCUUUCCGAAGGACGCGGAGCUCGAGCGGGCCGAUCGCCUUGACCUUCCUGGACGCGACGUAGCCUGCGUCCAGGAAGGCCAAGUCUAAGCUGUUGCAACAGCUUUGUAAGACCUCCUCGCUCGCGUCGGAGCUCAGCUCCCAGAAAAUCACGUAGUGGCCCGGGUCCGACGAGCGGUCCACCAGGCUCGUGAAGUCCACAACCUCAACCUUCUCUGCGGCCAAGUGCUUCAAAGCGGCCUCCACUGCCAGCUGGAGGUCUUUCUCGGUGUUCUUGUCGAUGUUGAUGGUUAGCAGGAGGCUUCUCCGGCACAAGAACUGCAGCUCCGGAGUGGAGUUGUGGAAUCCCGCGAUCUUAACCACGUCUCCCAAUCUGUAUCUGUACAAACCUAUUUCGUAUCGAGGCAACACAAAAAUAAUACGACAAAUUAAAAGUCUACUCUUUAAGGAGAGAUUUUUAUGUCCUACAACUUGGUAUAUGAGUUGGUCCGGCAAGAGUGAGACGUCACCAUAUAUUUCCUUCAAAUAUGACGCGAAAACGGAAUCAGCGCAUCCAUUUAUUUUUCCCCUUCAUUUGUGAAACCUCAUUAAGUCAAAAUGGCGGAAUAAUUUUACCAGUUAGUAUUAUUACCAAGAAGAAAUCCAGUAUAGUUGAAUAAGAUUGUGUGAAGAACCGGUCAACAAAGCAAGAAUGUAGUCUCUUCUUUUCUUUUUUGAGUCCUGAUUUGUAAGCUUUUCUGAUUGUUCUUAAUUUAACUCAACUUGGUUUAUGCUCACCCAUCAUCCAUAAAUGAAUUCGACCUCCUAGACGUGACUAUAUAGUAUGCUGGAAGAAUAAUUAAAGUCACAACACUCGACUUAAUUUAGAGGUCCAGGACACAACUAGAUGUAGAUAAUUUAUCCUAACGAGUACAGUGGAGAGAUAGCUCGAAGCUUAAAAAUGAGAAAAAGGAAGUCGAUAACAAAUGUAUGGUACAAUUUUGACUUCAAAUUAAUUAGUUCACAAGGCGACGGCAAAAGUUUUGACCCAGAUAAGAUCUUUGCAACCUGUUUUUUCAAUUUGGAAGCUUAGUUGGAGUGAAAUUACCAGGUAAUUUGAGCUUUACACCUCACGGCAUAACUACUCAUUCACAAUUUACUCCUAAAUCCGCACAUCAGAAAAGGAAAAAACAAAAGAGAAAAAGAAACGACUUUAAACGCUAAUAAAUGUUCAGCAUCUGCAUUCAACCAAACAUUAGGCCGGGCCUGUUAUGCUGUAGACCAGCAGUGUAUUCAAUUAUGCCCCCUAACUCCCCCUCUGUCCAACCUGUCAAUGCCUACCCAAUAAUAAUCCCUAUGUACUUAAAUGAGGAACCUCAACAAGUUGGUUCAUUCACAUGUUAUCAUGAACAUAAAUAACAUGACAGAGACAAAGAGUACAUAGGUACAAACAAGUUCACUACGUGGCAAAACGAUGACCUCUUAUGAAUCGCUAGUUAUCUUUAUAGCCUGUCAACAUGAAUAAGCAAACAAAUUAGCGUAUUUUCUAAAUUUUGUUAUUCAAUAAACAUUAUAUGUUUAGUACAAAUUAUUUCAGCCCGUUGAGCUACACUUAUAUUGUACUGCCGAAUUUUACAAGCCAUCCUACAAACUACCAUUUAAUUCUAAUAAUAAUAAUAAUAUCAUCCAAACCAUAAUUUUGGAAUAUUCUUUGUAAACUUUUCUAAGCAUUCUAAGGAGACAACGUGAGCUGCAAGAACUAAGCGAAAGCGAGCAGAGAAAUAAAAAGAGAAAUAAAGAAUGAAGUACCUGCAAAAUUCGUUAAGACGACUUCAUACUCUUUGCCGACCUCGACCUCCGUCAAUCCAACAGGCUCCGAUUCCACGUAAUGAACGGAAGCACAAUUAUCCGCCUCCUCACCUUCAGGUUUCUCCAAAGGGAUAAAUUCAAAGUACCCAAUAUUUGGCAGUACAGCAAAAGUCACCUUUUCCGGGGCCAACUUAGGGUCUAUGUUCGCGCCGAUCCAUCCUUCCGAGGAUCCAUAAUCUGCACUCAUUAAUGGUAAAUUCCCAGCAUAAUGCCUCAGUUUCUUCAAAUACGGCUCCAUUGAUCCGGUCAUAAUUCCAUACACAUAUUUCGCAUUGGGCCACAGUUCGGGUAUCACACCAUACCAAUUGCUUAAGCCUGCACAUUUGUUGUAUAUGGCGUCGGCUAAAGCUGGGUUGGGACUUAGAAUUUUAGAAACGGCCGCUCGGAUCGAGGGGGAAGUGAUUCUACUGGAGAGGACCCCUUCUCUUAUAUCAGUACAUAGUUCCUCCCAUACUAGCUCGAAAGUACGGAACGCAUGAACAAUGCUAUGAGCAAAUGUAGAGAAUAUAAACUGCACUUCAUUUGAGAGGAUUAGGCCACAGAGCAAGUGACAGUAAAGGGACUGGUGGAAGUCGGGACCAAAUAUGACUUCGUCGGGGCUACAACACUGAGAUUGGAUAUCCUUCAUCGCGUUCUUGAAUUGGUCAUUCCGGAAUAAGUUUGUCGUGGCGGUCGUGGCGACGAUGCCUCCUUUCGUCAUAACCUGCUUGCUGCCGUAAAUGAAUUGCAGGGCUUUUCCAUUGCCAAUCGGGUACUCCCUACAAAUAACACUCAAACAAAUUGAGGUGGAAUUCAAAAUAUAUAUUCUAUUGAGCUAUGAAGUGACUAAGAUCGUCCUCGCAUUUGGAUCUAUGAAUAUGAGAUUCAUUACAUACGAAGGAAAGUAAAUUAAAGAGACCAGUGGCAAUUAACAAAUGUAUUAACCGGCGAAUCCAUUUUCACACAAUUCAACGAGAAGCAGCGCUUUUAAACACCAAAAAGACCGUAAUUUUAGGAGAAAUUAAAAACCAACUACUGUUCAGGUAUACAAUAAGCAAUGGUACAGCAUUUAGAGAGAAUCAAUUUGGGUCUUUUUUCUUUUUCUUUUUUUGGUGAAAAAGCGAGCAAAUCCUAAGUACUUUGGGGUUUUCAAUCCCUACCUGUUCCUGAACGCAUAAGAGGUACGAUAAAUCUGUAUCGUCGAAUCGAGCAACUCUUCAUUGAACGGAAUAAAUUUGGGCUUUCCCUGUGUAGUCCCGGAACUGCGACAAAAACAAUAAAAGCCAUCCCGAAAUUAUCCACAAAAUCAAUCCGCGUAUAAAUGAUGUGAAAAAAUCUUUAACACCUCCAUUCACAUGCAAAAUAGAAAUCAGAUAAGCAUUGACAAAAGUAGAAGAACUGAGCAAACUUCUGAUACCAUAUUAUCCGUGUUACCAAAAUAUCGACACGACAAAAAAUGACACGCAAAUUGUUGACUCAGAUACCAUAUUUACCCAAAUUAACCAAGAUAUUGAUAUGAUAGAAAAUGACCAAAAAACGAAAAAACUGUCCUAACACUUACUAGUACUACCUCAACCAAAAAUUCCAAACUCUUGACACCCAAGAAUUAAAGUGCCGUGGCACAGAAUCGUGCCGAAAACUUGCUGGCACGAUGCGACUUGGCCGUGCUGAUACGUGUCGGUAAAAAAUUAUGUGUGUGCCGACACGUAAUGGCAUGAAAUAUUUAUUUUCUAUCACAACAAAUAUAUCAAUUAUUUAUUAUAUAUUUUUAUCAAAUCUUUUACAUUUUGUUGAAAAAAUUACCUACUGAUUUCAAAAAUAGAGAAUUUUGAGUUUUGCCAUCGGUACAUAAUUCUGCACGGUGAAUACGGUCAGUGUCGAUAGGCAUUUUAAUAACAGCACAUUACCCAUAAUAUCUAAAUUAUAGGUAUCAUAUGAAAUGGCUCAGAAAUAGUGGUAACACUGACAAGUAAUACCUGAGCGAGAUCGCGGUGAUGGGUUUCCCGGUGAGGAUGGGGGAGUUGUCGCCGUCGACGAUCCGCUGGAUGAACGGCUCGAGAUCGGAGUGGGUGACGAGGGGCACGUACGAGCGGAAGCUCGCGGCGUCGGUGCGGCCGCCGAGGCCGAAGCGCCGGAGAUACUCGGCGCCGCCGUUCUCCUCGAGGAUCCGCCGCAGCGUCUCCGCUUGGACGCGCCCCGCGUCGCGCGUGAGCGCCUCGAACUCAGCUAUCACCCUCUCCUCGCACGAGAUCGUCAUACUCCCCACUACAGAAAUGCAAAAACAAAAAAAAAAUUAAAAAAAAAGAGAUUUUUAUGCGUAAACAGGGGGAAAUAGGGGCGAAUUGAGGCGAAAAAAGUGGAAACGAUGCGAUCUGUAGGUACGAACAGGGGGUUUUCAGGGAAGUGAAAAAAUGGAAAUUGUUCAAUUUUUAUGCAUAAAAAAGGGGGAGUUUUAAGGUGUUAACUGAAGCGAAAGAGCGGAGAAGAUUCGAUUCUGAUGCGGGGAUAGUUGAGCGGAAAAAUAAAAUGGAAAAGGUUCGAUUUUAUGGAUAAAAAACAAGGAUUAGUUGAGAUUGUUAUGCAUAAACAGGGGAUUACUAAGCGAAAAAGGAGGAAAAUCUUCGAUUUUUAUGCAUAAACAGUGGCUAAUAGAAGCUUUUAUUUACGCGAUAAACAGGGGUCAACAGAAACGAAAAAAUGGAAAAGAUUAUAUAUUUUAGGCAUAAACAGGGGCUAAUUUAAGCGAAAGAAAUUAGGGAAAGGUUCGAUUUUUAUGUACAAAAAGGCUUUCGUUAAAUUGAAGCAGAGGAGAGAAACUGAGUAAAGGGAUCUGAGAAAGGUAUUUAAAGUACUAUUUUUUUUUUCCUUUUCGCAAAAAGACACCCAAAAAACUAAGAAUAAAACAAAAAAUUCUAAUAUUUUACCUUUGAUUAGAGCCUUCGCUUCGUUGGGAACUUGGGAGCUCGUUGGGAACCAGAGCCUCGACUUUGGCCGAUAUUUUGCUGGGGAGGGGGCAGGUGAAAGAUUCUUUGUUCUGAGGAGGAACCAACAACAACUAGAGAAACAAGACCAUCAAAAACAAUAGUAGUACUAUUAUAAUAUUUAUAAUAAUAAUGUUAUAUUAAAGCUGUCCUUUUCUAAUCUCUUUCACUCUCUCUUCCCAGAUAAGUAUUAGAGAACAAGAAAAAAGAAGGAAAAAAAAAAAUAAAGAGAGAGAGAGAUAUAAAAGAGCUCUUCUUAUUGCUUCUUAGAUUGGUUUUAGCUUCCUAGGAUGGGUGGCCUCAUUUAUAGCCGUGAAACCUCAUGGGCCUUUCUCUCUCUCUCUCUCUUUGCGACAAGAGAGAGAAUAUUAAGAAUAGCCUAAUUUUAUUAAUGUGGACAGUGAUUAGAAUAAAACUUCAGUGGAAUCUCACCAACGACAUCUCAUCAUUGGAGAGCCUCGAUUUACAGUUACUUAUUAAUUUUAUCUUUAUCUAAUAACACAUUAGAUAUUCUUUUAAUAUUAAAAUUAAAAAAUUAAUUUUAUAGAGAAAAAUUAUAAUUUUUAAAUAGAAAUAAAACUGAGACUCCUUAACGAAGCAUUAUUGAGGAACCCCCGCUAAGUUUUUUUUUUCAGUGAUUAUAUACAUGUUUGAGGGUUUUAUUAUUUUGUCAGCUUCAGUCAUGUUAUAAUUCUGGCAGUAUCUUACCAUUGUAAUGUAAAAAGUAAUUAUUUAUUAUACGCAUGGAAGUGGAAAGAGAAAAAAUCUCAUUUGUUUCUUAAUAGGUUGUCGAUGAGUGGAACACUAGCGAGCCGGGACCGUUCGUGUUCAGUUCGUUUAAUAAAUAAGUCGAGCACAAGCUAACUUGUUAAAAUAACGAGCUGAAAAAUUCAGCUCGUUUAUUAACGAGCUAAAGUUGAACUUACUCGCGAACAAUAAAUUAAAUUGUAAAUUUUACUAUUCAAUAAAAAAUAAAAAAUAAAAAAUAAAAAAUUUUAAUUUAAUAAUUAAAAUUUAUAAAAUAGAGAUUUAUUUAUAUUUGAAUUGCUCUAAAAUCUAAAUUUUAUAUAUAUAUAUAUAUAUAUAUAUAUAUAUAUAUAUAUAUAGAGUCCGGCUACUAUACCUAUUUAUGAUAGCCCCUUAGAUUUAUUCAAUGAUCAUUUCUACCCGUUAGAUCAUACAAUAUCCAACAAACUACCCACUCAACCUAGGGGACCACUAUAAUUCUAAGUGGGAACUACCAUCAUCCUAAACCACACAUCCAUCAAUCAACGGUUUAAAAUUUAUGAAUACAAAAGGGUUCUAUACUAAAAGAGUAUAGUUAGCCAGCUCUCCAUCCUCUCCCUCAACCACCACCCAUCCCGCCCGACACUCCGCCUCACCUAUAUCUCCCCCCGUACUCUCUCUCUAUAUAUAUAUAUAUAUAUAUAACUAAACUAUAAUACUAUCAAUAGCACCAAGCUAUUGAUGUUAUUACUUUUAACCUUUGGAUUGAGAAAUGUGUGGUUAGGAUGAUAUGGGCCCCCUAGGGAUGAGUGAGUGAUUGGUUGAAUGGUAUAACAUAACAGAUAAAAAUAAUUAAAGAGUUAUAUCUAACGGUGGAAAACUCGAUAGCACCAAAUCCUUUGUGCUAUCGAUAGUACCCCAGCCGAACUAUAUAUAUAUAUAUAUAGAGAGAGAGAGAGAGUCCGGCUAAUAUUCUUUUAUGAGUAUAGGCUCCUUUAUACUCAUAAAUUUUCAGUCCUUAGAUUUAUUUCAUUGAUCAUUUCCACCCGUUAGAUCAUACUAUUCAACCAACUACCCACUCAACCCUAGGGGACCACCAUCAUUCUAAGUGAGGACCAUCAUCAUCCUAACCACAUAUCCCAUCAAUCAAUGGUUAAAAAUUUAUGAGUACAAGAGGGUCUAUACUCAUAAGAGUAUAGUAGCCCCAGCCUAUAUAUAUAUAUAUAUAUAUAUAUAUAGAGAGAGAGAGAGAGAGAGAGAGAGAGAGAGAGAGAGAGAGAGCGAGAAGGACUGCUGUGCUCUCAGGAGCAUAGAGGCCUCCGUGUUCUUGAGCCAUUUUCGAUGAUGGAAUUUUCGAAUCGACGAUCGGCUCCGUUAGACUUGAUCUAGCGUAUUUGAAGUUUCUAGAAAAAAAAAUUGCGAUUUUUCGAUAUCAUUUACCUAGCAAUCAAAAGGAUUCAAAAUCAAUAAUUUUUAAUGGCUGAAAAUAAAAAUCCUAUAAAACGUGGUGAUAUAGCACUAAAAUUUUUGAUCAGAAAUAUUGAUCUUGUUGUAGAUAGUAUAAAAAAUUUUGUAUCAAAAUUUUAUCUGAUUUGAAUACUUCUAAAUCGUUAAACUUGAAAACGAUAGAUAUCAACCAUUAAAAAUUAUUGAUUUUGAACCCUUUUGACACUAGGUAAAUGAUAUCGAAAAAUAGCAAAAAUUAUUUUCUAGAAACUUCAAAUACACUAGAUCAAGUCUAACAGAGCCGAUCGUCGAUUCGAAAAUUCUAUCAUCGAAAAUGGCUCAGGAGCACGGAGGCCUUCGUGCCCCCGAGAGCACAGCAGUCCUGUUAUAUAUAUAUAUAUAUAUAUAUAUAUAUAUAUAGAGAGAGAGAGAGAGAGAGAGAGAGAGAGAGUACGUCUCCCGUGCUUUCGAAAGUACGGAGGCCUCCGUACUUGUAAGUUAUUUUUGAUGAUAGUACAUCCAAUUCGACGAUCGACUCCGUUAAGCAGAAUCUAUGCUAUUGGAACUAUCUAAAAACCAAAUUUUAUAAUUUUUUGACAUUAUUUACCAAGCGAUCACAGGAUCUAAAAAAUGACUAUUUUAAUGGCCGAUGUGUCACUUUUUAAGUUCAACGGUCUACAAGUAUUCAAAUUACAUGAAACUUUAAUAGAAAAUUCUACUUAACAUUAAUAGCAAGAACAAUACUUCCGAUUUGAAAUUUGAGUCAUUUAUCAAUAUUUUUUAUGAGAUUUUUAUUUUCAGCCGUUCAUUUUGAGGCUACUCGUUCACUAGGCAAACAAAGUUAAAAAAUUAUGAAAUUUGGUUUCUGGAUAGUUCCAAUAGCAUAGAUCAUAUUUAACGGAACCGAUGGUCGAAUCGGACGUCCCAUCAUUAAAAACAACUUAUAAGCACGGAGGCCUCCGUACUUUCGAAAGCAUAGGAACCUAACUCUCUCUCUCUCUCUCUCUCUCUCUCUCUCUCUAUAUAUAUAUAUAUAUAAUACUAGGCUUGAAUACUAUUAAUAGCACCAAGCUAUUGGUGCUAUUAGUUUUUUAGCCUUUGGAUUAAAAAAUGUGCUUUUUAGCCUUUAGAUUAAAAAAUGUGCUGUUAGGAUGAUGUGAGCCCCUAGGGUUAAGUGGGUAGUUGGUUGAAUAGUAUAAUCUAACGAGUAAAAAUAAUAAAAGGGUUAAUCUAACGGUAGAAAACUUGAUAGCACCAAGUGUUUGGUGCUAUCGAUAGCAUAGCAACCGUACUCUCUCUCUCUCUCUCUCUCUCUCUCUCUCUCUCUCUCUCUCUAUAUAUAUAUAUAUAUAUAUAUAUAUAUAUAUAUAAAUAUAAAGAGUCCGGCUAACUAUACUAUCGAUAGUACAGCCCUUGGUACUAUUUGAGUUGUGCUACCCAUUAGAUCUACCCUUUGAUUAUUUCCACCCGUUUAGAUUAAAUAUAUAUAAUAUAUAUAUAUAUAUAUAUAUUAGAGUACCCUACUAUAACUACCGAUAGUACAAGUGCCCUUGGUACUAUAUGAGUUUUCUACAUUAGUAUCUACCCUUGAUCAUUUCCACCCGUUAGAUUAUACUAUUAACCCCAACCACACACUCAACCCUAGGGACCACUAUCAAUUUAACUCCGGGGAAUACUAUCAUCCUAACGCGACAUCCUUGCAUCCAACGGCCGAAAACUCAAUAGUAAAGGCCUUGUACUAUUGAUCAAUAAAGUAGCAUAAUUCUAUAUAUAUAUANNNNNNNNNNNNNNNNNNNNNNNNNNNNNNNNNNNNNNNNNNNNNNNNNNNNNNNNNNNNNNNNNNNNNNNNNNNNNNNNNNNNNNNNNNNNNNNNNNNNNNNNNNNNNNNNNNNNNNNNNNNNNNNNNNNNNNNNNNNNNNNNNNNNNNNNNNNNNNNNNNNNNNNNNNNNNNNNNNNNNNNNNNNNNNNNNNNNNNNNNNNNNNNNNNNNNNNNNNNNNNNNNNNNNNNNNNNNNNNNNNNNNNNNNNNNNNNNNNNNNNNNNNNNNNNNNNNNNNNNNNNNNNNNNNNNNNNNNNNNNNNNNNNNNNNNNNNNNNNNNNNNNNNNNNNNNNNNNNNNNNNNNNNNNNNNNNNNNNNNNNNNNNNNNNNNNNNNNNNNNNNNNNNNNNNNNNNNNNNNNNNNNNNNNNNNNNNNNNNNNNNNNNNNNNNNNNNNNNNNNNNNNNNNNNNNNNNNNNNNNNNNNNNNNNNNNNNNNNNNNNNNNNNNNNNNNNNNNNNNNNNNNNNNNNNNNNNNNNNNNNNNNNNNNNNNNNNNNNNNNNNNNNNNNNNNNNNNNNNNNNNNNNNNNNNNNNNNNNNNNNNCGAGAGAGAUGAAAGUAGAGCAGAGAGAGUCGCGCUUACUAUGCUUUAAUUAGCACGAAGCACUUGUGCUCAACCAAGUUUUUCGCGCGUUAGAUCUACCCUUUUGAUCAGUUCUACCAUGUAGAUCAUAACUAUUCAACCAAACCCGACCACUCAACCCUAGGAGCACAUAUAUCCAACCGCAAAUCUUCUUAAUCGCAAUGGCCCAAAACCUUUGGAAUACAACAAUGACUUGUGCAUUAAUAGCUUAGUAGCCUAGUUAUAUCUAGAAAUAAUAAUAUACUAUAUAUAUAUAUAUAUAUAUAUAUAUUAUAUAUAUAUAUAGAUGAGGCACUAUCAUCGGCAAGUAGAGCCUUCUGUGCUCCCAGUCCGUUUUUCGAUGUUCGGACUUUCGAAUGUCAUCGUGCUUCGUUAACUUGAUCUAGUAGAUUUGAUACUAGAAAUAAAUUUUAAGAUUUUUCGAAUAUCAUUUGCUAGUGAACGAAGGGGCUCAUGAUCAACGGCUGAAAAUAAUAAUCUUACCAAACGUAAAUAUCACAUUAAAAUUUUUAAAUGCAAAGAUAUUGAUCUUGUUUUAUAUAGUAUAGAGAAUUUUCUAUCAAAUUUCACAGUCGAUGUGUUAUUUCUACACCGUUAAACUUCACAAACAAGUCUCACUGUACGCGCCAUUGAAAUUUGCUGAAUUUUGACCGACCUUCGAUCACUAAGCAAAAUGAAAAAUUAAAUAAAAAAAUAAUAAAUUUAUUUCUAGGUACUCCAAAUACUGCUAGAAUCAAGGUUUAACGGAGCCGUAUCGACUGAUUCGAAACGCCAAAAUCGAAACAAGUUGAGAGAGCAGGAAGCUCACCAGUGCUUCCGAAUAGUUAUAGUACUUCCUCGUAUAUAUAAUAUAUAUAUAAUAUAAGAGGAGGAGAGAGAGAGAGAACGAGAAGGGGAGAGAGAGGAGAGAGAGAGGAGUCCGACAGUGAGACUACUAUAUUGAUUAAACCACCAAGUCGUUGGUGCUAUCAAUUUUCCACCGUAAGUUUAACUCUUUGACUAUUUUUACAGCUGUUAGCAUUAUACUAUUAAAUAAUAACUGCACUGCUAGCCGCUAUGGGCCACAUCAUCCAUAACGUGGUAUUUUUUAUCCAAAACCGGACAACCUAAUAAUAUCAAUAGUUUGGUGCUAUUGAUAGUAUUAGUUAUAUAUAUAAUAUAUAAUAUAUAUAUAUAUAUUAUAUAUAUUAUAAUAUAUAUAUGAUACUAUUAUGAUAGUAUAUAUAUAAUGAGCUAAAUACUUUUAGAAGCACCACCUGCCUGGUGCUUGUAAGUUUUUAAGCCUUAUAUCUACUCCUUGAUUAUUAAUAGCUUUGGAUGCAAUAUAUUCUACCUACAUCACUCUACCACCACCUACCCCCGAUCAUCCAUACCGACAAUUUUUCAUCCAAGCGGCUAAAAACUCAAAACACGCUACCUCUUUAGUACUUUUGGGAAUGUAUCCUAACUCAACUCAUGUAGUAUAAAUAUUAUACUAUAUAUAUAUAUAUAUAUAUAUAUAUAUAUAGAGCUAGGCUGGUAUACUAUCGGUAGCACGGAGGCCUUCGUGCUAUCAAGUUGUUUUCAAUGAUGCGGCUACUAUACUCUUAUGAGUAUAAAAUCCUUCAUACUCAUAAGUUGUUUUCGAUGAUGGAGCUUCCGAAUCGACGAUCCACUUCGUUAAAUAUGAUUUAGAGUAUUUGAAGCUUUUAGAAAAUAAAUUUCGUAAUUUUUUAAAAUCAUAAUAAAGUCCAUCAAGUGGGUAUGAAAUGAACAGUCGAAAUCAAACGACGUCCUAAAAAUGGAUGAUCGGAUCCUUCAAUUUAAGAUCGGAGUUAUUGAUCUUUAUCUAGGUAAUGAAUAAAAUUUUCUAUCAAAAAUUCAACUGAUUUCGAUUCUUUUACACCGUUAAACUACUAAGUAUCCCACACCGGUCAUUAAAAAUUGUCAAUUUUGUGACCGUUUGAUCUUAAGGUAAAUGAUGUCAAAAAAUUAUAAAUUUUGAUUUUUGGAAGUUUUAAAUACUCUAGAUAAUGUUUAAUGGUAUGGAUCGUCGAUUCGGAAGCUCUAUCAUCGAAAAUGACUUAUGAGUACGAGGGCGAUCGUACUCAUAAGAGUAUAGUAGCCGGACUAUAUAUAUAUAUAUAUAUAUAUAUGUNNNNNNNNNNNNNNNNNNNNNNNNNNNNNNNNNNNNNNNNNNNNNNNNNNNNNNNNNNNNNNNNNNNNNNNNNNNNNNNNNNNNNNNNNNNNNNNNNNNNNNNNNNNNNNNNNNNNNNNNNNNNNNNNNNNNNNNNNNNNNNNNNNNNNNNNNNNNNNNNNNNNNNNNNNNNNNNNNNNNNNNNNNNNNNNNNNNNNNNNNNNNNNNNNNNNNNNNNNNNNNNNNNNNNNNNNNNNNNNNNNNNNNNNNNNNNNNNNNNNNNNNNNNNNNNNNNNNNNNNNNNNNNNNNNNNNNNNNNNNNNNNNNNNNNNNNNNNNNNNNNNNNNNNNNNNNNNNNNNNNNNNNNNNNNNNNNNNNNNNNNNNNNNNNNNNNNNNNNNNNNNNNNNNNNNNNNNNNNNNNNNNNNNNNNNNNNNNNNNNNNNNNNNNNNNNNNNNNNNNNNNNNNNNNNNNNNNNNNNNNNNNNNNNNNNNNNNNNNNNNNNNNNNNNNNNNNNNNNNNNNNNNNNNNNNNNNNNNNNNNNNNNNNNNNNNNNNNNNNNNNNNNNNNNNNNNNNNNNNNNNNNNNNNNNNNNNNNNNNNNNNNNNNNNNNNNNNNNNNNNNNNNNNNNNNNNNNNNNNNNNNNNNNNNNNNNNNNNNNNNNNNNNNNNNNNNNNNNNNNNNNNNNNNNNNNNNNNNNNNNNNNNNNNNNNNNNNNNNNNNNNNNNNNNNNNNNNNNNNNNNNNNNNNNNNNNNNNNNNNNNNNNNNNNNNNNNNNNNNNNNNNNNNNNNNNNNNNNNNNNNNNNNNNNNNNNNNNNNNNNNNNNNNNNNNNNNNNNNNNNNNNNNNNNNNNNNNNNNNNNNNNNNNNNNNNNNNNNNNNNNNNNNNNNNNNNNNNNNNNNNNNNNNNNNNNNNNNNNNNNNNNNNNNNNNNNNNNNNNNNNNNNNNNNNNNNNNNNNNNNNNNNNNNNNNNNNNNNNNNNNNNNNNNNNNNNNNNNNNNNNNNNNNNNNNNNNNNNNNNNNNNNNNNNNNNNNNNNNNNNNNNNNNNNNNNNNNNNNNNNNNNNNNNNNNNNNNNNNNNNNNNNNNNNNNNNNNNNNNNNNNNNNNNNNNNNNNNNNNNNNNNNNNNNNNNNNNNNNNNNNNNNNNNNNNNNNNNNNNNNNNNNNNNNNNNNNNNNNNNNNNNNNNNNNNNNNNNNNNNNNNNNNNNNNNNNNNNNNNNNNNNNNNNNNNNNNNNNNNNNNNNNNNNNNNNNNNNNNNNNNNNNNNNNNNNNNNNNNNNNNNNNNNNNNNNNNNNNNNNNNNNNNNNNNNNNNNNNNNNNNNNNNNNNNNNNNNNNNNNNNNNNNNNNNNNNNNNNNNNNNNNNNNNNNNNNNNNNNNNNNNNNNNNNNNNNNNNNNNNNNNNNNNNNNNNNNNNNNNNNNNNNNNNNNNNNNNNNNNNNNNNNNNNNNNNNNNNNNNNNNNNNNNNNNNNNNNNNNNNNNNNNNNNNNNNNNNNNNNNNNNNNNNNNNNNNNNNNNNNNNNNNNNNNNNNNNNNNNNNNNNNNNNNNNNNNNNNNNNNNNNNNNNNNNNNNNNNNNNNNNNNNNNNNNNNNNNNNNNNNNNNNNNNNNNNNNNNNNNNNNNNNNNNNNNNNNNNNNNNNNNNNNNNNNNNNNNNNNNNNNNNNNNNNNNNNNNNNNNNNNNNNNNNNNNNNNNNNNNNNNNNNNNNNNNNNNNNNNNNNNNNNNNNNNNNNNNNNNNNNNNNNNNNNNNNNNNNNNNNNNNNNNNNNNNNNNNNNNNNNNNNNNNNNNNNNNNNNNNNNNNNNNNNNNNNNNNNNNNNNNNNNNNNNNNNNNNNNNNNNNNNNNNNNNNNNNNNNNNNNNNNNNNNNNNNNNNNNNNNNNNNNNNNNNNNNNNNNNNNNNNNNNNNNNNNNNNNNNNNNNNNNNNNNNNNNNNNNNNNNNNNNNNNNNNNNNNNNNNNNNNNNNNNNNNNNNNNNNNNNNNNNNNNNNNNNNNNNNNNNNNNNNNNNNNNNNNNNNNNNNNNNNNNNNNNNNNNNNNNNNNNNNNNNNNNNNNNNNNNNNNNNNNNNNNNNNNNNNNNNNNNNNNNNNNNNNNNNNNNNNNNNNNNNNNNNNNNNNNNNNNNNNNNNNNNNNNNNNNNNNNNNNNNNNNNNNNNNNNNNNNNNNNNNNNNNNNNNNNNNNNNNNNNNNNNNNNNNNNNNNNNNNNNNNNNNNNNNNNNNNNNNNNNNNNNNNNNNNNNNNNNNNNNNNNNNNNNNNNNNNNNNNNNNNNNNNNNNNNNNNNNNNNNNNNNNNNNNNNNNNNNNNNNNNNNNNNNNNNNNNNNNNNNNNNNNNNNNNNNNNNNNNNNNNNNNNNNNNNNNNNNNNNNNNNNNNNNNNNNNNNNNNNNNNNNNNNNNNNNNNNNNNNNNNNNNNNNNNNNNNNNNNNNNNNNNNNNNNNNNNNNNNNNNNNNNNNNNNNNNNNNNNNNNNNNNNNNNNNNNNNNNNNNNNNNNNNNNNNNNNNNNNNNNNNNNNNNNNNNNNNNNNNNNNNNNNNNNNNNNNNNNNNNNNNNNNNNNNNNNNNNNNNNNNNNNNNNNNNNNNNNNNNNNNNNNNNNNNNNNNNNNNNNNNNNNNNNNNNNNNNNNNNNNNNNNNNNNNNNNNNNNNNNNNNNNNNNNNNNNNNNNNNNNNNNNNNNNNNNNNNNNNNNNNNNNNNNNNNNNNNNNNNNNNNNNNNNNNNNNNNNNNNNNNNNNNNNNNNNNNNNNNNNNNNNNNNNNNNNNNNNNNNNNNNNNNNNNNNNNNNNNNNNNNNNNNNNNNNNNNNNNNNNNNNNNNNNNNNNNNNNNNNNNNNNNNNNNNNNNNNNNNNNNNNNNNNNNNNNNNNNNNNNNNNNNNNNNNNNNNNNNNNNNNNNNNNNNNNNNNNNNNNNNNNNNNNNNNNNNNNNNNNNNNNNNNNNNNNNNNNNUAUAUAUAUAUAUAUAUAUAUAUAUAUAUAUAUCUUCAAAUUAUAUCGAUCCGAACAUGAGCGAGUUGACUCUAACUUAUGUUCGGCUCGUUAAAAUUAAUUUCAAGCUAGAGAGUUGAAAAAUUCAGUUCGCAUUCGACUUGUUUAUUAAAUAAUGAAUUGAACCUGGGCUUAUUUUUUAUUCGAAUAUGAGCUAAUUUACAAACAGUGAGCUGAAUUGCCAACCCUACUAUUGCUUAUAAAAAAAAACUACAAAUGUUGAGAAAAAAAGAAUAUUUCUUAUUUAGAUAUUAGUUGUUGUCAGAGACAUCUAAUUUGUCUUCAUUCCUUAAAAUUUUGACCACAACAAAUUAGAAUGGUACGAAUUUUUUUCCGUACUUUACAGUUAUAUAUACAUUGUAUGGUGUGUUGAAGAUUGAAAUUUUAGAUUCAAUGAAUGACAGAUGAUAAGAAAUCCAAAAUUGAAAUCGGGGCAUCAGAUCAAGCUCAGACAAUUAUUUUUGGCCGCAUAAUUAACCAUCAAGUAAUAAUAGGAAAACUUUUUGUUAGUACCCAAAACAUUGGAGCAAAGGACAAAACAUUAGCAUUUACAUUUGCUAACUAAGUGGAGCCAUUUAUGAACACAAAUAGGAAAAUAAAAAAAUCACUCUAUUAAGAUCGUAAAACAAAUGAAUUUCAAAUUAAUAUGAACGGUAAAUUAAUGAAUUAUCUUACAACAGAAACACGAAUACCGUCUAAACUUUUACUUUACGGAUCAUAAAUAUAUAUAUAUAUAUAUAUAUAUAUAUAUAUAGAGCAAGGCUACUGUGCUAUUAGGAGCACAGCAGUCCUUGUGCUCUUAAUUUUCUAACCACCCAUCAUGUUUGAUGGGUGGUUAGAAUGAGAAAGAGAUGAGAUAUUGAGGAGAAAUUGGAUGUUUCAAUUUCUCAUUCUUAAAUUUCUCUCUCAAUAUCUCAUCCUUCUCUUAUUCUAACCACCCAUCAAACUUGAUGGAUGGUUAGAAAGUUAGGAGCACAAAGACUACUGUGCUCCUAAUAGUACAGUAGCCCUGCUUUUUAAUAUAUUGUCCAUAAAUAAUCUAUAAUAAAUCUUACAUUUAAGGACAUUUUAAAGAAUAACUAGUAAUACUUUAAAGUAUCGGUAAGAAUNUAUAUAUAUAUAUAUUUAUUUAUUUAUUUAUUUAUAUGAUAUUUCGUCGAAAAUAAAACUAUUCCUUAUUGUUAUAUUUUAUUCUGCGAUACAUUAAAAUUUUCAUAAAAUAUAUAAGAAAAAAAAAAGAUGCUAAGCGAUGAUAAAGUUAUUUUGGGAAAACAAAGUCCAAUUAAUCAAUUUGUCUCGCCGGAAUUGGCUGCCGACACUGUACAUUCGAGAGUACCUUCCAUGCAGCCGCUGCAUAUAACUGAUUCUGUCUCUGACACGUGGGACCCACGACUGUGGGGACCACGUGUCAGAUAAGUAAGCUUCGUAACCACCGUGACACUGAAAAAUGUUCAACCGCAGGCAAAAUUUAUACUAUCACACUUACACCACGUCAUCAAUAAUAAGCCAAUUGUAUUCCUUCUUUUCAAAUAAAAAUAUAACAAAAAUAUUUUUUUACAAUCAUGAUGGGACAUAUACCUCUAAAAUAAGACAUUUAAUUGAUUGAUUAUGCCACGUCACUAAUAUACUCGUUGCAUUCUAGAAUUUUUCCAGCCGCAGAGCAGUACUCCGUGUAUAUCUUGUAUGUAUCAUGUACAAUGUACCACACUUUAAUUAUUAUAAUAAGAAUAAUAACAAUUAUAGUGAUUAUUAUUUUAUAAAUUACAUUUUUUAAAAUUUACCAUUCAAGUGCGAAGUAUCCAUCAGUUUUAAAGAAUCUAUAUAUCACAGAAAAGGACAGCAUUUGAUUUAUAAAAACUUAAGUCCAAAUACGAUGAUUUUUUAUAUUUAUGUUUUCGGAGAACCUCAAAAAAAAAAAAAAAUAGAAAGCGAAUAUUUUAGUUUGCUUGUAUGAUGACAAGAGAUAAUGAAGAAUAAAAUAUAAUAACACAAAGAAAAAUUAUAUCAUUAAAUAGCCGAUGGAAAAAAAAAAAACAUUGUAUUUAAAAUUAUUUGCAAUGAAUAGAGUGUUAAAAUUGAUUUGAUAUUGAUACCAUACGCGAAAGGUCAUUUUUUAUAAAAAAAAAAUAUUUUAAUAUUUUAUAUUUAAUAAUUUAAGCUUUCUAAAUACGAUACAAUACAUUCGUUAAAUUAAUUCUGAUUUUAAAAUAUUUACAAUAAAAAAUAUGUGAAUGGUAUGUGAGAAAUACAUACACACCCAGUAAGUGCAUUUGGUAGUGGCCCAAAAAAGAUAAAGUGCACAAAGUAAGUAUCAUGGGUCAGUGUUAUUCCCCUUUGCUUUUAUAACCAACUUAGCUUUUUGCCACCGACCAUCCCUAGGACAAGUCGCAAAGAACUCGAUGGUUGGUAUCUGAGACCCAAAUUCGAAUUCUAAUUGAUUCAUAUUUUCAGCUAAAUUUAUUUCUAAAUGAAAUAAACAAAACGGACAGCAUACUACCUAUCUCUAAAAAAAAACUUUGUCUUUUGCCUUUUUUUUGUUUUUUGCUUUAGUUAUCCUAUCUUUUCUUAAUAAUAAAAUACUUCUUUUUGAAACUAUUAUUUUGGGCAUCCACGUAGGUAGGAUGGAAUUGCUGAUGGGGACAUUAAUGUGGCUUGAAUCUGGACAAAAAGUGAGGUUCAAUGUAGUGUAGGUUCAUUUGAGUAAUAUUAUUUUAAUAAAUGGACCAGUUUAGUGACACGAUUUAGCUAUAUAAAUAAGCAGGUGGUAUUACAGUAAAUUGUAGCAUUUGAUCCUCAAACUACGAGCUGUGUGAUAUUUUGAUACUCAAAUUUUACUUUAUUAUAAUUUCUGACUCGAAUUUUUAGAAUUACUAUUACAAUUAUGUUACACAAUUCAAUUUAGUAGAUUAAAAAAUUGACGUAUCGCUAAUGUAAAAGUGGGUUUGCAUUUUAAUUAUUUGUCUAUCAUCAAUCACAAUACCGUUACAUUACUUUCAUAUUAGUGAUACAUCAAUAUUUAGUCUACUAAAUUAAAGUAUUGAAUUUAAUUACAAUAAUUUUAUAAUAAAUUAAAGUUCGAGAAAGCAAACUUGCAAUUUAUUUUGGUAUCUAUUUACACAUAAAAUAGUCUUGAAAAUGUUUUAAAGACUAUAAAAAAUUGUUUAAGUACAAAAAAAAAUUGUCUUUUUUAGAAAACAAAUCAAUAUUAGAAAGUAAAUUAUUUCUCCUUUGUCUUUCUCUCUUUUGUCGCCUCUUUUUUGUCCUUCAAACUAAAUAUGUAUAUUUUAAAAAGAGUUAAUUUUAUACAGAUCCUUGCAAACAUGAUGAAUAACAAAUAUAUUCCCGCAAAAUUCAACUUUCAUAACUUAUCCCUACAAAAGUCGUAACGUAUUUAGAUAUAUCCUUGCUGUUAAUAGCCGUUAGAGAAAUCUAGUUAACCACGAUUAAAAUACUUAAUCAUGGUCAGUUAAUAAGGUAAAAUAAUAUUUUUAUCCUUUUUUCUCUUCCCCCUCCUCUUCUUCUUCCUCUUCCUUUUCCUCUUCCUUUUCCUUUCCCUCUCCUGCCACUUCUUCUUCCUCUUCUUCUUCGUAUCCUCAUUUUCCUCCUCCUUUUUUCCUCCUCCUUCUUUUUCUUCGUCGUUGUCAUCGAUGAUCCAAUCGUCGUCGCCGUCGUGGUGCCCGCGUGGGCCAUCGUCACGGGUGCCUCCGACAGCAUCAGCCGCGUCAUGACCCCGACAAGCUCUGCAACCCCGUUGGGUGCAAUCCUGACAAGCUCUGCAAGGUCACCGUCGCCGCCGCCGCCGCCGUCCGCUCCCACAGCCGGAAGAGAAAGAGGAAGAUGAUGAGGGCAAGGGCAAAAUAGUCAUUUCACAAUUCUACUGUUAAAAAAUUAACAGUUCUCUAACAGAUCCAAACCAGAGAGACAUAUCUGAAUACAUUAGGGCUUUUACAAGAAUAAUUUAUGAAAGUUGAACUUUAUAGGGAUAUAUCUGUUAUUCACCAUGUUUGCAGGAAACUGUAUGAAAUUAAUCCUUUUAAAAAUUAUAUUUUUCUUGAAACCUUAAAACGAAAGUGAACUCAUGGAUAGCAGUCCUCUUUUCUUACUUUGAGCUAAGUUUAUUUAUAUUUUCUUUAUCCUAGCUAGAAAUGUGAAGAACUAUUGGACUUCAAACUUGAAAUCUGAAUACCAAUCAUUAAGGGGCGUUUGGAUUGAUAAAUUUUUAGAUUUAACAUAAUUUAAAUACAGUGGUGUUUGAAUUUUUCUAAAAUAUAGUUUUUUUGUUGUUUGUUUUGAUAUAUUUCAUACAAUCUGAAAAUUAAAUCCAAUCAUUUCUUCUGUUUAUUUUAGCGUAAAUUGAUAUUGGUGAAAUUAAUUUUUUGAAUUUUAUUGUUUGUUUUGAUGUAAGUAAAUGAAUUCUGUUAUCUCUUAAAUAUAGUGGUAAACUUAACCUUACAAAAUUCAACCUAUUAAAUAAUUAAAUUUGUUAUUAUUAUUUGGAAGUUAUCUUAACUCAUUGUAAAAAAAAAAAAAACUUUAACCCAUUCUAAAGAAAGCAGAGUUUAGGUUUUAAUAUUUAAUAAUAAUUUUUUCCAAAAAAGUUGAGUAUGAUAGAGCUUAAGUUCGAUACUCUAGAGGAAAAAGUCAACAGUAACUAAAGUGGAGGUCUAAUAUAACUUGAGUUACAUUAUUUUUUUUUUAUUUACACCAAAACGAAUACUGAAAACGAUGGAACUUGAGUUCCACCCUUUUACUUACAUCUAAUUAACCAAACAACAUCUAAACCCUUUGCAACUUAUACUAAAAUCAAAUCAAAUCAAGUAGUAUUAAUUAAUAUGUGAUAGAAAAGGUUAUACUACAUAAUUCACUACUCUAUUUAAUAUUAUGUUAAAAAAAUAUAAAACAACCAUUAUUCUUCAGUAUCUUAAUAAUUUACCAAUCAAUAAUUUUUUUAGUAUUAUAUAAUAUAAUAUAUUCAUUAUAAUAUUUAAUUUAAAACUUUCAGGUCCAAAGUAAAACUUGGUUAAAAACUUAAAGUUCAGAAGAUUAUAGGAAUCCUCAUGUUCGAUUUUUUUUUUUUUUAUAUAUAUAUAAGUGCAAACAAGUCCUUGUAUGCAGCUAGUAGGAGCAUCUUAAAUUCUCAACUCCUAUAAUUUAUGUGGAGACGAUGGAUUCCCUCAUGAAAACAGAAAAAACGUGGGUUAAUUGGUUGAUGCAACCUCAUCUUAAUUUCUCUCUCUCUCUCUCAUGAAAACGACCCAUAUUUUAUCUUAUCGCAAACAAAUUGUGCAAAUAAUAAUAAUUUUUGGUGGAUGAUCUGGCGCAAAAGAAACGACAUAAUUUUUAUGAACCAUUCAUUUGACCCUUUUGUGAUAAUUAGACGAAUCCGAAAAGUGAGCCAAAAAUGGAUUGAGUUUUGCUCCUUUUAGUUACUUGAUCUCGAGUGAAGAGUAGAAGUAGUAAUUUUUCUACCACUUUUUCUGUUUGCUUUUAUUUGUAUUUUCUGUUUUGUUUACCUUUAAUAUUUUCCCAGGCUAUGUUGCCUCAACCCCUGUAGCCAAAUUUAUUUGCUAAAUGAAAACAGAUAGCGUGCUAUAUUUUUCUCAAAAAAUAAUAAUAAUAAUAGAAAAAAAAAGGAUUCGCUAUAGAUAAAUAUAUGGAACACGGACAUAUAUGAUACGCACGUACGAAGUGGUAUUUUUGGGAGCUCGAUCACCUUAGAAUUUGGUUCGAAUUUUUUAUUUUUCUUUUUUAUAAAAAAAGCAAAAGCUACGUACGGUCUAAAGUGAGAGCCACCAGUAUGUACGUGCAUGAUUCGAAAUUCCAUCGAAAAGAAGCAUUGCUUUUGCUAGAUUCGGUUCCUCGAUUUUCUUUAUCAAAAUAAUCUGAUAUACUAUAAAAUAUUCAAAUUAAUAUCAUUAUUUAAUUAUAAAUUUGUGUUUUUUGAUAGACUUAUUGACCGUCUACAUGCAUAAUUUCUAAUGAUAAUGUUUUAGUUUUAGAUAAUAAGAGCAUUUCAAAAAAUAUAUUCAUAUAUUUACCUGUGAUUUUGUUCCAUUAUUCAUUAAUGCAUCCUACCAUUUUAUUAUAAAAGUCUCAAAAAUAAAAAUUAUUUUUCUAUCAUGUUAAAAAAUCUACGAAAAUAUAAGUUCUAGGUGUUUAUUUUGAUCUUAUAUAUGAAUCAAAUAUUAUCUCCCUCUACACUCUUGCUUUUUUGAACUAUCGAAAUGUACAGUGAAUACAUUUUUACAUAAUUAUCUUUUAGAUAUCGAAAGCUUGAUGAAUGCAAUAAUUUCUCCUACAAUGGCAUCAAACUUUGUUAGACUCAUCAUGAAAUUUCGAGGCCAAGUACAAAUAAUUUUCCAACAAAACCAACAUCACACUUUCACAUAGUUUUUUUUUUUUUUUUUAGAGAGAUAGGUAAUAUGCUACCCACUUCGUUUAUUUUAUUUAAAAAUAAAUUUUGCUGAAAAUAUGAAUCAACUAGAAUUCGAACUUGAAAUCACGGGUACUAACCAUCAAACUUUUUACCAUUUGUUAUAGGGACAAUCGGCACACUUUCAUAUGGUUAAACACUCGAACUAAUCCAUAAUAGUUUCCGCAUGCGACAUUUCCUAAGUUGACCCAUCACCUUAAACGCAUCACAAAAGUGUUCUGGUAAAUUAAUAUAUAUUUUACACACACGUAGAACACACUCGACACCUGCACGUACUUAAUUACAUGAUACCACGAAUGUGAAAGCAUUAAUUAUAUGGAUGCCGAUUUGAGUCCAUCUCUCGAGCAUAUGCUUUUGUUGGCUUUGAUCAGUCAAAUUGUCUUUUCUCUUCUUUUUUUUUUAUUACAAAUUCGCAACAAGUGAUAGUAAGGCAGUGUUUGGUUCGUCGUAAAACCAUUCCGAAAAUUUUUUUUUUCGUUGAAAAAUGUAAAUCUAGUGUUUGUUUGCCCGUAAAAAUUUUUUUUUCGAAAAAUCUUUUUUACGGAUUGUGAGUAAAAGUAGAGUUUUCGUUUUCCGCUAGAUUCGAGCUGAAAACAAAAUAGGCACGGCGUUGGGCACUCCGCGCAGCGGAAGAAAUUCAUGCGGUCCACGAAGUCUGCUCCACCUCGUGGACCACAUGAGGACCUCUCUCUCUCCGACUCUCCAUAUAUAUAUAUAUAUAUAUAUAUAUAUAUAUAUAUANAUUAUAGUAAUUUAUUAUAUAAUAUAUUUUAAAUUAUAUAAUAUUUUAUUUAUAAAAAUAAAAUAUAAUAUUAAUAUAUAUGUAAUAUGAUAAUUAUUAUAUAUUAAUAAUAUAUAAUAUAUAAAAUAAAUAUAUUUGUAUAUAUAUAUAUAUAUAUAUAAUAAUUUUUUAUUUAUAAUUUUUUUUUCUUUCUUUUAUUUUUACGUUCAACUAAUCAACCUUUACCGAAAAUUAUUUUUCUUUCCUACGAAUCAAACACUAACGAUGUAAAAAAAUUUUUCCUCCGAAAAUUUUUUUCUACCGAAAUUUUUUUCCACAGUUUUACGUGGAACCAAACACACCCUAAACUGCAAAAAUAACUGUUGAGCUCUAGCGCGUGUUGCGUGUUGCUAACAACUCUGGAGGGUAUCUUGGGAUUUUGGAUUUAAGUUACAUUUACUAAUAAAAAAUAUAAUUAUUUAAUGCACACACGAUUUUUACUUCAAAAAAAAUUUUAAUUCUUAAGGUGGGAGUUUGAUCCGAACUCUAUAGUACUCCCCCCCCCCCCCCCCCCCCCGUCCAAAAAAAAAAAAAAAAAAAAAAAAAUCUCUUGUCUUCUCAGAUAAUUAAUUAUAUAGUAUAUUAGAAAUGGGUCUUAAAACUAGCUACUUCUUGGAAAAAAGAAAGGGGGGGGGGCAAAGUAAAAGCUAAAAGACAAGUUAGAACUAAUGGCCCCAAAGAUUGGCACAAAAUCACAUGGUGGGUGUUUCCAUCAGCAGACAAAAAGAUUAACAAGAAAAUUCAUCAUUUAAAAUUUUGGUGAUAGAAAAGUAUAGAGAAAUGCUUGGGGGACCCAUUUUUAGGUGCCCCAUUAUAUUAUUGAUGAAUUAACUUCUACAUAUGUAUAUAUAUUAUAUAUGUAUGUAUGUAUGUAUGUAUGUAUGUAUGUAUGUAUGUAUUUAUGGAGGAAUUAGGGCUUAAAAUUUAAGGUACAAUGAUUGCACUUAGAAUUUAACAUUUAAAAUUUAGUAAUUAAUAAUUAUAAUGUAAUGAUGGUAUAUUGUCACAUUAUCAAUAAUAUUGCAGGAUGUAUUGUAGUAGCACUUGAAGGCCCACUUUUUCAUGUAUUUGUAUGGAUCAUAUCUUCCUAAUAAUUACAUAUUAAUUAUCUGUUCUACAUCUAGUAUUUUAUUUUUUAAACUUUAAUUUAUUAUUCUUUAGUCUUAAACAAGAAAAUGGGCUCGUUGUAUCGAUCUAAGUUUUACCAUUAUUUUUCGCUCUUAAAUAAUGUGAUUAAGCACAAGGAAUUACUCGAGUGGUACGAAAUGGUUUGACGGAUAUACAGUAAGAAAGUGAAGACAUAAUAAAUCAAAGUUUGACGGAUAGUAAGAAAACUAAGACAUGAUAAAUCAAAGUUUGACGACUAAAUGUGCAACCGACACAAUAUUUUAAUAUAUACAUGUACAGGAUCAUCAUACUUCACCAUUACAAUAUUAAACCAAAAGUGAAACUAUGUAUAGCUUUGUCCUCAUUUUAACUUUGUAGCCGAGUGUAGGUGGGCAAUACCAUCAAUAGGUUUCAUGAGCUUUCGUUCUCCGCAUAACUGUAACGCAAUUCCACCUAUAGUUUUCAUGUCUCUUAAUCACAAAGAAGUCGAUCCUCAGAAGCCCUUGCAAGCAAAUAAUGUGAAAUGACAUCUUUGGAACACUUCAAAUUAUUUGAAGCAUCGUCCAAUUUAUAAUAUCAUUAAUUAGAAGGAGCACCUUCAAUUAUCCUCCUGCAGAAACACACAAAAACGUGCAUCUUAAUUAAAGUAUACUAAAUUUUGCGUAAUUCGCGGCAUUUUUAGCUACUGGUGACUACAUUUUGAUCGAGCGAAAGCGGUGUUUUCGGAAUUACUCGACUUGUCGAUCGGGCGGGUUAAGUUCCACUAAAAUCAAAGUUUGAUAGUACUUCUUUAUCUUUCUUAAAGGGUAUUGUUAGGCUGUCGACGUUAUGUAUUUGCGUGGCCUGUUUUUCAAAAUAGUGGAGAAUUAUUAGAGAGUCAAACUCAACUUAUGAAACAAUUAUUGUACUUUAAAAGUUCAAACUGAUAAAAAACGAUAUUUAAAUAUUUUUACAUUUAUUUUUUUUUUUUUUAUGUCUGGACUCGAGACUUUUUGUAGUUUUACGGUUUAAACUGAUAGAAAAUAAUGUUUAAAUAUUUUUAUUUUGAACAUUUUUUCUCACGUGUGUGGACUUGAGACUUUUUGUAGGCCCGUGACAUGGACUUAUUUUUUAGAAUAGUAGAGAAUUAUUAGAGAGUCGAAUUCAGGUUGUGAAACGAUCAUUGUACUCUAUCAAGUACUAGAUCUAAAAGUUUAAGUUGAUAAAAAAUAGUGUUUAAAUAUUUUUAUAUUUAACACUUUUCCUUAUGUCUGAACUCGAGACUUUUUGUAGGUCCACAGUUUAAGUUGAUAAAAAAUAAUAUUUAAAUAUUUUUAUAUUUAACAUUUUUUCUUAAGUAUAGGCUUGAAACUUUUUAUAGGUUUAUGACAUAGACUUGAAUUAAAUGGGAAAAAAUUAUUAAAAAAAUUAAUAAUGCUACGAGCCAUACAUUAUUGGAACUCAAAACCUUCUAUUUUGAUAUCAUAUGAAACAAUCGUUUAUACUCCAAAAACUUAAACUGAUAAAAAAUAAUAUCUAAAUAUUUUUAUAUUUAACAAAGCUGUGUUUAUGGAAUGAAAAUAAGUGCGAGAGCUAGCUUUAAACCAUAAACUAUAGAUAUAUAGUUUGAAUUUUCUAUUUUUAGACAUUGAGUUUUACAUGAUUAGUUGAUUAAAAUAUUUUAAUCAAAGAGGGUGAUCAUAAGUUCCGAAAUGAUCCAAAUUUAUAUCAGUUUGGAAGUAACAGUGGCAAGAUCGAAAUAAUCAAAAUUUAAUUGACUUGUGUUCAACAAGUACUAAAAAAAAAUAAAAAUUGAGAUAAAAUAUGAGAUUAAAUAUCAUUGUAUUCAAAUACAUGAUAAACCGAAUUAAAUUCGCGUUUUUGAUCUAGUGUACUUUUGAAAUUACUUGGGUAUGUAUAAUAUCUCCACUCAUAUAGUGGAGGUGCUGUAUAAUGUGCAUGGUGAUGAAGCACGCACCCGCGUGAUUUUUAUGCGGGAAUUAAGUCGAUCUAUGCGAGAAAUUAGGUCAACUAACCAAAGAAGCCAUGGUAGAUGAUGAACUUAACUUUUGUACCGACUGUUCCUAGAGCAAGUGGCAAAAGGCUCGACGGUUGGUAUCUGAGGCCUCAAGUUCGAAUUCUAGUUGAUUUACAUUUCCAGCUAAGUUUGUUUCUAAAUGAAAUAAACGAAAGAGAUAGCGUGCUACCUAUCUCUUAAAAAAAAAAAAAACUUUUGUUGCAAUAGUAGGUUCGUGAGAACACCUAACCAUAUUUUGCUCAGUACAUUUUUUUUCCACAAAAAAAAAGUUGGAAAUUAGUGUGACUUUGGGUUCACGAGUCACCAUCGAAAAUUCCUUUGGUCCCCUCUAUAUAUAAAUAUAUAUAUAUAUAUAUAUAAAAGUUGGACUGGGCUACUAUUAAUAGUAAAAUCUCAUUGUUGCUAUCAGUUUUUUAGUCUUUGGAUCAACUUUUUUUCAUUAUUUCUAACAAUUGGAUUAAAUACUAUAACCCAGUGGGGACCACUCAACUCUAACCGACUAACAUCAUCCUAACCCUACAAUUUUUCAUCCAAGGAUUAAAAACUUGAUAGCAAAAAGAGUGUUUUACUAUUAAUAGUAUUCCAACCUAAUUCUAUAUAUAUAUAUAUAUAUAUAUAUAUAUAUAAGUAAUAGGAGCCACCGAGGCUAACUACAAAAAUCCUUUUGGGGGCGCUUCAAAGGUCAAAAUGUAUAGUAUCAGUAAACUCCCACAAAAGAUAUGUCCAUUGUAAACCCUUUUUCAGAUAAAUUAAACUUUUUUUUUUUUUGAGAGAUAGGUAGCACGCUACCCGUUUCGUUUUAUUUCAUUUAGAAAUAAACUUAACUGUAAAUUUGAAUCAACUAGGAUUCGAACUUGGAUCUCGGGCAUCAACUACCAAACCCGUUGCCACUUACUCUAGGGACGGUCGGUCAGAUAAAUUAAACUACUAUCAGUAAAUUUGUUACAGUCACGAAAAACAUGAUGGAAUUAUGCUGCAUUUUUUGUAUUAAUGUGUGUAUUUGCUACUCGUGUCGUGUUUAAUUUUCUGUAGAACCUUUUCAUCUAUCUAUUAUAAUUUAGGUUAGGGGCAUCGAAUUUUGAUGGCAUUUAGUUGGGUUCAGAUUUUAAUUCUAUAUCCGCGUGUUGACCGAGUUCGGACCCGGUGAUCAGAACCUGAUCCAAAUUCGAAAUUUAACAAACUUAAUAAAAAAAAAAGAAUAGCCAAAUUACUAGACAACAUAUAAGUUUUACAAAUAAAAUUACAGGGUACCAACUGAUCAUCGCUAGCGUGAGUGACAAAAAAUUUAAUGGUCGAUACCAAAGAUUCUAAAUCUAAAGUCUAAUUAUUUUAUAUUUUUAGCUAAGCUCAUUUGUAAAAUAAAUAAACAAAGUAGUAACAUACUACUAUAUAUUCUCUCGAAAUUACUAGUACCAACAUGAAAAUACACUAUUGUACAUGACUCACGUCAUGUUUCAUAUAAGAGCAAUGCUAUCUACCGUCCAUAUAUAGCACAGUUAGCUAGGAGCUUAGGGUGCGUUUGGUUCGCGCUAUCUUUUAAAAAUUUCUAGUAAUUCAAUGGGAAUAAAAAAAUAUGACGGUGUUUGGCUAAACGCAUUAAAUAAUCUAGUUGGUAAUAUUAGAUUCACUUGGGAAUAAGAUUCACCCCAAAGUACUAAGCUCAUUCCCUUGAGAGAUGGUGGGUAUCCUCAUAUAAAUGGAUUGGGAUAAUCAUAAUAUGUCUAAUCUCUUUCUUUCUUCUUACCCGCCGGGUAAUUGAUAUUAUUUUUCUUUACACUCUGACCUUAUAUUUCUCUCUAAACUUAUUUUUCUCUCUAAAAUUCAACUUUUUUUUUCUCUCUCUCUCUCUCUUUCUAAAAUUUCAACUCUUUCACUCCCUCUAGUUUCGACUAUAUUUUUCUUUCUAUUUUUUUAAUUAUGCUCUCUCUCUCUAACUUAUACUCUCUUUUUUUUUUCUAAAAAGAUGUUGAAACUUUUGGUAACAUUAUCUAAAAUUAAAUAAAUAAAUAAAUAAAUAAAUUGUAUAUUUUUUGUAAUAUUAAAUAACAUGGCUAAUUAAUAUUACCGUGCGAACCAAACACAGAAAUUCCACAUUCUUAAUAAUAGGAUGAAUAGAAAUAAGAUUCUCGGAUAUCUUUUAUUCCUAGUAAUCUUUCAUAGUGCGAACCAAACGCAUCCUUAAUGGUAAGUACACGUGCUAAGUUCAAAAUCUAAUUGAUUCACAUUUCUAACUAAAUUUAUUUUUUUUAAAAAAAGAAAUAAAGUAAACAACUUGCUUCAUUUUUAAAAAAAAAAAAAAAAGAAGCAAUGCUACUUGUACACCCGAAAUAUCCAAAAACCUUUUUUUCCCCUUAUUAGUCUGAUUAUAUUUUUUUACUAGAUUCUUUUUUUAAGAUUUUGUACAAUCUAAGAUGAAAAAGACAAAAUUAUACCUGAGUGGAAGCUGUGCAAGGAGCAUUGUCUUGCAUAUAAGGAUGCAUAUAUAGUGAUUUGACAAUAGUGUGCAUAGAUUCUUGUUUAGGAUCAUCAUGUACAUGAAGGAGUCGAACACUUACAUACACCUACACAUGAAAGGGAGGACUCAUAGCCAUCCAUGCAUUAUCUCCCUUUUCGACACCACCACUUUGGAUCGCCAAAAAAACAGAACUUGUGCUGGUGCAUGAAUAUGUUGCUUGGUUUGAAAACAUGCAAAACGUAUUGUGCAAAAUUAUUUCGACUCAUCAUUACAAGGUAAAAGUAUUUUCCUCGUCAAAAAGUAAAGGUUAAAGCAUUGGCCAUGGAUCGACGCCACCUCUACACUCAAAAAAGUAUUUGUUAUGGAUCCACGCCGCCACUACACGCUCAAAAGUUGAUGUUUAUAUACAUAAAUACCUCGCAUCUUCACUGUUCCCCGGUCAACCUUUUCAUACUUUUCCUAACAUUUUUCUCUUUUUUUUUUUUUUUUUUUUGAUGUUUGCUUAAAUUUUAAACUUUUAAAUGACGAAAGCAUAAGAUAUAUACCUAAAAGUUAGAUGGCCAAUUUGUAUAAAAAAGGGUAAACUUUAAAUACCCCUUGUGGUUUCAUAUUUUCUCACUUUAGUACCAUGUGGUUUAAAGUGUAUCAAGUUAGCUCCUAUAGUUUCGCAUUUUCUUAUUUUAAUACCCUGUGGUUUAAAGUGUAUCAAAUUAGUACCCUGUGGUUUUAUUUUUCUGUUUUUAUUAUCCAUUUCACUAAUUUUUUUUCGUUAAAUUAGUGACAAAGUUAAAAUUAAAGGAUACUAAAGUUAAUAUCGAUAAACCUAGGUAGAGUAUCUGACGUUUUUUGUAUAUAAUUUAACGAAAUAUUAACAAAAGAAAAAAAAUCAAUGACAAAUUAAAACUAAAGGGUACUAAAAUAAAUAUUCGAUAAACCUAGGCAAUGUAUUUGAAGUUUUUUGCAUAUAAUUUAACGAAAUAUUAACAGAGGAGCCGAUGAAAAGAGAAAAAAUGAAACCACAUGGUACUAAAUUGAUGCACUCUAAACCAUAGGGUACUAAAAUGAGAAAGUGCUAAACCACAGCAUACUAAAUUGAUACACUUUAAACCACAGAAUACUAAAGUGAAAAAAAUAUGAAAUCACCGACCGUCCCUAGCGCAAGUGACAAAAGGGCUUGGUGGCUGGUACCCAAGACCCAAGUUCGAACCCUAGUUGAUUCAUAUUUCCAGCUAAGUUUAUUUCUAAAUGAAAUAAACGAAGCAGCUAGCAUGUUAUCUUUCUCUCUCAAAAAAAAAAUGUGAAAUCACAAGGGUGGUAUUUGAAGUUUGGAGAUUUUGUGAAGAUAGGCCAUCUCUUUGAAUUUUACAGAUUCGGACCAAAUUUUUAAACAACUGAACAAAAUACUCUUAUUUUUUUUCUCUCUCGUUCUUUUUGCUCUCUCCGACCUUUCUUCACUGUCUCCAUGGCCCUCCACGAUACUAACGAGCGCAGCAUCACAUCCUCUUCCUCCGCCACCGCCUUUGCGGCCCUCUGCGACGGUAACGAGGACAUCGCCGCGUCCUCUUUCUCCGCCUUCGCCGAUGCAAGCACUGACGCCACUACAACAAGAAUGAUGUAUAUCGACACUUUUAAAUGUCUGUACAGAUAAAAAAAAAUGCUGCUGGUUAAAUUACCGAUACUUUUUAAAAGUGCAUGUUGCUAUAUGUGAGGUCGCUAUAUAUGGGGCCGCCUUAAUGUUUGACACCCACUCUUCCAGCAACCUGUGGUGGAGGGACAUUUAGCGAUCGUAGCCCUUUAUGGACCCUACGAGAUCUACACGAUCAAACUCGAUCCAGCCGCCGGAACCCUACCUCAUUGGCUGCAGCGGCGGAGGAAGAGAAUGGGAGAUAAUGAUCAAUUUUUCUUUUUCUUUUUUUCCUUUUCUAUUUGUAAUUGGGCCAAGUAGGCUGGGUGGGAUUGGUUGAGUAGCUUUUUAUUUUUGAUUAGAUUAGGCUUUAUAUUUAGGCUUUAGUAGAUUUUUUUAAAAAGUUUUAGCAUAAAUGGGACGCUUAUAUAAAAGUGUCUCAAAAAUAUGUCCCUAUAAUCUAAUUCUGGCACUAGAGGAGGAAGAGGAUUCGGAGUGAGCGCAAGUGAGAGCGGAGCAAAUGGAGGCAAUGAGGUUGUGGUCUUGCCAGUGCUCGCUGUCGCCCAUGAGGGUGAGGAUAAAAAUCACACUCUUCGAAAGCACCCUCGCCGGAAGCGCUUUUUGGAGAAACGUGGGCGCGUCUUCGUCCUCACUCUCAUGGGCGACAGCAAGCACUGUCUGGGCCACGAUCUGAUCGCCUCUGUCCAUCUUUUUCAAUUUUACAGAUUCAGACCGGAUAUCCAAUGUACCUCUAUAAACGGUAAUAGUAAAAAUAUUAUUAUCUAGAAAAUGUAUUAGAUAAGAAAGAAUCGAAUCAGAAUCCUUUCCGAUUCAAAUGAUUUUACUGUUACGUGCUCACACCGACACACGUGACGCUGCUAUGUAACAUCAAAAACAUAUUAAUUGCGAUCUUUCUCUAAAGUUUAGAUGAAAUAUUGUUUAUAGGUCCCUAAAAGAAACUUUACUUCUCACCUCACUUAAACCGAUCACACAAAUUAAAAACUAUGCAUGGAUGUAGCUAAUACAAGGGGGAAGCACGAUCUAUCAUGCGCAAUAACUUAAUGUAGAUAAUAUUAGUGAACAUCGGCUCGUUUCAUGCCCUCUAGGACUUUUUCUGCUUGUAGUAUAUAUAUAUAUAUAUUCAUAUAUAUAUAUAUAUAUAUAUAUAUAUAUAUAUAUAUUUUUUGAGCCCGGUUGUCUUACGCUGUCAGUUUAGUAGCUUUAUCAUUUAAAUAUACAUGAAAGGGGGUAGCAUGCUACGUGUUUCUCAAAAAAAAAAAAAAAAAAAAUGACAGAUAAAAAGAUUUAGAGAGUUUUGUUUUUAAAAAAAAAAGUACACAAUAUGCAUUGUGUCAUUUUGAUUACUAUUUUGUCUUUUAAUUGCCCUUCCUUUUAAAUAACCCCCUGUUUACACUCUCCAAAUGUUGUCAUAUUUAUGGGUUAAUUUUGUUUAUUACAACAUUUCUGCAAUUAAAUUUGUACAUUAUAUUAAUAUAAUAAUUAAAUCUCCAACUCCUAGUCCUAUCUAGCUUUCGCAUUCAUUAAUUAUGCACAUGCCUAAAAUAUGAAAUAUAUUUCAAAAAUAAUAAGCGUAGAAAUUGAAUUCGAGAUCUCUUACAAAUGAAAGGGCUUAAUUGUAGUGAGACGCACACUUAUUCCUACUCGUUUGUCACUACUUUCUUUUACUAUAUAAGUUCAUGAAACACGCACAUUGACUAGUGUGAACUAAUGGAAAUUUUUAUUUGUUUGGUCUUCAUCAUGUUGCUAAAAGUUCCGAGUAGCGAUCUUCUAAGAAGAGUCGCAAAUGAGAAAAAUCAACAAAUAUACCAGAAUAGAAAGCAACCCGAAGAUGGAUAUUCACAGGCGGAAAUUACUCUAGCUAGUAAUUCCAAAAUAGUAUAAGCCUACACAUACAUCAAAUUGUAGUUUAAAAUGUUCGUAUGAAUCAAUUUUACGUGCAUAACAGGAGGAGAUUAGUUUAACUUCUUAAAUUUUAAAGAUAACAGCUUAUAUGGACAUCAACUUCGAUAAGCUAACCACAGACUAAUUACUAUUGUGUGUAAAACUGAUCCAUCAAUAAUAUUCUGAGUUACAAUUUGAGAUGCAUCUAACGUUACUCUUUCCUACAUCUGUCUUGAUAUGUAAACUUCUUUGGAGCAUUUAAAUUCUAAGUGUUCUACCUACCAAUCUAAGUCAACAUUAAUUGAGAGGGGCAAGGGGGGACUUUUUUUUUUUUGGGAGCAGUAUAAAGGACAAGUAUUGGGUGAAGUUAAAGGUUAAUUAAUAAAAGUUUACAUUUUUUUGUGAGCCCAAAUUAAGCAUAUAUACACAGGUUUGUGUUUAACCAAGCACAAGUAUUAGGUGAAAAGAUUAGUUAAUUAAUUAAUAAGCCUUCUCAAGAACUCAAUAAGGAUCGAUUUCAUUUCAAACUUUAAUGAACCUGUUUAUUUACAAGAUCUAACCAAGUUUACUCCAACCUCAACUCUUGAAACUGGACCUGAGCUUGAAUCUACUAAUGUAAAUGUUCGAAUAUAUAUAUAUAUAUAUAUAUAUAUAUAUAUAUAUAUAUAUAUAUUGAAGUUUACUAUUUCCGCUCAUCCUUGUUGAAUAUUUUAGCAUCUCUUGCUCUAGUACCAUAUGGAAUAACCGUUCUUUUAUAAAGUAACUAGUAUCAAGUCAUACUCAAUAUUUUUUUUUAAAAUUGUAACUAUAAUAUUGGGAAUGAAAAGUGCUGAUGACCCUAUAGAAAAUUCAUAAGGCAAGAGAUUUGAUAAUUCAAGUUUUUACAGCAAAAAAAAAAAAAAAAAAAAAAAAAAAAGCUCAAAUGUCCAAUACAACAAAACUUACAUGUAGAAACAAUUUUAAGUUGCCCCAAGCAAUUAAAAGGCAUAUUUUCUUGGGCCCCUCUACUUGAAACAUGUUGGGCCUAUGUUUUUGGCUGUGUGAUUUUCUUACUCUAGAGCUCAAGAACAUGUUCAACAUUCUUAAAUACCAUUUUUUCACUCUAAACCUGAUUCUAUGGUUGAAUCAUUUGAUUUACCCAAAACUAGGGUAAAAUACUUUAGUUACGAUAUGUAGACGCAGGCCCUCACAUCGAAUAAAAUAGUAUCAUUCAUAGGACAUAGACCUGACCGAACGCCGGGUCAUAUCGGAUCAGAUUUAUCUUCAGGCCCAGAAUUUUGCGCCGAGACGAAUAAUAAAACUAUAGGCGACGGCCGAGUCAAUCAAAGAAAAGGCGAGCCUGGUCCUAACACCCAGAUAUUUUUCAGCUCUCUUAGUCGACCAAUCGAGCUGGGCUGGGCCCAAUCACAAAAGAUUAGGCCAAAUGGGUCGGGCAAAUUUUGCGCCAAAUGGGCCAUUUGUUGACGUGUCGUAGCUCACGUCCAUUGGGCGGACCUUUAGACAAGGUUUUUCUUGAGCUUUCUUAGUUUUUUUUUUAGAGAGAAAGAUAGUAAUAUAGUAUACUAUUCGAUUUGUUUAUUUUUUAAAAAAUUAAAUUUAAUUAAAAAUAUAAAUUACUAGAAUUCGAAUUUGGGACCACAGGUAUCAACCACCAAACCCUUUGCCACUUGCGCUUUAGACGGUCACUAGUUUUGUAUGCUUUUUAAUUGAUAAAUUGUAUGCUUGGUCCUCAAACUUUCCUAAAAAAGUUUUAUUUUCAUUCAUAAUUCUUUAUUUUUUUAAAAAAAAAAGUCAUGCAACACAUUAAACUUGUAUGAAGGUUUAUACAGAUCGUUCCGUAGGAUCGAUGGCAUACCUAACGUGGCUAGUUGCAAAGCAUGAGUUUUUAAAAUUUUUUCAUGUCAAAUUUUAUUUGCUGUUGAAAUUUUAAAAUGUUUAUACAACACCUUAUCCACUUAAAAAGUUUUACCAAUUAAAGUGAACAAAUAUUAUACUUAGGAAAUAACAAAAAUUUAUUAACCAGCAAAUUUUGGUUAAAAUAAAACACGACAUUCCACCAAAAAAGGAGAGCCUGUUUAGUUUUUGAGAAAAGCUACCACUUUUGGUAAAAAAAAAAAAGAAGAAAUAUUUGGACACCAUUUAAAGAUAAACUUAUAAAAUUUAUAUAUAUAAUAGAAACAGUGUGAUAUACCCAACAUAUAUACGUGUAUGUGUGUGUGUGUCACUUUUACCAUCACAUACUAUUUCUCAUUAUCCAAAAACCAACUAAUAGGAUUCAAGUAAAAAAAAAAAGAAAAAGAAAACUGAAUUCUCAGCCACUUAUUUUUUUUCUCAGAGGCAAAACCGUAAAUUCACUCAAACUCAGCUUUCAAAAAUGUAAAAUCAUAAAACUAAGUGCAUACCUAUUUUAUCAAAAAUGGAGCAGGAUAAAAUUAAUUUCAAAAGUCCAUUUCUGCAGUUUAGUUCGACGUAAAUUAAUUAAACAUACUCAUAACUUCAUUUGUCUAAUAAUAAAUUUUAUUAUAAAAUAUAAGUAAAGUUAAUUACAAAAGAAAAAAUAGAUAAUAUAAUAAAAAUUAACUAUUAUUUUGCUUUUACACCCUCUAAUAUACUAGUCUUAUAAUUUUUAAUAAAAUAAAUAUAAGAUAAUUUUAUAAAAUUUAGUUUUAAUAAAUGUUAUUUUCAAUACGACAAUUAUUUACGGACAAAUAGAUAUGCCCUCACGAUGAAAUUAUCACGCCACUCGUUCUCAGCGAGGGCACAAUAGUCAAUUCACCUGCUAAACGACGUCAUGUCCAUGCCAAACGGAUGCUUUGAGGGCAAAAUCGUAAAGUUAAGCGACAAUCAUUACGCCCGCACGACCACACAUUCGCCCCGAGGGUAAAAUCGUAAAUUGGCCGGAUAAACGGGGCCCAUUCGACACGGUCGGGAAGGGGGCGCCCGUGCGACGGAUUUAGGUUUCCGUUUUUUAUAAGUAACAGGGGAGGCGCGCACGUUAGCAAGCGAACCCCCCGAGGCUCCACUCUCUCUCUCUCUCUCUCUCUCUCUCUCUCGCUCGCUCUUCCUCACCCCUUCUCUCUCUCCCUCUCUCUAUAUAAAACCCUCCAAUGGAUAGCCGCCACUAAACCCCAAGCUCGGAUCCUCUCCACCACGCCUCUCUCCGCCGCCGCCGCCGCCGCCAUCUUCGCCGCCGUCGCCGCCUCCGGAGAAGAGGGAGAGAGGCUCGGGGGAUGGAGGAGGCCGCGCUCUGAUCCAGCUUCGCACGAGAUCCGAUACCCUCAUUCGCCCCGGCCGGCGAAGACGACGGAGACGAUUUUGGUGAGGAUCGCGGCACCUAGGGUUUAGUUUAGUUUUAGAGGGGGGAGGGAGCGGGGCGGGGGGGAUUCGUCUAGGGUUUUUUUUAUCGUUUUGUGAUGGCGUCGGAGGAUGUGGUGGGGAAGAGGACGGGGGAGUCGGCGGUGAACACGAUCGUGAACCUGGCGGAGGAGGCGAAGCUCGCGAGGGAGGGCGUGAAGGCCCCCGGCCACGCCGUCCUCAGCAUCUGCAAGUCCCUCGUCGCCGGCGGCGUCGCCGGUGGAGUGUGAGCUCUCCGAUCCCCCUUCCCAUUUCCUCGAUCUUUGCUUCUUAUGUUUCCCCGAUUAUUUCGGUUUUGAAUCCUCUCUUUUGAUGCAGAGCUUGUGACUUGUAUUGAUUUUAUGCGUAACCAACCCUAACCGAAACUUGAUGCUUCUAUGCAGAUGACUUGUUAAUGUAUUUGUUUAUAGAAAUGCCAGUGUCUAUAGGGAUAUUUUGUUAACCUGAUGCGCAAUUUUUUGCAUAUAUUGACUGUGUCAGAGACAACCUCAUUGUAGGAGCGGAAAUAAUUGGCCAUGCUGUGGUAUUUUGAUGUCAUGCAACAUGGAGUCAAGCUUAUUUUAAUCUAUUUUUGGUGUUCGCGUCAAUAUUCUGGGUUGUUGUGACUAUGUCAUUAAGUACAAUUAAUUAGAAUUAAUGGAUGUGCCUGUACUGAUGGUUGUGCCUUACUUGUGGCUGAGAUGUAGAUGAAUAAUUUUGCUGUGCAUAGAUGGCUGUACUGUAUUUGUGGGUGGUAUGUAGAUGAAUAAUUUUGGCGAUUUGUGAAACUAAUUUGUUAAAGUUGAUUCGGGAAUCAAAUGGAUGUCUCCCGCUGUAAUUGGGGCGACUAGCUUGACACAAUCCAUACUCUCUGCAAAGGUCCCACAUAAUGCCAAAGCGUAUGAUAUUCAAUGCACAAAGUUUUAGAUAUUCAAUGUACAUACAAUCAAGUUUAUUAUGACUGACUCGGUCGAAACUAAAGUAACCCAAACUAGAUUCCUUUGGCUGCAAAAAUAUUACAGGUUUUGAAAGCCCUAAAUUUACGCCUUAUAUUUCCUUAAAAUUGGUGAUUUCUGAUCCAUGCGCCAUCAAAAAGAGGAAGAGGAAGUCUAAAUGACAUCAUCAAAUGUCAUUUAGAAAGAUAUAUGUCUAGGGGAGGAUAUAGCUCACAAUAGGAUUGUGUGGCUACAACUAAUAUGACCGUCAUGUACAACUUCUGAGGAUUUAUAUUGCGGUAUCGCCAACCCUAAUAUUAUGGGAUGAGUAACUGAGACAUUCUUGAUGUCUUGUUUGAUUGACUAUGAAACUAUGAAUAUUAGGUGUUCUCAUUGUCUCGUGUGCCAUUGCUUCUGUUUGUUUCUGCCUUCUACCAUACAAAUAUCUCAUGAUAUGGUGUUCUUCAUGCAGAUCGCGUACUGCUGUUGCUCCUCUUGAACGGUUGAAAAUCUUGCUCCAGGUAAAGUUGCGAGUUCUUAGGAUAUUAAAGUUGCCUUGUGUUCUAUUCCCGUUCCUUAAAUUGUAAAAAUUGCAGGCUAUUCAUUUUAGCAACUUGUAGGGUGCGUAUCAGCAUAGACAACUCUAUUUCGAUGUAUUGUUAGGUGAUAAUGUGACAUGGGAUUGUCCUUGGCGUAAGAGACAUUAGAUCUAGGUUGUUAAAGUACCAACAGGCAUGACUGCUGCCUUUCGUUCAAGUUUCGGCAAUCUAAUAUUUGUUUACCGGUUGUGUUGUUGUACACGCAGUAUUGGAUGGACUUUUUAUGAUCAUAUGACACUAUUAAUCGAUCUUAAACUCUAAACCUUAAACUUAGUCAAUGAGAUUAUAAUCUUCUUGCUAUUGUUCGUAACAGUUUGUUUAAUGCUAUAUUAUUGCAUUGUUAGGAAAUAACAAAUUGCAUAUCUGCAUGUAGAAACCCCCUUUCUAUCCAUUUUUGUUCUUUCAUUACUGGCAUUACCUUGAGUUCUGAGCUUAAUAGUGAGGUUCUGUGAUUGAAUGAAGGUAUUUGUUUUGUAAAAUUUGCUCCGUUGCUUUGUAGUGUUGCUAUAUCGUAGAGAGCUUUAGCAUUAUUUUGCAUUAUUGUAUUUCUGGAUGUCAAUCUUCUAACUGUGAACCCUUAGCUCAUAUUCCAUUCUAACUCUAUUUUUUGUCAGUUGUAAAUAUGCUGUUGGUGCAAAAUAGUUUUUAAUUUCUGGUCUUCUGUUUGUAAAUUUGUUCUAAAUUUUCAGUGUUUGUAUUUGUUAAACAUAUACUGUAGGUCCAAAAUCCUCACAGUAUCAAGUACAAUGGAACAAUUCAAGGUCUUAAGUACAUUUGGAGAACCGAGGGAUUUCGUGGACUUUUCAAGGGCAAUGGCACUAACUGUUUACGAAUUGUCCCCAAUUCGGCUGUCAAGUUCUUUAGCUAUGAACAAGCAUCCAGGUUGAUAAUAGCUUCACAACCUCCCCAUUUGGUUAAUUGGUCAAAUUAGUAAGACUUUUUUGGGCUUAAUGUUUCAGGUGCUUUUAAUCUCAUAAUGCUGUCACGUGCUCCCUUCUCUAGCUUGUUAGAGUACAAAAUGGGGCACAGAGCUUAAUAUUGACUCUAUUGUACAAAUAAAUGAUUCUGUUUACAAAACCCAGAGUUUGCUGUGCCUUUUCCUUGUUUCCAAAUAUAUGCCUCGCCUCCUCUCUAAGAACAUACUACCAUCCAUAUUUCUUACAUUUACUUGCGACACAGACUACUUUCCUUUUGCAAUGCAAUUUGUUUUCUUAAAUAUGUUGGUAUGAUUGGAGAAAUAUUGACUUUUAUCAAUGGGUUAUUUGCUUGAUUAAAAUGUCUUUUGUAACGAACUGACUAUGUUGCACAGAUACGUAUACGGGGAUACGGAUACGACACGAUAUGGAUACGGUGAUACGGCAAUUUCUAAAACUUCUAGGAUACGAUACGCGGGAUAUAUUUAAAUAAAAUAUUAUUUUAAAUAUAUUUAAAUGUAUGUUGAUUAUAUGUAAUGAUAUAUUGAGAACAAUUAGAAUAUCUAGACUAUAUUAAGGAAUAUAUUCUAAUAUGCAUUAACUUGUAUAAUUAUUCUACAUAUGUUCAUAAAAAAAUGAUAAUCAAUCAUAUAAAAUAAUAAUUCAAAAAGUAUCAAACCAACUAUCAUUCAACUUGAUCAAAUGAUAACAAUAAAUAUAUGGUCGCACAAACUAGAUAAUUAGCCAUUCAAUAUAUAUGUCUGAUUUGUUAGUUCUAUUAUGAAAAUAGUAAUAAAAAAAUAUGCUAACAAUUUAAUAGAGAAGGAAAAAAAAAAAAUCAUAUUUUCUAUAGCCUUUGUUGCUUAAUACUAGGUUGACAAAUUUGAUGGAAGAGAGUAAAUACUGUAUGAAGAUAGAACGAGAGGGAGCACCUUCUACCAUUCAAGAACAAAAAAUAGAUGAAAUGACAAAUUGAACAGAUAUUGGUGUUUUUCUCACUCUUUUCCUUCUUUCCAAUAGGUUUGGACGUGAGCUUUUAAAAAAAUUUUAAGUUUCAAUCAUUUUAGCCAAAAAAAAACCUGGCCGUGUCCCCCCCGUAUCCCCCCGUAUUCCUCACGUAUCCGAGUCGUAUCCGAUAUUUUUUUAUUUUUUAAAAAUGUCGGAUACUUCAUUCCCGUAUCGGGCGCGUAUCGGUAUCCGAUACGGAUACGGCAUGAAAUUUGAAGUAUCCGUGCUUCAUAGCGAACUGAGCAUAGUAGGUGAAAUUUCUGUGCAUGUGCUGCAUGUACAUAUAGUAUCUGCUUGUCUGCUACUUCAUAUGAUCAUCCAGCUGGUUAAAUAGUGAUACACGUUCCACCGGAAAUUCAUUUUUAUUUAUUUAUUACUCAAAAGAUAUAUACAUUCAAUGAUGUAGUCACUCUUCCCUGCAUGCUAAUACUUGGUAUUUGUAACAGUGCAAUUUUGUGGCUUUAUCGGCAGCAGCCUGGCAAAGGUAUGUCCUGUUUUCUGUUGUUUUCUGCUUUUGAUAUAUUUGUGACACCAUCUUUGGUCCUGGACUCUAGUGACUUCUGUAAAAAUUUCCCAUAUCUUGCAUGAAAUCUAGCAUUUGUUAUUUUCUACAUAUUUAUAUGUGCUUUCACCAGCACACACAAUUGCAUGGUGCUGUUGAACCUUUCGAAUGAACUUACAUGCCUAUAUGUACUUCACAAGAGCAUGAAAUUGUUGGGAACUGGCUCAUGACGUAUGAUUGGGCCAUAUCUAUUAGUAGAAAUAACAUGCCCACUUUACUCAUUCCUGAAUACUUGUGCAUAUGUGGACCUAAUGGCAAGUUUUCAGUAAAUCGUUAUGUACUUGUUAAACUUUGAUUUCCUUCAUCAUCUUAUUAGGAAGUGUCUAAUUUGCUAUUCUUUUUAACCUUCUGCAGAAGAUGCUGAGCUCACUCCAGUGCUGCGCCUUGGAGCUGGAGCCUGUGCUGGAAUCAUAGCUAUGUCUGCUACAUAUCCCAUGGACAUGGUUCGAGGAAGGAUCACCGUCCAGGUGCUGUUUAAGUUCACCAUCACUCCUUAUGUGUGCUUGUUAAUUUCGGCUAGUGGCCCAGAUCACUUCACUUAUACUUAAUAAUUCUCUCUCUCUCUCUCUGACCUUUAAAAAUUUUUCACCUCUUCUGCAGACUGAGAAGUCGCCUUACCAGUAUCGAGGAAUGCUUCAUGCUUUAGGCAUGAUCUACCGUGAAGAAGGCUUUCGUGCCCUGUACAGAGGCUGGCUUCCAUCAGUUAUAGGAGUUGUAAGUUCUUUCCGACAGUAUUCCCACUGUCUGCCUGGCUAGAAUCAUAUAAUCGAUUUCAAAACACCUAAAGAGUUGUCACUCAUAUUUGACACACCUACAUAUGUUGAGUUCAGCAAAGGAGACUAGCAUUGCUAAUACUUUUAUUGAUCACAGCAUUUUGGUUCAUCAAUUUACUUUUGAUGAGUUUCACAAAUGGUUUUUGCACGCUAAUCUAGUAUGUGUAUUAUAUGUAUAUUCAAUCAGAAUUCUAGGAACCCCAAUAAUGUACAUUUUGGUUACAUAGAUGAUUGGUCUGAAUGCAAAAUUAUCAAAUAAUUUACUUUGAAACAUUAAAAUUAAUUAUUAAGGAUGCUGAUCCUACUAUGCACUAGUUAUCUCAAGAGGAGGGCCUAGCCAUUUUCAUGCAAAGGAAAAUGAAUUUCAUAGUUGUUCUCCAUAGGCAAAUAAAAAGUUUUGCUCUUUUCUGGUUGUAAUUUACAUGUUUCAGAGCUUAAUUUCUGCUUGCGCCUACAGAUCCCAUAUGUUGGCUUAAACUUUGCUGUCUAUGAGUCGUUAAAAGACUGGCUAAUCAAGACCAAGCCAUUUGGUAUUGCUGAGAACUCAGAGCUGAGUGUGGUGACGAGGCUCGCCUGCGGUGCUGCCGCAGGUACUGUGGGUCAGACUGUUGCGUACCCUCUCGAUGUAAUCCGGAGGAGAAUGCAGAUGGUGGGUUGGAAGGAUGCUGCUUCCAUUGUGACGGCCGAAGGGAGGAGUAAAGAGUUACUGGAAUAUACUGGGAUGAUUGAUGCCUUCAGGAAAACCGUGCGUCAUGAGGGCUUCAGAGCAUUAUACAAAGGCCUCAUCCCCAACUCAGUGAAGGUAUUCUUUUUAUCACUUAAAUUGCUUGUCUUUCAACUACUCCUGGUUUGGUACAUUGGUAUCAGUUUUUGAUUUGGGUAAAAUUUCAGUUUUGGCGGUUCCACUGCAUGUCUGUAUUUGUUGAGAACUGAGUUUUCAGACAUCUCGAAGAGAAUUCAAAUAAAAAUGGGAAACAGAAUUGUGAUGAUAUUAAAAUGGCGGUGCAUUACAGCCCGUUUUGAUUUAUUUGGAUCUUUUGAGCUGAGCCUUCUUUAGAGCGAGUCGAGUCAAAACCAAAAAUGUUUCUGUUUCUCAUCAUAUUUAGCUUUGAAAGUUUGUAAUCGAAACCUUCAUAUCCUGAGUUCUGAUAUAUAAAACUCCAAACUGUCCUUACAAGCAGGCAUCUUGGUGCCUUUUGGGCUUUUUCGAAGAAUGCGGCAGUUUAUUCGGAGUUUAUUUUUGCCCUAAUAGAGCUCUUUCCGUUUGUUUUUCCAGGUGGUGCCGUCCAUUGCGAUUGCUUUCGUGACGUACGAGGCCGUGAAAGACAUUCUUGGAGUCGAAAUGAGAAUAUCGGACUGAAGUGCAAGGGUUACAAAUUCAACUGUAAUUUUUGCAAGUGGGGGCAGCCAUCAAGUGUUGUUUUCUAGGCGAACAGUUAGUUACCUAAGCUAGGAAAAAUAUGUCCGAGUAUAAAGGCCUCUCUGGCCAGUGUUGAUAUAUUUAUCCAGUACUUAUUUUGCAGCUCGAGAUCUUGAUUAACACCUCAAUGUUGUGGAAAUAAUAAUGUAGUUGCAGGAGCUUUUUGUAAUUUCGUUGGUAAUUUUAAUAAAUUAUUUCCUACGACACAUUUAUUUACCUGCCUUUUAUUCUUCUACGCCGGUCAUAUUAAUUAUGCAGGAAAUUACGAAAUCUUUAUCUACAUAGCUGUAUUCAUUCAGCACCAUUCAGCACCUUCCGUGUACCAUAAUAUAUGUCGCGCGGCCCGAAGCUUUGGAAUUUGCUUCAAAAGCCCCUAAUCUUUUAGUUCUAUGAUACUCCAUCAGAUUAUUGGUUACGUCCCACAUCUAUCCCUAAUUUUCUACGGGACUCGUAUACAAUGAUUAAAAAAAUUGAAGCAAGUAAGGUAUACGACCUUAUGCAUAAUCAUACAGGAAUUACGUUCAUCUUCUAUAGUAUUUACGUGUAUACGUCGUCACUGGGAGGGGGUAUUUGUACAAAUCAAAUGACUCUACAUGACACAAAGUGGAGAGACUAACAAUAUUAUCUUUAUAUCAAAAUGGUUUCGGGAUAACAAUGGGCCAAAACGACUGACCGCCCCUAGAGCAAAUGCCAAAGAGCUUGGUGGUUGGUACCUGAGGUCCCAAGUUCGAAUCCUAGUUGAUUUAUAUUUCCAGCUAAAUUUAUUUCUAAAUAAAAUAAACAAAACGGGUAGUAUCUAUCUCUCAAAAAAAAACCAAUGGGCCGAGACAGAAUUAUAACUCCCACAACCACUCAAACCGACGUGGAUUAUUACCAGGCGUGCUUGUUCGACGCAGGCAAAUGUUACUUGCGCCUAACCAUCAAUGACAUUAAAAAAAUGAAACAAGACAAUCACGACUUAAGUCAGCAAGCGAAUAACGAAUUCACGAGCACUUACACAUAUAGCCAUUCAAAGACUCGGGGCUAAAGAACGCGCAAAUAGAGAGAGAGAGAGAGAGAGAGAGAGAGAGAGAGAGAGAGAGAUCCGGAUAGAAAAUGAACGCAAUCAAAUUUCGGAGGAAGGAAGAUUGGAAGAGCACGAAUGAACUAACCUUGCAAAGAAGAAAAGUCUCAAACCAUUUGGAUGCCUUGCAGACUCGGAAGUUCCUGUGAACGAAUUGUACGUUUCGAUGAAGUGCAGUAUCAAUUUAGUUAAAAAAAAAAAAGAAAUAAAAGAAAGAAAGAUAGUUUCUAUACCUCGUUGUACGUCAGUUUUAGAUCCUAUCCCCCUCUUAGUAGCCAAAAUUAAAGUGAGAAAAGGAUAGGCACCACCAGCGAGUGAUUUACGAAUGCGUGAUUCUUUCAACAGUUUCAGAGAAGUGCUUAUGCAGGUGAUUGCAAAUUUCACGCUGGUGCUCAAACAAGAAGCACUUUUGGCUUAUUGCCUCUCUUUCCUUCUCAUUUCUAGCUACCAUUUCCUCUUCUUUCUAUUUAACCCUCCUCUUAAGCUCUGCCUCCUCUUCAUAAUCGUUGAGGAAAUGGCAGCUUUCAAUCUAACUUCCUCGUUCCUGUUCGUUUUUCUCAUUCUCUGCAUCCCCUUUCCGUUGACUGUGCUGGGCAUCCAACGAAGAUAACCUUUCACAAUCUUGAUCACUUUGUUGCCGCAGAGACUGCAAAUCUUUUUCUAUCCGAGUAAGCGUUUGGUUUCUCCGGAGGAGGUGGGACUUGAACCUUCGACACUCGCCGCAUAGCUUUGCAAUCUCUUUACGUGCACCAGCGUUCUCUGUUUCACAAAGUUCAAGUUUUUGUGCCAGUUCCUUGCUGCGCUUCUCUAGCUUUCUUACCUCUUCUUCUGCUUUACUCUUUUGGGUGGACAGGAGAUCAUCCUCCUUUAGGUUGAUCUUAAUCUGGCCCAGUACUGAAUUUUCAUCUCUCAACUGUUUCAGUUUCUUUUCUAGCUCUCUCAGUGUACUGUUCUCCUUCUUUAACUCGUCAACAAUCUUUGAAUCUUCACCUUUUGUUGCUUCCAGGUUUGAAGCAUCUUUCUCUUUAGCUUCUAGUCCACGCUGCAGUUUCUCGCACUUAGCCAACAAUUCCAUGUUCUCAUCCUCUUUUGCUUUUAAUUGCUCUUUUAGCUGCUCAGAUUCGAUCAUCAGGUUUUUUUUGGCGCUUUCAGCUUCACGCAGCUUUUCUUCUGAGAUCACAAUAUCUAAAUACAGGCCCGUUUUCUCUCCUUCUGCAGCUUUCAGCUUAAGAUUUAAUCUUUCAUUUUCAGAUGACAACUGUUCCGCCUGGCCUGAAUCAGCAAUCUUCUCAGCCCCCUUUCGCUUGAUCUUACUCUGUUUUAGUACUGAAUUCUCAUCCCUCAACUGUUUCAGUUUUUUUUCUUGUUCUUUCACAGUAAUCUCAGCCUUCUUUAACUUUUCUAUAUACUCUGAAUUUUCGCAUUCUGUUGCAUCCAGAGUACAUUUUAUCAGGGAAAGUUUCUUUUCUCUGUCUUCUAGUUUUUUCAGCAGUAUUUCAUGUUCAGCCCUCAACUUCAUGCACUCUACCUUUAUUUGCUCGUAAAGCUCGUAUAAUUUUCCUACUUUGUCCUCUUCUGGGGAAUCUAAAGAAUAAGCUUUAUCUUCUGCUUUUGUUUGCUCUUUUAGAUGUUUGGAAUCAAUUGAUGGGAUAUUUAUGGUGCUUUCAUCUUCUCGAAGCCCAAUUGCAGGGGUCAUGAUCUCUGAUUUUAAGCUCCCUUUCUCUUCUUUUGCAGUUCCCAGUAUAAGAUUUAAGUUCCUAUUUUCAGAUGACAACUGCUCAUUCUCUGAAGAGAACACCACAGUUUCCAGCUUAAGUUUUUCAGCAUGGUCCUUGAAGUCCUUCUCUAGCUUCAGAGUUUGAAUCUUCACAAAAAUCUCUUUCAACACAUCUUUUUGUUGCUUAUAGUUCAUACCAAGCUCACCGAUGCAGCAUUUAAGGUAUGAUAGCCGAGUUUCUUGAGCCAAGAUUUUGCUUGCUAGCGUUUCCUCCAAGUUUUUCAUCAGAAGCUUGUACUCCAAGCACCUCUGUUCAAGUUUUUUCACCUCUUCUUCUACUUCACUCUUCUGGGUAGACUGGAAGUGCGGCUCUUUUUGGAGUUUGUUUGCAUGCAUAGUGUUUUCAUCAAGUUUCUCCUGGGUAGCUUUCAAUCUGCUUUCUAAAUCAGAAUUUUUUCUGUACAAGUCUUUCUCUGAUUGCUGCAGUGUAGAAGCCUCCUUUCUCAUUUGCUCUAAUUCACCCUCAAGGUUCCUUAUUUUAGUGUCUGCCGAUGAUAAUUCUGAGGCACUCAUAUUUUUCCCUUCACGUAAUUCCAUGUUUUCCUUUUUCAGAUCAUCCAAGUGGGAAAUCGCUGUUUCCUGUUUCUGUAUUGCAGCACCAAGGUCAACCUGCAACUUAGUAUUUGCAUCCCUUAGCUGUUGUAUUUCAGCCUUGCACGAAUCAGCAAUCUUCUCAGCCUCCUCUAGCUUGAUCUUACUCUGGUUUAGUAUUGAAUUUUCAUCUCUCAACUGUUUCAGUUUGUUUUCUAGUUUUUUCACUGUACUAUUGGCCUCAUUUAACUCGUCAAUAUUCUUCAAAUUUUCGCCUUUUGCUGCUUCGAGUUUCUGUUUAAUAUCUGAAGCAUCCCUUCUUUCAGUAUCCAGUUCGUGCUUCAAUUGGUUAUACUCAGCCAACAACUCAGACUGUUCAAUCUGCAAGUCUGUUAGUUUCAUCACUAAUUUUUGUCCUUCUUCCUCAAACUGGGAAUUCAAUGAACGAACUUCUUCUUCUUUAGCUUCUAACAGCUUUAUUAGCUCUUUAAUGUUGAUAGUCAGGUGAAAUAUGAUUGCCUCAUCUUCUUUCACCUGAUUCGAUAAGCUCACAUUACCUUCUUUCUUUAGGCCCUCAAUCAGCUGCCCAUACUGGUCAUAGAGAUCUUCGUAGCCCUUGUGAAAAUCCUUUAUGAGGGAAACUGCCUCAGAUUUUGCUUCGUUGCCCUCUUCUAUUAGCUUCAAUAUUUUCUCCACGUUCUUCUGAAUGUCUGAAAGCAACAAGAAAAAAUUCAAAGUUUUUUUUCCAUCACAUUACAUUACGCUAAAUAUCAUAAGAUGAUUAACUAAUAAGGUAAUAAUCCAGAAAAAUUCUUAUUUUUUCAGUACAAAUCAUAGUCUGAGGAAUGAAAGAUUACUUCUAACUGCUAUAGGAAAGCAUGUUAUGUGGUCAGACUCUGCAUCCUAGACGAUCUAAAUAUGAUUACAUAGUGUGGGUGAUAUUUGCAAAGAAUUACCUUUCUUCUUUUCGUGUAUAUGGGAGUUAUCAGAAUGAAUGUCAACCCCUAAUAUGGAAAACAGCUCUUCAAAGCUCUGCUUCUUUGUCAUGUUGAUGACCUCUGCUUUGCUUACUAUUGGAAUUGUCUUUAGAAAUCCUAUGUCCUUUCUGGCUUUGCUGUGUUUGAUCUCUUGCACUCAACAAAUCAUGGGAAAAGGAGUCUUUUCCAGGAUUUGCAAACAUUGAACUACAUGAAUAACAAGCAGAUUGGUAAUGCAAUAACAAGUUUUUCAUAGAGUCAUUAAUGGCACCAUUUCUCCUAAGAAACAGUUGUAGCUGAAAAGCAAAGAAUCAAUUAUUUAAGAUAGGAAAGAUGAAAUUAGCAAAACCAAAAAAAAAAAAAAAAAAAAGAAAAAGAAAAAGAAGAAAGAAUAGAUACUAUAGCAUGCUUCUUUUAAUUAUUAAGAUCAAUUCCAAACAUUAAAAACAAAAAUGCUUCGGUGCUUGAAAAUGACAAACAUCUCACGACGUUUGUAAGCCAGAUCAAGAACCCAAGUCUCUUACUUUCUCUAUUCACUCGUUAAUCAACCACAACCAUACAUUUUCUUUAAUGAUCCUUGUUACUAGUCUUAAAGAAUGAUCUAAGCACAUCCAAUCCCCAAAACAAGAAAGGAAAAAGACAAAAGAAUGGUGCAAACACACAAUCAGAGCUCAAUCCAACAAGGAAAUCGAGGCAAUAAUUAAGCUCAAUUUAGACCCCCUAAAAGCCAUCUUAGAGCACAUCCAUAUCCCUAUUUGGACUCGGACAAUUAAUUCUUCACAAGAGCACAAGAUAUAUAAAAUUACUUCCAAGAAUCUACUCCAACAACAACAACAACAACAACAACAAUAAUAAUCCAAAUAGUAGCAUCAUGCAAUAAAAAAAAUGAAUAAAACAUAAAAAAAUAAGAGCAAAAAUAAGAUAAAUUUGUUACUAAUUAAGUGAUUUAUGCUAUGAUUUCUUCUUCGUGGUAGAUCCUUGCAAAUUAAUCAUGUAAACUCAAAUCAUCACAAUAGAUCCCAGCGCACAUCCAGCAUCACAAACGAAACUCUAAAAGCAAACCUCUCAACUAAACGAUCCAAGAACACUUAUCAAAUGCAGAGUAAUCUACUUAUCUAAAUGUGUAACUAAUUAAGUGACUAUGCUAUGAUUUCCUCUCCGUGCUUGAUCCUUACAGUUAAUCAUCUCAAAUCAUCACAAUAGAUCCCAAGGCACAUCAAAUAUAGAAACGAAAACCUAAAAGCAAGCCUCCCAACUAAACGAUCCAAGAACACUCAUCGCAUGCCGAGUAAUCAACUUGUCUCAAUCCAUUUCACAUGCAGUAUGCAAAUUACUACCAUAAAUGAUAAAAAAAACUACUAAAAACGAAUCAAAAAGUAGGAAAAAUAAAAAACCAGAAAUCUCUUCUCCUUCCUCUUCUUCCGAUCCUGUCAAUGAUCGAUCCGAAGCCAACGAAACACCAAUCUCCUCCUCUUCUUCUUCUACUUCUUACGAUCCAAACAAAAGAGGAACAGGGAAGAGAAUAGGGUUAGAAUAGGGAGGGAGAAAGAGAGAGAAUAAGAGAGAAUAGAGAAUAAGGAGAUGUACGCAACGAGUUUAAAGUGGAGAGGGGGACGAUGAAGUGGAAGUAGGAGAGUCGGGGGUUUUUGUAGUGGGGAGUUGUGGUAACGUAACUGCCACCAGGUUUGGAUUUUAUUACGAAUACGCCACGCUCGUUUCUUCGGUGUUUUUGUGGCGGCGCGAGCCGGCUCGUAGAAAUUAGCCACACGUAUGGCCAUUUCUUUUAAAAAAAAAAAAAAUUCCCUGAGAAAAAAUAUAUAAAAAAAGAAGCAUAGCAUAGCCAUUGGCCAUUCUCUUAAUAAGUUUUUAAAUUUUGUAUGCAUUUGUUUUAGCUAAUUAGAAUUUUUUAUAAUUAAGUUACAAUUUUUAAGUUUUCUACAUUCUUUCUUCUAACCUCUCAAGAUGUCAAUUUUGUAUUAUGAAAAUUAAGAAAAUAAUAAUUAUUUUUAGUGGUCAAAAAUUGAGUUUCAAAGAUACACCAAGAAAUAAUUAAUAGUGAGAAUAAAAUGGUCUGUUUUCAUUCAUCUUGAUUGAUGCAAUUUAAUAGAACAAUUUAAUAUAUAAAUUGGUUUUGAGUUAGAAAUAAAAACUAAAAGAAAAUAAUACAAUUGAUUUUUUUUUUUCUGAAUUCUGUCGGGAGGCGCCAGCGCUUGUUCCGGAGACGGCUCGCGCCGGUUUGUCGCCCACUUCGGCUUCCCGCCACAAUUGGGUGGGAGGGGUCCGUUACGCGCUCAACCGUCCGAUCUUUAGGAGGUCCAUGAUCAAAGUUUUAGUAAAGCAUCGGACGGUCUAAACUUGUCGAAUGUGGUUCCGGUUCCACGUCAGAUGAUCUCUACCCGAUGCUGUUGUGGAAUUUUUUUUUUGUUUUUUUUAUUGUAACAGUUGUACAGACGAGUUUAUUCACCAGUAAAAUAAUUAUUUUAUAGUGAAAUAAUGCUCUAAAAAAAUUAUCUUUUAUAUUCUUUUCAUAUAAUAAUACGGAGAUAUUUGGUUAAAUAUUAUAAAUCUUAUGUAAAAUAGCUGUAAUAGAGAAGAACUGUCUGUGGCCGAAAAUGAGACUCAUUUUAAGCCAUCAACAGUUAAGACAAAACGAAAUACAGAGAAGGAAGAUCUACGGUUGAUAUCCUCUUACAUUUUUAAGAUCUGCACCCUAGUUGUGCAAGAAAAAUUCAGGCACGAUAGAGAAUCUAGCAAUCCCUGCACGCAGAUCAAUUCUACAGCUCAUCAACGACGGAAGGUUGAAUCAGAUCUCUAAAUGUGAAAAAAAAAUUGGUACAUCAGGGAUCUAAAAAUUCAAGCACAAAAUUUAAGAUAAUAUAAAUUUAUCAACACAACAGCUGUUUGUUUGUUUGUAGGAGACUCUUUAUAAAGCUCACAAAGUAGUUCCCUUUCGUCCCUCCACAAUAUCUCGAGAAUGAGCUAUCAAAGAUUUUAUAUAUAUAUAUAUAUAUAUAUCAUAUCUCUUUUUCGAAAAACAAAGUGCCCACCUCGGCAUUUAAGGCACAUAUAAAUCGACCCAUGAAGUGGCUCGUUUCGAAGCUCAGACAGUUAGAUGGUGAAACAAUCAUUAUUCUCUCAAAACUUAACUUUAAUAGCUUAAUGCUAUUAAAGAAUGAUGUUCUAACGAUUUAUAGACAACAACUUCACAAUUUGUACAUUCUAACAAAGUACAAAUGCUAUUCGCCUCAAUAACCAAUAUAAAAGUGAAUGACGAAAAGGAAUAUAGGAAAGAUCAGGGACUAAGGACUAAUCUAUUAGCGACGGGUUCUUUUGAGUGUUGCAGAGACAUACUCGCGAAGAUGAUUGCAAUUUUCGCGGUGGUAGUCGAUCAAAAAGCACAACUGCCUUAUUGCCUCUCUUUUCUCUUCAUUCCUAGCUGCCAUUUCAUCUUCUUUUUCAGCCAAUUUAGCUUCGACAUUCCUGGCCUCAUCCUUCAAGCUGGAGAUUAUCCGAUCUUUAUUUCUCAAUCUAAUUUCCAGCGCAUUUUUCUCAUUCUCUAGUACCUCCUUCUCAUGAAGAUGAUUACCCAAUUUCUUUCUCAAGAUCUUUAGCUCCUCUAAGCAUUCAUGUAAUCGGCCCAUGAAGUGGGCAGAUUUCCGAGCAAAUACUGACUCAAAUUCAUUAACUCGGUUUCGCAAAGCUGAAACACCCACCUCGGCAUCUUCAUUCGUUUGUGUGAGCUGGGCUUCCAACGAAGACAACCUCAGACAAAACAUCAGUGUUUCUUCUCCUAGUUCCCGCUCUUUCUCCUGCAAAUUUGUCACCAAUCUCUUGUAAGUUUCUUCUUUAUCCCUGCUUUCGGUUUCGGUGAUUUUAAGUUUCUGGUUUGAUAGGCGAAGCUGGAAAUCAAGUGUUUCAAAGUCACCACGCAACUUUGCUAUCUCUUUAUAUGCAUCAUUCUUUUCAAUCUCAGAAAAUUUAAGUUUUUCCACAAGUUCCUUGCGGCUGUUCUCUAGCUUCCUUAUCUCUUUAUUCUGCUCUAUGCUAAGAUUUUCCAGAGUCUCUAGCUUCAUCUCCAGCUCACUAAACCUAGCUUUUAGUUGCUUACAGUUCUUAGAAAGUUCAUUAAAACAACCUUCAAUGUCUGCAAGGCGAGCUUCUUGAUUGACAAUUUUGCUUGCUAGUUUCUCUUCCAAAUUAUUCAUCAAAAGCAUAUUUUCUGAGCAUCUGCUACUAAUUAUUUUCACCUCCUCUUCCACUUCACUCUUUUGGGCGGAUAGCAAAUCAAGCUCCUUUUGGAGAUUGUUUGUAUGAAUUGUCAUUGCAUCAAGUUUCUCCUGAGUGGAUAAUACUUCGAUUCCUCUCUCUUCCAAUCUUCUAUCUAAAUUGGUAUUAUUUCUGUGCAAAUCAUCCUUAGCUUUCUGCAAAAUGGAGAACUCCUCCCUCAGUUGCUCCAACUCACUCUCAAGAUUCCUGACACGAGCCUCUGACUCGAGUAAUUCUGAGACAGUUCUAUUCUUUACUUCUUGUAAUUCCACGAUCUCCUUGUUCAGUUCAUCCAAUUGCUUGUUUGCUCUUUCCUGUUUGAGACUCACACCAUCAAGUUCAACCUGCAGCUUAGCAUUGACAUAGUUUAGCUGUUCUAUUUCAGCCUUGCAUGAAUCAGCGAUCUUCUCAUACUCCUCUAGUUUGGUUUUACACUGAUAUAGUACUGAGUUUUCUUCUUUCAACUGUUCAACCUCUUUCUCUAGUUCUCUUACGGUAACAUCAGCCUUCUUUAACUCAUCAGCCAAUCUUGAAUUGUCAAAGUUCACCUUAUCUUUUUCUUCCACUAAACCACCAAAUUCUCUGUUCCGAUCAUUUAGCUGGUGUUUCACUGCCUCUAGUUCAAGAUUCAUAUUAUUGAUCUGGAUCUCCAACUGAGAUUUAUCAACAACUAGCUGUUCUUUCUCAGCUUUUAGACUAUCAAUUUCCAAUCCCAAUGAUUGGUUUUCGUCUUUUGCUGCUUCCAGCAUCUGUUUAAUCACGGAAGUAUCCUUCUCCAUAGAUUCUAGUUCACGCUUCAGGCUUUCAUAGUUAACCAACAACUCAGAGUUUUCAUUCUUCGCAUUUGCUAAAUCCGUCAGCAAUUCUUGUGCUCGUAACUCUACCAGCUGGGCUUUCUCUAAUUGGGAGGCCAAAGAAUUAGCUUCAUCUUCUUUUGCUGUUAAUUGCUCUUUUAUUUGUUCAAAGUUAAUUUUCAGGCUAUUUAUGGUGCUCUCAUCUUUGUGCAGCUUCCCUGAUAAGCUCAUAAUCUCUGACUGCAAGCACCUUUUCUCUUCUUCUACAGCUUCCAGUUUAAGCUUCAAGCUUUCACUCUCAGACAACAACAGCUCAAUCUUUGAAGAUAACUCCUCUGUUACUGAUUUUAGUUUUACAUCAGACUCAUCUCUGAGGUCCCUCAAGACCCUUUUCUCUUCUUCUACAGCUUCCAGUUUAAGCUUCAAGCUUUCACUCUCAGACAACAACAGCUCAAUCUUUGAAGAUAAUUCCUCUGUUACUGAUUUUAGUUUUACAUCAGACUCAUCUCUGAGGUCCCUCAAGACCCUUUUCUCUUCUUCUACAGAUUCCAGUUUAAGCUUCAAGCUUUCACUCUCAGACAACAACAGCUCAAUCUUGGAAGAUAACUCCUCUGUUACUGAUUUUAGUUUUACAUCAGACUCAUCUCUGAGGUCCCUCAAGACCCUUUUCUCUUCUUCUACAGAUUCCAGUUUAAGCUUCAAGCUUUCACUCUCAGACAACAACAGCUCAAUCUUGGAAGAUAACUCCUCUGUUACUGAUUUUAGUUUUACAUCAGACUCAUCUCUGAGGUCCCUCAAGACCCUUUUCUCUUCUUCUACAGAUUCCAGUUUAAGCUUCAAGCUUUCACUCUCAGACAACACCAGCUCAAUCUUGGAAGAUAACUCCUCCGUUACUGAUUUUAGUUUUACAUCAGACUCAUCUCUGAGGUCCAUCAAGACCCUAUUCUCUGCUUCUACAGCUUCCAGUUUAAGCUUCAAGCUUUCACUCUCAGACAACACCAGCUCAAUCUUGGAAGAUAACUCCUCCGUUACUGAUUUUAGUUUUACAUCAGACUCAUCUCUGAGGUCCAUCAAGACCCUCUUCUCUUCUUCUACAGCUUCCAGUUUAAGCUUCAAGCUUUCACUCUCAGACAACACCAGCUCAAUCUUGGAAGAUAACUCCUCCGUUACUGAUUUUAGUUUUACAUCAGACUCAUCUCUGAGGUCCAUCAAGACCCUCUUCUCUUCUUCUACAGCUUCCAGUUUAAGCUUCAAGCUUUCACUCUCAGACAACACCAGCUCAAUCUUUGAAGAUAACUCCUCCGUUACUGAUUUUAGUUUUACAUCAGACUCAUCUCUGAGGUCCAUCAAGACCCUCUUCUCUUCUUCUACAGCUUCCAGUUUAAGCUUCAAGCUCUCAUUCUCAGAUAACAACAGCUCAAUCUUUGAAGAUAACUCCUCCGUUACCGAUUUUAGUUUUACAUCAGACUCAUCUCUGAGAUCCGUCAAGAUCCUCUUCUCUUCUUCUACAGCUUCCAGUUUAAGCUUCAAGCUCUCAUUCUCAGAUAACAACAGCUCAAUCUUUGAAGAUAACUCCUCCGUUACUGAUUUUAGUUUUACAUCAGACUCCUCUCUGAGGGCCAUUAAGCCCCUUUUCUCUUCUUCUACAGCUUCCAGUUUAAGCUUCAAGCUUUCUUUCUCAGAUAACAACUGCUCAUUCUUUGAAGAUAACUCCUCUGUUACUGAUUUUAAUUUUACAUCAGACUCAUCUCUGAGGACCAUUAACGCUUUCUCUGCCUUAUCUAUCUUGUUCAAUAAUUCAAUGUUUUCAGCUUCUAAUGACCCCUUCUGCUUAAUUGCAUCAUUUACUUGCUCAUUCAACUCGGCAAUUAGCAAAGCUCUUUCCUCCGCUUCUUGUUUCAAAACUUUUAUUCCCAUUUCAAAUUUCACCAAUUCUUCUUUCACCUGACGUUUCUCUAGUUCACAUUCUUCUAUGAGUUUCUCAGCCUGAUGUAACUUGCUAAAGGCUUCUGUUUUUUCUGCUCGCAGUGUUUCAUUUUCUUCGUGAGCACUUCGUAUCCUUUCAUUCAAAUGAAUCUCUUCCUUCAGGAAGGCCUCCACUUUUUCGUUAAGAAUUACCUUCUCAGCUUGCAAGAUAUCAACACUCUCGAGCAAUUUGUCUUUGAGUUUUUCAAGCUCAAGAAUCUUGGCACUUUUAUUGUCAACUUGAUUCUCGAGUUCAAAUUUUUCCCUUCUUGUAUACUCUAAUUGCUCCUGGAGAGUUUGGUAAUCUUGAAAAGGAAUUAACUGAGGUUUGCGACCUUUAGAAUUUUCUUCUGCAUCUGAAUCUGAUGAAUCCGAAUCACUUGAGCUGCCUCCUCUUUUGUUGUGGGCUUUCUUCUUUAGGCUCUCAAUCAACUGCUCAUAUUGUUCAUAGAAAUCUUUGUAACCCUUAUGAAAAUCAUUAAAAAGAGAAGCUAGCUCAGAUUUAUCCACUGAAUCCACAGAGACAUCUGGACCAUGCUCCUCCCCUAAGAGCUUUUGUAUUUUCUCUGCAUUCUUCUCAAUAUCUGCACGAAAAAAUAUUAAUAAAAAUGAUUGUCUCAAACUACAUACAAUUUAGCAUCAAACGAUGAUCAUUGAUCAUGGGAAGAGCAUAAGCAGAAAUGAUUUUCAACCGAUAAAAAAGCACAGAUAUUUUGCAGUUCUAUUAAACACAAUAAAAAAGAUAUUUUUAUUUAUUUACAGCAAAAUUGACAAAAAAGUCAACCAACUGAAAUUUCUGGACUCAUUCCAACUAUCAAAAGGAAAGUUUUGCAACCCUUUUUUCCAUCUGAAGCAUGUCCUCUUAGUCCAUCAAGCAAACAGAGAAAAGGCACAAAAUCUAUACAGCUGACUAAAGCACUUAAUUUUUAUAAUAUAAUCUAAAGGGUGAGAAACUUUACGCAAAUUAUUACCUUUCUUCUUGUCCAGUAAAUGAGAGUUAUCAGAAUGAAUGUGAUCCCCAACUAUGGAAGAUAAAAAGUUCCUAAAUCUGUGUUUCUUCGUCAUGUUUGAUGACCUCUGUAUAGCUCAGUUCGAGAGUUAUCUUUGAGAAAUUCUGAACUCCAUCAACUUCGCUGUAUUUGAGCUCCGGCACUUGGUACAGGCAACAGAGAUUUUGCCAGCUCCAAACUAGGUCUUCUUGCAGUGAUCUACAAGAGUAAUAUAUAUAUUAGAAUAAUAGUGCAAUCAUAGGUAUUCUCAAAAGUCACUAAAAUCAAGUUCUCUUGUAAUAAACAUUUACAGCAAAGAGAAAAAACAACAACAACAGUUCGGACAUAAAGGUAAAUUCUGGUGCAAUUCUCACAUUGAUCAAAUUCAACCAUUAUGUAGCAAUUUUGUCAACUUCUUUCUUAAAGGUAGGUAUAUGGUAUACCAAAUUAACUAAGCUAUUCUAGAUAUGUGACUUGCUAGUUGUACGAAACGACUAUUUCGUUGCUCUCUCCUAGUUAUAGAGAAACAGUAGUUUGACAAGUUCAAAACAGAAAUUUAAGGCACCAUUUGGGAUCGCUUACAUAUUUCAUUUAGGUCAACUCAAAUUCUACGUGAUUGGAUUCACCGGUAUCGGCGGACUAAAAGGAAAAAAUGCAAACUCAGUAGUACCCUAUUUUAGUUGUUCUUAAGAGAAUAGAUGAUCCGGAAAGUAACAAAAAGUAACUACAAGGGAAAAGUUCAUCCGCCGGUACAUUCAAUUGCGUACAAAUUAUAUUUGAAAAGAAAGGUUUAAGGUUUUUGUUUUCGAGUAAAAAUAUAAAAUGAAAUCUGAAGUUGGUAAAUAGUUGCUUUGAUGAUAACACUGCUUAAUUUCAACGAAUAAUUGACACUGCCCUUUUGCACCCCUUAUCACCGCAGCCGUAACUCUUUUCCUAGGGUCGGGGUUUGGAUUGUCGUAAAACCUACUUCGAUGUAAGUCAAGUUUAGUGAGUCUAGCAACAUUACACUGGGCAUCUACCAUGAUGAUGCCGAGGAGAUCCACCGCGGUGGGCUGUAUUUUGGAUCUCUCCUCAAAAGACGACUCCGGCCGGCUCCGAAGGUAAACUGUUUCCAUUUCUUGGUGGUGGAUCUCCGCCUCAACAUCGUCGUGAUAAUUAUAAAAACUAAUAUUUCUACUCUUACUGAACUCGAUUUACGGCCGAAUUGCUUGCAAUUACAUCAAUCCAAACACCCCCGUAACGAGCAAUAAAACCAAAACCCCAACAAUAAAAUAAAAUGGUUAGGGAUUAUUAAAUACUAUAACUCUGUUUCUCCAAACUCCAUGCUCAAUCUUCUAAUCUCUUCUCCCAUCUCCACUUAACAAUCAUCAAAAUUACAAUGGAAAAAAUCCCCACCUACGUCAAAAUUAAAUAUACAAACAAAACCAAAUCUAAGAUCUAUACUAAAGCAAAACCAGAACAAAAAUUUCAAAUGAAAAUACCUCAAAUCUCCUCUUCUUCGUCUUCUUCUUCUUCUUCUUCUUCUUCUAAUCCUCUCCCGGCGAUCCAAAUCAAACCGAACACCACUCUCUCCCAAUUACGAUCUAAAUCGAACGAAAAAUAUUGAUGGAGGUACGGUGAUUUGAACCUAAAAGAAAAGAAAUUGAAAUUAAAAUUAAAAAAAAGGGGGAAAUUUGGGAGGAGCGUUAGAGAGAACGAGCACCUGGAGCGUUUUGUUUAAUAUUUGGGGGGGGGGAACAUCUGGGGAUAUCAGUAGAGUAGAGAGAGGGAUCCAGUCAUCCAGUGUGUGGUAGAGGAGGAGGCAUUGUGGUUUUGGAACUUAUCGAAACGCAUAUGCCACCAAUUUCGACUUUAUUACGAAUAUACCACGAUACUCGAACGAGGUUGCUAGGCCCUUGGUCCGUAGUAGCCGGCUAAGCCGAGCGAGAACGUGCGUGGUGGAAUCUUUGUCGCCGGCGUUGGUAUCUUCCCCGGCCGCCAAAGACUUUCAAAAAAAUAUUUACUAAAUAUAUUUGAAAAGAUUCACCAUUCAAUUUUAUUUUUAAUAUAAAUAUAAUUAUAUACAACUAGCAUUAUAUAUAAUAUAUAUAUAUAUAUAUAUAUAUAUAUAUAUAUAUAUAUAGGCAAGAUAUCUCUAUUUAUAAACUUAAGUUUUGAAUUAAUCCAAUUCUAAACUUUUUUUAAAAUUUUAAAAAAAGAAUUUAAUUUUUUGGAUCGUUUGAUGUUUAGAUGUUAAAAUAUAUAGCGUCGAAUUCUCUUAUACUCUCAAACCGAAUGUUAGUCUGAAUCUUCAACCUAGUAUCUUUUUCAUAUAAGAUUAGACAAAUACGUCUCGAAAUAUGAUCAUUUAGGAAUAAUUUAUUUAAUAAAUUUAUAACAUUUAAGAAAUAUCGUAUGUUUUAAAUUUGUAAUGGCAAAUUUGUUAUCAACUAAUUAUAUCGUUACCAAAGGCUGAUGAUGUUGGGAACUUCUGUGUUUUUAUUAAUAGACUGUUCAUAAUUUUAAUCAAGCAUGAAAAUAAUCAAACCUCUUCACUUACAGUAGUGUAAAUAAUUUCAUAAUUUCAUUGACCUCUUUCACAACUUUUCAACUUGAGUUACAUACCGAUGAUUUUAAGUAUAUCGAAUAGAAAAAUAUAAAAAUAUUACAAUCGGUAAAAUAAAAAAAAGGGUCAUUUACAGAUCACAUAAUGAUUUAAUGAGGCGGAUUUAAAGGUGUAGAUGUGGUGGACCAGGUCCAGGGGACAACUUCUCCACCGCGAGGCAGCUACAGCCGGCUAGUCGGGGCUGCGACGGCUCGCGCUGAUUGGUUGCGUGCUUUUGCUUCCCGCCAGAAUAGGCAGGUGGGGUCCACUUUAUGUUUGGCCGUCGGAUCCUCGUUAAGUACACAAAGACCGAUGACUUCCAGAUCGGACGGUCUAUAUUCGCGGAUUUCAGUUUUGUAUUCCACGUCGCGCUCUUUGAAAGUGUGCAAGGUACAGGGUUGCGGACCAUGUGAUGAGUGGGCCCGUCCCGUGUGGGCCCCAACAGUGGAAGCGAUUCUCAUUGGACAAUACCAGCAAUUGAGACAAAUGUUGAGAUGUACGGUUCAGAUGCUUUCAAAAAUUGGUAAAAUUGUACAGAGACUCCUCACCUUUGGUGCAUUUUGAAACACACCUUUUUUAAUUUUAAAAAAAGUGAAACUUACCUAUUCUGAUUCAACUAUUCAAUCUUUAAAAAUUUUAAUUUUACUAUCAAAUUUUUUUAAUUUAUUUGGUUUGAAUCAUUUAAUGGCGCUUAAACUUUAAAUUUUGAAUACACUAUUUAUUUAUAUGGUCUUAAUUAGCAUAUUUUAUAUAAUUUAUGCAACUAUAAUUUUAUUAAAAAAAUAAUAUGCCUAAAAUUGAUACCGAAAGAAGCAUUAAAUCGCUUAUAUCAGAUAAAUUGAAAGAUUCAAUAACGAAAUCAAACUUUAAAAAAAAAUUUAAAUAGUUGAAUCAAAAUAGAUUGAAGUUCAUGCAUGUUCUAUACAUUUUUACCUUUUUUUUCCCACCAGUUGAUAAAAUUUAUAGUUCUGUCAAUUGAAAAAAAAAAAACGUUCAUAGUUAAAUUUAAGCAGAAUAUCAAAUUUUAAAAAGUUUUAAAUUUAACUAAUACAAUACAAUUAAGUUAAAUUAAAAAAAAACAAAAUUUUAAAAAAGAAUAAUAUUAAUUAAAAUAAAAAUAAUUGAGAGAUCUCUUUCAGAGUAGUCUAUAGUUGGGAGAGUUCUAUAAAUUUUUUCCUUUUAAAUGUUGGGUAGGAUAUAUACAAGUAUACAACCAUACAACACGGAUUAACGGCAUGAAAUUUGCAGAUCCCGUGCGGUUUUUGCAUGUGGGUUGAUGUUUUUUUUUAAUUUUACUUUAGAGAGAGAUAGAUAGCAUGCUAUCUGUUUUGUUUAUUUUAUUUAGAAAUAAAUUUAGCUAGAAAUGUAAAUUAACUAGGAUUCGAAUUUGGGAUCUCAGUUACCAACCGUCAAAUCCUUUGCCACUUGCGUUAGGAACGGUCCGUCAUGUGGGUUAAUGCUAAUGCCAGCGAGCAAGUGAUUAGGAUUGAGAGUUCCCCAAAAAAGUUAAAAAGGUUAAAAAGCCUUUAAUAAAAAAAAAAAACUUCUAAAAAAAUUAAAAAAGUUAAUAAAAAUAAAACAGCAAUUAAUAUAAUGUCAAUAGGAUUGAGAGUUCCCCACAUGAGAUUUAUUGCCCUUAAUUAACCUUUCUUCUGCAAGUUACAUUAUUAUUCCAGGUUGGGAGAAGGUCUUUAUGUAAUUCCACAAAAUAAAUCAUAUUAGAAGACAUUAGGGUAUAUUGGUCACUAAAAAAAUGAUAAAAAAUCCAACCAAUAUAACAUAAUCUCUUAAGUUAAACUAUAUCUAUAUAAAUUAUUGUAAUGCUUUUUUACAUGAUGAAGAUGAUUGAUGAAAUGUUGUCAUUUUUCCUUAGAUGUUGUCCUGCAUACCUGUCCACAAUUGAGGUAUUUAAGAUUUCAAAACUAAAAUUUUCAAAUUUAUAUGAGAUAAUUAGUGUGGUAUACAGCAGCUGACUGACGAGUCUAUGUAUAAAAAUCAUGCUUUUAGAAAUCCAAUACUGAUCAGCUGUUGUAUAAAAUCUUUUUUUCGACUUUCUGAUUUAUCCCUCUUAAAAUGCUAAUAUUAAAUAAAUUCUUUUAACAUUCUAAGUUAUUUUAAAUAUAUUUCUAAACUUUCUGUUAGUAAACGGUUAGCAAUAACUGUUAUCUCUGUGAAAUUUUUAUUUUUUUUUGAGAGAUAGGUAGUAUGCUAUCCGCUUCAUUUAUUUCAUUUAGAAAUAAACUUAGCUCGGGAUCUCGGGUACCAACCACCAAGCCAUUUGCCAUUUACACUAGGGAUGGUCGGUAUUUCUAUGAAAUUACUAUUUUACCCUUUCAAAUAUUUGCUUCUACGAUCACCUAAUUUUCUUAUUUGCCCUUAAUAUAGGAGCAAAAAAAAAUAUUUUGAUUUUUUGUCAAGUAUAUCUUUCUAUUAUCACCAGCUUUUAUUAUUUGCUCUUAAGUUAAGGACAAAAAAUAUAUUUUAAUUUUUUUUAGUUCGGAUAAAAAUUUAACCCGGUUUAAUCUGAGAUAACUUAACAGGUAUUAACAGUGAGAAUAUUUUUGAACAAUGGAGAACUAUAGAAAGGAUAUAUUUAAAAAAAAAAGAUAAAUUAGAUAUUUCAGAAAUUUUCAGAAACAUACUAGAUAUUAUCUAUAUUUAUUACAUAUGACUAGCUAGUAUGCUUGUAAGUUGUUUUUUUUAACUUAAAGCAUAGCUGAAAUUUAAUUAUAAAAAUACCAAUUUCUUGACACUUGCACUCCGUUUUUUUGAUGAAGAAAUAUCUGAAUAGAUGAUCGACAUGGUUAAAUACCAUUUUACGUCUCAUGACCUUCUUAGGAUUCAAAUUUUAUGAUAUUUGACUUAAUCUACCUAGUAAUCAAACAGUCUCAAAUACACUUUAUACAAGCGGUUAAAAUUUGUUAAUUUUGAGACAACUUGAAUAACAGGCAAAUAGUGUUUUUAGAAAGUUUAUGUAACGUAUAUUACAUUCACUAGUAUCGAUUGUCAACUUCAGAUAUUUCAUCAAUAGAUGCUACGCGGGAGUACUGGAGAGUUGAUGCUUCUAGAAAUAUUUUAACUCAUAUAUAACUAAAUCUCUGCAUUUUGAAACCGGGCUGGGUCAGGAUCGUUUUGGGCCGGCCCAUUUUCAGAAGUCCUUCCCGACGCUUCACCUCCGUUAUCUCGCUCUCUCUCUUUCUCUCUCUCUCUCUCUCUCUCUCUCUCUGCGGCUUAUAACUUCCUCCCAUUUUUUGGCUUGUCAUUUUACCAUUUUACCCCUCCUCCUCCUCCUCCUCACCUCUACUUUGGAGUUUGUACUCGGACUCGAAUGGCGCGAAAUGACUCAACCGACUCCACCUCCGCCACUUCCGACGAGCCCGACGACUUCCCCGCCCAUUCACGGGAACUCGAACUCCUCGCCCCGACGCAGCUCGUUUCCCUCCUCAAGUCCUCGUUCCGGAACUCCGACUUCUGGGAAGUGGCGAGGAUUCUGAGUUCUCGGGAACAAACCCUAAAGGCCGAUCUCGCGAAAUCGGAGGGGACGAUCGUGGAGCUCGGUCGGAAAAUUGCGGAGGAGAGAGUGAGGUUCGAUCGGUUGAAGGCGAGGUACGACCGAUCGGAGAGGGGUCGCGCGGAUUUGGAGGGGGAGGUCGGGGUGUUGCGCAGGAGGGAGAAGAGGUUGCUGGAUGAGAUUAGGGCGAAAGAGGAGGAAAUUGGGAAGAUUAGGGCGAGCGAGGAGACUCGUCAGCUAGGGUUUAUUGUCAUUAGCGACGAUGAUGAAGAGAUUAAUGCGAAUUCGAAUGUGAUUUGUUCUGGAUCCAGGGGGACUGCUUCAACGAUGGCCGUAUCGGCGCAAAGGAAGCGUUUUUAUGAUGUGGUGAGUAGUGAUAGUGAGGAUGAUGAUGAGAUGGAUGAUAAGGUACCACUUAAUCAGUUGAAAUUGAAGAGGUUUGAGAAGAGGGUUUGUGAUAGUAAAGAGCCCAGUAGCAGUUCAUUAAACCAAAUUUGUGCUCAGACAUUGUGGGAAAGGGAAGGAGAAAAGGUUUGCAAAAGAGAGGAUUUGUGUCUGAGUGCUGAAAAUGAAGCCGCUUUUAUCACCGGAGACUAGUAAGAUGACCGCGACGAGUUUUGGAUGUUCAAAGUAUGUAGAUGAUGAACUGGGAAGAAACUAGGAGGAAACUAGCCUAGAAAGGGGCGAAGGUCGCCUAAUUGUGGAUUUCUUUUUGCAAAAGAUACAAGUAUGAGAUGCUAUAGAUAUGUUUGUUUAUACUAGUUCACCGAGUUAAACACAUUGAGUAUACGUUGUAACUGCGCUUAUAUUCGUGUAUGUUAGAACUCGAGUAUCUGCUUAUUUUCUUUCUUAACUAUAAGAUGCUGUACAUAUAUUUGUUUAUACUAGUACACCGAGUUAAAUACAUGAGUAUUUCGAUAUUGCUCUACUCAUGUUAUUUAUGCUGAAAAUGCUUCUUGAGCUGCCAUAAAUGCUGUUCUAAAUCUUGCUCCGGUUGAAUGUGGGAUUUACUGCUGGAGAUACACUUGGAGCAACCGUAGAUCCUUUAACUUGUUUUCGGACUCACUAUGUCCACCAUUCUAUAGUUCUAGACUAAGGUCGAUUGUUCAGAUUGGGGUAAUGAGUUCUUGGACUUCUUACUACAAAAUGAUACUUAGCAGAAACAUCGCGACAUCUUGAAGUUGUUUUCUUCCCAUUUUCUUUGGCGUCGGCCCCUACUCGAUUUGUAUCGGAUCACUAAACUGCUCGCUGCAUGUUCAGUUAUCUGGGAGAAUUCAUAUAAAUGAAUGUUCUCUUAGCUUUUCUUUCUGAGUGUACUCUUCUGCAUCUGUUUUACCUCCUCUCUCCACAUGAGUGCAACAAACUGCUCGAUUCUCAGCCUGUGUUUUCCUUGAAUACUGUUUUUUUUUUUUGAAUAGGUAGCGUGCUACCAGUUUCAUUCAUUGGAUGGAUGAACUAGGCUACACAGGUGAGGUAGCCAGGGCCUCAGAAGAAACCGAAGGAGAUGAAAAAAUAAAAAAUAAAUAAAUAAAAAAAGACCACUAAUAUCGUUGGAGGAGGAAUUCUCACGAAUGUAGUAACAGCUUAAGCCUUUGUACAGCCAAAAUCGGAUCAGGUAGGAUAUUUCAAAAAAUUAGAUUAUUUCUGACCUUCCAAAUCGUCCACCAGCAGACAGUUCCGAGAGGCUGUUUAGAUCAUAAAAUUGAAUACUGUUUAGAUCAUAAAAUUCGUGAGGUCCUCUGAAACCACAGCGAGAAAGUUUGUCUAAUGCUGAUUAUUUAGACAAUGCUAGUUCGAAUGCUUUUUUAAUUUAUUGGAACACAUUUGGCAAAGCGGCUUGAUUACUUUAGCAAAAUGGCAAUCAUUUACUAUAAUCAUUUGUUUGAUAGGAUCAAAACAGUGGGAUCAAAUAAUUUCGUUGGGAUGGGAUUAUUGAAUCACAUGGUUGGAGAUUUUGUACAGUAAGCAGAAUUUUUUUUUUGCAUAUAAUAGAUUUUGAAGUUUUGUGAUAAUUCUUAUAUUUUGAUCCCUUUUUUUUUUUUCAUUUGUCAUUGUCGAUAAUAAGCUGAACUGUUUCUUACACAUGCCCAAACCAAUCACCAUGCUGUAACAAAGAACUUGCUACGACCAUUAUCUCGUCCUCUCCCUGAAUUCCAAAGCAUCUCCCUUAAAAAAAAAAAAUUAUAUUCGUACUUCAAAAAAAUUAAAUUUAAUUACCAAUAAUUUCUACAACGACGCUUCAAACGUUGCGAGCCCACAUUUAAAUCCGCUCUUGGGAAAACCCGACUUUUAAAGCAGUUUAUAAUUUGCGGCUUUUCAUCGCGCUUCCCGAUGGCGCCCAAAUCGGCUUCGGUUGCAUUCUCACGCCACGUGUCAGCCCCACCGAAGUUAUUUAUUCCAUACCUCGCCGUUCACUGUUCAGUUACUAACUGAUCCCCGUGCCACGUGGCCGCAGCGCAUCCCACGAAACCCCCGCGAAGAACCGCGGGCCCGUGACGUGGCCAUUCACAGCCGUCCGAUCGGCCGAUCGGUUCCACGUGGCGCUUCGUCACCUCAACGCCCACGUGCGGUGCGUGCUCUCCGCAACUCCCCGGUGCGUCGUCGCGUCCCACGGUGAACAGGAGGAGACGUGGCCACGUCCCCAGCCACGGAGCUCUUCGCCCUCGAACACCGAACACCGUUACCGUCCAAUCCGAUCUGUCGGUGCGCCGGUCCUCCACGCCUCUAGUGACGUGGCCUCUCCUCCUUGCUCCGCAACCCGAGAAAAUUGUCGGUGCACCCGGUCCACAAUAAUAUCGUGGACCACUCUAUUUCAUCAUUUUUUUUCCUCCCAAUCCCCAAGUAAAUUAAGAAAAAAAUGAUAUUUGAAUUUCCUAAAGAGUAAAUUCAGCCGUAGGUGUCCAUCCCCGCACCUCAAUUCUAGAAUUUAAUUUUUUAUUUUUUUUCUGAAUCAGCUAAAAAGAUUUCAAUUCAUACGAAAGAAUUUAAUAAACUUAUUUUUUAUUCAUGAUUUAAAAUCAAAUAUGAUAAAAGUUCUAAUAUUCUUGUAUAAAAGUACAGUAAAACAUUCACAUUGGGAUUUGUGAUGUCAUCUUAUUUCAACUUUCGAAAGCAACAAAUAGAAGCUAAAAUACAAUUUUAAAAAAAUUCUGUUUCUGAAUAAAUUCCGGUUCACAAGCUAUGUGGUGGACGGAGUUCCAGCAAUAAUUUCUCGUAAGACCCGCCUCUCCACCCACCAAUCAGAACCGUUGAUUCCGAUGCUCCUGCGGAGCAUCGCUAUCUGGAACACCGGAACGUCCCCGCAGCCGCUCGAUCAAAAUCGUACGGCUAUUGAUGGCGCGGCUUCGAAUCCCCGUCCGUUGAUUCGGCUAGCGUAAAAGGAGCGGAUAACCAUACCCCCACGUCGCCGUAUACAAACCCGGAAUAAGUUAUCCGCGCGGAUAACGUUAUUCCCACUCGGCGAGUUCGUAUACGGACAGGGAGUCAGGAACUGCUUGGCGCUGGAGAGGCCAACCCACUCCUCACAUCCACUAGAAUAUAAUUUUAAAAAAAAUAAAAAAAGAAUAAUCACUUUUUUAAAGCUUUUUCAGAAUUUGUUUUUUUCCCUUGAUAUCUAAGGUUUCAGAGGCGAGUAUUUUAAAGGGCAUUAAAAUAAUGGCGAAAUCGGCGCGACACGAUAAGAUGUUCCCCCCCAUCCCCUUUUUCGCAUCCGCGAAUUGAAUUGCUGCGUCUCUCGAAAGCUCUAGAGAGAGAGAGAGAGAGAGAGAGAGAGAGAGGGUGAGAAAGGAGGUGGGGGGAGAGAUUCUGUGUGGAGGUAAACCUCGGUCGCUUUCCAUUUUUGGAAAUUUUAGGGCUAAAACGCGUUUCCGUGUCGAUUUUGGGGGCAUCGAUUAGGGAUUCGAACAAGGUUUAUGUCCCGUUUUGAUUCGUUGGUUGAUGAUGUGUCGAUUUGUUUCCGCUUGAAGCAACCUGUUCGGGCAUUCGAAUAGGUGUUAGGGUUUGUUUCCGCUUCGUUUUCGUGGGAUUUUUCUUUUCUUCCUUUGUUAGGUGUUUAUUUACGUAAAUCAUAGGUUUUUCUAGGUUUUUUUCGUUAAUUUAUUUGUUAAUUUUGUUCCUGGUGUCAUAGAUUUUGUUUAUCUGAUUGUUGGUUCAAGAGAAAAAAGGAUCUUUGUUGUGGUUUGAGGAAACCCUAGGGCCAGGUUGUAUAGAUCGUUCUCCUGUUUCCAAGUCCACUUAAUUUAGAUUUUUGUAACAAUGUUGAUUGUUGAAGUUUUUUUCCCUUUGUCUACAGACGUAUAAAGCUAGCGGUGGAGAUGAAUUGCUGAGUGAUUCCAAAAAAAAUGUUUCCUUUUUAUACCUUGUUUGCCCCAUUUUGUUCACAAGCUUGGAUUGAGCUCUUCUCUUAAGUAACAUUGUUCCGGUCGUCUAUGGAAGGGACCACCGAAGUGAAUGAGACAAUCGAGUGCUCGCCGGAGGCUCCCCACAUCAAAACCAAAGAGAACGACCAGCCUCCUCAGCAACUGAACAGCAGUAAUGCGUUGGAGACGCCCGCCCCAAUCACAUCCCGAGAAGCCGAUUGGCCCGAGCACUUCUCGCUGCUUCGGUUACCGGAAGCAUCUCUGGAUAACAUAGAGGGCAGGAGUGUUGAUUCGCAUUCUGGGUCGCAACUGCUUUGCACGAGUUCCCGCUCUUUGGGCAGCAAUCCUGUGGGUAUGGUGGAAGAGCUGACAUUGAAGAACUAUAAGAGCCCUAACCUAUCUAUAGACGGCAGCUCGAGCAGUGGAGAGAAGCCGAUUGUAAGAAAGGGCUUAUGGCUUAAUUUCACAAGGUUGGCCGGAGGAACGAGGGAAGCUCAGAGGGCUCAGAGGCCACAGGUAGGCGAAAGUGAGAACCCUGUGGCUGCAAGCAGUAAUAGAUGUAGUAGAUUACCUGAUGGAAUCCGGACUAAGGUUUUAAGUGCCUCGAAAACUCCUGAAAUUUUCGUCAAGAACACUUUGAAGGGUAAGGGGGUUGCCUAUCUAGGUCGACCCGAAACAGUUGUUCGAGGGCAACCUAGUGAAAGGCCUAAGACCAAUGUAGAAACAACUUAUGCUUCUUUGCAGAGAGUUUCUAGAAAAGCAGAUGGCAUAUCUCUCUUUGGUGGUGGCAAUGGCUGUGGUAGAUUGGACUCCCAUCGUGGUGGGAUUAACCUUAGGGAGCAUCUUAAACCCAGGCGCCAAAAAAUAAGUAAGAUUGAGAGGCUUCAUAUAUUUAAUCAGAUCGUUGAACUUGUUGAUGUUUCUCAUUCCCAGGGACUCGUUCUAAAGAAUCUGCGACCAUCUUAUUUCAUUGUCUUACCUUUGAAUCAAGUUAAAUAUAUCAGUUCUUUUGGUCCUCAAGAAUUAUCAGGCUUGACCAAAGGGGGUAACUUGGACAGGAAAAGAUUGUUGGAUCAAAACAAAGAGUCUGAUGAGAUUUUGAUAUCGAAGCAUCAAAAAGUUAGUGGGUAUGGCUAUAUUGGUAUUCAGCGUCAGAUACAUCCUCGGAGGAGUGCUUCGAAGUUAGACGGUGAAGGGGAAAGCGUUGAUGCUAGCGCUUUCAAGCCUGGAAAUUCUGGGUGUGAUUUUAGGGAACAAGUGAAUGUGGGAGAACCUUACCAUGCUAGCAAUACAUCUCAGCAAUUGGCAUCUGAAUUCAGGAAAUUUGAGGAGAGGUGGUAUGCUAGCCCGGAGGAGCUAAAUGAGAAUGUGUGCUCUUUAUCUUCGAACAUCUACUGUCUGGGUGUCCUUCUUUUUGAGGUGUGUGGCUUGUCAUUUUAGAUUAUUGGUAUCAAACUUAUUAAGUGGCUUGUUGAAUUUGUAUCUGCAAAUUAUCCUUGACUUAUGCAUAUACUAGGACUAAUUUUUUUAUAGAAUUUUUGCAUAUCGCCAUCCUAGUUGUUGUUUGCUGCCUUGGUUGCAUGGUAGAUGUUGGAAUCUUGUUGAUGCCUGCAAUUAGUCUAGCUGUCAGAUGAUACAGUUACUUAGCUGACUUUUCCUUUCAACUUUCCAGCUAUUUUGCUCUUUUGAAACAUGGGAGGUGCAUUCUGCUGCAAUGUCAGAUCUUCGUCAUCGGAUUCUCCCUCCAAACUUUCUUGCAGAAAAUCCCAAGGAGGCUGGUUUCUGUCUUUGGCUGCUGCACCCAGAACCUUCUUCUCGGCCGAAGGCUAGGUUAGCAUAUGCUUGCUUUCUUCUUAAAUCCUUUUUGUGUGUGCAAUUGCUAAUGUUAGCUAAAUUGUACAAACCCAUCAUUUUUUUUAACUCCAAUUAAGGUUACGUAUGAUGGCUAACAUUUGAAUUUGGGCAUGCCUGGUGUCUGGCUGGUGAAAAACCAGGAGAUUUGUGCAAUUUUGUAUUGAGGUUAACCUAGAGAGAGCCCAGAUUUAUGCAGGAAAAAAAAAACGCAAAUAGUGCUUCUGAUUGGUAAUAGCGAACUUCUGUGGGUGAAGAUGGAAGAGCCGAAGAGGUGACGACCCCAUUAGCAAUUAUGGAGCAGAGAAAUACUGUGGCAUGAAAUGUUAUCGAUAUUAGAUGCUAUUUAUCAAAGGCUCAUAUGUGUUUAAAUGUGUUGGCUUUGUACUUAAUGACUUGCAAAAUAGUAAUAACCGAAAAACCAAUACCAUGGAACCACAAAGUCUAAGCAAGAACUUCUCUUUCGGUGAUGGGAUUGUAAAUUGAGGACAAAGGUUACGUUUGUCUAAAUCUCUCUCUCUCUCUCUCUCUCUCUCUCUCUCUCUCUCUCUCUCUUUUCGUGACCCAAAUCAAAUUAUAGAACUAUAUAUGCCUGCAAUUGUGGCUCCACAUGCGGGUAGUCCUGUGCUUAGUAUAUGAAACGGACCGAAAUAAUAGGCAAUGAAUUGUUGAGCCUGCUAUUAUUCUAGGCUGAUGAUUUUGGCUUAGUUGGAAAUGCCACUUACUCAGGUUGAGCCAGCUGCCAGCAUAUGUUGACUUUGUCAGGUUAUCUGGAAAUGCUACUAAAUAUAUACCUAUACAGUGAAUAGGAAAUUAUUGUGUAUUCUCUCUCUAAGGAAGUAGAUUAUAGUAAUAUCAUACUGAUUGUUUUUGUUGUUUCGAUAUACUGAAACAGGCAUAUCAUCCAAAACUCUGAUUCUGUUAUAAUCUUUUGUUAGAUGUCGUCUCACCAUAUCUUGGAAUUAGUUUAAAACUUUCUGGUGAAUAUCUCUUACAAUGUAAGUAAUGCCGGAGUGCCAUUACCCCUCAGUUUGAUCCCUCACCCCUUUUUCUCACUUGUCCUGUGGAGGCUUUGUUCAUGCGUUUUAACUUAUGUUGUAUAUGUUUUAUGAAUUUUUCAAUUAACACAUGCUUCAAAUUGACUUACAUAUAUUAGAUAUUUCAUUGAUUUUACAUAUAGUAGAUAUUUUGCAACUUCUUAUUUGCUCCCUCUGCAACAUGAGCUCUGUGGCCUCUUGCCUGUUGGCCUGUGCAUAAGUAGUCGACCUAUUUUGCACGCUCUUAGUCUGCUCCUUUUCACAACUAUUUUGUAAAUCAUCUUAUUUUGCUUUUUUGAAUUUAUGAAUAUUAGCCUGCUAUAUACAUAAUCAAUGAUAUAGUUGAGCAAUAACAUGUUGCAGUCCUGCCAAAAGUAAAUUGGAAGGAUUGAAGUUGCUGAAGUUUUUAGGAGGGAAACUAUCUGGCUUUUAACUGAAGGAUCAUGAUACUUCUCAUGUAGUAAUUUUCUUCAAAAGAUUAUAUUAGUUACAUGUAGGAUGUCUAAUAUUCCAUCUUUGUGGAAUCAACCUCUAUAUGCUUACAGCCUUAACUCCAAGUCUCUAACCACAUUCUUGAGCUUCUUUUUCUAUUGUAAGUUCAUUCUUGAGUUGAUACAAGAAAGGAAGAAAUGCUUUGAUUUUCCUAUAGCAAAUGAGUAAUUUCACCCAUCUAACCUUCACACUUAUGGUGGUCCUUUUCUUUAGUAUAAAUUUGACAUAUUUGCAUCAUGAAUAUAUCUUUUACAAUGAGCGUUGAUAUAUUUUGUUCCACUUUCCCAGAGACAUUCUGUUAUGUGACUUGCUAAGUGAAUGCCGCCGAGAUAACUCUUUGUUGGAUCAGUCACCAACAUCUAUUGAUGAGGAAGACGCAGAAGCCGAUUUGUUAUCUCAUUUUCUCUCGUACUUGAAAGAACAAAAAGAAAAACAGGCUGCUAAGUUAAUAGCUGAUCUUGCAUCCUUACAAGGCGAUAUUGCAGAGGUUGAGAAAAGACACUUGUCAAGGGCUCAGUUUCCUUCAGAAGACCAGAACACACCAUCAAACUAUAGUGAUCGCUCUCAUCGCAAAGAAACUGUGGAAGCAGAGUUAAUACCAAGCUCGUCCAAAUCAAGCAUAUAUGAGGAGAGGCUGAUGAGGAACAUAAGGCAACUAGAAAAUGCAUAUUUCUCCAUGAGAUCCAAAAUUGAAGUAUCAGAAGCUAAUGCCAUUAUGCGUUCAGACACUGACGUGUUGAAGAUCCGUGACAGUUUUUAUCAUAACAAGAAUGAGACCGAUGUUCUCAAUGAAUCGACUGACCGUCUCGGAACAUUUUUCGAGGGUUUAUGCAAGUACGCACAGUACUCUAAGUUUGAAGUACGCGGAAGUUUGAAGAAUGUUGAUAUACUGAACUCUCCAAAUGUCAUUUGUUCUUUAAGUUUUGACCGGGAUGAGGAAUACUUUGCUGCGGCUGGGGUGUCAAAGAAGAUUAAGAUUUUUGAGUUUAAUGCUCUUUUGAACGACAAUGUUGAUAUUCAUUACCCAUUGAUCGAGAUGCCGAGUAGGUCCAAGCUUAGCUGUGUCUGCUGGAAUAGCUACAUCAGGAAUUACUUGGCCUCGACAGAUUACGAAGGGGUGGUUCAGGUUAGUAUUUUUCUUCAUGCAUACACAAGUCACCGCACAAAAUAAGUGCUCAUUGCAGAAGGAAAUUGUAGCAUUAUUAUGGCUUUCUUUUCUAAUGUGGAUUGGAUUGCUUGGGCUAAUGGUUUUACGUGCUGGACAUUAGUGAGCCCUUUCUAUCUUGGCAUGUGUAGGCAGAUGCUAUGGUUAGUAGUGUACAAUCACCACUUGCUCAUAGGCAUGGCAAGGCUUGCUUGAAAUGCUUAAUAGUGUACAAGUGACACGCCUAGUUUGUUUCAGCCAAAGAAAAAACAGCUAACCCAACUGUAACUAUGUUAGCUGUAUUUUAAGAUGAGUCAUAAUUAUUUUGCUCCUUUUUUUUGCCUUCAUUUUCAAUUUUCAGCAUGUUUCCUCAUCAUUGACUCAAUAAAUGCAGACCUGGAGUUCUGUUCCAAAUUAUCAUUUCUACUUCUUGACUAGGUUUUCUUGCAAGGUUAUGUAAUUUGACUGGCGUCGUGGCAUGCAGUUAUGGGAUGCAAGCACUGGUCAAGGAUUCACGCGGUUCACAGAGCACCAAAAGAGAGCUUGGUCGGUCAAUUUCUCACAACUAGAUCCCACUAAACUAGCUAGUGGAAGUGAUGACUGUUCUGUAAAAGUUUGGAGCAUUAACGAGGCAUGUUUUUAUAUUUAUCUUGCAUCAUUAAAGAAUUCUCUUUCUUAUAAACUCGUUCUUUUUUUUUUUUCUUUUUUCUGAAGAUGCAAGUUUGAGCUUUAAUACAUCAAUCAUUUUUUUGUCCCCAAUUGAUUAUUAGUUGGACUUGAUAGACUUACCGUGCUUUUGCUUGAAUCUUUGUUUUUCCUCUCAGCAGAAAAGUUGCAUUGAUACAAUUCGGAACGUGGCAAAUGUAUGUUGUGUUCAGUUCUCCUCAUACUCCUCGCGUUUUCUAGCUUUCGGCUCUGCCGAUUACAAAAUUUGCUGCUAUGAUCUACGAUAUACAAGAAUCCCUUGGUGUACACUUGCUGGACAUGGGAAGGCUGUUAGCUACGUCAAAUUUUUAGACUCGGGAACACUUGUUUCUGCGUCAACUGACAACACCUUGAAGAUCUGGGAUCUUAAUCUGACAAGUGCAAGUGGAUUAUCCACUGGAGCCUGCAGCCUUACUUUAAAAGGUCACGCUAAUGAGAAGGUUUGUAGUUUUGCCUGUUGUUUUCAUCUCCCCACCCACCCCCCCCUCCCUCUCUUUCUCUCUCUAUAUAUAUAUGAUCUGUCGGGUAUACCUGAUAAAAUACUAUUGUCGAUGCAGAAUUUUGUAGGAUUAUCUGUUUGUGAUGGAUAUAUUGCUUGUGGUUCCGAAACAAAUGAAGUAAGUAUUUUAAUUCCUUUCUUAUAGGUUUACUUGGAUUUGUUUAUCUGAAAAUGAAAAUGUCCCUGCUGUUAACUUCUAUCUGAAUACCUAAACCAUGUUGUCUCUCUAAUGAGAGAAUUUGUUGCUUCUCUUAUGUUGUCUUUUCUAAUUAGAGAAUUUGUUGCUUCUCUGCAGGUUUAUGCAUACUAUAGAACAUUUCCCAUGCCAAUAACUUCUCACAAGUUCGGCUACUUCGACCCAGUCACAGGCCAAGAGACAAGCGAAGAUAAUGCUCAGUUUGUCUCGAGCAUCUGCUGGAGAGGAAAGUCGAAUAUGGUGAUCGCCGCGAACUCCAGUGGAAGCAUAAAAGUGUUACAACUGGUUUGAGGACAUAAAUUCCUCAAACAGAGGAUACAAGAAGAACAAAUCACCUAUCUUGCCUAAUUCGGAUGCUCCAUAUUAGGCACAAAUGGUACAAAAAAUUGAUCACCUUUUUGAUUUCUUCAUCUCUUGCGCUGCCCCUGACUCAGACCAAAUGCCCCCCACACUCCCAUGUGGCUCGAGCUAACAUUGUUAGCUGGAUUUGGUUCGACGACUGGAUGUGUUCUUUCGAAUCCGUAGCUACAAAACCGACGAAUUUUGGAAGUGUUCAGAACCAAUCCAGUUUGCACAAAGCAAAUUUAUCGGCAUGGCUAAUAAUUUGGUUUUGGUUUUGUAUAAUGGGUUCUCUAGAUCAUAUGAAGAAGUGAGCAUUCAUCAAAGAGUAUAGAAAGUCAAAGCGAAACAAAUGUGUACAUUUCGUAGAGAGCUAGGUAUGUAACCAUUUUGAUGUAUUUAGUUGGCAUUUUUUCUUAAGGAAUAGGUAGUCCAUAUAAUCAACGAAAGGUGCAUGAAAUAGUUCAUCUUAUUACAAAAAGAUACUUGUAUGCUACUUGGAGUAUUAAUACUAAUAUAUAUAUAUAGACCAUUCUUUACUUAGGGAUGAGAUUUUUGUUCCAUAUUGAUUCGUUAAUGCUGUUGAUAUGUGCGCUGUUUGGACUGUGAUGCAAGAUGUGGGCAAUAAAUUUUCAUUAUUUUUCUCGUUUGUUUUUGUUUUUGUUUUUUUUUUUUUUUUUUUUCUCCUUUGGAGAGAUUUGUUAUUUGUCUCUGUUCUGCUUUUUAUCAUGGUUUUUUGUUUUUGGGUUAUUGGAUUUUCCCUUUUUUUUUGCUUUAUGUAAUUCAGUUAAUUCAAAAUAAGCCUCUAUCGAGCUUAAAAAUAUAUUCUCAUUAUCAAAAUAAAGUUCGCUUUAGGAAAAGAAUUAUAAAGCUAUGUACAAUCGCUGGGAGAGUAAAACGCAACCAAAUUUAGAGUAAUUUAAAAUAGAAGUUAUAAUUUUUUGCUUGUCCUUAUGUUUUAGCAUCUUGCGAAAAAUGAAUCAACUAGGGAACAGCUUUCAUAUACUUAAUUUUCUACUUAGAUAAACUGUAGUGCAUGAUGAUGUGAUGAUGAUAUGAUAAUAACACAACAGUAAUUAACAUACUAUAUUAUCUAUCAAAUCAUAAUAAGACUUGCUAAAACAAGCAUUCUAACUGUAAAAUAAAUUAAUGUUUAAAGUUUCAAAAUUACAUUCCAUCGCAUACUUUUAGGACCAUCAAAGCAGUCUCCCCAAAAAAGAAAAAAAAAAGGUAAAAUAAAAAAAUAUAUAUCCUCUCCCAAAUACCCUAAAAUUAGAUGAGGAUAAUGUCUUUGGGUUAGUUAAGAACCUGUGAUGGCUAAAGAGAGGCAUCUAAAUUUAGAAAAACCACACCAACGGUAGAAAUCGACUUUAAAACCUCUCUUUUUGAUUCAAUAAGGGAUUUCUCUUUUACCUUGCAUUCAAUUAGAAACUUUUCCCCCUUCCAUCAAAAAACAUUGAGAGGAAGGAGGGGAGAAAUAUUACAUAUAUAUUAAUAUUAUUAAAAAAAUGGCCAAAGCCCACGUGAUGUUAUUGUUCCUCUCGGCGUUUACUAUUGGGUGCCUUGUGGUGGGGUCCAUGGCCCACAAGGAUCACAUUGUGGGAGGGAGCAAAGGGUGGAGAUUACCACCCAACCAAACUUUUUACCAGGAGUGGGCACAGACCAGGAACUUCAGCCUUGGGGACAAAUUGCGUGAGUAUUUUGUUCUAACUCAAGAUUCUUCCUUUUUGGGCUUAAUGACAUGAAGAAUUUUCUUCUUCUUCUUUUUUUUGGCGUAAUCAAAUCACCACUAGCUAAUGCAGUUGGUUGGCAUCUGAGGUCGCCAUUCAAAAUAUCGGGGCGUUCGGUAUCUUGCAUGUGCGUUUGAAGCAUGGGAGAUUCAGUCUCCUACUUUCCUUUUACGCAUUUAAAAUUGGAGGAUUGCAUUUGCCAUUUUAAUUAUUUCUGUAGUGAUGCUUUUAGUUUUUCGUACAAUGCAAAUGAAGGGAUGGGCUGUUGAGAUUAAAUCUUUAAUCUUAACUUAGAUUGUACUACUUUUCUUCUUUCUUUUUUUUUUCAAAUGGAAAGACAUAAAUUAAUAAUGCUGGGAUAUAAAAUCAAGCAGGUUGAAGAGCGAAAAAUGUUGAAUACGGCAACUAAUUGUGCAAUCAAACAUUACUUGCAAUUAAUAAAUAGCAAUUGAACAUCAUAGUUUACAUGCCAAUUAAGUAUCAUGACACACAAUUACAAACACUCAUUAACUAUUUCUUCUUCUUCUUUUUUCGAAAAUAAAUACUAUAGUGCCUUUGAUCCAACCUCGGACCCUCACAAACUAAAGUUUCCACACCCUCACAAAAGUAACAAAUAUAUCUCUCCUUUGAAAAUGUUUAUCAACGAAUUUGAUCUUUGUUUGAAUUGUGUCCAGUGUUCCCGUUCCGGAGCUCGGUGUACAACAUUAUGGAGGUGUCGAAGGAGGACUUUGAUGCGUGCACUCAAAAGAACGUGACCCAACGAUUCCACGCCGGGCCGGCCAUCGUGGAGCUGACGGAGCCCGGCCCGCACUACUACUACUGCGGGAUCGGCCUGCACUGCGAGGCCGGCCAGAAGCUCAGCAUCGACGUCGCUGCGACUCCCGCCGUCGACGACGCUUCGUCCUCCGCCACCAUGACCGGCCCCACCACCGCCGCUCCAGUCGCGGGGUUUCUCGCCUACUUGUUGUUCUCUUUGUUUAUGUGAUUGAAGGGAGAUUGCGUGAUGCGAAAGAAGCAGGUUCAUGGGAGAUUCGGGAUCAUUUCAUUUGAGAUUCGGGAUCAUUUCGUUGUACAUGAGAUUUUAAUGCAAUUAAUACAUGGUUUUUUAAAUUUUUUCCCCUACGUGAUGAGUAAAGGUUAAUCUAGUUUUUCCCAACUUGAGAGGGACAUAAUAGUGUAAUAGAUAGAUACCACGUAAAUCAUUGAAUGGUUCAAAAAUAAAUUAGAAAUUUUAGAUAAUAGCUAAAAGAAACAGCUAAAGUAAAUUUCUGAAUCAUAAACGAUAGCAACAGAGUAAGCAACGGCAGAUUCUCUGUCGCCCAGUUUGCGGAAGAUACCUACGACCUUGUACUUCUUUACUCUCAAAAUAAGUGAAUUCAACAGCAAAAACAAAUUUGAUAAGUUUAUAAAAAUGACAUUGACCAAGAUGAAAUUGGCUUCUGCUUCCAGGUGCAGCAGUUCUAAAUUCUGUCCCUCUUCUAAAUUCAAUAGGAAGAGCAAACAAAGGACAAGAAAGCAGCUCUUUUUGUCCAAACACACAUUUCCAUUGAAAAUGAUUAAAAUAGAACAACAAUGUUUACUUCUUCACGGCCUUCCUCACCAGUUUCCGAUUACGUUAAAUGAUACAGUGACAUAAUAUUUUGUACACAUUUUAGAGACAUAAAUCAAACUACAUUAACAAGGCAGCUAAGCCGUGUGAUCUCCCACCAUCUUUUGAUGCUAUCCCAUCGCAUACUUCUGGGUCCAGCUCCUCGCAGUUGUCUCAUACUUGUUCUUAUCCGUCUUGUACAUGUGCGCGAUCUCUGGAACCAACGGGUCGUCUGGGUUCGGAUCCGUCAGUAGGGAGCAAAUGGAUAGUAAUACCUGAAAGAAAAGAGCGAGAACCCCUUCAUAUUUUACUUCAAACAAAAAGGAUAAAACUUUGCUAUCUUUGCUACAUUUAGUGCGAGGAAGCUUGCCAGCAUCAUGAGGAACAAAUGCGAGUAAAAGGUAACAAACAAUUAGAUCAACGUUAAUUAGGAAAAUGGGGAAAAGGAAUAAAAACCUUCGAUAUGGUCAAAGCAGGGCUCCAUUGCUCCUUCAAAAUGUCAAGGCAGAUGCUUCCAUUGCUAUUAAUAUUUGGAUGAAACACCUUAGUCCUAAAUGCUACCUGCACACAGAAAAAUGCAUUAAGCUGCAAUAUUGAUGGUUUAGGAUAUAGGAAUUUCAAAUAGGUGUUGCACAUUCUGCAGCACGAUAGAAUGAUUAUUCUCCUUAGCUAGCAAUAAGUAUGCAUACAGACCAUCAAGCACGAACUUAUGAGCCAUUCUGGGUAUGAUGCAUUCAUGCUAUACAGCUAUCUUAACGCCGCUAGGAAAACACAAAAGGACAGCAAUUUCCAUCAUAAAAGUCAUCCAUAUUCUUUUACAUCAACAUAAGCUAAAAACAUCCUGGGCUACAAAUACAAAAUAUCCAGGUGCUUUGUUUAUGAAUGAUACCUAAAAUGAAUGAAGGAAAAAGCCAGCGGAUUCUGCUCAAGAGUUGAAAGUUACAUCAUUAGCACUGAUUGAAUAAUUUAUCAUUAGCGCACAUUAUUCAAGUUUAUGUGAAAUUAUUUUUUUGAACAUUAGCAAGUAUAGAAAGAAAAUUCUCACCGGAUGAUGUAAACAAUAGAGCCUGGAUGAUGUUAUAACAGUCAUUCUCUAGUGUAUCAUGUGUUCAGAAUGACAGGAAAUACCUAUUAUUACCUUCUUAUGUUUUUCAUUUACUUGGAUUGUGGAACACCUGUUAAGCCCUAUUUACUUGCAUUGUUAAAAGAGAUAGUCAAUUACCAAACACUAAGUUGAAGUGACCCUCUCCAUUACAUUAUAUAUCUAACCCGAGAGGUAUCUAAGUCAUGACAUGUUGGUGUAUGAUAUGGCAUUAAACCUCAAAACACAGACUACAAGACACCGAUCAAUAAAAUAGUUCAUUACUUACAUGGCAUAGACAAUAAGGAUUAGUAACAUUUAUGCUCAAAAAGAGCUCUUACAUUACCUUGGGAGGCUUAAACGGAUAAUCCGGAGGAAAGUGAAUGUUGACUAGAAAGACUCCUCCUGCAUAAGGACUAUCUGGUGGGCCCAUUAUAGUUGCUUGCCAGUGGAACAUGUCUUCAGCCACUGGGCCUAUAAAAUGGAUUAUUAUUUCAAAAUGUAAGAAUCGAAAGGCUGAAAAGAAAAUAAGAUCUGGUUCAGAUUCACAACAAGAGCAUGACUGCGAAACUUGCUAGCCGAUUCACAGUUCAAACAGAUUGCUGAAAUAGGAACAAGAAGAAACCAUCACCAUCUUCACAACAAGAACAAAGUAGAAACAUCUAAUUACAGAAUCAUAUUCAAUUCUGGGUUCAAAUAGGUGAAGUCGUACAAAUCUAUGAGUAUGCAAAUGCCUGAUAGUAGAAAAUAGAUUAGCUUACCUACUUUAGUAAGUCGUCUGCAUCUAUUUCCAGCCUAGAUUAUUGCUGCAAUAAAUUUUAUGUCACUAACACAAAUUGGGUGUGCCUAGGGUUUCCACAUGGCACGGAAGAAACAUGUGAGAAAUUGUCUAAUUAAAUAUACAAUUUAGUUCACCAAUAUUACAAUUUUGAAUAAGUUGACCACUGAAACAACUGAAUCCCUCCAAUAACACAACAAUAAGAUAACUACGAACCCUGCAUGCUCCAACACCCUAGAAAAAAAAACCUUAAAAGACCAAAAUUUUCGACUUCUCAUUCAAAGGAGCGUAUGAAUCAGCGAUGCCGGAGUGGUAUACUACUAUCUUUCUUUAAAAAAAAAAAAAAAAAAAAAAAAAAAAAACACAAACAUCUAAUAACAGCCGAGAAAUCAACGGCACAAACUAAUCAUCAAUUAAACAUAAAGAUGUUCACACGAUUACAAACGAAGUCAUCGAAAACAAAAUUAGACGGCCGGAUCGAGCUCAGCACUCGACAAUAACACCUCAAAGCAUGCAAAAAUCGGGGAAAAGGAGGAAUACGGGGAGGGAGAAGCGAGGGAUUCGGAUCCGAGAUACCUGCGCUACAAGACGUGGGGGGGUCCUUUUGGAGAUCCUUGAGUUCCUUGACGAUCCGCUUCGACGCCAUGGAUUACUACGAUCUAAUCCCUCGAGGAAGAAGACGAUCGAUUAGGGCACAAGGAGAGCAAGAGGAGAGAGAGAGAAUACGCGAGAACAGGGGAGUUCGGAGUUUUGGAUCUCUCUCCGCUCUUUCUCUCUCUAGACGUGGUUGGUCGAGAGAGAAAGAGAGAUUAGUGUUUAGUAGUAGUAGUGGUUUAAUUAAUUAAGGUGAUAAAAUGGUGAUAAGGUGAUAAUUAAUGAUGAUGAUGAUGUUGAUGAUGGGGAUAGUCCAUCCACCGUUCAUCGUGCUUUAAAAUCCGCACUCAUUUAUAUGAUGGACGAUAGAUCGAACUGUCUCACCAUGGGGAUCUUCCCCAUAAAUUUUUUGUCCCGAUAAUAGGGGCCCAGCGCACGAUAGAUGAUUUUUUAAAUUAAUAAUUAACACGGGGGCCGCCCCUAGUUUUAGGUGCAUGUCUUGUCACGUGACAUGCACGUGGCAAUCAUGAGUUUAUGGGGAUACAAAUACAAUGUAUGUAGCGGUCCGUGUCAGUCACUCAUGGGCCAUCCCCCAUGCGAUCCAACAACAUAGAUUUUUUCUUUUCUUUUCUUUUUUAUAACUUCCCCUUCUCUUUUUUUUUUUUUAAGAGAUAUUUUAUUUUAUUUUAUUUUAUUUUAUUUGAAGAGAAUUUGCAGGUUGUGGACACCUGUACGUAUUUUGGAUUAUUUCUUCACCCUCUAAAUUUUUUUUAGCUUAUGGUUAUACUACAAUCAUUCUGAUAUACUGUAACGGUAAUGUACCAAGCUUUGGACCUAAUUAAAGUUUGGUUUUGUUGUAAUUACGUAUCACUGUUACAAAUUUGCAAAAUUCAUAAGGCUCGGAGAAUCCUCUAAUCCUCUAAAACAUCAAAGCAGAUGUAUUUGAACAACAUAUUUACACCAUGUAGUCGCGAGACAGGCACAUGGGCUGCUGCGUGCGAGAAUACUGUAGUUUUGAACUAGUCCAUUGGAAUUUGGAAAGCAAUGCUUUUGCACAACUAUUAAAGUUACCAUCAACCUUUUAUCCUACAAAUAUAGCUCAAUGCAGUAGGCUGCAAUGAAGAUUCUUAUCCCAAAAAGAGAGAGAGAGAAUCCUGCUCUGAAGAUCAAAAGUGCAUGGAACAAUUUUAUUCCACAUAAGCAAUCACUAGUGACAGCAAUUGUUUUCUACUUAAGUAUUUUAUGGCAAUGAUCUGGACCUGGAGCCGAAGCUAGAGCUCUUUGGAACAUGUACCAGUAUUGGUUUUUGUUUUUCGUUUUUGCAACAAAUAUUAAAAGUUGUGACAAGGGCUCCUAUGUUUGGAGUCUAAAAGAUUCCAUUCUAGUUUCUCAAAUAGAAAAGUUAUUUCUUUUUUUUUUUUUUUUGAAAGAGAGCAAGGUAGCAUGCUACCGCUUCAUUCAAUAGAAAGAUGAAUUUAGUAGAAAGUUGAGGCAACUAAGCUUCAGGAGGAUCGUCGGGAAAAAAAAAAAAAGACCUUAACCAAUUACAAUAACCUACCUAUUACAAAGAGAAAGCCAAUGGCUUCUGUACGAACGAAUGUCCGCUAAAAGUAGACUAGGGGGGCUCUUCUUUUUGUCGAAGAUUCGUCUACUCCGCUCCAACCAAAUGGCCCACCAAGUAGAAGCGAUUGUAGUUAACUCCCACCCCCUUAUGCCUCCUACUCUACGGCAGCUAUCAUCCCAGAGGUGGUUUACUGAAAAGGCCUUCGAAAUUAAAGCUUUGUUCGGUAAUAAGCAACCCAGCAGGGAUCUAGUAUUAGCGCAACCAACAAAAAGGUGGUGCACAAUCUCGGGCUCCUCCGUGCAAAAAACGCAGCUCACCUCCCCCUGCCAUCCCCUUUUCAUAAGAUUGUCCACUAUAAGGAUCUUGUUUUUCAGUACUGUCCACACAAAGAUUCUUACUUUCAAUAGAGCUCUGGUCUUCCAUAGCUGAACAAACCGCCGGUGUUUAAUCCCGCCGUCCUGUAGAAAGUUAUACAUUGAUCUGACCGAAUACCGUUUAGACUGUGCCCAUCUCCAUCUAAUUUUGUCCCUACCCUCGUUCAGCGUAAACUCCGAGAGUGACUCUUGUAACCUCAAUAUCAGCUCAUAUUCGUGCCUCUCUAGGGGUAAAAUCUGCCAAGAUUUUACUCUAGUCCCAUGUACCCAUCAACACCAUAGCAAGCUCCCGCCAUAAAGGUCCUACACCUUCUCUAAAAAUGUAGGGGUGUUGGGACAUUAAGGAGGAUUGUCCACACCAAAUGUCCAACCAAAGACUUAUUUUGCUACCGCGAAGCUAGUUCCACAUCUGAAGAUGUCCCUAGUCCCUAACACACUCGACCACCACUAUGAAUAUGGUCUGAACAAUGAACCCUCUCUAAGUGGUUUCCUACGGGAGUAGUAGAGGCCAUCAAUAAGAGAACCCCACAAAUGGUUCCUAUCGGCUAAGAACAGCCACCACCAUUUUGCCAAAAGGGCCACGUUCAUACUUUCUAAGUCCUUCACUCCUUUUCUUCGCACUAAAUGAUAGUGCGAAGAAAAGAAAAACUAAUGGAAUUCUAUUCAAGGUAUAUAUAUUUCCCCACCUCGUAAUAUCUUUGGUUUGAACAAAUCAAAAAUAAAAUUAACAACUUAUAAAUAAAUACCGAAAAAAAGACGUGAUAUAAAUAUUGCAAAGCAUGCUAACUUCUUUUUUUUAAAAAAAAAAAUUGGGGCUACUCUUAAUUCUUAUCCAACUUUCUCUGUGGUGAUUAAAACACCCUCAGUGACAAUUAAUUGAUGUCGUACGUACAUCAUGUAUGUCAACUUGCAAUUAUUAUCUGGCAUUUGGCAAGUAGCUAAGCUUUAAUGCAUUUAUUAUAUAGCUUCUGUUUUGGAAAUUUUGUGUAGAGAAAUACAUAUAUAGCAUGCAUAUAUGAUGAGGUAGAAUAGAUUUAUUGAACCUGAUUAAUUACUGACUAAAUUGAAUGAAUUUGUUUGUCACUACAGCAAUUUUAGAUAUGUUAAUAUUAUCACUCUAAAUUAAUAUAUACAAACGUGUAUACGAUGUACAUUCAUAACUUGUUUAGAAAUGUACGUAUUAAGUUUAAUUUGAAGCUUUAAUUUUAUUACAACAGAAAAAUCAUUGGAAGUAUUUGCAUUAAAAUUUAAAGGUUAAUAAAAUGAGAUUAAUAUUAGAAAAGUUUUACAACUUUUACAACUAUGAUGUAACAUUUUCUUUAUGGUUCGACUUGAUUGUGAUUAUUAUUUUGUAAAUUGCAUUUGUCAUCCAAUUAAGUUCUCCAUAAUGUAGUUAUAAAAAGUAUAUAUAUGCAUGUAACUUUAUAAUUUGAACAAUAAAAACGCUUAAAUAAGCCGACAAAAAAAUGCCAAACUGUUAUUCAUGCGUGCAUUUUCCUUGACAAUGGAUUUUUUUUUUUUUUUCUGUAGUAGAACUAAAAUAAUGAAACACUUGGGACCUAUAAUACUUAAAAGCCAAAAAAUAUAUAUAUAUAGUAGUAGUUUAGCCAUUUUCCUAGAUAAGAUCUGAAGAUAUUAAUUUGUCAAAUAACUCUAAUUUAACUCAUAAUCUUAAGCUGAUAAGUCCAAAAAAAAUUAAACUGAGCCGGGAAUUAAUAAAGAAGGUAUAAACUAUAAUUCGCUACUAUGAUAAACGACUCAUAUUCAAGUCGAAAAAUUAAGCUAACACAAGAAAAUUCUUUCAUGCAUAUUAUAUAUAUACGAAAUACAUGUAUAAUUUUUAUUCAAUACGAAACUAAUAUAUAUUCUUUACACGACUUGUGUACGGCAUUAGAUCGAUCAAAUGAUCUUUAACAACAAGUCAAAUUGAUGUGGUUAAUUUAGCUAAUUUUUCAUCUUUGAUCCUGUACGUGAUGGUAUCUUCUAUUCAAACAUGAAAAUUUUGUUUUAUAUAUAUUCUACGAUAUUUCCACGUAGUUCGUGGACUUUGGACAUCACAUUGAAAUCUACAUCACUUGCAUAUUCCAUUUAGCUUAUAGAAUGUGUACCUUUUUUCCCAUAGAAAUUGUUUUUUUUUUUUUUUGACUUGAAGAGUAACACCUUUGCCAGUGGGCGGAAAUCAAGCAAAGCUUGAUUUUGCUGCUCAUUUUUUUUUACAUACGUUAUGGGGAAAGUGAGGGAAGAGCGAUCGAAGAACCUUCUUUAAUAUAUUAUGAGCAAAUCUCAAAAAGUUUCUGGAGUUUUAUGUUAGGAAUAUUAGUAUAUUGUCUCCAAUCAAAUUGAUACUUAUCGUAUCAUGGUAUCAGAGCUGAAUCUAAACACUCUUUGGUUGUAUCCAUUUUGGCUGAUAUUUGUCUCAUGUAUUUGGUGCCACGAGUACAAUUUGGCUGGUCUUUGUCUCAUGUAUUUGGUGCCACGAGUACAAUUUAUCUAAUCUUCACCAUGCGCGCAAAUACUAAAAUUGCUACUAACAACUUUUCUAUAAGUUCAAUUUUUUAAUAAUAAUUAUGACUAAGCAAAUAAAUCUUAAAACGGAAGAAAUAAGCCUUUUAAUUCAUUUCUUUGACAUCUCAAUGUAGGAUUUUUUUAAAUGUACCAUAGUCAAAAAAAUUUUAAAAAAAGAUAUUGAAAAUUAUUUGAAAAGUAAUAUAAAUAGAUGCAUUCCGCUUAUAUAAGUCCUGCACUAUCUACUUCCCCAGCCAUGCUACACACAUAUGUAACCCUUCUUUCUUGCAUUGAAUGUAAAUAUGUUCCUGCUGAAACAAGAGAUUUGAGAAAUUUUCUGUAUAUCAUUCAUCUAAAUCCAUUCUCUUAUAUAGAGAGAGGAAAAGCUUUACAUGGAAGUACAGGAUUAUAUCCUGUUAUACAAAGAAAUAAAUAAUACUAUCCUAAUAAGAAAGUAAUAUACAUAGUAAUAUAUAUAUAUUAUAUAUGGUAACAUAUAUAAUAUAUAUAUGGUAUGUAAUAUAUAUGUGGUAACACCCCUCCGCAAACUCAAGGUGGGUUAAACACCGAGAGUUUGGAUAAAAGAAAAUGAUGACGUUGUGUGGUAUGAGACUUUGUGAAGAAGUCGGCAAGCUGAAGACGAGAAGAUAUAAACGGUAAGGCCAGUGUGCCAUUAAGAAAAUGAUGCCGAACGAAGUGACAAUCAAUUUCAAUAUGUUUAGUGCGUUCAUGAAAUACCGGAUUAUUAGCAAUCUUGAUGGCACUUUGAUUGUCACAAUACAGAGGUGUCGGAGUAGAGCAAGUAAUGCCAAUAUCACCAAGAAGACGACGAAGCCAAACAAUCUCAGAUGCUGUAGCAGACAUAGCACGAUACUCAGCUUCGGCACUAGAUUUGGAGACAAUAUUCUGUUUCUUAGCUCGCCAGGAAAUAAGCGAAUCACCAAGAAAGAUGCAAUAACCCGUGGUGGAUCGACGAUCAGUAUGGUCCCCAGCCCAAUCAGCGUCAGAAUAAGCUCGAAGUGCAAGUUCCGAGGUAGAAGAAAAGAAAAGACUCUGGUUAAUAGUGCCACGAAGAUAGCGGAGAAUGCGAAGAACAGCAGCAUAGUGAACAGAAGUUGGUUCCUGAACAAAUUGGCUUACUAUGUGGACAGCAUAAGCAAUAUCUGGACGAGAGAUAGUGAGAUAAAUAAGAGCUCCAACUAACUCCCGAUAGCGCGUGGGAUUUGAAAGUGGCUCACCCAUGGUAGGAGUCAGUUUUUGAUGAAGUUGCAUAGGAGUAUUGACUGUGUCAUUGUCAGUAAUACCAGCACGAGAGAUGAGAUCCGCUGUGUACUUCCGUUGAGAUAGCAAAUAGCCUUUAGAACCGUAGGCUACUUCAAUACCUAGAAAAUAACGGAGAAGCCCGAGAUCCUUCAUUUCAAAUUGACGUUGAAAGAAAGCUUUGAUAAAAUGUAUAAAAUCGGGAUCAUCACCAGUGAUAAUCAUAUCAUCAACAUAGAGAAGUAAAACAGUAGUACCACGAGCAGAAGAGUGAAUGAAUAAUGCAUGAUCAUUUUCACUCUGACGAAAACCAGCAGAGAUAACGGCAGUCGAGAACUUCUCAAACCAAGCACGAGGAGCUUGUUUAAGACCAUACAACGCCUUGCGAAGUAAGCAGACAUGACCAGGCGGAUGAUUAAGACCAGGAGGUGGCUCCAUGUAAACUUCUUCGUGAAGAUCACCAUGUAAAAAAGCAUUCUUAACAUCAAGUUGAUAUAACGGCCAACCACGAGAGGCAGCAACAGCAAUAAGAACGCGAACAGAGGUCAUUUUGGCAACCGGAGCAAAUGUCUCCUCGUAAUCGAUGCCAUACUCUUGAGUAAAGCCGCGAGCAACCAAGCGAGCCUUAUAUCGAUCAAUAGAACCAUCAGACUUCGUCUUAACUUUGUAGAUCCAUUUGCAACUGAUUGGAACCUUUCCUGGAGGAAGAGGAACAAGCGUCCAGGUACCGGUGUUGUGAAGAGCCUUAAGUUCGUCAGACAUAGCAUCUUGCCACUCAGGAAUGGUAGCAGCUUGGCGGUAUGUUCGUGGUUCCUGGUGAGUAUGGAUGGUAGCAAGAAAAGAAUGGAAAUGGGGAGAAAGAGAAUGUGAGGUAACACAACCAAAGAACCUUUUGGGCUGGCGCUCUCGAAGGGGAUAGCGACGCACGGAUGUCGGAGGAUCGUCGGUUGGAGCUUCGACAGAAGGACCAUCAUGAGAGGCAUGAACUUCACUUUCAUCUGCAGGAGAGGUAUUAGGAGAGAUAGAGUCCUCAGGAAAAGAGGAAUGCUCUGGAAAAGAAUCAUGCAAAAAGGAAAGAUCGAUAGGGGCAGAUGAAGAAGAUGCAGUGGCUGGUGUGGGUUGGGCAUAAUAGAGAAGAUGCUCAAAGAAAAUCACAUCACGAGAAAUCCGAAGACGUCUCGUGUUAGGAUCAUAGCAACGAUACCCUUUAUGCUCAAGACUAUACCCUAGAAAGAUACAAAUAGCAGAUUUAGGAGACAGUUUAUUUCGUUCGUGAGGAGGUAGCAAAACAAGGCAAGUGCAACCGAAGACUCGUAGAUGAUCAUAUGAAGGAGGCUUGGCAAACAACCGCUCACUAGGAGAGACACCUGAAAGGACACUGGAAGGCAUAAUGUUGAUUAAGUAAACAGCUGUAUUGACAGCAUCAGCCCAAAAUUGUGAAGGAACAGAACUAUCAAAAAGAAGAGACCGAGCAGUAUCCAUGAUAUGACGAUGCUUUCUUUCAGCAACCCCAUUUUGUUGAUGAGCAUAUGGGCAAGAAAGCUGAGGUAAGGUGCCUUGACUUGCAAGAAUUUGUCUGAAUUCAGAAGAGAUAUAUUCACCACCAGAGUCUGAACGAAAAAUUUUAAUAUUUGUGCCAAAUUGAUUUUGAAUCAUAACUGUAAAAUUUUUAUAUAUUUGCAAUAGUUCAGACCGGUUGUUCAUAAAAUAUAUCCAGGUAAAACGAGAAUAGUCAUCCACAAAGAUCACAUAGUAUCGAUUACCAAUACGUGUAGAAAUAGGAGCAGGACCCCAAACAUCAGAAUGAAUUAAAUCAAAAGCAGCAUGAGAGACAGAGUUACUAGCAGGAAAAGGUUGAGUAGUAUGUUUAGCAAGUUUGCAACCCAUACAACUAAGAUUAUUGGAAACAGAAAAUUUGCCUAAUACACCACGACGAACUAAAACAUUAAGAUGUUCGAAAGAAAGGUGACCUAAGCGACGAUGCCAUAAAGUAGAGCUAGAGAUGGUUGAAGUAGUGGUGGCGUUAACAGAGUUAUGGUUGGAUGGUAGAUGCAGAUGAUCCAUGUAGUACAAGCCAUCACGCCUAUGGCCCUGUCCAAUCAAAGUCCCUGUUCGACGAUCCUGAACACGACAAGAAGAUGAGUCAAAUGUAACUGUACAAUCAUGAUCAGUAAUUUGGCUAACAGAUAAAAGAUUUAAAGAAAGUUUUGGUAUGUGUAAAACAGAGGGCACAUAAAAUUUGGCAGAAUUACCAAUGGUAGGUGAUAAUGUACCAUAAUGAGUAACAGGAAGUGGUGUACCAUCAGCAGUAAAAAUAUUGAGCGGAGAAGACAAUAGGGAAGGUGAAGAAAGUAAUGAAUCAUGUGGAGUCAUAUGAAAAGAAGCACCUGAGUCUAGAACCCAGGAAUUCUUAGAAUUACCUCCAAAGCUAGGUGUUGAAAGGGAACCAAAACCUGGUGGUGCUGAUGAUGUCUGAGGACUGGAUUCUGGCUCUUUUGGAGUCGAGUUAUUCAGAUUGCUCUGUUGAAGUAGCUGCAUUAGUUGAGGCCAGCUGAGUUGAGUAGAAGCAGUGUGAUGUCCUACGUUGUUAGAAGAAGUAUUGAAAGGAUGCUCGAUCUGCAAAGUAGAAGCAGCAGCAGGAUAACCACGUGGAGAAUGUCGUUGUUGAUCAGCCCACUUCUUUUUCCUGCAAUCUUGAAUAUGAUGCCCCCAGAGUUGGCAAUAUUUGCAUUGGAUAUUGCGUUUGUUCUUUCGAGGAACAAACGAAUUAGUAGAACUCAAAGGCUCAGGAGGAACUUGAUUGGGAGCAGCAAGUACAGUCGGUGUUGAAGGACUGGAGGAAUGCAAUACUCGAAGACGAGUUUCCUCUGCAAUAAGCUCUGCAAGUGCAGCAUCAAUGGUGGGUAGCGGAGAUCGAUGAAGAAGUUGGCCUCGUAAGGCCUCGAACUCUGGCCGUAGACGCAUAAUAAAUUGAAAAAGACGCUGUUGAUCACGAAUUUGCGUUUGUUUGGUAGCACAAGUGCAAGCCAAACAAGUCUGGCAUAAUGAUUCGUCCAUGAUGGAUAGUUGGCGCCACCGUGCUUGCAUAAAGCUAUAGAACUCCUGAAUGGAGCGUUCACCUUGAUGGGCCGAUGUGAUCUCUUGGAAUUCAGCAUAUGAUUGAGCAUGGCUAGAUUGCUCAUAUAGUUUUUGAAGAUGAGCCCACAUUUGCUGAGCUGUAGUGAAACUCACCAACUGCAUUCUGAUGUCAAUUUCUACAGACGUGGAUAUAAUUCCACGAGUACGUCUGUCAGCAUUAUUCCACUCUUUGAGUUUCUUCUCAUCAGCAGGAGGGCUAGUGUCAUUAAUAUGAUCUGUUAAGUCUAGGGCAUCAAGUAAAAGUUUUACAGACACCGACCACUCCCGGUAAUUAGAACCAGAUAAUUUGACAUCUAGUUGAGGAAAUUGAUUGGUAGAAGAUGUCAUAACUUAAAUAAAUAAAGAGAAGAGAUAGAAUGGACAAAUCUGAAGAAGUGGCUUGCUAGAGACUCCUAGCAACUUGGUCAGACGUAUGUCGAGAUAUGAUGCGCAGCCACACAGACGUGAUGAUGACAAUCGCAGCCCCAGUUAACCACUAGGAUAGGAUCGUGUCGUCCUCGGACGUGGUGCUGAUCUGGACGAACAAUUCGCCUUCUGAGGAGAUGAGCAAAAGUCGUCGAAAGAGAAUAAAACCCUAGAAGGGCUCUGAUACCAUGAAACAAGAGAUUUGAGAAAUUUUCUGUAUAUUAUUCAUCUAAAUCCAUUCUCUUAUAUAGAGAGAGGAAAAGCUUUACAUGGAAGUACAGGAUUAUAUCCUGUUAUACAAAGAAAUAAAUAAUACUAUCCUAAUAAGAAAGUAAUAUACAUAGUAAUAUAUAUAUAUUAUAUAUGGUAACAUAUAUAAUAUAUAUAUGGUAUGUAAUAUAUAUAUGGUAACACCUGCGAACUCCCCCUCACGUCUAGGCUCGUCUGGGCUCGAGACUUUUUAUAAGACCCAUGACGUGGAUUUGAAUUAAAAGGAAAUUAAUUAUGCUAGGGACCUGGCAUGACUUGAACUCAAAACCUCCUGCUCUGAUACCAUAUGAAACAACCGUUGUACUCUAAAAACUUAAGCUGUUAGAGAACGGUGUUUAUAUAAUUUUAUAUUUAACUGUUAGAGAACGGUAUUUAUAUAAUUUUAUAUUUAACACUAAUGCUAAUUCUUAUUCAAGGCCCUAAACUUUCAAUAAGAUUAAUUAAAUUUAGUUGACUCUAAAAUUUUAAUGAUGUUUUACUAUAGUCCUUACCUUGGAGUAAAGACUACGUUAGACCUUAACUUCCAACAAUAUUUUUUGUUUCUACACCAUAAAUCCCGACAAUCAUUAAUUAAUUUAUCCACUAAUACUUUUUGUUUGAUGACUUAAUUUUUCAAUAGAAAAAGUCAAUCGAUAAUAGGGUUGAAAAAUGCGAUGGGAUAAAAGAGUAAUAAAUGCACAGAUGCAAUCGUUGUAGGCGAUAGCUUACUAAGUCAUCUAUAAAAGUUUGAAAAAUGUUACUUCAAAACAUAAUGGUCAUUUUCGAAAUAAAAUUCAGCUUCUAACGGUAAAUCGACGCGGCGGAUUUGUUUACAAAAUUGGUUUUAAGAAAUAAGCCUUUUAAUUCAUUUCUUUGACAUCUACGUUAGUCCUUAACUUUCAACAAUAUUUUUUGUUUCUACACCAUAAAUCCCGACAAUCAUUGGUUCAUCCACUGAUACUUUUAGUUUGACGACUUAAUUUUUCAAUAGAAAAAGUAUUAUUACUCAAUCUACUAAGUCAUCUAUAAAAGUUUACUAAGUCAACUAUAAAAGUUUGAAAAAUGUUACUUCAAAACAUAAUGGUCAUUUUCGAACUAAAAUUCAGCUUCAAACGGUAAUUCGACGCGGUGGAUUAGUUUACAAAAUUGGUUUUAAGAAAUAAGCCUUUUAAUUCAUUUCUUUGACAUCUCAAUGUAGGAUUUUUGAAAACCAUAGAGUCAAAAAAAUUAAAAAAAAAAAGAUAUUGAAUAGUACUUGAAAAAUAAUAUAUAUAGAUGCAUUCGGCUUAUAUAUAUAAGUCCUGCACUGUAACCUAGCUACUUCCCCAGCCAUGCUACACAUAUGUAACCCUUUUUCUUGCAUUAAAUAUAAAUACGUUCCUCCAAAUUUUCAAUAUUAAUUAUCUAACUUUAUAGAACUUAUAUUAUGAAACAUAUUUGAUCUCAUAAAACUAUAUAAACUGCCAAGUUUUUUUGUCCAAUGCUAAUUCUUAUUCAAGGCCCUAAACUUUCAAAAAGAUUAAUUAAAUUUAGUUGACUCUAAAAUUUUAAUAAUGUUUUAGUAUAGUCCUUACUACCUUAGAGUAAAAACUACGCCAGUCCUUAACUUUCAACAAUAUUUUUAGUUUCUACACGAUAAAUCCCGACAAUCAGUAAUUCAUCCACUAAUACUUUUAGUUUGACGACUUAAUUUUUCAAUAGAAAAAGUCUUAUUACUCAAUCCAAAAUAGGGUUGAAAUAUGCGAUGAGAUAAAAGAGUAAUAAAUGCACAGAUGUAAUCGCUGUAGGUACGUAAUAAUUUACUAAGUCAUCUAUAAAAGUUUGAAAAAUGUUACUUCAAAACAUAAUGGUCAUUUUCGAAAUAAAAUUCAGCUUCUAACGGAUUAGUUUACAAAAUUGGUUUUAAGAAAUAAGCCUUUUAAUUCAUUUCUUUGACAUCUACGUUAGUCCUUAACUUUCAACAACAUUUUUUGUUUCUACACCAUAAAUCCCGACAAUCAUUGGUUCAUCCACUGAUAUUUUUAGUUUGACGACUUAAUUUUUCAAUAGAAAAAGUAUUAUUACUCAAUCUACUAAGUCAUCUAUAAAAGUUUACUAAGUCAACUAUAAAAGUUUGAAAAAUGUUACUUCAAAACAUAAUGGUCAUUUUCGAACUAAAAUUCAGCUUCAAACGGUAAAUCGACGCGGUGGAUUAGAUUACAAAAUUGGUUUUAAGAAAUAAGCCUUUUAAUUAAUUUCUUUGACAUCUCAAUGUAGGAUUUUUGAAAACCACAGAGUCAUAAAAAUUUUUAAAAAAAAGAUAUUGAAAACUACUUGAAAAAUAAUAUAUAUAGAUGCAUUCGGCUUAUAUAUAUAAGUCCUGCACUAUAACCUAGCUACUUCCCCAGCCAUGCUACACAUAUGUAACCCUUUUUCUUGCAUUAAAUAUAAAUAUGUUUCUUCAAAAUUUCAAUAUUAUUUAUCUAACUUUAGAGAACUUAUAUUAUGAAACAUAUUUGAUCUCAUAAAACUAUAUAAACUGCCAAGUUUUUUUGUAUAAUGCUAAUUCUUAUUCAAGGCCCUAAUGUUUUAUUUAGUUGACUCUAAAAUUUUAAUAAUGUUUUAGUAUAGUCCUUACUACCUUAGAGUAAAAACUACGCUAGUCCUUAAUUAGCUUUCAACAAUAUUUUUAGUUUCUACACGAUAAAUCCCGACAAUCAGUAAUUCAUCCACUAACACUUUUAGUUUGACGACUUAAUUUUUCAAUAGAAAAAGUCUUAUUACUCAAUCCAAAAUAGGGUUGAAAUAUGCGAUGAGAUAAAAGAGUAAUAAAUGCACAGAUGUAAUCGCUGUAGGUACGUAAUAAUUUACUAAGUCAUCUAUAAAAGUUUGAAAAAUGUUACUUCAAAACAUAAUGGUCAUUUUUGAAAUAAAAUUCAGCGUCAAACAGUAAAUCGACGCGGUGGAUUAGUUUACAAAAUUUGCAAAUAAUUUGGGGGCAAAAUCACAACUUCGCAGGUGUAUAUAUAGGAGCAUUCCUGUUCCUUUGUUAUUCACAUACCUUUUGAAACAUUUUGUUUCUUCUCCAUCCACCACCUUGUUCCAUAACGUUUCCCAUAUAUGCAAACAAUGGGGUUCAUCGGAUCCGACGACUUCUACAUGAUGUUCGCUCCCGUUGUAGUUUACUGGGCGUAUUCGGGGAUGUAUGAGGUGUUGAGCUCUCGCGUGGAGAAAUACAGGUUACAUUCGAGGAAAGAGGAGGAGACAAAGAAUUUGGCGUCUAAGAAAGAUGUAGUUAAAGGUGUUCUUCUGCAGCAGGCCAUUCAAGCAGCUAUUGCAUUCACUGUGCUCCAGGUUUGUGACCGUGGCUUAUCCUACAGUAUCUCUUCAUUUUUUUUUAUUUUUGUUGUAUCAAUUUCUUUUUAAGCCUCUGUAAGAUUUUUCUCUCUUUUCUUGAUCUUGUUAAGGAUUCGGAUAAUUAAUAAGAGAGUAAAUUAUUAAUUUAUACUAGUUUGUAGGCACUUAAACUUGUAGAUUAAACGGAUUUUAUUAGAUAUGUCAUAUUCCUACACUCAUCUGGGCCUAGGCUGGUCACAGAACUGUCUAAUAAAUCUGCGCGCGUAAGCUAUUAUCCAAAAUGCUGUGGUUUUGAGCGCCAUAAUUUUGAAAUGCAUGAGUAUGCGAGAGUCCGAAUCUCUAACUUUUUAAGUAGCAGUUGACGUAACAAAUUAACCACUAAUUAAUUAACUAGCUGGGCCUAUGUAGUGGUGGUUCCUUUCAGGAUCUGUUGCUAAGAUAAAGAGAAAAACUUAGUCAAGAUAAAGUGCUUGAUCAUCAUGAUCUUUAAUGGCAAAUUUAUAGCUCCUUUAAACAUGAGCUAAUUAAGCAUUUAUUUUGGCCUAGUAUCUAAAUUUUUUUUUAUUUUAAGAAACUUAAACACACGUACCAUCCCUAGCGCAAGUGGCAAAGGGCUUGAUGCUUGGUAUUCGAGGUUCUAAAUUCGAGUCCUAGUUGAUUCACAUUUUCAGCUGAAGUUUAUUUCUAAAUAAAAUAAAUGAAGCAGGUAGCAUACUUUAAAAUUUUCUACUUUUUACAACUACAGAAAGUUAUAAAAUAGAACAGUACUUUUACAGGGAGCUCCGACAGGGGGCGGAGAACAGAGAAACCUUUCCCCACAUAGAGAUGUUUUGCUUGAUAGAGUAGGUUUACGAUCGUGUUAGUUCACAAUUGUUAGGCUAGCAAUGCUCUAUCCUAAUUAAAUCCCUACUCUAUUGGUCAAGACAAGUCAAAGGGGGUGUUGGUCCCCUCUUAACCCAAUUUAUUCCAUUUGAUAUGUACAUGUAACUAGAAUUUAAUUUUAAUAUAUAAUAAUAAUAUCCACAGCUAUUGUACCUCUGAGAAAGGUUCGGAAUCAAAGUAGACCCCCAUCAAAAAUAUUCAAAUGCAUUUAUUUAUGAGAUUUAAGCACGGAUUGACUGUACGUGCGGUCCCGAGCCGGUCGUGCCGUACUGUGCCAAAGUUGUGCCUACAUGUUUUUCAAUAUGUUUGAGCUCUUUUAGAGCUAUUUCGAGAUAAAAAGGUUAUAAAAUAUUUUUUCUCAACUUAAAACAUGUAUAUAUCUUGUUGAUCUAACAACUGUUUGAUCAAAUAAUGGAUCCUAAUUGUAUAAUUAGUCGGAUUAUAAUAAAAAAAUAUGAAUUUGAAGAUUGCGCCUAAUUUCUUUUAUUAUUUGUGAUUUAGUGCGUGUCUUUCUACAAUUGACUUUAAUUUCUUCUCCGUGAAUGCAUUUUUGUUAUAACAUGUUAAAAUAACAUUCUUAAAUUAUCAAGAUGUCUACGCUCUAAGAAACUCCUUUCUUGUAUUGGCAAGUUCGAAUCAGUUUCCAAAGGGCUUUUUUUGUAAAUAGCCCCCUGACAAAUUUUAUUUGCGAAAAUAGCCCUGUCCAAAAAUUAUUUACAAAAAUAGCCCUGCCCCUACCACGCCAGCGCCACAUCAGCGCCACGCGGGCAGGGCGGGCCCAGAUGUUUAAGUUGAACACGGUGAACCAUUCACCGUGUUUUGUAUUGGACACGGUGAAUGGUUCACCGUGUCCAAUACAAAUACCCCAACAAUGGCUAAGUUAGAGAUAUUUGUAUUAGACACGGUGAACCAUUCACCGUGUCCAAUUAUUUGUAUUGGACACGGUGAAUGAUUCACCGUGUCCAAUUAGCUAUUUUAUAUUGGACACAAUGAAUUAUUCACCGUGUCCAAUACAAAAACUUUAUAUUGAACACGGUGAAUGAUUCACCGUGUUCAACUUAACCAUCUGGCCCAGCCCCGCCCGCGUAGCGCUGACGUGGCACUUGCGUGGCGGGGUCAGGACCAUUUUUACAAAUAAAUUUUUGACAAUGCCAAAUUUAAAAAAAAAAUUUGUAAGGAGGCUAUUUGCAAAAAAAGCCCGUUUCCAAAACACUGCUAACAACUACAUCACACCUUGGAAAAGCUGUGUACUGUAUAUCCCACCUCCCAUUGGCAGUGUCAGUGACAGUAACAGUAACAGUAACAGUGGAUAAGGGGAGUUGGGUUCAGCAAUUACCCCUCAGGCCUCAGGUUCAUAACACUCGACCCAUUAUCCAUAUAUAGUUUGGACCAUGCAUGAUUCACCGGCGCAUUUUCCUUAUUGGAUUCGAAUUGUUUAUUUAUAUGCAUGUAAACGUUUGUGAGUAUAACAUGUAAGUAAAUUCAAAGUAUUCAUCUGGUUACUAUCCCGCAAGAGGACUUGUAACUGUCGACCGCCUGCUCAAACGUGGCAUUCUAGCAGUUCAUCACAGCGUCUUUUGCGCUUUCGACAUGAAAACAUGCGACCACCUGUUUAGUCAGUGUGUUUUUGUCCGAUACCUUCUCCUCACUGCGGAUGGACCGCUCUUAUUCACAGAGCUCAUGGAAGACGUCCGAGAUCUAUGGAUAAGGGCUUCUAGCCUUAACGAUGUUGGUACAAGAUCCCAAUGCCUAACCCGCCUGGCGGCUGUCUGGUGGGUGAUCUGGACCGUGAGGAACAACUUCCUCUUGCGCGAGAUACCCCCGGUCCCUUCUCUCUCACUGGACAGCGUACAACGUUUGAUAUCAGUAUAUAUGGAGCGAGCUUUCGGCAGUGUUCUGACUCAUAUGUUUUACUUUUACUUUUACAUUUACAUUUACUUCUAUUUUUUCUUUACUUUUUAAUUAAACUUUACCUUUAUUUUCUUUUGUUGCCUUUUUUUUUUCUUUUAGGAAGUCUUAGCUGCUUUCACCAUGUAUGCCUAGUUUAUUUUACCUAAUGAAUGAAGCAGGUAGCUUGCUAUCUUUUUCUCAAAAAAACAUGUAAGUAAAUUAGACACUUGUUGUUUUUGUGUUGACAGCUAACAGGCGAUCGCGCUCAAAUCGCUGCUGCUUCUGCCGCCGCCACAAGCCCGCUGCAUUCUCUUCUCGUACUCGCACAGCAAUUCCUCGUCGCGAUGUUCGUCUUCGAUGCGUGGCAGUACUUCAUCCACCGGUACAUGCACUCCAACAGGCAGUUGUACCGCCAGUUCCACUCCUGGCACCACCGCGUGGUGGCGCCGUACGCGUUCGCCGCGCAGUACAACCACCCGGUGGACGGGGUCGUCACCGAGACCCUGGCGGGGGCAGUGGCAUACUUCAUCUCGGGCAUGUCGCCCAGAACUGCGGCCUUCUUCUUCUCGGUGGCCACCGUCAAGGGGAUCGACGAUCACUGCGGCCUCAUGCUGCCGUGGAAUCCGUUCCACGCCGUGUUCCGCAACAACACGGCAUACCACGACAUCCAUCACCAGCUCGCAGGCAGUAAGUGCAACUUCUCGCAACCGUUCUUCGUGAUGUGGGAUCGGAUUCUCGGGACGUACGCGCCGUACACGCUGGAGAGAAGGGAGGGGGGCGGCUUCGAGGCGAGGUUGGUUCGGAAAGACAAAGUCGGCCACGAUUCUUAAAGUAUCAGCCGCAUUCUGUACCAUGCUGCUUGCGAAGAGCAGUAUAACACAGUUCUAAGGUUGAGCAGAUGUAAAACUAACAAACAAAUUACGAAUAAAAGCUUGAGUAUAUGUUCCAAAGUAUAAACACUCAUUUUCAUACUCUCCGUUUUUUUAAUAAACAAACAAAAUUUGAAAAACAAAAACACUACUCUUCCCAAGAACCAAUUUGACAAAAAAAAAACUUAGAUCAAUCAGAAAUCCAUUUUCCGAAAUAUUUCCCCGCGAAAGUGCGAAACCCAACACCCCCAAAUGGAUUCAAAGACGGAAAAAGCCAAAGCAAUUUGGUGAUACUGUGGUAUUCAAAUAAUGCCAAGCUCUGACUGAAAAUAUACAACGGAAAACAUUUGAAUACUGUUUCAUACGCAAAGAUUUAAAUUUUUAGAACAAUCAAAAUGUUCGCAUUUAUAACCAAAGCAGUGGUUAAUCUAAAUCCCAUCAGACUACUAAUUUUAUUUAAUCUUCUUCCCUAGUCACUUCAAAACCACACCACAUAACCAUUUUAACUGACAACAUUCUUUCUUCACAUCACCGUACCGUCCGACAUCCGAUUCCAUCAUUUUCCAGGAGAUAACAUGCAGGCAACCAAAAUCUGAACUAAAGAUGAAUUCACAGCACACGAAUAACAUAAGCACAAAACUGAAACAGUAUAACCUUUAACCAUUGAACACUAGUAUUAACUACUAAACACACAGCACAAAAGAUGGAAAGGUGUUUUGAGGAACAAAAGUGAAAGCCUUUCUUAAAUAUUUAUAGUUAACAACAGUUCUUUCUUAAAGUAUAUGUCCCUAACAGCAGUUCUCUUUCCAAAUGACCUCCACAUGGGAUUCUAAAACAUUCCAACUCCAUGAAUGGGAUCACACAACUUAUAUAAACACAUUAUAAAGUUAGAGACAAUAAUAUUACAAAACGAGUUAAUAAAAAGAGUCCGAAAGGAAGGUUACCUCAUCUGUACCUAACCGCAGGCUAGUUCAAUCAAAUUCCCAGAAUGAUGUUAAUACUAGGCAGUAGUUUUGGGCUGAUAAACUUUCCCAAAAGUACAAGAUUAGUGAAGAUCAGUUCGCGGCAACAGCAUCCGUUCGCUGGCUCGAGCCCAGAAGCUGGCGAAGCUUCGCAGGCUCCUUAUUGUCUAACUGCACACCUCUGCUAGCUGAGUUAGGGUUAUCGAUCAUUGAUAAGAAGUUCUCGACAACAACUGAUGAAGAUCCAUCAGUUUCCAUUUUGUCAGGAGAUACCUCUUCUAUUUGGGUCAUUCCGGCGUUCUUGAGUUUUUCCUGAAAGUCAAAGAAAUAAGUAGUUCAGAAGAUGAAAAAACUGAUAUUCUUCAAGCAGACACACGUAGAUUAGUUUAAAUGUUUUGUAAAUUCGUUCUCCAUUGCCAAAGAGAGAUUUUAAAUUAUCAAAGCACAGUGUCACUAUCAGCACUUAACAGCUAAGUUCGUUUUGACACCAAAAGUAGUUUCAGAAAAUCUGAGUUACCCUAGAAAUAAUGCACAGAGAAUAGUUCCAUCCUCCACAUGGAAUAGCAUCCCAUUUUUCCUCAUAACUACUAAAAUUCACCCCUCAAAAUUUUUUGUUUGGGCAAUCAUAGAACGAAUGUAUAUAUGUAUAUGCACAUGCGCAUGCACAUGUGCAUAUACAUAGAUACAUUGGUUGUGCAUGCACAUGCACAUGCACAUGUACAUAUGUAUGUAUGUAUAUAUAUAUAUAUAUAGAGAGAGAGAGAGAGAGAGAGAGUUGAGCUGGAAUGCUAUCGGUAGCAAACGAGCUCCGUUGCCACCCAUUUGUUUUCGAUGAUGGAGCCUUCAAAUCGACGAUCGGCACCGUUGAACAUGAUCUAUAUCACUUAAAGUAUCUAGAAAUCAAAUUUCAAAUCUUUUCAACAUCAUUGACAUAAUGAUCAAAGGGUUUCAACAUUCGUAAUUUUAAUGGUCGAUAUGAGGCGUUUUCUCGUUUAACGGUGUAAAGCUAUCCAUAUCAAUUGAAUUUUUGUUAAAAAAUUCUUUAAACUAUUUAGAACAAGAUCUAUACUCUCGAUCUUGAUUACAAAAUUCCUAUCAUCACUUUUUAGAGGAUAUUCAUUUUCAGCCGUUCAUUUUUACGCCCACUUGAUGAACAAGAGAACAAUAUCGAAAAAGUAUAAAAUUUGAUUUCUAGAUACUUCAAGUGGUAUAGAUCAUUUUCAACGGUACCGAUCGUCGAUUUGGAGGCUCCAUCAUCGAAAACAAAUGAGUGGCAACGGAGCCCGUUUGCUACCGAUAGUAUUCCAGUUCAACUCUAUAUAUAUAUAUAUACAUAUAUUAAAUUUUCAAUCAUAGCAGGAUGAGCCAGGAAGAGAAAAAUGUUAUGCCACACAAAUAUAUCCUCAGCUGAAACUGUCUUGAAGUACCAUGAGAGCAGAAUUUUCUAAUCUGAGCUUCUCCGAGUUCUCCGUCAGCUGAUUUAUUUCAGAUCUAAGGGACGAAUUCUCAGCACUUAGUGACUCAACUUUUAUGGCAAGCUCCUCGGUCUCAGCCUGCAAAUGCAAACAUAAGAAAUGUAAUAAGUGAAGAGACAGUAAAAAUACUCAAAUAUGAGGUACCGAUGUGAAAUACCUGUUUCCUCAGCCUUGACCUUCUCGCAGAUUCUCUGUUCGACUGCUUUCUCCUUUCACGUUUCAGUUCUCGUUCAUCCUGGAGAAAUAUGAGUUAAAAACAGAGUCAGUCAGCUAGAAGAAACCAUAAUUGCAAGUGUAAAGCCAGAAAUCAUCUGAUGUACAUCUAUCUAUUCUUGCAAGCUUUUCCUUGAAGCCACCGCUCUAAACCAUAUCAUAAGAUUUUAGACCAUCCAAGAAAAGUCUAAAGAUUCACCAGAGCAUUUCCAAGAUAAAGAUAAAAGACAGUCAAGGAAAACAGGAGGAAAGGAUAUCUAUACCAUAUCAUAAGAUUUUAGACCAUCCAAGAAAAGUCUAAAGAUUCACCAGAGCAUUUCCAAGAUAAAGAUAAAGGACAGUCAAGGAAAACAGGAGGAAAGGAUACAAUAAAGACAACAGCUUUAGGACAAAGGGGUAGGUAGGGCUGGAUCAAAAUAAAGCACAUGUUUGAAGUAAAAUAAGAAGCACAUGAAGUGAUCAUCGGAGUAGGAAUUGCCAGAUUACCAAGAUUCAAGGACCUGAUUGAUGAUCCAUUCAGGGCUUCUGCAAAAUUAUUUAUAGAGCAGCACGAGAAAUGAUGACAAUCUGUUUAUCACAUCUCCCAACGCAUUCAUGCUAAAUCUAGAGGAAGAGAGCUCAAAUUGGAGCUCUUACUUCUCAAGUAGAGAAGAAGUUUCAAAAGAUGAACACGCAUCAAGUGGCCUUCAGAACACGCAUCAAGUAACAACCAGUAGCAUUCACACCAAUUAAGGUAAAAUUUGAAGAGAACAAACAGACCUUUGCCCAUAAUUCAGGAGGUACUCCAUUUCGACCAGUAAUCAUAACGCCAGCAGGUGGUGGAACUGGCGUGCCAAUGGCUUUUACUUUAGUGAUAUCGAAAUCCAUCCCUGAACCACUUGAAGGCACAGAGCCUACUGGAUUUCCCACGACAUUUGCUGUUGCCACUGUAACACUUAAGGGUAUUUUUGAGCUGUUUGUUCCCCUGCCUUUGGAUGCAUUGGCCCUUUUGUCUACCUUACAGUCAUCUGUGCAUACAAUUCACUGUUAAUCAAAGACUAAUCACUGUGGAAUCCUAAGAAAAAACUCAUGGCUUUGAAGAGAAAAGCAGAAAAUGAAUUCAUUUGAUGCCCACUUGGCAGCCACAUAAACAGUCAAACAACUCUAACAGAGAAAUGAAAUUGCUUUUGCCGUCUAAGCAGUUAGAUGCUACCACCCUGCCUAGUCGAUAUAUUACAGUAGGAAACAAAAGUACCCGAUGUUGGUCUGUCAUCUGAGCUCCGCUUUCGUUCAUUUCCAUUCCCCUAGAAGUAUUGAGACAAUUUUUAAAAAUGUAAAGAAGUUAUUCCAACUGCACCUGCCUGAAAAGAUCUGAAAAUUAUUUAAAAAGGAGAAAAUUGCAGUACCCCAGAUUCACUACUUCCAUCACUUGAGCCGUCUGUACUAUUGUACCCACUGUACAAUUUGUACCCACAAAAAAAAAAAAAAAAAGAGAUCAGCCGACAAUACAUAAUCUAUUAGUAAAAGGACAAAAGUAAAGAGGUCUAACCUCCCAGCAUCAGCACCAGAUUUAUUUUCAGCAUUUUCAUCAUCCACUGAAACAGAAAUUCCAUCAAGCCCUUUGAGUUUUUUUGUCGGCCCUUUGUCCUUAUUACUUGCUGACUUGGCAGGUAAAUCCGUGCUCGAAGGAUUCGCCGUCUUAGGAACAGAUGUAAAAUGAAAAACACAAUUACCAAUCAAAGUACCAAUAUCAAGUUCAGCACACAACACAAAGAUCUGUAUUUGAGGUGUAAUACUAGUAUAUAUUCCGACAGCAGUAGUAAAAAAACAAACAAAAUUAUCAAUCAGAAAUAGGUAAAGAACCCCAAAACAAUAUUUGGAAUGUAAGAGCAGCACAUGUCACAGAAACAAAUACCUAACAAACUAUGCCUACCACUAGAGCUCCGCGAGAAGCGGAAGAUGGUGAGACCCCUUGAGAAUGCACAUGAGAUCCCUGAGCAUAAAUCAAAUUAUUGUUGAGUUGAUUCACCUAUAUCUGGACUAGGUAUGUGCAGCACUUACAAUAGUUCUUUUACAACAUCCAAAUUUUUUUCAGCCAAGUUGAUUCAAAUAUCAAGUUAAAGCACAUAUGAUGCCAUCUCUGACUUACAAUGGGCGCAGAUGGAUGAGAGUAGACUCCCCCAGGUGAGUAUAUUGGAGCAUAAGGUGACCCAAAAGGCGGCAGCAAAGGCUGAGUCACAAAAAAAUUAUCAGCGAGUAAAUAGCAGGAAUGAUGCCAAAAUCUGGGUCAUGCAAUAAAAUAUACUAGAUAACUAGACAAGGAUUUUUUGCCUAAGCCUUGAAAUUUUGAAUAUAUGUCCAGUACUGAGUAUGCCGACUUGUCAACACAUAACAUGAUGGCUCUGUUGAAAAACUUUAUGCUCUUCAUUAUGUGCCCCAAACAAAUAUUAGAAAUUUUUAAUAGAAAAUCCUUUAGCAAAACCUCUUGGAAAUUGCUAAAAUACACAUUUGGUGAGGUUUUAGUUUCUGACAAUCAGUUCUGACCAGGGAUUUUAGAAGGAACUCAAGGUCCAAUGGAAAGAAAUCUUCAAAAUAAAUAUUUUCAAUGUGGAAAUUCGACCUUUACAAACAUGUUUCCUGACACAUUCUUACAUCAUGUGAAUCAUUCAGAUGCAAGUCUAUAACAAAACCCCAAAUUUACAAAGGAUUUAAUCGUUCGAUACAUGCUAAAUACCUUCACUGCAUAUUGUCUUCCAACAUGUGAAGUUCAAACUUCACAACUUAAAUUUUUUUUAAAUUUCACUUUACAGAAGUUCGAGUUCCGUGAUUUACUUCUUGUCCUGGCACUUUCUUUCUGUCUAACAUGCAUUCUCUUCUACAUCUUUCUUGUGCAUCAUUAGGCAAUAGGCAUGUGAAGAUAAGCGAGACAUGCUGAACCAACGAAAUAGGUUCUUAUUCUUCAAUGUUAUAAAAUGCAAUUUUGCCAGUAGAAUUGAGCAAUCAGGUGAACUCUUAAAACUGAAAGUGUCAUCGUAGUUAGUUGGUCAUUCUGUUCAUCAAAUAAUAUUCUUGAUUAAUAUACUGCCUAAAAGGUUGUUGAAUGUUGAUGACAAUACCUAACCAACUGGUUGAUGAUGUAACUUUUUAACAUGUCUACGCUAAUGAUAUUAUCUAACUUAUCAGUCGCAAAUCCCUAUUACUUUUCAAAGCGGAUGUUUACUUGGAAAAUGGAAAAUUUCAAGUUGCACAACAAGGUAUGGAACAGAGGAAAUAAAAUUCAAGUACCUGAGGAGCCCACAUAUAUGGAGGAGGUGCAUGACCAGGGGCAACUGCUGCGCCAAAAUAUGGAGGCGGCAUCACACCAGGCCCAUAGUAGGCCUAAAUGGAGAAGGAACUAGAUUAAUACAUAGUGCUAAACAUGUUGUUGAGACAGGACAAAUAGAAAGAUUCGGGUAACCAUACCUGCAUAGCUGCCCAAUCAGGAUAUGGGUAUACAACUGGUUGAUCCUGCAAGCAUGAAAGAAACAAUUGAGCUUACACGGUUUGGAUUGACUAGAGUAGUGAGGCAAGUGGAGACCAAUUAUUCUAUUUUUGACGUUCACAGGUGAUAUAACUAGCUUUGGGGCAACGCAUACUUUCUAAAAUACCAUAUGAUUUAAGAAGAUCUUCAACAUUCCCCAGCAUUAUUUACUUACCUGAACAGGUGAUGCCGAUUUAUCAGACUUGGGAGGGGCUGCAGCUUCUUCAUUUCCCAUAGAGAUCCUUACGGAAACCUGAGCAAGGAGAAAUAUAGUUAUUACACUCAUGAUUGAUUAUAAUUUGGACAGCUACCUCCAGCAUGAUAGAUCUGCAUUUAAGGAAAUUGGAAGCAUUGCAACACAUAUAAAUCGCGGUUGUCCGCACUCUGUGUCGCAUUAUAUCUAUCUUUUCUGGAAAACCCACGAAUAGUUUACAAAAUUUUAUGGUUGGUGGAAUAGUUCUCUAUGCAAGAAACCAUGAUCUAUGCACAAAUGAGACAGUUUCAUUAGUUUAGCUCUGAAAAUGGAAAGAGAUAACUGUAUAAGAAAACUUACUUUUAUGUCAUACUUUAAAAGUUUUUAUCAACCAAACAACUUUUAACUUUUUUUCCCCUAAAUUUACAUUUUGUCACUUACUCAAACUUUUCAACCCUGCCGAAUUUAUCCUAGCCAAAAUUUGUGAUUAUUUGUCAUGGUCUUGCAACUAUAAAUCUUAACUCCACUGGGGAAAAAAUGCAACACAGAGAAGCAUGUGCUUAAAAAUUACGUGUUCUCAAUUGCAUCCUCAUAGACCCGAAACGAAGCCUAAGUUCUUAAAAACGAAAGGAAAAAAAAAAAAACAAGUAUGAUAUAUUUUAACUAAAAAAGAAAGUUUGUUAAAUUAGAUAUAUCCAGCCAGAUGCCUGCUUCCAUAGACAAGAAUAACAGAUAGACAAAUUCUGAUUUCUGCAUAUUACAGCAAGCAGUAAUCCGAAAAGCCAAAAAGUAAAUCAUUUAAAGCCUUGAACAUAACUUUAUAAAAGAGCAAAAAUAGAAACAAUCCAAAAAAAAUGAAGAUCCAUACAGAAAUAGCAUCAGAUAGUAAACAACUUUAAACCAACUGACCGACCGUCCCUAGAGCAAGUGGCAAAGGGCUUGGUGGUUGGUACCCGAGACCCAAGUUCGAAUCCUAGUUGAUUCACAUUUCUAGCUAAGUUUAUUUCUAAAUGAAAUAAACGAAGCGGGUGCUACCUAUCUCUCUCUCAAAAAAAAAAAAAAAAAAAAAAUUAAAACCAACAGUAGGGCACACAAAAAAAAAGGUUUUGAGUCAUAUUAACUGCUCAAAAAUUCAAUUCUCACCUACAGAAGAAUUUUCUCAGGGAUUAAAAAAAAAAAGCACAACAAAGGUGUGAUAAAUUUGAAAGAUGAAAGAACAAAAAAAGAUUCUUCACAGAGCAUGCAAAAGUUAGCUUUUUUUUUUUUAAUCUGGGUUUAAUUAUCCCUAUAUCCACAGGGAAAAAAGGUAUAGAGCAAAUUAGGCAUGUGUAAGCUCAUACAAAAAUCGCCUUAAUUUGGCUGAUGCGGAAUUUGCUCGAUGUGAUUUAUCCAUAACUAAAAAUAUUUGUUUUUUAAAAAACAAACUUACUAAGAAACAAAAGAAUUGAGAAAAAGUUAAAGUAAUCUGGAAUUUUCCUUGAAGGGUGAAGUGAAUUGAACUCUAGAGCGGGGGCAAAUUUGUCUUUUCGGGGAUCAGAAGGCACAGGUCGUCUAACGUGUCUACUUUGAACGGUCAGCGAUGAACUCGUUGAGAUGCGAAAUGACGAAAAUACCCCCCACCCCACGAAACAUAGCAUAGUCGAUUUUUUUCGCGACUCGUUCGCGAUUCUCCAAACCUUCUCGCCAAAUAUUUAAAAAAAAAAAAAAAAAAAAAGCGCUCUACCUCGAAAUUUUCACUGCAUCCAAUUUUAAAUACUUUCGCUACGAUCAAUCUCCUCUUUUUCUCUCGCAAUCGAAACAAGUUGUAGAUCACAUGAUCAUAAAAAGCGAACGAUUCUACUUCAAAUUCUAAGUAAAUUCCCGAGUAAAAAGCAUUACGAAUCACAAAGUCGCACAUGACGAAUUGCGUAAAAGUUUUAAGCCCUAGAGAUCAAUAGCAACAACUACUUAGAACCAAGUAAAGUACAAAUCCAGCAUUCUUAAGCACAAACUCCCAAAAUUCCACGUUACCUGAAACUUCUCCACGAAGAACACCUCGCUCUAAACCCUUCUACGUGACGAAGCUCGAAUUUGAGAACGUUGAUUUGAGGAAAGGAGAGGAGAGGAGAGGAGAGGAAACCGUAUACGAUUCUCUCCAAUUUCUACUCUUCCUCCAUUAGAGAGAGAUUAGAGAGAGAGAGGGAGAGAGAGAAAAGAAGAAGAGAGGAGGGUUGUAGAGAGAGAGAGAGAAAGAGAGGAGGUGAGGGAGCCAAAGAGAGAGAGAGAGGAAGGGGGAAGCGGGCGCCAAGCCAAUUGCCACGUCACCAAACACGUGUCCACAUCCGGGACUGGGUAUACGGCGUACGAGCGCGAUCCUAUGCGGACCAAAAAAUCCGCGCCACCAUUUGUGACCACCGCUACUGAACCAAACGAGAAAUUAUUGCGUGCACCCCGUGUAUAAAUAUUUAAUUUAAUAUAUAUAAAUAUAAGAAUAUACACCACACACAUAGAAAGCUAAAUUUGAAAAAAUUAAUAUAUCAAAAAUCAUCACUCUUUAUGAUUUGAUUUGAUUGGGUACACAAAUAUUUUAUUUUACAUGUUUUUUUACUUACUCAAAAAAAAAAUGCAGUAAUUAUUUGAUGACAAAUAUAAUUAGAUGUCUAGAAUAUCAAUCUAUACUUAUACUCUUAAUUUUUUUUUAAAAUAGAACAAAAUGAAUUAUGUUAAAUAUGAAAUGAAAUUUGUCUAAAAUCAUAGCUCUCUAAAGUUUUCAUAUAAUUUGUACGUAUUUGUUUAUAUCCAUAUUUAUUUUCCACGGCAAAGUUAAUAAAAAGUCCAUAGCUUUAAAAUUAUAAUUUUUCAAUUUUAUUAUUUAUUUGACAGUAAUACUUACUUCACUAAAUGUUCUCAUACUAACAUACAAAAGUUAGAACAAAAAUUACGUGAACUAAUUUUUUAUGGGCGUCACUAUCGGCUAGCAUUUUCAAAAAAAUAAUUUACUGACAAAACUCAAAUUACAACAAAUCAAAUAAUAAUAAUAAUAAUAAUAAUAAUAAUAAUAAUAAUAUUUAUUCCUGAAAAAUCCAACGAGGAGAACAGUGCUACGGAUACACCGUGAUCACUGAUCAGGCAAUCACCGGGUCGGGGGCCCACGGCAUUAGGUGGCGCACUGGGUACAGUUCGGGUGCGCAUAAUUUCUCCUUUUUUUUUCUUUUUUUCUUUUUUUUGAGGAGAGAGAGAGAGAGAGAGAGAGAGUUGGCCGUCGGUGUUGGGGGAGGGGCGUAGGGCCAAUAAAUAAAAUAGUUUAUUCCCCGUCAGCUGCGCGACACGUGUCGAGGGAUGGGGCGAUCUACGCGUCGACGCGUCACGGAUGUCGAGGUCCAGCUAAUAUCCGAGUCAUGUGGCUGACGUGGUGAGACCACACCCCCGUGGGCCCCACUCUCCUACCUCUCCCCUAAAUACAGUAUCGCUGCGUCGACCGGGGGUGUGCGGUUAGGAGCCCAAACUCUCUCCCCGAUUGGAGGGCGCGGGGCGGGGCCCACUUCGGGGGUCCAAUUGGAGGAGAUCGUGAGAGCGGGCGUGGAGGCUUUUGUAGCAGCGUUUGUUUACGGGAGGGUUUAAGGCGAUUGGAAUAGCGAUUCACGUCCGGAAAAUGACGGGCAUCCGGGUCUCAGGAUCCCGCGUGUCCUCUCUUUUUUUUUCUUUUUUUAUUUAAGAAAGAUUUUUUAUUAGAGUUAAUUUCUUUUUUUUUUAUAUAAACAUAAUAAAUUAUAAUUAUACUAGGCUGGAAUACUAUUAAUAGCACCAAUAACUUACUGCUAUUAAGUUUUCUAUCCUUGGAUUAAAAGAUAUACGGUUAGAAUGAUGUGAGCCCCCUAGGAUCGAGUUGGUGGUUGGUUGAAUAGUAUAAUCUAACGGUUGACAAUGAUAAAAGAGGUAAAUCUAACGGUAAAAAACUUGAUAGUACCAAAUGCUUUGUGCUAUCGAUAGUAUCAUAGCCGGACUCAUUAUAUUCUUAUAAAGUUCAAUUUUUAUAUAUUAUUUUUAUAAAAGUCCUAAUAUUUUAAAAUAUAUCAUUCUGAUUUGUUAUCGUUAAAACGUGAGUUAUUUUAUAAGUAAAAUAAUAUUUUUAGAAUCACAAAUAUAUCUUUCUAAAAGUCCCAACUAUUAAUUAAAGUGGAAUAAAAAUAUCAAUUCAUCUCAUUAUCUAACUAGGAUUAAGCAUUUUAUUUAUAGUUAAUUAAUUUUUUCUAACGGAACCCAACGACAGAAAUAUAUUUAAAAAUAUUAAAACUUUUGAGAGACAAUAUAUGAAUAUUAAAAUUUAUAUGGAUAUAUUUGUAAUUUACUAUGUUAGUAGAAGCCUAUAUAAAAUUAACCUUUUUAUUGAUUUUAAAUACGUAGUUCCCAAUUGGCCCGUAAAGUUUGUGAAAAUUACAGGAACAACCCCCUCCCCUCCUAAUUUAUUUGAAAAGAGUAAAACGGCCUUCAAUUCAAUUUAGAGACUUAAACGGAGCGGAUCCGGAGGCAAAAAGAACUUGUAUAUUUCGCUUCGUUUUCCUAGCUGGUCAAGGCUUAUUAGGAAUGAAUUAAUUUUUAUUUUAUUUUUUAUUCCUAUGAAUUAUUUUUAUUCCGAAUAAGUUGGGAUAAAAAUAUCAGUCGAUCUACUUUUAUUUUCUUAGCUAAUUGGGUCGUACUCGGGAUAGAUUUUUCUUUUUUCUAUUUUUCACCCCCAACAUAUUAAUUUAUUCCGUAUAGAUUAGGGAAAGAGCUCCACUAAUCGGAUCCAUCUGCAACCCCACUAUUUUUGUGUAGAGAAAAUGAUAUUAUAUAAUUUUGUGGAUGAAAAUAAUAAUAAUAACAAUUUUACUGAUUGAAUCAAAAACUUUACAAAUUGAUUCCGAUGGGAACAGAGAAAUUUGUGAGCUAAUGUCAAGUUGGGCGGAGAUAGAGUUAAUUAGGGUGAAUGGGUUCCGUAACGAAUCCAACUACAACCUAAACUUGAUCGGAUCCGAUGCAAUCCAAAUCCAACGUAAAAUUAUAACUCCGUGUGUUCUAGUUGUCAUAUCAGAGAGGAUUGAAUAAACAUGGCUUGUCAUUUUGAUCUCAAUUUCCUUUGUUUAUAUUUUAUGCAUUAAAUUUGGCAUAAUAUAAUUCCAGGGUCCGGCUACUAUACUAUUAUGAGUACGAUCACCUUCGUACUCAUAAGUUGUUUUUGAUGAUAGAGCUUCCGAAUCGACGAUCCACACCGUUAAACGUUAUUUACAGUAUUUAAAAUUUCUAAAAAUCAAAUUUUAUAAUUUUUUGACAUCAUUUACCUUACGAUCAAGAGGUCACAAAUUUGACAAUUUUUAACGGCCGGUAUGGGAUACUUGCUAGUUUAACAGUGUAAAAGAAUCAGAAUUUGUUGAAUUUUAAUAGAAAAUUUUAUUCACUACGUAGAUAAAGAUCAAUAAUUCCGAUCUUGAAUUGAAGGAUCCGAUCAUCUUUUUUUAGAAUGUCGUUCGAUUUUGACCGUUCAUUUUAUGCCCACUUGAUGGACUUUAUUAUGAUUUCGAAAAUUUACAAAAUUUAUUUUCUAUAAGUUUCAAAUACUUUAGAUCAUAUUUAACGGAGUGGAUCGUCGAUUCGGAAGCUCCAUCAUAAAACAACUGAUGAGUACGCGAGCUCCAAUACUCAUAAUAGUAUAGUAGUCAUGGCCUAUAAUUCCAUUAUUAUUAUUAUUAUUAUUAUGUAAUCCAAC